This 456050-nucleotide long non-coding RNA is filed under the name Citrus x clementina. Its description in RNAcentral is "Citrus clementina (C. clementina) long non-coding RNA (CCLE_LNC005359)". The stretch from base 391296 to 391402 matches the Rfam family "Plant small nucleolar RNA R71". Lineage: Eukaryota; Viridiplantae; Streptophyta; Magnoliopsida; Sapindales; Rutaceae. The record is from RNAcentral.
AUAUAUAAUGUUUGGUAUGGAAACAUUAAACAAAUUAAUUUGAAAAGGGACACGAGUAUUAUACUUGGGCGACUAUAGGUAAGUAUUGAUUGAACCAAAAAAUUAUGACGCAAAAAUGAUACGCUAACUAUCUAAACGAAAUUGACUGAGUGAUUUUGAUUGAUACAUUAAUAAAUGAAGGUAAUAAGAAAUCAGUUUCAGUCAUCCUUUCGUCUCGGGACAAGUACAUACACAAAUAGCCACUCUAGCUUCCAAUGAAUUGAUUGGCACAAACAUGUAAAUGUCAAUUAAAGAUGGAACAUUACAAAAAGAUAUACAAUUUGAGACAAAUUUGGAAUACCUUGUCAGCAAUAGAAUGCUGGUUACUGCUUAGAAAUUACUCGUCGGUUAUAAAUUCUUUGUUGAAUUAUUACGAUAUGUAUCUCUUCGUCAAUUGUAUGAAAAGAGAGAAUACACACGCACAUACAAAAUAUAAAUAUGGUACGAAUCAAACAAACGGAAGUUAAGGUGGUAUUCAGUUCGCAGAAAUGAGUGGAGAAAAUAUGGGAAGAAAAGAGAAGAAAGAAGAGAAAAUGUCAGGAGAAUUCAAUUUAUGUUGUCUGAUUUUUUUUUAAAAUUCCAAGAGAGAAAAGAAUUUAAAUAUUUUUGUUUUCGAGGCUUUUAAUGUCUAAUUUUAAACUUUUCAAGAUUUAACUAAAUAAAUUUGUUUUGUUUUGUUUUUAAAUAAAUCACUGUUUAACACAAAAUAAAAUAUCAAUAACUGUUAUUAUUUAAUCAAUUUAUGUUGGCACCCUCUCAUAUUUCUAAUUUUUUAUUUUUAAAAUUAUUAACAUAAAAAAUAUCAAUAAUAUUAUUUGACAAAACAAGUUAUAAAUAACAGUUAUUUAAUUAAAAUAAACUAAUUAAUAGAAUUUGACCUCUUAACUCUUUGGUGAAGGAUCCAUAUUCCUAAAUUUGAUGAAAUUUAAAUCUCAAUUGAAAUUGAAUUCCACCAUUCUAUUGCCAGCUGAACAAUGGAAGGGGACAGAGAAACCAAAUCCUUUCCUCUCCCCUCAUCUAUCACCAUUCACCAAGUUCCAACCGAACACAAAAUAAUAGCGGUAAAUUUUGGAGCUAGAAUUGGAAAUUUUUAGGAGAUUAUAGAGGUAGCUUUUUGGAAGUCAAAGCCUAUAUAUAAUAAUUUAGACUGAAAUGUCAAAAUAUUAACAAUUAUUGGCGAAAAUGACAAUAUAAUAUAUUUUGUGGGUUGACAUUUUGAAUUUGCGAGAGAUCAAUACUGGAAUUACUGUUUGUCUCUUUCUUUUCAUAGGCUUGACUAGAGCCCAACCGUGUCGAUGUCAAAAUAAACUACGAGUAAAUAACACUAGUUAACAAUAAAAUAGCGAUUUUUCAUAAACUAUUGAUACAUUAAUCAAUCAUUUCUGUUUCGUGCACUUAAUUUUAUUUCCUAAAGAUAAGGACGACGGUAUUUUAAAAUAUAAAUAAAUUAGAAAAUAAAACCGCGCUUCACGCGGCUUUGAAAAAAAAAUUUAGUAUUAUCUUUUUUUCUUACUUUACACUUGAUGAAACUGAUAAAAAAUAUGAAUUGAUUUUUUUUUUAAGAUGAGGCAGCCUUAUAAAAAACAAAAAAAAAUUAUUAGUCAGUAAUACAAAUAAAGAAGCAACGCAAGAUAAAGAAUAAAAUGAGAGAAUAUAUUAUAGAGUGAUUUUAUUCAUUCCAAUUAUGUGUGUACAAAACAAAAAGAUGAGCUCUUCUUUUAUAGUUGCAUAAUCACUUCAUGAAAUUAAUGAAAAAUUAUGGAUCAUAAUUACUUGUGAGAUAGUGGGAGUUAUAAGGAAGCUAAAGGUUGCUAAUGGGAGAUAGUGAGGAAACUAAGAGAUAUAUAUUAUGAAUAUCUACAUUUAUUUUAAUAAAUUCAUAACACUCCCCCUUGGAUAUUAAUUACAAAGAAUGUGCCUCAUUAAAAUCUUUACAUAAUUGUUAUUGUGUAAUAACAAUCAAAUUAAUUAUGAGAAGAUGAAAAGCCACAUCUAAAAGAAAAUUUCUCUAUUUAUUAUAUAAUAGAGAAUAUAAAAAGAUGAGAAAUGGUGAUGCCACAUCAUCUUCUCAAGUCCCAACUUUAUAUAUAUAUAUAUAUAUAUAUAUAUAUAUAUAUUGGACAUUGGACGACAAAUUGACUUAUAUUAAUUGUUCGUAAAAGACAUAAUUAUUACACAACUGAAUAAAUAUCAUUAAUGUUCGCUUUCACUUAAAUAAAAACGUCAUUGUAUGUUGACUGAAGUUUUGUCAGUGCAAUACUGGAAGCUCACAAGUUUUUUUUUUUUUUAUAUAUAUACUGGUUACACACCAGAUUACUGUAUUGCACAGAUAUUUACAAAUAUUUACAACUGUUAUCACAAUAGUACACUGAUAUUUAAAAUCAGAUAUACCUAACUGGGACUUAUAUAUAUGAUUACAUUAAAUUUUAUGAAAUACAUGCUCAGAUAAAUUGCCCUUACAAACGAGGGAUGCCCCUACUUUACUUGCAUUUCGUAAGAAAGAAGAAAUUAUAAAUNNNNNNNNNNNNNNNNNNNNNNNNNNNNNNNNNNNNNNNNNNNNNNNNNNNNNNNNNNNNNNNNNNNNNNNNNNNNNNNNNNNNNNNNNNNNNNNNNNNNUCAUCACCACAAAAUAAUCUCCCAAUUAUUUCAAGCUACAUCACUCAAGCUCGAUUGGACUAAACGUAUGGCCACAUUCUACACUAUCCUAAAUUCCUAAUUUUAUUAACCCAACAAAUUUCUCUCUAAAGGCCUUGUUUGUUAAACGAUCAAAGUUUGAAGUUUUAUUAAUUUUAAUUUUUUUAAAUUUAUUUGUUUACUUUUUAACUUAUUUAUAAUUUUUAGACAUUGAUAUUUGAAUUGAAAAAGUGAACUUUUGUUAUUUUUAUUUGAAUGGAAAAUAAAUACUAUAUCUAAAAAAUGUCUCUAUUAAAUAUGUUUAUGUCCUCAAAUAUAAACAUAAUCCCUUCAUUCAUUUUGAUCUUAAAGAAAUAAAUAUCAAAUAACUAAGUUUAAUUUUUUUUUUUAAGAAGAAAACAAGAUGCCACAUAUAAUAUGAUAUUAAAAAGAAAAGACUUCAACCAAUUAAGACUUAAUUAGAUAUCAGAUAGAAAUACAAACGGUACUUAAGUGUGAAAGCCAAUAUUUGUUUUGUUUUUUCAGUGGAAAUAUCAAGUUUAAUUUUCUCUAUUGAGAUCAUAUAUACUGGUGAAAUUUCACCAAGCCACUUCACAAUUCCAAAGAGCUCGCUGUACAUUUUCACUAAGCCCUUUAUGCAUAAUUAUAUUGAGUCGGCUACCAAAUUCAUUUCUUUGUUGGUGGCCCUACUUGCAAAUUAUCAGUGUUUAUCUGUCCAACAGUGAGUGGUACACACACAUGAGCCAUUUAAUAUGCUCCUAUAACAACAGUUUCUAGUCGAAAUGUGAGGGAUUCACAAUUUUUGUUAUAAAGCCAAUAGGAAAAACUUCACUAUAUCUGCAUAUUUAUAUAUGACAUAAUUCUAUUUCUUGCCAUUAGAUAAUUUUAAUGCCGAAAUUAUUCAAAUUUAAAUUUUCGAUAAGUUUAUAUUCUUUCGGUCAUUUCAGGUUUGGACAAUUACUAAAAAAGGGGGUUUAAAUGAUUAGUUUAAUAAAUUUAUAAUUAUUUGUUUUUCUAACUAAACAAUAGGGAGCUAAUCGUAAAUUGCCCAUGAAAUGAAAAUGUCAUCUACUUAUUUCUUCACAAGCAAAUAAUGAUAUACCCAUCUGUAAAUACAACCCACUAAAAUCUUGAUUUCUAUUAUUUGAUAAAUAAAUCCUAUUUAACGCCAAAUAUACCUCUAUGUUGUUAACAUAUGCAGUAUUCUAUUUUUAUUCUAUUAAUACUUAUCUAUUUAGAAUAUGAAUAAAAAAGCCUCUUCUGAUUUUGAUUAUUUAUCUUUCAAACUGUAAGUACAAAAUAUUUUAAAAAUAAAACUAUUAUUAUCUUAUUGUUCAUAAUAAUAAUAAUCUUAUAUAACAGAAUUUCUUUUUNNNNNNNNNNNNNNNNNNNNNNNNNNNNNNNNNNNNNNNNNNNNNNNNNNNNNNNNNNNNNNNNNNNNNNNNNNNNNNNNNNNNNNNNNNNNNNNNNNNNNNNNNNNNNNNNNNNNNNNNNNNNNNNUAUAAUAUUUUAUAUUAAAAGAUUAUGAUAUUUUAUGUAUCAAGAAUUAGAUAACUUUAUCUAGCUUAAGAAUAGUUAGGGAAAAAACUCUUUUCAUCCUUAGGAUUUCAUUAAUAGCAUAUUUCAUCCAUACUUUUUAAAUAAUAGCUCAAAACAUCCUUACUCCAACUCACCGUUAGUUUAAUGUUGUUAACUAAUAAUUCAUUGAGGGCAAAAUAUGAUUUUUUUAUUAAAGUGAUACAAACUAUGUUAAAAUAAAUUUUUUACACAAUUAAAUAACACUACAAAACAUUAAAAUUUAUAUUUUGAAGCGAAUAUGAAAAUUUAUAAGUAGAAAGAUGUACAUUAAAUAAGGAGGAAUACCAAAAACUUUAUCUCUCUAAAUAAGUGCUAUAAAUAAAAUAAUUAUAAAAAAGAGUAGAAAACAAAAGACAACUCAAAUGUGAAACACUAUUUUUCAAUUAUAGAAUCUGACGUUGCAACCUAUAAUAACAUCUAAUUAUAUAAGGAUUAAAAAAUCAAUAAGAAUUUCAAAUUAAAAUAGAUCAAUACAUGUAAUUACAACCAAUUAAAAAUUGCAAGUAAAACUUUUAUAUUUGAAGUGAAGUAUUAAAUUACGAGACUUAAUAAAUUAAACAAUUAAAAUUUAUUCACCCUUUCAAAUUGUAAAAGUAUUAUUAGUCAAAAGUUUCAAUAAUAAACUAAACUCAAUUAAGCAAAAAAGUAUUUGGGUGUAAUUGUUUUUUUUUUUUUUUGUUAGGCGCUCUAGCUCUCUGUAAAGAACUAGAUGUUGAUAAUUCUUCUAUCAAAAGCUCUUUAAAAUACUCAAAUUUACUUUCUAAAUCGUCCUAUUAGUUAAUAUAACUAAUAAAUAAAAUUUAAAAAUUGACAUUAAAAGUUUAUGAAAAUAUUGAUAGUUGUUACUAUAUGAUGUUUCUAUUCAAUUUCAAUACUAGUGACGAUGUUAUAUUACAUUGACAUAUUUUUUAACUAGAAUUUAAAAAGAAAUUAAAGCAGUAAUAAAAUUUUAGCUCUCUAGUGUUUUCAAUCUAUUCAAUAAAAUAUAUAAUUCAAUUGAAAAUAAUAUAAUGGAAUUAGGGUCAUAUUUGUAAAUAAAAUAAAAACUCUAUUGUUAUAUAAAAUUGAUGAAAACAUAAGGGUAAUUGAGUUAGGGACAUAUUUGAAUAUAAAAUAAAAACUCUACUUUUAUACUAAAUUGAUGGAAACAUAAGGGUAGCUGAAUUAGGGACAUAUAUGAAAAUAAAAUAAAAAUUCUAUUAUUUUUACUAAAUUGAUAAAAAAAAGUAAGGGGUAUAACUGAUUUUUCUAGACUAGACUGGGCUACAGCUCGGUCUAGCCAACGUGUAGGUUUGCCAUUGGAAUAAUCAUCUUAAGCAACAAACUGUAAUUAACACAAUAUAUUUAAAUCAUUGGAAAAAAAAUCAAAAAUACAGCCAACUUUUAUUUGCUUGCAUGUGCUGAACAUCUUCUUAAUCUUCAAUUAAUUUUUAUUUUAAACUUUACCACCACUUUUCCUUGACCAUUAUUAUCUCUCGUAAUCCUUACCAUUGUCUCCCCAAGUCAGCUCACAAUGCAAUUAGAGAGUAUACUUGUAUGAAUAUGAAAAUUAUAAUUAUUUGUUGUACUUAGAUAUAGGGUUUAAAGGGUUUUCAUGUUGCCAAAAUAGAGAGAAGUGUAAAACAAUUGCUUGAAAUAGUAUUUCUUGUUUAGCGGGAUUAGAUAAAAAUUAGUUUCGGUUAUAUGUCAACCGUUUUUAUUUUUUAUUUUAAUUUCUCUUUAAUAGAAAAUCUUUUUUUGCCCUCAACGAAUUAUUAACAAACGACAUUUACUAACGAUGAGUUAACGAGAAUGAUGUUUUAGGCCAUUGUUUAAAAAGAAUGGAAGAAAUGAGCUAUUGCAUGAAACCCUAAGGAUGAGAAGGACUUUUUUUCUCAAUAAUUAUUCAAUCAUCAAAUUUAAGGAUAAAAUUGUAACUUCAAAAAAAAUCAACUAAAUGUGGUGCCAUUACACAAAGAGCAGCGACCAUGCAAGGAAAUAGUGAAACAGAAUGGCUGAGACAAGUGACGACAAUCCGCUGAAAAAAUUAUAAUAAAACAAGAAAGCGACUGAAUAGUUUUCAAAAGUCAAGUAUAUAUCAAGUAGAGUUUGCCAAGUCUUUAAGUUCGUUUAUAAAUUUAGCACCAAGCCAAAUAGCCAACCAACCACUCACUUUUGCAGAUCAAUUAGAGAGAGAAAAAAAAAUUAUGAUUAUGCUGCAUUCAUGUUUAUGCUUCUCUCCUAAGUAUCAUCCUUUACAACUGUCUGGUAUGUCUCUCGUUUCCCCACGAAUCUUCCUUCUAAUAAGUUUAUGAAAAAUGGUAUUUAUAGUCGGUGUCUCUUCACCUCUACUAAUAAAUGCUCUAAUUUUUGAGUUUUUUAAAGUGGAGGUUGAACGUUUUUUUUAAAUGUUAAAAUAUCUAAACUAUCCUUAACUUAUUUGACAAUCUUAUUUUAUUUUUUUCAUAACAUAACUUUAAAAAAUUUAUCUAUUAAAGUAAUUUUAUAAUUUUUAAUAAAAACUUUCAUUGACAAUCAAACAACUAAAAUUUUUUUAGUAAAAACUCUACAUGUAAAAGCUUUACUAAUAAAAACUCUAUUCAAAUAAGGUUUAUUUAAAAAUUUAUAUCAAACGGAGCCCUAAACUUUCAAAACAGUGAUAGAAGUAAUAGUAAAUAUUAACACACUCAAUUAUUAUUCUUUUAAUUAAUGAUAACCCCAUAUAAUUUUAAAGUUGAUUUUGUUGCCAUUCUGAAAAAUUCUUGAGGAUAAAUAUGAGUAUUGUAAGUUUUUAUAUAUUGUAAACUUAUAAUUAAUUACUUUAUCACAUAAAUAAUAAUACUAGCACAAAUAGUUGUACAUAUUUUCUAUUUUAAGAAACUAAAUAUCUCUAGGUCAGUAAUGUUAUACUUAUUUUGUUGGGAUACUUAGUUUGUAUCCCAAUUAAUGUGUCAUCAAUAAAAUUUCAUCAUUUGGAUGAUAAAUAAUAAAAUUUAAUAAUUUUGAGCUCAUGCCAUGUAAGCUAUCAACUCAAUUUGUACAAUUGCUUUCAAUAUAAAUCAUUAAUAUGUUUUAUAUAUUAAGUUUUAUUUAAGUGAAGAAUUUUGGCAUAAACCUUGAGCUAUUAAUAUCAAGAGAGAUUGUUAAUUUUCUCCCUAAUGAAAUCAAUAUACAUCAUUUACUCCCUUAUUAUUUUCAUAAUUAAUACCCAAUAAGCCCCAACACCAUAAUUUUCUAGCAUUAACCUUGUUUUUAAAAUGCAUUUUUUAUAUUUAUUAUCAAUUAAAUAAAUCAUAUAAAUUGAAAAUAAAAAAAUUAAAUUUUAAAAGGAAGAAACAUGGGUUUUGUGUAAAUAAAAAAUGAAUGAUAACAUUUUUUUUUUUAUACUUUUUGUUGCUUUUAAACAUUUUUUUCUUAUAAAUUUAUAUUUUAUAGCCGAAGAUCAAACAUCAAGCAAAUUCCUUUAAAUUUUUUUGUGCCAGAAGGGGUUAUUGGGUAUUAUUAAAACAAUAAGGAAGAAAGUAAUAUAUAUUGAUUUCACCAGAGGGAAACUAGCAAUCUCUUUAAUUUUGAUCUGUAAGUGUAUAUAUAUAUAUAUAUAUAUAUAUAUAUAUAUAUAUAUAUAUAUAUUAUCAUUAUCUAAUAAGGGAUUUAUUUAAAUUAUUAAAUAAGGGAUAAACUAAAAAAAAAAAAACACAUCCUUCAGUAUAAUAUAUUUUAUUAUGUAGUAUAAUACAGUGUGUGUUUUUCCUAUAUUUCAAGGGAUUUCUUACUUUAUUAAAGUUGCAAGACUACAUGUUAUAUAUAUAUAUUUUUUAUCUGAUAAAUUUUGGAGUAUUGCUAGAGAGAGAUAAGUAUGAGAGAAAGACGAGAGAAUUUUGCUCUCUCUCUCUCUCUACCCCUUUCUUCAUUAUUUCUCUCGUCUUUCUAUUGUCCUUCUCUACACCAAGCAUUUUCCUAAACUUUAUAUGUAUUCUUAUGGUCAUUUUAGGUUGCGUGAAAAAGCAUGUAUCGCCAAUAACACGGAUACAUGAGGGCGCUGUGAACAGAGGUAGCGAAAGCACGAAGUACUCCAUCAGAUGCCGAAGUUCAUUAUUUCACUUGACCAAUUGCAGGAAUAGAAACGGCGAGGGUAUUACAAGCGACAAACAGUGUAAACCAUUCAACAGGCACCGUGCUCCCGUCACGUUACAAGAUGAAGCUGCAUCAAGAUUCGACGAAGAUAAUAAUAAUUCCAUCAGCUUUCGCGAUGCUUUCCUCAAGAAUAUCAACGCAAUUUUUCAAUUCACUCGUCCCUUCUUUCUUCUUGGCACUGUGAGUUGCUAAUUGUUAAUUAAUUUAUAUAUAAUUAAAAAACAGGUAUAUAAAUAUUCUCAGGUGCCAAUAUCUUUUUUUUUUUUUAUAUAUAUGAAUUCAUUGUACACACCAUAUGAUAAAUUAGUCAAUGAAACAAAAAAUAAUAAAAACAUUAAUACAUCAUAUGAUGUAUAUAAUGAAUUUAUAUUUUAAAUAUAUAAAUAUUCACACUGAAGAAAUAAUACACACACAUAUAUAAAAUGAAAUAAAUUUCUAUUUACAGUUAACGUAAUAUGAUUUUUAUGUUUUUUAUCGAUUAUGUUUUAUGCAGACGAUUGAUAUGACCUCGGUAUCUCUUCUUGCACCGCAACAGUUUGCCGAUUUGACUCCGACAUUUUUUAUUGGAUUAUUGAAGGUAAAUUAUAAAUUAAUUAAUGAUAUAAUAAUAAAAAUUGCUUGUAAUGUACUGUUUAGUAAUUAUUUAAAUAAUUCUUCAUUAUAUUUCAGGCCAUAGUGCCCGGAUUACUGGUGAACAUUUAUGAGGUGGGAGUAAACCAGUUGUAUGAUGUUGAAAUAGACAAGGUAUAAAUUUCAUCAGAGACAACUAAUUUUAUGAAUAAUUAGUUCCAAUCAUAAAUAUAUACAAUCUGUGCAUUACUAAAUUAGGUAAUAAUUUCAUUAAUAUAAUUUCAUUCUUAGUUAUAUUGCUUACUUAAUUUUUCUGGUAAAUUAGUUUAACAUUGUUUAAUUCAUUGUUAAUAAAGAUUAACAAGCCUGAUCUCCCCCUUGCUUCCGGUGAUUUGUCCAUUGGAGCUGGAAUCACAAUUACUUGCACAUGUUUAUUGAUGGUAAGCAAAUGCUAACAACUACUGCUUAAGAAUUUCUGUUUAAUUUUUAGUAUUGAUUAAUUUGUUAAUUAUUAGGAAAAAUAACUCUCUAAUCUCGCUACUAUCGAAUUUACAUUUAGUAAGUGAAGCUAUAUUCCAUCUAAAUUUAUGUAAUUUUUAAUUCAUUGAUUUCAAUUUUCAGAGUCUGGCUAUAGGAAUUAUGCUUCAAUCUCCACCCCUUAUUUCUACCAUCAUUAUGUGGUUUGUACUUUCAAGUGCGUAUUCCGUCGAUGUAAGUGUGGCCCUGAGUGAGAUUCACUACUAUUUUUAUCAACUUUAAAAUUUUAAUUUGUACGUUGCACAAGUUUUUCAAAAUUAUUUUAUGUUGGAAUAAGUUUCAAGUUUAAGUUUUCAACUCACAUGUUCUUUUUUUUUUUUUAAAGUAAUCAAUAUGUUAAACUUAAUUAAUUCACAACAUUGGUCAUUUGAUCACAAUAUAUUCAUGAUCUAAUUGGUUAUUUAUCAAUCUUGUAGCUUCCCUUUCUUAGAUGGAAGAGAAAUCCAUUUCUAGCAACAAUGUAUGGGGUGCUUGAGAGGGGACUUGCAAUGCCUCUUGGUUACUUCAUGCACAUCCAGGCACGUACAAAUUGUGCCUAGCUCCGUGUCAUCAUUUGGUCACUCAUUAAUUAACUUUUUAUUUUCUUUUGUAUUUUCCACUGAAGUGGGUUUGAAAUAUACCCUGCAUGCAUACAGAAGUACGUGCUUGGAAGACCUAUAGAGUUUUCAAGAACAUUGAUGUUUGUAGUGGCUGUCAAGUGCUGGUUUUGCGUUUUGCUUGUACUUCUUAAGGUAAAUAAACUGAGAAACCUUAAAAAUGAGCAGAGCAUAUAUAUAAUGGAUUAUGGAUGGAUACUAAUGUAUUUUCUUUGGACUUUAAAUAGGAUAUGCCUGAUGUGGAUGGUGAUAAAGAACAUGGCAUUCAAACGCUCAGUAUCGCUCUAGGAAAAGAGAAAGUGUGUAAAUUAAUUCGAAUAAAUUCUAUAACCAUCAUUUUUAACUUCAAUUUUUGUCCUAGAUUUUCCUUUCUAACUGUUAUUCUUCUUAACAGGUACUUUGGCUAGGUGUUUAUAUGUUAUUAGUUGUCUACGGAGCUCUUGUAAUAGCAGGAGCUUCGUCACCCUUCCUGGAAAGCAAGCUUAUCACUGUAAGAAUGUGGGGGGGGGGGGGGGGGGGUUGUUGAUUUGUUACGGAAUUCUAGAUUUUAUUAAAAUUUGAGAAAACUAUUAAAUUAUAUGGUCUAAUAGUAUAAUGCCAUUACACUACUAAAUCAUAUGACUUAAUAGUUUUUUCAGACUUUAACAAAGCCCACAACUAUGCAUUGUAUUAUUUCAUAAGAAAUUUAGCCUUUUAUGUAUGUAUGUGAUCACAAUUACUUACUAAUUAAGAAUUAAAUUGUUUUUUUCUCGCAGAUUAUUGGCCACAGCACACUUGCAUUUCUUUUGUUGCAACGAGCUCGAAAUGUUGAUGUCUCCAGUCAAGCAGCAAUACUUUCUUUUUACAGGUUCAUUUGGAAGGUAGGUGGUUCUACUUUGAUGUGUAAUUUCAAUAUUAUUUUCAUUCAAAUCCAAGAAAGUUUUAGAAUUUUAUUUAAUUGUAGACUGACUUAUAUAGUUAUAUGUUUUUGCACGCAUUUGCAGUUACUCUUUGCUGAACACAUCCUCCUUCCAUGCGUACGACUAUGAGAUAACUUUGUUGCCAGCUUACAGCAACUAUUGUGUUGUGUUGUUGUGUUAAAACGAUAAUAAGGUUGUUGCGAUUGAUGUCAAUAAGUUGUUAGAUAAGACUUAAAAAUCUAUAUAUUCAUGCACCAAUGUUCCAGAGAUCUACUACCAUAGACAAGAUUAAUGUCAUUUAUAUAUGGCAAAAUUUACGUACUUGUGAAAGUUCAUGCACUCGAGUACAACUGGUAGCUUUUUCUUUAUUUUCUGAUGGCUAAAAGUUUAAAUCCUUGUAUCAACGAGAUUUUUGCAGUUCACUCUUUUUGACGUCGAUGUCUGGUUUCUACUUUUCAUCCUUUGGAAACAAGCCAUAGCCCUUGCAACUGCACUUAUUAUUACAUACGUGGGGAUGACGAGUUCACUGUUAGUGUUUUUGAGCCUUUUCUUUAUUCUUAUAAAUUUUAUUGACGGUCUAUAAUAUGGUGUGUUUGUCAAAAGAUAGAAAGUUUUCUGUAUGUUAAAAAUGUCACACGUCCUUCGGCAGUAAAUUUUGAACAUUAAUAUUAGAUUAGGGAUAUAUAAUAGGCGAUUAAAAAUAUUAGAGUUCUAAAUAGUAAAAAAUAUUAAUAUUACAUCACGGAUGUAAUGAAUCAUUUCAAAAAAAAUACUAACAGAGUCUAAAAAAAAUCAACUACUGGCACUCACUAAUCAAUUAAUGUCACAUUGUUUAGAAUAAUUUUUUAAGACAAAAAAUUUAAGAUGAGUAGCACUAUCUUCAAAGAGAAAUGAUAAAAAUCCCAUUUUUUUAAUCUCAAAUUUAUCUCAAUUUAUGUGUUAUUCAUUAAAUGAUUGAUAAUUGUUUUUAUAAAAUUUAAAUAAAUUAAUUACAUCAUCUUACCAAUCAAUUACUAAAUACCACAUUAAUCAAUUAAUAAAUACCACAUUAUUUGAAAUAGUUAACCAAUUACUAAAUACCACAUUAACCAAUUAAUAAAUACCACAUUAUUUGAAAUAGUUAACCAAUUAAUAAAUACCACAUUAACCAAUUAAUAAAUAUCACAUUAUUUGAAAUAGUUUUUUUGGAUGAAACAUCUGGAAUGUUUAAUAGCGCUGCAAAAGCAUCAAAUCUUCUCCACGUUCUUGGUUAUAGCACCCCAAUUCCAAGAUACUGUCUGAAAUCCAUUUUAAUUUUCCACUUACUUUUUCUUUAGGAAUUUAUUCUGAGCACUAAUGUACUGGAUCGAACAUCGAAGGCUCAUCAGAGACUAGCUAGGAUUUCAUUUUAUUUCUUAUGGUAAUUUUGCGUAGUAGAUGAAACUGAAUCACAAAAAGUAGAAAAUGAAACGUUCACUGUUCACACAAGAAAUUCCCUUGCUUAUUUUUUAAUACCAUAAGCCAGCCUAUCAAACAGAAUCGGACUACAUCAGCUUUCGCAUUCAGUGUUCUGUUACGUGUCGAAUUUAACUAACCGGCAGCAGGAAUGGUUUAAGCCUACGUGAUAGCAGUCAACAAGCAAAUGCAGGUGUCAAUGAUGACGCUUUCUGGAGAUCAAAGAAAUGAACAUUACUAGACCAAAGUGAAAUGUAUAUAUUAACCCAUCAAAUGAUUAGAAAAUAGAAAUCUGUACAGGUUGAUCGGGGUUAGCGCCAUUACGAAAUGAGAUGGCUGGAAAAACAGCAUGUAGUGUUUCUUAUGUACAGAAUCAAUACAAGAAAACGAUAAUUUGGCGAAAGUAAAUCUAGGCAUUUCAGUUGCCAAUGUCGAAGUAUCUUGGAUCUUCUGGGAAAUGGUAUUCUACAUUCAACUGCCAUCAGACGAGAAAACCUCUAUUAGCCCUAAAGUACUAGGACACCAAAUAAAAAAAUUCUUUGGUCUACAUUAUCAUGAUAAAGAGUCUUAUAAAGACUGAUCAACUUAUGCAUAUGCAGGCAGCAUCAACUGGGUAAGGCUCACUAGAAAUCUAGAAUCUAUAAAGAAUAUUUUUUCUUGAGGGUUAAGGAGUGCAAAUACGAGGCAUUACCAGAUCAUUCAGCCAACAAAUAAUUACUUCGGUAUUCUCAUUUUCUAUCAGAAUCCAGAGUACUCUAUCUAAGAUUUCAUAUGACCAAACAACCCAUCAGCUUAAACACCAUACAAAUGUGCAAAAUCGACAUAAGAGAACUUAAGAAGAGUGCAUACUAGAGCCAAAAAACAGAUGAAAUCAAGAUCACAUACCGUGCCCUCAUCAGCAUCUGAAUGGCGUUGAGGAAACACAACCUCAAGUCAUUGUAUAGAUAGAACCUUCGCUCACCUUCCUUGUCUAGACUUGCAUUUUGUGGCACAGAGAAAGGAUCAGAUUUACAUCUCUGAACCAAAUGCGACUUUUUCUUGGGAGAGGGGCAUAAAAAACGAAGAUGAAGAGCUUAACGCAGAGCACCAGCUCCAGAAUUAUUCUCGUUAACUUUAGAACAACUCUUAGCUAGCCUCUUGCAAGUUUCAUGACAUGUAUCCAUGCAGUUGGUAUCCUUACGAUCAGUCUUUGGCCACAGCCAAUCACCAUUAUUGUACCCAUUCUCAAGCAUACAGGAACGAAUACUUGCCACAUCCUAGGAUUGAGUGGAUGACUUCCUUCUAUCUACUGAAUCCACUAGAUCAGAACAUUCAAUUUCUUUAACUUCAGUAUUCUGGUCAAUAGAAUGCCUAGCAUGCGCCAUGUCAACUCCAUCUGAAUUUAAGAAUCUGCUAAACUUAACAGGGUGGCUUUGCUGUUGGACUGCAGUUACCUUUUCUCUGACUUUAGUUCCCAAACUUAUCUGUCCUUGUUUCAACUCUGUAGAUGUCGGGCCAGAAGAGGCUAGAGUAACCUUCUGUCGCAAGAAUGUCUAAUUUGAUUUGAACGGCAGCGAAAAAAAAACGAAAGAAAGAAAAACGCACAUACAAUUAGAUACAAUGAGAUUAAAAGUCCACUGUCCACACGAUAUGAACACAUAUAACUUGCAUACAAUGAAAAGACACUAAAGAGAGAAAUAGUAGCACCAAAAAAGAAAUAAUAAGCAUGAAACAAAAACAAAAAUCAGUGAGGGAGAUAUGCUUUAAGAUGUGACUAUUUUCUGAGUGAUUACAAUGAUAACAUUCUUGAAUGUUCACAAUCAAAAUGAAUACUAUCACAACAGACAUAAUAGGAACAAAUUCAAUAAAUUUAAGCUUCCUGAAAUGACCAAACCUCUGACAUUAAAAAAGUGUUUGCUUCCAGGAGAAAUCAACUUUAUGUAAUAUUCCAAUUCAACUAUGAUAAACAAUUUAAUUCAUCAACUUUCGAAUGACAUCCAGAAGCAGAAGAAGUGUCAUCGACAUUGCAAUCUAAGACAAGGUUAGUGCCCUCUACUAAUUGCUUAUUUCACAUCAACAGUUUGGUAAAAGAAAAUUUUCCUUUUCAAUAGAGCCAGAGCACUUGUUCAAUCAGAGACCAAACUAUAAUUUAAUGAAGACAAAAAGCAGGUUCUAUUGAAUCUUACUCUAGUACCAGCUGGCAUGUCACUCAAAUCGUAGUUGCACAGGUAUGUGUGAACAGGUGUUUUUUCUGGGUUGCUGAGAACCUACACAAAUCAAAUCAUUUUAAAAGUAAAUAAAUAUGUUAUAUUCUUUAAAAGAAACUAUUAAAUACCUAUAAGCAUGUAGAUUCCAGAAACCUUAAAACCAACAUCUAUAAAUAGAAAUCCCUUCCAAGGGAUCAGGCAUGUUACUUUCCAAGCAUGAAUGUAUGAGAGAAAACUAUAGGAUUAGAAUUGUUCCCAUAUGAAUGACUUCUCAGUAGAUGAUAUAACAUAGCAACAACGAGAGAUCCUUCUCAGGUACAUACACGGUAUGCUAGUUUGAUAUAUAAAUUAAGGUCCUGUUUGGGAUGCUGUGGAAAAAAAACUGUAACUAUAAAACAAAAGUUAAUAAUAUGUCGUAAAUAUAAAAUUUAAAUAGUAAUUUUAACAAAAUUAUUAAAGAUAUAAACACUUGGGUUAAAAGAUUGGGGGAUAAUCUCUUGUUGUAAAGGUUCAUUGAUACCUUGGAAGUCAAUUGUAAACAUUUGAAGCCUUGGGAGGCUUGGAUAGUGAAAUCCUCACGCUUGGUUUGCUUGGAGGCGUGGAUGUAAGUAGGGAUUGCCGAACCACAUAAAACUCUUUGUGUUUACUCUCUCUUCCCUUACUCUUUUAUUUUUUAGUAUUGUUAAAUUUAUUGUUUUUUAUUUUAGCAUUGUUAAAUUUAUUGUUUUUUAUUUCAUUAAAGCAUUAGAUUAAAUUGUUGUUCGAUUUGUUUAGCUUAUGUUUUAAGAACCCAAUUCAACCCCCUCUUCGGUUGCAUAACUAGCAUUUCAAAAUCAGCUCGGAAUUCCUCUCCUUGAAUAUUCAACUUCAAUUGCCGGCAAAUAGCAUCACUAAUUAUUUUGGUUCCAUCUGCCACUAAUACAGUCAUUGGACUAACACGUUGAAGUUCACAGCCUGUUCUUUUUGCAACCGUAGGGUCAAGCAAGUUGUGAGUACUUCCAAAAUCAUUGAGUAUGGUGAUAGCUUUCUUUUUGCUGCCGCAAAUUCUUAUAGUUUGGUGAGUGUUAGACCCACAUACGGCAAGAAGGGAAACUUGAGAUUCUUCUUUUCCUUCCACUUUGUCAACUUCAUUUGGCUCUUCACCCUUGCUAUCUUCGCCUUGUAAUAGAUAAAUAUGUUUCCGUUUGCAAACAUGACUAGGCUUAUACUUCUCAUCACAAUAAUAACAAAGCUUUUUUUUCUCUCCUCUCUUGCAUCUCUACUGCAGAAAUCCGUUUCACAGGUGGUAAUCGGCUACUGUCUGACUUUUUUGGCACAAAAGAAUUCAUUGUACUCACCCCACCUUUGUUAACCCCUUUGGCCUCCUUAAGAAUUGCUUCCAUAGCUCGUUCUUGUAGCAAGGCUAAAUCAAUGGCUUGGGUCAGAGUGUUCGGUUGAAACAUGGUGACUUGGUUCUUAAUGGCAUCCUUCAAGCCACUAAUGAAACAUUGAACAAAGAAAUCCUCUGGCAGCCCCUUUGUUCUAGCCAUCAAUGCCCAAAUUGUUCUUGAUAGGCUUUUACUACAUUAGUUUGCUUCAGCUUGGUUAAUUGCCCAACUGGACUAUCAUAAGCACUAGGACCAAAACGAGCAACGCAUUCUGUAGAAAAACUCUCCCAGUUGAUAAAAUUGCAUGGCCAGCUUCAUACCCCUAAAACUAUUCGAGGGCAUGUCCCUCUAAAUUGAUCGAUGCCAUCUCUACUUUCUCUUCUUCAACAAUUCCAUUGAUGUUAAAAAAACUAUCACACUUGUAAAUCCACCCACUAGGAUUUUCACCCUCGAAUUUGGGAAAAUUCAAUUUGGAAAAUCAAGUUUGAACGGAAUUCUUACCAGUAUGAUUGUUAUUCGAACCCCUAUUGGUUGAAGUACUUUCCCCCGUUGUUGGAAUCCCAUGUCUUUGUUGUUGUGGAUUGAUCAAAUUUCAGGCUUAUAGCAGCCAUCAUCUUAGAUAAAUCCGAUAAAAGAAGGCCGUGUUUUUCUGAGGUCUCCUGCAACUGCUUCAAAGACUCAUCCACACGCUUUUGCUCUUGUGCUCUCAUUCCAUCAGCCAAAUUGGUGCCAAAAUCGAGCUCUGAUACCAAAUCUUAUGAUCAAAGAGGUAGAGCAAAAAAAAAAAAAAAACUCUUGAAGUUUUAUUAAGUUUUUUUUUCUAAUAAAAAAAAUUAACCCCCCAAUCGAGUUCUUCUUAUACAGAGAAAACAAGAAAAUAAGCUAAUAAAGAAAACAACUAAAUAAGGAAACAGCUAGCUAGAAUCAAGGCAAAUCAAUCUUAAAAGGAAACUGUCGUAACAGGGCUUCAGUUAGACGAAGAGGAAUAGGAUUGAUGGGCUGCUGGAUUCAAACAACAGAUGGAGAGAAGGGCUUGUAAAAAUUACAGCAGAGGUGUGCAACUACUUUACUAAUAUAUUUACCUCCUCAAAUCCUUCUCAUGAUUCAAUUGAUGAUGUUAUUAUUGAUUUGGAGCCUAAAGUAACAGAGGAUAUGAAUCAAAUGAUAGACAAAGCCUUUAUGGAGGAGGAAAUUCGUCUAACCCUUUUUCAGAUGCAUCCCUACAAAGCUCUUGGGCCUGAUGGACUAAAUGCUGGAUUUUUUUCAAAAAUAUUGGCAUAUUAUCGGCGAAUUAGUAACAAAUGUUUGUUUUCAUAUUGUGAAUGAUGGGGAGACAUCUCUUAUUUGAAUAAAACUUAAAUUACUCUGUUCCUUAAAAUUAAAAAGCCAAAAAAGGGUAUCCGAAUGCAGGCCUAUUGGUCUCUGUAAUAUUAUCUAUAAAAUUAUUACAAAAACAGUGGUUAAAAAGAUAAAGCUGGAAAUCAAAGCGUUUUUGCAUCAGGUAGACCUAUUAUAGACAAUAUAAUUGUAGUUAUGAAGGUUUAUAUAAAAUUAGAUUAAGAAAAAGGAGAAAAAUGGUAUGAUGGCUCUGAAGUUAGAUAUUAAUAAGCUUUAUGAUCGCCUGGAAUGGGAUUUUCUAGGUAAGGUGAUGCUAAAAUUUGAUUUUAUUUUGCGUUGUAUUAUAGCUUCUUCCUUCUCCGUGUUCGUUAAUGGAGUUCCAUCAGAUAAUAUAAUUCCUAAAAGAGGAUUAAGACAGGGCUGCCCACUCUCUAUUUAUUUUAUGUGCCAAAGCUUUUUCAUGUUUAUUACAAAAUAUUAUUAGUGCGAACGUAAUUCAUGGUGUUGAUUUUGGGCGACAUUGUCCUUCCAUUUUUUACUUUUGUUUGUAGAUAACGGCCUCGUUUUUUAGAAAGCCUCAGUGGAUGAGUGCCGACACCUUAAGAGAAUAUUUGAGAAGUUCUCGCUUCUGGCCAGGUGUUUAAUUAAAAGAAAAUCUUCAAUACUUCUCAGUCCAAAUGUACAGGCUGAUGUUUUUGCAAAAUUAAAGGCGGCCUUCCAGCUGGAGGUUGUAUCUCAUCAUGAGAAAUAUUUCAGUUUGCCUUCAAUGCUUGGCAGAUCUAAAUAUCAAAAUUUCAGUGAGCUGAAGGAAAAGUUUUGCAACAAGGUUAAUCGCUGGAAAUCAAUGUUGUUUUCUAGUGACGAUAAAAAGGUUUUGAUUAAAGUUGUUGCCUAGGCGAUUCUAACAUAUGCCAUGAGUCUUUUUUAGCUUCAUUUAAUCCUUUAUGACAAUAUUUAAAAAAUCAUUGCAAAAUUUUAGUGGGGAUCCAAUGUGACGGCAAGGAGUAUUCACUGGAUGGAUUGGAAAAAGAUGUGUGUGCCGAAAGAAGAUGGUGGGUCUAAGCUUUCAUGAUCUCGGAGCUUUUAAUCAAGCACUUCGUGGAAAGCAAUGUCGGAGGUUGCUUCAUUGCCCAGAAUAAUUAAUAGAUAUUUACCGAAAGGGGAGUUCAUGAGAAGUAAGUUGCGAUUGAACCCUUCGUAUGUAUGGAGAAGUUUACUUUGAGGAAAGAAGGUAUAGAGAAUUGUCUAGAUUGAGAGUAGGUGAUGGUAAAUCAAUCGUUGUCUACUCAGAUAGAUGGAUGCCAAGCCUCAUAUAUUCAAGCUAAUAUCACCAAAGGUUUUGCUUGAUUACAAUAUGGUUGCUAAACUUAUUGAUAGAAGGGGCUGUUGGAACGAACAACUAAUCUGAAAAAAGUUUCUCUUAGUUGAUGUCAAGUUAAUUCUAGAAAUUCCUCUUCCUCAUGCUUCGAGACAAGACAAAUUAGUCUGGCAUGAUGAUAAAAGAGGAAUUUAUUCAGUGAAGAGUGGUUAUCAAGUAUCUUUAAUGAUAAAACUUCCUGAGAGUCCUUCUUGUUCUAAUGGUGCUCAAUGUGGAUUUAAGUUCUUAUAGUUUUACUGCGUACCAAACAAAAUUAAAAUAUUUUUUAGAGGGCCAUCAACAACUUGUUUGUUGAAAAGUCAAAAGAGUUUGGUUGGAAAAGAAAAGUGAGCCACAUACAUUGCUUUUAUUUUUCAAAGUCGGCACCAAAUUGCAAGCUGUAUUUGGCAUUUGACAAUCCUGCACCAAAUGAAGAAAAAUGGAAAAGUUAGCAAAAUUUGUCAAAUUGACAGAGAUGGAUAUUGACAAAUUGCAGAUGGAUUAGGUGGAAUAGUGCAUGCUUGAAGCCUAUAAAUUGAAGCCAUUUCUUCAUUCUAUAAUCAUCCCAAAAUUGUUAAGCUUAUAAGUUUCUAAACUUUUGAGAGAAGUGAGAGAAGUGUGUCUGGGGAAUUUAUCUUUCCUGCAGAGUGUGAGAGUACUGGGUAUAUUUAGGUUUCUGGGAAGUGAGAUUCGUUACUCAAAUAUUGUACUCUAUUAAUUGUUAAAUAAACAAUUAUUCUUUCUUGCCUCCGUGAAUGUAGAUUUAAUUACCAAACCACGUAAUUCUUGUGUCCUUUAUUUUUCUAUAAUUAUUUGGUGCGCUUGAUUCCGCAUUCCGAGCACAACAAGUGGUAUCAGAGCCGAAGGUUCGUACUUGGGGGGAUACGGUACUGUUCACGUAUACAGUACUAUUCCCGUAUAUGAUACUGUUCACAUACUGUACUGUUCACGAAUACAGUGGAGACGGCCAUUUGUACUUGGGAGACAGUCUAUUGUAAGUAGUGUGUAUUUUUGCAUGUCUAGGAAAGUUCUGUCAACAAAGGCGAUAAGAGUCUAAGGAUUCUGGUUUUUAAUUGGGACCGAGUUCUCGUCCAGUUUCUUGGGAACUUUCCUAAUGCAUUUAUUCACACAAAAUUAACAUCAUAGAGACUGUUUUUCAAGUGGAAAUAGUUCGUUGAAAAAAUGGUAGAAGGUGAAACUUUCAGAAUUGGGGAGAGAUCUACCGAGACUAUUUCAGGAGACACUUCAGGUGGGAGGCGAGAUUUGUCAAAUCACUAUUCAGCACCUAUUAUAGGAGGCCAGAAGAUCGAUGUUGAAAAGUUUGAUGGGAAAAUCAACUUCGGCAUGUGGAAGCGCGAAGUUAUGGAUGCCUUUAUUCAAAUCGAUCUCGAUGUUGUUCUGAAAAAUAAAAGACACUUGUAUGAUGAAGAAAUUUAGGAUCGUAUGAAUGAAAAAGUUUGUGGUCAUAUCAGAUCUUGUUUGACCAAGGAGGUGAAAUACUUGGUGAAAGAUGAGGAGUGUGCGGUGACUUUGUGGCGUACAUUGGAGAAGAAGUACCUGGUGAAAAGUCUUGAAAAUCGCCUUCAUGUAAUAAAUAGUGUCGUAUACAUGUACAGUGCCGUAUAUGUGAACAGUUCCCGACUCCAAAAAUACAACCAAUAGCUCUGAUACUACUGUUAGGAAAUUGGUGGGUGGAGCAGACAAGCAGCUAAAAUAAAAUUGGAAGAAAAAUAAAGAACGAGCACAAUAGAGGACACCAGAAAUUACGUGGUUCGACUUUUAGCCUACAUCCACGGGCGAAGACAGAAGGAAAUAUUUUACUAGCGAAAAGGAGUUACAAGUAUUGUAGUAUUUUAGCUCACUUCCCAAAACCCCAAUACACCUAAACUCUCUAAAUCACUAUAACAAGAGCUUAUAAAUUCAAGCUCUCUAAAUUCUCUCUCAACUGCUAAAUUGCUCUCUGAAUGGAAUGUAUAAGCUCUUCAUUUGCACUUCUAUUUAUAGCAAAAUGAUGGCCAAGAAAGUCAAAACCUUGUUCCUCCUUUUCAAACCCAUGUUCCUCAUUUUCUUCUUCAAACAUUUCUUUUUCCAUUUUCCUCUUCAAGCAUUUCGGCCUUUUCAAUCUUCAAAGCCCUGUGCCACCAAUCUUGUUUAUUCAAAGCUUCUAGAUGCAGCCAAUUUUGACAUUCUCUCACUUGGAGAUUAAAUUGAAAAUCAAUCAAUCUCCACACCAUCAUUUCUGCUUCGCCAUAAUCAUGUUGCCUACGUUUCUGCUAGGCCACAAGAGGAUCUACUCCAGAUAAACUUAUCAGUAUUUAUCAGCUUGGUCAAAACAUCUGCUAGGUUCUCCUUCGUAUGGAUUUUCUGUAAAUUUGUUCGAGAAGUAGUGGANNNNNNNNNNNNNNNNNNNNNNNNNNNNNNNNNNNNNNNNNNNNNNNNNNNNNNNNNNNNNNNNNNNNNNNNNNNNNNNNNNNNNNNNNNNNNNNNNNNNCUGUAAAUCCACAUUUCCGUCUUCCACUACUUCUCGAACAAAGUGAUACUGAACUCCUAUGUGCUUUGUCCUGGAAUGAAAGGCUGGAUUUCUUGCAAUGUGCAAAGCACUCUGACUGUCACAAAACACAUAAAUUUUCUCUUGUUUAUGCCUGAGCUCCUCUAAUAACCUUUGUAUCCAAAUAGCUUCCUUGCAAGCUUGUGUAGCUGCCAUGUACUCUGCUUCUGUUGUAGAUAAAGCCACAACGGUCUACAGUUUCGAAACCCAGCUUACAACUGCUCCUGCAAGUGCAAACACAUAACCAGUAGUGGAUUUCCUUUUAUCAAGGUCUUCUGCAAAAUCUGAAUUCACAUAGCCCCUGACAGUAAACUCUGAUCCUCCAUAACAUAAUGCAACAUCUGAGGUUCUUUUGAUGUAUUCUAAAAUCCUCUUCACAUUUAUCCAAUGCUCUCCACCAGGAUUCGCCAUGUAUCGACUGAUUGCUCCCACUAGUUGUGCAAUGUCUGGUCUAGUACAUAUCAUAGCAAACAUCAAACUUCCCACUGCUGAUGCAUACGGUACUCGAGACAUCUCCCUCCUCUCCGCUUCAUUGCUAGGACAUAUACUUGAGGAUAAUUUGAAAUUAACAAUAACUGGGGUAGAAAUUCACUUACAAUCUUGCAUGUUGAAGCGUCGCAAAAUUUUCUUCAAGUAGUUCUUCUGCAAAAGCCAAAUCUUCCUGUUAUUUCUGUCUCGGUGAAUUUGCAUCCCUAGAAUCUUAUUUGCCAGUCCCAAGUCCUUUAUUUCAAACUCCCUAGCCAACUGUGCCUUCAAUUCUUGGGCUCGAUCUUUGUUGGGACCUGCUACCAACAUGUCAUCCACAUACAACAGCAAAAUGAUGAAAUCAUUAUCUUCAAACCUCUUGUAAUAUGAACAAUGGUCUGAACUGAGUCUGUUGUAUCCAAGACUCAUAAUGAAGGAAUCAAAUCUCUUAUACCAACACCUCGGGGCCUGUUUGAGACCGUAUAGAGAUUUAUUCAGCCUGUAAACCAAAUUCUCUUUUCCUAUUUCUGCAAAACCUUCUGGUUGGAGCAUAUAUAUUUCUUCUUCAAGUUCUCCAUAAAGAAUUAUAGUUUUCACAUCUAACUGCUCAAGAUGUAGGUCAAAUGUGGCACACAUUGCCAAGACUAUUCUGACUGUUGUGAGUCGAACCAUCGGCAAAAAUAUCUCGUUGAAGUCAAUACCUUCUUUUUUAGCAUAUCCUUUCACCACCAAUCUCGCAUGAUACUGCUCUACUUGGUCAUUGCCAUCACGUUUGAUCUUGUAGACCCAUUUGUUUCCAAUGGCUUUUCUUCUGUAUGGUAGUGGUACAAGUUCCCAUGUCUUGUUCUUGUGUAGAGCUUCAAUUUUUUCCUACAUUGCUGUCAUCCACAAAGCAACAUCUGAGCUGUUUAAAGCUUCAUGGAAAGUUGAAGGCUCUCCAUCAUCUGUUAGAAGACAGUAUGCAACGUUGAUCUCUGUGACAUACUUCGAGUGCCACGCCGGCAGUCAUCUCUCACGAGUUGACCGACGAACUUCUGGAGCCUCAGACUCGACUGGUUCUUAUUCCUCGUGCUCUAGUGUUGCUUCAGAAGAAUCUGAAUAUUCUAGAUUAUUUUCGACAUAUACCAGCACAGUCUCUGACUUUUCUUUUACAGUGUCAUCAUCUCCAAUUUUCAUUUGCAGUUGAUCUUUUACAAAGAUAACAUCUCUGCUGAUGACGAUCUUAUAGGCAGUGGGGUCCCACAGAUGAUACCCCUUUACUCCAUCAGCAUACCCCAAGAAGAUACAUCUUCUAGAUUUUGGAUCCAGCUUUGUUCUUUCUUGGGCAUUGUACAUCACGUACACAGGACAUCCAAAUGCAUGUAGGUAUGAAUAAUCAGCUGGCUUUCUAGUCUACAUCUCUAUCGCUGUCUUCAACCCAAUAGUUGUAGAUGGCGACCGAUUUACUAUAUAACAGGUAGUUUUAGCUGCUUCUGCCCAGAAUGAAUUGGGUAGACUAGCAGUCUUCAACAUAGCUCUUAUUCUUUCUGUAAGAGUUCUGUUCAUCCGCUCUGCCACUCCAUUUUGUUGAGGAGUAUAUGCCAAUGUGAACUGCCUCUGAAUACCUUCUUGCUUACAGAAAGUAAGAAACUCACAGUCUAUAUACUCUCCACUAUUAUCCGUUUUCAAGCACUUGAUCUUUUUACCAAAUUCAAUUUCUACCCGCGCUUUGUAUUCUUAAACACAGGAAAUACAUCUGACUUUUUCUUAAUUGGAUGCACCAACAUCUUCUGGAAUAAUCAUCAAUGAAAGUCACCAUGUACUUUGCACCUCCCAUGGAUAUAUCCGAUGAUUCCCAAAUAUCAGAAUGAAUCAAGUCUAGAAUGCAUUUACUUCUAGCAAUAGAUUUACUGAAUUUUAAUCUAUGCUGCUUACUUGUAACACAAUGCUCGCAAAAUGGUAAACUUACCGAUUUGAGCCCCGGAAGUAAUUUUCGCUCAGAGAGAAUCUUCAAACCAUGUUCUGACAUGUGGCCAAGUUUGAAAUGCCACAUCAUCGUUGAUACUUCUCCAUUUGACGCGACACACACAUUAGCCUCCUAUAGUGUUUCUCCUUUAAGCAUGAAUAAAUUAGCACCGAUCUUUUCUGCCUUCAUCAAUACAAACGCUCCUUUAACGAUCUUCAUAAUUUCAUUCUCUACAUGAGUUUUGCACCCAUGAUUGUCUAUUUGUCCCAAAGACAAUAAAUUUUUCUUUAGGCCGUUGACAUGUCGUACCUCCCCAAUUGUGCGAAUUGUACCAUCAAACAUUUUUAUUUUGAUAGUACCAAUACUAGCGAUCUCCAAGGCAUGAUCAUCUCCCAUAUAUACAGAUCCUCCUGAGAUAGGUUCAUAUGUGUGGAACCACUUUCUCCGAGAGGUCAUGUGCCAGGUAGCUUCUGAGUCUAUAAGCCAAACAUCAGACAAUCAUUUUCUGCCUUCUGAAAUAGUUCUUGCCUCGCUGUAGAGUAUUUUACCAUCAUCCGAGGUACUUGCUAUACAACCCUGAGCAUUUGAUGACUCAGGUUCUUUACACUCUUUUCUCUUCUGGUUACUCCAACACUCCUUUUUUACGUGCCCUUUCUUGCCACAGUUGUAGCAUUUAACAUUCUUCUUACUUUUGGAUUUUGAUCUACCAUGAUUUUGACUUCCACUGGAGCCACGUUCUGCUGAUCUCCCUCUCGUCACCGAUAGCGCCUCCGCUUGCUGCGAACUUGCUUGUUUGUUUUCCUUAUUUUCCGCCUGCUCUCCUCAUUUAAUACGGAGGCUGUAACAUCGUCGAAAACUAGACUCUCUACUGGAUUAUUGUUCGUCAGGUUGAUGAUGAGUUGAUCAUACGAAUCUGGUAGACUUUGAAGUAGAAGCUUUGCACGUUCAUUCUCCUCUAUAUUAUGACCCAACGUUGUGAGUUGUGAAAAUAGAGUCUUUAAGGUGUUGAUGUGGUCGGUCACCAUUGUAGAUUCUACCAUUUGAAGAGUAUAAAGUUUUCUCUUCAAGAAGAUUUUGUUGUGUAGUGACUUGGCCUCGUACAAUUUUGUGAGAGUAUCCCAUGUUUCCUUCGCUAUAUUUUUCUCUGCCACACUGGAUAAUACUCCAUCUGCAAGUGCUAAGUGUAGAUAAGAAAUGGUGUUACCAUCUAUCUCGUUCCACUUGUCAUCAGUUAUCUCCAUGGGCCUUUCUCCAAUUGCUGCCAAGCAAUUAUUUUUCCUCAAUAUAGCUUUCAUCUUCAUUUUCCACAACGAAAAAUUAUUUCUGUUAAACUUCUCAAUUUCAUACUUUGCUGCCAUUUUGUUGAUAAAUACCGCACACAAGUUAGUGUACCACCUUGAAUAGUUGUGAGUAUAUGUGAGAAUGCACACCAGGAAAGUUCUCAGGAAAGAUUGGAGGGGUCACAAUAGUCCAACUUAAAACCCAGACUCCUUAAGCUCUUAUCGCCUUUGUGACAGAACUUCCCUAGACAUGUACAAAACCACACAGUUGCUUUACUCACACCAUUAUUCCCUGUUUUGCACCGUAAACUUCUUGGAUCGCUUCCACCGUUUCACGUGAAUAGUACCGUAUACGUGAACAGUACUGUAUAUGUGAACAAAACCGUAUACGUGAACAGUACCAAAUAUAUGGUUUUCGAAUGAAGCCUGGGGUGUCAAUGCACGAUCAUGUUUCAAGAUUUGAAAACCUACUUGCUGAUUUGAAGAAUCUUGAUGAAAAUAUUAAGGAUAAAGUCAAGGCUAUGAUUCUGUUACACUCACUACCAGAGGAAUAUAGCCAUUUUAUGACUACUUUGAUAUAUGGGAAGAGUGUUAUUGUCUUUAAAGAUGUUUGCACAGCAUUGACUAGCUUAGAGAUUCGGAAUAAUGAUAAAAAUUCUGAACGAGCAUCGUCUGAAGCUUUGGUGAGCAGAGAUUGGGUGAUGGAGAAACAAAAGAAACGUGGUGGAAAGAAUUCUCGAUCCAAAUCGAGAAGUAGAAAUAUAGCUCGAGAUGAGUGUGCCUUUUGUCAUGAAAAGGGCCAUUGGAGGAAAGAUUGUCCAAAGGCUUAAAAGAGAGAUGGGAAGAAACCAGCAGCAGCAAACAUGGCACAAAAAGAUGAGGGCUCUGAUUAUUCACUAAGUAUUACUCAUGCAGCAUACAUGGCUAGUUCGAGCGAGUGGAUACUUGAUACUGGAGCAACCUAUCAUUUGUGUCCUAUUAAGGAAUGGUUUACGAAUUUUCGUAAUCUGAAAUUCGGUGUAGUUGUGAUGGGGAAUGAUCAACCUUGUCGCACAAUGGGGAUAGGAACAAUUCGGCUCAAAAUGUUUGACGGAAUGGUCAGAGAACUCAAAGAGGUUAGAUUUUUUCCAGCUUUAAAGAAAAAUCUAAUUUAUGUGGGUGCUUUGGAAGCUAAAGACUACAAGGUUACCAUUGAAGAUGGUAUAAUGAAGUUUACACAUGGGGCUAUGGUGAUUCUGCAAGGGGUUCGGCGUCACAAUCUGUACUAUUUGAAGGGAGGUACAACUGAUGAAGCAAAUGUUGUUGAGGCGCACAGUGACACCACCAAGCUAUGGCAUGUACGACUGGGACAUGCUGCAGAGAAGUCUUUGCAAACUCUGAUGAGGCAUGGACUCUUAAAAGGUACCAAAACCUGUAAAUUAAAUUUCUGUGAGCAUUGUGUAGUAGGCAAGAAAACAAGGGUCAAGUUUGGUACAGCUAAUCACGAUACUCGUGAGAUCCUUGAAUAUGUUCAUAGUGAUGUAUGGGGACUAACCAAGACUGCAUCAAUUGGUGGAAGCCAUUAUUUUGUUACAUUUGUUGAUGAUUUCUCUAGACGUGUGUGGGUGUACACCAUGCGAGCAAAGGAUGAGGUUCUAGAGAUUUUCGUGAAAUGGAAGAAAUUAACAGAGACUUAAAUUGGUAGAAAGAUCAAAGUAUUACGAUAUGAUAAUGAGGGUGAAUAUACUUCUGAUCCAUUCUUGCAAGUAUGCCAGAACGAGGGUAUUAAAAGACAUUUCACGGUGAGACAUACUCCGCAACAGAACGGUAUGGCUGAGCGUAUGAAUCUUACUUUACUGGAGAAGGUACGGUGUAUGUUAUCUAAUGCUGGUUUAGAUAAAAAAGUUUUGGGCUGAAGCUGUGAGCUACGCAAGUCACUUGGUAAACCGGUUACCUUCUGUUGCAAUUGAAGGUAAAACUCCUAUGGAAAUGUGGUCUGGAAAGUAUGCACAAGACUAUGAUUCCCUUCGUGUAUUCGGGUGUUCAGCUUAUUAUCAUGUCAAAGAUGGUAAACUGGAUCAUCGUGCUAGAAAAUCUAUCUUUGUGGGAUUCAAAGGUGGAGUAAAAGGCUUCAAGCUUUGAGAUCUCGAAGAUAAAAAGUUUGUGUGUAGCAGAGAUGUCACAUUUGAUGAAGUUUCAAUGAUGAAAGCUUCAAGUUCUCAGCAGGUGGAGAACAAGACCAAAGAGGUAUUACAGUGGGUGGAGUUUAAUGCAACUCCAUAUGUACCAGUUAGUUCUACAUCCAAAAAGAGUUCAACUAUGGAGGUGACACCUAGAGUUGAAGAAGAGGUUGUUUUUUCUGAUGUCCCACAAAAUGAAGAAACAAUUGAUGAUGAAGAUAAUGAUGAUUUUAUAGCAACAAGGAGGCCAAGAAGAGAGAUAAAGAAACCCGGAUGGCUUACUAAAGAUAUGGUGGUAGCCUAUGCACUUCCAGUUAUUGAUGAUGACAUCCCCAACACUUUCGGUGAAGCAUUACGCAGCAAUGAAAGUGAUCAGUGGAAGUCAGCCAUGGAGGAAGAGAUGAAAUCUCUCCAUCAAAACCAGACUUGGAAACUUGUAAAGUUACUAAAGGGGAAAAUGGCUAUUGGCAAUAAAUGGGUCUACACCAAAAAGCAAGGAUCUCCAAAUCAAACAACUCCUCGAUACUAGGCAAGGCUCAUGGCAAAAGGUUUUACUCAAAAGGAAGGUAUUGACUACAAUGAAGUUUUCCCUCCAGUUGUAAAACAUACUUCCAUUCGUAUCCUACUUGCCUUAGUUGCAGAAUAUGAGUUAGAGUUGGCUCAGUUGGAUGUUAAGAUGACGUUCUUACAUGGAGAUUUUGAGGAGGAAAUCUAUAUGAUUCAGCCUUGUGGUUUCAGAGUUGCUGGAAAGGAGAAUCACGUGUGUUGGUUGAUUAAAUCUUUGUACGGACUGAAGCAAUCGCUAAGGCAGUGGUACAAAAGAUUUGAUCAAUUUAUACAAGGGCAGAAAUUCACCAGAAGUGAACACGAUCAUUGUGUUUACUUUAAAAGACUACUAGAUGGCGCUUUCAUCUAUUUGUUACUCUAUGUCGACGAUAUGCUUAUAGCUUCGAAGAAUAGAGAUGAGAUCGAAAGAUUAAAGAAGCAACUGGCUUCUGAGUUUGAGAUGAAAGACUUGGGUGAUGCACAAAGAAUACUUGGGAUAGAGAUUCGUAGAGACAAGAAGAAUGGGAGCGUAUGGUUGACUCAAGAGUCUUAUUUGAAGAAAGUACUAGAAAGAUUCGGCAUGGAUGACAAAACUAAACCGGUAUGUACACCUCUAGCUCCUCAUUUCAAAUUAAGCUCUUUUUCAUGUCCUAGAUCUCAAGAGGAGCACGAUUACAUGGCUCGUGUUCCAUAUGCUAGUGCUGUGGGUAGUCUUAUGUAUGUUAUGGUAUGCACAAGGCCCGAUAUAUCUCAAGCAGUGAGCAUGGUUAGUAGAUACAUGCACAAUCCAAGUAAAAAUCAAUGGCUUACGGUAAAGUGGAUUCUCCGAUAUUUGUAUGGGACAAUGGAUGUUGGGUUAUUGUUCAAGAAUGAUUGUGGUCAACAAUGUGUUGGGUAUUGUGAUUCUGAUUUCGCUGGAGACCUUGACAAGUGAAGAUCAACAACGGGCUACGUAUUCACAUUGGGUGGAGGUCCGGUUAGCUGGAGGUCAAUUCUACAAUCAACAAUUGCUUUGUCCACUACGGAAGCAAAGUAUAUGGCAACAACUGAAGCUGUAAAAGAAGCUAUCUGGUUGAAAGGCUUGUUAGGUGAUUUGGGAGUAAUCCAGGAGAACAUUACGGUAUUCUGUGAUAAUCAAAGUGCGAUAUUCCUUGCGAAGAAUCAAACAUAUCAUGCUCGGACGAAACACAUAGAUGUGAAAUAUCAUUAUGUGAGAGAGAUUAUCGAGAGCGGUGUUGUGUUGUUGAGAAAUAUUGAUACCAAAGAUAAUCCAUCAGAUAUGUUGACGAAGGUAGUUUCUGGAGUUAAGUUUCAACAUUGCUUGAAACUAAUUCAAAUCCUUCGAUUGUGUUAAGAUAUGUCCUUCGGGAAUUUUGAACUACAGUUGGCUUGAUCCCAAAUUUUGGGUACGUAGGCAGUCACAGAGAUACAACCACUUUGGGGAUGAUGAUUGGUUGGUAGUCGGCUCAGAUUUAGACAAAUCUUCGCCGAUGUGGAGAAUUGUUGAAAAGUCAAAAGAGUUUGGUUGGAAAAGAAAAGUGAGCCACAUGCAUUGCUUUUAUUUUUCAAACUCGGCACCAAAUUGCAAGCUGUAUUUGGCAUUUGACAAUCCUGCACCAAAUGAAGAAAAAUGGAAAAGUUAGCAAAAUUUGUCAAAUUGUCAGAGAUGGAGAUUGACAAAUUGCAAAAGGAUUAGGUGGAAUAGUGCAUGCUUGAAGCCUAUAAAUUGAAAUCAUUUCUUCAUUCUAUAAUCAUCCCAAAAUUGUUAAGCUUAUAAGUUUCUAAGCUUUUGAGAGAAGUGAGAGAAGUGUGUCUGGGGAAUUUAUCUUUCCUGCAGAGUGUGAGAGUACUGGGUAUAUUUGAGUUUCUGGGAAGUGAGAUUCGUUACUCAAAUAUUGUACUCUAUUAAUUGUUAAAUAAACAAUUAUUCUUUAUUGCCUCCGUGGAUGUAGAUUUAAUUACCGAACCACGUAAUUCUUGUGUCCUUUAUUUUUCUAUAAUAAUUUGGUGCGCUUGAUUCCGUAUUCCGCGCACAAUAUUGUUGCCAAUUAACGGAAAUCUCUAUAAGAGAAAAAUCUUAACUGACUCUUGGUGCCCUAGAGGUAAACUUGAUUAUGAUACUACUAUGCAUGCUCUGGUGAAGUUCUGCUCUUUUGGUGCUUUAUGGGAAAUUCCUCACUUAAGCUUCAAGGAGCCGGCCUGGACUCUAAUGGAAAAGGGUAAUAUAAAUGAUUUUGGCUUGUUUAUGGUGACAACCUAGAGUAUUUGGAGUUAAGGAAUAAUUGGAUAUUUAGAAAAGGGAAUUGUUGUCCGCUACUAACCUAUAACAGAGCAGUGGAUCUGUUGCAUUCUUAUAGAUCUCUCUAAAAGCAUUCCCCAAAUAAGUUGGUCUUGAGAGGAGACUCUUCCAUUUAAUAUUGGUCUCUCCCUGAUGUUUAUUGGAAUAAAAUGAAUAUAGGUGUGGCUGUAAAUUAUGAUGGAGGAUUGCUUGGUUUAGAAGCAAUUAUAUGGAACUCCCAAGGUGGAUUCAUGGCUGCAGCAAGUUGGAGAUAUCAUUUUCUAAAUGAUGUUGAAGCACUCGCUAUUUAUAAAGUUUAAAGAUGGCCAAAUUAAUGGGGUUUUAUCCUUUGAUUAUUGAAUUGGAUUUAAAAAAUGUGAUUAGGCUGAUUACUAGCAAGUUUGCAAGUAGAAGUGAGAUAGGAUGGUUAGUUGACAAGUUUCAUGACCUGGCUAAGGAUGUUGCUAAUUUAGUGUUUAAGUAUGUACCUAAAGCUUGUAACUCAGUGGCUCACAAGUUGUCUAAAUUGGCAUUGUUGAAGCCAAACUGUUGUCUUUGGUAUGAAGAAGCUCGUGCUGAACUCAUGGCUUUGUUAUCUUGUGAUAAUCGUUUGUCUGAUUAAAACCUUAAGGAGAUUGUUAUCUUACAUAAUUAUAACUAAAACCUUAAUGAAUAAUUAUUUUCAUUAAAAAAAAAGACAUGGGCCACAAAAAUGACAGCAGGGGGAAAAUAUCAUCUUCAUUAGUAAUUAUUAGUUAUAAUUACUCUAUCCUGCUCUCUCUCUCUCUUUCACUUAUUUUCUUAAACUUCUUAAGUAAACUAUCUAAUUGAUAUGAUUAUUUUCAUUCUCUCCCUAACAUAUUUUUGUUUUAGAAAGAAAAAAGUUUUUGAAUAUAAGUGAGACCAUUUGCAUUUAAAUAAUUAUUUUGAACAUUCAAAAUUUAAGAAAUAUUUUUGUUCCUAAAAUAUCAUUGAAGUAAUUCGUUAUUAAGGAUAGCUUUCUAGUGCAGGCGCCCUCAUUUUUUUUUCCAUGUGAAUACGUUUUUAAAACAUAGAAUUUAAUAGAUUCAGAUUUUGAUACUAUUAAACCACACGGCUUUAUAGUGCAUUAAAAAAUAACACUAUUAAACUGCAUGGCUUGACACAUAUCCGUAUUUAAAAAAGGGAAAUUAUCACUGCACCACCUCUUUUUUUCCUUAUGUUCAUCCAACCACCAAAAAAUUCUAACAUGUUCUCUGCACAACUCUUUUUUUUUUUUUAAUUUGUAUCAACUAACCACUUUUUAACUAAUACCGUUAAAUAAUUUAAAUGAAAUGAUAAUUUUACCCCUAAAUAAAUUAAAAGACCAUUUUAUUUUACAAAAACUUUGAAAAAUAAAAAAUUAUAAUUAUAAAAAUACCCCUAAAUUUAAUAAAAAAAUAAAUCUCAAACAAAUGUGCUCCACUGAUUUUUAUUUAAUUUAGAUUUUGUAAAAUUUUAAUAAUUAUUUUUAUUAAAAAAUUAUAAUGUUGCAAAAUUUUAAUAAAAAUGACUGAAUUUAUUUAUUAAAAAUUAUAAUUUUGCAAAAUUUUAUUAAAAUAACUGAAUUUAUUUAUUAAAAAAUAAAUCCCAAAAUUUUAAUAAUUUAGGGGAUUUUUAUUAAAUCCCAAAAUUUUGUAAUUAUUUUUAUAAUUAUAAUUUUUAUUUAGAUUUUGAUUAAAAAUAAAAAUUCUAAUUUUGGGAUUUAUUUUUUAUUAAACUUAGGGGUAUUUUUAUAAUUAUAAUUUUCUUAUUUUUCAAAAUUUUUGUAAAAUAAAAUGGUCUUUUAAUUUAUUUAGGGGUAAAAUUAUCAUUUUAUUUAAACUAUUUAACGGUGUUAGUUAAAAAGUAGUUAGUUGAUACAAAUUUAAAAAAAAAAAAGUGGUGCUGAGAACAUAUUAGAAUUUUUUGAUGGUUAAAUGAACAUAAGGCAAAAAAAAGGUAGUGAAGUGAUAAUUUCCCUUUAAAAAAUAAGAAUACUCGCAUUUUAGAAUGAUUAUAUAUAUCAUUAUAUAUAAUUAGACAAAAUGAAUAUUCUUUUAAAUUUGCGUGGUGAGAGUUUGCGGGUGAAAAGGACGAUUGCAAUGAUUUUACAUGAACAAACAAACGUUUGAUAAUUAAGAUGGAUAUAUUCUAUAAAAGGAAAUUGAAUUUAAGAAUUCCCUUAAAGCAUGUUUGGACAUGAAAUAGAUGGCGCUUUUUAUGUCGUAUGAUAGGAAAUUAAUUUUGCGGAAAGACUUUAAAGAGCAAUAUUCAAUCAAAUUGCGUGGAGUCCUUAACGCACGGAUGCCGUAAUAUGUUUGAUAAAUUGACCAAUUAGGUGUUUGAUGAAAUGCCAGAUAUUCAAAUAUUGGUGGAAAAUCAACUGUCCUCAACAUCGCAUGAAGAUGAGCAUGCACGCAAGACUAAUAGAUGAUUUAAUUAAGAAUAAGAUUAACGAUGUCAAAAUAAAAUACGUACACAACAGCUUGUGCUUAUCAUUAUAUACUAUUGGGGCUCUCCAAGUUACAUUUAGUGUAACUUACAAUAGCUAAAAUUUAUCUCCUGGCUGACCAUACAUUAUUUUAUUACUUAUUUUUGCACCGAAAAAUUUAAUUAUAAGUUAUAAAAAAAUAUGUAACUCAGAAAAGCCCCUAUUAUACAUCUAACUAAUACAAACUAAGAAGUUAGAAUAAUAGAAUCGAUGUUUUGAUUAAAGAUUACAUAUUUUUAUUUACAAUUCUACUCUUUUAUGACUUAAUUUGAUCCGUUAGUCAAAGUGACGCCUAGCUCCCAUCACCAGGAAAACUCACAGCUGCAUGCAAACUUGAACGAUGAGCACUUGGUUGAGAUUGGGGGGUUAUGGGAUGGGUUGAAUAGGGUUCGUAAAAAUUUAAUCCAACCCAUUAUUGAAUUGGUUGAGAUAAGAUAAACUUAAUCCAAUAAAAUAAAUAUUUUAACAUAACUUAAUCCAACCCUUAAAUCAUUUGGUUAAAUUGAGUUGCAUUGGAUUGAUUGAGUUGAAGGCUAAAUCAAAAUUAAAAAUUAAAAAAGAAAAAAUAUAUGAAAAUUUAAAAUGAAACUUAUUAAAAUGAGAUAUAAAUUUAUUAUAAUAUGAAAAUUUCAUUCACUGUCUAGUGUUUGACUAAAAAAAGCUACAAAAUCAUCUUAAAAUUAAGAAAAUUUCAACAAUGAACUUCUAAACUUUAUUUUCGACUUCCCACAUCUCUUUUUUGAAUUCUAAAUUAAGACCUUCUACAUAAUUAGCUAGCAUCAUGUCCAAUUACAAAAUAAAUGUGAUAUAUAAUUAUGUAUUGUUCAGUAUUUAAAAAAAAAAGGAAAAAUUAAAACCAACUUAAUUUUAAAAUUAAACUUAGAAGAUAAUAAGAUUACCGAAAUGAGAGAGUGAUUUUAAUUUUAAAAUUAGAGUGUAGAGCAAUACAUACGAGAAUGAAUUUUUUCUAUUAAAAAACUAAAAAAAAUUAAAAAUUAGGUUAACUGUUUAGGGUUUAGAAUUUUAUAAAAAGAGUUAAUUACGAUGAAUUCAUCGAGCCCAAUCUAAUUUAAUUAUUAAUUGAGUUUAAAAAAUUUAACUCAAUUAAUCUAUUAUAAUUCACUCAAAAAAAUAAAUUAAAUUAAAUUGAAUUGGAUCGAAUCCCUAGGUUGGAUUGAGUUAGUCCGUCCCUAGUUAGGACCACCACGUAGCUAACCAGACAAAUAAUUAAUUAAUACUGUUGAGUAGGAUAAGAUAUGCGUGGAGUUAAAAAAAGAUUAAUUUUGAACACAUAUAUAGCUUAAUAGCUAGCUAUAUGAUUCCGACCUGCACGGCACAGACAGGUACAGAAACUUACUUGCAAGCAAGUCGCGGUUGGUGUGGUAUUCGUCUACAUUUUUUGACUUCUUGUUAAUAAAUAAUGGAUUAAUCAUUUUCGGCUUAUUAGUUUUUCUCUCAAACUGUGUGAAACUGGGGCCAAAAGUAGAUAUCCUACAGCCACUAGACUACUAGAGGCUGAUGAAGAGGAUUUAAAAAUCAACCCUUUGAAUCAACUGCUUUGAUCGUGACGUAACCAAUGUUUGGAUUCUCUAUUUCAAAUAAUAAAAUAACAAAAAUAUCUUUGUCUUUCCUCAAACUGUCAACAUAUGCAUGCCAUAACUUUAUUGGAGUGUUGACGGGGCUAGCAAGUUCAAGCAUAUUUGAGGCUAUUAGCCAAAUUGUUUUAGUAAGCCACUUGUCCUUUAUUCACCCAAAUCUCAAAGCUCCACAUGCAAUUUUUUUUUUUUUUUAUGUUAUGAAAGAUAUGUAAUCUUGAUAAUUGAGAUAUGAUAACAGAGCCUUCAAGUUCCGUCAAAAAAUAUUAUUUUUUUAAGCAAUACUUAUCACUAAGAAUAGCUCUAAAUAAGGGAGAAAAUUUAGUAUAAAAACUAACGUUACAUCAAAUGCAUUAUAAAAUUUUUAUAAAUGUUACAUCAAAAGUAUUAUAGAAUUUUUACAAAGGAGGAAAUCUCUAGUGUUAUUCUAUUGGUGGGAAUAUAAUAGUAAUACAUUAGAUGUAUUAUAAAAUUUCUCCAAAAAAUAAAUCUCUAUUAUUAAACUAUUGGUGGGAUUAUGAUUGUUUACAUAGGGAAGGAUAACAACUAAAGAAGUAGGAAAUUAAACAAUAAUAAAUUACUAUUUUUUUUCUUUUUUCAUCUUAAAAAGUAAAGUAGCUUAAAAAGUAUAUUUGUAGUACUGACGAGCCAAUUAAAACUGGUUAAAAACCAAUCGAUUAAACUCUUAGGAGUAAUAAAUUACUAUUAUUAAUUACAUUGAACUAGCUACCAAUUAAAUAGAAAAAAAAAUUUCAAUUUAGAUAUAAAAUAAAUACCAAUUAUUAGAAAAUCUAUAAAAGACAAAAAAAAUCCAUCUUAUAGUAAAUUUUCUUGUCUUAUAAUGAAGUUUUUUGUCCUAUAAUGAUAGUGUGUACUAAUUGUAGUACUAACUGUGGUAAGUACAUCCAUACUGUAUCUUUUAACGUGGUACCUUCACAUCUAAUUGGCACAAGAAAAUCCCCCAAGUUACUUAUCAGCGAAGUCAUGACUUUGUAUUGUUUAUGCAUUCUAAGUUUUAUUGUCUCAGUGAAAGUAAUGGGAAUAUAAAUUUUAUGUAAAAAUUAUUGUGUACAAAUUGAUAUCAUUCAAAUAAUGAUUUGCUACUUCUACCACCAUUACAUGGGUUCCACUUGGUAUAUUUUCAUUCGCUGUAAUAACUUUGACAUUUUCAUGUAGGUGUCUAACCAAUUUGUUGAAUGAUAUAUUAACUGUUCCAAAGAGAGUUUGUACAUAUAUCUCCAGCAUUACUCUUUCCAAAAUAAUAAUAACAAUAAAUAAACUAGUGCUAAGUUAAUUUUGAUAUUUGCAUUUCAAUUUUGCUACAAUAACUUCACAUUCUCUUUGGAUUCGUUUGUAACCCGCAGUCACUUCUUGUUACAACAAUAGAGAGGGGAACAAUUUUGACGCCUCAAGCUGAAAAAAAAAAUUAGGGAUCACAUAGAUUUUAGGGUUAUUUUGGUUUGAUUUGUAUAAUAAUUGUAAAUUAUAAAAUGAUUAGAAGAAAUAUUGAUAUUCAUAGGGCGAACUCAAUGAAGGCCCCCGAAAGACUGCUUUCAUAUUAUCUUAAGACUAAACUAAUUUAAUUUGUAACUCUUCUAAGGGUCAGUUUGGGAAUGUUGUAUUUUUUAAAAUAAUUGUUGUUAACUUUGCUAUAGAAAUAAUCAGUUAUAAAGAUAAUCAACUAAGUGUUUGGUAAAUCUUGUUUUAAAAAGUACUAUGAGUUUUGAAAGUAAUUAUUGGUGUUUGGUAAAAUUUACUGUUAAACUGCUGUGAGAAAACGAAUAACUAAUAUAAUAUACAUAAUGUAGAAUAAAAUUUACUUCCAUAUAUAAAACAUGUACAUAAAAUAUUUUUAAUUGUGUAUUAUAAUAACUUUAACUAAAAAUAAAAUUUAUAUCAUAUUGCCGUAGAGAUCUUUUGAUGUAAUGUAAAAUAUAAAGAAGAAAUAGAGAAAAUAAAAGAAUGAAUGAAUUAUAAUAAAAAGGGAAAAGGACAUUCAACCCCCCAACGUUUAGGAAAAGGGACAAAAAACCCCUCAACGUUUCAAAAAGGACUUAUAACCCCCUUUCCGUUAAUAAACACUGUUUGUUUUAACAUUAAAUUUAUUUUUUAUUUUUAAUUACUAUUAUACCCUUAUAAUAAAUAUAAAUUAAUAUAUUGAUUUGAGACAUGUCACAAUUAAUAUUUUUUAAAACUAAAAAUUGAGAUACAAUUACAUUUUUGUCCAAAUUAUUUGCUAUAAAGUAUACCUUUCUAAUGAUCAAACCUUUCAUAUGUGAUUAUUACUAAUAAAACAAAAUUUGGUUAAACCUUUUUUCUUUGAGGAAUCAAAACCAUAUUAUUAUUGUUAGAAAGGUAUAAUUUAUAGUAAAUAAUUUUGGGAAAAAAAUAAUUGUAUCUCAAUUUUAAGCUUUUAAAAAAUUAUUAAUUAUGAUAUAUCUCAAAUUAAUAUAUUAAUUUUUUUAUUAUAAGGGUAUAAUGUUAAUUAAAAAUUAAAAAUAAAUUUACUGUUAAAACAAACGGUGUUUGUUAACGGAAAGGGGGUUAUAAGUCCUUUUUAAAACGUUCAGGGUUUUUUUGUCCAUUUUCCUAAACGUUGGGGGGUUGAAUGUCCUUUUCCCUAAUAAAAAUUAUUGAAAUAUUGAUGUCUUUUCUAAUUUAAAUAAGGAUAAUUUUGAGUUUAGGUAAUAAUUUUAAGAAUACUUAUGAAAUUUUAUUAAAGUAUAAAAUUGAUUAUCAAAAUCAGAAUUUAAAAGUUACUCAUUUUCUUCUUUUCAAAAUCAGUUGCAAGAGAGUUGAUUUUGACAAAAAUGAUUUUGAUUUUUUUUACCAAACACCAAAAUUAACUUUAGAUUUUCAAAAUUACUUUUAAAUCUCCCAAAAAAAAUCUCAAACGGGCUCUAAGUUUUCAAUUUUUUUAAAAAGUUGUAUGACAUAUUUAAACCACGUUGAAUUCUUUUGGAUUUUUUUAAAAUUUAGCCUAAUAUUCAUGAUUUAUUGGACUGGUGGGUCUAUUAAGCCUUAAUUUUAUAUAUCAUUAGGUCUUAAAUGCAUAAUAUUUUUAAAAAAUAUUCUUAUUGUUUUAAUAAUUUUCAUCAUAUAAUCAAUAAAUUUUCAUUUAUAUUAUUUAAAUGAAUCGUUCUUAUCUCUAAUUCCUCUAUGUUUGUCAUUAUUUGUAUUCAUAUAGAUUUGAUGUCUCCCAUUUCCUAAUCGCAACCUUUUCUCACUAAGAAGGAAGAUUUCCUCUAUAAUUAUAGUUUGAUUAGGAUGAAAAAACUUACUGAGUUUCCACGCAAAACCGGCCUACACCCUAAUCCCUAAUAGACUUCGACGUCACUGCUACUGACAUGCCACAGUUAUUCUUUGCUUUUGUCGUCGUCUUCAAAAAAUUUGUAAUUGAAUUUGUAUUAUGCUUCCUUUAGAUUAAAUUCCUGUGUCUGUAACUGUUGAUAUCUAUCCUUUGUUACUAUAUCCUUACAAAAUCUUUCAUUCUCCUGUAUUUUUAACUAUUUGUUAGCACCGUCAUUAAUAAAAUAAUAAACACGAUACUUUUUAUGUUGAUAUUUUACAAUUCUAAAAAUAAUCAUACAAUCAUGGCCCUAUAUUUUAUUGUUUAGCCUGAUACAUAUAUUUAUUAUUUUGUGAUAUAGCCCUUUCAACUUUACUAAUUUUGCUUUUGUAUUAUGCUCGCGGUUGAGUAAAUUAUUGAGGGACCCGAUUAUAAUUGAGUAUCCUACAGCUUUGUCCGACUGUUUUGACAAAAGAGGGAAAAAAGAAAAAGGUGGGGGGGGGGGGGGGGCGAGAGAAAGAGAGAGAAAUUUAUAUAAUUUUGUCUUGAAGGGAUUGGUCUUCAAAAGUUAGGAAAAUUUACGAAAAUAGUUAUAAAUAUUUGGUUAUUUUCACAACUAACCCUCUCAAUUUUUUUCUUUCAACAUUAGCCAAACACAAGCCUUUCUCCCCAAAUUACCCUUCUUUACAGACCAAAAGCAACAAUCUUUCUCCCAUAUCGUCAAACCAAACACAGCUUAAUCAUCAACCAACAUCGACGGCAAAAGACAACAGUAAAGGUGAAAUCCAAUCAUAAUCUAUCUGAAUCCAACACUAAUCGGCAUCACUUAGUGGUAUGAGUUAUUUUCUGAACUUACUGAACUGAGUCGUGGGUGAAUCUGGCGACAGGGUGCCUGUCGCACCAACUCUUCGGGCGACAGGCACCCUGUCGCACCAAGCCUUGGAGAUUCAUUAAAAUUGUAUUAAUUUGAUCCGGAUCCAAUUAAUUUUUUUUUAAUAAUUUCAGGCUUAAUGGAUUCAGUUGUACUUGAAUUGUGUUACGAUGGUUGGUGGGAGACAUUAGAGGAUGGCCGUAUGGAGUAUAUGAAUGGUAAAAAUCGAGCUUUUUUGGUUGGGAAAAAUUAUCUGUUUGAUCAGUUAUUGGCAAGAGUAUACGAGGUGUUACAAAUAAACCCUAAUGAAUAUAGUAUUACAAUGAAGACAACUUGAGGUCUAGUACACAUUAUAUCGUAUAUGUGCACUGCCCAUGGGACAGUGGCGAAGCUAGCAUCAUUUGGGUGGGUGGGCUAGAUUAAACCAAAAAAAUGAAAUUUACUUCUCAAAAAAUUUGUUUUAUAUAAAUGAAAUUAAGCACACUACAUAAGUAAAAAUGUAACCAUAAAACUAUAAAAAUACAAUGUAAAUAAGAAAAACACUAUUGACGAAGCUGUGUCCUGCGGUUCUUCAAAAAAGAAAAUUCAUCUGCUAUCGCAUCUGAGUCAAUAUUGUCUUCAAUUUCUCUUUCAAUGUAAAUAACCAUACAAUCUGAAAGAAACUCAUUCUCCAUCUUGUUUCGAUGUGUUGUCUUAAUCAGUUUCAUGGCAGAAAAUGCUCUCUCUGUUGUUGCUGUUGAAACAGGAAGGGUUAACACUAAACGAAUUAAUCUAUCCAACAAGAAAUAAAUCUGUGACUUUCUAGUCUCAACCAAUCUUCGACACAAUUCAGAAAGGGAAGUAAUAUUCUGAAACUCUUGAAGAGAGUGUAUAUCUAUCUCAAAGCACUCUAAUUGUCUUCUCAAAGCCUGUAACUCAAUCUUAGUGAAAUCUUCAGGAUAAAAUCUUUCAGCAAGGCUGCAAAUAUCUUCAAUUUUAAAUGAUUUAAAUGCAUCAAUAGGAUUUAAAGCUGAACUAAGAGUGAGGAGUUCCAAAGUCUGUUCAGUGAAUCUAUUAUUCAACUCCAUCAAUUGAAAAUCUAUCACAGUAUUAAAUAUAUCAUAAUGAUAAUAAUGCUCAACUGUAAUAUAAUCAUUCUGCUGACAAGAACGUCCUCUCCCUUUCAUAUGGCGAGCUUUCAUAUCAGGCAUAUCUAUCUCAUUCUUUUCACAAAAUAGAACUACAUUCUAAAUAAAAGUUUCCCAACCAUUGUCUCGCAUCCUUUGAAGAAGUUUUUUCGUAGUUGAGACUAAGUGCACAGCAUUUAGAAUAUCUUGAGAUUUAACUUGUAAUGCUUGACAAAGUAAAUCACUCAUCCCCAAAACUUUAUUUAAUAAAUGCAAAAUGAACACAAAUUUAAAAGAUAUCAUUGAUUCACACGCACCUUUAGCCUCUCCACGUAUGUUAUUGUUACGCCCACACUCUACCAACUUCCCAAAAACUUUACGAACAACACUAAACAAAUCAAGCAACCUACUGACAGAACGGAAAUGAGAGCUCCAUCGAGUAGCUCCAGGCCGUUGCAAAGUAUGAAUUUGAUUGGCCCCUGUACCAGUUUGAACUUCUCCUGAAGCUAUCAAAUCUAUUAUUUCUGCUUCCCAAACAGAUUUUAACUCAGAAAGCCGUUUAGCAGAUGAAGUCAGAACAUUUACAAUUGAACCCAAUGCUGAAAAGAAAAGCCAUACAUCUGGCACAUCAUUAGAUGCUGCAACUAAAGCAAGUUGUAGUUGAUGUGCAAAACAGUGUAUAUAAUAUGCAUAUGGGCAAUCUUUCAAAAAUAAUGCUUGCAAUCCAUUCCAUGCACCUCGCAUGUUACUAGCACCAUCAUACCCUUGCCCUCGGAUAUUUUCAACUAAAAGAUCAUAUCGUGCAAGAACAUUACAUAUUUCUUUUUUCAAUGUUACUGCUAUAGUUUCCAUGACAUUGACAACUUCAAAAAAACGUUCUCGAAUAUACCCAUCACAAUCAACAUACCUUAAAAUAAUAGCCAUUUGCUCUUUAUCAGAUUCAUCAAGUGCUUCGUCUACUAAAAUACAAAACUUACCAUCUCCAAGUUCCCUGCGUAUCUUGUUUCGCACUUUGUUUGCAAGAAUAUUUAAAAGCUCUUUUUGAAUGUCAGACGAUGUAUACUUAGCAUAUGAUGGAGCAUUUUCCAAGACAACUUGAGCAAUUUCUUUACUACACUUCGCUGAAUGCUUUAUCAACUCUAUGAAAUUUCCCCGAUUUCUUGAAUUAACUGAUUCAUCAUGACCUCUAAAAGCACAUGCUUGCUUUGAAGUCUUCAAUCGUAACCUAUUCUCCAAAAGUUAUUGUGAAGUUUGGGCAUUAAUUAAUCUAUCAAUGUGUUGAAUUAGAUUCCUCAAACAACCCCAACUCUGCAUAUUCUUAUUAUGAUGAGAAGAUGGACCCCUUUAAUGCUGUAAAAAAGGACAUUUUUUCCAUUGUUGACUCUCUUCCAACUAGAAAACCCUUCGAUAACAAAUUUUGGGUUAUUUGAUGGAAUUUCAUAAAAAAGAAAGCAUGGAAAACAAAAUGCACUAUCUUUUACCUCAGAGUACUCAAGCCAUGGAAAUUUUUUAAACCAGUGAUACUGAAACCUACGUUCUUGCAUGCCAUCAUUAGUUAGUGGAUAGUCUCGUAGUUUAGGUUGAUAAGGUCCCAUUUUGAUGUACUCCCUUCGAAUAUCAUCACGUUGAUUUACUGAAUAUGUCCCUAUUUGAUGACGUAAUCCAGGAUCACGCUCCAGAUAAGUAUUUCUAGUUUCUUCAACUUCAACCCUUUGAAACUUAGAAGCAUGUUGCUCACUGGAAUCUUGAGCAUUAACUUGACAUGGAGAUAAAGACUUAGUGGAUGAUUGAUUUUCACUUACUCUCUUAAAAAAAGAAAGUAGAGUUUUUCUUGGUUUAUUUAUCAUUGAAUCUGUAAUAAAAUCAUUAAAAUUUUAGUAUUUAUUUUAUAAAAAAUUGACCAAAACGUAAGUUAAAAGCUAAUUAAAAAAAGUCAGCAUUCAAAUUAAUUAUUUUACUAUUUUGAUCACUCAUUCUUUCAUGCCAUCAUUAUUUUAUAAUCCCAAGAAGAUGAAUCAUCACCUUUUACAAGUUCCACUUUAUAUGCUAUCAUCAUUAUUUGUCAUAUUCUAUUAUUUUAUAAUUUUAGAAAGAUGAGUCACAGUUCUCAGUUCACAAAAUCGACAACUUCUCUUCCACAAUUCCACUUUGUGUGCCAACCAUCAUUAUCAUAAAAUCAUAUUCUAUUAUGUAAACUAAAGUUUAAAAGACAAAGUGCUUUGUACCAGUGGCCGCAUCAAGAGACUGGGCAUUUGGCGUUGGCUCGGCGGUGAGAGAUUCAGCCUGCAGGUGUGAGUCUUGCGACAGUGGCUCGAUGUCACUCAUGAGGCAGUGGCCGAGCGUCAAUUCGAGCGCAGGAGACUGGUAUUCAGCAGCAGUAAGAGACUUGAGCAAUUGAAUUUUGGUGAAUUUCAAAUUUGUAUUUGGUUAGAUACUAGUGAGUUUUAUGAAUUGUGAUUUGAGGAAAAUAAGGAUUCCUAUAAUUAUUAGGUUUGUUUUUUUUUUAUAAAUAUUAAUAAAAAUAAAUUUAUAAAUUAUAAAUUUUUUUUUUCAAAAAGCUUACCCGGGCUGCAGCCCGGGUUAGCCUUCCCUGAGCUUCGCCUCUGUCCAUGGAUAUAUUUGAUGAUGAAAUGGUGAGGGUUGUGUUGCAUAUGGCAUCCGACGUAGCCAAUUUUGGAUGCAUUCCUAUAUUCGUGACCACGUCACCUCGAGUUCCGAGCGAAGGUAUUGAGCCACAUGUCGAUACAGAAACUUCAUUUAGAGCAAAUAUGUCUGGCCCCGAUAAUGAUGAAGAGGUGUUGCCAAGGAUAAUAUCGCUGCAGCAAUAUUACUCUCCAAUCCACGACAAUUAUGACAACAUUGAUGAUAACGGCGUUACGUUAGAGGAUGUUGGAGCAAUGGUAUUCUCCGUAUCACAACAAUGAUUUUCGGGACAAUGAUGAUUUUCAUCAUGAGACAGAGGGGGAUAAUGUUUGUGCAAAAGCUUCUAAUAAUACGAGGGGCACUCAUUUCAAUAAUGAUGGUGAUGAUGGAGGAGCCAGUCCUUCGAAUGUUUCGUCGUUUCAGCAUAACGAUGAGUGUGAAGACAAUACUCUUGUGAAUAACAGAGGCAAUAGACCCAGUCCUUCUAUGGUGCGAUCGAGAAGGCGAAUUGACCCCCUUACAAGUCUUGCUCCAACUUUGCCUUCGAACAUGGUUACUCCAAGCUUUGUUAGCAGUUGUGAUUCAUAUGAUAUCAGUGUGGGUAAGCUAUUUGCUGAGAAGAAUGAGUUUAUAUUACAAUUACGCAAGGUUGCCUUUAGAGAUAAGUUUGAUUUCAAUAUUGCACGGUCUACUACGACACGUUUCAAGGCUCACUGUUGUUCAGAAUGAUGUAAAUGGCGUAUUCGAGCAACUAGAUGUUCGAAGCGAGAGAAGUUCCUUGGGUGGUGAAGAGAAUUGACAAUGUACACACUUGUCAUAAUGAGGUAUUGGUUGAUGGACGUCAUCAAUUAAGGAGCCAGGUUGUCGGUCAUAUUAUCACAGAAAAAUAUAUUCAAGAGAAGAUGAUUUAUACUCCGAAUCACAUAAAAGCAGAUAUGCAACAGGAAUACGGUGUUCAGUUAACAUACCAACAGGCAUAUCGGGCGAGAGAAGUUCCUUGGGUGGUGAAGAGAAUUGACAAUGUACACACUUGUCAUAAUGAGGUAUUGGUUGAUGGACGUCAUCAAUUAAGGAGCCAGGUUGUCGGUCAUAUUAUCGCAGAAAAAUAUAUUCAAGAGAUUGUAGCACUCGGAUCUUCCAUCAAGGGUUUUAUGCAGUACAUUCGGCAUGUCAUUGCUGUAGAUGGUACUCAUCUGAAGGGACUAUAUCGUGGAAGCAUGUUCGUGGCAACAUGUCUUGAUGGUAACAAUCAAUUUUAUCCGUUAGCCAUUGGGAUCAUGGAUUCAGAAAACAAUGAUGCUUUGGAAUGGUUUAUGAUGAAGUUACACGGAGUGAUUGGCGAUAGACCUGAGUUGGUAAUUAUCUCUGAUCGAUGCACUGCCAUAAGGAGAGCCGUUCUUAAAGUAUUUCACAAUGCAACUGAUGGCGUUUGUUUUUACCACGUCAAAGGUAACAUUAAGUCUCAAUUUAGAAUGUCCAAAGCUCUUUAGGAUCAAUUUGAGCCUGCCUUUAUUAAUGCAGCAAAAGCAUAUGGCCACGAGGAAUUUAAGAGACAACUUGAAGGGUUGUGGAUGAUCCACUCGGGUGCGGCUGAUUACCUAGAAAAUAAUGUCGGUACGUGCAAUUGGGCAAGGUCUCAGUUUGAAGGUAGGAGGUACAGCAUAUUUACCACCAACAUCGCGGAGAGUGUUAAUUCUUUCAUGCGGGAACCUCAAAAAUUUCCUGUUACUCAUCUUGUUGAUCACUUUAGGAAAACAAUGCAGCAAUGGUUCUAUGAUAGAAAAAUUGUGGCUGAAUCAAUGACUACUCGGCUAACAACAUGGGCGGAUGAAAUAGUUACCGAGAGGAGAACUAUAGCUGAAAGAAUGAUAGUUCAGCCGGUGUCUCUGCAUCGAUUUCAAGUGAUAGGCGGUGGGCUUAAGGAAGGUUUGGUUGACUUGCAACAGAGAACUUGCACAUGCAGAGUGUUUCAGCUUGAUCAUCUUGUAUGUGCUCAUGCAAUUGCGGCGUGUCUAACACACCGGGUGGAUUUUAUUAACCUAUGCUCGGACUUUUACACUACAGAAUCGUUGGUGAUGGCGUAUGCACAACCAGUAGAGCCAGUUGGUGAUGUGGUUGAUUGGGAAAUUCUAGAUGAAAUUCAGGAGAUGCAAGUAUACCCACUAGUUGAGGCACCACCACCUGGCCGUCGUAAAGAGCUCAGAAUACCCUCGGCUGGCGAGGACGUUAACAGGCGGACUGUAAGAUGCGGGCAGUGUCAUGAACUGUGCCAUAAUCGUAAGCGAUGUAAGAAUCUCAUUACGUCGACUCGAAGUUAGUUGUUAUUGUGUUUUGUGUAUUGUACACUUAUAUUUCAUAAAACUUUAUUUGAUUUUAAAUAUUAAAAUGUGAGCAUUAAAAUUAUAUAAACUUAAGUGCGCAAAUUUUAAAAAAAACAAGUUUAAACAUUCAAAUUACUACAACGGUUUACAAUACAAUAUCGUCAUUAAAUAUGUCAACCGCAAUCUUCUUUCUAAAGUACUCGACAUGACUAGCGUUAAACUCCAAUCCAAGCCCGAACAUUAAAUACAUCGUAACCAUCAAUACAAAAACACCGCAAUCGCCAGUUCCGGGCUCCUGUUGUGGCGCGCUCCUAACUGCGAUAACUUUCCAGGGGUCGGCACUCCGCAACUCAGGUCGGAUGUUGUAGAACCCAACAUAUUCCAACCAUCGAGGGAAGAUAACUUCAAGUGGCUUGAAUUUCAACCUGUAUCUUUUGUCGUCGCGGCAUGUGAGUAAUGAGUCAUAAAUCCAGACUUUGUUUUUCCGAAAGUCUACUCGUGCCAGUACCCAAUGCUCGCCGUCCAAGUUAACAGGGAUGAGUAACUGUAUAUAAAAAUUCAAAAACAUGUUCGUUAUAUAUGAAAUUGAAAAACAACUAAGAAAAAUCGACAACUUGUAUAUAAAAUGCAAUAAAAUACAUACCAUAUCGACAUCCAUCAUUGAUUUGGACAUUGUGUGCUGUCGCCCACAAAGAUAACUAUUCACGCGGUUGUCGAAUACUAAUGAAUCGACCGCACAAUCCCCGUUGUUCCAUAACUGAUUCAAGAACACCUAGUACAUAGAUAACCAAGAAAUGCAUAAAUUAACAAAACUUAAAGGCAAUAAUUAAAAAAAUUAAAUAGUAUUUAUAAGUUUUGUCGGCACGUUACCCAAAAAAAUGUGUCAGUAUGUGUGACACGUUGGAGUAAGGCAUUUGGAUACUGCAGUUGUUUCUCGUUAAUCAAGCGGAGAUACUCGUGAAUAUGCUGUUGAGAAACAGAAAUAUAACGAUUAAAAAGAAAAAUUUUGGUGAAACAAAGCCACAACAGUAUACAUAACUUCGAAAAUAAAAAUACCUCAUCGCCUAGCCAUCCCAUCGAAGCUGUACCCAAAAUUAUUUCAAAGAAUGACCGCGGGUGCUGGACUCUCCGGCGGACUCUGCUAUCACCAGUGAACCAUCGAUCAAACUCAGCAAAUAGACUAGAGUCCUCUAAUCCUCUAAGUGGAUUUACAUCCACACUCGUACUCAUGUCAAUCGCAUGCUCCAUGAUUUGGGGUCGAGGUAAAGGCCGGACGUGCUGUCCUCGCCUGACCGGAGGAAUCAUGUAAGGACUGUUAUAAACAUACGACGGUAUGUACGCGCGGCCGAACUUACUAACGCUCGGAGGCACCUCAGUGAACACCUACACGCUCUCCCCACUAACAUCCCCGUAGAAACUAUACAAUGACGUGGGCGUAGACAAAUUUUCAUUGCCCACGUCAGUAUACACUCCAUAGUCAUCCAGGGCCUGUCCAUUCGCCAAGAAGAACAUAUUAAACAACUAUUAAAUUAAAAGUUAAACGAACAUAAUUAUUAAAUUUAAAUUUGCUCACUGCAUACGAGCGUGCAGGGGGAGAAUCCUUAUUUGGACGUUUAGAAAAUGUUUCGAUGAAGCGAACAAUGGUUUCUUUAAAAUCUUUUAAUUCUGACUUUAUUUCAUACACGUUACGAUCAAUCUUAUCCAGCCGUCGUUGUAUGUAAUCAUUAAACUGCUUUGUCCUCGACUAUUACAAAAGAAAAAAAUAAAACUUUAGAAUAAUAAUAAAAAAUUAAUAAUUUAUAAAGGAAAAAUAUCGUAUAUUAUUUAUAACCUCAGAAUCCCGUGCGUCAUCAGAGUUUUCUGUUUGAUGCUGGUGGUCAUCAACAUUAUUUAUAACCUCAGAAUCCCGUGCGUCAUCAGAGUUUUCUGUUUGAUGCUGGUGGUCAUCAACAGCCACCUCAUUGCCUUGUAACCGACGACAUCGCGUUGAUUGAGGAUUGGUGCUGUAUAAAGUAUCAUUUAAAAUUAGUAAAUGAAAAGUCAAAUAUUUCGAUUAAAAAAUUUUUAGUACUUAGAGUAUACCAACCUUAUGAACCCAGUCUGGAAUGCAUUUCGAUUAAAAAAUUUUUAGUACUUAGAGUAUACCAACCUUAAGAACCCAGCCUGGAAUGCUUGGCAAGUAAUCCUUCACAGAGACCCAAUAAUUUCUGCUACUCUCCUUUGAAUUUGGCUCAAGAGUUUGUAAAACGUCCCCCUGCAAUAAAUUAAAUUGAAAAUUUUAACAUAACUUAAAUUUAGUAAAGUUAAAAAAAAUAAGUAAUACAUAUUACUUACAAGACGAGAUUUGUCGUUGAAGAACGAAUAAACCUCCGCAAAGUUGAUUCUCGAAGACGCCAUGGGCUUCCAUUGCAGAAUGCGGGGAAUCUUAUUCUUCGUUUUGACGACCCAUGUUGAUGACAACCCUCCGAUUGCUUCGUAAAUCCAAGCCCUACAACAACAAAAGUGAAAAAUCAAAUAAAACAACUAUCAAAUAUUUAAUACUAUAAAACUUAUUAAUAUCGCAGGAAAAAAAAUGCACCUGAACCCCAGACGUAAAGCCGUAAAGAUUGUAUUUUUCAAUAUUAUGAUCUGGAUUUUUCAACCGAGUCUUUUUAAAUUUCUUGUCUUUCUCGAACAGUGCAUUGUCAAGACUCUCGUAAAUCAUUUCCCACGACAAUAGACCCUAUGGACGCUUUCGGAAGUACUGUAUAUCAUCAACUUGGUCAAGCCAAUCGAAAUUGACUUGACAAUGAUUUUUUCUUGCAUUUAGUACUCUGUCCGCAAAAUAAAACAGCGCAAUCUUUAAUGCGUCCAUAUCGUCCAUUUCCUCGAAUUUCAACUCCUUAAAUACUGCAUCAAAUUGCUUCACAUUAAUCUUACGAUGCACACCACCAAAAUACGUAUUCUGUAGCCUCUGCUCCAUUUCAUCAUUUUUUUGAUUGGUAUCAACACCAAAUGAAAAUCCAGUAACCAAGCACCAUUCGACAAUUGACAAGCGAAUCAAAUGCUUACCAAUUUGAAACCAUAACUGAUCUUCACGACUAUCUUCUUCAUGGGCCACUUGCCGCAGUAAAAGAUUGUGCAAAAUCACCCCACUAAAUGGAAAACUUCGACACUCCAAGAAAUGCCCAAAUAUAUCCUUUUUGAACAUGAAUAACUACUGCUUCGUUAAUUUUUCCUCGAUGGCUUUUACGACCGAAGAUAACAUACACAUGCUCGAAAUUCGACCAGGAAAGUGAUCGGCAUAACGAAAAUACAUCUUGCCUACUUCGAUAUCCGGUGAUUCUGAUUUUGCCAUGUAUCUGUAAUAUUUAUAAAAUUAUUACAUUACAUUUACGGAAAAAAAAAUUGACUCGUAAAAAAAAAAUACUAAUUUUUGGUGCGACAGGCAAGCCUGUUGCUCCAAAAAAAUAUUGCGACAGGGCCUGUUGCUCCAAAAAAAUGUUGCGACAGGGCCUGUCGCACCAAAACAUUGGUGCUACAGCAAGCCUCUCGCACCAAUGGGCCGCGCAUGGCCGCACGCUGCUGCCCAACGAUGGGCGCGCGCGCGCGCCCUGCCCUGCCCCUCUCUCUCCCCACCCCCAAAAUUAAGCACAAUCACUCCAAAAUCGAAAACAAUACUCCCAAACACCACCAACCACCACAAACAUCAUCACCACCACUAUUAUUCUCAAGCUAUAACUAUUAUUAUUCUAAAAUCUCAUUUUAAAUUAAUGAAAAUUAGAAAAAUGACUAACCUAGGUUUUGUUGAAGGUUGUAGAUCGUAGAUCGUAGAUCGGAUGCCGGUGAGAGAUGGAGCCGCCGUCGACGAGGGUUGAUGUCGCCGCCGAUGAUGGGAGUUGGAUCGGUUUGGGAGAGAUGAGUGAAAGGGAGUGUUGGGGGAGAGAUGAGGGAGGGGUAUUUUUGUCUCAAAGGUUGUUUAAUGGCUAAUGUUGAUAGAAAUAUUUGUGGGGGGUUAAAAUGAAAAAAAACAAAACUUUUUUGGUUAUUACUGUAAAUUUCCCCAAAAGUUAGCCAUAUAUAUAUAUAUAAUGUUUCGUAUCGAAACAGUAAACAAAUUAAUUAGAAAAGGGACACGGGCAUUAUACUUGGGCGACUAUAGGUAAGUAUUGAUUGAACCAAAAAAUUAUGACGCAAAAUGAUACGCUAACUAUCUAAACGAAAUUGACUGAGUGAUUUUGAUUGAUACAUUAAUAAAUGAAGGUAAUAAGAAAUCAGUUUCAGUCAUCCUUUCGUCUCGGGACAAGUACAUACACAAAUAGCCACUCUAGCUUCCAAAUGGAUUGAUUGGCACAAACAUGUAAAUGUCAAUUAAAGAUGGAGCAUUACAAAAAGAUAUACAAUUUGAGACAAAUUUGGAAUACCUUGUCAGCAAUAGAAUGCUUGUUACUGUUUAGAAAUUACUCGUCGGUUAUAAAUUCUUUGUUGAAUUAUUACGAUAUGUAUCUCUUCGUCAAUUGUAUGAAAAGAGAGAAUACACAUGCACACACAAAAUAUAAAUAUGGUAAGAAUCAAACAAACGGAAGUUAAGGUGGUAUUCAGUUCACAAAAAUGAGUGGAGAAAAUAUGGGAAGAAAAGAGAAGAAAGAAGAGAAAAUGACAGGAGAAUUCAAUUUAUGUUGUCUGAUUUUUUAAAAAAAAUUCCAAGAGAGAAAAGAAAUUAAAUAUUUUUGUUUUCGAUGCUUUUAAUGUUUAAUUUUAAACUUUUCAAGAUUUAACUAAAUAAAUUUAUUUUGUUUUGUUUUUAAAUAAAUCACUGUUUAACACAAAAUAAAAUUUCAAUAACUGUUAUUAUUUAUUCAAUUUAUGUUGGCACCCUCUCAUAUUUCUAAUUUUUUAUUUUUAAAAUUAUUAACAUAAAAAAUAUCAAUAAUAUUAUUUGACAAAACAAGUCAUAAAUAACAGUUAUUCAAUUAAAAUAAACUAAUUAAUAGAAUUUGACCUCUUUAAUUCUUUGGUGAAGGAUCCAUAUUCCUAAAUUUGAUAAAAUUCAAAUCUCAAUUGAAAUUGAAUUCCACCAUUCUAUUGCCAGCUGAACAAUGCAAGGGGACAGAGAAUCAAAAUCCUUUCCUCCCCCCUCAUCUAUCACCAUUCACCAAGUUCCAACCGAACACAAAAUAAUAGCGGUAAAUUUUGGAGCUAGAAUUGGAAAUUUUUAGGAGAUUAUAGAGGUAGCUUUUUGGAAGUCAAAGUCUAUAUAUAAUAAUUUAGACUGAAAUGUUAAAAUAUUAACAAUUAUUGGCGAAAAUGACAACAUAAUAUAUUUUGUGGGUUGACAUAUUGAAUUUGCGGGAGGAUCAAUACUGGAAUUACUGUUUGUCUCUUUCUUUUCAUAGGCUUGACUAGAGCCCAACCUUGUCGAUGUCAAAAUAAACUACGAGUAAAUAACACUAGUUAACAAUAAAAUAGCAAUUUUUCAUAAACUACUGAUACAUUAAUCAAUCAUUUCUGUUUCGUGCACUUAAUUUUAUUUCCUAAAGAUAAGGACGAGGGUAUUUUAAAAAUAUAAAUAAAUUGGACUUUGGACGGCAAAUUGACUUAUAUUAAUUGUUCGUAAAAGACAUAAUUAUUAAACAAAUGAAUAAAUAUCAUUAAUCUUCGCUUUCACUUAAAUAAAAACGUCGUUGUAUGUUGACUGAAGUUUUGUCAGUGCAAUACUGGAAGCACACAAGUUUCGUUCUUUUUUAUUUAAACAAAGUUUCCUCCUCCACCGAGAUUUCUUAAAAAAAAUGAAAAAAAAAUUGAAGACAAAAUAAGAAGUGGUUGAACUAAUUAUUUUAUUUUUGAUUGUCAUCUAUAUUUUGUUCUUUAUUAGAGUAUUAUUUGUUCAAUAAAAUAAAUAGCCAUAUUAUCCCCACGAAUCCCUAUGAUAAAUAUUAUAUAUGCAAAUUUUCUUACAUAUUAGGUUGAAUUGUUGAUUCUUUAAAAAAAAAAUUGCAGUGAGAAAGAGUCAUUUAUAUAACAGUUCUUACAUAAUAUUAUUGUAAUUCCGAAAUCAUGCCAUGAUUUUGGGUAGUGAAUUAAUCUGUCACUACCGACUGAUCUUUCAGACUCCAAGAGUGAAUUCAUCACUACAAAUAAUCUCCCAAUUAUUUCAAACUACAUCACUCAAGCUCGAUUGGACUAAACGUAUGGCCACAUUCUACACUAUCCUAAAUUCCUAAUUUUAUUAACCCAACAAAUUUCUCUCUACAGGCCUUAUUUGUUAAACGAUCAAAUUUUGAAGUUUUAUUAAUUUUAAUUUUUUUUAAAUUUAUUCGUUUACUUUUUAACUUAUUUAUAAUUUUCAAGCAUUUAUAUUUGAAUUGAAAAAGUUAAUUUUUUUAUUUGAAUAAAAAUAAAUACUAUAUCUCAAAAAUGUCUCUAUUAAAUAUGUUUAUGUCCUCAAAUAUAAAAACAUCAUCCCUUCAUUCAUUUUGACCUUAAAGACAUAAAUAUCAAAUAACUAAGUUUAAUUUUUUUUUUUAAGAAGAAAACAAGAUGCCACAUAUAAUAUGAUAUUAAAAAAGAAAAAGGCUUCAACCAAUUAAGACUUAAUUAGAUAUCAGAUAGAAAUACAAACGGUACUUAAGUCUGAAAGCAAAUAUUUUUUUUUUUUUUUUCAGUGGAAAUAUCAAGUUUAAUUUUUCUCUAUUGAGAUCAUAUAUACUGGUGAAAUUUCACCGAGCCACUUCACAUCAAAGAGCUCACUGUACAUUCUNNNNNNNNNNNNNNNNNNNNNNNNNNNNNNNNNNNNNNNNNNNNNNNNNNNNNNNNNNNNNNNNNNNNNNNNNNNNNNNNNNNNNNNNNNNNNNNNNNNNNNNNNNNNNNNNNNNNNNNNNNNNNNNNNNNNNNNNNNNNNNNNNNNNNNNNNNNNNNNNNNNNNNNNNNNNNNNNNNNNNNNNNNNNNNNNNNNNNNNNNNNNNNNNNNNNNNNNNNNNNNNNNNNNNNNNNNNNNNNNNNNNNNNNNNNNNNNNNNNNNNNNNNNNNNNNNNNNNNNNNNNNNNNNNNNNNNNNNNNNNNNNNNNNNNNNNNNNNNNNNNNNNNNNNNNNNNNNNNNNNNNNNNNNNNNNNNNNNNNNNNNNNNNNNNNNNNNNNNNNNNNNNNNNNNNNNNNNNNNNNNNNNNNNNNNNNNNNNNNNNNNNNNNNNNNNNNNNNNNNUACGCCCUUUAUGCAUAAUAUAUGAGUCGGCUACCAAAUUCAUUUCUUUGUUUGUGGCCCUACUUGCAAAUCAUCAGUGUUUAUCUGUCCAACAGUGAGUGGUGCAAACACGAGCCAUUUAAUAUGCUCCUAUAACAAUAGUUUCUAGUCGAAAUGUGAGGGAGUCACAAUUUUUGUUAUAAAGCCAAUAGGAAAAACUUCACUAUAUCUGCAUAUUUAUAUACGACAUAAUUCUAUUUCUUGCCAUUACAUAAUUUUAAUGCCGAAAUUAUUCAUAUUUAAUUUUUCGAUAAGUUUAUAUUCUUUCGUUCAUUUCAGGUUUGGACAAUUACUAAAAAAGGGGGGGUUUAAAUGAUUAGUUUAAUAAAUUUAUAAUUAUUUAUUUUUCUAACUAAACAAUAGGGAGCUAAUCGUAAAUUGCCCAUGAAAUUAAUGAAAAUGCCAUCUACUUAUUUCUUCACAAGCAAAUAAUGAUAUACCCAUUUGUAAAUACAACCCAUUAAAAUCUUGAUUUCUAUUAUUUGAUAAAUAAAUCCUAUUUAACGCCAAAUAUACCUCUAUGUUGUUAACAUAUGCAGUAUUCUAUUUUUAUUCUAUUAAUACUUAUCUAUUUAGAAUAUGAAUAAAAAAGCCUCUUCUGAUUUUGAUUAUUUAUCUAUCAAACUGUAAGUACAAAAUAUUUUUAAAAUAAAAUUAUUAUUAUCUUAUUGUUCAUAAUAAUAAUAAUCUUAUAUAACAGAAUUUCUUUUUAAAUGAUGUAGAAUAAAUCUUUUUAAAUAAUGUAGAAUAAAGGAUAGUAUUUUAAACAUUAUAGUAAUUUCCCACAAUUUUUUUAUAAUUUUGUAAAAAGAUUAAUCUUUUUUUUUUGGAAAUUUAUAAUAUUUUAUAUUAAAAGAUAAUGAUAUUUUAUGUAUCAAGAAUCGGAUAACUUUAUCUAGCUUAUGAAUAGUUAGGGAAAAAAACUCUUUUCAUCCUUAGGAUUUCAUAUAAUAGCUUAUUUCAUCCAUACUUUUUAAAUAAUAGCUCAAAACAUCCUUAUGCCAACUCACCAUCAGUUUAAUGUUGUUAAUUAGUAAUUCAUUGAGGGCAAAAUAUGAUUUUUUUAUUAAAGUGAUAUAAACUAUGUUAAAAUAAAUUUUUUACACAAUUAAAUCACACUACAAAACAUUAAAAUUUAUAUUUUGAAGUGAAUAUGAAAAUUUAUAAGGAGAAAGAUGUACAUUAAAUAAGGAGGAAUACCAAAAACUUUAUCUCUCUAAAUAUGUGCUAUAAAUAAAAAUAAUUAUAAAAAAAAGUAGAAAAUAAAAGACAACUCAAAUGUGAAACACUAUUUUUCAAUUAUAGAAUCUGACAUUGCAACCUAUAAUAACAUGUAAUUAUAUAAGGAUUAAAAAAUCAAUUAAGAAUUUCAAAUUAAACUAGAUCAAUACAUGUAAUUAUCAAUACUUGUAAUUACACUCAAUUAAAAAUUGCAAGUAAAACUUUUAUAUUUGAAGUGAAGUAUUAAAUUACGAGACUUAAUAAAUUAAACAAUUAAAAUUUAUUCAUCCUUUCAAAUUGUAAAAGUAUUAUUAGUCAAAAGUUUCAAUAAUGAACUAAACUCAAUUCAGUAAAAAGGUAUUUGGGUGUAAUUUCUUUUUUAUCAGGCGCUUUGGCUCUCUUUAAAGAACUAGAUGUUGAUGAUUUUUCUAUCAAAAGCUCUUUAAAAUACUCAAAUUUUACUUUCUAAAUCGUCCUCUUAGUUAAUAUAACUAACAAAUAAAAUUUGAAAAUUGACAUUAAAAGUUUAUGAAAAUAUUGAUAAUUGUUACUAUAUCUUGUUUCUGUCAGUACUUUUAAUACUAGUGACGAUGUUAUAUUACAUUGACAUAUUUUUUAAUUAGAAUUUAAAAAAAUUAAAGCAGUAAUAAAAUUUUAGCUCCCUAGUGUUUUCAAUCUAAUCAAUAAAAUAUACAAUUUAAUCAUUUUAUAAAAUAAGUCACUAAUUUCAAUUGAAAAUAAUAUAAUGGAAUUAGGGACAUAUUUGUAAAUAAAAUAAAAACUCUAUUGUUAUAUAAAAUUGAUGAAAACAUAAGGGUAAUUGAAUUAGGGACAUAUUUGAAUGUAAAAUAAAAACUCUAUUUUUAUACUAAAUUGAUGGAAACAUAAGGGUAACUGAAUUAGGGACAUAUAUGAAAAUAAAAUAAAAAUUCUAUUAUUUUACUAAAUUGAUAAAAAAGGAAGGGGUAUAACUGAUUUUUUUUGGACUAGACCGGGCUACAGCUAGGUCUAGCCCACGUGUAGGUCUGCCAUUGGAAUAAUCAUCUUAAGCAACAAAUUAUAAUUAACACAAUAUAUUUAAAUCAUUGGAAGAAAAACUAAAAAAUACAGCCAACUUUUAUUUACUUGCAUGUGCUGAACGUCUUAUUAAUCUUCAAUCAAUUUUUAUUUUAAACUUUACCACCACUUUUCCUUGACCAUUAUUAUCUCUCAUAGUCCUUACCAUUGUCUCCCCAAAUCGGCUCACAAUGCAAUUAGAGAGUAUACUUAUAUAAACAUGAAAAUUAUAAUUAUUUGUUGUACUUAGAUAUAGGGUUUAUAGGGCUUUCAUGUCGCCAAAAUAGAGAGAAGUGCAAAACAAUUACUUGAAAUUGUAUUUCUUGUUUAGCGGGAUUAGAUAAAAAUUAGUUUCAGUUAUAUGUCAACUUUUUUUUAUUUUUUCUUUAAUAAAAAAUCUUUUUUUGCCCUCAACGAAUUAUUAACAAAUGACAUUUACUAACAAUGAGUUAACGGGAAUGAUGUUUUAGGCUAUUGUUUAAAAAGAAGAGAUAAAAUGAGUUAUUGCAUGAAACUUUAAGGAUGAGAAUGGCUUUUUUUCCGAAUAAUUAUUCAAUCAUCAAAUUUAAGGAUACAAUUGUAACGUAAAAAAAAAAAAUCUACUAAAUGUGGUGCCAUUACACAAAGAGCAGUGACCGCGCAAGGAAAUAGUGAAACAGAAUGGUUGAGACAAGUGACGACAAUCCGCUGGAAAAAUUAUAUUAAAACAAGAAAGCGAUUGAAUAGUUUUCAAAAGUCAAGUAUAUAUUAAAGGGUUUGCCUACCUUACGUUAAAACAUAAGGUAGCAGCUCCCUAUAUCAAAUAGAGUUUGCCAAGUCUUCAAGUUNNNNNNNNNNNNNNNNNNNNNNNNNNNNNNNNNNNNNNNNNNNNNNNNNNNNNNNNNNNNNNNNNNNNNNNNNNNNNNNNNNNNNNNNNNNNNNNNNNNNNNNNNNNNNNNNNNNNNNNNNNNNNNNNNNNNNNNNNNNNNNNNNNNNNNNNNNNNNNNNNNNNNNNNNNNNNNNNNNNNNNNNNNNNNNNNNNNNNNNNNNNNNNNNNNNNNNNNNNNNNNNNNNNNNNNNNNNNNNNNNNNNNNNNNNNNNNNNNNNNNNNNNNNNNNNNNNNNNNNNNNNNNNNNNNNNNNNNNNNNNNNNNNNNNNNNNNNNNNNNNNNNNNNNNNNNNNNNNNNNNNNNNNNNNNNNNNNNNNNNNNNNNNNNNNNNNNNNNNNNNNNNNNNNNNNNNNNNNNNNNNNNNNNNNNNNNNNNNNNNNNNNNNNNNNNNNNNNNNNNNNNNNNNNNNNNNNNNNNNNNNNNNNNNNNNNNNNNNNNNNNNNNNNNNNNNNNNNNNNNNNNNNNNNNNNNNNNNNNNNNNNNNNNNNNNNNNNNNNNNNNNNNNNNNNNNNNNNNNNNNNNNNNNNNNNNNNNNNNNNNNNNNNNNNNNNNNNNNNNNNNNNNNNNNNNNNNNNNNNNNNNNNNNNNNNNNNNNNNNNNNNNNNNNNNNNNNNNNNNNNNNNNNNNNNNNNNNNNNNNNNNNNNNNNNNNNNNNNNNNNNNNNNNNNNNNNNNNNNNNNNNNNNNNNNNNNNNNNNNNNNNNNNNNNNNNNNNNNNNNNNNNNNNNNNNNNNNNNNNNNNNNNNNNNNNNNNNNNNNNNNNNNNNNNNNNNNNNNNNNNNNNNNNNNNNNNNNNNNNNNNNNNNNNNNNNNNNNNNNNNNNNNNNNNNNNNNNNNNNNNNNNNNNNNNNNNNNNNNNNNNNNNNNNNUAAUAAAAUUUAAUAAUUUUGAACUCAUGCCACGUAAGCUAUCAACUCAAUUUGUACAAUUGCUUUUAUUAUAAAUCAUUAAUAUGUUUUAUAUAUUAAGUUUUAUUUAAGUGAAGAACUUUGGCAUAAAUCUUGAGCUAUUAAUAUCAAGAGAGAUUGUUAAUUUUCUCCCUAAUGUAAUCAAUAUACAUCAUUUACUCCCUUAUUAUUUUCUUAAUACCCAAUAAGCCCCGACACCAUAAUUUUCUAGCAUUAACCUUGUUUUUAAAAUACAUUUUUAUUAUGUUUAUUAUCAAUUAAAUAAAUCAUAUAAAUUGAAAAUUAAAAAAAAUUCUAAAAGGAAGAAACAUGGGUUUUGGUGUAAAUAAAAAAUGAAUGAUAACAUUUUGUUUUUUACUUUUUGUUGCUUUUAAACAUUUUUUCUUAUAAUAAAUUUAUAUUUUAUAGCCGAAGAUCAAACAUCAAGCAAAUUCCUUUAAAUUUUUUGUGACAGAAGGGGUUAUUGGGUAUUAUUAGAACAAUAAGGAAGAAAGUAAUAUAUAUUGAUUUCACUAGAGGGAAACUAACAAUCUCUUUAAUUUUAAUCUGUAAGUGUGUGUGUGUAUAUAUAUAUAUAUAUAUAUUAUCAUUAUCUAAUAAGGGAUUUAUUUAAAUUAUUAAGUAAGGGAUAAACUAAAAAAAAUGAAAAACAUAUCCUUCAAUACAAUAUAUUUUAUUAUGUAGUACAAUACAACGUGUGUUUUUCUUAUAUUUUAAGGGAUUUCUUACUUGAUUAAAGUUCGAGAACCAUCGUUGCAAGACUACAUGUUUUAUAUAUAUUUUUUAUCUGAUAAAUUUUAUAUGUAUAUACUCUUAUGGUCAUUUUAGGUUGCGUGAAAAAGCAUGUAACGCCAAUAACACGGAUACAUGAGGGCGCUGUGAACAGAGGUAGCGAGAGCACGAAGUACUCCAUCAGAUGCCGAAGUUCAUUAUUUCACUUGAGCAAUUGCAGGAAUAGAAACGGCGAGGGUAUUACAAACGACAAACAGUGUAAACCAUUCAACAGGCACCGUGCUCCCGUCACGUUACAAGAUGAAGCUGCAUCAAGAUUCGACGAAGAUAAUAAUAAUUCCAUCGGCUUUCGCGAUGCUUUCCUCAAGAAUAUCAACGCAAUUUUUCAAUUCACUCGUCCCUUCUUUCUUCUUGGCGUUGUGAGUUGCUACUUGUUAAUUAAUUUAUAUAUAAUUAAAAAACAGGUAUAUAAAUAUUCUCAGGUGUCGAUAUCUAUUUUUUUUUAUAUAUGAAUUCAUUGUACACACCAUAUGAUAAAUUAGUCAAUGAAACAAAAAAUAAUAAAAACAUUAAUACAUCAUAUGAUGUAUAUAAUGAAUUUUUAUUUUAAAUACAUUAAUAUUCACACUGAAGAAAGAAUACACAUGCACACAUAUAUAAAAUGAAAUAAAUUUCUAUUUAUAGUUAACGUAAAUAUGAUUUUUAUGUUUUUUAUUGAUUAUGUUUUAUGCAGACGAUUGAUAUGACCUCGGUAUCUCUUCUUGCACCGCAACAGUUUGCUGAUUUGACUCCGACAUUUUUUAUUGGAUUAUUGAAGGUAAAUUAUAAAUUAAUUAAUGAUGUAAUAAUAAAAAUUGCUUGUAAUGUACUGUUUGGUAAUUAUUUAAAUAAUUCUUCAUUAUAUUUCAGGCCAUAGUGCCCGGAUUACUGGUGAACAUUUAUGAGGUGGGAGUAAACCAGUUGUAUGAUGUUGAAAUAGACAAGGUAUAAAUUUCAUCAGAGACAACUAAUUUUAUGAAUAAUUAGUUCCAAUCAUAAAUAUAUACAAUCUGUGCAUUACUAAAUUAGGUAAUAAUUUCAUUAAUAUAAUUUCAUUCUUAGUUAUAUUGCUUACUUAAUUUUUCUGGUAAAUUAGUUUAACAUUGUUUAAUUCAUUGUUAAUAAAGAUUAACAAGCCUGAUCUCCCCCUUGCUUCCGGUGAUUUGUCCAUUGGAGCUGGAAUCACAAUUACUUGCACAUGUUUAUUGAUGGUAAGCAAAUGCUAACAACUGCUGCUUAAGAAUUUCUUUUAAUUUUUAGUAUUGAUUAAUUUGUUAAUUAUUAGGAAAAAUAACUCUCUAAUGUCGCUACUAUCGAAUUUAUAUUUAGUAAGUGAAGCUAUAUUCCAUCUAAAUUUAUGUAAUUUUUAAUUCAUUGAUUUCAAUUUUCAGAGUCUGGCUAUAGGAAUUAUGCUUCGAUCUCCACCCCUUAUUUCUACCAUCAUUAUGUGGUUUGUACUUUCAAGUGCGUAUUCUGUCGAUGUAAGUGUGGCCCUGAGUGAGAUUCACUACUAUUUUUAUCAACUUUAAAAUUUUAAUUUGUACGUUGCACAAGUUUUUCAAAAUUAUUUUAUGUUGGAAUAAGUUUCAAGUUUAAGUUUUCAACUCACAUGUUCUUUUUUUUUUUUUAAAGUAAUCAAUAUGUUAAACUUAAUUAAUUCACAACAUUGGUCAUUUGAUCACAAUAUAUUCAUGAUCUAAUUGGUUAUUUAUCAAUCUUGUAGCUUCCCUUUCUUAGAUGGAAGAGAAAUCCAUUUCUAGCAACAAUGUAUGGGGUGCUUGAGAGGGGACUUGCAAUGCCUCUUGGUUACUUCAUGCACAUCCAGGCACGUACAAAUUGUGCCUAGCUCCGUGUCAUCAUUUGGUCACUCAUUUAAUUAACUUUUUAUUUUCUUUUGUAUUUUCCACUGAAGUGGGUUUGAAAUAUACCCUGCAUGCAUACAGAAGUACGUGCUUGGAAGACCUAUAGAGUUUUCAAGAACAUUGAUGUUUGUAGUGGCUGUCAAGUGCUGGUUUUGCGUUUUGCUUGUACUUCUUAAGGUAAAUAAACUGAGAAACCUUAAAAAUGAGCAGAGCAUAUAUAUAAUGGAUUAUGGAUGGAUACUAAUGUAUUUUCUUUGGACUUUAAAUAGGAUAUGCCUGAUGUGGAUGGUGAUAAAGAACAUGGCAUUCAAACGCUCAGUAUCGCUCUAGGAAAAGAGAAAGUGUGUAAAUUAAUUCGAAUAAAUUCUAUAACCAUCAUUUUUAACUUCAAUUUUUGUCCUAGAUUUUCCUUUCUAACUGUUAUUCUUCUUAACAGGUACUUUGGCUAGGUGUUUAUAUGUUAUUAGUUGUCUACGGAGCUCUUGUAAUAGCAGGAGCUUCGUCACCCUUCCUGGAAAGCAAGCUUAUCACUGUAAGAAUGGGGGGGGGGGGGGGUGUUGAUUUGUUACGGAAUUCUAGAUUUUAUUAAAAUUUGAGAAAACUAUUAGAUUAUAUGGUCUAAUAAUGCCAUUACACUACUAAAUCAUAUGGCUUAAUAGUUUUUUCAGACUUUAACAAAGCCCACAACUAUGCAUUGUAUUAUUUCAUAAGAAAUUUAGCCUUUUAUGUAUGUGAUCACAAUUACUUACUAAUUAAGAAUUAAAUUGUUUUUUUCUCGCAGAUUAUUGGCCACAGCACACUUGCAUUUCUUUUGUUGCAACGAGCUCGAAAUGUUGAUGUCUCCAGUCAAGCAGCAAUACUUUCUUUUUACAGGUUCAUUUGGAAGGUAGGUGGUUCUACUUUGAUGUGUAAUUUCAAUAUUAUUUUCAUUCAAAUCCAAGAAAGUUUUAGAAUUUUAUUUAAUUGUAGACUGACUUAUAUAGUUAUGUGUUUUUGCACGCAUUUGCAGUUACUCUUUGCUGAACACAUCCUCCUUCCAUGCGUACGACUAUGAGAUAACUUUGUUGCCAGCUUACAGCAACUAUUGUGUUGUGUUGUUGUGUUAAAACGAUAAUAAGGUUGUUACGAUUGAUGUCAAUAAGUUGUUAGAUAAGACUUAAAAAUCUAUAUAUUCAUGCACCAAUGUUCCAGAGAUCUACUACCAUAGACAAGAUUAAUGUCAUUUAUAUAUGGCAAAAUUUACGUACUUGUGAAAGUUCAUGCACUCGAGUACAACUGGUAGCUUUUUCUUUAUUUUCUGAUGGCUAAAAGUUUAAACCCUUGUAUCAACGAGAUUUUUGCAGUUCACUCUUUUUGACGUCGAUGUCUGGUUUCUACUUUUCAUCCUUUGGAAACAAGCCAUAGCCCUUGCAACUGCACUUAUUAUUACAUACGUGGGGAUGACGAGUUCACUGUUAGUGUUUUUGAGCUUUUUCUUUAUUAUUAUAAAUUUUAUUGACGGUCUAUAAUAUGGUGUGUUUGUCAAAAGAUAGAAAGUUUUCUGUAUGUUAAAAAUGUCACACGUCCUUCGGCAGUAAAUUUUGAACAUUAAUAUUAGAUUAGGAAUAUAUAAUAGGCGAUUAAAAAUAUUAGAGUUCUAAAGAGUAAAAAAUAUUAAUAUUACAUCACGGAUGUAAUGGAUGAUUUCAAAAACAAUACUUACAGAGUCUAAAAGAAAUCAACUACUGCCACUCACUAAUCAAUUAAUGUCACAUUAUUUAAAAUAGUUUUUUAAGACAAAAAAUUUAAGAUGAGUAGCACUAUCUUCAAAGAGUAAUAAUAAACAUCCCAUUUUUUUAAUCUCAAAUUUAUCUCAAUUUAUGUGUUAUUCAUUAAAUAAUUGAUAAUUUUUUUAUAAAAUUUAAAUAAAUUAAUUACAUCAUCUUACCAAUUAAUUACUAAAUACCACAUUAACCAAUUAAUAAAUACCACAUUAUUUGAAAUAGUUAACCAAUUAAUAAAUACCACAUUAACCAAUUAAUAAAUAUCACAUUAUUUGAAAUAAUUUUUUUGGAUGAAACAUCUGGAAUGUUUAAUAGCGCUGCAAAAGCAUCAAAUCUUCUCCACAUUCUUGGUUAUAGCACCCCAAUUCCAAGAUACUGUCUGAAAUCCAUUUUAAUUUUCCACUUACUUUUUCUUUAGGAAUUUAUUCCGAGCACUAAUGUACUGGAUCGAACAUCGAAGGCUCAUCAGAGACUAGCUAGGAUUUCAUUUUAUUUCUUAUGGUAAUUUUGCGUAGUAGAUGAAACUGAAUCACAAAAAGUAGAAAAUGAAACGUUCACUGUUCACACAAGAAAUUCCCUUGCUUAUUUUUUAAUACCAUAAGCCAGCCUAUCAAACAGAAUCGGACUACAUCAGCUUUCGCAUUCAGUGUUCUGUUACGUGUCGAAUUUAACUAACCGGCAGCAGGAAUGGUUUAAGCCUACGUGAUAGCAGUCAACAAGCAAAUGCAGGUGUCAAUGAUGACGCUUUCUGGAGAUCAAAGAAAUGAACAUUACUAGACCAAAGUGAAAUGUAUAUAUUAACCCAUCAAAUUAUUAGAAAAUAGAAAUCUGUACAGGUUGAUCGGGGUUAGCGCCAUUACGAAAUGAGAUGGCUGGAAAAACAGCAUGUAGUGUUUCUUAUGUACAGAAUCAAUACAAGAAAACGAUAAUUUGGCGAAAGUAAAUCUAGGCAUUUCAGUUGCCAAUGUCGAAGUAUCUUGGAUCUUCUGGGAAAUGGUAUUCUACAUUCAACUGCCAUCAGACGAGAAAACCUCUAUUAGCCCUAAAGUACUAGGACACCAAAUAAAAAAAUUCUUUGGUCUACAUUAUCAUGAUAAAGAGUCUUAUAAAGACUGAUCAACUUAUGCAUAUGCAGGCAGCAUCAACUGGGUAAGGCUCACUAGAAAUCUAGAAUCUAUAAAGAAAAUUUUUUCUUGAGGGUUAAGGAGUGCAAAUACGAGGCAUUACCAGAUCAUUCAGCCAACAAAUAAUUACUUCAGUACUCUCAUUUUCUAUCAGAAUCCAGAGACAAAAUUAAGGAUACUCUAUCUAAGAAUUCAUAUGACCAAACAACCCAUCAGCUUAAACACCAUACAAAUGUGCAAAAUGAACACAAGAGAACUUAAGAAGAGUGCAUACUAGAGCCAAAAAACAGAUGAAAUCAAGAUCACAUACCGUGCCCUCAUCAGCAUCUGAAUGGCGUUGAGGAAACACAACCCUCAAGUCAUUGUAUAGAUAGAACCUUCGCUCACCUUCCUUGUCUAGACUUGCAUUUUGUGGCACAGAGAAAGGAUCAGAUUUACAUCUCUGAACCAAAUGCGACUUUUUCUUGGGAGAGGGGCAUAAAAACCGAAGAUGAAGAGCAUAACGCAGAGCACCAGCUCCAGAAUUAUUCUCGUUAACUUUAGAACAACUAUUAGCUAGCCUCUUGCAAGUUUCAUGACAUGUAUCCAUGCAGUUGGUAUCCUUAUGAUCAGUCUUUGGCCACAGCCAAUCACCAUUAUUGUACCCAUUCUCAAGCAUACAGGAACGAAUACUUGCCACAUCCUGGGAUUGAGUGGAUGACUUCCUUCUAUCUACUGAAUCCACUAGAUCAGAACAUUCAAUUUCUUUAACUUCAGUAUUCUGGUCAAUAGAAUGCCUAGCAUGCGCCAUGUCAACUCCAUCUGAAUUUAAGAAUCUGCUAAACUUAACAGGGUGGCUUUGCUGUUGGACUGCAGUUACCUUUUCUCUGACUUUAGUUCCCAAACUUAUCUGUCCUUGUUUCAACUCUGUAGAUGUCAGGCCAGAAGAGGCUAGAGUAACCUUCUGUCGCAAGAAUGUCUAAUUUGAUUUGAACGGCAGUGAAAAAAAACGAAAGAAAGAAAACCGCACAUACAAUUAGAUACAAUGAGAUUAAAAGUCCACUGUCCACACGACAUGAACAUAUAUAACUUGCAUACAAUGAAAAGACACUAAAGAGAGAAAUUGUAGCACCAAAAAAGAAAUAAUAAGCAUGAAACAAAAACAAAAAUCAGUGAGGGAGAUAUGCUUUAAGAUGUGACUAUUUUCUGAGUGAUUACCAUGAUAACAUUCUUGAAUGUUCACAAUCAAAAUGAAUACUAUCACAACAGACAUAAUAGGAACAAAUUCAAUAAAUUUAAGCUUCCUGAAAUGACCAAACCUCUGACAUUAAAAAAGUGUUUGCUUCCAGGAGAAAUCAACUUUAUGUAAUAUUCCAAUUCAACUAUGAUAAACAAUUUAAUUCAUCAACUUUCAAAUGACAUCCAGAAGCAGAAGAAGUGUCAUCGACAUUGCAAUCUAAGACAAGGUUAGUGCCCUCUACUAAUUGCUUAUUUCACAUCAACAGUUUGCUAAAAGGAAAAUUUCCUUUUCAAUAGAGCCAGAGCACUUGUUCAAUCAGAGACCAAACUAUAAUUUAAUGAAGACAAAAAGCAGGUUCUAUUGAAUCUUACUUUAGUACCAGCUGGCAUGUCACUCAAAUCGUAGUUGCACAGGUAUGUGUGAACAGGUGUUUUUUCUGGGUUGCUGAGAACCUACACAAAGCAAAUCAUUUUAAAAGUAAAUAAAUAUGUUAUAUUCUUUAAAAGAAACUAUUAAAUACCUAUAAGCAUGUAGAUUCCAGAAACCUUAAAACCAACAUCUAUAAAUAGAAAUCCCUUCCAAGAGAUCAGGCAUGUUACUUUCCAAGCAUGAAUGUAUGAGAGAAAACUAUAGGAUUAGAAUUGUUCCCAUAUGAAUGACUUCUCAGUAGAUGAUAUAACAUAGCAACAACUAGAGAUCCUUCUCAGGUACAUACACGGUAUGCUAGUUUGAUAUAUAAAUUAAGGUCCUGUUUGGGAUGCUGUGGAAAAAAAACUGUAACUAUAAAACAAAAGUUAAUAAUAUGCCGUAAAUAUAAAAUUUAAAUAGUAAUUUUAACAAAAUUAUUAAAGAUAUAAUAGAUUUUUCAUCAAACAAGUGAAAAAUUAUAUCAACAUAGCUUCCAAGCUACAGCAGCUAGUGUUUACCAAACACUUUAGUGCUUACCAAACACUUUAGUGCUAUAACUUUUAAGCUACAGCUGCCUAACCUCAAUCCCAAACACACCCUAAAUCAGUCCACACAAUCAAUAUAAAAAAAACAUAUGGACAAAUAACAUAACCAGAACUCCCAAAGCAAAUUAUUUUAAUGCAGGGAAAAUCUUGUCAACUUGAACUUGGGCUCAUCAAGGUCCCAUAUAGUGGAUGUGAACAACCAACAAACAACGAUCAUUAUCAUUCCGAAGCCUAAAUGGUAUAAAUUAAGCAAAAUCUAUAAGCUAGAGAUUAUAAUUGCCGCUAAUGGAAUCUAUCUUAUUUGAUAUUGGAAAUAAAAGAAACACUAUCCAGUUUUGUAAGUAAAUUACACUCUACACAUUUUGUCUUAGGCACUAAGAACCAGAAAUUACUUGGUAAAGAGAUUUGCAUACCAGUUGUAUUCGUCCUUUCAUAGGAAUACGGAAGCAGCUUUUAACAGUUUGUGAAUCAUCAUUCCCAAGACCUCUUUGCAAUUUUUGGGCUCUGCACUUGUUUGAUGAAUUUCUUGCAAGAUCUAUGGAUGCAUAAUAGAGUAAAUAGCAAUCCCCAUCCACACUAGUAACAGAAAAUGGCAGCUUCUGUGAUUGUGGUGAGAAGUUCCCCCCAGUAAUGCUAAGUACAGCAAGGAAACCAUCAAUUCUCUGCACACAUAGAUGCCAAAAGCAAGCAGUAGAAUUGCAGCAGAUAUUAGUGAAGAAUAAUUACCAACUCUCUCAUGUCCUAUAACAAAACAAAAGUACUAACCUGACUGGACUUUCCAGAAAUCAAGCGUCCAGACAAUAGGGACUCCUCAAAUGAACCAACCAAGGACCUUCUAACCGAAAGUCCACUUAAACUUCUUACAAACCUAAAGCAUUGGGAUGUGGGUGGUGAUUCUUGAUGCAAACGCCAACUUAAGCCAGCUGUGCUUUCUAGAGAAGAUGGACGAAACUCUUUGUGAACAUCUUCAAAUGAUCUUCUUCCAACCAUAAACUCCGCUUCUUCAGUUGAAAAGAUAAUGCCAGAGUCAGAAUCAUUGAUAGAUUCUUCCAAAUUCUUUAAGGUGGAACAAUGAUCUCCUAUCUCUCUCUUAACCUUCCUGCAUCCUGGCACAGUUUCUAUUCUCUCAGAAAAUUUUGGACCAAGAGGUGACAAGGAAAGACAAGGUAAGAUAGCCUUUUGAGGAGAUAUGGGUGUCAGUCCACAACGUGAUAUUACCUUACUUGAUUCAUUGAACUGAUCAAGUCCAGGCAUAAACAAAAAAUUAUUGUGCUCGCCUGUGUCAUUGUUUUCCAGCAAAGGGCCAUCGGUCAAAAUAAUGGAUGAAGUUCUACUGUUAUCAUAUGGGACAAUCUUCUGUUCGAAACAACUGGAUUCGGACCAGGAUAAUGUUGUGAAUUGGAUUUUGCUUCCAACAUUUACUUUCUUAUAAUCUUGUGACGUUGAGACACUAGAACUAUUAAUCCUGACAGGGAGAUUCAUUUGAGAAUUACUGAAGCCAAUGUCCAGAGGAUCACCAUUAAACUGGUCUGGAAAAAGCAUAGUCUUUAGAGGUGAUAACAACCGCUUUCUGACCAAUGACCCACCGCCCUCAGUUCCAUUAACUGCGACACCAUCAACAGAAGAUGAAUGAGCAUCAUCAGCAGAAACACCCUGAAGUUCCUUACUUAGAGAACUUGUUCCACGAGAUUCAAAACCAACUAUCCUAGAAACAGGAUUUGGAGUAUUCCAUCCACUUUUAGGAAUAAACAGACCAACUUUAUCCGCAGAUGUAAUCUUAAAACCAUGUACACUGGAAGUAGCAUCAUUUGACCCUCCAGAUUUAAAUGAUCCAUCAGAAAACUUGGAACUUUCCAGAGAGGCUUUCCUCUGGAAUUCUCCAAUAGGAGAGCAUUGCGUUUCUACAGCUGUUUGGCUCACACUUCCUCCAUGCAUUCCAUCCAAAUCACAGGUGCUCACACCAGAAAGUCGUUGGGGGCUUUGCAAAAAUGAGGCCGAUGAUGUUGCUGCAACUUCCUCAGCACUAUUGCCAGAGGAAACUUGCGGCAAACCCAUCCCUAAACUCUUUUAAGUUAUUUACCUUCUCUUUUUUUUCCCCUUCUUUGAUGUAUAUUUUAAUUUUCUACUUUCAUCUAACUUAAUAUUUUCAGCUUAUCUUCUCCUGUCUAUCUAUUUUUCCGGCCUAAAGAACACAUCUACCAUGAGCUUCCCAAUCUUAACAGCACUAGUAAAGAAAUGAAAAAUCCAACCUGUCCUGUAAAUGCUAGAACAAUUGUUAAUAUAAGCAAUUCUGUGAAAUGUGAGACCCUACUUAACAAUCAAACCCAGUACUAUGUAUCCACAAAAGGCAUCCACAUUUCAAAUACAACUUCUUCACAAGAUUGUAUGCUUAAACCCAAUCUCCUAUUAACCAUCCAGGGAUGACGAGUGGCACAAAUCUUUUGACCUCCAUACCAGCAAGCAAUGAGAUUCAUAGAAUUCAUUGUUGCCCACAGUAUCAAAGCAUGCACCUGAUUUUAAAAAAAAGAAAUGAAGGAAAACAAUAGCACAUAAUUAGUUGUACAAUUCAGGAAAUUGAUUGCACUAAAAAUUUAACACAUUUAUAAAACUGAUUUAAAGAAUAUUAAACAACAUUAAUCAAUACAAUUACUAUGAAAAGCAGCCAGUUACUAUAUAAGAUAAAAAAUUAAAAAAGAAAAAAUCAACUAGCGAUGGAAACUAAGGGAACCGCUCAAAAUCUAUCAUUCAACUUACAUAUAUUAAAGCAGAUUAUCUCAAAAAAAUAUAUAACCCAUAAUUUUUUUAAAAAAAUAAAUAAAUCAAAGAAAACCCAGGAUUUUUUUAACAGAUACAUUUAAAAGAUCAUCAGCGCACCAAUUAUAAAGAAGACGGAGAACAUGAGGAAGUGUUCGCUUGUACAUCACACAUACAGCACAACUUUUUAAUGAUCAUCUCAUACAAGCAAACAGCAUAUGGUUUUAAAUUUUUUAUUUCGUUCUUUCUUCUGCUUUUAACACAAAGCAUAAACUAAACAAAUUAUUAAAAAGAAUACAGUUUUGAUUGGAAAAUUCAAAAAAAAGGAAAAGAAAAGAAAACACUCACAAAUGAAAGCUUGCUGGGAUGCAAUAAUCAAGUGAUGGUGGUCGUGGUAGUAGUAGAUAAGUCAUUCUAAUGAUCUACCCAUGGAAAUUCAAAAUUCCCCAGAUCACACAAAAAUCAAAAUCUCUCUAAAUAAGCAGAAAAUAAAUUAUUUUUCGGAAUUUUCAAUAGAGGAAAAAAAAAAUAAAAAUGGGAUGAUAAUGGUAAAGAGGAAGAGGUGGGUGAAGGUGUGCAGGUUUUGUUAGGCCUGUAAUGCUAUGCUCUUUUUUAUACCUAAUAUUUGGUUACUACUGCAUUACUUUCUUUAUUUGCAUGUUGUAACUUUUUUUUUUUGGGUGAGACAUUAGAUACUAAAUUAAGUUUCUGGUAAAAUCCAUGAUUGUUGCUUAUUUAACAGUAAAUUAUUUUCUUUUUUGUUAGGAAAAAAGUAAGUAAAUUACAUAAGUAGGAUUUUUCAUGUCGCAAAUGUCAUGACAAGAUUAUCAAAAUUCUUUUCAUGGAUAUAAUCAUUUCAUACUUUUCUUUCCGGGUGGCAUUAAUAUAUAAUGAGUGUUUAUAUUAAUACAAGCUACACAACUGGCAAAAUUUUUCAGGAUGCAAGGGGUCUGAAUCCGAAUAGAAUGGACUAUGGAGUUUGAUUACCAUUCUUGCAUUGAGGUGCUUUAAAAAGAACACAAAUAUAGAAAGUAUUGUAAGAAAUUAAGAACUUAAACAAAUAUUAUGCAUUUUGGUAUAAGUAGAUAAUGGAUACUAACAUCAAAUUCCCCUACAUUUUUGUACAAUUUAUAACAAGUACAUAGUUUUGCAUAUACAUUAAAUAUGUCCCUAGCUUUUAAGUUAUUUCUUUCAUGUAACUUACGUGACUCACCAAAAAGAAAAGUUUUAUUAGGAUUGUCCUACCACUUAAUAGUCGGUUGAAAUUAAGAUUGAAUAGUUAUAGUUUAAAAACUACAGUGUUGAAGUAUUUGGUAGACAUUAAUUAUCAUUCUUUGGACGUUAUGUUGAUGCGAUUUUAGACUUAUAUGAUGAAAAAUCUAUUAUAUAUUUAAUAAUUUUUUUAAAUUUUUGAUUUAAAAAUUGUAUAACUAUAUACUAUUAACUUUUGUUUUACAGUUGCAGUUUUUUCUCUAUUGCAACUGUAGCUUAAAAGGUAUAACACUUCAAUUCUAAACAGGACCUUAGUCUGCUGUGGUGGUACCGACCACUAAUACUUUACCAUUUAGUAGAGUAAUAGAUCUUAUUAUAAGAUAACAAAUAUAUUCCACCCUACGAUCUCCCAAACCUAAUAUUAAAAAAAUAAUAAGUCUUAUUUUGGAAUCCACAAAUCUAUUAUUUGAUAGAAUAUUAAUGGCAGAUCCUACCACUUAAACAAGUUGAGAAGGUAAACCGAUCCUAUAUAAGUAUUUUUAUGAUUUUUUUUGGAAAAUUCUAUAAUAUUGUAAUAAAAAUUUUUGAAAUAAUUUGUUAAAAUGACUUAUUUGACACAAAUAGACAGAUUAUGUCCUUACUUGAAAAAAAUCAAGAAUCGAUAUGUUACUAACCCUUCAUAAACAAUUUUCUUAAAGAAAUCAUAAUAAUUUUUAUGUUAUUCAAUAGAAAUUUGGUUCCAAUUACCAUAUGACAAUAAAUAAAACCGAGAUUCGAUUUAGGUUUUCUAAUUUAUUGGGUAAUAAUACUAUGUGAAAUUAAAUACCUUUUAGCAAUUUAAGUUACUCAAUAGUCAAUAAACACAAACCUACAAUGAUUCAUGACCAAAAUACCCAGCAAACAAACCGUGCCCGAAAACACAAUUGAAGGGCGUCUAAUAAAACGUUUUGACCCAUCCAACAAACCAAACCAAACCAAAUCAAACAUAAUGUGAUUGCUUUCGGUUUGUCAUCAUAUUUGUUUUUUUUUAAAAGGGUUUGUCAUCUUAUUAAAUACUAUUAAUUUGUAGUAAAUUUCAAACGAAUGUAAAAAAUGUAAAUAUAAAGUUUUUAUUUGACAACUUGUCGGUACCGUUCAAUGUAUUAUUAAGCAACGGAAAUGCUUUCGGUAAAAGUCACAAUCACGCCGUACGAGAGCAGUAGUUCUAGAAGGCAACAAGUGGCAAGGACGGAGCGACUCAUCAGGAGACGUGUCAACAAGAUAAUGCGCGUCAUUGGAUGUCCAGGAUACGAGGCCAAAGCACGGCAGAUAGGGCGCCUGCAGAGACAUCAUGGUCAAUGGGGACUCAUUAUCCACUUCCUGUGUUCACCAAUCGAUUACGCGUUACAUUUACAGGUUGGUACUUUCUUCUCCUCACGUUCAAUUACAACUUUCAUAAAAUUUUAAAAUGAAUAAAUUAAAUAAAGAGCCGAUCUUGUUGUUACAACAGUGCUUGUAAAAUUUCAACUCCACCACUUCCAAUGCACACCUAAUUCAAUACCACAUGCCAUGUUUGUGAUAACUCCUCUAGAAGCAGUUAAAGUUAGUUACUGCAAGCAUACAAAUACUGGCUAAAUUUGAGGGCAAAUUUCGUUGAUCUUCAAUUUUAUAUUAAUUACAAGUAAUUACUCAAAAAAAAAAAAUAAUUACAAGUAGAUAAGAUAAGACACGUGAUAGGUAGGGAGGUCACAUGACCGGAACAGGCAAGUAAAGUAAGCAAGCAAAUCCAGGCACAUGCAAACUCGCCGUGUGCGGUUCCAGAGAAAGGGAUAAGAGAAUUCUGGAGACAAGCGUAUUACCGUGGAAGCAAAAUUGUCUUCACAUCACAAUGAUCUGUAAUAGAUUAAUUGGCCUCGCUUUGUUAAAAAUUAUAGACUUCUUAAUCAUGCAAAUACAAUCUCUCAUCAAGUUGCCGUAUACAUUUUUCUUUUACAAAUUUCCUAAAUGAUUUGUGAAAUAUUAAAGUCCCACGUGGGUCAUAUAGAGAUCGUAGAAUCCUGUCCAUGUGUUUACAAUUCUAAUUAAUUUAAAUUUAAUAAAGCAUCUAUGACCAUGAACGCCCACAAGUACAAAAGAGGCAGGCUUGGAAUUCAGACCAGUGAGACCACCGCCAGAGUCUUCAAGUUCACCAGCAAUCAUUCGGGACACUAUUUGAUGCAUUUUUCUUCAGUCAACAGGAUUCAUUUGAUUCCUCUUUGCAUAUUCAGUUCACGGCUCAUUUCUUUUUUCUUUUUUCAAUUAUAAUUAAAUUAAACAAAUGACAUCAAUAAAUAAAUAAAUAAAAUCUGGACAAGGAUUGGGAUCGGUAUUUUGUCGGUCUGAAUUCGAGACAGGAUUCGCUACACUAAAAUGUGCCAAUUGGAUCGGAAUUGGCUUAUCUCGAACGGAACCAUCCCCAUCGCCAUCUUAUAUUUAAGAUGCCUAUUGCUUAAUGCAGUAGAGAUCAAGGUUUACACUGAUAAAAAAAUGUGUUAAAAUGAUUAUUUAGCAAGCCCAAUUCCAAGUGAAACAAAAGCUAUGCCAGAAUUUUUCAUUUUCAACAAGUGGAGAUGGGUAGAGGGUUAGCUUUUGUACAUAUCAAUCAUAAUGAUAUCUAAACCCAUGACAGGCACAAGGCUCACGAAUAUGGGAUUUGCACAAAAUUUUUCUUUAUGUAAUGAGGUUGUUACAAGGGAUCAAAGCAUACUUGUAAGCUAAAAAGGUCUGGCUGCUUCUUCCAUCAUCUUCUUUUUUCUUGUAAGUUUCUCUAUCUCCUUUAGAACCUAAAAGUAUUAGCAAAAGAAUGGAAUAAUCUUAUGUUAGUAACCCAAUAAUCUAGACGUUGGGUCAGGAAUGCUUGCAUUGUAAAGCCAUUUCACCUCCAAAGUCAUGUCUUCUGUGGUUACAGCAUCCAAGUCAUCAUAACCCAAUUGACUAGCUACCUCUGUUAAGAAGAAGAAGCUGCCAUUACCAAUAAGAUAAUAAAUUUUGUUACCUAAUAAAGAAGAAAAUUUUACGAAGAUAUACUUUGGAGAGAAACGGUUGCAUCAGCUGUGGCAUAUCCAUCUCUCAUUUCUUUAUAUAAAGCAAAUAGCUGAGGCAACACCUGAUUGCAGUAAGGUUAGAAAUAGCACUCAAUAACUGCAAGGCUCAACAUGCCUAAAAUCAAGAGAAAUGUUUCGAAGACCUUGGCAAGUGUUUUAAGUGAAAGACAAAUAGUAAAGAAUUACAGGUUUUGGGGAAAAAUGAGACCUUCAUGUAAGAUCAACACUUUGAUACCUCUGAUUCAGGAAAUCCGCUGUGGUCCAUUCUUGCUACCAUGCCUGGAGGAACGUCGAUCCAUAAUGAUAUUCCAUGUCUUAAAAGUGCCCUGUUUAUGUUUAAAAGCAAGUCAGAUAAAAUAGUGCAUACACCUUGUUUGUAAUAGUUGAUAUAAGCAAAGGAAAUUUCUGGCAGCUAAUUCGGCAAUUACUGAAAUCUCAUACAGAUUAGCUGAACUCUGAACUGCACCAUUUCCCGCACAAACUACUAGUCGACCCAUGGAUGAUAACUGCUUCAAUACUUCAGUCUGCAGCAACAGAUCACCAAAAAUAUAAGCCACCUUAUUGUCUAAAUUACUAAUCAAAGUUGAAAAGUAAAGGUUUCACAUUCAACUACUCUACCAAUCUCAACCUACAAAUAACCGAGCUUGCACGCAAAAAGCAGCACAGCAAUACCAAGCAAGUCUAAAACAAUCACCUCAGCCUGCUGAUAGCCCUUCUCAUCACUCUCCCUGAAAGCUUUAGCAGCAGAUUCACCGCCAGCGGCUUCAAAUACCAAACUAUCACUAAAUACAGAAUGUACAAAAAUGGUCAAGUUAAGCUAUCAUAAUUCACAUGGCUAUGAAAUAUUCUCAACACAUUAGGAUUAAAACUCAUAGAUACCUGUCAAAGUAAUAAUAUCGUAAUGCAUCUGCAAGAAAAUUCCCCAAGUGGGUUUUUAUUGCAUUGUUCAUCCCUAUUCAUCAAAUCAACCACAGCAAUGGUAUAAGUAUAAACAUCAAGAUCAACAUGAGGUUUGAGCGCCAAGUGCAAUGCCUAGCACAAACAAUUGCUUACCCACAAGAAAUACGGAAGUUCCUUUCAAUUCGGUUGAUAUAUCAGCUGCUUUCUUCUGAAUCAAAACUGAGCAGUUAAAAUAAAUAAUUCAAACCCCCAAUAAGAAAAAAUAAAAAUAAAAUAAAAGAAAGUUGAGCCUCUCUCACACUGUCAGUUUGUUAUAGAAAAUCAAACGUUGGCAUCUCACCUUUACCGCGAAAGAUGGAUCCUCUGCUGCAACCUUUGUCACAGUAUCUUACAAGAAAAAAGUUAAAAAGAAAAUCGAAUCACUAAUAAAUAAAUAGACAGUUAACACUUUAAAAAAUUAACCAACAAUUGAAUUAAAGCUCGCAAUCAACUUCAAAUGACAUAAGAUUGCCACAACAUACCAUACAUUCUCUACCUUUUUCUUAUAUUUUCACGAAUUACAAAUCCCAAUUUCUUCUGUAUAACAUUUCAUCAAACACGACAUGGGCACCAAAAAAAAGAAUGAAAAAGCCGAUAAUAAAAAAUAAAAAAAGUGAACUCACUGGAAGUAGUGUCGUCAGCGAUAGAGCGAGUGGUGAUGCGAGGUUUCCGAGAAAUAAUGGAAUAUUGAAGCGAAGUUCGAAUUGGUGCAUAAGAUUGAGAGUGAAGCAAAGAGAAAGGCGGGUCAAAUUUGAGGCCUUUUGGAGUAAUGGAUUGGGUAGCCAUAGUUGUAGCAGUUGUUCCUGCUAUUAUCUCCAUGGCUUUUAGCUUAUGGCUAUCGCUUUGUACUUUUUUCUUGUAGUAUAUACUUUCACUUUUUUUCUCGGUAAAGUUUGUUAUUUUGGGGUUUUUAGCAAGUUGGGCCCAGUACUUGGUCCAAAAAAUCGGUGUGAAAUGUAGAUGAAACCGUACCCUUUUUCCUUUUCUAAACAUAUAAUCUAUUAUAAAUUUAGGAAUACCAAAUCAAAACUGAUUAAUGAUAUAGAUACAAAUAAUUUUAUAAAAAUUGAUGUAGGAUAACUUCAUUGGUGGAAUGAGAAAAAUUACAUUACCCACAUAAUUUAUUUUUAUAAUUUUAUAUUUAAAUUUUUAUUCAACUAAUCUUGCCAUGACAUGUUUGUACAAAAUGAAUCAACUAGAACUUUUUAUAGAUAGACAACUUUCUUUAGAUGAGAAAAAUAAAUUUUUUAGAUAAAAAAAUAGACUACAUAUGCUUUUUUUUUUUUAAAGACCAAUUUAUACUUAAUUGUCCAUCCUCCAACAAAAGAUGAGAGAACUAUGAAAGUUGAAGUCUCUUCUUACCAUCUGACUAUCGGAUAGUUUAUCAUCGAAAUUGUUGUAGAUGCGAUUGAAGCACUCAAUUUUGAGAUUUUUUUUUACUUCUAUAACAAAAUCAUUUUUGCAUAAUUUAAUGAUAAAUAUAUUCUUACUAUAAAAUUUAGAUAGAUGGAUGUUAAAUUGUCAAUUUGAACAUUAUUAUUGUUGUUUCUGAUCAAGCCAUUAUCUUACCCAUAACAUUAAAAGAUUGGCUAUUGAGAAUGAUCUUUUUGGUUUUCUUAAGAAUAGUUUUAGGGGAAGGACUAUUUAGAGCCUGCAGAAGAGAAAGACGAUCGUUAGAGGAGUCACCGAAGUCCGAAUAGUGCCGGCGAUGGCACUCUAAAAAUCAAGUCAGUGAAUAGUAGAGAUAAGGAUAUAUUUUUUUAAAACUCAAAAUAUGCAAAAGGAAGAGUUGAAAGAGUAGAAGGGAGGUCCCCUUGUGUUGAGAUAGACUUGAUUUUAUAUAGUGGAGUGCCCCUAAAGGCAUCUUUGGUAGUUUUAAGUAUGUGGCGAACUGUGGUUGGUUGUCCUCCUCUUCAAUAUGAGCUUUUUAGUAGUUUCAUUACGAAAUUCAAAUAUCUUUGUCCUUCUAGACUCGAGUUUGACUGAUUGCAUUUCCUCAUGUGACUAUCCUUUUAGGCUGUUUUACAGUUACACACAAGCUUGUUAGGGAAUUGUCUUUCCCAUACAUUCUUUUAUAAUGGUAGUUUCUAGGGUUCUUUUAGUGGAGCUGAGCUAGUCUAACGAAGAUAUCUUCCCAUGCUGAUGUGCCCUAAAUAUAUGUGGAGAUCCUCUCAUUGUUGUUGUAGUUUCCAUUGGACAUGUGGUAAAUCUUGGGCACCAUGUAAGAGACAUCUUUUGAAGUUUUUCAGAUAUUAGGUUGGGUCAUACUACUCACCCCAUUUUUCUCAUAAUUACCCCAACCUUUAAACUUCCAUUUUAUUCUUAUCAAGGGCUUAUAAUCAAAACACUCCCUUAUACACAUAUCAUUCCUUGAUUAGCCUAUUCAAAUUUACCAUCAUCAAAUAUUAUUAUUAUUAUUAUUAUUAUUAUUAUUAUUAUUAUUAUUAUUAUUAUUUAUUUCUCUUUUUUAUUUCCCAUUCAUGUAGUUUUUAACAAAUAACCUUGUUGAUGAGAUAAUUGAUGACUGAUACCACCUCAAAGGAAAAGGAUCUCUAGAAAGGAAAAUUGGAUCUCUCAAAGACAGGGACGAAAUCUGUUUGGUGAGAAUUUUGGAGCCCUCAAAAUGGGAAAUAUAGAAACCUUGAUUUAAAUCGUGAAUGGGUCAAAGCCGCCAAACCAACAAGGCUAAAAUGUUGGCAUGAUGCUUAUCACCAAGAUAAAAUCAUAGAAAAUACUGCAAAAAUGACUAAAGAAGUUGGCUACAAAGCCACUACGCCCACAACUCUCCCAAAAAUAGGGGAAUCACCUCCACUUCGAGAAUCAUGCCUAUUUUUCUUCUCCAUUGAAGUAUUUUUAAGGUAAAAAAAUCACCAUGAAAGAGGCAUGAUCACUUAAGCAAACUAAAACACUCAGAUUUCAAACACAAAGAUACUCUACUGACUUAAGCAUCGAAGUGGGCACGCUGAAGACCACCACCUUCGGUCUCAUUUCGCCCUUAUCUUGUUUGUUACUGUGUGUGCAGGUUACCUCUAUUUUUUGGACUUGUUUUGACCCUAGGCGGGAAAAAAUCAAGUAGCAAUAGUUGGGGCUUGAAGAAGGGCCUCUGCCAAGCAUGUAGCGGUAGUAAGAAGAAGGUCAACCAAAAAUCAAUAAUUUGAACGAAGUGAAGUCAUUACCACUAGACUCGCAGAGCUCGAGCCAAGUCCCAACUUGGAGGCUGUGCUCUGGUUUAAUUGACUAAGAGUGAGAAAUUUAAUUUAAUGAAAUGGGACAAAGAAUGGAGCAGUGGAUGCAAAGAAUAGAAGAAAAAAUUAAGAGACUAAUUUCGACUCUAAUUUAGGUGCACCAAAGUAACCACCACGAAUGUGAUUCUAAAUGAGACGAGGUAACGAAGUUAGACAAACCAGUUGUAAGUCAAACACAGUUAGAAAAAUGGCACAGAUAGGCAUGAAUCAUCGGGUUUAAUUCUGCGAAACAAGAAGAGCACACUAAUGAAACCGAGGUCAAGAUAGAAGAAUCGGAUUGGAAAGCUGAGCUACGGGAAAUAAGAGCCCAAAUUUGAGGAAUGAGAAACAAUGUUUAUAAGAGAGCUGAAGAUUGGGAAAUAAUGAAUGUUAUGGAGCCAUCAUACACAGAUGAAAUCAUGGAUACACCAUUGCUCCCAAGGUUUAGGUUACCACAAAUAAGUGUAUAUAGUGGUCAAGGGGACCCUACCCACCAUUUGAAAUCAUAUAGGUCGUGGAUGGAGCUGCAAGGAGCAAUUAGGUGCAAAGUAUUUUGACUCACCUUAACGGAAUCAGCUAAGCAGUAGUUCGGACAACUCAAGCUAAAGAGUAUCAGUUCGUUUUCAUAGUUUUCAAAACAAUUUGUGGCACAAUUCAUUAGAGCAAAGCAGCAGAAAAAGCCAUCAACCCACUUACUGUCAAUCACACAACGUGCUGAUGAAAGUCUCAAGGAUUAUGUCGUGCAUUUCAAUGCAGAUGCGGUACAAGUAGAAGGCUACAGUGAUGGAGUGGCAUUAAUAGCGAUAAUGGCGGGUCUCAAGCUAGAAAAAUUCCUUUGGUCACUUAAAAAAAAACCCACCUUGUACCUACAUUGACUUACUGCGUAAGGCAUAGAGAUAUUCAUAUGCGGAAGAACACUAUUCUGCCAGGUGCAGAUUUGAACCGUUACUGUCUAAAAUAUUGCCAGACCUUAGAAGAACAUGUAGAGAGCAUAGUUUUGCGACUAACAAGCCGUGUGAAUAUCGCACCUUGUGAGGCAGAACUCGGCUAGCAUUCCAUUUAUAGUUCAGCCACUUUACCCUAUUGAACACCACCAGAGAAUAUAUCUUGAUGCAUAUAAAUAACGAACCUUAUCUCAAGCAGCCAAGCUUGCUAAUCACCUCAUCUGAGAAAAGAGAUAGAUCAAGGUAUUGUUACUUCCACAAAGAUCAUGGGUACAACAUCUCAGAAUACUAGGCACUCAAAAAGCGAAUUAAGGAAUUGAUUAGACAAGGGAAAUUGAAGGAGUUCAUAAAAGACAUUAACAUUGAGAAAAAGCUUGGAAAACGCGAAGACAUUAAUAAAAAAAAAAGGAAAGCUCCAAUCUAGAUCAAAACCAUAUAUGGCGGGUUGUCAACAAAAGGUAUUUCACAAAGGGCAAUCAAACGUCGAGCUAGAGAAGUGAUGCAUAGUUAUUACUUCCAGCCAAACAUUCAAGUUGUGCCAUAUGAGAUCACCUUCACUGAAGUAGAAGCAACAUGGGUAAAGUUACCCCACAAUGAUGCACUAGUAACCACCAUUAUGGUGGCAAAUUACCAAGUACACCGGAUUCUGGUGGACAAUAAGAGCUCCGUUGACAUACUUUAUAUGAAGAUAUUUGGAAGGAUGAAUAUUGAUAAGGACAAGCUGAGGCCAAUUAAAACACUUUUAAUGAGUUUUGAGGGUGAAAGCGUCAUAGCUGAAGGGGCUAUACAACUACCAGUUACAAUAGAGAAGACACUAGAUCAAGUAACGUCUAUGGUUAAUUUCUUGGUUGUUGCCUUUUUAUUUAUAAUAUGAUUGUAGAAAGACCUUUCUUAAACCUUAUUAGAGUAGUCACAUCAACAUAUGCUCUAGCUAUAAAGUUCUCAGUCAAAAGUAGAGUGGACACAGUUAGGGGAGAAUAGCGAACCGCCCUAGAAAAUUACUCCUUAGCUAUGAAAAAUAUCAACCUCAAGGUAAGGGAUUAACCGACCUUGACAAAGAAGCAUACGAAUCGAGUUCUUUGUCUCGAAAGAGAAGUUCCACAAAAGCAACAAACUAUAAAACCAGCGGAGGCAAUAAAACUAGUGACUAUUGAUGCAAAUGACAACUCCAAGGUGGUGAAAAUCGGAGGAAGCCUCGACAGAAUAAUACAAGAAGCUCUAAUUGCUUUUUUUAAAAACGAUAAGAAUGUAUUUGCAUGGACUCAUAAAGACAUGUCAAGAAUAUCCCCAUAUCACAUAAUGCACUCCUUGAAUAUCAAUCCAGAAUGUCUACCAGUUAAAUAAAAGAGGAGAACAUUCAACCAAGAACGCAACGAGGCGAUUCAAGCAGAAGUGGAGAAGUUAUUAAAGGUAGAGUUCAUUAGGGAAGUACUUUACCCAAAUUGGAUUUCUAACAUGGUUUGCUCAGGAAAGCAAACAGACAGUGGUGGAUAUGUGUAGAUUUCACCGAUCUCGAUCGAGCUUGCACUAACAUAGCUUUUUGUUUCCCAACAUAAAUGAGUUAGUUGACUUAACUAGUGCUAACAUUUAUGGAUGCCUUUUCAAGUUAUAAUCAAAUACAAAUGUCCCCAUAAACUAGGAGAAAAUAGUUUUUCAUAAUUAAGGGUUGUAUUGUUACUGCGUGAUGCCUUUUGGACUAAAAAACAUAGGAGCCACCUACCAAUGCCUUAUAAACACCAUGCUUAAAGAUCAAGUUGGGAAAAUAAUGGAGGUCUACGUAGACGAUAUACUUGUCAAAAGUCAUAUAUGAGCUAAUCAUGUACACCAUCUUAAAGAGGCAUUUAUGAUCCUCCGAGAAUACUAGAUGAAACUGAACCCAAACAAAUACAUAUUUGGGGUGACCUCAAACAAGUUUUUUGGUUACUUGGCCUAUAACGGAGGGAUUGAUGCCAACCUUGCCAAGGUGUACGCAAUUUUGGAAAUGAAAUCCCCAUUUAACAAGAAGGAAGUACAAAGUUUGGUGGAAAGAUUGGUUGCUUUGAGUCAUUUCAUUUUUUUGGUUGACAAACAAAUGCACUCUUCUUUUUAAAACUCUUAGGGGUACUAAUGACUUCACUUGGAGCAACAAAUGAGAGAUGGUCUUUAAGGCAUUAAAAAAGUAUCUCACACAUACUCCAACCUUGGUGAAAUCGUUGGAGAACGAUGAGUUGGAGUUAUACCUGGCAGUUACCUUAUUCUAUAAAGUUCGAAUCAAAGCUUUGAAUAACCAAGCGGAAUAUAAAGCUUUAAUAGGUGGUCUAAAUUUGGCCAUUGCAAUGGAUGUAAAACGAAUCUCCAUUUAUAGCGAUUCAAAAUUAGUCGCCAAUCAAGUUCUUAACCAAUUUCAAGCCAAAGAAGAAAAUAUAAAAGUUAUACCUGGCAGUUACCUUAUUCUAUACAGUUCGAAUCAAAGCAGUUAUCUUAUUCUAUAAAGUUCAAAUCAAAGCUUCGAAUAACUAGGCGGAAUAUAAAGCUUUAAUAUGUGGUCUAAAUUUGGAGUUAUACCUGGCAGUUACCUUAUUCUAUAAAGUUCGAAUCAAAGCUUCAAAUAACCAGGCGGAAUAUAAAGCUUUAAUAGGUGAUCUAAAUUUGGCCAUUGCAAUGGAUGUAAAACGAAUCUCCAUUUAGAGCGAUUCAAAAUUAGUCACCAAUCAAGUUCUUAACCAAUUUCAAGCCAAAGAAGAAAAUAUGAAAACUUACCUAAAUAAGAUAAGAACUUUAUUGGAAAUAUUCAGAGAGUGGCAAUUGACCCAGAUCUUGAGGAGGAAAAACUAGCUUGCUGAUGUGUUAGCAAAGUUAGCAUCGUCUUCACCUGUUGAAUUCGUCAUGUCAACUAAGAUUGAGGUGGUAAGGUCACCUAGCAUAAAUGACGGAUUAUUUGUGCUACUAGUAGCCUUCCACGACAACUAGAUGGAUUUAAUCAUAGCUUACUUGAAGGAGAAAAAGUUGCCAGAAGAUAAAUUUAAGGCCGGAAAAUAGGGACUUUGAGCAGCUAGAUACUUGAUGAACGGAGAAAUAUUUUAUAAGAGAGGCUUCUCAAUGCCUUACCUGAGGUGUAUACUACCAGAAGAAGCGAAAUAUGUUUAAGGGAGAUACACGAAGGGAUAUGUGGUAGCCACGCAGUUGGAAGGUCCUUAGCACGGAGGAUUAUUAGACAAGGGUACUAUUGGCCAACCUUAGAAAAAGGCUUUAUUGAUUUCUCCAUGAAGUGUGACAGAUGUUAGAAAAACACUGUUGUACCUAGACAAAUGUUGAGUGUUAGAAAAUGUAUAUUUAUAAAGGAGAAAAUCGUCAUUUUACAUUUCAAGUCUUACUAACAACCUUUACUUUUAUGUAUUUAACCUUCUUGUGAUUUAAUUACAUGUUUUUAUUUUAAUUAAGUAUUUUAUGUAUUUUAGGGGCAUCAUAGUCAUUUCACAAUAAAGGAGAGAUCAAAUGGCAAAACGGACAUCACUUUUGAACUCAGGACAGUCGAAAACCUUAGGAGGAGCAUAAAAGGAAAAAUGGCACUGUUCACAUGUACGGUACUAUUCACGUGUACGGUACUGUCUACGUUACUGUUCACAGCACUGUUCACAUAGACGGAUCGAUGACGUGGCAUUGACUGAUGAGGUGUCACGAUCCUGUUGGACUAAAAUUCUUAUACACUGUUGAUGGUGACGUGGCAGCAUAUCAGUGGACGAAAAAUCUCGCGUACGGUGCAUGCAUCACACAGGAUUAUUUUCAACCAAACCGCGUUACUGUUCAUCCGAGUCAAACCGUGUUACUGUUCAAAGUCGGGUCAAACCGUGUUACUGUUCAUCCGCGUGGUCAAACCGUGGACUGUUGACUGAUGACGUGGCGCAAUCCUGAGCGUCUAAACUGUUUUUAAUCCGAUGGCCAUGAUUUACUCCAUGUAUCUAUAAAAAGGGGGCCUCUCCCCCCUAAUUUGAUAUCUCUGAAUCCAUUUUUGGGAUCCAUUUUCUGUAAUUCUCUCUCCAUCUUGUAUUUUCUUCGUAUUUUAAUAAAUUCUCAUUUUGCCCCUAGUUCAAUUAUGAGUGGCUAAUUUUCUUUCAAGCUUGGGUUGAAGGUGAAGUCUCAACAUGUGUCAUGGGCUUAAUUUGGUAAAUUUACUUUCUCUUCCCCUCUAGUUUUUGUGGAUGUUUUGACUUCUCGUCGACAAAUAAUACUAAUCUUGUCUAGUACCGCCUUGGUUUCACCGGCCCUCUGGUACAAGGUUAUUAUUAUUUGGCACGAUAAGCCCUUAGCACCAUAUUGAUUAGAGCGUGGUUCAUGAGGUGUGGAUUCCCCCUUCAUGAUUUAAUUGGCAUUAAUACGGAUUAUUUAGCCCAUGAUGCAUGUUGAUACGGAUCCAGAUACCCAAGUACGUCAUUUCAAUAGAAUUAUCUUCAAUUUAUUCUCACCAUUUCAAUUCCAAUUUUAGAAUUUAUUCUCGCCAUUUUAACUUAAGUUUUAGCAUAUUCCAAAUCAUUUCCAUCACAAAUCCAACCACCUUAUACAAAAUUAAUUCUACAUAUAAUUAAAAUCCACCUCCUCGUGGGAUCGACACUCGUCACCAUCGAUCUAUACUACAAUAGAUUCGUGCGCUUGCGAGUACAUUAAAAUUUGCACAACAACAAACACCUCAAAUGCUAACCCCAAUGAGCAGCCCAUGGCCAUUCACACAGUGGGGAAUAGACCUAAUUGGUCCACUUCUAAUGGCAAAAGGUCAAGUGAGGUACAUCAUUGUCGCAGUUAACUAUUUCAAAAAAUAGGUUGCAGUAGAACCAUUUGCGAAAAUUAUAGAAGAGAAAACGACGCACUUUGUGCAUAAAGCAAUAAUAUGUAGAUUUGGCAUCUGUCACACUAUCGUGUCUAACAAUGGCAGGCAGUUUAAUAAUGCAAGGAUUAUAGAAUCUGGCUCCAACUUGGGAAUUGCGAAUGCCUUCUCAUCUCCUGCUCACUCUUAGGCCAACGAGCAAAUAGAAGCGAUCAACAAGAUCAUCAACAUUCUCCUGAAAACCAGGUUGGAAAAUCUGUAGGGUUCUUGGCAAAAGAGUUAUCAACUAUGCUAUGGGCUUAUCGGACAUCAGUUCGAACAUCAACAUGGGAAACUCAUUUAUUUUUGGCAUUCAGUUUUGAUGCGGUAGCCCUAGUUAAGGUAGGACUUAAUACGCAAAGGAUCGCUACUGGUAGGAGGAAAAGUAUGAACUCUUGGAGUUGGAUAAAGAGCUAAUUGAAAAAAGAAGGGGAAACGCAGCAGAAAGCUUAACAGAGUAUCAGAAAAGAGUCGGUAGCACUACAACACAUGAGUUAAAGUACGAGGUUUCCAACCUCGGUAAUUAGUACUAAGGAAGAUAGAAACGGUAGGAAUAGAGGAAGUAUUAGGCCUCAAUUGGGAAAGCUCGUAUAUAAUCAUUAAGGAAGUAACUCUAGGGACGUCUAUUCUGGCGGAAAUAAAUGAAAAACAACUAACUCAACCCUAGAACGCGGAGCAUUUUAGGCGUUACUAUGCAUGAACUCACAGACAUGUUUCUCUUUUUCUUGUUAGCAUCUUAAUGAUCUGCUUUCGAAAAUGAUUAGCUGAGAAGUUGUCAUGUGUUGAAAUGUGAGAUAUAAUAAGUUGGUAAUUGUUUGCAUUUUGCUUGUGGCUUUGGUCCCCACACUGAUGUCACCUAUACAAGGUGGUUUAGUUCAAGCUAGGGGAAAUGUCUUCUAAGUUAUUGUCAGUCAUUUGUUAUUUACAGCUCUGGACCCCAUAUUGGUUCUGGCUAUGCUAAUCGAACUAGUUCAAGCUAGGAGGUAGUCUUGUUUAAAACCUUAUAAAAUAAAUGUUCAUGCAUUCUCACGUGAAUUCAUAUAUUUCCCCACUUUGUGCUAUAACUUUGUCAUAAGACAUCGCAUGGGAUCCCAGAACAAGCAAGAUCAAAACGCCUUACGAGGCAAUGAUGAUACAACUCUUGAGGCACAAAAACUAUAGCCUUACAAGGCAAGGAUAAUUCAGUUCUACGAGGCAAAGUUCAAAAUGCCUUACGCGGCAAAGAUAAUAUAGCCUUUGAGGCAUGGAAAAUACAGCCCUACGAGGCAAGGUUUAAAAUGCCUUACGAGGCAAGGGUAAUACAACUCUUGAGUCACAAAAAGUAUAGCUUUCUGAGGUAAAAAUUAGAGACACCUUACGAGGCUAAACAAAAAACUACUUUAAUCAAGGCAGAAUCGUAUAACUCUAAUCAAGGCUUGAAAAAUGCUAUCCUAUUCAAGGUAUAGUCAUAUAACCCCUAUCAAAGCUUGGAUAAUGUACAAAAUGAACGGCAUUACGAGGUGAGAACUAAUAUGGUCCUCCGAUGUUUGAAAUUUUUUUCCCUCUAAGGCACGAGUUUACGCUGCAUGCCAAAAAGUGCUCCAAGGAGCACAAAAGCAUAUGAUUUGUGCAAUCAUGACUUGCAACAUCCUAAACAGAAAGGCAGGUAGCCAUAAAUUAUUGUCGUAUGGCCAACAUGAAUAUAGAAGUAGAUUACUGCCAUUUGAGUGAGAUAAUAAGCAAGCACAAAUAAUUUCAAUUUGAGGGAGCAAGCAAACACAAAUCAUCACCACUCAAACAAGGAGCAAUACUCUUGAACAUUUAAAAAGUGAUUCAUGUCAAAUAUUGAAGCGCAAUAUGAAAGCAAAAGCAUCCAUAAAUUCAAAGAUAAAAAAUUUGAAAGCAUCCCAAAUAAAAGCUACAUGAUAAAAGUGUCGAUUGUUUAACAAAGCAACCCACUAAAAUACAAAAGAUUGAAAAAUAAUUAUUAUAGUCUCUAAUACUAGCAGAAGAAAGAAAGUUGGCUUCAUCUAAUCUUUGGAAUAUUGCUUGGAUAAAUAGCAGCCAGGGGAGGAAUGUUUAAUGAAGACUCAUCUCUCUCAUCACUGGUCCCCCCGCCAACAACGGUAGCAGUAUGCACAGGUAGAGUGGGCUGAAACUGAGUACGAGGUGGUUCACCUGGCUGACCUGAUAGCUUAUCAUCAUCCCCACCAAACAUCUUAUCCUUAGGAGACAAAACAAAGUCAUCUACCUAAGGAGUUUCAAAGCAAUAAUCAUCCACGAAUUUUAGAUCCCACUUAAGGUGAUGAUUCUUCACCAUUCUCUUGCAGUCAUCUACCCCAGUAAAGAAUUCUACAUCUUUGACUUGUCUGAACUUGGCUAAUUAGAGAUAAGCCUCAACGUGGGUCUGAUAGCCCUCAUGAAGCUAUCGUCUAAGACGAGCUAUUUCUUCAUCUUUGUUCUUUAUCACCCUAUUAUUGAUAUCGUGCUCCAACUUCAGAGAGUCGUGGCUAGACUUGAGGGAUGCAAGCUCGGCCCUCAACUGGAUCACCUCGUUUGCCACUUCAUUCUUUUCGACCCUAGCCUUACACCAUUCGCCUUUUGAAUCGCGAUACAAGUUGUAUGCUUGAAUCAUGUUCAUGGUGGCUUAUAAAAGUCCAACGAAAAAUCCCGUUAAUAUUUAGCAGUAAAAGAACAAAUGAUAAAUUUAAGAGGGAAUUAUGAAGUCAACCUUGUGGGCAUUACUUAUGAAAAUAGAGAAUAAGACCUCUGGGUCAGUUUGCUUGGAGCGAAGACACUCUUGGUAGGGAAAUGCCCGUUUCAAUGAAGAAAGGUUGCCAAGGUCGUGAUCAAGCUCAAUAUAUUAGAUGGUCUAAUUGGCCAAGUCAUCAAACAUGAGGGCUGAAAUGUGCUCAAGAGAUCCAAGAUCAGAUGGCAAAUAAGUAUUUUCCCCAGCUUGCAAGGUACCAACAGGGACCCUGGCUUUAAACAAAGAAGGAUACAAGGCUACACAACCCUCAUGAGUUGCCAUAUUUUCAUUAGGGCUUGGGAUCCUAAGUUUGAUAGAAGCAUGAAUAUGAUAAUCUCUCCUCAAUUACUCUAAGGUUUAAAGUGUGGCUUUGGAUUCCCAUUGACUAGUCGAGAACCCCUCUAUAGGGACAUCUUGUUCUUCAUCAUCGAGAAUAUGAAUAAAAGUUGUGGAGGGACGAGAGAUGGAGGAGGAGCAACGUGUAACGCUCUCGGUAAUGUGUCUAAGUGAACCUUCACCCUUACUUGGUUCACCAUGUUUCACUUUAAGAGGAUCCUUGGAAAGCAAGAAAAAAAAAGUAGAACGGGAAAAAGAAGAGAGAAGAGAGAAGAGAGAAACAUACCUUAAACAAACAAAAGAAAAUGAGGAUUCCAAACGCCGUGGAAGAAAAAUAACAAAUAAAUUAUGUUUAGGAAUGAUAUGUAUCCAGAGGGUAAUGAACAAUUUUGAAUUUUAAAAUUUAAAUUAAGACUUUUAAACUUCUUAGUUCACAAUAAGAGAUUUUUGAAUUAAAAAAACUCUUAUAAUGAACUGGUGGGCCUGUGGUGAUGAGGUAAUUGAUGAAUGAUACCAUCUUAAAUGGAAAAGAAUCUUCAGAGAGGAAAAUCAGAUCCUUCAAAGAUAAGGACGAAAUCUAUCAGGUGGGAGUUUAGGAACCUUGUAGAUAGGAAAUAUGAAACCUUGAUUUAAACCGUGACUAGGUUAAAGCCGCCAAACCAACAAGGCUAAAAUGUUGGGAUGGUGCUUAUCACCAAGAAAGAAUCAUGGACAUACUGAAAAAAUAAAUAAAGAAGUUGGCUACAAAGCCACUAAACCCACAAAACCAUCAAAAAUAGGGGAAUCACCCUCUGCUCCGAGAAUCAUGCCCCAUUUUCUUCUCUAUUGAAGUAUUUUUAAGGUAAAAUAAUUGACAUGAAAGAGGUAUAAUCAUUCAAGCAAACAAAAACACUCGGAUUUCAAUUCCAAACACACUUUACUGACUUAAGCAUCGGAGUGUGAUGUGCUAAUAAUUUAUAUAUUAUUUUUAUAUUUUCCUAACUUAAUUUUAUGUUAUAUUAUGUUAAUUUUAUUUUAAUUUUUAUAUUUUGUUAUUUUAGGUAUAAUCUGGAAUUAAAGAGGAAUUAAAUCAGAAUAUUCAAGUAAGGAGAGCUUAAAGAAGGAAUUAAUUGGAAAUUUAAGGAAAGUGAUUGAAUUAAAAUGGAAGAAAAUCAAAGAAGCCAAGGCUUAAUCCUGGAAACCACGUGAAGAAUAAAAGAAAAGAGGAAAAAGGAUGCUUAAAGGAGAAUAAUUGGCCUUUUAAGUGUACAACUCACGUGAAUAAUUGGAAAAGCAUAGACCAUUGAUUCAAGUGGGCUCUAUAUGCAAGGGCUUAAAGCAGGGGCAGACUCAUAACUCUGCAGUACCUUGGGCAAAAUUAAAAAAAUAAAAAAUUUGUACCAUGUGAACAUGAAAUUUCAUAUAUAUAGAUGAUAAAAUACACCUAAUAACAAGAGACAUUAAGAGCCUUACGCAUAAAAUUCAUAUUGCAAAUAAAAAUAAUUUUAAAAAAGUAGUAUAAAAAAUACAAUCUUAAUACAAAUUUUCUACCAAAGUUGUACUUUUCUGGGUUUCAAAUUAUAAAAAUCAUCAAUUACAGAAUCUGAAUCAACAGUAUCAGUAAUUUCUCUUUCAACAUAGAUAACCAUACAAUCUGAAAAAAAAAAAAAAACUCAUUUUCCAUCUUACUACGAAGUGAUGUCUUGAUAAGUUUCAUGGCUGCAAAUGCACGCUCUGUUGUGGCCGUGGAAACAGGAAGAGUCAAGACUAGACGAAUUAAUCUAUCAAUCAAAAAAAUAGUGUUGUGACUUCAUUGUUUCAACAAAUCAUCGACAUAGCUCAAAAAGGGAAGCCAUAUUUUGAAAACGUGGAUGAGAAUGCACAUCACUUUGAUAAUGUUCUAAUUCUCUUCUCAAAACAGGCACCUCAUUUGGAGUGAAACCAUGAGAAUAAAAUUUCUCAGCAAGAGAACAAAUAUUGUCUAUAUCAAAUGAUUUGAACCCAUCAACUAGAUCUAAUGCCGAGCUCAAAGUGAGGGGUUCCACAGUUUGCUAAGAGAAUCUACUAUUUAACUCCAUUAAUUGAAAUUCUAUUACAGCAUUAAAUAUAUCAAAGUGAUAAUGAUGUUCAACUAUAACAUAAUCUUUUUCCUGACAAGAACGCCAUGUACCUUCAAUAUAACAAUCACUCAUAUUAAGCAUAGUAAUAUCAUAUUUUUCACAAAAAGAUACUACACUUCUAAUAAAAUCAUCCCAUCCACUAUCUCGCAACUCUUGCAAAAGUCUUUUUGUACUUGAGACAUAGUUCAAAGCAUUCAAGAUGUCCAGUGAUUUUGUCUAUAAUGCUUGACAAAGAAUAUCAGAAAUUCCGAGAACUUUAUUUAAUAAAAGCAAAAUAAACACAAACUCAAAGGAUUUCAUCUCCCUAUAUGCACCUUUAGCUUCCCCACGCAUAUCUCGACUAGAUCCAUCAUUAAUCAUCUUUCCUAAAACUUCAAGAGUUACACCAAACAUCUCAAUAAACUUACUAACUGAAGUAAAAUGUGAGCUCCAACGUGUAUCUCUAGCCCUUUGUAAAGUUCUAACUUGAUUAGCCCCUGAACCAGUCUCAAGCUCUUCUAAAGCUAUCAAAUCUAUAAUUUCUUUUUCUCUAGCAGAUUUUAACUCAUAAUAACGCUUGAAAGAAGCACUAGCAAAGUUAAUAAUAGAACUCAACUUCGAAAAAAAUAGCCAUAUCCCAUGCACUCCUUUAGAUAUUGUAACUAAUACGAGUUGUAGUCGAUGAACAAAACAAUGUACAUAAUAAGCAUACGAACAAUCAUUGAGAAAUAAAGAUUGUAAUCCAUUCCAUUCACCCACCAUAUUACUAGCACCAUCAUACCCUUGACCUUUUAAAUUUUCAACUAAAAGAUUGUAUUGAGCAAGCACAUUGCAUAUCUCAUUCUUUAAAGUCAAUGCCUUUGUUUCAUCGCCAUUCACAAUUUUAAAGAAACGUUCUCAAAUAAAACCAUCACAAUCAAUAUAUCUCAAAAUAAUAGCCAUUUGUUCUUUGUGAGAUUCAUCUAGUACCUCAUCAACUAUGAUACAAAAUUUAGCAUCACCCACUUCCUCUCGAAUCUUGUGCCGUACUUUAUUAGCAAAAAUAUUCAAUAACUCCUUUUGAAUCUUAGGUGCUAUGUAUUGGGCAUUUUUAGGAGCAUUUUCUAACACAACUUUAUUAAUCUCCUCAUUCAUUAUUGCUAACAACUUAAUUAAUUUAAUAAAAUUUCCACAAUUAAGAGAAUUAACGGACUCAUCAUGACUUCUAAAAGCACAUUCUUGUUUUGCUAACCACUUAGUAGCUACUAUUGCGGUUUUAAGUCGCGGUCUAUUCUCCAAAAUUUGUUGCGAAGAUUGUGCAUUCAUUCUCGUAUCAAUAUGUUUGGAUGGAUCCUUUAAAUUGCUCCAUUUUAACAUGGCAUCAUUGUGAGAAGAACCAUGACCUCCUUCAUGUUGAGCAAAAAGACAUGUUUUUUCACAACCAACAUACUUCCAAUUUUGAACCCCAUCAACAAUAAAUGCUUCAUUCUUAGAUGGCUUAUCAUGAAAAAUAUAGCAUGGAAAACAAAAUGCUUUGUCUUUUGAUAUAAAAUACUCAAGCCAAGGAAAUUUCGAGAACUAAGAAAAUUGAAAUCGACGGUUUUGCGUACCAUAUUUAAUCGAUGGAUACUUUUGUAGUUUGGGUUGAAAUGGUCUCAUAUUUAUAUAUGCCAUCCGCACAUCUUCACACUUGUCAAUGGGAAAAGCACUUAUUGAAAAAUGCAAUUCGGGAUCACGUUCUAAAUAAGGCGUGUCAAUAGUAGAUGGAGUAUCAACUUUCUCAAAUUCGACUCUUUGAGACUUGGGUGGAGAACUUGAGGCAUCAAUGUUGCACAUAGAACUUGUCCCAUUUGAUGAUUGACCAUCAUUUACUUUAGUAAAGAAUGAAAGUAGAGUUUUCCUCGGUUUGAAUUUGUUGUUUGACAUUAUAACCUAUAACAACAUGUAAUUGUGUAAGAAUCAAGAAAUCAUAAAAAGUGUUAUAAGCUAUACAUUCUACUAAUUUUAAAUAUAUUUAAAGUCGCAAAAUAAAAAAAUCAACAUUAAAAGCUCAUACAAGUCAGUAUAUGGUUAAUACAAAUACCCAUGCCUAUCAAAUUUUUGAAAAAAAAAUUGUAAAAUAUUAGAAUAAUAAGAAAAAAAUAAUAGAUAAACAGUGAGAUUUGAGUUAAUUUAAUCAAAUGAGGAAGUUCAAUAAACAAAUUUAUUUAUUUAUUAGACAAUUUAUUAUCUAUUCAUUCUAAUAUAGAGAUGCCAACCAUCAAUUAGAAUUAUAUGGUAACUAACAAAUCAACAAUCACCAAAAAGUUAUUACCCAAAUCUCAAUUGUUGAUAUUCGUUUAACUGUUUAUACUUUAUACCUAAUUAUUGCAAGAAAGAGAAUCAUAGAAAAGAUGUUUUGAUUUCACCCAUGCUUGUAAACGAGAGAGAGAGAGAGAUAGAUAGAGAGAGAGUUGUAAUAAAUUAAUCCAUACUUGUAAACGAGGGAGGGAACUGUUAUAUAUUAAAAUAGGAUGUGAUUUUUAACUAUUAAAAAUUGAAUGGAAAGUGCUUGAGCCGAAAAGAAAUGAAACAAGGGACCACCACAGCCAUGGGAGUGAGGGAUUUUGUUGUUGCUGCUGGAUGGAUGCAAAGGGGAGAAACAUAAAAAGGUGGAUGCAAAGGGGAGAAACAAAAAAAGGUGGAUGCAAAGGGGAGAAACAAGGAAAGGUAAAGAGGAAUAAGUAAAAGUAAAUAUUAUUUUAUGUAUUUAAUGGCAAUUUUGUAAUUUUCAAAUAACUUUUUAAUUUUUUUUUUGGGGCUAGACCGGGCUACAACGCAAUCUAGCCCAGGCACAGGUCCGCCACUGGCUUAAAGUCGAUUACACUUGGCUUGUUUUAAAUCCUUUUGAUUUAAGGAUUUUGAGGUGGCGCAACAAUAUAAAAAAAAAAAAAAAAAGGAAGUAGCAGCCGCACCAAUUAGAAGAAAAAAACCGAGAGCAGCAGGAGCAAUUUAGAGGAGGAAGAAGACGCUGAAAUUAAUUCUUGAGUUUUUCAUUCCCUUUUCUCUAUUAUCUUACUUGAAUGUUCCAUACGAUAUUUAUGGAUUUUCUUAAUAUUCCCAUAAACUAAUUUAUUUUACUAGGGCUACGAUAUAACCUAACUAUGAAAGUUUAGUUCCAUAAAUCUGUGUUAUUUUUAGUUUAUUAUUUUAUGGUUGAGUGUUCAUUAUUGUGCUUAAUGCUUUUAAAUAUCUAACCAAUAUUUUAAUGAUUUGAAGAUAUAUAAUGAGACCAAGAGAAGAUUUAUACAUUUUUGCUCUAUGUAAUGGAUGUCAUGAAUUGAACGAAAGACAUAGAUGUGCCAAUGUGAUUCAUGCAGUUUUUCUAAGAAUUUCCAUAGAACUUAAUGAAUCUUUGCAUAUUUAAAUUCACAUAGAGAUAUAGUGGGUUGAUAUUUUAAGAUAUUUUUGAUAUUAUUCGAGAGAGGAUAUUAACUAGAUUAGGAAAAUUCACUGUCAACAUGGGUAAUAAACUUUAAUAGCAUAGAUGGAGAAUUAAAUUGGAUUAGUUAGAGUGAAAUUGGAUGUCAUAGUGUCUUAAUCUCUUGGUGAUUUCUAUUACUGCCUGCAUAUUUAUUUAAUUUUUAGCUAUUUUAUUUUAUUUAAUUAUUAAUUUAAAUUCAUUUAUUUGAUUGUUCAAAUAAAUUAGGAUUAGAAUAAUUUCGGUAGCUAAUAGGAUAUACAAUCUCUGUGAGACGAUACUUUACUCUUUAUUAUAUUAUUUGUGCCGACUAAUACACUUACUAAUUUAUGCAUCAAAGUGGGCACACCGGAGACUACCACCUCCGGCCCCAUUUUACCCUUUUAUCAUUUGUUACCAUAUGUGUGGGUUACCUCCAUCUGUUGAACUUGGUUCGACUCCUAAGCGGGAAAAAAUAAGGUGUCAGCAAACCUCUUGAAAAAGGUCAUAUUUAUGUUGCCUAAAAGGUAAUGAACCCACUUUUUUGAGUUGGUGAGUUUUCUCUUUUUCCCAAGCUACCACUAAUAAACUCUUACAGCUAAAGAUUGAAACAUGCAGGCUGCAGCCACAUGAAGCAACCUGGCAAACACGGAAUGGGCUGGUCAGAACAAAGGUUAGAUAUAAUUUUGUAACUUUUAUGUUCAAAAUUAUAUCAUGAAAGUGAGCCCGUAAUAUAUGAAACAUGUGCAACGAUGCAAGUCAUGGUUGGAAACUAGUUUUGCAUCCAUAUAAGCAAGGGUUGAAUUGAAAUUAUUUUCGAAUUUAUAAAGUAAUGGUUUCGAUUUUUUGGAAAUGAUGCAGCAUUUUAUUGCCUAAAUAGAAUGUUGCCAAUACUUUGCUUAGAGCUGGCAAAAUUUGACACGACCCGAUUACCCGACACGAACACGACAUAAAUAAAUAGGUAUGGGUCGUCAAAUUUAACACGAUUAUUAAAUGGGUCGGGUCUGGGUCAACACGAUUUUUUUCCGUGUCGGGUUUGGGUUAAAAUUCUUGACCCAUUUACCCGAUCAAUGACCCGAUUAUAUUUUCUAUUUUAAAAUAAUUUACAUAUUCUUAUCAUUAAAACUCAAAUAUUAGAGAUGAUUUUCUUUUUUUUAUUCUUUAAAAAGGUGAAUAUAAAUACAGUGUUUUAUUUAUAAAAUUUUAAAUACAUUUAGAGCUUCAAUAGUGUAAAUGUAUAAAAAUUGAUAGACACGUAUAUUUUAUAAUAUUGAUAUAUAAUAUUAUAUAUAUAUAAUUAAAACCUCAAUAGUGUAAAUGUAUAAUAUAUUGGUAGAUAUGUAUAUUUUAUAAUAUCGAUAAAUUAUGUAUGUAUGUAUGUACAUACGUAUGUAUGAUAGUGUGUAAAUAUUUGAUGUAACUUUUAUUCAAUAUAUAUAUAUUAAACGGGUUAUUGGGUAACCCGAUUAUUUUUCCGUGUCGGGUUUGGGUCUCAAUUUUGACACGAUUAUUAAAUGGGUCGGGUUUGGGACGACCUAAAUUUGACACGACACGAACACGACCCGAUGACCCGUUUUGCUAGCUCUAACUUUGCUCUCAAAUGCAAUGUGCAUGCCAAUAAUUAAUAAGACUAUAGUCAUUUACAACAAAAAUUAAACUGAUCAUAAAUCUUAACUAAACUCUUCGAUAUAAUCUAAGGAUAUUAUCAGGGAUCCAUUAUUAAUUUUAUUUCGAGAAUAUAAUACUAUAGAUUAAUUUCGUAAUUGAUAGUUUAAAAAAAAAAUCUGAAGCUGGUUUGAUAGCAAUCGGGACACUGUUGCUAUCCGAAUUUAAAAUACAAAAGUAAUUGGGGAAAAGAUUGAAAUUGAUAAAUAGGGGUGGCAAUCUGGGUCAAGAUUCGUUUAUUGAUUUGAUUCGAUAUGAAUUAAAUGGGUUUGAGUUUGAAAAAAAUUAAUUCAUUUAAUAAAUGCGUGAAUUCGAUUCGAUUAGCUUAUUAUUCGUUUGAUUAAAUUAUUUUUUAUCUUUACACUUAUCUAAAAGAUUUUGAAAUUGGUAGGCUAAUAUAAUAAUUUAAAGGGUAAAUUUCAUCGUACCCCCUUAUUAAAUUGACAUACUUCAAUUUAUCCUCUAAAAAUAUGAAAACUUCAAUCUACCCCCAAAAUAUGUUUUCUCUCUGUUAAUUUUAACGAUCAAAAGGAUAAAAUUAUAUUUGUACAUUUUCUGUUAGGGUCAACUAAAUAGUAAAAGUCAAACUUCCAUUUUUUCUUUCAUUCAUACCCAAAUGUUUUAAUAAAUUAAAGAAUACACCUAAAUACUUUAAUGAAUUUCACAUUACACCCAAAUAGCUUAUUAUUUUAAAAAUUGAUUAUUUUUCGUUUAAUUUUUACUAUAUAUAAAAUCAUUUGAAAUUUUGAAUGGUUUCUGCUGAGAGUCACAAUACAGAAGAAGUAAGAAGCGGAAGCAAGAAAAGAAUAAGAAAGAAGCAACAAGAAAAGAAGAUGAAAAGAACAAAAGAAGACAAACAAUUAAAAAAAUGAUGAAGAAGAAGAGUUGGAGAUGAAGAAUGAAAGAAAAAAUUAAGAAAGAAGAAAUUGAACAAUUGAAUUACAAUUUUUUAAAAUUUUAAAUUUUAAAUGUUAUCAGUUUUUAUUUUUAAUUUUUGAAUAAAAAAAUUUUAAAGCAUAAUUUUUUUUCUUUAAUGCUUGAUUUCUUAUAAUAGCCCAAACAAUAAAAUUAUUUAUUUAAUUCCUGCAAUUCCAAUUUCAAUUCAAAUCUCUAGAUAACAUUUUAUCAACCUCUUUAAUUUGUACUAACAAAGGAAUUCAAUGUUCACAAAUUUUCCUAGAAGUCCCAAUAAGAAAUCAAAAACCCAUUUCAAGAACUAAAAAUUCCUUUAGAAAUGUAACAAAAAUAUAAUCUGGUAUCACAAUUACAACCCAAGCUCUUAAAUUAAAGCAUUAAUUAAAAAAAUCUAAAAAAAAGAAAGAAAGAAAAGAAAAACAAAGGAAGCGCUUUUGCCGUUUAACUUGAAAAAAAUCAAUUUUUUUUUCAAAAUCCCUAGCCACCAUGUCGUUACCAUUGUCACCACUCACCACCGCUAUUCCACCGUCCUUUCCACUAUCAAACAACUCGAUACCAAAUGAAAUACUAAAUACGCAACCUAAGAAGGGGGUGAAUUGUUAUUCUAAAAAUUUAAGCAACUAAAACUUAAUGCAAUAUAAACUAAGCAACCAAAUUCGAAAUAAAUAAAUUAAUACGUAAUGAAAAAUAAAGAAUUAGGGUAGGAGAGAGCAAAUACUCAAUUUUUACGUGGCUCGGCCAACUGUGCCUACUUCUACGCCUCCAAGCCCACCGGACUUGAGGAUUUCAUUAAGUAAUCCUCUAAGGCUUCAACAACUCUUAUAAUUGACUUCCAAUGUGUCAAUAGACCUUUACACCAAAAGAUUAUCCCCAACCUCUUAACCUAAAUGUAUCCCAACACUUACAACCUCUCAAGGAUAAAGAUUACAAAUGAAUUUUCUAUCACACAAUGUGUUUAAUUACAAAUGAAUGCUCAAUGUGUGAAUCAAAGAAACAAAAACAAGUUUAAAGCUCAAUAAUGGUUAUAUGCUAAGUAACAAGCUCAAUGAUAACUCUUAGAUCUAACUUUGUUUGAAUUUGAUUGAGCUAUUUUAUAGUUGGAGUUGAAAAGUAGCUAUUGUUGACUUUCUAAGAGAAAUCGGAUCGCCGUUAAUUGCUAUCGGUUUACUGUUUUGACCAGUCCAAAUGACCGUUGUGCUGAAAUUUUAAAUAGCCGAUUCACCAUUUGAAGUUAUCGAUUGACCGUUUAUUUCUAGAGACCUUUAAAACAAAUUUUGGCUAUCCGUUCUUGCUAAAUGGUUCACGGUUAGAAUCCAAUUCUUUUCUAGAAAUUAUCGGUUCACCAUUUUUCGUAAACAGUUCACUAUUAUUUUCCAAAAUCAUCAUUUUAACAACCCUUGUAGAACAUACUUUUUGGAAAUUAUUGGUUUGUUGUUUUCAACAAACGGUUAGCCGUUUGCUACAGUGAAGCUAUUUUACAAAAUUAUAAUUUUACCGCAAAACUUCAUGUAAUUAUACUAUGACCCAAAUUGUCAUAAAACUUUACAAAUAAGUCUAUUUUUAGAGUUUCAAAACUUUUUCAAUUAGACCAUGAACUUGAAAAACAACCAAUUUCAUUUAUUUAAAAAGUAUAAAAAAUAAUUUGAACUAUUAAAAACUUAAUCAUUCUUAAUCUUGUUUGUUAUCAUCAAAAUCAUCAUUAUAGACAUAUACAUAUUAACAUUCUCCCUCAUUUUGAUGAUGACAAACCUUACAAGAUAAUUAAAGAAUAUCUAGGUUUACUCUCCCUAAAUAUGUGGUCCCCCUAAGUAUGUGCCCAAUCAAUUUCUAACCAAAUAUAUAUAUAUAUAUAUCCCUCUUCAUCAUCAAAAAGAAAAAAAAAUGGAAAAGACUAAAGAAAUAAGUCAUCUAUUGCCCGUUUUGUGCGACCAAAAAUUUCAGCAAAAUUUCCAUUUAAAAAUGAGCAUAUCAUCAAAUACAAAAGUAGUUAAAAACAUUUCCAUAUAUUUGCAAACCAACUCAACGAAAACAACUCAAAACAAUGUUCAACCCAAUAAUCAACAUGCAUAUGACCAUCAGUCAUCAAAAUCAUUAAGUUAGGUUAGAAAUUACCAUGCAAUCCAAAUAUCAUCAUAAAAACUAAAACAGUACAUAUGACAUAAUGAUAUCAUCCUAAAUAUAAAAUGAGUGGAGUAAUGUAUGUACGAAAAACAUAAAGACAUAAACUAAUAAGGGGACUGUGAUGAAGAUCCAGCAAGAGGAAAUGGCACUGAUUAGAAUGAAGUUAGAGAGUAAGGAAGGUUUCUACGACCCCAAUUUGAUCAAAGAUGGAAGACAUUUAGGCCAAAAGUGGGUGAAGAAUGUUCAGCAAAACUUAGGGUUUCCGUUUGGGAUUUUUGAUUUUUGGGCUUGAAAUUGGGUUUUGAUUAUGAAAAUAAAGAGUUUAUGAGAAUUAGAAUGGUUAUGGAGUCUCAAUUUUGCAAAAAGAUUGUUACUUUUUGAAGGACUAGGUCAAAAUCAACCCUACCAUUUGUUAAUAAACUCAAAUGCAUAACCCAAUGAAGAAAACAACAACAACAAUAACAAUACUAAUAAUAAUAAUAUUCAAGUCGGCUAAGUCAAAUAAGAGGAUAGUGUUGGAGAAAAAUUAGUUUUUUUUUAAAUUUUAUAAAAACUUUUAAGAUCACUCUCAUACAAUAUAUAAGAAUUUAUAAUAUAGAAAUCGUACCUUGAAAAUCCGAUUUGGUUUUUUCCGCUGAAGUGAUUUAGGGUCCCAGAUCACGAUCCGUCACCACCACUCAUGUUAGAUCACGAUCCGUCACCACCACGCUUGUUAGAUCACGAACUGUCACCAAUGAUCUUCCAGGUUAUGACUUAGGUUUGAUCUGCACUUGACGUGUGGGCGCCUUUAUCACCACUAAAACAACUAGCACGAGAAAAUUUUUCUCUCAAAAUUUAGAGAGAAAAAUCUUUUUCUCUGAUUUGUAUAAAGUGGCUGCUCUUUUUCUUUAGAGAAAAUAAGCCUUUUUAUAUCUCUCUUUAGUGAAAACCCUAGGCUCCAUAUUUAUUUAUUUUUUAAUUCUAUUAAAUCCCAUUUGAUUUAAAUUAAAAAAUAAUUAAAACAAAAGUCACGUUACUUGUUCUUGUGUUAUAGGGGCCUACCUUGUAAAAUAUCACAAGGCCCCUUACACUCAAGCAUAUUAAUGGAGUCUCUCACUAAAUAAUAUUUUUAGUCUUUUAACCCAAAUAGCUAGUUAUCUUGCUUAUUAAUCUAGUAGCGGCGCAGUCAAUUAAAUGAGCUAACUUGGGGAUCAUUUGAGAACAUACAAUAGUGGCUACAAUAAUUAGACUUGUAAUUAAACUAGCCCAAUUAUUUAAUUCCAAAUUUACUCCACUAAAAGAUUGGAACUGACCUCUAUAAUUGUAUGCUUCUUUUGCAACUCCAGAUGUUGCCACAUAUUCAGCUUCAGUUAUGGAGUCUGUGAUACAAGAUUGUUUCACACUCAUCCAACUAAUAGCUCAACUUCCUAAUGUAAACACAUAGCCAGAAGUUGAUUUUCUAAAAUCCUUAUCUGACAAAAAAUCAGAAUUAGUAUAACCCACUGGAAUAAGUUCAUCACCAGAAUACACAAGCAUAUAAUUUUUAAUUCUUUUCAGAUACUUUAUAAUAUGCUUGACUGCAGUCCAGUAUUGAGGUCCAGGAUUAGAUUGAUAUCUGCUAACCCUCCCUACCGCAAAACAGACGUCUGGCCUAGUGCAAAGCAUAACAUACAUGAGACUUCUCACAGUUUCUACAUAGGGAACUCGUCUCAUUUUCUCGAUCUCUUCAGAUGUUUUAGGUGAUUAAUCCUUAGAGAAUACAAUUGCAUAUCUGAAUGGUAAUAAACCAGUCUUGAAAUUUUCCAUGCUAAAUCUAGCCAAUAUCUUUUCGAUAUAAACUGCUUGAGACAAGGCUAAAGUUUUAUUCUUCCGGUCUCAUAGUAAUUUGAUACCAAAAAUAUAACUUGUCUCUCCCAGAUCUUUCAUAUCAAAUUGUUUUGCUAACCAAAUCUUUAUUAUAGUCAAUACUCCUAUAUCAUUUCCAAUCAGGAGAAUAUUGUCUACACAAAGAAUUAGGAAGGCUAUAAAUUUUCCCUGAAUCUUCUUGUACACACAUGGUUCAUCAAUGUUCUGAAUGAAUCCAAGAGAUUUAAUCUCUUGAUCAAAUCUGAUGUUCCAUGACCGGGAUGCUUGUUUUAAUCCAUAAAUGGAUUUCUGCAACUUACAUACCAUGUGUUCUUGGCCUUUUUGUACGAAUCCAUCUGGUUGCUGCAUGUAGAUGUCUUCUUCAAGAUGCUCGUUAAGAAAUGCUAUCUUGACAUCCAUUUGCCAAAUUUUAUAAUUUAGCGCUGCAGCAAUGGAGAGCAGAAUCCUGAUGGAUUUAAGCAUAGCAACCGCAGAAAAGGUUUCCUCAUAAUCGAUUCCCUCUUUCUGAGUAAACCCUUUGGCUACUAAUCUUUCUUUAAAUGUUUCCAUCCUUCCAUCUACUCCUCUUUUUCUCUUGUAGAUUCACUUGCACCUUAUAGGUUCUACCCCAUUUGGUGCCUCUACAAGUUCCCAAACUUUAUUGGAAUACAUAGAUUCCAUUUUUUUAUUUAUGACAUUUUUACAAAAUUCAAUAUCUCUGUCUAUUAGAGCUUCGUUGUAGCUAGUGGGAUAUUGUACAUGUUCAACUGAGAUCGCCAUAUAGGUUUCUCUCAAUGACAUGUAUCUCACGGGUAACGUAGUUACCCUCCCACUACGACGAGAUUCUAAAAGUGAUGGUUGUUCAGGGAUAAUCUUGUGCUGAUCAGCUAGUUGUUGCUGUUCUUCCUGUUCUAUAACAGGUGUUGAAAGCUGAGCAUCAACCUGAUCUCUUUUAUUUCUCUAGUUUUACCUUACUCUUAGGUUAUAAGUCAUUAUAUAGUCUUCCUCAAAAAAAGUAAAGAAUAUGUCUAUAACUACAUUCCUAUCUUGAGGACUAUAAUUUAGACUUUCCCUUAUUCCUUUAAGAUACCUAAAACAUGCAAGCUUCUGAACACGAAUCCAUCUUCUUUACCUCUGAUUCUAGUAGAAAUACUAGUAAACUCCAAAUACGAAUGUGUCUCAAACCAUGUUUGUGACUUUUUCAUAAUUUCUUGGAGUAGUAGACACCGAUAUAGAUGAAACUAAGUUCAAUAAACUUUGCAGUUUUAAAUACUAGUAUCUAGAAUAAAAAAAGGUAAAUGAUAAACCACUUAGUAUAUAUCUUGUCUUAUCCAAAAGAAUCUUGUUUCUUCAUUUAAUACACUAUUGUAUCAUAGUGUUCAUUAUAUGAGGGAGUUUAUCUCAUUUGACAACCAAAUAGAGCUUGAAUUCUCCAUAGAGAUAUUUGUUGUUUCGAUCAUAUCGAAGUUCUUUUAUGUUCUUGUCUAAUUGCUUCUGUCUUAUCCACGUACUCUUUUGAAUUUCAAAAGCAAUGGAAUCAUGACGCAUUUAGACAAACAUAAAUAAAAUGAAUAUUUAUCAACAAGAUUGAUAGAAUACUCAUAACCUCUUAUAACAUGUAAACUGGUUACAAUGAUCAAUCUUAAUAGGCCAACAAGACUAUCAUUAAUCAUUUUCUUAAAAUCUUAUUAUAAUUAUAGUUUAUAUGACUUAAGCAUAAAUAUCAUAGGCGAUUUUGGUUAGAAGAAACAUUUAUUUUCUUAGAUAAAUGCAACUACUCUUUAUCAUUAUAUCUUGCUUUGAAUAGAUCAAUGGACUUAUAUGAUAUAAAUUAUCUUUAUAAAUAACCAAAAUAAGUAAUAAACAGAGGAUCCAAAAAUAACAGUGUACUCCUGUUUAUUAAAACAAGCCACCGAAAUUAAAUUCCUCUUAUAUUUGAAAAAAUAAAGACAAAUAUCAAAACUAAAGUCUUGUAAAAUUGAUCUAGUCUUUCAAUUGAUAUAAACUAGCAUGUCCUCAACUGCUGUUCGAAACUUUCUUCACUUAAUCUCUUGGUUUCCUGAAAACCAAAUAAAUGAAUUACAAAUAAGACUAGUUAUCUCAGAAUAUACUAUUGCAUGAAUCAAUAGAAAUCUGAACUAAUUAGAAGCUUAAAGAUUUCCUAUACCUGAUUUUAAUAAUCUUAGGACAAUCUUUCUUCCAGUAACCCUUCUGUCCACAUUUGAAACACUUACCUUUUGGCUUGCCACUUCUUUUAGUGGACAAUUUGUCGAUCCCAACUCUUUCUUGCUCAUUCUUGUCUUUCGACUUAAGCCUUGAAGAGAAUCAUUUUUCAGGAAGUUUUCUGCUAUGAUAAAAUUCUUCUAUAGCAUGUAGUUCGUGCAUUAAUUCAAUUAAGGUCAUAUCUUUAUUGUUUAAGAUAUAGCUGACCUUAAACUCUUUGAAUGUAUCAGGUAAAGAUUCAAUCACCAUGUUAAUCUUUAUUUUAUCAUUGAUUUGAACACCAUGAAUCUCUACUUCAUUCAAAUAGUCCAUCAUUUUGAGGAUAUGAUCACGAACUUUUGUGCCCUCUUCUAUCUUAGUAUUCGUAAUACGUUUUAAUGCCGCUUCUCUGGCAAAAUGAGUAUUUUGUCCAAACAUCUGAUGAAGACUAGCCAUUAUUUCAGUGGUUGUUUCUAUACUCCGAUGUUUCUUAUGCAGUUCCACAGAAAUCAAAGCCAAUAUAUAGCACUUGGCCAUUUUCUUAGCUUCGCACCAUUUCUCAUAAGACUCCCUCUAAUUUCUAUAAUCGUAUAACAUUGGUUCUGGAGGGCAUGGCUAGGUCAACACAUAUUUGCAACCUUUAGCAGUGAGAAUAUUAAAUAAAUUGCGUUUCUAAUCUAAAUAAUUUUCGCCAGUGAGUUCAUUUUUAACAAAGAUAAUUAAUAAUGGGUUGAUGGAAGACAUUUUCUGAAAAAAAAAAAUAGACAUGCAUAAAUACUUUAAAACAAAAUUCACAAUAAAUGACAAAAAUGCAAAAAACCAUAAAUGCAUUUUAAUUUAUUGAAACGAUAAUCUAGUACCGCUUUGACAAGCUAUCCGUUGGGAAAGUCAUGUCUACACUUACUAGACCCAAUUAUCCAUUGGAUUAUUUACUUUCAUGUAGAGACAUGAUAAAUAAUUAUCUUUAUCCCUUUGGGCCUAAAUUUGUUAACAGAGAUUCGUUGGGAAGAUUAAUAACAAAUUUUAGUUGAGUGUAUAACCAUUGUUUCAAUCUACGUAUUUUUCAUAUCAAUAGUCGCCGUUGGGGUGAACAAUUGAUUGAAAAAUAUUUCAAUUUUAUCUUUGAAGAAGUUCAUCAAAUAAAAUAUCUAAUAUAUAUACCCUCUGUAGGGAGCAUCACCGUAUCAUGAAGUCGUGGUAUAUAUAUAAUUUUAUUAUUGAACUAACAAUGAGGCCCGUGGAAAAAAUUAUCUUAAAUUUUCCCUCUCCCACUCAAUAUUUUAAACUUGAUUUUUUCUUUUUAAAACAUUCAUAUUGUUAAUUGCAUGCUUCCUAUAAUAUUAUCUAGAUGAUAUCAAAUAUUAUUAAGCAUAUGCAAAUUUCAAACAAUAUAGUGAGAUUCAUUAUUAAUGAAUGACAUGUAUCAUUAUGCAUAGAGUGGCAUUACCUAUUCUAUAUGACAUAUUAUCAUGGCAUGUUAUCAUCCAAAACAUAACAUAUAGAAAAAUAAUUAAACAAUCUUAAUUCAUGGUUUUCCUAAAAUAAAAAAAAAUACAUUAACCCUAAGCCUAAUCUUCAUUGGGCUUCUUGUCAAUGUCCAUCUUCCAUAGACUUGUCUUUGUUAAUGGACUAGGAGAAAUUGGGCUUUUUAAAUUUAUUAUUAGUCCAAUUUUAAUUUUGAAAGGAAAUAAAUAAAUAAUUAAAAUAAUUUAUUAAAAUAAAACUUUUGGACCAAAAAUAAAUUUAAUGUGUUUAAUUUUAUCUAUGCAUUUUAAUCCAUUAAACCCAAUUAAAAUUGGGCCUAAAACUAGGAUUCAUUAAGCCCAAAACUGUUUUUGAACUUAAAUGUAAAAAAUUAAAACUUAUCAGCCUAAAGAGAAAAACUAUGAAACUAUUGGGACCUUAAUGAUAAAAACUAUUGAAACCCUAAAUCCAUCUUUUCCUCUCCCCAGCCACCAUCACCAUAAAGGGCAGCCACUAUUCACACAUCUCCGAUGCUGAUUUGACCAUCACCGCCACGCCGGGAAGCCACCAAACGACGCCCUCCGCCAGCCGCAAACGUCCGCAAGCUUCCAGCCUUAGCGCGCUUGCUGCUGGCCUCACACGCGUGUUUGCUGUUGGCAGUGUUGCUUCCAGCUACAGCAAAUGCGCUGGUCGAUGCCGCUGAAAUUUCCAGUCUUCCUUCAAUCCAUCAUUGUGCGAUUAUUUCCAGCGAUUUACAAAUUUCCUACGCCAAUUUUGGCUUACAAAAUUUAUAUAACAGUAAAAUAAAUCAAGAGGAAAACAUGGUGAUAAUAAACCACUCCUCUUGUUACAGAUUCAAAGGAAAAAUACAGCAGAGAAUCUAACAAUUAAUUAAGACAAACUAAAACAUGCUUUAUUAAUAUAUUAAACAAAUAAUAUAUAUCUGAAUAAAUUAUGCCACUCUAAUACAUAAAUUUCAAAAUUGAUUUCAUACAAUAUUCUUAUAUAUUAAUAUGAGAUGACUUUGAUACCAAUUGUUGGAGAAAAAUCAGUUUUUUGAAAUUUUUAUAAAAACUUUUAAGAUCGCUCUCAUAUAAUAUAUAAGAAUUUGUAAUCUAGAAAUCGUACCUUGAAAAUUCGAUUUGACUUUUUCCGCUGAAGUGAUUUAGGCUCCCAGAUCACGAUCCGUCACCACCACUCCUGUUAGAUCACGAUCCGUCACCACCACGUUUAUUAGAUCACGAACUGUCACCAAUGAUCUUUCAGGUUAUGACUCAGGUUUAAUCUGCACUUGACGUGUGGGCGCCUUUAUCACCACUAAAGCAACUACUAGUACAAGAAAAUUUUUCUCUCAAAAUUUAAAGAGAAAAAUCUUUUUCUCUGAUUUGUAUAAAGUGUCUGCUCUUUUUCUUUUUCUUUAGAGAAAAUAAGCUUUUAUAUAUCUCCCUUUAGUGAAAUUCCUAGGCUCCAUAUUUAUUUAUUUUUUAAUUCUAUUAAAUCCCAUUUGAUUUAAAUUAAAAAAUAAUUAAAACAAAAGUCACGUUACUUGUUCUUGUGUUAUAGGGGCCUACCUUGUAAAAUAUUACAAGGCCCCUUACACUCAAGCAUAUUAAUGGAGCCUCCCACUAAAUAAUAUAUUUAGACUUUUAACUCAAAUAGCUAGUUAUCUUGUUUAUUAAUCCACUAGCGACGCAAUCAAUUAAAUGAGAGAAAAAUCUUUUUCUCUGAUCUGUAUAAAGUGGCUACUCUUUUUUUUUAGAGAAAAUAAGCAUUUUUAUAUCUCUCUUUAGUGAAAACCCUAGGCUCCAUAUUUAUUUAUUUAUUAAUUCUAUUAAAUCCCGUUUGAUUUAAAUUAAAAAAUAAUUAAAACAAAAGUCACGGUACUUGUUUUUGUGUUAUAGGGGCCUAUCUUAUAAUAUAUCACAAGGUCCCUUAUACUCAAGCAUAUUAAUGGAGCCUCUCACUAAAUAAUAUAUUUAGGCUUUUGACCCAAAUAGUUAGUUAUCUUACUUAUUAAUCCAGUAGCGGCACAGUCAAUUAAAUGAGAGAAAAAUCUUUUUCCCUGAUCUGUAUAAAGUGGCUGCUCUUUUUCUUUAGAGAAAAUAAGCAUUUUUAUAUCUCCCUUUAAUGAAAACCCUAGGCUCCAUAUUUAUUUAUUUAUUAAUUCUAUUAAAUCCCAUUUGAUUUAAAUUAAAAAAAUUAAAACAAAAGUCACGUUACUUGUUCUUGUGUUAUAGGGGCCUAUCUUAUAAAAUAUCACAAGGUCACUUACACUCAAGCAUAUUAAUGGAGCCUCCCACUAAAUAAUAUAUUUAGGCUUUUAAUCCAAAUAGCUAGUUAUCUUGCUUAUUAAUCCAGUAGCGGCAUAGUCAAUUAAAUGAGCUAACUCGGGGAUCAUUUGGGAACAUAAAAUAGUGGCUACAAUAAUUAGGCUUGUAAUUAAACUAGCCUAAUUAUUUAAUUCCAAAUCUACUCCACUAAAAGAUUGGAACUGACCUCCAUAAUUGUAUGCUCAAAUAAUAAUUUGUCCUAAGUCACAUUGAUUUCUUUACUGCACAAUCUUUUGUACCACAUCAUUAAUUAAAUUGAUAUCUCCACUGUCCAAUCAAUUUAAUUACAUCUUGUUCCUUAGUUCUUACUAGUUUUCUCUAAUGAUCAUUUUCAACAUACUAAAUAUAUUGACACACUCUGGCCAGAAAAUUCUAUGAUCAAGUGCCGAAAACCCAUCAAGAGAUGUGUUGUACAAAUUCUAUAUUGUUAAUCUAUAACUUCAAUAUUCAUAAUUGCUCCCACCAAAAUAUCGGAUAAUCUCGACUACAAGUAUGUGUCGUACCCAUUUGUAACUCAAAUGGAAUAACAAUUACAAUCAUGAAAUCAUAAUUAACUCAAGAUUAAGAUUACAAUAAAAUCAAUGCCUAUGAGAUUUAAUAAGUCUGACAGUUAUUUCAAGGUUAAUUAAAUCUCAUAUGUGAUCCAGUUCAAUGUAAUCAAACUACAUCAGUAAAUUCAUACAUGAUUAAGAUAAAUCAUUCAAUGAAUUUACUAUAGUUUAAAUAUAAAUAGAGCGCUCAACUCUAUUUAUCAACUGUGAACUUAAUUUGUUUAAUCAUAAAAUAACUUGUAUUUAUAUCUUCUGUGAAUUCAUAUGAUGAUCACAUAAAUACAUAUAAUAUGAUUAAAUAGACCUUAUUUAAAAUAUUUAUACAAUUAAAAAUAUCUCUAAUAUUUUAUUAAUCAUAAAAUAAAUUAAUAUGUUUUAAAAGAGCAUAUAAUCCUAACAGAUAACAUGCUGCAUAGGGAUGGCAAAAAUCCCCACGGAGACGGGUACCCUCGGGGAUUUUCCCCAUUCGGGGAGGGUAUGGGGAUAAUUUCAUACCCAAUUUCUUAUUUGAGGAAGGGGAUGGGGAAAUUUUUUUACCUAAUUUCUUAUUCGGGGAGGGGACGGGGAUGAGGUGGAAUCACCAUCCCCUACCCAUUUCCCCAUUUUAAUUUUUAAUUUAAUUUUUAUUUUUUAAAAUUACUAGUAAAUAAAUAAUAAAAUUUGAAUUAUAAAAUUAUAAGUAUUGGUAAAAAUAAAAAAUAUCAAAAUAUUUAUAUUAUUAAACUUUUAGGCCUAAUUAACUAAUUAAAGUCCUAAAUUUUUAUUUAUAACAUUAAAAAGACCGGACAGAUUCUAUUAGCCCAAAACUUUUGUUUUAAUUUUAAUAUUCAUUAAAUAUUUUAAACUUAAAUCUAUUUUUUAUUUAUCUUAAUCUAUUUUUUAUUUAUUUUUAUAUGUUAUAAUUACCCACAAUAAAUCACAAUUUUAAUAUCUAAUCUAAUAUAAUAUUUGCUCUUGAUUUACUUCCACUUAACUAUUGUGUUGUAAAGAGAAUAGUCCACAUUUAUAAAGUGCCAACGCCACCAUUGAAAAGUUAAUUUUGAAUCUAAAUUUGAUUUUAUUUGUAAUAAUUUUGUAUUAGGCUAUUAAUCUGUUCAUGAUAGUUUGUAUCUCUUGCAUGCUGCGUUACUUACUAAUUUAAUGUAUGUAACUUUUGUAAUGGAUAUUAAUGUAAGAUAUAUUUCGAACUUUACUUUUAUUUGAAUUUUUUAUUUUAAUAUGAUUAACUCAAAAUCGAAAACAAAAAAUAUAUAUUAAUUAUUCGGGUAUUGGAGACCCUCGGGGAUCUCCUGUUAUUAUUCGGGGAGGGGAUAAGAAUUCUCUUAAAUAAUUUUGACGGGAAUAGGGAGGGAACGAGGACAUACGCAAAAUAUCAGUGAUAGAUAUGAGAAGAUUGGUCCCCUCCCUCCCCUCCCCAUUGCCAUCCCUAAUUCUGCAUUUCUUAGAUAGAGGUGGAGUUAUUGGCGGUGGUGGCUGAGCAGAGUUGAGCUCGGCCUUGUUGCUGCGGAUAUGCUUGGCAGCUUCAGCAUAAGCUCUUGGGCUUCUUUGGCGAUGUUGAAAAUGCCAAGCCAAAUGCAGAUGCCCUUGUAACGGUCUCUAGUCUCAGCUGCCCAUUUUCCCCAUGGCCUAGCCUUAUUCCUCUAUAAACGUUCUUUUGAACUCGCAAAGUCUUCUUCUCCGUCCCCUCAUCAUGAGCAGCUUUAUAGCUUGAAUCUUCAGCCUUCGCAGAUGAAAGCUACCGGAAGUUCAAAAAUGGAUCAACAACGAUUUUGAGAGAUUUUAUUAAGUUGAAAAAUCGAAGAAGAAAAUGAAAAUUAGGGUUUUUUUAUUUAAAUUUAUUAAAAGCGUAAAAUCAGAAAUUAAUAUUUAACUAUGGAUAAAAUAAAGAAAUCAAACUUUUUGAUGGAGUGGAAAUCAGAUUUCCUCACUCGUUAUAGAGGAAAGUGAAUUCCUCAAAUAAUGGAAAUUGGAGGUAAAACAGAAUUUGAAUCUCCGAUGAUAUUUUGCCGGCCGAAUGAACGAAAUCUAGGCGGAAGUGAAAAUCAUCUCCUCUCCCGACUCGUCUACCCCCAACCGAACAUAGUCUUUACUGUCCUCUAUUUGUGCAAUGUGAUCGGAGGAGAUUUUUAUUUCUAUGAUUAUACUCUAACGGUCCUCUAUCUCUAAUUAAAUAGAUAAUGACAUAAUUUCAUUGUAAUCUGCUUAUGAUAUGCUUUUGAAUCUCUCUGUUAAUUAUACGAUGGAAGAAGAUAAUGUCAAAAAUGAGGAAGAGGGAUUCAACACAGGACCACUUUUGAGUGUUAAAAACAACACCUAGGUGCUUAUUAACUGUCAGAACAACAAGAUGCUUCUUUUCUUGGUCGAGAGCUUUUGAUCGUCGGUGCAAUAUGGUUCUUGAGAAUGCUUGAGAGAUGUGGUGUGAGCUGAGGUACCAAAGACUGGAAAUGGCAAGAAAAAGAAAAAAGGCACUCCCAGAGAAGAAGGAUGACUCAUCAGUAAGACUUUUCCCCGAGGAGAUCCUAUGAUCAUUGCUUUUAGGCACUUCCACCUUGUUUGAAAACCUCAUCUAUCAACACUGUUUGUGAUGUGUAUUGCACCAACCAUGUGCUGCCUAUCGGCUAUUCAAUGGAUAAUUGAUCAAUUGGAUUAGAGAUGUUAUGAUGAGUCUCAAGAUAAAUAAUAAAACUCUAUUCAGGUGUGAUAUACCGGCAAGCCUCUGCUUCGAUAACAAUUGUAACAACAGAAUUGGCUAAAUAUAUAAUGGUUCAUUUGCUAGACGGGAAAACAUUCAGUAGACAAAAUACCCUGCCCGUUGAAUAACUCCCAAUCGUUCAUUCUUUCUUAGGAAUUAACUACGUGGCCAAUACAAAAUAAAAUUGUUAUAAUCAAAAUAAUUGUUAGUUGAUAAUUUCUUGUUGUCACAUGAUUGUUGAUAGGAUAAUUUGACACUCACUCUAUCUCAAAGGUUAGCUCCACUAGAAGAGAGAAUUAAGGAUCUUUAGGGAGGAAAUAAUGAACCCAGAGAAAAGGCUCAGAAUUAGUCUGCCAAUCAACAUAAAAUGCAAAAACGUGGUUUAGAAGAUAUAGUAAAUUUAAAACAUGAACUAAGGAAGUUAUCUACAGUAUCUCAAAAUACAUAAAAAUAGGGGCAUGAUCCAAAAGCCCUACAAACAUGCCACAUAAUCAAAAUUCGAAAGGCAUCUAAGGAGAAAAAGAUAACGAGAGAGGUAAGAAAACUUUUUUUUCUGAAAAAAUUCUCCACUUUAUUGGAAAUAUACAAUUUUUUACAGGUCUAGAUACCCUAUUUUAUGUAUUAUUUGUUUCUUUUGAGUGCAAAUGUUGACAUUUUGUCUAUUUACUAUGUGUGCAAAUAACGAUCCAUCUAUCAUUCCCAGUUCAAUGCAAAGGGAAAGGAAACGAGCAUCAAUCUGUCAUAAGAUUAAAAUUGCUGCAAGUAAGCCAUUCAGACAAAAAGUUUCUUUUUCUCCAGUAUCUUACAAUUUUUUCUUUCUCAAAUUCAUGGCGCUAACUAUAUGGCAUUACGGCCAUAUGAUCUGAUUACCUUCUUAACCCUGACACUUUGAAUAUGACAGUUUCUGACGAAUCAAACUAUUUUUAUAGAUUGGAGUCAUCUGUCAUACGAAUUUUCACCCAGCAUCUAAAAAUUUCAUGUCUAUUGACAAUUCAUUAAGAUUUAAAGGCAAUGAAAUUUGUCUCUCAUAUAGGCAUAUAUAAAAUCAUGAAAAUCUCUUGUUAAUCAAUGAAUAGUUUGUGGUUUUUUAUGAACAAGAAAAACAUUUUUCAAAUAUUUAUAAAUUUUAUUUUUUUAAAAAAAAUGAAUAACCCCCGUGUCUGUUUUUAGUCACCCCCGCCUAACAAAUGGCUUUUGGAUUCGAGCAAGUGUACUUCUGGCAAUCAUAUGAAUUUCUCAUGUGCAACACGCACGACUAUAACAGUAAGAAUUUGGGGGAAGCAGGAUAUUUGAUAACAAUUUCUUAGGUAUCUUUUUCCUUUCUAAAUCACCAAUUUAAGCAUAUAAAGAAUCAGGAUGGAAGUAUACAAGAUAACAAAACCCUUCCAAUAUCCAUAAGCUAUCAAAUAUAUGCACAAGCAAAUUAAUGCUUCAAACAAUGAAUGUGGUAUCUCAAUCACCUCUGAUUUUGCGCAGACUGAGAGCUCACUUCAGAAACAAUUGAUACUGGCUUAACAUUGGCAAGGGAAAUUGGUGUCAGUGGUGGAGAAGAAACACCUUCCAACUUUUCCACAACUUUUGGAGACUCCAAGAACUUAGAUACAUGUAAUGCCAUUGCUUUCUGGCUACUUGAGGGUAUGGAGAAACUCCGAGAGACAAUCAAUGGGGGAAUCGGAAGAGGGGAUGCCGUAUUAGAUGCCAUCGAAGGAUUCUUAUUUGUUGAAGUAUGCUCUUGAUUUCUAAACAUCAACGGAGCAGAGUGACCAACCAAACCAGAGGAUUUUGCAGGCUUGGUAGCAAAAGCAUUUGGCGGCCGAGGAAGCUCAUGAAGCUCGCUUAUUCUAGGCGAGGAAACAAGGGGGGGUGAAGCAGUAGGGGAUACUCGUGGAGAUGUUUUCGUCUGAGGAACCGGUGCAUGAGAAAGUAAUCCAGAUACUAUUUGAGGAAGUUCGGUAUAGGUAAUGGGGCCACUGGAAGAUAAAGCAGGCUUCGAUGAAGAAGAUUUACUACUUAACGGACCAGAGGAGGCUUGUGUUUUGAUUUUCUUGGUAUCAGAACUAUUAAGAGUAUCAAGCUGUGGAAGUGCAAGACCGUCUCUCAGAGGAGGGGGUCUCGUGGAGGCAUUAUUACUGUCACUCUCUUUGAGAAGUGACUGUGAUUUUAAGACAGAAUGCUCAGACAAGUGAGCAUCACCAUAAUCUCUAUCUUCUUUCUUCUGCUCCAAUGGAGAAGAAUGUGACAAAUUGUAGGUUCGUCCACUGGGAUUAGAUGGUCUUGUACGGGGAGCGACGGAAGAAGAGAUUGGGACCUUUGCAUCAAUAGGCGUGGGCAGCACAUAUGUGCUUGGCUGCCGAGCAGAUGAUUGCUGCACUUGUCUUAUUCUUUCAGCUGGAUCAAUCUUCCUUUCUGGAAAUAUCGGGGCAGAAAAGCUACUUCCUCUCCGUUCCCUAUGUGAUGCCUGGUACUCUCCUGGGUUUUUGUCCAAGUUUACCUACAGUUCAAAUAUGCAUAAAAUUAAUCUUAAAAGUUUAAAACAAUGACUUCAAUUGGCACAACCAAACAUCAAAAUCAGUAAAAUGCCCAUUAUUCUAAAGAUGCAGCAAACAGUUAAAGAGUAAGGCAUGAGAAAGCUUCAAUCUAAACUAUACAACUACAUCAUCAGAGUCAAAUCUAUACUGCAAUGGUUAUAGGAUCCAAACCUCUGCAUUUUCCACUGUUGAAGCCUGGGGAAAUGAAACAUCAACAUCAUCUACCUGCAGAAUAAACAACUAUAUCAUCCAUACAUAUAUAAAAUCUAACAAUCGAAAAAACAGAGUACACAACUUGCAAUAUGAUCAUCAACUACACCAAUUAAGACCAUCACAGGUUACAUGAUUGAUCAGCCAAAGAUAAAUGCUAUAUUGAAGGGAUUUAAGUUGGAGGAUCCAAUCAGACAAAUGGAUCAUCUGUUUUUCUUUUACAGCGGGUUCAGAUUAGCCUUACUGGUCCAAAUUAGUAGCAUAAAGUAGAUAAAAUAUUCUGAUCAUUAUUUUUAAAAAUAAAAUAUUUGCAUUUAUUUUCAACAAUGAAGAGUAAACAAAAGUAGAUAGAAUAUAUUACAGCUAACGAAUGAGAGCUGUGGAAUGAAAAAUUUUGUGAUCUUAAAACCACUUAAAUAUGGGUUGAGUCAACCAUCAGAUAUAAUCGGUGGUUUAGCUCCUACCCAAAAUCACCUUAGAUUCAGACACACCCAUAACUGGAGGAACAGAAAGCAAAUGACCUCAUCCCCCAAUGUUGGUUUUCACACACUCCCAAUCUGACAGGCAUAUUGGAGGAUAAAUUCAGUAUUACCCCAUAAUUCCAUUGAAUCCAAUGAAUUUUAAGUUCAUAAAUCAUCAAUCCUCAGAUUCAAUUUUCUAUGCAUGUAUCUCUCAUGUAAACUGAAGAGUAACUUACUUUACUAUGACUACAAGAGAUCACAAUUUCAUUAUUUAAUAAACAAAGACGGUACCGAGUCAAGCCUAAAAACUUUUUCAGUUAUGAUAACCAUGAAAAAUAAUAAUUCAUCAAUUAGUUAUUGGUCUAUCUUCACAGCAAACAUAAAGCACACACUUUGCAUGCAGCCAAUGUGAACACAAUUGGACAACACCAGAACUAUCGUUGACCAUAAUACCGGAAUAAAUUAGCUCUAAUACACUAAUUUUCUGUGACCAAUAAUAUGAAAACCAUAUUCUACUUUCUAAUAAAGGUAGACAAUCCAAACCCUACUAUUAAAAGAUAUGACCAGUUGCGUUACAGUAUAUCCAUUCUAGCAACUGGGCUAUGGCAUGGAAUCAUGAUUAUGAGCUCAUUCACUAAAGCAUGGCCCAUGGCUGAGAAUAGAUCCUUCAAAAAAAAAAUCCUGAUGCUAAGAAAUUUUGUGAAAAACAGCUUGGUAAAAACUGAAAAAUUAAGCAUUCACAAUCCAAAACACUUCUUUUUUUUUCUUUUCCUUUUUUUUUUCAAUAAGAACAACGCAAAACAGCAUAAAUCAAAAGCAGAAUUGUCAUCCAACAAUAUGAUUGAGAGUUGUCAUAAGACAAGAUAAAAAUGCACAUCACGACCAUUUUCCAUAUGAAUGAAACAAAAAUCUCGGUGACAAUAGGUCCUCACCUCCAUUGAUUUCCUUGACGUAGAAACAACAUCAAGACCCUGCUUAUUAUCUCUGUAGUCAAAACUCAAUUCCCCUGCCUCAUUGGCAUAAUAGCUAUCCUCACCAUCUUCCCCAUCAUUAUCUUCAAGUCCAGAGAAUUGGUAAUCUAUAUGUUGCCUUUCAGCAACCAAUCUAACAUGAGUGUCAACUGCCUCAAGUGAUUUAAAUCCUUUCCUAAAGAAAUUCAACUGCACAGAGUGCAGAAAGCAAAGAAACCAAGGAAGCAUAUUAAGAUUUGACUUAUACAGAGUGAGAAGUCUAGGCAAUUGACUUUCCUAGAAACAAAUGAAAUAACCUGAGCUGCAUGGUGGCGAGCAGCCUGAGUUAGAAGACUUCGGUACUGCCCUUGUUUGAGAGAUUUCAACCGAAAAACACACAGCCUUGCUUCUUCUUCAUAUUCAUCAUUGGCAGCUUGUAAUUGCUGCUGCAAUGAAACACUUUCACCUUUCCCACUUUUUGACUUUCCCUUUUCUCUUUGUUGUGCCAUCACGUAUUCACAUACAUUUCUGAAGAUCACAUAUCAGAUUCAGAAAACCGUUUCAGACAAACAGAAAUAAGUCUUAGAGAUACAAGGGCAGACCUUUUUUCAUCGCAUUGUCGCUUCAUAUCCUGAAACAGCAAACACAAAAGAUGCCACUGAGCUGAACAACUUCGAUAACAAUAUAACUACGCAGUCAAAGUGAAUGGGUAGUGCAAAAUGAUGGAAACCUUCGUAGUCUAGGCAACAAAUAGGUUGCCAAACAAGAGGUAAGUGAGCAGGAUGUUCAGUGACCACCUGACAUCCAUUCUGCUUAACUAAGAAAUAAAUCCUACAUCUAAUAUUCAUGCAAAAUUUGGCUGAUUCAUGCCAUCGAACUAUCAUUGAUGCUCAUCAAGGCUUGAAGGAGCUACAAAAUUUAGUUAAAUAAUGACUUUGUGCAAAAAGCUUUAAGGAUCAGGACAAGAUCAUUACACAAGUGGAGCAGCACCAAUAUUCUAGCAAUAAUAUAUCCUCAGUCUAGAGUACAUUAGUCCCUUAUGUAUGCAUGCAAAAUCAUACAUAGAUAAACGACUGCUAAAGAACACGGUAACUCAAACAACUAACAGAGCAGGAAUUGCAAAUUCCUUCCCAACUCCAAUAAACAAAAGAAAAUCUGGGGACACUAAUACAGUUUCUUAAACAACUAUCAGCCCAAAAAAUGAAAAGGAGCACAAUAUUUCACCAAGAUGAUGAAAACAAAAACAUGGCUCCAAAGUCAGUCUAAGAAGCAAACAAUGCAGCACCAAUCUCUGCAUAUUUUACCAAGCCGUUAUGCAUGUGUGAACUAGUCUAAAACACCUCAAGAGUAACAAUAUGACCUAUACCUGCAUAUGGGAAUAAUGUAGAAAGAUCUGAGAUAUAAGCUAAACAUAUAGAAUUGACGAGAACAAACCUCAACUGUACGAAGUUCAUUGAGAAGAGAUUCCGAUGGGUUAGUGAUUGUCAGGAAUAUAUUUGAGCGCUGAAGUAUAAAUAACAGAAGUGCAAUAUCAGGAUGGACACAUUUUUGCAAAAGAAUAUGAAAAGCUAUGCUACAAUCUACAACAUGACGAUGAGCACUCACAUAGUUAUCGACAAGCUUUUGAAGUUCAAAUUGCACUUCACCCAACAUUAACAAAACUUUACCUGCAAAUAAAAUCACAGGAGAGAGAGCGAAACAUAUGUAAUCUAUAAUACCUCAAAAGUUGUAUUUAUUUAAAACAUUUGAAAUUUCAAACUGAUAAAAAUAGGGACCUACAUUAUAUCUGAAUUUAACUAACAAUCAUCCAGUUAUAAUCAUGCUAAACAUAUUGUUUUGAUCGAAAUGGCAUUUUACUCAAUAAAGGUAGAAGGGCACCAGGGCAUUAGACUAGAUUCUGCCAUUGUUUUUUGGAAAGACAGUACAACAUUUACCAGUGGAUUACAAAUCUAAAGGUGUAGUACAUUUUAUGCUACCAGUCUUUACCUUUAUUUUACAAAAUGAAAAGCAUUAUGAAGCUAAUCAAAAAUCAAGAAUAGGCUAACAAUUUCCAAAUUAACUUGGGCUCGAAGUGAAAUGAAAAUCACAAACUCAAUUAGCAAUACAAUGGCUUAGCUUCUCAGGUUUAUAAAAGAUUUACACUUCUUAUAAAUUAAGCCGGCCAGCAUAAUACCCCAUUCUACAUCUUACAGAAAAUACCUACACCAAAAUUUAACACAAAUGAUUGUUACAUCGACAUACUUCAAGAAAAAUAUAUGUGUGUGUGUGUGUGUGUGUGUGUGUGUGUGUGUAUGUAUAUAUAUUUGAUUUACUUACGACUUUCUUCAUCAUCGUGCAAUGAAGUUUUCUCCAUCAGACAAGAACCCAUUUCUUGCAAUGAUUCUGAGAAUUCUGAAAUCACAAAUCAUGUCAAUUGAGAACGUAUAUGUCACAACAUUAUAAAAUUGAACAAACUCCAUAAGCUUACACAGACAUAACUUUUAGCAAAAACCAAUAACUUCCCUAACAAACAGAGUUUAAACAGGGUACAUAUGAAAUCAUCAGGGAAUGACCUUAAAUAGUAUCACAUCUAUCUUGGAUUUCGGCACAUAUGAAUACAAACUCACUGUGUUACUUUUUAUCAAGAAAAUUUUGAAAAAACGCUUCCACAUUUGGCGAAGUCUACAAUUUAGAAUAACUAUUGCCGGAAACAGAUUACAUAAAAUUUAUACACAAUCUGAUAAUUCAAAAUAUAUAUAUAUAUAUAUAUAUAUAUAUAUAUAUAAAUAAACAGGUAAAAGCAAUCAAACACUACAUAACCCAAAAGUUUAGCAGAAAAUAUUUACCAUAUGCACUGUUGGCCGUGGCAGCAGCUGCAGAGAGUAAGCUAUCAUAGCAAUUUCGCAUAACUUGCAUAUCCUACAAAUCACAAUACAAAUUCUUAAUUAUAUUGUUUAUACAAUAUUCCAAAAAAAUUAAAAGAUAUCAUUGUAAGAUACUAUAAUAAAAUUGUAAAAUAAAUGAAUUUGUUGCGUUAACAGAAAAUUAUACCUGAGCAGCCUGGUCGAGGUCAUCAACCUGAGAGGAAGAAGGAAGAAAGUCGAUUUUGUCCUUCGUAUCGCUUUUGUGAAGUGCAAAUCUUCGCAAUUUGGAGAGCGAAGACUUCAUUUCUCGCAAAACCCUAACACUGUGUGCUUGCCAAACAGAUGCAGCAAAAUUCUCUGCCUAUUUUUUAAAUUUCCUUUUUGAUUUCUGAAUUCUGAAUGCUCCAACUUUGAAUAAAAGAAAGAGUUCACUUGUCCUUUGUUUGUUUGGGUGGAAAAACGACUUUAAACAGAUCAAAGAAAGAGAAAUAAUAAUAAUAAUAAUAAUACUAAUUGAAACGACGAAUGUGCUGAAAAAAAAUAACGCACAGGCAAUUAGAAUGGACAUAAAAAAUAAAAAACAAAGAAAAACAUAAAUUCUAAAAUUUAAAACUUUUACGAUCAAAUUAUUUAAUAAUGGAGUAAUUUACUAAAUAGGGAUGUAACUUUGACUAUUUGACUACUGUAUUUCUUGAAUUUUAGGGGGCACCAGAAAAGUAAAAACAUUCAAUUAAAAAGAUAUUUCUGUAGAAUUUUUGAAAAAGUGGUAUGACGUGGCAAGUUAAAAAAGGGGACGUGUAGGCGUGAGAUAGUUAUGGAAUGGUGGUUACAGUUGUAAUUGUACAAGGGAAGUCGUCAAAGUCAAAGAUUGAUGACAAGGAAAGAAGCAGUUAUAGAAACGGAAACCAUCUCAUACUUUGACCGUUGGUGGUGGGUCAGAUCUCCCUCGCUAUUGAAAUACCCUUUCUGCCCCUCCACUUUGUUCCAAUUGAUUACGGGUAAAACACAAAGUUUGAUCCUCCGCUUAUUUAUAUCGUGCUUGAAUUUUAUCCUCCGACUAUCCACGUUAUAAUCAAAAUUGUGAUUUUAUCUUUGACUGACCAAUCUAACUUUUUUUUUUUUUUUUGUGAGGAUAAGAAUUAAUUAAUUAAUCAUCCUUUGGUGGGGCAGAAAUUUAAGAUUCAUGUUAAGUCCACUAUUUCCUUUGAGAUAGACAACAAUCAUAUGGGAAUGUUAUUUUAUGAGAAAAUCCUGUAAAAUUUAUAUCUAUAUUUCUUAAAUAUAUUUUUAUUUUUGCUAAAUUUUUACUUAAAUAUAAACAUUCUUUUCUUAUUUAACUGAUUAAUUGUAGCUAAAUAUCUUCAAUUUAAUUAAUUGUCAUUCUUUUCACAAAAGUUUACUUAAAAUGUUAUCUUUUCCAAAUAAUCUCUUUAACUUAACGUCACAAUUAGUACUACGUUUUUACAUAUUUUUACAUCCCUUCACGGUUCGAUUUACUUUAAAGCCUUGUGGACAUCAUCAUUGCGGGUAUGCAAUCUCAUUUUUUUUUCCCGGCUUUAUCAUUCUAUUCUGUCCUUAGUUCGAUUUUAUCCUUAUUUCUUUCCAAAUAAUAGUCUUUUAUAUGGUUUUAUUUUCUGGAGGAGGAAAAAAACGAUAGCUCCUUGUUUGUUUGUAAAAUUUCUAUUAUUGGUCUGAUAGCAACUCAAUUAUCUUCUCCAUCCAAAUAAGUGGAGUCCCAAAAAAUGAACUCUUUAUUUGUCAGAACUAUCUGCGAAGCCACAAAUCUGCCUAAAUCUAUCUGCAAAAUUCCACCUACUACUUGUAAUUUUACGAGUUACGGGCAGAUUUGACACUUUAAAUUUAAUUCUACUGCUAAUUGCAAGUGAGUUUGGCGUUAAGAAAAAAUCUGGUACAUGCCUGCGACUAUAUUUGCCAACUAGCAUCUUUUUUUUAAAAAAAAAAUAUUUAUGUUUUUUAUUUUAAUCAUAAAAAUUACACUAAAUAAAUAUAAUCAUAAAUAUAUAUAUAAGCUGAAAUUAUUACUCAUGUCCUAAUCUUCCUAAUUUUUAAACAUAAUACAGUAAGCUUUUAAUAAAUAAAAUUUUAUAAUUUUCAAGUUUAUUAUUAUUGAUAUUCUAUUAUAAUUUGAUAAAUUUUAUUUGUCUUGGUUUAAUGACUUGAACCUAAUGAUUGCUUACUAAAAUUGAAUUUUUAUCUAUUUAAUUAAUCAUUAAUGGGACUUGUCCAAAAUUUACUUGUUAAUAUUAUCGACAGUACUUGUAUAUUGAUUAAAAGACGGAGCAAUACAUUGAUCUGAGUGAUGAUGAUUUUCCUACAAAAAGAAACAUUUUCUAUCAAAUUUAUAUAUUUUUUGUAUUUAUUUUAAUGUUGAAACUUUAAUAUCUCAUUUACAUUAAUAAAAUCUAAAUCUAAGUACUUUAUGUGAAUUUUUUAGGUUAUUGUUAUAAAUUUAUAGUUUGAAUUAUAUAAUUUGAAUUUUUAUGUAUUAUUGAAAGUAUUUUUUUUAAUAUUUGUGAUUUUAAAUAUGAGAACCUACAAAAAAAACUUGUUGUGGGGUACGGGUGGGUUUGAUAAUUAUUAAAACUUGCAACAAGCAAGUUCUUUUUUAAAAAAUAAAAGCCCAUGGUAGGUUGCAAAGCGGGUUUAGUAAUGAUAAACUCAUAUUGGGUGAUAUUCAUUACCAACUCUAUCUCGUACUUUAAUAUUAUGUUGAAAGUUUUUAAACAACCUAGGAAAAAAAAGACGUGGAUUUUAAUUUUCUUUUUCUUUUUUCAAUCUCUUAACCAAAAUACUUUUAUCUUACUUUAAAUUUUGAAAGCCCUAACAAAAAGGAGAGGGAAAAAAAACAAAACAAAACAAAAGAAACCAGUGAAGGUCGGAAAAUCCCUUGAACACUCAUGGUUCGAAAAUGUGUAUGAGAGCAUAUAUUUUUCUUUUCUUUGGAAUGAAUUUCCAUGUCUGGCAAGUAAUAAGAAUUUGGAAAAAAAUUUCCAGGUCUAAAAACCAUUGAGCUAGUGUUCAAAUCACGGAAGGCUUUUGAUACAUCUAUCAAUAUUUAUACAAUGUAGCUUCAACAAAAUACCGACCGAAUUAGAAAAGAAAAAAUGACUACAACAAAUUUUGUAUUUUUCUUCUUAGGUGGCGUUUGUUUUUUUGUCUGAAAUCUGAAUAGAUCUGAAUUAGUCUGAAUUCUGAAUAGAUCUGAAUGUCUGAAUAUGAAUAAUAUGUUUGUUUUUUCGUCUGAAUCUCAAAAAAUAAGUAUUAAGUUGUUUUUUUUUUCAAUUUAAAAAACUGAAAAUAUGUACUUUUACAUUUGUAUCCUUAUUAAAUUGGAAUGUCAAAUAAAUAAUAUAUUAAAUACCACAAUAUUUUAACAUUUAUAAGUAAAACUAAUGAUGAGAUUAUUAUGUGGGGUAAAUGUCUAUGGGUGAGUUUUGGAAUAGAAAUGAAAAAUAAAUUAUAAAGUAAGGAUAUUUUUUACAUUAGUAAGUAAUUGACUUAAUUCAAAUUUCUCCAUUAAGUAAAAAACUAAAAAUAUUAGCUUAUUUUAUUAAGUCAAAAUUAUCUAAAAAGUCUCAUUAAGUUAUAAAAACAAACACCUUUAAUUAACUUAAUUAAUUAAGUUAAGCACUUUAAGUCAUUAAGUUAAAAAACAAAUGCCACCUUAAUUAUCACUUUAAUUAAAAUAAAGGCUUCUUCAUUAGAUAAUUAUUUAUCUUAGUCAUCAUUUAAUUAAAAUUAGGGCUCGCGCAUUAGAUUAUUUAACUCAUUAAAUUAAUUUGACAUCAAAUAUGAAAGAAUCGACCCGAUUUGUUUGAUUGAUAAUUACUCAUUUAUUAAAAAAUUAUAAUAUGUACAUAGUACAAGUUUCAAGUUUCCAUAUUCUAGAUAAUACAUCAUUUUCCCACACUUUCAAGUAACAGAAGUUUAAUUUAGAUUUGUUAAUUUUCUUUCCCUAUAAAAACAAAAAUAUCCAAUGAAUCAGAUUGCAUUUGAUUGAAUCGUACUCUAAAGUCAAACUUAAUUGUUUGAAAUUCUAGAAAUGACCGGUUAAUAUUAGACCACAAUGAUUUUUAAUUAUAACAAAUCUUAUAAUAUAUCUAAUUGUGAGCAGUGGACCAAUCAAUCCCGUAGUGCAAAAUCGAUAACCACUUUUAGUUAGCCUAAAGAAAUUAAUUAAGGAAUAAACGUAUGCCCUUGGACCUUAACUAAUCAAAAUUAAUAACAGAUAAAUGAAAGGAUAUAUGUAAGAGUUAGGUGAAAGUCUUAGCAGUCAAUUUCUUAAUCCAAUAAUUAAGCUCACUUCUUGAAGCAUGAGUCGCUGGCACAAUCACGGUUGCAGUCACAAGUUGGUGAGAUUUUAUAUGGGUUACACGAACCUAAUUAAUGAUUGACAUGUACUUAGUUUAUCCCUUAAGCUAGGCUCUAAUUAUUAAUUAAUUCGUUUCUUUCGCAUGCAAAAUACGACUUGAAGUAAUUUACUUUUUUAUUAAUCAAUCAAACCUUGCUAGCUAGUGAGAGUUGAACAACAAUUCACGCUAUUUCAUUUAAAAUUAAGAAAAUGUGUUUAACAAAUAAUAGCUCUUAACAAGAGUAUUUUCACAGACGCUGUAUGACUUUAACCGUUUGCCUAAAAUCUUUAAAAAAAAAAAUAACACUGAACAUAGACACUGCUCUAUUUAAGAUAACAAUAAUAUAGAUAAUAGAUGAUAGUGUCUAGGAAGAGAAAUAUAAUUACAAAAGUGAUGGAGACAAAAAAAGAAAGUUAAAGAGAAAUAAUAAUGCGUAGGUACCCGAUACAAGUGGCUGUUUAAUUUGAAUAAAGACUUUCAAUUUUGAAUGGUCAAAAAGAAGUGUUUCUUGAAGCUCAAGGGAUAUGAAGGACGAUUAGGCAUUAGCACAAGAAAGUGACAUUUUCAAAAGCCGCCUUUUUUAAAUGGGAAUUUAAAUCUGUUCAGACUUUAGAUUCAAGACGCAUUGAGUGAUUGGAGGGGGGUCCUGCUGAUUAUGGAAGAAAAGUCUUCAGGAAAAGCCAUGUAUCAAACCCUAUUACAGAAGUUAAUAAUACACCAAUUUUUUUAAAAGUCUUUAAGUUUUGGUAACAGUUUGAAUUUAUAGCUUGAAAAAGUAAAAGAUUAUCGCUACAUUUCUCGUUUAAUAUCUCAACUUUUACCAGCUCAAGUGAGGUGACAAUCGAUCAAUUAGAUGAUGAAAUAUCAAUUGAUUAGAUGAUGAAAUAAAGUAACAAAUAAUUUAUUAGUUAUAAAUUUGAUAAUCCAAUGGAUGAAAGUUAUAUUGAUACUUAAAAUGAAAAUAUUAGUACAUUACUUGGUCUACUAGUGUUACUUAAAGCAAAAUUAUCGGUCUUAAAUGUAUACUUGUAAGCUUUUAAUGUAUGUUAAUUGAGUAUUGACGUAUUGACAAAGAUAUGUAAAUGUUAGCAUGAAGAAGUUUUUUGUAUUUUUGUAACGAAAAUUUUUCCUCUUAUGACUUGUAAUAUGAGCUCUCUUGAUCCAUGGUUAGGUUUCUCGAAAUUUUAGAAGCAUUUUAGAAUUCUCUAACUUGUACAUGUGUUUAUAUAAUAAUAUAAAAUUAAGAACUUAUUAUUUUUUAUUUUCUUAUUCAAUAAUUACCAAUCAGAUAUUGUAAUCAAAUAACCCCACCUAUAUCACAGCAAAUUCCUUCAAAUCGGUAGGGUUAACGCAUAAAUAUUUUUCUUUUCCAGAGCCCAAAAUAGAUGUUUAGCUUAAAAAUAAAAAUAAUCUUCUUAAACGUGGAUGGUAGCUCGUCAACAGUACAAGCACAGCAACUCAAUAAGUGAGAUUAUGUGAGAAGAUUAUCAUUGUAUUACUCCUAUGUUAAAGAAAAUAGAAAAAAAAAAUUGAAGAAAGAUUAACUUAAAGUUUUUACAUUUACUAUAUUCACCAGAAAUGAUAAUCUGUUGGAUAAUGAAAUAGAGUGUGUGAUGAUUUCAUUGGGGAAUUUGUUUUCUACUUUCUUGGUCUAGUUUCUUUAAUGGUUAUUAGAGGGGUACAUAUAUGUAUACAAAUGUAACUUUUAAAAAUAAAAUUAUUUUAUUUUAUUAAUGACAUGGUAAACUUUCUUUUACCCCCAAUUAGAAUGACAAUCUUUUGUUUACAUUGCAAAAGUGUGAAAACAUCCAUUUAUUGUCAAGAAAACAACAAAAAAGUUCAUCAAUGCACCCCCUUUCCCAUCAUCUUUGAAAAAAGGGUAAAUGUUUGUUUAAUCUUUAUAUUUUCAGUUAAGUGUCCCUUCAUUUAAAAAAAAUACUUCAAGAUACCUCUAUUAUUAAAUAUACUACACUCGUAUCUUUUUUCUUUUCUUUUACAAUAAUACCCUAAUAACAAUAUUUUUGGUGAUACUAAUAAAAAGAAUAAAUGAUAAUUUAUCAAAUUAACCUCAAAUAUAACAUAAAAUUUUCCAUAAACUUUUUUAUUUUUAUUUUAUUUUUAAGAUUAAUUAGGUAAAUUAAUUUUUUAUAAAAUAAUUAUUGGUAAGAUUUUUGUAAGAAUAUUAAACAUUACUUUAAGUUGGCUGAUAUUAAUUUAUUCAUAAAUAAUUAUUAGUAAAAUUAUUGCACAAGCAUAAAAAAAUACUAGUUUUUUUCACAUUGAUAUUUAUUGAUUAAUUUUCUAAUUAACUUUUUUUAUAGAUAAAUUAAUUAAUGUCAAGAAUAUUGUUGGAAGGUUAUUAUUUUGAAAGAGAAGAAAAAGUAAGAGUAAGAAUGUAAUAUAUUUAACUGCAGUGAUGUUUUCAGGUAUUUUUUAAAAUAUAAGGAUUAAACAAGAACUUCAGUUAAGAUAAAGGGACUAAACGAAUAUUUAUCAUUUGAAUAAAAAUAACAUAAAUUGAAGUUUUUUCAUGUUUUUAAUAAGUAAAUUAAGUAUUGUCAUUUCAAAUAAGGAGUAAAUUAAAGUUUACCUUAGUUUCCACCGGCAAGUAUAUGAAUAAUGAGCAGUUAAGCACAAACUGAAAAACAAAUUACUGAGGACAUGUUAAUCCUCUUUUUGUCUGAUACCACAAAUUUUAAUUAAGAAAAUAACAACUGAACAUUUACAUGAGAGAGGAGAAGGAGGAACAUUUACAAAAAGGUUCGUCUUGACUCUGUCAGUGAUAAUUUUCAACUGAUUGAUUUUAGGAGAUUUAAUUUGAUUUAAUUCUGUCUUGUUGAAGCAUAAAUAUUUACUAUUUUCUGCUUCGGCUGAUCCAUCCGACUGGUUUGUGUAUUGCAUUCCUAAACCCCUUUCUUGUGCUCUUCGUAUGCCUUUGGGGAGAUCUGGAUUCAUGCGCCUUAAAAUCACAAACACAAGAAUUUAUGGUAAAUAAUUUUUUUAAUUUUAAGAGCAAGAAAUACAAAUUUCAAAGAUUAUUUAUUUAUUAUUCACAAGAUUGGAUUAUAAAUGUGACUUAAACAUUAUCACCAAGAACUUUAAUAACGAAAGAGUUUAAGGAUCUAAUGAAGUAAUAAAUGAAGAAGUUAUAUACGUGUGAAAAUUCAUAAAGCAUAUUUAAUCAAAAUUAGUUCGAACACUUGAUUUUUUUAUUUUUUUUUCAAGUUCGAACACUAUCAUUAUGAAACCUAAAUAUCUCAUGCAUGGGGCGAAUUGAAGCUUUAUUUUUUUGGCUAUUUUAGGGGAAAAAAUGGGGGGGAAAAUUAAGAAACUGAAAGAAAAUUUAUAACAGAUUCUUUUUGAAACUGCUUUCUAAAGAACCAAAAAAAAAAAAAAAUCAAAGAGGAAAAUUUUUUUAAAUUGCGAAGUUUUGUACCUCGUAGAAAAAAAUAACAGCAGAAAAAUGUAUAAUGUAACGAAAAACUUUUACUUUCUAAUUUUGUUUUUUAUAUAUAAAACAAAGGUAACAUAUAUUAACAAAUUUGUAAGAAUAAGUAUGAUGCACGUACCUUUCCAUCAGAAUUCAAAGAUUUCUCUAGUGUUGAUACAUGAACUCUCUCUCCCUCUGAGCCGUUCUCAUCUUUUGCAUCAUUUUCAUCUAAGAAAGAAAAAAAAAAAACGAGUACUCCUCAAUUCACAGAGAUCGUUUAUUUUUAAAAAUAUUGCAUGUAACGUAUCUUAAAUAAUUUUCCUUCCUACUUGUAUGAGCUAGAUUCUCACCGUAGCUGGAGCCACUGUCAACAAUACAAUAUUCCCUAAAACUAGGGGAAGCAGGGCAUGCAGCGAUAUCUUCCCCAUGGUAAAAUGAAGAAUUUCUGGCAUGUCCAUCUUCAUUGUAAUCAUCUCUUUUAACAUUAUCCGUUUCCUCAACGACGCCGUCGCCGACGCCUCUGUAGUUGACAGCUGCAAUUACGGGGAAAUUACAAGACACGCUCUUGCGGGGGCCGUUGUGAUGAUUGUCAGAACUCACUAAAUCAUGAUCAGCCUCGUCUACAACAACAUUUUUAUUAUUAACAAUGUUACGUUUGUAGUGGUGGGAAAGUUUAAGUCGACCAGUCGCCUCUUCCGGGUCGAUCUUGGAAAUGCCACAACCCAUGGAAGAGGUGAUGAGACAUGAAAAUAAAUUAAGAAAAAAAUUCUAGAUUAUUUAUUUUAAAUUCUUUUAGGAGAAAAGUUGUUAUCUUCGUCCAGUUUCAGUUGAAUUUAUUUAGCAACAAAAUGAUGGAUAAAACGAGGCUUACGGGAUCAGAAAGGUUUCAGUUAAAAGUCGUUGAGAACCAUACAUUUAUUUUGUUUCUUCUCCACGUAUAUAAAUAUAUUAUGUUAUUUUUAUCCUCUUAUUAAUUGGUAAUUAUUUUCCAUUUUGAGCUCAGAAACGACGAUCUUGAAUGCCGUUUCGAUCACGUAUCGACUUCACAUGACAUGCACGUGGGAGAUGCUGCCAUAGACGGUUAAAAGAAGUGAGAAAAUUCUAUGUUUUUUUUUAAUUUUUGAAGCAAACCCAAGAAAUUCUAGAAUAUAUAUGUUGUAUCAUGUCAGCCAUACAACACAGUAAAUAAUGUCAUAACAUGUGUACAUUUAUUUUAUAAGCUAUCAUGUAAGUGGUGGUUGUAUUAAACUCAAUUACACAUGUCAUGCAUGCAUUAAUUAGUUGUAAUACAACAAAUGCAUUCUAGAAUUUCUCAACAAACCCAGUAUGCAAGCUGGCUUCUGAGCCAACUUUUUGGACACGUUUGGACUUGUAUAUAAAGUCUCUUAGGUUAUGUUUUGAUUCAGUCGAUUCCUUGAAGUUUUCUCUAGGAGCUUGUAACUUGAUUUGCAUCAAUGAAAGAAGUCAUAGCUCCGUUUCUCAAGAGGUUGUAGGCUACCAUGACUGAACAUCUCUAAACUUAUUUGUUCUGUUUUUAUUCUUCAUCUCUGUUGUUUUCGACUUGAUUAACUUUAAUUGACUUGUAAUCCAGUCUUGAUCCAUCAAUCGGUGUGUGAUGUUUAAUCUUGGGUUAUAGAACAGACAAUUUUUUAUCUUUAUUUCAACACAAAAUUUCAAUCAUUUUUAUUUAAAUUAAAAUAAAAAAUAAACAAUACUUUAAGUAUGUUAGUAUAAUUUAAAAGAUAAUCUGCACAUGACAUUACACACAAAAUUGCACAUGACCAUUGAAACAAUGAACAUUUCACCCAAAAAAAAAAUCAUUUAGUUUAUUGAUUUUAUGUUUAUGUACAAAUGUCUUAUUCUAUUUUACUUGUACAAUUUUAUGUGCAAAUAACAAUUUUCUUUUAUCCUACCUACAAAUCAUAAUUUAAUAAUUUUCACUAAAAACAUAUUCAAUAACGGGUGAAUUCAUUGUUUUAGGAUUUUAUUACAAUCUACUUAUAUACUAGACACAAAAAAAAAAAAAAAACUAUCAAUACCAUGCUUGGAUCAUUUGUCAUGGUGAAGUCAUGUCUAGGCCUAAAAUUAGCCAAAUUGAUCUCCGAAUAAUUAACACUCUAAGAUUUGAACUUUUGCCCUUCAGUAGCUCUCUCAUAGCAGCGCUCGAUUGUCUUUGCUCACCCUGCUCACACGAGGGCUUAAAUGCUCACUCUAUAUGCACGAGGGCUUAAAUCAUUUUUUUAGGUAGCUUUGUAAUGAUACAACUCAAAGAAGGACAAACCUGCCAAUCUUCCUGACAACGAUUGAAAGUGUAGAGAUUAGCUCAAGCAGCUUAUUCCAUGAGUGUAUUUAAAAUCUCUCUAGGAUUAUGUAACGACAUAUAGAGAGCAAUUGCAAGGUUUUGGUAGGGAUCAAAGGAGGUUAAGAAGAGGAUCCAUUUGGCAAAAUGGGAAAGGUGAGUUAUGUCAAGAUUAGAGGUGGGGUUAAGUUUUAGAGACCUUUUAAGCUUCAAUCAAGCCUUAGUUGCAAAGCAAGGGUGGAGACUAAUUCAAUAUCCAGACUCAUUAGUGGCCAAAGUAUUGAAAGCUAGAUACUUUAGGCAAACUGAUUUUCUGGAAGCUAAAACGGGCUCUAAUCCAUCCUUCUUCUGCGGGAGUAUUUUGUGGGGCAGGUUCGUUCUAUAAAAGGAAACAAGGUGGAGAGUUGAAAGUAAAGACAAAAUUCAGAUCCAGUCAAGCAAUUGGAUUUCUAGGUCAGCAACCUUUAGGCCACUUUUUGUGUCAUCCUUGUCUGUAAAUGUCAGAAUUUUAGAGCUCGUUGAUUCAAAUCAUCAAUGCAAUGAAAAUUUGAUUGACUAGAAUUUUGUAAGGGAGGAUGCAAAAACCGUAAAAAGAAUCCCACUUUCGAGCACUCCUCAAGAAGAUGAGUUGAUAUGGCACUAAGAUCAAAAGGGGCAGUACACAAUGAAGAGUGGCUAUUAGUUAGCUCUCGAACAGUUUUCUGAGCCCCCACCAAGUUUAGCAAGUGGAGCUCAUGGCUGGCACAAUGUAUGAACACUAGACUUGUCUGAGAAAAUUAAAAUUUUAGUGCAGAGAGCUGCCGAGAAUUUAUUAAUAACUGCAGAAAACCUAUAAAGAAGGAAAAUUUUGCGGCAAUCAAUAUGCCAAAUUUGCAAAACUGGAAGUGAGGGUCUGUUCCAUGCCCUUAAGGAAUGCAAAAUGGCUUGGAAAAUCUGAAAAUGCACUCACUUGGAGGCUAAAACUCAGGAAAUUAUUAGAGAAGAUACAUUGAGCGUUACGCACAGAUUAAUGGGUACGGUGGCCGAGAAUGAGCUUGAGUUUGUAACAGCUAUAUUGUGUUACUUCAGAAGUUAAAAAAAAAAAAAAAAAAAAACUAUAUGGUGGGUUAAGUGUCAUGCAACGAAAAAAUUCAUCUUUGAGGGGAAGAAACUAAACCUUAUAUGUUUUUAGCUGCUAAGGCUAAAGCAGCAUGAUAUUUGUCAAAAAGCACAAGUGAAAGAGUAAAAGUGCACAAGAAGCAAAAAUGCUAGAAAGUUGCAGCAAUGGAGUCCACCACUUAUCAACUGCUUAAAAGUCAAUGUUGAUGCUAUAAAGAUCAGUAGGCUGCAAGUCUAUAGGUGGGAAACCAGUGACGUAUAUUUUGAUGGCCAACUCGAAUGGGGACUAGAUUAGAAAAUUCCCAAAAAGUUUUGUGAAAACUGCGGAAGUUGUUUUGGUAAAAAUUGGUCUUUCAAAAUUUAUAUUUAACUACUUCUGUAAACAUGCUGGUUAAAACACUUCUAACUCCUGACUAAUGACUAAUGCCCAAAAACACUUUUUCAACACAUUAAUGGCUAAAUGGGCUAAGGGAGACCUUUUUUCAAAAAAAGCUUUCCAAAAAUCAGUAGAAAUUUUUACUAAAUUCUUAUUACUUUUGUCAAAAAAAAACAAAACCUUAAUUUUCAAAAACUUUUCCUCCAAACUCUUUUCUCCUGAAUGAUAACAUGGACCGCCUUUUGUUAAUGUUUUAAAUAUAACUUAUACUUUCGUUAAUUAAGCCAGACUUCUGAACCCGAAAGCUAAAUAAAAAUAAAGAAGUUAAACUACUUACUUAAUAGAAGCUUGCUAGUUGCUGUCUAAAGAUAUGAAUUAAAAAAUUUUAUUGCUUUUGUUUUUUUAUUACAAAGUGUUAACUUCACAUACACCUUGCAUAUAAAGUAUUAUUGAUUUUGACUAAUAAUUUAAUAAUAGUAUUGGCUUGUGCUUGCUGGAUAGUAUUACUUUUUUAACUAAAAUCUUUAUAACUAUAACCUAUUGGAUUUAGAUGUGGGAUUUUAUGCUUUAGUUCUGCUAAAGAUUCUAUUAAUAAUUUAUUUGAAGUUAUUCACCAACUAUUAUUUUAAUUGCAUGUAAUUGUAAUUGUAUAUCUCGCUGUGUAAAUUUAAUAUUUUCUAUUUCUACCUUUAAACUUUCUACAAGAUUUUUAAUUUCUAAUUCUACUGGAUUAGGUGUUUUUAUGUCUAAUAAUUGAAUUAAUUCUAUUAUCUCUUUCUUGCUAGGGAAUCUUUUAACUUGACUAUUAAAAUCCGCAAAUAAUUCUUUAAUAUAAUCUAAAAUUAUUCUUAAUGUAUUAAUAUUACUAGUUUCAAAAAAUUUUCCUACUCCUAGUACUAGCUCUUUUAUCUUUUUAAUAUUGACUUCUAAGUGUUGUCCUAAAUUGAUUAAUAAGUCUACUAUGAAACUUUGUUGACUAUUGCUAGUAUGUGGAAUAUGUUUAAAUUGAUUUUCUAAGUAUUCUAUAUUACAACUAAUUUUUAUUCUUUCUAUCAAAUUUAAUUUUUGUUUUCUAUGAUGGUUAAUUUCUAAAUCUAAAUAUUCUAAUUUUUGAAAAUUCAUAAACUAAUUUUCUAAAUCUUCUAAUUUAUUUCUAAUUUUGAGUGCUAGAUUCUCAUACUUGUCUAAUAAUUUUAGUUGCUUGUUAAUAUUAUAAUAUUGUAAAUUAUACUUUCUAAAGUUAAAUAUAGGCAAAUUUGUAAAAGCGUAAUGUUUAAUAUUUAUUUUUCUUCCUAUUUCAAGAGGUAAAGGAGAUGUGUAAUCUACUAAAAACUUUAUAUUUCGUAGUCUUUUUUUCUAAUAAAGUGUCUAAAUGUAAUUGUUCACUACUAAUUCUUGCUACUCCCACCUGUUUACCUUUAUCUUUCGAACUAUCUUUAUUGGGCUUUUGGAUUAAUAUUCCUACCCAUCCUAAGCUAUUGGCAUCUGUUUGUAUAAUUUUAUAGUAAUUGUCUAUUGGUAAUGCUAAUGGUUUGAGAUUUUUGACUAUUCGCGCCUAUCAUAAGGAACUCACUAGACCAAGUGAUAUCUCUAGCAAUCAAAAACAAAUUUCAAAGGGAUGUCUCUAUGGUAGAAGUUGAUGUUAUCAAAUAGGGGAUGGAGUGGCAAAAGAGGCAAGUCUUUCAAAUUUGAUCAAUGAAAUAGAUUACAAUAAAGUGGCUAAUUUAGCCAAUAACAAAACCAGUAAUAUAACAGAAAUUUGGUGGACCAUAUCAGAGAUUCAAAGAAGCAAAAAAGAUUUUCAAUUGAUAAAAGUCCACCAUGUACCAAGACAUUGUAAUGUUUUUGCUCACCCUUUGAAAAGCUUAAUAUUUGUCAUAUGGCUGAAUGAAUUGCUGAUGUAAUAUGUUUCUUUUCAAUUACAAAGAAUAAAAGGAUUAGUUUUUUAUCCCAAAAAUAAAAAAUAAAAAACUCAAAUCUCUCAUCUAACUCUAAAUAUAAUAAAAUCUCUCUAUAUUCAUAAUAUUCGGAUCAACUACUUUCAUUGUUAUAAGGGUGUCAUAACUUAAUAGAGAUAUGAUUACAAAAAAUAUGCACUAUAUUAAUUUUAUACGUUUGGAACUAUAUAAAAUCAUCUUAAAAGUCUAAAGAUUUGUAUUCUCUUUGAUGUUUUUCUCUCAAUGUAAAUUCCAUAAAUAUUAUAAAGUGAUUUGGUAGCAACUCUAAAGAAUAAAUCAUUAUCCCAAGCAACUUUUGAAAAAUAUUUUAUUCCAUCUUAAACUUAUAAUGCAACAUAGUAUGUAUGUUUUACAAUAUUUAGAUAGUUAUGAUUAUAUAGAGGCAUGUUUCUUAAAACGUGAUCAAGAAAUUUAUAACUUUAUGAGUUUUAUUCUUAUUUAUAGCUAGUCCAAAUUAGGACUAUAACUUUUUUUGGGGUAAAUAAUCAUUUAAUUUUUUAUAUUUUAGGUUAAGUAUUUACUUAGUCUCUAUAUUUUAAAAAAAUGUCUCAAGACACCCUUGUUGUUUCAUAUUUGACACUCAUGCACUUAUAUUUCAUUUCCUUGUACAAUAAUGUUGUGUUUACUAAAUAGCAAUGAGAAUCUAAAUGAAUAAAUCAGAAUCAAUAAGUUGUUUACUUGUAAAAUGAAAACUUGGAGUUAGAAAUGGGAAUAAUGUGAGGCCCACAAGUUUGGGAAUGAUUACCAUAUACAUAAUUAAUUAUAAUUCGCACUACAAGAAAAUUGGGAUAAAGCAACAUCAUUUUAACAACGUGCACAGAUGGAAUGUUGUCAAAUUUAUAAUUAACAACAGACAUAAACUGCAUGUUGGUAAAUAUAAAGUUUUAGCAACAUGCAAAAAGUGACCGCGGUCUAAAACCUUACGACAACGAGCGACCAUUUGUUGCGGUAUAGGAGUAUGUAAUAACAACAUUCAUAAUUUGCAUGUUGCAAUUAGUUAUUUAAGGCAACAAUGAAUUGCCUGUUGCAAAAAUCAUUAUUUAAAUAAGAACGUUUAUAUGUUGCAUGUUGUUGAAUUUUUUUUUUUGUAAAAUUCUUUGUUAACUCAAUUUAAUAUGAAAUUGGUGAAAAUUAAAACAUAAAUAGGUGCUCAUAGAAUUUAUGCAUAAAAGUAUUAUAAUAAAUAAAUUUUUUGACGGUAUCAUUAACUACAAUAUUUUUUAAAAGUAAAUUAUAACAAAUAAAUUUUUUGAGGGUAUCAUUAACUACAAUAUUUUUUUAAAGUAAAGUAAUAGAAAAUAAUGUGUAAUAAAUAAAAAAUUUCAUUUUGCGCACACGGAUUAAAGCGCGGUAAAAAAAAAAAAGAGACAAAUUGACUUAGUGAAACCCUCGGUUCUCUUUGCAGUACCACUUUACUCUUUCUCUGCCACUAAAGCAAAGCAAGCCUCUCAAUCUUCAUCGUAAUGGCGGCUGCCCACCCAAGGAAAUGAGUGUAUCAGGUACUCUUCUUUUUAAUUUCAUUGAUAAAGCUCACUUUCACUUCCCUAAUUCCAUUUAAUUAAUAAUUUACUCUUUCCACCUAUUUUGUUUUUAGAAGAUUUGGGUCUUUGCCCUACACUUCUUCUCACUCAAAAUCGCUCGACAUCGUCCCAUUGUAGAUUCAUUGUUUGGUAAGCGACACAAUUCUUUAUUGCUUGUGGGGUUCAUCUGUUAUGCAUGAAUAAAAUAAAUGUUACUUUUUUUGUGGUGGGUGAUUGAAACCAAAAGAUUAUUUUCUUUUGAAACGCCUGAAGCUAAAUAUUUUACAUGGAAAAGAUAAUUUUGAAGAUUAUAUUUUAUUUUCAAGAUAAACUGAUUUCGGUAAAAAUAAUUUAAAUGAGUAAAUAUUACUAGUGAGAUGGAUAAUGAUUUUUUUUUUCAAUUGAAAGGCACAAUUUUAAUCUCUUAUUGGCGUUGUUGACUUUAUGAAACAGAUAAGUUACUUCUGUUAAUGCCAUUAAUCUCCUGAAUCAGCUGUGACAUUUUAGAAUCUGAUUAUAGAGCAAACUUGAGGUACUGUUUCCCCCUUGUAUAAUUAAAAUUCAAAAUGGAUUUCUCUUUUGGAAAAGUUACUUACUAUGGAGUUUUGAGAGAUAUAUUAGUGCUUGUUUACAAUACUUUUAGUUCCCUAGUUUCAAAUAUGACUGAACUAAUAUAGUUAAUGGUGUUAAAGUUGACGAAGGAUUCACUUUGGUUAACCUUCACGAGGGACAAAGCCAAUUUGGAUUUAUUGUAAGGAUAAUGAAAAAUCAAAUUAGUAUUUAGUAUUGAAAAAACCACAAAGAGGGUUCUGAAAUGCAAGUUAUGCAACCCAAAAGGGGGGGUGAAUUGAGAUUUUAAAAUUUAUGCAAUACAAUUCGCACAACAAUUUAAUCUAUUGCCUUAAUCAAAUCAAAACAAUAAAUUCAAUCAAGCACAAUAUUAAAAGAGUAAGGGAAGAGAAAACAAACACAAUGAUUUUUAUGUGGUUCGGCUAUCCCCGCCUACAUCCACGCCUCCAAGCUCACCCGGCUUGAAGAUUUCACUAUCCAAGUCUCCCAAGGCUUCAAAUGUUUACAAUUGACUUCCAAGGUUUCAAUGAACCUUUACAACAAGAGAUUAUUUCUUCAAUCUCUUCACCCCAAGUGUUUCCCAUACUUGUGCACUCACAAUUUGAUGAGAAAUGAUAAUCACAACAAUGAAACUCUCUUUAAGAGUGGAUAACGAAUUAUAGCUCAAUAAUGAUUCAAUAAAUGAUGAUUUGCGAAAUGGAAGCUCAAUAUAUGUUAUAUGAUCUUAUAUUUGCUUGUAUUUUUUUUUAGAAUGAAGUUUGAGUUGAGUUUUUAUAGUGAAAGCCUGAAAACUAGCUGUUAUAGGCAAAUUCCCACGCCCAAGCGGUUAGUCGCUUGAUUAUCCGGCUAGCCACUCAGGAACAGUGAUAUUACUGUUAUUUUUGAAUUUGCUACAGUAAGAAUGUUCACUGAAAUUACACUUUGACUCAAAACUUUCUAUAAUUAUACUAUGGCCCAAAACGUCAUAAAACUUUGCAAAUAGGUCCAAUUUCAGAACUUCCUAAAAAUAGUUGUCUUUCCCAAACUUUCUGAAAUUAUGAUAUGGCUCCAAAUAUUUUAUUAUUUCGCACAAAGGUCCUUUUCAACAUAAUACCCAUAUUUUUCAAAGUUCUCAAAACCUUUCACUUUAGUCCAAAAUAUUCAUAAAUGAUAGUAUGGUCCAAAACAUUUCAAAUGUUUGUAAAAACGUCCAACUCCGAAAUUUAAUACUUAUUAAAAUCAAAUAUUUCAAAUUUUAGCAUUUAAGUCCAAAUUACUUAAAUCCACAAAAUACUUUACUUUAUAAAAAUAAAACCUUUUAGUUUAUGAAAAGAAUUUAAUUAAAUUAAUCUCUUGAGCUUCUCAAAUGCUAAAUCAUGCAUCAAUUAAAUCAUACCGGCUUUACAAGAAUUUAUCACACUAAUUUGUUCGUUGAGUUCUAAACUAUAUUUUUGAUGUCGCCGUUGUCCGUUGAGUGUCUUCAAUCUUGAUUUCACUUAAUUCACUUGCAUAAAUAUUAUCCUUAAAAAACUAGUGAAAAUGUGAAAUACAAUAUUUAUUAAAUUACUUAAUACACAUGUUUGUUAUCAUCAAAAUUACAUUAUGUAUAGCCCUUUAGGCUAACAGGUUCCAAGAUUUAUUAUUGGCUAGUGAGAGUGAUUACAUUUUGUUCAGUAUAAGUAAGAAAUUUUUUUUUCCGGUUCAACUUUAAAUUAUACUUUUUCAUGUUCAUAUACUUUUUUCUAGUAUGUUUAUUCCUACAUUAAUUUUGCUAUGUGUUACAAAGUCUUCUAGGCAAGUCGAGAUAAAUUUAGAGAAAAUGCAACUAUUCAAGAGGAGAAUGGAUCAUUAGCAACUAGCAAUAGGGAAAAUGCAAACAAACCUCAAUCUGAUGAUAGAUGCACCAAAAGACAAAAGAGGUCCAACCAAACUUGGAAUGAUUCAAGAUUGUUUUCCAUCAUUAAGCAUUGAAUUUAACGACUAUGGCCAGCCAGUAGGUGUAAACUCUUACAAAUAUGCACUUUUAUUAGAGUUAUAACAUGAGAGCAUGUGCUUGUGUGCAUUGAAAAUUAGCUUUUAGUUGACGGCGAACUAUUGGCCAUUGGUGCAUGUUUAUGGAAUUACAUAGUAAUUAUCUUUAUUUAGAAAUAGAUUAUUUAUCUUGAAUGCUUGGCGUUAAGAACGAUGGGUGACUGUUGGAGACAAUACAAAUCAGAGCUAACAACUAAGAUAAAGGAAACCAAAAAAGUACAUGACAGAGCAGGUUGCUCUUAUUAGGCCAAAAAAGUAUAAUUUUCAAAGAAGAUUGGGCUAAUAUUGUCAAGUAAAGAUUGUCUCCAGAAUUUAAAGUAAGCUAGUCCGUUGCAUUGCACUUAUAGUAUCCAUGUUAAGUUUCAUGUCUAUGAAAAUUAUACAUUUUAAUAUUUGUUGGACAGGCAAUAAGCAAAAAGUUUAGAGAAAUGAGAAAUAAUCAGGAAGUUGUAUCAAAUUGUUUUAAAAAAGGUAUGUAGGCAUAAAAUAUUCUUCUUUGGGGGGGGGGGUGUAAUUAUAUUCCAAAUGCAACAAAUGAAUAUUGAUUCAGUUAAUCUUUUUGUAGGAGUUUGUGCCUUGAAGAUGUUUUUGUUGGAGUGUAUAUAUGCUCUGAACAAGUUUUUUGAUGGAAUUGCUAAAUUGAAGAAGCUUUCGUUGGAGAUGGUUUUUUUUUAAGUUGAUACUUAUGGAAUUGCAACAGCCACUAAUGUGUUUUUUUACUAACUUUUUGGGUGUUUGGCUAGAUGAAAUUUAAACUGAUGUUGUAAAUUUCUAUGGAUUAAUUGUUAUAUGGUGUUUUUCAUAUUUGCUAUGUAAUAGGAUUUGUAUGAAUACAAAAAUGUUGGUGUGACCCUUAGCUAUAAUAUGUGCUUAUUACUAAAUUUAUGAAAACUUAUUAUAACAAGCCAAAUUGUAGAAUUAGUUCGCAUGAAUUUUACAUAUGGUGGCAGCAAUAGUGUAAUAAAAAUGAUAAUAUUAGUAGUCAUAAUAACGAUAAUAAUAAUUAUUAAUAAUAUAUUGUUUUUUUUUUACAACAUGCAGGAUAUGUGGUUUAUUGUAAAUAAAAAUUAGAAUUAAUGGCGACAUUUAGUUGCUUGUUGCUAUAUAAUUUAUAGCAACAUUCAUAGGCUUGUAGUCAAAAGUUUGGAAGCACAUGAUCUUUUUAACCACAAUCAUUGUAAGUUGUCAUAUGAUAUUUAACAACAUUCAUACCUUUUUCAACAACGUGAAUUGCGCGUAGUCGAAAGUUUCCUACUUUUCGCUACAUCAAGAACCGCAACGCUCAGAUGCUUGUUGUGAUAUCCCUUCUACAACACUCUUUGCAUGUUGUCAAAUUUGGGAAUGAUUACCAUAGUUCUGAUUCCCAAGGGGGGUUGGGAAUCAAAACUCCAUUCCUUGGAAUGAUUUUUUUACCUUUAACUAAACUUCCUAAUACCCAUGUUAUCCUUGAUUUAAAUAAUAAUUAAUAAUUAAAAAUAAUGAAAUUAAUAAAUAAUAAUAAUAAUAUUAAAAUUAUGGAGUAGGUCACCCCAUUGGUUUGGGCUCAAAACUUUUAAAAUAGUAGCCGUGGAAUAGGCUGGUUCUGAAUGUGAUUCACUUCUUAAGCUCCCACUUAAGUCGUUUCUGUAAUUUCAAAUCUUGACAAAUCUUUAAUCCUUCUUUAUUGACGAAACUGACAAGUUCACCGUAGGUAAGCUUGUCAUAAGGAAUACGAUUAUCAUAAAGGGCUUUGAUGGAAUUUCUUACUUUUUCACCUAGAAGGGUAGGUAAUCCAGCAAGAAAUUUUUCUUUCCAAGUUAUAUGAUUUGCAUCAUCCCUUAGAAAUAGUCUGGUAAAAAAUGAGGUUUUGUAACUUUGAAAUUCACUAAGUUUCCUACAUCUUAAAUUAUGUAGUAACUCAGCGUUUUUAUCACGAAGGUGUGACGGGUCACCAAUGAAAUGGAGGGAAAUGGUUAAAAUUAGAGUAGCAACAGCAUCCUGAAUUAGAUUGUUGAACUCAUCAAGAAUAAGGACUCCAUUUUCAUCGACUCUAAUGGAAUUUAUAAUGUCUAAUUGUUGCUGAUUAGUGAGAAGAUGAUCCCACCAACCUUUUAAUUGACCAGUAAAACCGGCAAUGAGGAUUUCUGAUAUAGCACGAUCAGAAGUUCCUGCUUGGGUUUUAUAGGCAUUGGCUGCCAUUGUCAUUUGUUGCAACAAUCCUAGGAUAUUGUAUUCGGACAUGCCGUCAAUAUUCCACUCAUAGAUUGAAGAUGCAUUAUAUCGGAAUUGAUUUAAUGCACUUGGUCUAUUAUCUAUUGCUAGAUCCGGUGGAGUCUUGACAGUGGGAAGGGCUAAUUCCCAAUGAAUUUUGUUGGCUUUAGGAGUAGAAUGUUCUUCUUUGAAGGCUUCUAUAUCAGAAGAGGCUAUAGACAUUUGGUCUUGUUCUAAUACUCCAAUCUUGCUAGAUUGAGGAGUAUCAGGGGCUAUCUGAACUUUGCUAGAUGAGGAAGAAGCAGCUUCUAUCCUAUCUAAUUGUUCUCUAAUGGCUUUAGCAAAAUCUGAUUUUGACUCUUGAACAAGCUUUUGGCUAGUUUUUGAAACCUGAAAGGGUUUGAAAAUAGGUUCCUUAAGCUUUUUGUCAGAAUCCGAUUUUGUUGGAAUAGGAGAAAUUGAUGGAACAGUAAUGGUUGACUUCUGGAUUUGGUUUUCUAUCCUAGUCAAUUGUUUUCCGAUUGUAUUUAAGUUAGUAUUACAGAAAUUAUUCUGUUGGAUAAUACUACUUAAAUUUGCCUCAGAAUCAUUUGGUUUUGAAAUUUUGUAAGGUGAAGCUCGAAUUUGGACAGGAGGUUCACCGUGAUCAACGGUUACACUUCGAAGAGGUGGGUGUUCAGACUCUAUAGUUCUAUCACUAUCAAGAAGUUUCCAUUCAGGAACUUUCUUCCUAAUAGUAAUAGGGUUUGACUCUUUAAAAGGAUAAGAGAUGUUGUUAUCAGAAGAAUAUAUUUCAAACCAAUCAAAAAACAAUAUAUGAAUUUUAUGAAAAUUCACAAAUUCAUAGUAAGUUUGUUGGAUUUCUUUUCUUUGGUUUAAAAAGUGUUUGAAAAACCAAAGUCUUUUUUCUUUGUUUAAAUCAGAAUAAAAAUCAUUAUGCAGAAAAGUUUUAUCUAAUUCAAAUUCUUUUUCAAUGACAUUAAUGACAUUUUCUGUAACAGCAGAAAACAUGGGGGAAGUUGGAAGAGAAGGUUCCUUCUCUUCUUGACUUUGUACAUGUUGAUUACUAGUGUAGAUCGGAUGAGGAACACUAGUGGUGUAAUCAACUGAUCGAAUGGAGGUACUAGGUAUAUCUGAAGUAGAAAACCUAGGUUGACUUUUUAUGGACUGAAAAGGGAGAUUUAUAACAGAGGGUAUUUUUGUAAAUUUUCUUUCUAAUGAAGGAAUGCUUGAACACGAUGCUUUAUCAGAAAAUCUGGAUGAGGUAGAUCUCCUGAAUGACAGUUUGACUUUACCAUCGGAAUACUGAGUCACAUUUUGCAACUCUGUAUUGGGCUCAAGUUGUUUCGGAAUCGCUGGCGGAGCGGCUCCUUUAAGGAUCCAUUCCUCUGGAAGAUUUACAUCUUUCCAUUGGAUUGAUUUAGGAAUGACGGUGUUUGCUUUGGACAAAUCAGUCUGCAAGAGAAAGGUCUCAUCUCUUUUCGACUGGUAUUUAUGCUGUGUGCUAAAUGCAGAAAUCAUGGCUUUGUAAGAAAUUUUAAAAAUUAAUGCAAGUGGGAUGGAUCCCUUAAUCAUAUGAUAAUUAUGGGUUUUGAUUUGUGAAAUCAUGCUCUUUAAAAUAUUUUUGAUUUGUAAAAUCACUACGGUGAACUUGUCAGUUUCGUCAAUAAAGAAGGAUUAAAGAUUUGUCAAGAUUUGAAAUUACAGAAACGACUUAAGUGAGAGCUUAAGAAGUCUAAACAAGAAUUAGGCGGUUUCUGUAAACAAUUCAAUUAUGACCCCUUUAAAACUUAUAUCUCCAAAGAUUGUAAUGGCGAGUGUUCUACUAAACCCCGCAGGAAACAUUACAAAUCAAGAAAUUUUAGGAAACCCUUUCGUAAUUUUAGAGAACUUCUUUAUAAGAAACCUUCGAGGCCUUAUAAGAAACCCAAAUUCUCUAAAAGAAAAGAGUUUAGAGCCAAACCAAAGACCCCUUUCAAUUACAAAGAAGCUAUAUGUCAUAAAUGUGGCAUGAAAGGUCAUACUGCAAAUUAUUGCAGGAUGAACAAAAAGCUUCAUGAACUUGACCUCGAUGAGGAAAUCCUUUCCAAAAUAGCCCCCCUUUUUGUCGAAUCUUCUGAUUCCGAAUCUUCCAUGUCGGGAGACAGUGAUCCAUAUCAAGUUGAUGAGCUUUUUGACUCAGAUGACUCUGUAUCUAGCAGUAGUAAAUCUGAAUCUGAUUCAUAUUUAAAGAAAAUCAAUGUUUUGACUAAAGACCAAGAAACUUUUCUUGAACUUGUAAAGCAUAUUUCUGAUCCAAAUCUUCAAAAAGAAUAUCUUGAUAAACUUUUGAAAACUUUGGAUUUUAAUAAAGCCGAGACUUCUAAAGUCCCAAUUGUUAAAAAGAAUUCUUAUGAUCUUACUCAAAUUUUGGAUAAAAAGAAAACAAAGAAAACGGUUCCUAAUAUCCAAGAUCUUUAGAAAGAGAUAAAAGAAAUCAAAUGUGAAAUCAGAGAUUUAAAAAAAAAACAAAAAAGUGAUUCUGAUACUAUCCAACUUCUUUUACAAAAACAAUUACAGGAUAAUUCAGACAAUGAAUCUAAUCCUGAUGAUGGUGAUGAUAUUAAAGUAGAAAACAUUGAGUCAGUACCCAAUGAUUUUCUAUUUGUUUUAAAGCAAAUCACCACAAGAAAGUAUUUGAUUAAAGUCACUUUAAUCUUUUCUGAUGAUUUUGCAAUGGACGCCAUUGCCCUUUUUGAUACUGGCGCCGAUUUAAAUUGCAUUAGAGAAGAUAUCGUCCCCAAAAGAUUUCAUGAAAAAACAAAAGAAAGACUUUCUGCCGCUAAUAAUUCAAAACUGAAUGUCAGUUCCAAGGUUGAAGCCUCAAUCCAUAAUAAUGGUUUUGAUUUUAAAACUUCUUUUAUCCUCACAAAUGAUAUUCAUCAUGCCAUCAUUUUGGGAACUCCUUUUAUAAAUCUUAUAACUCCAUAUACUGUCAAUUAUGAUAGUAUAUCCUUCAAAACAAAAAACAAGAAACUUGUUUUUCCUUUUAUUGAAAAACCUAAAACAAGGAAUUUGAAUAUUGUUAAAACCUGUUCUGUUUAUCAAAACAGAAUAAAUAACUUACUUAAAUCAAAACAGUGUGAUCUAAUGUUUUUACAAAAGGAUUUAAAUUUACAAAGAAUUGAAAGCCAAUUACAAAGUGAUUUCAUUAAAAGAAAGAUUUCUGAUUUCAAAACUCUCAUUGAAAAAGAAAUUUGUGCUGAUCUACCUUCUGCUUUUUGGGACAGAAAACAACACAUGGUAGAUCUACCAUAUGAAACUUCUUUUAAUGAAAGACAGAUCCCCACUAAAGCACGUCCAAUCCAGAUGAACAUGGAAUUGGAACAACAUUGCAAAAAUGAAAUCAAAGAUUUAGAGUCAAAAUGACUCAUUGUUAAGUCAAGGUCCCCAUGGUCUUGUGCCGCUUUUUAUGUUAAUAAAAAUUCUGAAAUUGAAAGAGGCACUCCUAAAUUAGUUAUAAACUACAAACCUCUUAAUAACGCCCUAAAAUGGAUUAGGUAUCCAAUACCUAAUAAAAAGGAUUUACUUCAAAAACUAUGUUCUGCUCUUAUUUUUUUCAAAAUUCGACAUGAAAUCUGGUUUUUGGCAAAUUCAAAUUCAUCAUAAUGAUCGUUACAAAACUGCUUUUACUGUUCCAUUUGGACAGUAUGAGUGGACUGUUAUGCCCUUUGGUUUAAAGAAUGCACCCUCAGAAUUUCAAAGAAUUAUGAAUGAUAUUUAUAAUCCUUAUUCUGAUUUUUGCAUUGUUUACAUUGACGAUGUAUUAAUAUUUUCAAAUUCUAUUGAUCAACAUUUCAAACAUUUAAAGACUUUUUAUUUUGCCACCAGAAAGGCUGGAUUGACAAUUUCUAGUUCUAAAGUUUCUUUAUUUCAAACAAAAGUCAGAUUCCUUGGUCAUCAUAUUUCUAAAGGAACAAUCACUCCAAUCAAGAGAUCUCUUUUGUUUGCUGAUAAAUUUCCUGAUAAAAUUCUUGACAAAACCCAAUUACAAAGAUUUAUUGGGAGUUUAAAUUAUGUUCUUGAUUUCUGUCCUAACAUUAAUAGGAUGUCUAAACCCUUGCAUGAUAGAUUAAAGAAAAAACAUGUUCCUUGGACAGAUGAACAUACCAAGGUUGUAAAGCUUAUAAAGAAUUCUGUGAAAAGCAUCCCAUGUUUAUAUCUUGUUAAUCCUACAUUACCUAAAAUUGUUGAAACUGAUGCAUCUGAUUUAGGUUAUGGAGGCAUAUUAAAGCAAAAAGAAAAUGAUAAAGAACAGAUAGUACAAUAUGUUUCUGCACAUUGGAAUGAUUGCCAGAAAAAUUAUUCUACUAUAAAAAAAGAAAUCCUUUCCAUUAUUUUAUGCAUUACAAAAUUGCAAAGCUGCAAAACAUGUUUUGGAAAAAGAUGUUCAAAAUAUUGCAUCAAAACAGAUUUUUGCACGAUGGCAAGCCAUUUUAAGUGUUUUUGAUUUUGAUAUUGAAUAUAUUAAAGGCGAUACAAAUUUUAUUCCUGAUUUUCUAACUCGGGAAUUUCUUCAAAACAGAUAAUGCCGCAAAAGAAAAAAGACAAAGGUAAAGUUGUUCUUAAAGAUUCUGAAUCUAGAGCAACCUCUAAAGGACCCCAAGCUACCCCUUCUAAAGACAAAUUACUUUCCUCAGCCAUGCCUAUUAAAUCUUGGAUAUAAAUGGUUGAAGAACAUGGUGCCCAUUACAAAACCACUUCUUCUAAUGACCAAGUAAAACAAUGGAUGAGUUCCAUUACAAAGUCCCCUGAGCUUAUGCUCGCCUUACAAAACCUUUCCCAAAGCCAGAUUUUCUCAAAAGAAGAAAAAGAAAACCCUAUCUCCAAAGAAAUCUCAAAACCCUCUUCUCAAAAUGUGAUUGUCUCUGGUGAAAGCUCUUUUUCCCAAAUUGUGCUUUCCCAACCAUCACCUUCAAAGAAAACCUCCGAUUGGUUUGAUAAAACUCAUUUUUAAAAUAUUCUUUCUUUAGAAGAUGGAUUUUACCAUACUGAUCCUUUCCAAGCAAUUUCAAAGUCUUUCCCUAAGGGCUGAUUUUUUAAACCAUGGGAUUUAACAAAACCUCAGUCCUACUAUCAAAGCAUUUUAGAAAUCACUGAUUCAGUUAAGUUCAAACAUUUCUUUCUCAGUGAAUCACAUUCAGAACCAGCCUAUUCCACGGCUACUAUUUUAAAAGUUUUGAGCCCAAACCAAUGGGGUGACCUACUCCAUAAUUUUAAAACUUUCCCUUUAAAUUUUCAAACUCGUUUACCUCAUUGUCGGACUUAUUCCUAUUGGGAUUACCAACAAGCCUUGUAUAACACAUUUUUUAUCCAAAAUCCCAAAAAAUCCCAUUCUUAGUUAUUUUUCUUCAACCCAAAAAUAAUCGUCCAAAGCCUUCCAAACUGGUUCCAUCAUUGGUGGAAUACUUUUGGCCCAAUACCAAAAAUUUUAACCAUGAAUGCCACCCAUUGUUUAAACCUCUUCAAAGCCCACUAUACUCCUUCUGAAUCCGAGAAAAGGUUUCCCCCCUUUCUCUGUUUCUGUACAAAUUUCUUCCUUCCAUGGGUAUGGAUGUGGAACCUUAGGCUUCAUACCCAAGAUUCCCAACUCAUCCUUCAAAGAACCUUUAAAGUGAAAUGGUGGUCCAAAUUUGACGAACAGUCAAAAUUGACUGAAAAUUUAGUCCGAGAUUGGCUCUCUGCCAAAGGCCUUCUUCAACCCACCAUAAAACAUUCCAAAGCCCAACAAACAUUUUUGACCCAAAAGUCCAAAGCCCAAUCACUAUUGGCAGGUGCCAAAACAGAAGAAGAAUACUUCAAAGCCAUGGAACAGCUCCUCGCCUCCCGGUCAAAGUCAUCAGUGGCUGACACCUCUGAAGACGAAGAUGAAGAUGAAGAUGAAGAGCCAUUCAUUUCUCUUGGAGACGAAAAUGAAGAUGAUUAUUUUGGAAUUUUUUCUCCUUUAAAGCAUUGUAAAUAACUAUUUAGUUAUUUAAAAAAAAAUUAUUUGUUCUGUAUAUUCGGGUGGUCCUCUGGACAUAAGUGAGAGCGCACAUGUCUCUUCACCCGUAUCGUAUUUUUGUACAAAGAAUCGACUAUUCAAAGAUACGAUCCAAAUGUUACUGUGCACUUAAAACUCCGCUACAGUGAACAGUGCAGAUUUUCAGAGUUUACUGUGCACUUAAAAUCCCGCUACAGUGAACAGUUUAAAGAUCUUUGUAUAAAAACCGAGAGGAAGACUCAGACUCCUCAGGUUUUUCAUUUCUAAGUUUAGAACUUCUCUCUCUUCUUCUCUCCCUUCUCUCUAGAAUUCUCUCUCUCUCUCUCUCUGGGAAUAGGAAUCUGGAAUCCGAAGACAAAAAGAAAUUUCUCCUGUCUUCAGAUUAAUUUCCCAUUAUUUCUCUUUCUUCUCUACAAAGAAAACCAACUAAUGUAAGCAUUUCAUUCCAGUUUUAUUAAAGCAAUUUUUAGCAAUUUCAAAGUUUUUCCCUAAGGGUUGGUUUUUUAAACCAUGGGAUUUAACAAAACCUCAAUCCUACUAUCAAAGCAUUUUAGAAAUCACUGAUUCAGUUAAGUUCAAAUAUUUCUUUCUCAGUGAAUCACAUUCAGAACCAGCCUAUUCCACGGCUACUAUUUUAAAAGUUUUGAGUCUAAACCAAUGGGGUGACCUACUCCAUAAUUUUAAAACUUUCCCUUUAAAUUUUCAAACUCGUUUACCUCAUUUUCGGACGUAUUCCUACUGGAAUUACCAACAAGCCUGGUAUAACACCUUUUUUAUCCAAAAUCCCAAAAAAUCCCAUUCUUGGUUAUUUUUCUUCAACCCAAAAAUAACCGUCCAAAGCCUUCCAAACUGGUUCCAUCAUUGGUGGAAUACUUUUGGCCCAAUACCACAAAUUUUAACCCUGAAUGCCACCCAUUGUUUAAACCUCUUCAAAGCCCACUAUACUCCUUCUGAAUCCGAGAAAAUGUUUCCCCCCUUUCUCUGUUUCUGUACAAAUUUCUUCCUUCCAUGGGUAUGGAUGUGGAACCUUAGGCUUCAUACCCAAGAUUCCCAACUCAUCCUUCAAAGAACCUUUAAAGUGAAAUGGUGGUCCAAAUUUGACGAACAGUCAAAAUUGACUGAAAAUUUGGUCCGAGAUUGGCUCUCUGCCAAAGGCCUUCUUCAACCCACCAUAAAACAUUCCAAAGCCCAACAAACCUUUUUGACCCAAAAGUCCAAAGCCCAAUCACUAUUGGCAGGUGCCAAAACAGAAGAAGAAUACUUCAAAGUCAUGGAACAGCUCCUCGCCUCCCGGUCAAAGUCAUCAGUGGCUGACUUUGAUAGUAAUAGUAUAUACUAUCAUAAUUGAUACCCUUUAUAUUUAAAUUACUACUUAGACAAAAAUAUAUAUUUCAACAAUUAUUAUUAUUAUUAUUUAUUAAUGUCGUUAUUAUUGUUGUUGCUUUUGUUAUUACUUCUAUGACCACAACCACUACCACCACUAUCAAAGGAAAAUAAUUAACAAAGGGUAUUUUAAUAAAAUCACAAUAGUUCCUUCCGAUUUCAAGACAAAGUAAAUAAAUCAAUGGAACUGAAUCUCAUUCCAAUUUGGAUUCCUAUAGCUCAAGUAAAUAACUUAUUUUGAUUCUCAUUUCUUAUUUCGAUUCCAGCCCAUUCUGAUUACUGAUCAGUAAACACACUAUAAUACCCUUACUACAAUUUUAAAAUAAUGUUUUAUAAAUUUACAAUAAUCUUAUUAAUAAUUAUUUAUAAAAAAAAUUAGCUUACUAAUUAAUCCUAAAAGUAAAAUAAUAACAAAAAAUUUACAUUUAUUUUUAUUUACUUUGGGGUUAAUUUUUUAUUUUUUUUAUAGAUAAAUUAAUUAAUGUCCCCCAAGAAUGUUGUUGUAAGGGUAUACUUUUAAAAGCAAAGAGAAAAAGGCAUGAGUUUCAUAUAUUCAAUAGUAGGGGUGUCAUGAGGCAUUUUUUAAAAUAUAAGAACUAAACAAAUAGUUAGUUCAAAAUAUAAGGAUUAAAUAAAUAUUUAUCUUUUUGUUUGACUAUAUAGAGAGGUUACACAGUAUUACUAUAGAGAGGUUUUACUGUGUAACCUCUCUAUAGUGAUAUUUUAUCACUAUAAGGACUAAACGAACAUUUACUUUUUUAUUUGACUAUAUAGAGAUUACACAGUAUCAUUGUAAAAAUGUUUUACUAUAAAUGAGAAAAAAUCUUUUACAAAAUACAAAAAAAGAUAGUAAUAUUUAAUCCUGUCAACUUAUCUCGUCAGUCUCCAAUUUUCAAUUAACUCUAUUUAUUUUCAUAAUUGUCCAAACUCGUAUUUUUUUAAAAUUUUUUAUUAAACCGCCUUUGUUCAAGUUCUUUGAGUGUCCUUUCCAAAGUCCAAACCUAAAUUUUCAACAUAAAGUGAGAUAAUUUUUCAAUUAGGGAUGUCAAAUAACAUUCUUUUUAGUUAAUUUGGCUUUUUUUUUAAUUUGGCAUUUUUUAACUCACUUGCUUAAAUUGCAUGUAAUUGUUCUAUCAGAUGUUUCAAAUUCUUUCAGAUUAUUUUCAAAUGGAGAUUGGCCAUUCAUUUUGCAUCUCUAAUUAUCACCCAACACCAAGAUUUAUUGCCAAUUAAAAUGAUGCCGUGACCUCCACAAUCAAGUAAUUGAAAUGAAUCGGGCCGAUUUCCUAAAACAAGAUAGUACUAGGAGUAUAUUUAGGAAACCCCUUUAAAAGAUAAAAUGGACCCCUCUUCCUUUUAUAUUCUCUCAAGAAUGUGAUCUGUGACACUAAAAGAACUCCAAAAGAAAGACAUUUCUAUCAAGUGAAAGAAUUAUAUUUAUUUUGUGGCCUACCACGUUGACUAGCUAGCCCUGUUCACACUCUUAGAUGAACCUACAGAGUCAGAAAUUUACGCUCUGCAAAUGGAAACCCAAUAUCUUCAUCUUUUCCUUUUGUCUUAUAUGAGAGACUAUCAUAGCCAAAGUGUCAAUAUAGCCUUAACAGUAUAACACGAUUAUGAUUCCAAAGCCACUCGUACAAGAAACCAUUUGUGGUCGGCGGUUUUGUACCCACCACAUGAGUAAAUUGAAAGCAACUACAUCUUUAAUUUUCAUGUUAUUUCUCUUUAAAAGAAUUUGUUUGUAAAGAGUAGUUAUCCAAAAAUUUAAUUUAAUGGAUAAGAUGAAACACGAAAAGAUAAGUUCUAACAAACUACUUAGAUGAAAUAUGAACUGAAAUGAGAGCUCAUUGAUAAAAUGAGAGAUAAAAGAGUUUGACAGUGAGUUAAAAAAUAAAAAUUAAAUAGAGUUUAUGUGUCUGAAAAUUUGAAUUUACCUUAUCUUUUGAUAUUGAAUUAAUGUUGCGUUCACUCAAAACAAAAUUAAACUGAUAGGUAAAAGUUUAAUAAUAGUAUUGAAAUUAAAUUUCAACCUAAUUCGGUAGUGUGAAUUAUAUUCUAUCAAAAACGUAAAUUUUAGCAUGACAUGACAUGACAAAGCAAAUCGACUGCUUUAGUAAUAUUUAUCUAAAGCAUUAGUGUGAAAAACUGAAAAUUAUAUGGCUCAGUGCGGCAAGCGAAUAAUUAUUGCUAACUUUACUGUUAUGUUCCUAAUUUUGAAGGUUGUUAACUUGUCCAUGAAUCAACCUUUUCUCAAUCUAUAUUUUUAAUUCCAAAAAGGGUAAUUGCAUAAAAGGUUGCUUAUCUUUUAGACAAAUACUUUAGCAUAUCUAUUCUAAGUUACUGAAAGUGUUUUGUUAUCUCCCUUUAACUAAGAAAUAAACACAUUUCGUUUUCACAUAACACAGACUUAAUAAAUCCUCUUUUUGCACAGUACAGGUGGUAGUGUUACACAUGCGAGAUGUAUUGAUUCAACUUACAAUGGAUCCCACAAAGAAGCUUGAUGAUCUAUUAUCGAUAAUGCAAAUUUCUUUUCUCUUAUCUAUGACUGAUCUAUUAUCGAUACAAUAAUUUUACUCCUCUCUCUAGACUCUAUGAAACUCAUUUUCGUCUUUUUAUGAUGCUUAAUUGAUUUAGUUGAAAGGGCUUCACUUUCCUCUCUUCUUCUGACUUGUUACUAAAUACAAUUCUAUUAUUCGGCUUAGGUUUUGGGUGUAAUAUAAUUGUCUUUAUAUCAUCAAUAUUUCAAAUUCUUUUAUUUAUUUAUUUAACGUAAUAACAAUUAAUUAAAUUUUUUUUUUAACUAUGUCAGUGAAGUUUAAACUCCAUACCUUAAUUUAAUUUUCUACGAAAGAGAUUUUAUUAAUGGAACAAAUUAUUCUAUAAUGCCUAUUUCAAAGCGCCUAUCUUACAGUUUACCUGUCUCAUCCUAACUCGUCAUUGAAUUAGCAUAAAAAGGUUGGAUAAGACUAUUAAUUCGGAGAUCGAUGGAUGCAUUUGAAGUGGGAGAAGAAUGGAAUUCAUAAAGUAAACAUGAAUGUCUCACAACUUUGGCUUCAUUGGUUGACAAAAAGAAUAUAAUUCUCGUAACCCCCAUGAGAGGUUGCGUUAACCAAGCCUAGAAUAACAUUUUAGUUACACAACCAACACCACUCUUUAGGACAAAACAUAUUUUAAACAGAACAAACCAAGAGAGAAGAGAAUCUCUUUGCUUUUUAAAUUGAUUCAAUAAGUAAAAAUAAAUUAAUGAUAAAAAAAAGUCAUAAAGAUUCGUUAAUGGAAGCAUAUUUUAGGUGGGUAUUGAUUUCUUAUAUUGAAAUAAGGACAAGAAUCGAAACCCCAUGUGCAGAUAUGCCCUUUGAUGAGCCCAUGAUCCUUUUUUGUGGUCAUGUUCGUGUGCUAUAGUGCAGCAGCACAUAAGGGUAUCUUCUUUUUAAAUAGUACAGGAUAAUGAUUAGAUAAUACAGAACCCUCUUUGCUCUUUUCAUUGGAUGCCUUUCUUUGAUAUGAAUUUCUUUGUUUGCAUAUCUUCAUUGGAUUUACUUUUCCGUCUAAAAAUUUAUUUGCCUUUUUGGUGGUAAAGGCUUUAGAUACUGAGCCUGUGAGCUAUAAUAAGGACCACUUCUUUCUUUCUUCUUCUUAAUGAACAAGUGUUCCCACUUUCCAUGUCACUAUAAUUGUUUUUUAACUUAGUAAAUUUUGAAAGCAUAAUAAUUAACUAAAGUGUUUGAAUUUGCUUGCAAAACAAAAUUUCAUAACUCUUUGAAACAGUAAUUAAUCUGCCUUUUCUUCUCUUUUUUUCCCCCCUUCCCCAUUAAUUUGUCACACAAUAACAAAACAACUGAUACAGUAAGUCUAUGAUCAAUUGCUGUAAUUCAGUACUUUCUAAUCCAAUAAGCAGUUAAGCACUAGUCUCUUCCUGAUCUAACACGCUAGGAGAUAAUUCAUCGGCCGUGAUUUCACUUGAACAAGAUGAAGCAGGCUGAGGAGGAGGACCUAAUAAAUCAGUCUGAUCAGCUUCAAUAACACUAAAAUCAAUAACCUGCAGCUGAUUUUUGUGGCUGUUCUUAGUGAUAUUGAGAUUAUUAGAAGAAACAACUCCACGCUUUUUAGGUUUUUUCUUCCUUUGAAAUAUGCGAUACACAACCCAAUCUCCUAUGAUCACCAUCUUAAAUACCUGCCAAACAUGAAUUUACAAAACAAAUUAAACUUUAUUGAACUAAAAGAAACGUUAAUUUGUGUUUGCCAACCAGUUCAGUUGUCAAAAUCUCUCGAGUAGAUGUAAGAAAUAUGGGGUUCAAAACCUCGCUUGCGUGGGUAAAGACGAGAUUUAAUCACUAUAUGAUCACAUAGAUUUUCCCAAAAGAAAAAAAAAGGGCUUACCGGCUGGGUUAAGUUGGUAUUUGUUGCAAUGGCCACAAGGUGAUAUUGAUGCAUCACCCAUUGAGUUUUGGUCUCAUGGCCGCGCUUGCCUUCGCAGAAAAUCAGAGUCUUUCUUAUUCCAACUACUUGCUUAGUCCCAGAAGCCAAAAUUUGCCUAUUUUUGCCAACAGGUUUCCAGUAACCAGAACCAGCAGCUAUUUUGCAUUUGCCGUCAUUAGCAAUCGCACUCUCAUUUCUAAUAUUGCUAAAAAAAUACCUCUUCUUCUCCUUCAUAUCACCUAAAUAAAUUAACCCACAUAAAACGUAACAAUUUAGAAUAAUCCGAUAAUCAUCGAUCAAGUGCAGCUAGCUAAAGCAUAUAUUAAAGAAAUGAUAUUAAAUUAACACUAGUAGCUAGCUAAUUAACCUGGCAAACCCAGAGGAUGAGACUGAAACACAUCAAGCUCAGGAAUAAUGGAAGCAGGCAAUGGCAAGCCAAACACCUUACGCUUCAAGUAAUGAACCACAAGCUCUUCAUCUGUGGGGCGAAACCUAUACCCAAUAGGCAGCUUUAACCCACCAUUCACAACGAAGUUGUUUUGUUUCUCCAUAUUUAUAUAUGUAUAAAUCCCUCUCUCAAACUGAACUGAUGAUGGACCAAAUCAAAGCAAAGAAAAUGUUAACAAUCCAUGCUUGAAGAUAAGAGAGAACGAGAGAGAGGGGGAGAAACAAAGAAAGGCUAGACUUGUGUUGUGAUGGGGUGUGUUGGGAAGCUAACUAGGGAGAGAGGAUGCAUAAGGGUUUGUAUAUAUAUAUAGAGAGAGAGAGAGAGAGCUGGAGUGAGGAAAUUAAUUAAUUAAAUGCCGAAGUUAAAAAUUUUCUGCUACGACUGAGCGUUGGUGCUUGAAUUUACACCAAGCAUUUUCCACUUUAGAAUUUUGCUUUUGUUUGACGGGUCGUUUCACAAACGUGUAGGAAAUUAGAAAGACCAUGAAACUUCCGUCUGCUUUGCUUUGCUUUGCUUUCGGUCAAGAAGCACGCGCUCGGGUACACUUCGCCGCACGUGUCUCACGUUUCAUAAUUAGUACUAAGAAUUUUGAGAGAUCUCGAAUCAAUCGAUUAAAUUGUACGCUAAAUCAUUCUAUUCUUCUCAUCUUUUCGAUGUUAUAUUGUAAUUUUACUAACUAUUAAUUAGCAUUUUACAGAGCUUGCUAUUAUCCGCCACAAUGAGCGCACCAUGAAAAAGGACUCAAAAAAUUAAUCAAAAGAAUCUGCUCAAAAAUGGAUUUUUAAAAAAUUUACCCAAUUUACCUUAACAUAUAUAACCACUAAAAAAAGUUGAAUCUCUUUCAUCAAUAUUGUCUUCUUCUUUUUUUUUUUAAAGUAUUGUAACACUAAAAAUCAAAAUGCUUGCUUCUGGUAUGUGGGUACGAUUUGAAACUCGGAACUGUUUAUAGCACUUCAAAAGAUCUUACAAAUUAAAUUAAUUUGUAAAAUAGAAUGAAAAAUGAUUUAAGAGCAAAGCUACGAAAAUAUGAAUCAUUAUUGAUGAAAAGUAAGGAAGCAACCAACGAGGUGUUGGUUCAGCUGGCGCCGGCUGAACCCCUUAGGUGGCUCGACUGGGUUUGCUCAUCAGUUCGAGCCCUUUGGGAGUCGCCCUCGUUGGGAGGGCUUUAUUGGCACCCGGCCCGAAUCCGGAGUAGUCGGGGCCCAAUGUGGUCGCCGGACACCGGAUGGUUAAGACCAAAAAAAUUUAAGAAGCACAUGGCUUUGCAUUACUUCUAUAAGAAUAGAAAAACCCUAGCAAAGCAUACCUCCUAGAAUACCGGACAUACAAGCAUUCUUAUUUUGUGAUUUGGAAAAACUAAAAGAAAUGAAAUGUAAGAAACGAAAAGAAAAAAUACAGUUCUAUAGGGGCGGAAAAAAGAGAGAGAGAGAGAGAGAGAGAGAAAUAAAAUAAGCUUCUGAUUAGCUCUAUGAAAUAAUUUCUAAAGGCAUUUUGGGGAACAAAGAGCGGAGUUUGGUAAAAGUAGUAUGGAACUCACAUCCUUUGUGUUGUAUAUUAAGAUCUAGUAACAAUGUUAUGCUGUAUUAACAUGCACUAUAUUGAUUUUCUUUUUCUAUUUGAAAGUUAGUCUUCGCAUACAAUAGUUGAAGUGAGUAGAUUAGGUUAGACCCGUAAAAUUUUUAAUGUGCUUUAUUGAAUUUUAGUAUAUGAGUUAUCUUUUUUUCCUUCAUAUAAAGAAUUCUUACUGAAUGAAAUUAAUAUCUAUGUUGUUAGGUGUUGUCCUAAUUGUGGCUGGAGUCUUAGACAAUAUCAUAAGUAUUGUAUUUUGGGUCCAACGACAUGAUGUAUUUUGGCCAUUUAAAAUGAAAUUUUCAUUAAUUUUCCCUCAUAAAAAAAUACAGCAAAAAAAAAAACACUAGGGGUGGUAAUACGGGUCAAGAUUCGUUUAUUCGAUUCGAUUCGAUGCGAAUUAAAUGGGUUUGCGUUUGAAAAAAUUGAUUCAUUUAAUAAAUUGGUGAAUUCCAUUCUAUUUGCUAAUUAAACGAAUUAAAUCCAGGUUUGAAGAUAUUGAUUCAUUUAUUCGUUUAGAAUUCGUAUUGAUUCGUUUAUUCGUUUAGGAUUCGUUCAAUAAACAUGUCAUAAACGAAUCGAAUACAAGUCGAUUCGUUUAAAAAUCGUUUAUUACUCGUUUAAUUAAAUUAUUUUUUUAUCCUUAAAUUUAUUUGAAAAUUUUUUUAAAUUUGAAGGUUAAUAUUGUAAUUUAGAUGACUGUGUAUUUAAUCCUAGAAUAUGGUUUGGAUUAUUUGUAUUUUGUUGUAGGAUAUUAAAUUUGUGGCUUUUUUAUAUUUUAUUUCGCUUAAUUUUGUUUAUUAAUUAUAUUUUUCUAAACGAAUUGUAAACGAAUCAUGAUUCGACUCGAUUCGUUAUGGAUUCGUAAUAAGAUAAACGAAUAAUAAACGAAUCCAAAUUCAAUUUGAUUCGUUUAUUAAUACUAUUAAACAAAUUAAACGAAUCAAACCGAAUAUUCAUUUAAUAAACGAAUCGAAUCCGAAUCCUGAGAUUUCAAUUCGUUUAAUAAACGAAUAGAAUCCGAAUCAAUAGAUUUUUGACUCAAUUCAUUUACAAUUCGAUUCGAAUUCGAUUCAUUUAGUUGUUUUGCCACUCUUAGAAAACACUACUAUCAUUUUGUGAAAUGAUUAAGAAAAAUACGUUGAGAAAAGAUGAGCACCGUUAAAAUGUUGAUAAGGGAAAUGUUGACCUAGCCGGUGGAUAGUGCAAUCUACGUACCUAGAAGUUCAAGCACAAAAGCAAAAUUUAAAAUCUUCACUUCAACUAAUAAAUUCACUUUCUGUCUCUCAUUCAGAAGCUAACAUAUGUACCCAAUUCCAAGAAGCCAAUUUCAAUUUCCCAUUAAAAACGACAAGCAAACCUCGGUGAACUAUGCACACAAUGACAUUUAACUAUUCCCAUUUUCCUACUCAAUUGGCAUUAGUCAACUGCGACAACGAUCGAUAUGAAUGGACAUAAUUAAAAACACCAUACACACAUUAAAUCCAUGUCUUAAUUAAUAUCGAAGUUUGAAAAUUUUGAACACAACACAUCUUCUUUCUCUAGAUGCGUGUUUGAAGGAACGAACACAUUUAUCUUUUUUAAUUUCUAUGAAUUGAAUGCGACUAAACUAUAAGAUUAAGAUAGGCCAUUUUUUUAUUUUUUUAUUUUUUUUCAUUUUCUUUAUAAGCUUAAGGUCGUUGGGAUUCUUUUUUGGUCCUUGAAGUUGACAAUGAGCUGCGAGAUUCGUUAUAAUGGAUGGCCAUGAUUUAGAUGUUUCAAUUUAAUUUUGCAUUAUCACUUUAUGCUUAUUACAUAAAAAUCUGACCAUUUCAUAAAUAUUAGCAGACUUGCUUUAUAGCUGUCGCCUCCGCAAUAAUUGUUCUCUAAUCUCUAUCUAACAAUUAUUUAUUUGGUUAACGCGCCCUAGUUGUUUUGUAAAUUAAUUAUGAUCUAGCUAAGCUUCGCAUAAAUAAAGAGGACAAUUUAUGAAUGUUUUUAUCCAUAAAUUCGGAUGCUUUUAAAGCUUAACGUGUCCGACUCAGUCAUUAAUGAAGGAUCUUAAAAAUAUAAAAAAAAGAAUUACACGGAAUAAGUUGUCAAAAUUAAAAGAAAAUUUCAACAAAAUCGAUUUGUUUUACGUUUUCGUAUUGGAAUCAUUGCACUAUCAAUUUCCUACUAUUAAUAUCGGUAUCAUUACACUUCAUUGAAUCGAUGCCGUAAGUAACAUUCACUUUUUAUUUUUUGAGAGAAUCAGUUCUUUGAUAAGAUUCACAGACGCUUAAUGGGUGGCCAUUACAAAUGGUGAGGGGUAUUUUUCCUUUUUCCUUUUUCCUUUUUAGCUCUAAGAGGGCUUUUUUUUUCUCCAAUAAGAAAAUUAUUAUUUGGACUCAUUUAACAAAUUUUGUGUAUAAGAUAACUUAGAGUAUCUCUAAAAAACUCUAUUAAUUUUACCUUUCAAAUAUCUGUUUGCUUACUUAUAUGGUAAAAAAGAGAGUGAAAAAAAUAUGUUAUUCUCCAAAAGACCCUUCAAUUUGAAAUAAGUUAAUAUUUUUAAUCAAAUAAAUAUUUUUUCAAAGGAAAAAUAAAUGGUAAUUAAAACACUUAUCUCUCUCUUCAAUAAAAAAAUAAUAAAAUAUAAAUUGAAGAGGGAAAAAGCAACUCUACAAAAUUGAAGAGAGGCAAUUAUUUCUUAUUUAAAAAAUUUUAAUUGGAGUAUCUUUUGAAGUCUUAAAUGUUGAUAUGACUCUUUAAAUAAGUAAUAAAAUCUUAUUUGAAGAGACUUUUUUUAAAAGUCUUUUAAAGAUAUUCUUAUAACAUAGCUUGUCUUAUAGUUGACAUAUCUUAUUUCAUAACUGUUUAUUUAGUGUGACGACUCUCCGUAUAUUAUACGUUAAAGGUUUGUACGAGGAUAUUUGUUCACUCUCUCAGUUCGAUUUUGACACAUUUUUGACGAUUUUGACACAUUUUUGACGACUCUUACGCAAUUUGAUUCUCGAAGAUCUUUGUAACUUUUUUUUUCCGCUCUUAAUAAAUUCGAUAUACUCAUACCAAAAAGGGCAAAAAAAAAAAACUUCAGCCUUUACAACUCAUGAAAGAAAAGUAUCAGAUUCAUAAUUCGAAGAUAAAAUAUCAAAAUACUCUUAUUGAUUUCAACGUUAUAAAGUUGUCGAUAUGUGUCCAUUAUUAAUGCAGAAACAAAAUAAAUAGAAGUUUUAUCUGCCCAGAAAAUUCUUUCACUUGCCACGCCCAUGUUGCGGGCAGAGACUUCCUGUUAGAAGAUCAGAUCUGUGGAAAAAAUGAACAAGACUAUUGCAAGUUAAGAAAAUGGCAAACAUUACCCCCCAUGGCUAAAUUGAUUUUCUCCCGAGAGGAGCUUUAUUCUAUUCAUACAUUAAAGCUUGGUUUUGGUGAGAUAUUUUCUAUAUGGAUUUAUUGAGCUCGAUAAAUGGGCUCAGAUUCUGUAUCAAACUUACUUGUGGGUUCAAAAGAAAUUUUCGUCGACAAUCGAACGAGCGUAAAGACCGUUGCUUAUCAGAUUUGGCCCAGUUGAGUAUUGAUGGAGUUUUAUGGUCUACACUUGAUUUCGGGGAAAAGUAUGGGUUUAUUUUUAUUUUUAUUUUUUUGGGGGUUACUAAUAGUUGGAAAGAUAAACUAGUCAUUUAAAUUAUCAAAAAGGAAUAUUUCAUCCAAACCAAUUGAAUUUACAAAAGGCUAUGCAUGUCUUUUUCAAAAAGUUUUUUUUGUUGUCUCUUUCCCUAAAUAUUAAAGGUUCAAGUGUCUUUUUAUGAUGUAUUUACUUCUUAAAUUGAGGAAUGGAAAUUAUUGAUAGUGUUUACUUAUUAGAUAUGUAAAGAAAUGAGAAUGAAUUUUGAGUAAAACCCACAAAUUUAAAAAUAAUGAAUAAGAAUCUCAUUCUUAUGGUAGUAGGUAGAAAUGGAAAUAAAGAAUGAAUUGACAUUUUUACCCUUAAAGAGAAAUACAUUUUUUUCCCAUUUAAAUAUUAAAUAAUACUAAUAAUAUGAAUAUUAAUAAUUGUUAUACUUAUAGCUACAGUAAUAGUAUUAUUUAUUAUAAUUCUAAUAAUAGUAAUAAUAAUUACAUUAAUAAUAUUGAUAGUUAAUAUAAUAAUAAUAAUAAUGUAGUAUUUUAUAGGAAACAUGUAUAUAUCUCAUUUAAAAGUAUUUAUACAUACAUAAUUGUAAGUUUGUAAUUAAUGCCAUUUUAAUGACUUAAAACAACUCAUUUUGAUUGCAAGAUAAAGUAAACAUAUCAAUGGAAAUACAACUUAUUCGAAUUCCAAUUCCUACAACUCAAGUAAACUACUUAUUUUGAUUCUCAUUAUUUAUUUUAAUUCCAGCCGAUUUUGAUUAUUGUCCAUUUGAAUUUCCAAGAAGUAAACGCACCAAUGAUGUAAUAACACAUUAUAAUUAUGUUGAACUAAUUAAUAAAUGAAAUGUCAACUUUGAAUCUAUCCUCAACUUUGAAAAACAUCAAAAUUUAUAUAUGCUAAUAAAAGAUGGUUAUCCAUCUAUCUUCUAUAAGAGUUGACCUAGGGAUGGCAACCCACAAAAAAUUAAAUUACUAAACACGUCCGCAGCUUGCAAUGAGUUUUUAUUUAAAAAAAAACUGCCUGUUGCGGGUUUUAAUAAUUAGUAAACCAACCCGCAACCUGCAGCUGAUUUUUUGUGGAUUUUAUCAUUUAAAAUCAUAAAUAUUAAAAAAUAUUUUUAAUAAUACAUAAAAAUUAAAGGGAAAAUAUCCACCGUCCACCCAUUUUUUCUAACUUUUUAAAAAAUACACAAUUCUUUCUUUUUUCGUCUGGAAUCCACCUAAAAUUACAUUUUGUUUCACUUUUCCACUUCCGUUUGGAAUCCAUUAAGAAAACUAACGGAAACUUAAAAAAUGACCAUUUUACCCCCAAAACGAAAAUUACAAUUUCACCCUAAAAAAUGCAAAAAAUAAUCAGAUUUAAUGAUGAAUAUCAUUAUUGGUAUGUUAAUGUAGUACCAAAAAAACUUAAUUACUAGAGAUUAUAACUCAAUGAAUAAUAAAACUUUACUUAUCUUAAAUUCAAUUGAUGGUUUGCAAGAUUGAGCUAUUUUUAAUACUACUGUUAUAAUUUAGCAUUCUAAUUAUAGACAUAUUAAAAAACAAAACCCUGCAUUUGAUGGUUGUGGAAUUAAUUUCUUUAUUGACCGAUGGGGAAAAUAAUUAGAUUUUGAUCUGAUUAUUUUUUGUAAUUUUUAAGGUAAAAUUGUAAUUUUCGCUUUGGGGGGUAAAAUGGUCAUUUUUUAAAGUUUCCGUUAGUUUUCUUAACGGAUUCCAAACGGAAGUGGAAAAGUGAAACAAAAUGUAACUUUAGGUGGAUUCCAGCAAAAAAAAAAAAAAUGAAUUGUGUAUUUUUGACAAAGUUGGAAAAAACAAGUGGACGGUGUAUAUUUUUUUAAAAUUAAAUUAUAUAAUUCAAAUUAUAAAUUUAAAAUAACAGCCUAAAAAAUCAACAUACAAUACUCAAUUCUAGAUCUUAUCAUUGUAAAUAAGACAAAAUAUUUAUAGUGUAGGCAAAUCAUCAUCACCGUUAUCAAUGCCUUGCUCCGUCUUUUAAUUAAUAUAUAAGUAUUAUCAACAAUAUUAACAAGUAAAAUUUGUAUAAUUAUUGUUACAAUUAAUUAAACAAACAAAAACCCAAGUUUAGUAAGUAAUCAUUAGGUUCAAGUUAUUAAAGUAAAACAAACAAAAUCAAUCAAUUAAAAUAAAAUACAAUAACAUUAAACUUGAAAAUCAUAAAAAUUUUGGUUACUAAAAGCUUAUUGUUUGUGUGUGUGUGUAUAUAUAAUCCUUCUCUAGUGAAGACAUCCUAACUUUGUUAAAGUAAGGAUGUUAUUAAAAUAUAAAAAAUCAUAAAUUUCAAUACAUUAAUAAUUGUAUUAUUUUUACUAUUUGUGGCAUCUUUAUUUUAACGAAUUAGGAAUAUUCUCACUAGAGAAUGAUUAUAUGUAUAGGAGACGGAUCAUCAGCUUCUCAAAAAUAUUCUUAAUUUUACACUCAUUAAUAUCUCUUGAAUUUGAGUUGAAUCAAUAGAUGAAAUUUACUUAAAUUAAAUAUUCAAAAAUUUUAAUAAUUUCUCACUUCAUAUGGAUCCCACAUCAAAUUUUUUCCAACUUAUAUUUUCUCUCACCUUAUCAUGUUCAAGUUUACCGUAUGAAUUGAUUUCGGACUAUACUAUAAUAGAAUUACUCAGAUAAAUCUCGACAGAUUUUUAAUUAUAAAUAUUAAGAUUGUAAUAUAUAAAUGUAUCAAAAAAAAAAAAAAAGUUUACCGUAUGAAUUGCACUUCCUCUUCUUCUGCCAAGAGCCAAUUCAAUAUUACUUUUGAGUCUGGCGUUGUUGUUAAUAUUUUUCUUCUGACACUUGGUUUGUGAAAUAUUUGGAUCUAAAAGUAAUGGCUGGGAGGAAUUGAUGCUAAAGUAAAGAUCAUCUAUUUGUUGGCAAACAAUGGUUGGCUGGGCUGAAAUAUCUAAAAGCUUUUUGGCUAGCUUAUUUGUACUAUCCAUGUAAAUCAAGUACGCCUCAUUUGAAGGGAGCUGGCUAAGUUACGGAUUCUGUAACUUACAGAUCCAGCUUUAGGCUUUAGCUAGCUCCCAUACACACCCAUUUGCUGGCUUUUCUCUCCCCUCAUGACAUGUGUGCUCCUCUCAUUGGGUGUGUAUGUUACCGAUUCUGUAACAUAGCAACCUCCCGGAGAUGGCAAAACGCCGGGCUGGGUCCGGGUAUUGCCAUGACCGGACCCUGCCCGGGUGUAAUCGGUCCGGAUUUGAGUUUGGGCCGGAUUUUAAUUUGGAUAUCCGAAUUUUAUAUUUUUUAAUAUUUUAUGUGUAUAUAUUUUUUUAAUAAUUUUUAAGUUUUAAAUUUAUUUCAAUAAAAUUUGAGAUGAAAAUAUAAACAUUAAGUGUUUAAAACUUUAUAUAUGUAUAAUAAUGAGUCAAAUAAAUAUAAAAUAUUUAAAAUAAUGGAUAUUUUAUAAUUUUUUUAAUAAAAUCCGAGUUCCGGAUUUAUCAAGUGAUACCCAAGACCGACCCGACUUCAUACCCGGACCGGGUAUUACCCGGCCCGCAACGCCUGGGGAUGGUCCGGGUCCGGACCAGGCGAGUAUUUUUGCCACCUCUACACCUAACAGAUGCUAAUUUUGUAGCUUGGUAACACAUAUGGCUAAGUCUCAAAGCCUCUAAUUCUUCUUUGUUAUCAUUUUUCAAAAAACUCUUUCAAAUCAAUCUUUCUAAAUUUAUUUGCCUAUUGUCUCCAUCUUGGAAUAAUGAAAUGAGUCAGCAGCUUUUCAAUAUCUAAAUAAGGAGAGCACUACCUUACAGUAUCUAUAAGGUGCAGUCCUCUCACAUAAACAAUAUUCAAUUGUGAGCUUAAAUGGGAUUAAUUGUCAAGUUUGCGAGAGAACUGCACCUUACAAAUAUUGUAAGAUAACAAACUCCUCUAAAUAAACAAAAUCUUUUAGAUAUAUCUACAAAAGUAUUCCAACAAACUCAAUUUUUUUUACAAUCACGAUUACUUUGAUAAGUUUGCAAAUUUAACUUCCUCUUAAACUCUUAAGAUUCCCCAUUUUCACAAAGAGUUGUGAGAUUAAAAAAGUAUUUUUUUUGGCAAAGGAUUAAAAAAAAAAAGCAAAUGAAAAGUCAAGAAAUAAAAAAACAAGUGAAGAGAAGAAAGAGGGAGAGACAAAGUAGAGAGAGAAAAUGUAGAGGGAGAAAUAUUUGUGUGUUGGUCUACAUGAAGAGAGAAAAUAUUAAAAAUUCUUAAAUGUUUAAUUUCAAUAAAUCUCAUACAUUAAUUUAACUCAAAUCCUAUUGAUAUUAAUUAAAGGUAUUAUUUAGGUGUUGUUGAUCCGCUUAUAUAUAUGUAGUGAGACAAAUUAAGUUUAGGAAUCAAGAAAUUUAACUUACACAAAUUUAUGAUUAAUUUUUUUUAAUGUAAUUUUUAUGAUUAAAAUUAAAUUUAUAAAUAAUUAAAUAAAGAAUUGGGAGUUGGCGGAUACCUAUGUAGGUAUCCAUCAAAUUUUUUCUCAAUACUAAAUCUACUUGUAACCCAUAACAUAUUUCAGUUUGAAAUAUUAAACCCACCCACAAUUCGUAAACUUAUCCACAGCAGGCGAAUUUUUACAAGCAAGUCCAAAUGAAUUGAUGAGUUUUUACGAGUGAGUCUGGACGAGUUUAUAGGUUGGCAUGUAAUUUUAGCAUCCCUACCUUGCCCGAACCCCAUCCCCAAUAUUAUUUGUGCUUAUUCUAACUGUUUUCAAAUUGUUUAUUAUACUUAUUAAAUUGUGUUACAUAUAUCGAGUUAAAAGUACAAAUUUGUAAAUGUAACCAAAAAAUAAAAUAAAUUCAAAGUGCAUUGCAAAAAUUACACGAUCGCGCAAGUGUAAUCCAACGUUUGAAAAUUAUAAUACAAAACUUAAAUCUCAACUUAAGAUAUAAAUUUGCAAAGUAAUACUCGUAACCCCUGUAACUUGUAACAUGUAUUUAUUUUGGUAAUGCAGAUAAAUCAUUAAUCUGAAAUUUGGCCAUUUAUGAAAAUAUAUAUAUAUAUAUACACACACACACAAUCAAAUGUCUACUAAUAUUUAUAUCAUACUAGAAUCAUUUAGAUCAAUUUUAUUAUGGCACAACUUGAAUUUCUACCUUACUAAUAGGAGAAGUAGGGAUGACAAAAAAGCCCGGACCGGCCUAGUCAAUUCCCCCAGGCUUUGCACAUGAGGGUCUGGACAAGGGUUUAGGAAAAAAAGUCAGGGACUGGUCCAAGCCCUCUAUUUUUAAAAAAAAUAAAAUUAUAAAUUAGAAUAAUAAAUUCAAAUUUGAAAAAUAAUGGAAAAAAAGUAAACUUAAAUUAUUAAUUUAUAUAUUAAUAUAAAUUAAAAAAACUUAAACUUAUAAUACUAAACUCUCUUUUAAGUGUUAAUUAGUUAAUAGAGUGUUUGAAUUAGAAAAUUUAGUACUAAAAAAUUAAAUAUCUAAACUUUUAUUUAUUUUAUUUUGAAAUAUUUAUUUUCUUUAAUUCAUUAUUGAUUAUAACAACUUGAUUAUUAUUAAUGCAUUUCACAAUUUUAACAAUUUUUUUUAAAAGUAAAAGGCCAAGCCCGUAGUAGGCCCGGCCCAAGCCUAACCGUUACACUUCUUAUCUAAAUGGCAUAACCUUGAGAUUGAAAAAAUCUAACCCAAACCCUUAAUUUAUCAAUGUUAAGUAGAAGAGAUAUUUGCUCUACCCACAAAUUAGCGGGGAGACAUUACUUUCCAAUUUGUAAUUAGAAAAGAAAAUGAGAGUUCUGCAUGGGAUAGUCCUCCACUAAACAAAAGGCCGAGUAGCUCUUAAUAAUAGUAGUAGAGAAAUUUGCUCUAUCCACAAACUAGUCGGAAGACAUUUCUACCCAAUUUCUAAUUGAAAAAGGAAAUGAGAGUUCUGCAUGGGACAGUCCUCCACUAGAUAAAAGGCCGACUGGCUCUUAAUAAUAGUAUUUACAGUCAGCUCUACUAAAGCUGACACGUAGGAGAUAGGUAGAGUAGGGUGCGAUGUUGCCAAUACCGUACCCAUACCAACCAAAAAAAUAAAUAAGUAAAAUUGCCAAACCUGUAGUCCCACACCAUGCCCACUAGUACCCAAGGGAUUUCUUCCUUGCUCCAAACCUUUAAAUAUAAAUUACAUCAUUCAAAUUAUAAAUUCAUAAAAUUUGCCUAAAAAUAUACAUGACAUACUUAAUUCUUAAUUUUAGCGAUGUAAGUAAGAAUAAAAAAGUUUUAACAUUAAAAUAAAUAUAUAGAGUUCAUUAAUUUAAUAUAAAUUCUUUAAUUUAAGUACGAAAUACAUAAAUUCUCCAGUUUAAGUAAGAAAUAAAUAAAGUCACUCGGCCAAAGGCCGAGUGGUUAGGGUUUUGGAGGGCAGUAGUUCGAACCCCCAUAAGUGCAAUGUGGAGGUAUUUCCUUCCUUAAUUAUAUUGUAUAAUUGAGUGAAGGUAGUCUUCUCACUUGUCCAAGAAUGAGUGGAGUAAACAUCCCUUGAAUAUUAGUAAGGGUUAAAAUCUGGGCAGAGCUUUAUUAACAUUGAUGUAAGUUGGUCCUAGUAAUAAUCUGAUUUGUAAAUAUCAGUUAUAAUCUCAUGUAAUAUGAGUUGUAGUUUGAGCAAUAGCCUCAUGUAAUAAAAAAAGUGCGAAAUAAAGAAGUUCAUACACAAAUUUUCCAUAAAAUAUGGGAAGGGCUCCAUUAGCAUUGAUGUAAGUUGGUCACAGUAAUAGUCUGAUUUGUAAAUAUCAGUUAUAGUCUCAUGUAAUAUGAGUUGUAGUUUGAGCAAUAGUCUCAUAUAAUAAAAAAAAUACAAAAUAAACAAGUCCAUAAUUCUCUAAUUUAAGUACGGAAUAAAUAAGUCCAUCACAAAUACUUUUAUUUUUUAAAAAAACAAAAAUACGAAGAACCACAAACUAACAUCCGAGAGUAGCACCCAUGAUAUAUCUUAUUCAACAUCAAGCUCCUAACUCCAAGAAUUAAAAUCUUUUUCUCAUUCACCACUACUAAUUGUACCCAUCCAACAUGAUUUCUAUAAUUUUGAUUAAAAUUAAUAUUAUCUAGACACAAUUAUAAAAUAAUUAUGUAUAUUGAUUUGAAAAAGCCUUGGGUGCCCCUUUUUUUGACAAAAAUUAUGAAAAAUUUGGGAAUCACAAGAUUAUAUUUUUUUAAAAAAAUGCAAAUUAGCGGAUACUAAUUUUUUUUUUUACCUUUACAAAAUUUACCCGCUUGCUGUAGCAAAUUUUAGUUUAUAUUACAAAACUGUCAAUUACCCGUAAACUUGUAAUAAGCGAGUUUUCGCGGGUUUAUGGGCAAAAUGACCAUCCCUAACAUGUCCAAAAUUUGAGUAAUUAUAUUUCUAUCCCUGAUCCCUACCUGAUUAUUUUCAGUAAACGUCGUAAGUUGGUUUGCUUACCACUCAGUCAAAGGUUGAACAAGACUAUUUGAUUAAAGAUGUCGAUUUGUUCUCCUCCUUUGGUAGUACUCAUCUUUCAUUUAGUAUGAAGUUUCUUUAUUUAAAUGAAAGAUAAUCAUAACAAAAUUUAAUGUAUAAAUUUUGAGUUUCGGACUAAUAUCUACAUUCAACUCCCCGUUAACAACAUUUGAAAAGAAAUCUAUCUUUUUUUUGUGUGUGUGGUGUGGGGGGUGGGGGUGUGUUGAGGGGAGGGGGGGAGGAGAAAAAAAAUCCCAAUAAGAGCGUGAAGUGAUAUUAUGGAACACGGUAGAUCACCGUUAGGCUACAAGCCAAUAUAACAAAAUCACUUUACCUAAAGUGAUUGGAUCCUCAUUUAUUAAAAUCCUUAUAAUGGGAUUUUGGGUUAAGAUUUGUUUAUUUGAUUAAAAUUAAGUGAAUUUGGGUUUUAAAAAAAUUAUUUUAAUAAAUAAAUCAAAUUCAAUUCAUUUAUCAAGCUUACCAAUUCAUUUAUUUGUUUAAAAUUCAUUUAUUGGAUGAUACAAUAAAAACAUAAAAUUAUACAUAUAAGUCACUUUAGUUCAACACAUUUAUUUUGAGAAAUUUAAUUCUUAUUAUCUUUAUAGUUUAGCUUGAUUUUUAUUGUUUAUUAAUUAUUAUUUGAUUUAUAAUAUUAUAAUCAUAGAUUAAUAAAUUUAGACGAAUCUAAAUUUAAUCAAAUUAUUUAUUAAUUAAACGAAAAAAGGUUAUUUAUUUAUGAUUCAUUCAAUAAACAAAUCCUGAAACUAGAAAUCGUUUAAUAAACUAUCCAAAUUCGAAACUGCCAAAAUUGAACCUACUUCAUUUGAUUAGGAUUCGAGGCAAUUAAGUAUUGAUUUUUCUUCGUAAAUCGAUACUUAAGAACACACUAGAUUUAUGUACAACUAUGUAAAUGGGAGGUAACGACCGAUAAAGAAACUCCCAUACUGGCCACAAAGGGGGUAAUAAACUAAUAGUUGCAAAAUUGUUUGCAAAAGCCAGACUAUAAAAAGAAAGCGACGCUGUAGCAAUUAAUGAAUUAAUUAAUGGUGUAUUAAUUCGGGGAUUAGCUUCAAGAGAAAGCUCAGCUCCCUCUGUGAGAAUUGUGGCUUUGUUUUAACCUCCCCAUCCUCACCCUCUCCGUUUAAACUCUUAUUAUCCUCUUUCUCCACAACCUUUGCAGGCUUAAUCAUAUCAUAAACGGCCUCAGUAAUCUCUUGAACCAAAUCGACAAUCACCCCAUCAAUACCCAUCAAAUGUUGCAUGUACACAGCCUCAGCCACAUUGUUCAAUCUCCCAUAAGUGAGAAGAGAAAGCUUGGAUUCUUUAAUUUUGGUCACAGCUCCAGGGUUUCUGAAAACUCCUUUAACUUCUGAAACAAUCCCUUGCAACCCACCUUCCAAACAAACUUUUACAGCCUCCUCCAACGAAUUUCUCCUCACAUCAUAGAAGAUUUCGGUCCCCCCAUUUGUUAAAAAGAACACAGGGUACGUGCUCUGCAAUUUCCUGAUAAGCACGGCGGCGUCCGGCUGAAACGUUGAGAAGAUAAUGGGUCUGUUCUCAGCAAACUCAAAGACGAUUUUUAAGAUGGCUUGAAUGACCCUGAUGAGAUAAUCUUGCUCGUAAACAAUGUGGUCAUCGAAUUUCAACUCGACGUUGAACCCCACAUUCGGAUCCACCUGUUGAAAUGCCUCUUGGAGUGUGCAGAGUGAAUCGUCAAUUUCGACGUUCCAGUGCAGGAUUUUGCCAUCUUUCGUUUUUCUUAACAAAGAUUUUCCAAUUUUGCCCUGUUCUCUUUGGGGCCCGUAGCUGAGGAAUUCUGAUAAAGAGAGCUCUGUAAUCCUCUUUUCAAAAAUUGUACCCUGAAAAUAGAAACCCAGUAAUCCAGAUUAGAUUGGUAAACGGUUCACAAGCUCACAGGAUUUAAUAAAAUAAAAUAAAAAAUUGAGAGAGUAAUGGAGUAACUUACGUUAUCUUCGGAGAGGAUGACGUCAUCAUGGAAAAUAACUGGCCAGCCAUCUUUUGUCACCUACAAAAAUCAGUGCUGUUUCUUUUUACUUUUCUGUAACUUUUUGAUUUUCAAUUCAAGGAAUAAAACCCGAAACUGUAGAAGUGAAAAAUUGAAAAGUAAAAAGAAAAUCAGAUCAGACGUGGAGCCGGAUUUGAAAAAGGACAAAAUUUGUCGUAUGCGGCGAGUAUACAACGACGGAUAAAAACAUCGCGGUCUCAAGUUGCAAUACUCUAAAAUCUACGUUGUUUUAUCAUGAAACCAAAAUAGAUUCCAGAUCCGAAAAAAGCGGAAAUCGUUUCGCAGUCGGAAAACAAGAAUAAACUAAACGAUAAGAGGCCUCACCUGAACGUCAAAUUCGAUGAAAUCAAGGGGAUAUUUAGCGGAAGAAUUGAACGAGGCGAUUGAAUUCUCCUUGAUAGCUUGCAUUCUCUUAUCAGACGAUUGCAGCACGUUCAUUCCGUGCCCUCUAUGUCCCACCACCAGAAACUUCGGUAUCCUAAACGACGCCGAUUUGUUCAUCUCGAGACAAGAUGAGAAGCUCGUGGAGAAGCGAGUGAGAGAAGGACUCUCGGGGACCUGGUCGAGAGACGGCACGUCGGAGACAUGAACAGCUUUAAGAGCCAUCGCAACUUUUUUGGUUUUUUUUUUUAAAGAGAAGGAGUAUAAUACUUAGCGGGAAUUUUGAGGAUUGUUGUGGAGGUGGUGUUCGGGAAGUGGUGGGUAUUUAUUAUGGAUUUUGGUGACCGAAUGCAAACGGGACGGGAUCUGCUAUUAGAAUAUUCCUUUUUGAUGUUAUAUGCUGUCGCAUAUUCUCGGUUUAAUCUCUCUCUCUCUUCGGAUACCAAGCCAAUAUAAUUUUUGUAUUUAUUCCGUUUAAACUUUCUUUUUAACUCUUCGUAACAAGUAAAGUUAGCUUUAUUGGUUCGAGAAUUUUGAUUAUGGUUUAGCUAAGCAAAAAAAUAAGAAUAAAAACUAACGGAUGUUUGACGCAGAUGCUAUUAUCGUUAAAAAAGGAACGAAGCUUUAAAGAAGCAUCGGCGCGCGCCAUCAUAAUUUUUUGACAAUUUGGAAGCGCUAAGAUGUUGGAACUAGACAACACGCUCAAAUCAGAUACUUUUCAAGCAAAUUCGGUCGCGCGAUUGUGGGGUUGCGCACACGCGCACACGGACAUGUGGGAUAGCGUUUCCAUGAAUAGCAUGUUUCUCGAACCAGAAGCGAAUAUUCACGGAAUAUGCGUGUUAGAAUCUGGCCGCGUUUUUUAUGGGGUAAAAAGAGUGGGAGUUGAUAGCGAGAGCUGCUUAACGCGCAAGUGACGAUGAUUUUGUUCAAAGUGAAUGGAUGACAGCUGUACACGACUGAUUGGAAUGAAAGAUAAUCUUUAAAAAUGAUGUGUCUGAGUCAUAUGUCUGUAAUGAAAGUGCGGGCAGGCGAUGUGGAUAAGAGAGAUUGGUUGGUAAUGACUGUGCAUGACGUGUGGCCACAUAGAUGAAUUGCCUAAACUAUGUCGUAUAAAUCCAAAAAGAAGGAGAGAUUCUUUGGACCCACCUCAUUAUGGCACAGAUUUUUGCUACCAUACAAUGUAAGGUACAAUUUCUCACAAAAUUGAUGGGCCCAAGUGAGAUUCACAAUUAAAUUUGUGAGAGGUUGUACCUUACAUUACAUGUAAGGUAACAGCUCCCUAUAGCACAAUUUCAAAAUAAAAGAUGUAUUCUUAUAAAAACGGAGAAUGCUAAGGUACAAUAUCUGUACCUCACAGCACCCUCACAAAAUAGCCGUCGACCCCAUUUGAGCCCACUUUUCAUGUUAUUGUGUAAGGGUGGCUGUAAGGUACAAAUACUUUAACUUACCCUCCCUCUAUAAAGACACAUAUAAUUGUGUAUGUUUUAACUUAAGAAUUCAUUCUUUAAUGGUGUCAUUUUAUUUGAAAAUGCAUUUUUUUUAUGUUGUCAUUUUAUUUGCAAUAGUGAUGGCUCGAUUUAGAUCAUUGAUUAAAAUCAAAUCUUAAACUAAUGACUAUGAAUGAAUGGGUAUAAUGAAUUAUGACAACCCAAAUAAAAAUGGCACAAAUAUAUUUGUAAAUAUAGCGAUAAUUAAACCAUUUAGACAUGAAAAUAAUGAUUUUAUACUACUCUUUUCUCACUCCUCUUUUUUUAAAUGAAUUUCAUCAUAUAAUAUUUAUUUUUUAUGCAUCAAAUAGCUAAUAUAUUGUUUUCUGCAAGAACAAUGUAUUGAUUUUUGGUAGGCUUGCAACAUUAAAAAAUAUUCAAGUUUACUUUCAUCGACACAUAACAUGAGUAAACAAAUACGUGGUUCAUUGUAUCAUUGAGGCGUAUUUACUUAAUCCAUGUGCAUCACUCAAUUGGUUGGGGGCAAAUAAUAUCUUAAAGAAAUCAACAUUUGUAAUGUAUCUUGAAAUACACAUUAUUUUUCUACAUUGCACUUAUUACUAUUAUUUUCGUUUUAUAUACAGAAUUAUAAACACAUUACUUUAUACAAUAAGGUUCCACAAUUAGUAUUGUCAUUAUCUACAUUUGCCAUUCCCCAAAAAUAAAUGUGUAAACUACAUCAAAUUAUUAAAUUUUAUUCCUUUUUUUUAAUGGAUAUUACUAUUUAAACCCACUAAAUUUUUCCCCAUACCUUCACGAGUCACUUUCCCUCUCUGUCUUGCAACUGGAUAUUCUCUCUUUACUCUCAUAUUCUAAAAACUAAACACUCAAUUUCACUCGUUUUGUAUUCAUUUCUUUGGCUCUUCAUACUCUAUAUUUCAUGCUUUCUAUAUAUAAGAAACUUUUUUUCUUGAUAUUUAUUAACUUUUUUCUUGAUAUUCAUUAACUUUCAUUUCUUAUAAAAACUUGUUGAUGUUCAUUUUUAAAUGGUGGGUUUUGUUUCUCUCAGAUAGUAAUACUUUUCAUUUAGAACUAAAAGAAUAUAUCUAAAUGAAUUAAUAAGAAUUUAAAAAAUUGAGAAGAGAAAAAUAAGAAAUAAUUAAUUAAGUAAUUUUUUUAAAAUUACUCAAAUAAUGAAAGAAGAUGUUUAAAAAGCCCACUCUUUUUAUCUAUUUAAAAAUAUCCAGACUAAAAAAAUACAAUAUCUUAAUCUGGAGCUACAAAUGCGACCAAAUAUCAUUGAUCAGCUUUAUUAUUUUACUUGUUAGAGGUUUCCUAAUAUGUUUGUGAGUUCGAAACCUUCUUGCGUGGAGUGAAACAUAAUGAUAAAGUGAAAAUUUUGUUUUCUUUUUCCAGAUUUGACUUCUCGUAAGUUAAUUUAUUAUUAUUAUUAUUAUUAUUUAUAAGUUAGAUUUGCUAAUGUGUUCCUGCAAAAGUUGACAAAAAAUUUUUUUUCUUCUUGAAAAAAUGAUAAUAUACAAUGGUGGGUGUUGUGCGUAUAAUUUUUCGUAAAAAAAAAAAAACCAUAAAUUAUAACAUGGGCCAUGUGCAGCGAGUGAGGAAGCGGUGAGAGAUGUAUUAUUAAAAGGGGAAAUUAGACGAGGAUCCACGUUGUGGAGACAGGAGUGGAAGGCAGCGCGCAGCAGGCAGGUGAGACUUUUUUAUUUUAAUUUAUUUUUUAAUUACAUACUAUAAUAAGAUUAUUUGAACUUAUUAAUUUAUUUCUAUACUUUUUUAAUUAAUAUUUUUUAUUACUAAUUUUUUCUGAUGAAUUUAUCUAACUAACCCUAUUUUCUAUUUCUUCCGUUCCAUCAGUUUCUCACCAGUUUUUACAUUUCUUUUUAGAGAUAGAUUGCCAAUGAUUUUUGGGAGAUACAUUAAAUUGCUCAAAAUUUUUAUAGAUAUUAUUACAAGGGUAAAAGCUUGUUUAGUCCCUAUAUUAUGAGGUUAGUGUCUAUUUAGUCCCUGUAUUUUUAAAAACACCUCAAAACGUCCCUGCUACUAAAUAUUGACACUUAUGCCAUUAUUUUUUAUUAUUUUUAACUUAUUUUUACAAUAUUACAUUUUUACAAUAAUAUUUCUUUUUUGGAUAUUAAUAAAAAAAUUAAAUUAUCAAAUUAAACUCAAAAAUAAAAUAAAAACAAAAAAGAUAUAUAUUAAUUUUUGUAGAAGCUCACGUAUGUCUAAAAAUUUAAUAUCGUAAAAAAUUACAUUUAUCAAUUUUUUUAGAAAAAUUAAUAUUUUAACUCAAGAGUGUGUUCCACAAAAAUUAAUAUAUAUAUUUUAUUUUAUUUUAUUUUUUGGUGUUAAACUGGUAAUUUAUUUUUUUCUUUUUAAUAAUGUCUAAAAAAAUUAUUAUAAUAGGGUUAUUUUUUUCUUUUUAAUAAUGUCUAAAAAAUUAUUAUAAUAGGGCAAUAUUAUAAAAAUAAGUUAAAAGGAACAAAAGAUAAUGGCGAAAGUGUCAAUAAUUUAAUGGUAGGGAUGAUUUGAGGUAUUUUUAAAAAUAUAAGGACUAAACGGACACUAACUUCAAAAUAUAGGGACUAAACGGGCUUUUACCCUUAUUACAACAUAUCAAGAAUAUAGAGGAACAAAAGCCCACCAUCCAUAUGCAAUCUUCUCAUACCACAAAGAAAAAAGGAUUUUUUAUUUUCAUCUAAUUUUUUAGGAAGAAAAGCUAACACCUAUUUUCUAUCAAAAGGUAAUUAUCUAAAUUAACAAACAUCUUGAUUUUAAAUUUUAUCUGAAGUUAAGAAAACUCCUUUUACUGACAAUGAUGAUAGAAAGAGAAUUGUGUUAUAAUGAGAUCAAAGAAGAAAGAGAUUAGUGAGUGUUAACUUUAGAAUUUUCAAAAAGUUAGAAUUUGAUAAUGAAUUUUUUUUUUCCAGAUGAGUUUAAAAAAGAAAUUAAUGAGUUCAAAUAGUCCACUCCAAUAUUGUACAAACAAAAAAUUGUCAACAUUAAUUGAUAUCAUUUUUAUUAUGAGAGGACUCAAGUAUUAUUCCUAAAAUAAAGAAGAAUCUACUUUCAUAUUAGGAAAAAAAUAUUACUCUUAUACUGGGGAGGAAUUAAGUCUUUAUAAUUGUUGGGACUCGAAUGAGAGUGUGAGUAGUGGGACUUUAAUUGGUUGUUUUUGGUUAUAUGUCUGUUAAGUGUUUUUAUUACAAUUAUUGUUAGGAUUGUCUUCCCAGUCACCAUCCACCACUCAUGUUUCUAUCGUACCUCUGCUCAUCUUUUAGGGGGGAAAAGAUGCAUAACUAUAUAUAUAUAUAUAUAUAUAUACACACACACACACACAGACACACACACACAACUUCAAAAAAUCUAGUAUUUUAGAAGUCAUGGAUUGGGGUCGAAGAAUUGAUCUAGAAUGUCAAAAGUUUCUUUAAUUUCUGUUGGCGUCGAAUUUGGUAGGCGAAAUGGCCACAAGCAACUUGUCAUAUAUAGUUAUAUAGUAUUGCGGGUAUACCAGAUACUAGUCACUUUGGAAGUCAGAUGUGUGAAACCUGUUGGAAAUGGAGCUGCGUUGAAAAUUUGUCCACAAGUAAAAUUUAAGAAACUAUUUUUAAAAAAGUUGACAGGAGAAAGAAAGUUCUAAUGCUGUAUGCAAAAUGCAAACUUGCUCUCCAUUAAUAUCUAUUUUACAAUGCCGUACAAUGUUUUACGAGACCAUAAAUAUUUAUCUGCAUUUGAAAAUAAUUAUAUAUAUGAGAUUAUGCUAUUUGAACGUAUUAAAGUGUGUAUCUGCAUACCAUAUAUGGUUGAAUAAAUAAAUGUAUUUAUUUAUAGAAGAACUUUACAAAAUCAAAUUUGGACUUCUCUUCUUAGAGAUAUUCAGGAUUUAGUGCACAAAUGUCACAACUGUCUUUAAACUACGUAAAACUAGAAAUUUUUGAAAUAAAUGAAAUCAAUUUUUCGAGAAUAAAAUUACAAACUAUAUACCCCUAGAAAGCUCUAUUUGUUAGAAAUUCAAGUAAUUUUACAAUGUUCAAUUUCAAUUUUUCUACAUUAAGAUAUGACUUAAACAAUAUAGAUUACUCAAAAGCAUUGAAGCAACCAACUUAGUAGAUGUCUUAGUUCUUUCUUUUAGCCUCUCUCCUUAAGGAGCACGACUAAGAGACAUUAUAUGCUCAACAACAAUAUAAACAUAAAAAUUCUAAAUAUCAAAUUAUAAAGAAUAUACAUAGUACUAACCUUGUUGAUCAAUAUUCAUGGCUUUCUUGUAGUGAUAGCUCCCAUAUUUACCUUGAACAUAAAUUUUUUUCAAAAUCAAAAAACUUUAUCAAUUGACAAAAAACUCUAUUCAGAAUUUAAUUAGAUUGAUUAAAGAAAACUCCACUCAAAUUUGAUUUUUGAUGAGAUAUUGUUUGUUGUUUACAAAUAUGAGUUCGAAUUAUGUUUCACUGCUGAUAGGAAAUAUUCUGCCAAGGUCGAAGUGGUUAACAAAUUGAGAAUUCUUAGAAUAAACCGAAUCGUGUAGUUGGCUAAAGUCCAGAAAAUUUCAGUGACCACCCCUACAAUUUCAAAUAUUCUCAUAAUUUCACUUGAAUAACCUAUUUUCUAUAAUUACACAAAAUUCAUAGGACAAUUUAAUUACACUUUAAAGUUUAUUUUACUAUGUGUCCUACACCAUUCAUUAUUGGCUUUUCAUAAUUUUAUUAAAUAGUAAUUUCAAGCCAAACAUGAAAGAGUUUUAACAUUUAAUUAAUUUGAAGAUUCAAUGCGAAACUCAAACUUGCUAAAAUAAUACUUAAAUCAUAGCCUUAAUGUUAUAAGAUAUUUCGAUUAUCAUGCAAUCAAACUAAUUUUAAAAUAUAUUUUGAAAGCAUGCAAACGUAUAUAGACUCUACUAUGAGAUUAUUUUAUUGUAAUGUAUGGCCAUGGAAGAGUACCAGAAGAUAUAUAUUUCUCCAAUGGUGAAAUAAAAAUACUAGCCUUCAAUUUCUCAUGGUAUAUUUUAUUGGCUUACUAGCUUAUAAAACUAUAUGCAAAUGUUGAAAAUUGGACUACUGCAUGAAAUAUUAUGUGAUAUAUCUCGCUUGACCUUAUAUUAAUGUAUGAAAUGCCCAUAAAAUAUGGUUUACUUCAUUAGUCUGCAAAUUAAUUUUUACUAAUAUUUAUAUUUAAUAUAUGAAUUCAUAAUACAUCGAGGUGAUUACGACUUUAAUUUUUCUCUUAUUAAUAAAUAGGGGUACAUAGAAGUACUCAAUAUGUGUGAGUUUGUGGAUCAAUUCAUAUGUUUUAAUAACUAAAAGAAAAAUCACCUCUACUAACUCUUUCCCAUACCAUUUUUACUACAUUUUACUAGUUGUCUUUCUAUAAUACUAUUUUGUAAAAGGAAUAUACAAUUGUGACGCAGGGCGGAAGCGAUAUUAGAUUUUAUUCUAGCGUACGCUCUUGAAGUUCAAAAAGGGGGCUCUCACAAAGGAGAAAAUAUAUUAUUUGAGAAAUACUGAAUAUUAUUAGUCAAAAGCUUGUGUCAAGAAACAAGCAUAUCAAGCCUAUUUAUAUUAGUUAGGAUUAUCCUAUUUCUAAUAAAAUUAUGAUUCCUUAUAAGUAAAGGAAUAUAACUUAAACAAUAAAAUAUAAAAUAAAUCGUAAAAAAAGGAAAUUGAAUUUAUACUCUUAUUAUGACUAGGGUUGUCCAACAUCAGUCUCCUCCUCUUCGAAAAAAAACUCGUCCUCGAGUUUUGAUGAAAAUAAAAGCCAAUUUGGAGGAUGAAGCUUUUAAUGAAGAAGUAAUUGAUCUUGCAAUGCAAACGUGUAGCACUUUGCAUUAACUUUUCUUAGAACUUGAAAAUACCAAAACUUCAAUUUCUUCUUGCUUUUAAAUGUGGCUCUCCUAAAAACUGUAGACUUGUGGGAACAAACCAUUAGAAGUUCUCUUUUAAUUUAAGUCACCAAUAAGUUAGGUAGGAUAGCUCUAGGAACAAGAUUAAUUUGAUGUUGAACAUUCCUCAUAGGAGGUAAUUUGUUAGAAAGUUCUUUAGGCACGACAUGUUGAAAUUUUGAGAGUAGCGGUUGGACUUGUUCGAGCAUUGAUUCUGCUUUAGCUUUCUCUUUUAGUAAUAAAAGAUAGGUUCCCUUGACUUUUGACUUCAUCAGAGUAAGGAUAAUUUCAUGUUGUCUUAAUAGAAUCUAUAUGUAUUAUCUUUCCCAAGAUGUAUUGUAUUAAGAUCAAAUUGCCCGGGUCUCCCAAGUAGCAUAUGUCAAGCAUUCAUGUCGAUAACAUCGCAGAUUACUUCACCUUGUAUCUUUCGAUGGAGAAAGGAAUGUGGCAUUGUUCAGAAACUUUAGUCUCUCCAACAUCUUUUAUCCAUCUAAUACGAUAAGGAGAAGGAUGUUUGUGAGUUUUAAGUUGUAGCUUGUCAACCACGGUCUUAGAAAUUAUAUUUUCGCUACCCUAGUUAUAUUCUUUAAGAUAUAAUAGUAAUUAUGUGUGGACUUUUUAGUAAUAAAAAAAUUGAUUAGAAAUCACAUCUAAAUAAUAUUUUAGAGGAUUUAAAUAGUUACACUUAUAUAUACGUACGACUCAUAUUGAUCUAUUGGUGGCUCCAACCCUGGAUUAAUGAUAAGAUGGGAUUAUUUACAUGGUAAAAUUUACUUUGGACACUCAUCUUUUAAUAUUUUUUUAUGUCACUAAAUUAACUCUACUUAAUUUACUGUUAAGGAAAUAUAAUAAAAUUUAAUUUAACAAAAUUUUGUCUACUGUCAUACUUUAUGUACAAUAAACUACAUCAAUAACGAAAAAUUGAAUGAAUGUUCACCUCGAAACAUUGUUUAUAGUUAUGGAAUAUAUCUUACUUAUUAUUUUUGUUAAAAGAAUUGCUAGAAAAACAUCAUGAAACAUGGAGGCCAUUAACCGUUGAAUAUAUUCAAUGGUUAGUACAUUUCAUUAACCUACCCGCAAUUCUGCCCAUCUCCACAUGAAAUCUACUUUAUUUUGGCAAGAGUCCCUGCGAAUCUAUGCUCUCUGAUAUUAUAAAAAAUAAAAUCUUUUCCUCAUUUUUUGUCUCUCUGCAAUUCUUUUAUUAUUGCUUGUACUUUUUUUCUUCUUUUUCUGUUUCUUUCAAUUCUUUUACUAUUGCUUGUACCUUUUUCCUCAUUUUCUGUAAAAUUCUUCCAUAUCUCUAAAUUAAUUACAAACUCUCUAGUUUUGCACAAUUUUUCAAAAAUCUUGCGUAACAUUAUUGUCUAUCACAAGUGCAACUAGUAAUAUAUUUAUUAUUAUUAUUUUUUAAAAGUAAUUCCGUAUAACACUAAAGUAAAAAUUACAAAUUGAUAUUAUAUCACUACUAGAAAAAUGUGUUUCUAUGAUAGAAAAUUUAUGAUAGAUAUCAGUUUGUCAUGUAAGUAUUAUGAAAAAAUGAUACUUUUGUGACUAACAUGCUUUUAUCAAACUGUUAUGACAUUAUCAUGACUCAUAUAUUUAUGUCAUGUAGUAUUGAUAGAAACAUGUCAUGUUCAGUAAUAUAUUUUUUUAAUCAUUUUCAAAACAUGACAGGCAUUAGUCAUGGGUUUAAAUUACAUCGUUUAAAAAUUGAUUUAUUUAAUUUUUUUUAACCUAUUUACACAAAUGCCAUUAUUUAUAUUUUUAAUUAUUUAAAAAAGCUUAAACGGUGUUGUUCAAGCUGAAGAUAGAAAGUUUUGACACUUAGAAAAUUUUGCAUCCCAUUAGUUUCAUCGUCUUCUCCAUUUGGAAUGAACGCUUCAACUCUCAUUGACAAACGGUUCAAGCAUCUCUCCCUCGCAGCUCUCUCUCAGUCACUGAAGCAUUUCACACACACUUCAACCCUCUCUCCCUUGCAGCCCUCUCUGUCACUGAAGCAUUUCAUAGACCACUAUCACCCACUAAACCAGACACAACCACCGUCAAUCACUGACCACUGUGUUGAUCUCUGAGCCCUAACCAUCACAAACACCGUCUCGCUCUCUCAGUCCUAAACCUGUCGUCAUUGCUGAAGAAGAAGAAAUACUCACAGCUGCCGUAAUUGCUUACAAUCGCAAAAAAAAAUAUAAAUAAAUAAAAGAAGCAGUCACAGCUGUAACCCUCAAAUCAAUUGUUGAAGAAAUCAAAGACCUUAAUCUCUCACUCCAGUCAUACCCAACUAUCACUGAAAAUCAGCCGUGAGGUAAUGAAACCCUAUGUAUUCAGUAAAAACUAAUUUUCAAUUAGUAUGUUGUAAUCGUUGAAACCAUAGGUGUUGCAUGUCAUGUUAAUGCUUCGCUUAGAGAAUUAGACACUGAUUUUUUUGCUUUAGGUAAAAAUGUGUUAUUUUUUUGUUUCAUGUCAUAUUUAGUAGUUGAUUAUACUGUUGAUUCUUCUUUUGGAUUUAUUGUAAGUGAAAUUUGUCAUUAUGUGCAUGUUGUUAUACUAAUUUGUAUGUGGAUUAUGGUAAGGCUAACAUUCUUUUUGAAACUGUCUUUUCCUUUUCAAGAAAGGUUGUUUUGUUUGUGGUCCUUGAAAACAUUGUGGCCUUCGAAAUGACAUAAAGGCUACAAUGUCUGGUGCACCAUCAUUUUUUUUCUUCAAUCAUUAUUUGUUAACAUUAUUAUCCAGGUAAAUUGUUUUGUUUAGUGCACUGUUUUGGUUAGUUUAAUUAUUGCAGGCCAUCCAUUCAACAUUCAUUUGUUUUUGAAUUUAGGGUGCGUUUGACAUACUGUAUUGUAUUAUGUUAUAUUGCAUUAUUUUAAUACUGGUAUAUUAUAUUAUACUGUAUUACAUUAGCACUGUAUUAUAAUAAUGUUGUACAAUGCUUGGUGCUAUACUAUACUGUAUUAUUUUUUAAAUUAAUUUAAUUUAAUUUAAAUAUUAUAUUAUAUUAUAUUAAUGUUUUAUAUUAUAUUAAUAUAUUUAAAUUGCAUUAAUAUUUUAUUUAUAUUAUUUAUAUUAUUAUUAAUUUUAAAUUAAUAUUAUUCAAAUUUAUUCAUAUUUAAAUAUUUUUAUUAGUUAUAAUAAGUUAUAAAUUUAUUAAUAAAUUAUAAUGUAAAAAUAAAAAAAAUACUAUUAUUGAAUGAUAAAUUAUUUAUUUAUUAAUUUAUAUUAAUAAUUAUAAUGUAAAAAAAAUAAAAUAAAAAUAUUAUAUUAUAUUAAAAACUAUAUUUAUUUAUUAUUUUAAUAUAAUAAUAAUAAUAAAGUAAAAAGAAAAGCUAAAAGCAAAAGCAAAACGAAGAAAAAAAAAAAAGCAAAGCUAAUGCGUCAGUUGACGCAUUAGCCCCCCACCCCAAUCCCUUGCAAUUUUGUUCCAAACAUGGGUUUGAUAUUAUUUUAAUAUAAACAAUAUUUUAAUACCGUAUAAUAUAAUGUACCAAACAUGCCCUUAUUGUUCUGUUAAAAUAUUGUAAGGCAUCUUAGCCAACGAGGGCCUUCAUGUUCUAUAUUUUUAUAACACAUGGGUCCUUUAGAUUGUAUAUUAACAUUUUUCACAACAAAUGAAGAUAUUAACAUUAUUAUAUAUAUAUAUAUAUAUAUAUAUAUAUAUAUAUAUUUUUUUUUUUCUUCAGAUUAAAGACGAUGCCAUUUUAGCUAAGGUUGUUGAAGGUAUAGCGACAACACACUAGGUAAAGUGAUUCAACCGUACUGCCUUUUCUUAUUAUGUUUGUCAACUAUGAUCUUUUAUAUAUUUGAAUGCAUGGCAGGUAGUUGAUGGAUGCGUGCUUUGCAUAUAUUUGUGUUGGUUUGGUUACUAUUUCUGUGGCUAUGACAGUCUUAUGCAACGGCUGUGAUUUUUAAUAUGACAGAUCGUUAUGACUCUUUAUUCAUUUAACGAAAAAACUGCUCUCUACUCAGUGAAUAAUGAUGAUAAUAUAUGUGAAUAUCUGUGUUUCAUAUUAGAAAAGGCCUUGAAUCCCUACUUUGAUAUUAUUUGUAUCAUGAAAAAUUAUAUAGUUCGUACUGCAUGAUUUUUUAAAAAUCAUUUUUAGUUUUUGGUUUUUCUAAACCCACUAAACAUUGAAUGAGUUACUCUCAGAAAUUUUGUUGGUGACGAUAAAUUUUCAUGCAUAUAUUGAAUGUUUUGGAACUUUAUUCGCAUAUAUGUAUACCACAAACACAAAUAAAGCAUUAUUUUAUGGUAUUUAUUUCUUUAGAUUGGUAAUGAGAGCAUAUUGAAUUAAGAAAAAGCAUUAAAGUUGUAGGAGCAUGUACAUUAUUAAUUAGGAAAUUAUCAUUCAUAUACCUUAUAUUUGUUAUGUUAUUAAAAAUACUACAACAUUUUGAGAGUGUAUCAAUCGUCCAUCCUAAGUUGACAAAAUGUAUCAGACGACCACCAAACCGUUAGUUGCCGUUUGAAAGUUAACGGAAUUAUAGCGAAUUGAUGAUUUUACCCUUGAAACUUAAAUUAAAGUAAAGAAAAAUUAUCACUUGUAUACCCUUAAAUUCUCUUUUUAUCACUUGUAUACCCUUAAAUUUUUACUUGUAUCAUAUGAAAAGACUAGAUUACCCCUCUGACGUCAUCAUAUUUAAACGGCAACUAACGGUUUGGUGGUCGGUUGAUACAUUUUGUCAACUUAGGGUGGACGAUUGAUACACCCUCAAAGUGUUGUAGUAUUUUUGAUAACAGAGUAAACUAAGGGUAUACGAAUGAUAAUUUCCCUUAUUAAUUCCUACUGCCUUUUCUUUUACUUAACUUACUAUACAAAUAAUAAGUUAUUAGAAAUCCAGUAGAGCCCUUAAUUGAGUUUAUAAACUUGUGGGGAAUUCACUGUAUGUCGGUGGGAAACUGGUGACAUAAAUUCUAGUGGUUAACUCGAAUGGGAACUAUAUCAGUCUGUACUAUCGAUGUAAUAAGCCACGUAUAAGUCUUCCCCUAAUGUUUUUCAUCAUGUAUGCUUUAUUUGGAUGGCUUGUGGUUCAAUUUUAUAGAUGUUUGUUGACUAUGAUAGCCUUAUUUAGUGGCCCUGGUAUUUGAUAUGAAAUAAGUAAUUGCUGACUUUAAAAUUGAAUAAGUAUCAACCUUUACUGAGUUCACAAACUUGUGGGGAAUUAACUGUAUAUUGGCGGGAAACCAGUGACAUAAAUUUUGGUGGUUAACCUGAAUGGGAACUAUAUCUGUCUAUAUUGUCGGUGUAAUAAGCCAUGUACAAGUCUUCCCUUCGUGUUUUUUGUCAUGUAUGCCUUAUUUGGGUGGAUUUUGGUUACAUUUUGUAGAUGUUUGUUGGCUAGGACAAACUUAUUCAAUGGCUCUGAUAUUUGAUAUGAAAUAAUUAAUUGCUGACUUUAAAUAAUUUGAUAUGAAUUAAAAUUGAAUAAUGAUGUAAGACAAUAGCUAAAAAACAACCAAAUUUAUAUAAGCCAGUCUAGAGUAACGAUGAUGUGUUAUUUUUUGAGUUUCACUUACUUGGUCAAUAGUAGAUAUUAUGAAUAAAAACAAAAAAAAAGUAUAUGUAUGUGUUUUCUGAAUUUGAAUGAAGGCUUGUUUUGACAUUUUGUAUCAGGAUCGCAUCAUGGUAUGAAAAAUGGAUAAGAGUUGGAUACCAUAUGAUAAAAGGUAUGUAGAGUAUAUUAUUGGGGUGAAUAUGUUUAUGGAGUUUGCUCUUCAAAACUUUGAUACUGGUGAUAUUAUAAGGUGUCUUUGCACUAAAUGCUGAAAUGUUGCAUUUCAUCCUUCUAGGACAAUGAAACAUCACUUAUUUUUUUAAGGGUUUCGAUGAGAGUUACACGAUUUUGACUUGGCAUGGGGAAAACGAACCUAACUUGAAAAUUAGUGACAUAGGUGACCAAGUAGACCCACCAUAUAUGGAUUUUAAUCAAGAUGAGGUAGUAGAUAUUAUUCAUGAUGCUUACAAACAUUGUGAUGAUGAACCUACAGCCUUCAAAUCACUUUAAGAAGAUGCAAAGAAACCUCUGUACCCAGGUUGUGAAAAAUAUACUAGGUGAAGUUCACUGGUCAAGUUAUAUAACUUGAAAGGGAAAUAUGGGUGGUGUGAUUUUAGCUUAAAUUAUUUAUUGAGUCUCUUGGGUAACAUGUUACCUAAGGAUAAUACAUCAACUAGCUCUGUAUAUGAGGCCAAAAAAACCAUGUCUUCCUUGGGCUUGCAAUAUGAGAUUGGACUUGCAAUAUAAGAAAAUGCAUGCAUGUCCAAAUGAUUGCAUAUUAUAUAGAAAAGAAUAUGCAAUUUUUUUUUUAAUGUCCUACUUGUGGAGUAUCUCGAUUGUAAAAUCUUGCGUCACAUGGAAUAGAUAAUCCUCAACAACUUAAUUCUCUACAUUAUGUAAGUAUCUUUAUACAAAUAAAUCAGUACAUGAAUUUACUGUUACAUUAUAAUAUUAAUUUUUUUUCUUUAUUAUUGAUAAUAUUAGGUGCUUGAAUGAUAAGAUGAUAGCUGAUGGGAAGCCUUUUGGUUUCAUGAAUCCAGCUAAGGUUAUAAUGGCUAUAUAUGAAAAUCUGCUAAAGUCUCGUCUACAGAGGACACAAUCAAUUUUUGAUCAUUUGGUUGUAGCUGAAAAGUGUCAGCUUAUUUUCAUUCCUUUCAUUCCUUAUAAUACUGGGUAGUGUUGUUUAUUUAAUAUUUAUUUCAAUUUUUUAGAAGGCUCUUUUUGAAAACCCAUUAACUAUACAUUGCUAACUUAAAGUUGUUGCUCUAUUAUAGAGCCCAUUAGGUUCUUGUUCUGAUUGAUGUGGCAGCAAAGAUGAGAUAUUACUUGGAUCCACAAGGAAAUGACCCAAGCAAAGACAUUAACGAGCUUGUGGUUAAAUAAGUACAAUAAAUGUUUGAUUUGAUGAAAUAUUUGUUAAAUACUGAUACUAUAUGUAUAAAAUUUGUAGUGGGAUCAACAUGUUCACAGCCACAAUUAGUAAAAGAAGAUCUCACCCAGUUUUAAAAACUGUUUAGGUAACAAAUAAAUGAUUACUUAUUUUAAUAUAUGUUUCUACACUUCAUAACAAAGUAUAUUAGUACAUCUAUUUCUUUAUGAACUUUUUUCACUGUUAUGGCUUUAUUUAUUUUAGGCUCCGGUAAAACCCAGUUCAUAUAAGUAAAUAUACUAUGUCAUGUUGUAUGUGAGAGACAUGAUUGCUAAUGCUAGUUUAUUUUUGAAUAAUGUAAACAUUUCUUUUUUUAUGGUUUUAGAUAAUUCAUUGUAUUAUAUGUUCUCUACUGAUUUAAUUAAUUUUUAAUGCAUUUUCCAAUCUGCAGUUCAAUAGCAAAGCAAUAUACACCCAGGAAGAAAUCGAUGAGGUGUGGUAUGAAUGGGUGGAUUAUUAUUAUUAUUUUUUUAGCUUUAGAUAAUUCAUUGUAUUAUAUGUUCUCUACUUAUUUAUUUAAUAUUUGAUGCAUUUUCCAAUUUGCAGUUCAAUAGCAAAGCAGUAUACACCCAGGCAAAAAUCGAUGAGGUGUGGUAUAAAUGAGUGGAUUAUGUCCAAUCUCUUAUUUAGAAAAUUGCAUUGUUGCUGCUGAUCCGUUGCGGUAAUUAGUUUAUAGGUAUUGGUUUGGACCAUUUGCUUUGGCAAAGUUGAGCAACUGGUAGUUAAUAUUUCAAAACAAAAAUUUAAAUUUUAGUUCAAACUUGGGAACCAAUUGUAUAUUGUAUGAGAUUGUUGUGUUUAAGAGUUGUGAUGAUUCAUGACUUGGAAUGUGCAUGUUGUAUAUGAGAUUGCUUAGCUAAGGAGUUGUGGUGAUGGUCAAGUUGUAACAUGCAUGUUAUCUUCAUAUGGCUAUGGAAAUUUGUCAUUAAGAUUGUUGUGCUGAGGAGUUAUUGCUAGGUUGAUGACUCGUGAUGAUGAGUGAUGAGUUGAUGAGUGAUGCGUUGUUCAAGUUAUGGUAUUUUCUGUGUUGAUUGAGUUCUUGGGAUAAUUAUAGUUUCUAGGUUUGCUUUAAGCAUUGCUUGCUGGUUAAUUUGCUUUGAAAGGUUUGCUUUGAACAUUGCUUGCUGGUUAACUUGCCUUGAAAGGUUUGCUUUGAACUUUGAAAGGUUUGCUUUGAACAUUGCUUACUGGUUAAUUUGCUUUAAAAGGUUAUUGUGACGAUUGAGCUAGUGGUUAAGUACCAUGCAAAUUGAGCUAGUGGCUUGGUUAUGUUUAAUCUUAGCUUCUGAUUGUAAUUGUUUUUGCAUUUUGCAGGUGUUGCUGAUCAUAAACUUGCUGAUGCUAGUUUCUCUAAGUGUUAAUGCUGCAGAUUUGUGGACUUGCUGAAGCUUAUAUGUGUUAUAGUAGAAUUUCUUAUUCAAAUUUUUAUUUUAUAAGUUUGUUGGGGAACAAUUUCUCACUUGAGUUAUUACAUUAUAAAUGAUAAUUAAGACAAAUGUUUAGAUCAUUCAGAUGAAUGUUUAGAGUGAUACUUGAAUUCUCAAUUAUUGAUGAUUUUUGUGCAACUUUAUAUUUUUAGUAAUUUAAUUAUAUUUAUAUUAUAUAUAUUAUUUGAUAAUAAUAAUAAUAAUAGAAAUUGGCGCAAAAAUAUAAAAUUGAUGCCAAAAAAUUUAAAAAAUAAAAUUAUAAAAUUGGUGCAAAAAAUUAAAAUAAUGUUAUUUCCCACCAAAUUAUUUAUUAAAAGCAUUCCCACAAAAUUAAUUAAAAGCAUUCCCACUAAAAAUAAUUAAAAGCAUUCCCACAAAAUUAAUUAAAAGCAUUCCCACUAAAAAUAAUUAAAAGCAUUCUCGCCAAAUUAAUUUUUAAUUUUAUAUAAUUUUUUUAUUAAUUUUAUAAUUAUUUUAAUAAAAUAUCUAUUUUUUUAUGAUAACUAUUAGUCAUCCAUGUAAAAAAUAAUGACAGACAAUAGUCAUAUGUCAAUAACAUUUUUAUGAUGGAUAAUACAUUAUAAAAUUCAUGACAUGAAAAAACCAUCAUCGAUAAUUCCUUGACACAGGCUUCAAUGACGGUUGGGCAACCGUCAUCUAAUAGCAUGUAUGACAAUAAAAAAUUGUCAUUGUUGAGCUUUUUUUUCUAGUAGUGUAUAUUCAAUUCAUGCACACAUGGGAAAUUCUUUACUUAUUAAUUUUGUACUUUUUCGCAAUUUCUUUGUUUGAAUAAUUUUAAUUAAAAAUAAUGGCAUUGUUCUAAAAUACGGGAUCGGUGUGGAAAGGCCAAUGAGGAGCCAUUUAGUUUAUAUUCAAAUUCUAUAAACAAUUUCUUCGUGCUUGAAGUAGUGGAUGAUAGCAAGCCAAAAAAAGGACAAGAAUUUGCAUCAUUAGAUGAAGUCCAUGAGUUUUACAAUAAUAAUGGAAGAGCAACUGGAUUCACUAUCAAAAUUAGCAUCUUGAGUUGCCACGGGCUAGGGGGUGGGGGAGGUGCGCAUAGAGAGCGUUGGAAUUUUUUCAAAGGAUCUUCAAGAAAUAAGGUGAAAGGACAUGAUGCAGAUAUGUUACAUGAGCAUUUUCGAUCAGAACAAGAAGAGAACCAUGCAUGUGCUUUGACCAAAAGACAGAUAAUGAAGGUCGCAUUACUCAUUUUUCUGGGCUGAUGCUUAUCAUGUUUAUGCUGAUGUUGUUUUAUUUGACACUACUUACAACACCAGCAAGUGUUCAAUGGUUUUUGCACCAUUGACAAGUGUUAAUAGUCAUGGUCAAACAAUCCUUUUUUGCUUCUGCAAUCUUAAGUGAUGAGACCAAAGGUGCUAGAGUCAGUAGAGUAAUUAAUGAUUGUUACUAUCUAAAAAUUGAUGUUAUGCCCAAUGAUCUAGUCUAAUUUAUAAAGUACGUAUUUCAUGGUGUACCGAAGCCGCUGGGGCAAUUACUGUGAGUUAUGGCUUGGAAGAUACGAAUACACCAAGUUGAAGCUCAAUUCACAUUGAAUCCUUGACUAUGAUUUCUUAGGGGAUCUUAGCCUAUGAGGGAAUGUCUACUGAGAUGAGCUAGUAGAGAACUAAUCAUUUUGAAAUAAUAAUAAUGAUGAUGAUGAUGAUAAUAAUAAUAAUAAUAACUUAGUUUAAAAUACUAAAUCCUAAAUCACGCAGUGACAUUUAAUGAAAAACAUGCAUUAGAAUUAAUGUUAAGCAUCAUAAAAAAAAAUUAAUGUGAAGCAUGCAUUAGUGUUAAGCAUGCACUGAUAUUAAUGAGAAGCAUGCAUUAAAAUUAAUGAAAAUGAAGACAUGAAUCCUAUAAAUAGUAAACUUUGCUAUUCAUUCAAGGCAUCCAUCAUUUUAGUUAAGAAAUCUGAGAGAGUUUGAAAUAGAGUUAAGAGCAUUUUCUAAUUUUCAAAACCAAUGUCCAAACACACUUCCAUAUUCAUUUUUUUUUUUAUAAAUGUUUCGUUUUCUUACAUUUGUCCUAAUUACAAUUGCUAGGCUACAAUAAUUUUAGAAAAUUAAUAUUGAGCUAGUGGUGACUCUUUAUUGUUCACUGGUGUACUCAACUCUAACAUCAUUAUUCAUAGUAAGUGCUAUUAUUAUUUAAGUUCAAAUAUUUUAUUCAACAAAACAACAGUUAUAGUCAAAGUUACAGUAAGAUGUUUUAGGCAAUAACAACAUUUGAAUACGCUAUUAGACCUUACUCUUAGACUAUAUAAUAGAAUCAGGUAGAUCAUAGACUAUUAAGCUCAAAUUUCAAUCAAGCUCAAAUCUAUUUCAAUCAAGAAACAACCUCGUCCUAUGACAUGUGGCCUGGUGAAAUUCCCACCUUAAGUACUUGGCGACUCCACUGGGGAGUUUAGUUAGGACUUGGACCUUACUUUCCAGACCAUACAAUACAAUUAGGUAGAUCACAUAUUACUAAGCUAAAUUUCUAAUUGUUGGUCAAUUUUACUUAAUUGCUAUUGAUGUCAAUGUGCAAGUGUACACAACAAAUAAUAAAGUGAUAAAUAUUCAAGAUCGUCUCCACAAGGAUUGAUGUUACUAGAAAGACUACAACAAUCACGAUAGUGCAAACUUUCUUUAUUUCAAAAGAAAUCUAGUUAAAGUUGAUUACUGCCGAAAUAAACAAUUGUAAGAAAGUAAAACAAAUAAAUACAGUAAUAAAGUAAAUUAGAUUAAUUGCGUAAAAAGAAUUCAAUAUGAAUGAGGUAGCUGAAUGAUCAAACUCCCUUCAUGGUCUGACUAUUUUGUUCAAAUUAACACUAGUUGCUACAUCAAUUCCUACAACCCUGGGUAGAAUUAGUUUGCAUCCUCAGUUGUCGCUUAUUGGACUUUUCAUACCCUUAAGCACUCUAACAAUGACCAGUUGUUAUCCACCUAAGGUAUGACAUUAUGAACAUACACUCUCUCUACCCUACAAGGUGAAUUCUUAUGUCUAGUUCUUCACAAAUCUUAACUCAAGUGUGGCCUUUUUGGGACUCAAGUAAAUUCAAUCUAGGAAACUUAAAUUAAGAUCAAGUAUUACUCUAAUAAUUUCCACUAAGACAGGCUUUUUGCGGCUCUCUCUUAACUUGAACCCUUAAAUGGAUGGUCAAUCGAAAUAAAGAUUAUAAUAUAAGCUAUUAGAGUAAAAUGCUACAACAAUCUUAAAGCAACUCAUAAGAACAGUCAAAAACCUAUUGAGAUUGUUUGUCACUCAACUACAAUCAAAUUUAGUUUAUACUUUGAAAAAGAAAAACAAACAGCAAAGUAUCAGCCAUGAAAUAUAUCAGUUCAAUCAAAGAGUAAGAAAAGGAACAAGUAAAGAACGAUGAAAAUUGAAUCCAAAAUAGUUCUGCUGAUUUCUUCACUGGUGCAGACUUAUUUUCCCUUGAACUCUAGUUUUUCCUUUUUUUCCUCUUGAUUCCUUCGAUGUUAAUUCACUGCCAGCUUUUCAUAUGAUGCGUGCUCUUUUUAUAUCUGAAAACUAGGGUCAACAGAAGCCUAGGGCGCGCAUAAGUCAGAUUAGGAAACUGCAGAUCACGAUUCUGUAUAUAUCCCGCGCUAAAUUUUCUCUGUCGUUGUUCCAGGAUUACUAUAGCAAUGGUUGCUCCAGCAACGACAACAGAACUACAUUGUUCCAGAUUUUGUUUUAAUUCUUAUGUAGCCAUGUUCUUCUUCAUUUUUUGCAAGCCUAUCACAUCAGCAUUCCUUCCGUGAAAAAUAAGCUUCUGGACACCCACAAUUAUGCACACAAUUUGAGCACGAACUACUCUAAAUCAAGCAAAAUUUAUUAAGACUAAACUAAAAUGAAUGUUUAUGCAAAAUGUAACAAAAAUACAAUAGAAACACAUCAUUUACUCUCUAAGUAAUCUUGAUUUAAGUCUAGAAUUGCCAUAAUAACUCUCAUGUCAUAGAGUUAUCACUAAUCAAGUCCAAAUAUAUUUCAAUCGAGAAAGAACCUCUCUUUGUGACAUUUGACCAGGUGAAAUUCUCACCCUGAACAUUUGGUGACUUUAUUGGGAGUUUGACAAUGGUUUUUAGUAAAAGAAAGGGUCUUAACUUUCAUAGUUUGAGCAUUAGCGAACAUGAAAAUCUCAAAGAACUUAUAGACUAAAUGAAGAAUUAUAUCUGGAAAAUAGUAAAAUAAAUAUUUGCUCAGUACAAAUAGCCAUGCAACAGGGGCAUCCAUAAGUUAGUCCACAAGAUCAACCUCGAGUCAUCCAAUAAGAUAAAGUUCGUGAUUAAUCACAACAAGACCAGCCAAGAGAAUUUGAGCCUAUUCCUCGUUCUAGACAAGUGUCUAUCCCUAAAAACGAGUAGUUUACUUGACCAAUUAUGAAUGUCUUUUUAGAAUUCAACAGAGAUCCUCAAUUUUAAACUUAAAUAGGUCUGUCAACCAUGGCAAAAUGCAAAUGCACUUGUUACUUAACAGAGGUAACGACUCUUCUGCGAUGCUAAAAUUAAAAUAUAGAGGACAUUGAAUAUUCUUUACUGCCAUUGUAUCCAGAAGAGAUCAUUUAUAGGCCUUAUGCUGAAGUCUACCUCUAUCCACGGUAAAAAAGCAAACCUAGAGAACAUAUUAGCUAUUACUUUGAUGCACUUGGCCAAUAUGUUAUUAAACUGGUGCUUUAAUUAAGGGAAUUAUUCAAAUCUCUUAUUGAUUGUACUUAUAAAUGCUAUACUAAUUUAAAAGUUUGUUUAAUCCACUUUUAGAAUGAAAUAGCUUCUAAGUUUUGCUAGAAGUAUUUUAGAAUGAAAUACCUUCUAAGUUUUGCUAGAUGUAUUUUCAGACUAAAGACCAAACAACUAUGGAGGAUUUGAAUACAAAUGUCUAAGGACCUAAAAAAGGUUUAGCAGACUAUCUCAAACUUUUUAGAAAUUUGGAUUUGGAUUGCUGAGUCCAAAAUUGAGAAAGAAUUAGUCCGUAUUUGCAUUCGUAACAUGGUGAACAGGCGACGAGUUUUUUUGGAGAGUCAUGACGUCUCAAACUUUAAUUAGCUAUUAGAAAAGGCCAGUAACAUUACUUUAUCCAUGAAAGCAGCGCCUACUUUUAUAAAAAAGAUGAGAGACUCAUUAAAGUGCUAUAGUAGAAAGACAUUUCAUGCUAUGUAAAAACAAAAUGCUAAGAAAGAAAGCCCCAACAUCUUCUAAGUAGCCAUGCACAGAAGAAGAAUUUGAUGUUAUUGUGGAUCGGUAGAUCAUGGAUGGACUACUCUAGCCAUUCAAACCAACAAGGCGAUUGAGUGAAGUAGAACAAAAAACCCAAAGCUUUAUUGCCUACAUCAAGCCUUAAUUAUCCCACAGUGCAUUACCACCAUAUCAUCAAAAUAAUCAAAGAAAAGGUUGCGGAUGGAUCGUUACAAUUUAAAAAAAGUGAGCAAGAUGUAGAUGUUAACCCACUACCUCACCACGAUGAUAGAUUAGCUAUAACGGUUACUGUUAAUUAUAUUACAAAUGAUAAUAGUUCACCAAUAGAUGUCAUGAUGAAAGAUAUUAUUGAGGAAUGGCAAACACUGAAAGAUCAUACAAUCUUCCCUGAUAAUAGCCUUUGGUAUGUGCUUUCUCACUUAACAUCAAGUUCAAGUCUUUAUUAGACUAGUUAAGAUACAGUUCAUAGGCACGUUUAGUAAAAACCAAAGCACUAAUAUGAGUUUUUGCUCUAUAUGGAUUGAAGUGCUAUACAACUGAAGUAGAAGUCAAUCGGGCUUAUUUGGAAUAUACCAAUGCAGUCAUUUUUUGUGAUGAGAAUACUGAGGUAAUAAAUCCUGAUCACUAACAUCCACUAUUUUUAAAAAAUAAGAUCAAUAGAAUACCAGUUAGAAGAGAUCUAGUGGAUACACGUUCAUCAAUAUUAUCCCUAAAGCAAUGUUCAAAGCAGCCAAAAUACUCAUUAAAAACAUUUAUGGCCCACAGGUUACAAUAUUUAGAUUUAUAAUCUGUCUAAAUCUAUAAAACGAUACAUUCAACUAGAUUUGAAGGUUGGUCCUCUUCAAGGUCCAACUGUAUUUCAUGUCAUGAAUGCUACAACUUUAUAUGAAAUUCUGUUUGGAAGGCCUUUGUUGAAUAAACAUAUGAUAAUACCCUCUAUAUACCAUUAGUGUGUGAAAUGAAGGAUUAGGAUAAAACUAAUUUGCAUUGCUACCAAUUUUACUCUAUUCUAUUAUAAAGAAAAUCAUAUGGCAAAUGUUCGAUUUUGUGAACUAUUUAUUGAAGAGAAAGGAACUAUUAUUGCUAAGCCGUAAAGGGUAAAACUUUUAAAAGACAAUGAAAGAAAUUGGAAACCAAACCAACAUGAGCUUGCUAAAGAAAAAACAAAUUAGAUUUCUUAGAAGAUGCUCAUUCUGGUAGCCUAAGACAAAUAUUCAAGGGCAUUCCAGUUUAUGAGAAGUAAAUUUUACUUAAUAGAAACAUAUUGUACUAUUUAUUACAGUAUAUGGGCCUAGUCCUUUUCUAAGGAAAGGUCCUAACAUUAAUAGCAUGUCAUUUUUGCGUGCAAAUACUGACAAUGAAGUAUAAAGAGAGUUUCGAUCAAAAGCAAUUGAAGAGAAAGUAUCACUUACACCCUAAAUGCAUGCAACACGAUUCUACAGCCACCGAUGAAGAGUUAAAAGAAAUAAAUUUCAACAAGGAGGGAAAUGUACAAAAAUAUGUCUCAAUAAGCUCUAAUUUAACUAAGAAUGAGAAGAAGGGGUUGUUCGAGCUAUUAAAAGAACAUCAUAGUAUGUUUGCAUGGAGUUAUUAAGACAUGCCAUAGUUGGACAUAUUUACGGCCUGUCACACACUUAAUAUAGACUCUAAUGGUAAACCACUAAAACAAAUUAAAAUGAAAUUUUAUCCAAAAAUGGAGAAGAAGAUAAAAAACGAUGUAGAGAAAUAAAUUGUAUCUAGAUUUAUUAAGUCGAUCAAGCAUCUUAAAUGGCUAGUAAACAUCGUACUAGUGAAGAAAAAAAUGGACAUAUCAGAAUUUGUGUAGAAUUUUAAAAUUUAAAAAAGAGUGCUGCUAUUUACCCCGAAUUUGCCCCGAUUUUGUGCCCCGAAAAACAAAACGCUUUCCUUUUUGCUUCAUUUGCUUUCCACUUAGCUUUCACUUUUGCUUUCACUUUCCACGUGUUGCUUUAUUUGCUUUCGGGGAGCAAAUUCGGGGUACAAUUUUGAGGUAAAUAACUUUUUCCUUUAAAUAAAGCUCACCCAAAGGAUGAAUUUUCUCUGCGCAACAUGGACAUGCUAAUUGACUCAACAUUCGAUCACUGAUUAAUUUCGUUUAUGGAUGGAUUCAGUGCAUACAAUCAUAUCAAAAUGGCACUAAAAGAUGUGGACACAAUUUCUUUAUCUAUUUACUAUCUAUUUUAGAUAUAAAAGUAAUGAAAACAACCCUCAGACAUGUAAGUCAGGCUUGUUGGGUGGUGGGACAUGAAAAUGUGGCCCACUAUCCUUUAUCUUGUUUAAUCUUCCACUCUUAUCAUUUCUUUAAGCUAGUUGGUCUUUCGAAUGCUACUAGAUGCCCUCCUUGAACAAGUACCCGAAGAUUGUUUUUUAUACAAUUAUGGAUAAUUUUUACUACAGUAUUAUGUCUUUUGGUCUUAAAAAUGCAGGAGCCACAUAUUUGAGGGCCAUGACAGUAGUAUUUCAUUACAUGAUGGGCAAGGAGGUAGAAGACUAUAUUGAUCACCUUGUGAUCAAAUUUUCUACCAAGAAUACACACUAAUUAACUCUAAGGAAGGUAUUUGAUCAAACCUUAAUUAUAAUUUGAAUAUGAAUCUUAAAAAGUGUGCCUUUGGUGUGUUAACUGGCAAAUUUCUUAGAUUUUUAGUACAUUAACAUGGGAUUCAUGUUGAUCCAACCAAAGUCCAGAAUAUUAAUUUUGUGCCACCACAAAGAAAUUCAAAAGAGCUAAAAAGUUUGAUUAGAAAGUUGUCUUAUAUUCGCCAAUUUAUACUAGGUUUCACAACUAUGAUUUCUAUUUACAUACUUCUUCUCAAGAAGAAAACUCAAUUUACUUCACAUACUUGACACUCCAGAAGAUUUAAAAGAUCAUCAUGAAUUUAAGAACCCUGAAGGCACCAAUAAAAGAAAAGCCAAUUCAAGCCUAUGCUUAUUGGAAAGCUAGGUAGGUGGCUUUUACUUAUUACAAAAUUUGAUAUUGUGUGAGUAACUCUGAGUACAAUCAAAGGGGAAAGGGUCAUUAAUAUGAUUGCCACAUUCUCUUCAAAUCGAAAUACACCUUUGUCAUAAGAACUUCUUGGGGAUUUUUCAUAACAGAACUGUUUUGUCUUAAAAACAAAAACAAAUUAGUGGACAAUUUAUUUUGAUUGUUCUUUUACUAAAAAAUAACAAGAGGCGCAAGGUUGGUCAUUGUUAAUACUUUUGAAAGGGUUUCAGUAUUAUCUAACAAGUUAGAUUUUCGUUGUACCAACAAUGAGGUAGAAUAUGCAAUAAUUACUGGUCUAUUCACAACAAAGAAACUAAAAGCCAAGAGAAUCAAGCUUAUCAUAGAUUUAAAUCUAAUAAUCUAAUAGAGUAAUGGUGAUUUUGCUGUAAAAGAACCAACAUUAGCUUUAUCUCGAACACAUACUAGAAAACUUUUAUCAACUCUUCAGACUUACAUGGUAAAACAUGUUAAAAGACAAGAGAAAAAAGUAUGUUGAUGCACUAUCCACGCUAAGUGACAAGAUCAAUCUAGUAAAGAAAAUAGAUCAAGUCACAAUCUUGUGAAAGAUCAAACUAAUAAUCCUUAUAGAAAGAUUAGAGCAGGAAACAUCAAUAGAUAAGACAGAUUAGCACACUACCAUUACCAAAGCAUUUAGUGAUCCUCAAGAGAGUCUCCACCUAAAGCAAGCAAAGGAUUACUCUGUAAUUCUUGAAGUUCUUUACAAGCGUAUGUUAGAAGGCAUCCUUAUAAAAUGUGUCCAUGAGCAAGAAGGGGAAAAACUAACUCAUAACGUCAGUCUUUAUAGAAAGAUACAAAGGGCAAGCUACCAUUGGCCUUAUAUAAAAAGAAAAGCACAAGCUACACAGUUAUCUUGCAUCGACUGCCAAAACUUGAAUCUUAGUAGAACGAGUCUUCGUAACCAUCAUACAUGAAGACUGAAAAAGCUUUGUAUUGACUAUCUAUAGUAAAAGCUACUGCCCCUGAAUCGUACAAAAGCACAUAAGAUUAAAUAGAUAGCCAAGAGAUAUUUCAUGAAAUGUGGUAUUCUAUUUCAAAAAAGAUUCAACGAAAAUCCAUUAAAGCGUCUAGGUUAUUAUAAGUCACAAAGGGCUUUACAUGAAAUCCACAAUGAAAAGUGGGGAGAACAUCAAGGUCAAAUAAAGUUAUACCGCUAGCUGUUGACUGUGGGCCAUUAUUAGCUUACAAUGGAACAAAAUGCCAAAAUGUUUGUUAAGAAAUGUCAUAUUUGAUAAAUCUAUGGGAUUAUCCCGCAUACUUUUCCUACCUUCUUGCAAGAUUCACCAUGGAUCUAAUAAGGCAGAUUCAUCCACCUACACGUUGCAAUAUUUGAAUCAUCACAGCCACAAAAUACUUUACCAAAUGAAUCAAGCAAUAAAGCCCAAUAUAUAUUAUCCACAAGAUAAUGGCCAAGUUGAGGCUACUAAUGAGAUCAUUCUAAAGAUCCUACGCAAGAUGUUGUACAAAUACAAAGUUGAUUAGAGUGCUCAACUCACAAAUGCAUGUUGGGCUAAUAGAACUUCUCCAAGAGAAUUAGUUGGUUUCUCUCCAUAUUCCCUUAUAUAUGGCAGCAGUAACACCAAUUGAACUAUCUCUCCCUACAACUCGAGUUAUUAUAGUAAAUGCUAAAGCAGAAGUAUAAGCAUCUUCAUAGGCUUAUCUAAGAAAGAAAGAGACAAACACAAGAUCACAAAUAAAUCUACCAGCGGUGAUAGAUGCCUAUGCUUGACGACCUUGUGCUUAAGGGUAGCCAACUAUGUUAGAACAUGCCUAUUUACUCCAACUAAAUUUUCACCACCAUAAGAAAGACCAUUUAUAGUCCGAGGAGCCCAAGACAGUGGCUAUUAAUGACUCUUCACUAAUAAAUGUCAGGUCUUCCAUGACCCUAUCAAUAGGAAAUGGCUUAAGCAAUACUACUACUGUUAAAAAAAUAAAUGUAUAGAAUAAAGGCCGAUUAGCAUGCUUAGGCAAUAAUCAUAGUUUAUUAUAAGUCUUUCCUCAUUAAAAGGCAGUGCACUCCUUAUUUAUAAAAGCCUACGUCAUUAGCCAUGUACCCGUGAAUUUACAGAAGCCCUAAUAAAGACUUACUAGAAAUGAUGCCUUUGUAAUAUAUUUCCGCAGAGUUGUACAUGUGCCCCAUUACAUAGAUGGCCUCAUGACAUAUGCCACAUAUAUGUACAAUACAUACUGAUGAUGCCUUCUAAUAAACAUUUUUUUUUAUAAAAUAAACCUUGUCUAAUGUAUAAAUAAGAUGUCUUAACAGAGAUCUUACCAUUAAAGAUGCCUCGUAAGCUGCUAGCAAACUUGUAGGCCAAAGAUAAAAGUGUGAUUGGGAAUGAACAUUUUGUUCGAGUUAUUAUAGUAUAUUCCCUUAAACCUAUAUUUCCUUAAGAAUGAUAUUUCCUAUGAACUACCUAUAUUUCUAGGCAUGUAGAAGCUUGCACUAUAUGUAAAUGUCUUACGAAUACAUUUUCAAUUGAAACGCUUGUUUUAAAGGAAAAUUUCAUAAAUUUUUAUAGGUUAGAAAGCCUAAAAAGGGAUACUCAUAUAUUGGGUUAUGUGAAUGCAAAGAAACCUCAUGAAAAGUCCCAAUAACUGAGAUUGUUAAGCUAAACUAUUUACCUUGUACAAAUUCAAGUAGGAUUAGCCCAUUGGAUAUAAGUCAUGCAAGAAUUCAUAAGAUUUAUACGAGAUGAAAAUUUAUAAAACAAAUAAUCAGAAGAACUAGGUAAAUAUUAAAAGUCUCUUAUUCUAUUUUUCUAAAAAAAGUGUGGCCUAUAUUACUCGAGAAAUCAUAAUUAGGAAUAGGUCAUGAAAGACUUUCAUCUGCUGCUUGUAAUUAUAUGCAUCAUUGGGAAUUUCCUCUAGUUUUGUCAGCUGUAAUCUUCUUUCUAAACUAGUUGUUGGAUGUCAAAGUUGAAUUUUUUAAUGGCCUAGUAUGCACGAUGCUUGAGUUCCACCGGUUGGUGCCAAGAUUUUCCAUACGUCACCAAAGUGUCGGGUAAUGGUUUGAACUUAACAUUUUCAUCUAAAAAAUUUUCAUAUCUAAAAGUUUGACAAACAACAUGAAAAUCAUUCAAAUAAUUGUAUGGAUCUUCAUUUUUUAGACCAUAGAAUGAUGGUAGAUAAUUUAGUGUACUAGCUUUUAACUCAAAACUUUUAGCUGCUACAUUUGGAUAUCUUAUGUAUAACGUGCUCAAAUUACCUAAUAGACUGAAGUAGUCCUUAAAUGACCUCUUUUGUGGACUUGUGGUUGUUGUUCCAAAUCUAUUUCAAUUUUAUUCUAAAUGUUAACUUUUGAUGCAAUUUAUCUUCAUAUACGAAGUGUCUUUUCCAAUUCAAGAUCUAUGGGUUAUAGAUUAGCUGACUGUGGCCUUCAGCCAUGCAUGCAAAGAACACAUAAAAAUUAUAAACAAAACUAAUAAAAAUAAAGAGAAAUGAAAAGCUACAAUACUGACCUUAUCACAUUAUUACACACUUACUAUGAAAACACACUUAAAACCUACACGCAAAGUUAUUUGCACAAUAUUUACAAUGAAUCUAUUGUAGAAUAGAUUUAUGGUGAUGAGUGUCAAUCUCACGGAGGCAAAAUUAAUUAUGUGUAGGGUUAAUAUUCCAAGUUCAUAUAUGUAUUGCUUGGAAUUGAUUCAUCUAUCUUAAGAUUUAAAAUAAAAUGGCAAGAAUGAAUUAAAGAUGAAACUUUGCAAAUGAGGUGCUUGAGUCUCUGGAUCCACACUUAACACUUCAACAUGAGCUUAAUAUUCCUUUUUAAUUCUAAUUAAUUUAUGGGGGGUACUUCUACUCCUCAUAAAUUCUCACUCUAGUAAAUAUGGUAUCAAGCACUCAUUGUGCCAAAGAGUAAUGAUCUGCUGCUAAAUGUGGUGUCAAGAACACGUAGUGCCAAAUGAUAAUAAUCUUUCUAUCGAUAACGUAGUAAUACCAUCCACUAAAUAGCUUAUAUGCACUCUUUAUCGACACUAAGAUAACCCACAAAAUAAUAUAAGGGAGUUUUCUCUCUAAUAAAUAUAUUGUUAAGUGCUCAUCGUGCCAAGCAGUAAUGAUAUUUCAUUAGGGAGCCGACAUAUCAUGCAAAAUCUAGUUGAGAUACAUUGUCUGUCGGCGAUGAGUCAAAACAACCACUUAAAUAAGAGAGAUUGAGUAAAUAAACUUACCAAAUUAAAUCAUGAAUAAUGUUAAGGCUUCACCUUUAAUCUAAACUUGAAAUUAAAUUAGCUAUUUAAUCAUGUCUUAACUAGGGGUAAAAUAAGAAUUCGAUUAAAAUAUAUAGAAAAUAUAAGAACAAGAGAGAAUGAUAGAAAAUAAAGCUCAAAAAUAAAUUCAGAGCUGCCAAAUUAUGGGGGAGCCCCGUAUUUAUAGAUAUAAUGAGUAAAUCUUAGCCAUCAAAUGAAAACAAUUUAGACGCUCAAGAUUGCGCCAUAUGGCAAGAUUUAAUAGGUUGGAACACAUCAUCAGUCAAUACCACAUCAAUAUUUCGGUCCAAUAAUAUGCUGCCAUGUCAUCAGUCAACGCCACAUCAGUAUUUUGACCUAAUAUGAUCUUGCCACAUCAUCGGUCAACGCCACAUAAUUAGUCAAUGCCACAUCAUUGGGCCAAUAACAUGAUGCCACGCCAUCAAGAUUGCGCCAUAUGGCAAGAUUUAAUAGGUUGGAACACAUCAUCAGUCAAUACCACAUCAAUAUUUCGGUCCAAUAAUAUGUUGCCAUGUCAUCAGUCAACGCCACAUCAGUAUUUUGACCUAAUAGGAUCUUGCCACAUCAUCGGUCAAUGCUACAUAAUUAGUCAAUGCCACAUAAUUAGUCAAUGCCACAUCAUUGGGCCAAUAACAUGAUGCCAUGUCAUCGAUCAAUAUCACGUCAUCUAUCAAUGCAACGUCAUCAUACCGUAUACGUGAACAUUACUGUACAUGUGAAUAGUACCAUAUACAUGAAUAAUAUCGUAUAUGUGAACAAUACCGUGUAUCCUUUUAUGCUCGUCUUAAGGCUUUCAGCUGUUCUGAGCUCAAAAAUACCAUCCAUUUUACUAUAUUACUUUUUGUUAAUUGUAAAACAAUCAAAAUGCCUCUGAAAUACAUAAAAUACUUGAAUUAUAAUAAAAUACACACAAUUAAAGUACAAGGGAUUUAAAUACAUAAAAGUAGAGAUAUUAGUGAGAGUUGGAAUAGGAAAUGAUGAUUUUACCUUUUUAUAAAUAUACAUUCUCUAGCACUCAAUAGCAAUAAUUGACAAUGAACUUUGUAAAUCUUUUUAACGGCAUUUUGAGGGAAAUAAGGAAAACACUGAUGCAUUUUAUGUGUAUUUUUUCAUAUUUGAUUUUGGUGUUUCAAUUAUUGUGGGAAACAAAAGAUAUUGAUUUAAAAAAGUCACGAAGUACCAUUAUCUGCCAUUUAUACAGGAAAAUGAAUCAAAGCACAUCAAAGAAACGAAUUAAUUCGGCAAAAUCAAGUCAAACAUGAACGCGAACAAAAUAAUAAAAUAAAGACACGCAAUGUAAAAAAUGAAUAUAAUAAAAUACUUAACUCACCUUCAUCUUUUAUUGAGUUAACCUCAAGUUUAAAUUAGAAUACCACUUUCUAUUUCCCUGAGUUGUCUUUUUAGAUCCUCAACAUGAGAUAUUAAUGCUGAUGGUUGUAAAUCCAAAGAGGGUGGGUUUUACAAAAUUGUAUCAGGCCUCUUAUAUGAAAUUUCACACGUAAAAGUUGCCCAAGAUGUUUGAAGAGAAUCUUUCUUAUUGAGGUACGCAUGACGUAUAUUAAAAAUGAUUAAAUGAAACACAAUUGUCAAACAAACACACUUAAGCGAGAAACAUCAUAACAUGUAUCAUCCAAGACAUAGAAAGAAACAAUAAAACAAUUAAAAAAUAGUAAAGUAACAAUUUCAAAAAGAAAAAGAAAAAGAAAAAUUACCCAUUAAAAACGAAAAAGACUUAAUUAAGAUUUGGUGGUAACUCAAAUUUAUUUUGGGGUCUUCUUUACGCGGUUAGUAUUCUAAAUAUGGUUUUAAUUUUUAAACAUUAACUUUAAAUGUAACACCUUUUUUUGGAUUCUUAAUUUCUACAACCCCAUAUGGAUAUACAUUUUUUUACAACAAUUGGAGCACUCCAUUUUGACUUUAACUUCCCUAGAUGAUAAAGACGAAAAUUAUAAAGUAACAUUUUUUUAUCAAUCUCAAAUAUUUUCUAAAAAAUUCUUUUAUCCUGAAAAGCUUUGGUUCUUGCCUUAGUAGUUCUUGAAUUUUCAUAUGCAUCGUUUCUCAAUUCCUCAAGUUCAUGUUUACACAUAUUACUAGCAUCAUCAAAAUUUGAAUUAAAAACUUUAAUAGUUAGAAUAAUUUAUACUCAAGUUCAACCAAUAACUGACAAGGUUUACCAUAAACUAGCCGAUAGAAUGACAUUCGUAAAGACAUCUUAAAUGUAGUGCGAUAGGCAUCAGUCAGUCAAAGAGACCAAUUUUUGUAGCUUGAUAUCUCUAUUUGCUAAUUCAACUUGAUCACUUGUUUGAGGACUUAUUAAAAACUCGAAUGACUUAUUAAAAAAAUACUUACCCCCAUCACUGAUAAUGACUCGAGGGAUUCUAAACCUACUCAAAAUAUGUUCUUUUAAAGAUAGAUCACAAUUUUAUGAUUGUUGUGCCUACAAGGAAUCGUUUUAAUCCAUUUUGAAACAUAAUCAAUAGCUAUUGAAAUAUAUACAAAUCCAAAUGAUGAUGGAAAAUGGCCCAUAAAAUCAAUUCCCUGACAAGGAUAGGAUUUAAAAGAAUCAUAUUUCGCCUUGAGAUGGACCUAACAUUUGACAGUUCUUACACAUUUUACAAAAUACAUGUGAAUCUUUAAAUAAUGCAGGCCAAUAAAAUCAAUAGUACAAUAUUUUUGGAGUUGUCUUCUAUGAAGAAAAAUGGCUACCACAUAUUUUAGAAUGACAAAAUUAAAUGACAUUACUUACCUCGUCAUUAAAUAUGCAUCUCCAAAAACUUUGAUCUAAACAAUACUUGAAUAAAUAUGGAUCAUCCCAAUAAAAACUUUUCACCUUUGUUAAAAAUUUCUUCUUAUACUGGGAGUUCCAAUCAGAUGGCAUUUCACGUAUUGCAAGAUAAUUAACAAUGUUAGUAUACCAAGGUAUAUUGUGUAUAGAAAACAAAAAUUCAUUAGGAAAAGAAUCAUUGAUGGUUGUUAUAUUAAUUGAAGACUCAUUUGUAAGUCUAGAAAGAUGGUCUACGACAACAUUUAUAGCGCCCAUUUUGUCCUUGAUUAUCAGGUUGAAUUCUUGAAGUAGCAAAAUCCAUCGUAUAUUAAUCUUGGCUUAGCAUCCUGUUUGGAUGUUAAAUAUCUAAUUGUAUAUCGGAAUAAACAAUAGUAAAUGAACUAAUUAAACACGAACAAAAUUUAUCCAAUGUAAAUAUUACGGGAAGUAAUUCUUUUUUAGUGGUGUUAUAAUUCAUUUGAACACUAUUCAACGUUCUACUUGCGUAAUAAAUGACAAAGGGCUUACCUUCCUUUUUUUGCGUUAGAACAACUUCAAAGGCAUAAUCACUAACAUCACACAUUAGCUCAAAAGACAAAGACCAACUAAGGGGUUACAUUAUAAGGGCUAAUGUUAAAAAAUUAAUUAUCUUCUCAAAGGCAUUUUGGUAAUCUUUAGUCCACAUAAAUGUUGUGUCUUUUAUCAAGAAGUUACAAAGUGGUCUAGAUAUAGCACUAAAGUCUUUUAUAAACCUCCUAUAAAAUCCAACAUGUCAUAAAAAUGACUGAAAUUCCCUAACUGUAUUUGGUGAGGGUAAAUUUGAGAUGACUUCAAUUUUAGCUUUAUUAACUUCAGUUCUAUUAAAAGACACUACAUAAACCAAGACAAGUCCUGAAAUCGUUAUAAAAUGACAUUUUUCUCAAUUUAAAACAAGUCAUUUUUCUUUGCACCAUUCCAAGACUCUUUCCAAAUUAUCAAGAUAUUUAUCCACAGAAUUUCCAAAUAUAGUUAAAUCAUCCAUAAAAACUUCCAAAUAAUUUUCAAUCAUGUCACUAAAAAUACUUAGCAUGCAUCUUUGAAAUGUUGUAGGAGUAUUAUAGAGUCCAAAGGCAUUCUCUUAAAUACAAAUGUUCCGAAUGAGCAUGUGAAUAUGGUUUUUUCUUGGUCUUUUCAGACUAUAGGGAAUUUUUUAUAACAACUUGAGUAGCCAUUAAAGAAGCAAUAGUAAGGUGUCCUACCACUCUUUCAAGAAUUUGGUUUAAAAAUAAAAGGGGAAAAUGGUAUUUUUAGUGGUGCCAUUUAAUUUUCUACAGUCAAUACACAUGCACCAACUAGAUGAGAUUCGUGUUAGGAUUGGUUCGUCUUUUUUAUUUUUCAUAACAAUUAUUUCAUAUUUCUUUAUUACUACUUAUGUUGGACUAAUCCAUUUAUUAUCAUAGAUGAGAUAGAUAAUUCCUCCAUUUAAUAGUUUAAGGACCUCAUUCUUUACCAUUUCUUUCAUAUGAGAGUUUAGUCUUCUUUGUGGUUGAUGAGUUAUUUUGGCAUUUUCCUCUAAGUGUAUUUUGUGUGUGCAAAUUAAAGGAUUAAUGCCCUUAAUGUCUUUCAAGGUCUAACCAAUUGCAAUCUCAUGCAUUUUAGAACAACCAAUAGCUUACCUUCUUCGUCACUUAUGGGUUAGGAAAAACAUUACCAUUGGAUAGGUUUGUUGAUUUCCGACAUAUGCAUAAUUUAAUUCUUCUGGUAAGUGCUUUAAUUUAAGCUUUGGUGCUUCCUCUUCCUUUGUCUUUUCAAGUUGCAUUAAGUCUUCAAAGUUCAAUUGGCCACUGUCAUCUUUAGGUGCCUAUGUAGAAUAGACCAUAUGUUAGCAUUAUUACAUUCUAAUUCCUUAUUUGACUCAAAGGAACCAACAAGUUAAAUUUCCAUAGAGUUUGUAGAAUUCUCAUCUUGAAUAUUUUCCUCAAUGAUUAGUUCACGAGUUCAAUACCCUCAUUCUCAUUAUUAUCAUCUUCCUUUUCACUAGGUUAUUUACACAUGUUAAGCACAUUAAGUUCCAACAUCAUGUUGCUGAAAGAUAACUUCAUCUCUUCAUUUUUGCAAUUAAUCAAAGUGUUAACAAUGGCUACAAAUGAUCGACCUAAUAUAAUAGGAAUUUUCUUACAUUCCUCAGCAUUUGAUUAUGUUUCUAAGAGAAUAAAGUCCACAAUAUAUAUGAAUUUAUGGAUUUGGUCUAAUACAUAUUCAAUUAUCCAUUUUGGUACCUUAAUUGACUAUUAGCAAGUAAAAGAAUUGUAGAGGUUGGCUUUAAUUCACCAAGAUUGAGUUGUCGAUAUACUGAAUAUGGAAGCAAAUUGACAUUAGCAUCGAGAUCAAGUAAAACAUGUUCAAUUUUAUGGUCCCCAAUAAUGCAAGAAAUAGUUAGACAACUAGGAUUUUUGCAUUUCAAGGCAUUAUUAGUUAAGAUAAUAGAACUUACUCGUUUUGCUACAAAAGUUUCUUUUACACUUUAUAUUUCCAUUUUACAUUGCACAAGUCUUUCAAAAAUUUAACAUAAGAUAGUACUUGUUUAUUGACGUCUAACAAAUGAAUGUUGACCUUCAUCUAUUUGAAGACUUCAUAAAUCUCUAGACCAUGAUUUGAUUUCUUUGGAUUCAUCAGUGCUUGAGGGAAUGGGUGUACAGGAGGAGAUUUUAUUGGUUAAAAGUUUCAUUAGACUAUUCCUUACUCUAUGAAAUUGAAUCUUACUAAUUUUACCAGGAUCAAGAAUGUGUUUUUCGACAAUUUUACCACCAUAAAGGGUUAUAACUGAUUUAACUUGACUUAUGUCUUGGUUUUCUAUACUACCCGUUUGAGGGUGUUGUUGACUCUUCGAAUUUAGUUCUAAUUAAGAAGGAAGCUUACCUUUUUCAUAAAUGACGAGGGCUUAUGUAAAUUUAAAGAUAAUAUCUGUCAAAUUAGUCAAGGUUUGCAUGGUUUGGUUAUUGAUAGACUAUUGUUUUUUAAUGAAUGAAUGCAAUGUAUCUUUAAAAAAUUUUCUUAAUGGUGGGACUUAAGGUGGGUAACUUUGAAAAUUUUAAAAAUUCGGACAUGGAAGAGGCGGUUGUGAAAAUUGUGUAUAAUUGUUAUUUUUUCAACUAAAAUUUGAGUGGUUUCUCCCACGAAAGUUGUAGAUCAAUGAGUAUGGAUUAAAAUUCGGCUUUUUGAAAUUGUCUAUAAAAUUUACUUGUUCAUGUAAACUUUCUUUUAUAGCUGGCAAGGUCGAACAAUCCUGCGUAAAAUGGUCAAUUGAGCUACAAACAUGACAUGAAAUAUCUUGAAUAGAUGUAACAUUAUCACACUUUUUCCACUUUAAUGCUUCAACGUUUCUAUCUAAAGAUGCAAAUUUGGCUCAAAAGUCAUGGUCUUCCCUAAGAUUGUACAUACCUCCACCAAAUGGAGAUGACUGGAGUUUACUUGAUGACUUAUAAAAACCAACAAUAUUUCAAUGUUGUGCAUUUUCAGCUAAUUCGUAAAGAUAAUCUAAUAUAACUUCAUGACUUUUGUCUCUAAACUCACUAUUACACAUCAUUUCGACAACCUGUCUACCUUGGGAUGUUAGACCCUUGUAAUAUGACACUAAUCUCCAUGUUUCAAAAUCUUGGUGUGGGGAAAUAUUAAGUAAUUCCUUAUACCUAUUCCAACACUGGUGAAGAGUCCCUUCUGCCUUUUGAGUGAAAGUGCUAAUUUGUCUCUUGAAAGAAUUUAUUCUAUGGGGUGGAAAAAAAUUUUCAAAAUUUGUUCUUGCAUGUUAUUCCAAGUUUUUAUUGAUCCAGAUUUAAGGUUUUGUAGUCAAUUCGAGCUUUUAUCUUAUAAUGAAAAGGGGAAAAGCUUUAAUGAAAUUAUGUUUAUGCUACAAUUUUGGUAUGUGUAUGUAUUAAAAACUUGCUCAAAAUCUCUUAAAUGCAAAUGUAGAUUCUCAUAUUUUAAACCAUGAAAUAUUAGUAAAAGUUGAACAAUACAUGAUUUGAAGUUGACUCGAGAUGCUUAUGGAGGAAAUAUUGUACAUGAGGGUGCUCUAGUUUUGGUUGGAUUCAUGUAGUCUCUCAAAAUUCUUAGUUGAUUCUAAUCAUGUGCAUUAUGUUGAGAAUGAUUGUUUCUUUGAUCAAUUUGAGGAUUAAAUUGGUCCAAAAGGUUUUAUUCUUGGAUUUCUUCUAUGAUUGAUGGUGGUGAUUGAGGUCUACGAAUUAACCCACCACUUGAAGUUUGAUACCAACAUUUCAUGCAAUGUCAAUAAUGCGUGUGUGUGAAAUUAAAUGAACAAACAAAUGAGUAAUAUAUGAAAAAAAUAAAUGAAAAUUACAUAAAAUAAAAAUAAACUGAAAAUUAAAUAAAUGAGUAAUAUAAAUGUACAAGAAUUAAAAAAAAUAUGAAAUAAAAAAUAAAAACAAACUGAAAAUUUAUUAACUAAAAUUAAAAUAACUAAAUAGGCAGUUAAACUAGCCAUAUAAACAAAGUAAUUAAACUACCCAUAUUAAUAGAAUAAUAAUAUAUUAACAAAAAUUAAAGAACAAUUUAGAGAUUAAACCCGCCAUAUAAACUAACAAAAAAAAAAAUAAAUGCCAAAGAACAAUUGCAAAGAAAAAUAAAAAAAAAUGAAAAGAUUAAAUUAUAGAAAUUAAGAGAAGGAAGAAAGAAAAAUGAAUACUUACCUCAAGAUGCACUUUUUUUUUUCAAAUUUUAAAAAUUACUGGUCAACUAAGUGAUUAAUUCAAAUUAUCAUACCAUUAUCAUAAUUUUUAAAGUCCAAGUCAUUGUUCAUUGUGUCCACAAAGUCUAAAAGUCAAGAUUCAUGUAGUUCUUAAGUCCAAAAGUCUAAAUAAAAGUCUAAAGAAUAAGUCAUAAUCCAAAUAUCCAAGUUCCAAAUCAGUUCAGGGACUAAUUUGCAAGAGGUUUUGGGUCAAAAUGAAGUUUUUCAUAAGUUCGAUACGUAGCACUAAAAUCUAACUGAAAUUUUACAAAAUAAAAUAAAAUUAUGAGAUCAAAACAAAGGAAUGAUGAAAAUAAAGCAAAAGUAAUAAAUAAGAAAAUAAAAUAACAGAAUAAGUACCUUUCCUCGGCAACAACACCAAAAAUUUUGACAUGAUUCAAAAGUAUUGAUUACUCCUAAGUAUAAGAGUAUCUUGUCAUAAUAUAAUUCACUGAGUCUAAGAUCGAUCCACAGAGAACAAAAAUUAAAUUAUUAAAUUCCUUUAAUUUUUCUAAAAACUAAAAUAAUAUAUAAUUUAAAUUCAUGCUAUUUGAUUUAAGUGAAACAAUGAAAAUAAAUUAGUUAGGGUUAUGGAUCCACCCUUAGUAGUAGAUAUAAUUUAAUAAAUUCGUUUCUUUUUAAUUUGUUUAUUGCCCAAACUAUUAAUUGUAUAAAUUAUCAUUAUCUUCUCAAUAAUUUUAUUACAUAAGUACUUGGUAUGCCAAAAUUCAAUUUGUCUAAAAUAAUUCAAAAUAUCAUUUUACCAUAUUUUAUAUAAGAGAUUAAAAAUUUAUUGUGCCAAAUUCCCUUAUUUGUCUACAAUAAAUCAAAAUUUCAAAAUAUAAAAUAUGGAUAAAAUCAAAUAGAAAUAAUUUAAUUUAUAUAAUUAAAAAUAGAAUUUAAUUAAAUCAUAUUUUUCUACUAAGACUUUCACCUUAUCUUACCUAUUAUUAUUUAGCUAAUAUAAUUGAAAUAAAAAUAAUCGUUAAAAUUAAAUUACACAUAAUUAUAAUUAAAAUAGCUGAAAUUGAAAAUAAAACUAAAUUUAUUUGUGAAUUAAAAUUACAAACUUCUAAAAAAAAUUAAAUACAAAAAAAAGAAGAAAUUGUUCUAAGCUUCUGCCUUCCCUUCUCCCCCUAGUUCUCCUCUCUAAUUCUACUCUCUGUGCCUCUGGCACCCCCGGAUACCUCUGCUUCUCCACCUUAUAUAGCCAGCCAACAAUCUUUAUCUUCUCUUAUUUUAUUAUUAUUUAUUAUUUAUUUAUUUAAAUAUAAAAAAAAAAUAAGGGAAAGAGUGAUAGUUAAGUGACAAAGUGGCGGCUGCCUCUUAAAUAUGACAUUACAAUAAUAUAUGACUACACUUUUAUUUUAUUUUAUUAUUUAUUAUUUUUAUAUUAAUACAAUCCAUCUUUUUUGUCUCUUGCAUUCUGCUUCGAUUUCUUUUCUUCUUUAUUCUUAAAAUUUAUCUACAAUAUGAAAUUGAGAUAAAAUUAACAUACUACAAUUCAAUUUAACAUAAAAUUAUAUUAAAGGAGUAUUAAAAUAAUUUAUAAGUUAUGAGUGCAUUAAUCAAUACUAUAAAUACAAAUAUGAUAAUUUUAAUUUUUAUUAAAUAUAUACUUUUUAGUGUUAAUCACCAAUCAUUUUAAUGAGAUGGACAGAAUUGUUUCAGUUUGCUUCUGAUGUAAUUAACAAGGUUGUUGAAAAUGCAGAGGCAACUAAGAUUGUGGAAGAUGGUUUUGAAAUUAUGCUCCAAAAAGUUGAGGCAAUGGUGACUAGUGAAGAAUUUUCUAACAAGAAGACUGUAACUCAGAAACGUCUCUUUAAUAGGCCACUUGCAAUUAGUGCAAGGGGGUGUGUAAAAGGAGGAAAAGAGAAAAACAAAGGUAAAGUGAAUGGAAGGAGUUGUCAUGGAUAAGGAAAAGUUGGCGACAAGAUGAUAAAAGAAAUUGUCCAAUACUCAAUGAUUGGUAAGGAUAUUUGUUUUAAUUUCAGUAGUGUAUUUUUAACAAGCUUUAAUAGUACAUAAGCGAUAAUUAAUGUCACAUGUAUUUUUAUUUUUAUGUAGGUCUUCAAUUCAAGACUAUGAUAUUACUUAAAAUAGUAUUAAUUCACAGAUAUAAUACAGCCAUUUUAAUGAAAAUAUAUAAUAUUUUGUAUCACUAUCACAUAAUGAAAAUUCUUACAUAAAAUUCAAUUAUUUGCACAAAUCCAUUAAAAAACACUAAUUCUUUAUACAUUUGGUAUUUCAUUCCCAUCUCACCCCAAAUUCAUCGUACUUUUUUCAAAUCGAACCUUGACCAUUUUUUACAAAACGAAGUCAACCAAAAUAAGCAAUCAUUUAGAGACACAUCGGCUCACUUUUAUAGCAGUGAGAACACCUUCGACUUAUUAUCAAAGCAUCUAUAAUUGCAUAUCUUAUCAAAUUCUUAAAGUUUGCUUUGAGCGUCUCACAAAAUAAAAAUAAGCAUAGUGAUAGGAUUAUGCUGAGAGUACUGCAUUCAAAGCUAAAGAAUCUCUAACUGAUGAUCAAGACAACUAGAGAAGGUCAUUAACAUUAAUUAAUAAUUUAACUUAAAUUAAAGUGUCAUUAUUUAAAGCGAAGGCCACAGGGCACCUAAUAGGAUUCCUCAUAAAGUUAGUAUAUAUCCAAAGUUGUUUCUUUCAUGUUCCCCCAAUUUAUAUUGUCUUCUUUUAAACAAUAACAUGAGGCAUCUUUGACACAUGCGCUUACACUAAUUGAGAAGGUAAAAUUGAGUCUUCACAUGAAGGCAAUUCAUUAUCGCACUAAAAGUUCAGUGGUGUAAUAAUACGUUAAGGUUAUAGAAAGAAAAAAAAAACAAUUAAAAAUUCCAAAUUUUACAACUUGUACAUGGAUUCAGCUAAUUAGAAUUGAAGCCUUAUAAAGAGAAAGGAAUGAAAAUAGGGCCCUUGAAAGGAGAAGUCAUUCAUACACUUGGGUGAGGGCAUCUCUAGAUAUAACGUGGACAGCUUCAUCAUAAUUUAUUCAUAUAAAUAAAAUUUACUAAAUUUGGAAUUAAUUAAAUUACAGCUUUGGCUCAGCUUCUUCGCAUACCAAAACUUACAAGGAGUUGCGAUAACCUGUGAUUCUGGUCGGUGGGUUUGAUGAGUUUAGAAAAUAUUAUUUUGGACCAGAUAUUAUUUAGAGCGCCCGAAAUGGGUUAUCUGCUAGAACGCGUGGAUAUUAUUGGGCUCAAAUUGUAAGCCCAAUUAAUAUCCUUGGGCCAUUGUUCAUAGUCGAAGGUUGUUAUCCUAAAUCUUUUAUUUUCACUCGAGAGAUUAUUUACAGUUUUACCAACUGAUCUAACUGGCACCUCAUUUCAAUUAAUAUACCUUCAUUAUUCUUUUAAUUUUCAAUAAAGUGCUUAAAACUUUAAUUCUAACCACUGCCAAAUAAAUAAAUAAAUAAAGAAUCAGUUGAUCUACCUAAAAUACCCUGAGCAUAACGGCUUCUUUAUAUUCAAAUCACAACAAAAUUUUUCCUAAAGCGAAAAAAAAUGACCGUACGCAUGCAAAAGAAGCUCACAGAAAGGCCGCGGUCAAAACUGAUGAAUGGAAAAAACAAGUUGGAUGAAAAUGAAAAGAUAAAUAAACAAUUGGUUGAAAGGGGGGGGGGAAGAGAGAGAGGGGCUAACAAUAAAUGAUGAGGAAGAAAUUGCAAAGAGAGCAUUAAUGGGGGACGACAAGGCCAUUAAAUAGAUUGCUGAGUAGCGAGAAGGUUACUUAAUUGCUUGAGUUUAUCGCUGCAAUUGUCUUUUUUUUUCCUGCCCUCUCUUUCAUUGCUUUCUAUCUCUGCAACCCACCUCCCCAUAUCACAUUUAAUGCUCUCUCUUACUCCCCUCAGUCUGUGCAGUAAAUUAAAUGAAAACCGUANNNNNNNNNNNNNNNNNNNNNNNNNNNNNNNNNNNNNNNNNNNNNNNNNNNNNNNNNNNNNNNNNNNNNNNNNNNNNNNNNNNNNNNNNNNNNNNNNNNNNNNNNNNNNNNNNNNNNNNNNNNNNNNNNNNNNNNNNNNNNNNNNNNNNNNNNNNNNNNNNNNNNNNNNNNNNNNNNNNNNNNNNNNNNNNNNNNNNNNNNNNNNNNNNNNNNNNNNNNNNNNNNNNNNNNNNNNNNNNNNNNNNNNNNNNNNNNNNNNNNNNNNNNNNNNNNNNNNNNNNNNNNNNNNNNNNNNNNNNNNNNNNNNNNNNNNNNNNNNNNNNNNNNNNNNNNNNNNNNNNNNNNNNNNNNNNNNNNNNNNNNNNNNNNNNNNNNNNNNNNNNNNNNNNNNNNNNNNNNNNNNNNNNNNNNNNNNNNNNNNNNNNNNNNNNNNNNNNNNNNNNNNNNNNNNNNNNNNNNNNNNNNNNNNNNNNNNNNNNNNNNNNNNNNNNNNNNNNNNNNNNNNNNNNNNNNNNNNNNNNNNNNNNNNNNNNNNNNNNNNNNNNNNNNNNNNNNNNNNNNNNNNNNNAAGUUGAUCUGGGUGGAGGUGGAGGGAACGAGAGAUACAUAGCUGCUUUGUUUCUGUGUUGGAAACAGCUAAGAGCAGAAUCCAUCAGCAUAUCGAAGCAGCCUCCGAUGUUGUUGAUACUGUGAAGAGUUCCCAGAGAGUUGAAGAAGCUGCAGAGCAAUUGUCUCUAUGACUCCUGCAAACCACUCUCCUUCUUGCUUGGCUUUGAUCCCUUCUUCUAGCAUUGUUAUUUCUGUUAUCAUCUUUGGCUCUAAAAUUUGAAAGAACCCUUGCCACAAUUGCCUGAUCCUGUUCUUCAGGCUUGUCCGUUUCUUUAUUUGUCAAUGAAUCCAAGUUUGGCACUGCACAAAAUGUGGCUGCAUAUUUAUAUUGAGCAAACCAAAAAAUACCAAGAAUGAGAACAAGUCUAUAUAAAUUGGAAAUGGAAACAUACUUCUCUUCAAAGCAGACCAAGCUGCGAUAGCAGCAUUUUUCUCAGCUUGCUUCUUUGUCUUAGCUGGUUCACCAGUAAAAUUCAUUCCAGCAAGCUCCACAGUACAAGUGAAAAUUGGAACAUGACCAGGACCUGAUCUUACAGUGGUAUAUACAGGGAGGUUCAGCCCUGCCCUAUGAGCAGUUUCUUGAAGAAGAUUCUUGUAAAUUCCCGUCUCAUCCUUCAUUUACAUACCCAACAAAUAAAAACAUAAAUUAUAAUAAGAUUACAUGGCAAGACUCCUCUUUUUUUUUUCUUCUAUUGAUUAAACCAAUCAAGAAAAUGAAGCAAAUUAAAAGACAAAACGUACAAGAACUCUUGCAGUUAGGGACCUUGAAGGGCCUCUCGUGGACAGAACAUUAAGAGCAACUUCAGCAGCUGCAUGCUCAGCCUGUCUUAAUGUAGUACAAUAACUAGGACUUUCAAAGAUCUCACCAUUGAAAUUCACAGAAGCUUUGAAUCUUGGAGCAUGAUCAGGUCCUUCUCUGAUACAAGUAUAAGAAGGGAGAUUGAAACAGCUUCUUUGUGCUAGUUCCUGAAGUUGGUUCUUAUACAUAUCUGACAAACAAAAGAAGCAAUCACAGAGAGAUUGUCAAGGAGAUUAUAUAAGUGAAAAUGAGCUCAACUACUGAAAUGUAAGAUGAUGUUUAAGACAACUGAAACUCACCUACUUCACCUGAUAUCUCAAUCCUACAUUGGCAUGAAAAUUGUCUCUCAAGACAAAAUCAUGGUUAUGUCUUAUGAGAGAACAAAAUGAAGACAGUGAAGCGAAAUUUGUUGAGCCGAACGGCUAAUAAGGACAUCAAUUACCCUUUCCUUGUUUUUUUUUAAAAAAAUAAUAAUAAUAGAAAUAAAAAACUAGUUAGGUAUUAAAAUUUAAAAUAGGACUCUGUGAAGGUUAAUAAGUUUCCAAAUAGAGCACAAUCUUCUAGCAAUGAAGAGCCAAGAAGAAUUAAUUAAGUUGCCUUCGUGUUGGGGGUAAUUGUGACAUUUCAGUUACUAUUUAUUGCGGGUAGUUUUAAAAUUACAGAAAACUCCCUGUGUUUUCUGGGUAGAACAAUUAACAAGGAGUGCCUUCUGAAGUUUCUGGGGAUUCUUUUUAUUUUUAACACAAAAUAACACACACAACCUUGACCGUGCUUCUUACUGGCACAGGCCUUCGAUGUUGUUGACUGGACAGAUGCCUUCAAACCUUUGACUUCCAUAUUAUUAUAUCAUGUAACUCUUGUCUGGUGUUUGCACCUUUAUAUUACUGCACUUGCAUUGCAUGUUGCAAAAUCACAAUGAUGUUUCAAUACAAAUCUGUUUUCCGAAAUUUGUAAAAUUGUUGGUCCUAGUAGGCAUUUAAAAUUGGCAGUUAAGCUAGUCUAGAGUGGUCCUCUCUGGUCUCUCUGGUCCAAUUUCUCUGUAUUGCAGUUAUAUUUUUAUGCGGGGGUUAAUAUUGUUCACUGAGACUUGAGAGCGACUUGCGUAGUAGAUGGGCACCAGCCUCAUUGACCGAUGACCACCAUCCCCAGAAAAUAACCACACAAAGUUUGGCUUUUCAAGGGGAAAAUAAAAUUUGCAAUAAACAAAUAGCCAAUGCUUGGAUACCAAAUUAACUUGCUUCUUGAAGUUGCAAUUUACAAUUUACAAUUUGGUUCUGAUGCCUUUCUGCUUCUGGAUUGGGCAGAACUUGGAUUGCAGCUUCCAACUUGUUUUUGUCUCUGGUCCGGUCUUCAGCUGAAAGCCAAGUAAUGUCAGACGUAAUUGAUUGCUACAAAAGUCAACCAAAUUCUGUUCAAUUAGAACUUCAAUUUCAUUAUUGACACGCACUAGUGGCUAUUUUAAAUCUAACAGCUCUAUACUUCAACUGCUACCAAAUUUUCAUUACAUUUACAAAACUUAUUUCUUAUGCCUUGACCUGAGAGGAGUACACCAUAAUUUAAGAAUAUGUCAGUGAAACACUUGUGACCGGUAAUAAAACUUGAUUGUAACAUACUGCUGUUAAGCGGUAGACAAGCCCUAAUAGAGUGGAGGCCCAGAGUAGGGGGAGGUACCAAAAAGUUUUGGGUAAUCAAUCACCAUUCAACUAUGGUGACCCUAGAGCCACACACUGGGAUCUAAAGCACUAACUGAAUCCACAAAUACAAUACAAUUAGACACUAACUAAUUCCACAAAUACAAAAUCAGAACCAAAAGAAGCUCAAUCAUACAACACAACAAACCAUUCCUUUUUGAAAUCACAAUUCCCAAACCAGCACUUUCAUACACCCUUUUCAAAACAAAACUCCCCAUAUUGCACAAGAAAUAGUGGAAGUUGAAUGACUAGGUAUGAAAUCUCAGGGAUAUACAUCAGUAAUUUGUCACAGCUUCCGCUAUGUUUGUCUAUUCUCAGUUGUCAAGUUGCUGCUGCUAGUACCACUCCCACCUGCACGAUUUGAUUCAAUUCUAGCAGCCAAAGCAGUAAGCUCAGGUGACAUGUCCCAGCUUCCACUUUUUCUUCCCCAACUAGAUCGCCUGGGAUGGAUUCCAACACGAUCCCCUUCCUCUACUGUAGUCCUAAUAUCCGGGGACAACUCAGCUAAUUCACCAUCUUUAACAUUUAUCCGAUCAUUGUUUGGCAGUUGUCCUUCUGUGAGAUCACCUCCAGGACCAACAUCUCCCCACACCGUUUUCCUACCCAUUUCUAUGUCAUCCCCAGCUUUCCCCAUAUUUGGACUCAUAAAACCCCCACCUACUGAUCGGGUUGGUAAUGCAGGUUCCCUUGGUACCAUUGCUCUGAAAUUGUUCUUUGAUGGAGGAAUGCUGGAGCAAAAUAUCUCCUUAAAGUUGUCCACUACCCCUUUGUUAUAGGGGUUGGCUCGCCGAUCAUAUCGGUAUCUAAAAUUCUCAUAUGUAGUCUGCAAAAACACAACAAUAAACAGAAAGUCUUUAUAUUAAUAAAACAAGAAUUUACACAAUGCCAGAUGACAAGGAUUUGAACAGCCAAAAAGGCUGAAAUAUUUUACCUGAUUUGUACUGAUGAGAUAUAAAUGGAAGGCCGUAAGGCCACCAACAAACCACAUUGCUAUAAAGGUGUAAAUUAUUAGAACAAUUGAUGCAGGGGUUUUAAUCAUUGCUUUCCAAAUUGUUGUGUACUCAGCAUCCAUGAUCCUUCUGAUGUAGACCCAGCAAAAUGCAAAAACGUAUAUACAAAGAAGGGUCGUCGAGAAUACAAACAUGAAGAAGAAUCGAUAAUUACGCUGCAUACAAAAAGCAAGUUUUCAGAUACAGUAUCCAUACACAUGUCACAGGAAUUUUGUGGAGAUGAUGAUAUCUGGAAAACCAAACUGUAGUAUCAACUGACAAAAUUGUGAUGCUAGCAUAACGGAAUUACUUUCUUGAACUAAGCAUGAUGAUGUUAAAUCAAGUUUACAAGGCAAUAAAUUAGCAGUCAAUUGAGAUAAAACUCAUCAGGAUUUCAACUAUAUCAAGAGUGGACAAGUUCUUUUCACCCUGAAUUUUAUUGCUUUUAACAGCCAAUUAAGAAACAUGCUCAAGCUCAGAAUUUCCAACCCAGUGUAGUCUCAUUUUCCAAUAAGGAAUUCUUAAAGGACAUAACCCAAAUCACCCUUCCAAACCCAACUCUCUCCCCCACCAAAUAUAAUACUUGUGUCCUUCAGAAAUGAUAUCUUUUUUCUUAUACCCGCACCAGACCCCAACCCCCUUCUCCUGCCAAACAAACAAUUCAAACUAAAUCCUCACCUCAUCCGACCUCUUUUCCAGCCGAUGCAAGGGGGUAUUAAUCUUUCAACAUUUUGGUCCACAAAGUCUUACCAGCCAAGCUAUCCCAUUGGGGAUAGAUACAAAUGAAUUCAAAAAAACAUGCCACUAUAUGUGCACAUUCUACCAAAAAAGGCAGGGAACAAAAUGAAUAAUAUAAGUAAAUCCUUCAGAUAUCAUUGGCAUAAUUCUAAAACAAACGAUCACUUACCAGUCCAAUACAUUGCCCAACCCAGGGGCAGUGGUGAUCAAAACGUUCCACACAGUUAUUGCAGAUGGAACAGUGGGAGCAGCGAGGAGGUCUAUAAAGCAUGCAAGUAUCGCAAUAUUUAAUCUUCACUGUGAUUCCAUUGACCUCUACUUCCUUUAUGCGAGGCAACCGUAACUGUGGAGUUUGGCCAGCACCAACAUCUGCAUUCCCGUCAAAGCCUUCUGGCUCAGGAGGGUGUGCAUUACGUGGAAUUAUACCAGGAUCUCUUCCUGAGGUUAGCAGGAGCAGAAGCAAAUCCUGAGAAAUAAAAAAUGUUCAUGAAUUUCGGGCUCAACAUACAGAAAUUUUUACUGACUUCACCUCAUAAAUUAAAGCCAUGCGGUAGAAAGCGUUACAGAUCUUCUGAUCUGUAACAAUGUAGGACUCUUAGUUGUUGGUCCGGGCAAAUAGGGUAAAUCCUAUGGAGAAGAAUAUCACAACCAAUGCAUAGACAUGUAACCAGUAUCCACAUCUCAAAAAGCAUGCACGCAUCAUGAAGUCAAUGCUUAUGAUGGGAUAGAUUGACCUACAUAUGGUGGGAUUGCAAAUGUUGAUUACUAAGUACAGUCCUAGAAAGGUGACGACAUUGAAAACCAGCUUACUAUACUAUCAUCUUAAAACAACAGCCACAGCAGGUUCAUUUUUAUUUGAAACUUCUCACUUCAGUAACAAAUGCAAUGUACCGGCAGACAACAAAAAUGUCCUAACAUUGCAUAAUAUAUUCCAACCGUUCAUACAAUUGUGCCCACUUCUUCCUAUAUGUCUAUUACUGUCCAUACUCCUCAGUAACAAAACAUGCUCCUUCCUCUCCACUAUGAUUAAAGACAACAGCUAUUUUGAAAGACCAUCAAAAUCUGCAAGCACACUCAACCUAGGUCACUGCCAACUUGCGUGGUGUAUGUUUAGGUCAAAAUUGCAAACUAUUUCAUGAAUAACAAAGAGCCAAAUCCUUCUCUUCUGCCACAAAAAUUCUUAAAAGACGAUGGAAACAUGCAAGAUAGAAAUAACUUCAUGACGAGCUUGACAGAAAGAGAAACUUACAAUUUUUUGUUUUUUCUUUUGAAAGGAAACACAGAAACUUUUAUAGAGUAUUAGGAGGGAAUAAAUAGUACAAAAGUGAACCAGAGGUCCAUAAACUAAAAUCUUUCCAGCAGUGUAGAACAACAAAAGCUAUACAAAACUUUGAAAUAAGAAACCCUUGUACUCAAGACACAGAAAUAAGAAUCCUAACCAACAAAAUACUUGCAUCCCAAUCAAGCAGAAAACUGUGAAAAGAGAAACUUACAUAAACAGUGAAAGUCACCGCAACAACCAUUAUUGAUAUUCCCAAAUGAUGAGGAUAAUCAUCCAUCAAUUUUCGAGCAACAAAGACGCAGAAAACUGAGAUGGGAGCAACAAUGAGAAAUAUAGUUAACCCCAGCGAUCUUACAUCUGGUCCAAAUAUAAGCCUCCCUUGAAGAAAAAAUAUCUGCGGCAACAAAUAGAACUGAUUAAUGCAUUUGAAGGAACAUGCACAAACACUCAAAUCCCCCAUACACAAAAGAUGGGAAUAUCUAUGCCAAAUUAAAGUCUAGGCACGACUGAAGGCUUAACACUGCACUUUGGUUCUUUGAAUGGAGUUGCUCCAUCAAUUAAUCACCUAAUUUAUUGGCCUUUGACAUUCAAUCAACUGAAACAACCACAGUUAAGCAUCUUUAAUUCAACAACUUCAAAUAUAUUAUUAGCUGCAUAGACAUGUGACCAGUAUCCACAUCUCAAAAAAUGAUUAGACCUAAAUAAUAAUCCCUCAAUCUUAGCUGUCAUACACAUAUUUCUUAAAUUUUCAAUUUUUAGAUAAAUUUAUUUAUAAUCAUGUACACAAACACAAUAAUAUGCAGCUCUACUGAAGCUCCUCUAAAAAGUGUCACACUCAAGUAAUGGAGGGGCACAUCAAAGUUUCCAUUUUUAAGCUGACAGAGACAGAGUUCAGCUCAAAUUCUUCUUCAUUAUCUUUAAUUCCCCGCAAAACUCACUUACACAUACGUAAAAGACUAAAAAUAACAAUAAAACCUAGACCGAUAAAAUUAGAUAAUUACAACUCAUAAUGCCCAAAAACAAAAAUAAAAUCCAAUAAACAAAAAAUAGAAAAAUAACCUACUUAACCAAACUUAGAAACAUUAAUUACGUAGAACAAAAAAAAAAUUAAAAAAAGGGGAAACAAAACACUUACAUUGCUUCCUUUCCAAGUCUGAUAAACCCGUAAAUCACCGGACCGGCCCUCAGAUCUCGGAUCCGAUCGCUGAGGUGGCGGCACUACAUACAUCCUUAGCUCCGCUUUUUUUGGAAAAAAAAAAUACAAUAAUUAAAAAAAUAAAAAUAAAAUAUUGAUCUUAUGAACUGAAGAUGGGGACUGAGUCAGGGGCGAGUCAGGACUCGGCGAGUCGAAUGAAAAUGACGACUAGACAUAAGAAGGAGAUUAGAAAGAGAGUUAAGGGUGAGGGAGGGAGUUUGGUUAAUUAACAGAGAGAUUCUGACUUCUGAUUGCGUUUUUUCGUUUGUUGUCUUGUCACUCUCUCUCUCUCUCUGUUGUGGUGACUGUGCGUUGUCUGUUUCGGGUAGCUUUACAGAGGUAGCUUUACAGAGGUGUUGGGGCGACGUGGCCGGAUUUGAUUGGUCGGUCACUGAGAAGACCGGUUGUGGUGGGUGGACUGCUUGGCCUUUUUUAUAAACUUUUAAUUAACAAGAUGGAGAGAGAUGACCAAAAAAAAAAGAAUGCGACGGCUCGCUCUACUAGUCUUCUCUGUCUCUCUUUGGGGCUGCUCUCUCCCCUAAUUCUCUUCUCAGUUUUUCCUCAUGGGUUUGCUUGUCACUUGUCCUGUUCUUCAUUUCCCCUUCUAUUUCACUUUUAAUUACAAUGCUGCCCCUCUAUGCUUCAUUUUGCUGCCAUUAAUCAAUUAAAUUUUUUUCCCCCCUUUUUUGUUUGUAUAUGAUGUAGAGAUACAUCCGAAUGUCAAUUGUCAAGUCUAUUUUUAGAAAAGAAUAAAUAAAUUUUGUUAAAGAUUUUUUUUUAAUAUAUUAUUAUUGGACAUUUUCCUAAUAGUUUAAAUUAGAACAAACUCUCAUAUUCGAACUCCUUUUUCUCACUUUGUGUCAAUUAAUUCGUAAUUUUAUAUGAGUUUAAAAGUGGAUUUAUUUUUAAUGUGCGGAUGUAUAAGCUAUUUUUUUUCUUUUAAUACAUUGCAACCCAUUCCUCCCAAUUCCUAAAUUGAACUCAUGAUCUCUAACUUUCAUUUGUAAGAAUUAAUUCAAAUGGACUAUUUUGAGGAUAAAUUAUUUAGGUCUAAUCAUUUUUUCUAAUUAAAUAUAUCUUAUAAAAUGAAGUAUGGAAGAAUAUAAAUAUAUUGAACAACACUGUAUUUACAUCUCAUUCGUGCUAUAUUUUUAUGAUUUUACUUUAUAUAUGAUCCUAGGGUGAACAAUAUAAUAAUUAAUAAUCUUUACUAUAUUUUAAGACCAAAAGAAAGCAAUUCGCCAACAGUAAUAGAGAUGGAGCCAUUUAAUUUUCCUAAUACCCACAAAGGUCAUAUUGAUCUUGAUUUAAGUGGAGAAAUAAUAAGCCACUAGGCUAGUUAAGUGGUUAGAACUCAUAUCUCACAAUAGUGAGAUCAUGGGUUCAAACCCCCACAAUGAAUUGUGUGGGUUUAAUUUUCUUUCUCAAUUUGAGUAAAGACAGUCUUUUAUUUUUGAAAUGUGAGUGGGGUGAAUUGUGUGGGUUUAAUUUUCUUUUUCAAUUUGAGUAAAGACAAUCUUUUAUUUUUCGAAAUGUGAGUGGAGUUGAUGACCCUCGAAUAUCAUGAUUUGAUGAUAAAUUAGUUACAGUAAUUAUCUAAUUGUAAAUAUCAUGAUUUGAGCAAUAGUCUUAUGUAAUGAUUCGGCAAUUGCAUUAAAGUAUUUAAGAAAUAUUUAUCAUUAUAAUUUGAAAAUAAAAUUGAUUUUUAUCUCAUACUUUAUAUGGUUAAAAAAGAGAAACUAUAAAUUUUUUAUUAUCUUCAUUAAAAUUAUUAUUUAAAUACUGUAUGUAUCACAUACUAUCAGUUUUUAUUGUUUGGAAGCAAAUUCAAGUAAAAUGGGUGCAAAUGCUUGCUCCAUAUGGUAGGAGAUAAGGGAUAUAAUAGAUAUAAAUAUCAAAAAAAAGAAAAAAGUAUUUAUGUCUCUCAUCAUUCAAAAAACUUGGGAAAUUUAUAGUAAUAACCAAAAAAUUUUUACUGUUUUUCAUCUUAACCCCCCAAAAAUAUUUCUAUCAACAUUAGCCAUAAAACAACAUUUGAGACCAAAAUGCCCCUCCCUCAUCUCUCCCCCAACACUCCUUUUCACUCAUCUCUCCCAAACCGAUCCAACUCCCAUCAUCGGCGGCGACAUCAACCCUCAUCGGCGGCGGCUCCAUCUCUCACCGGCAUCCGAUCUACGAUCUACAACCUUCAACAAAACCUAGGUUAGUUAUUUUUCUUAUUUUCAUUAAUUUAAAAUGAGAUUUUAGAAUAAUAAUAGUUAUAGCUUGAGAAUAAUAGUGGUGGUGAUGAUGUUUGUGAUGGUUGGUGGUGUUUGGGAGUAUUGUUUUCGAUUUUGGAGUGAUUGCACUUAAUUUUGGGGGUGGGGAGGGAGGGGGGCAGGGCGCGCGCGUGCCCAUCGCUGGGCAGCAGCGCGCGCCCAUGCGCGGCUUGCUGUCGCACCAGAUUUGGUGCGACAGCAGGCGCUGUCGUACCAGAUCUAGUGCGAUAGGCGCGCGCCUGUCGCACCAGUUCGUCUGUCGCACUAAAAAUUAGAGUUUUUUUUUAACGAGUCAAUUUUUUUUUCUGUAAAUGUAAUGUAAUAAUUUUAUAAAUAUUACAGAUACAUGGCGAAAUCAGAAUCACCAGAUAUUGAAGUAGGCAAGAUGUAUUUUCGUUAUACUGAUCACUUUCCUGGUCGAAUUUCGAGCAUGUGUAUGUUAUCUUCGGUCGUAAAAGCCAUCGAGGAAAAAUUAACAAAGCAGCAGUUGACUAUGUUCAAAAAGGAUAUAUUUGGGCAUUUUUUGGAGUGUCGAAGUUUUCCAUUUAGUGGGGUAAUUUUGCACAAUCUUUACUGCGGCAAGUGGCCCAUGAAGAAGAUAGCCGUGAGAAUCAAUUAUGGUUUCAAAUUGGUAAGCUUUUGAUUCGCUUGUCAAUUGUCGAAUGGUGCUUGGUUACUGGACUUUCAUUUGGUGUUGAUACCAAUCAAGAAAAUGAUGAAAUGGAGCAGAGGCUACGGAAUAUGUAUUUUGGUGGAUGCAUCGUAAGAUUAAUGUGAAGCAAUUCGAUGCAGUAUUUAAGGAGUUGAAAUUCGAGGAAAUGGACGAUAUGGACGCAUUAAAGAUUGCGCUAUUUUAUUUUGCCGACAGAGUACUAAAUGCAAGAAAAAAUCACUGUCAAAUUAAUUUCGAUUGGCUUGACCAAGUUGAUGAUAUCCAGUACUUCCGAAAGCGUCCAUGGGGUUUAUUGUCAUGGGAAAUGAUUUACGAGAGUCUUGACAAUGCACUGUUCGAGAAAGACGAGAAAUUUAAAAAGACUCAGUUGAAAAAUCCAGAUCAUAAUAUUGAAAAAUACAAUCUUUACGGCUUUACGUCUGGGGUUCAGGUGCUUUUUUUUGGUUUAUUAAUAAGUUUUAUAGUAUUAAAUAUUUGAUAGUUGUUUUAUUUGAUUUUUCACUUUGGUUAUUGUAGGCUUGGAUUUACGAAGCAAUCGGAGGGUUGUCAUCAACAUGGGUCGUCAAAACGAAGAAUAAGAUUCCCCGCAUUCUGCAAUGGAAGCCCAUGGCGUCUUCGAAAAUCAACUUUGCGGAGGUUUAUUCGUUCUUCAACGACGAAUCUCGUCUUAUAAGUAAUAUGUAUUACUUAUUUUUUUAACUUUACUAAAUUUAAUAAAUGUAUACUUACUUAAAAUUUUCAAUUGAAUUUAUGGCAGGGGGACGUUUUACAAACUCUUGAGCCAAAUUCAAAGGAGAGUAGCAGAAAAUAUUGGCUCUCUGUGAAGGAUUACUUGCCAAGCAUUUCAGACUGGGUUCAUAAGGUCGGUAUACUCUAAGUACUAAAAAUUUGUUAAUCGAAAUUUUUGACUUUUCAUUUACUAAUUUUAAAUGAUACUUUAUACAGCACCAACCCUCAAUCAACGCGAUGCUGUCGGUUACAAGGCAAUCAGACGAGCAUGACGAUCAUGACGACAUACCAAACCCAAUACCAGAGCAGCGUCAUGACACUUUUGAGGAUGAGGUGGGUCAUGACACUUUUGAGGAUGAGGUACCAGCAGCAAACAGAUAACUCUGAUGACGCACAGGAUUCUGAGGUUAUAAAUAAUAUAUGAUAUUUUUCUGAAAUAUAAAUUAUUAUUUUUUUAUUGUUAUUCUAAAUUUAUUUUUUCCUUUUGUAAUAGUCGAGGACAAAGCAGUUUAAUGAUUACGUACGACGACGGCUGGAUAAGAUUGAUUGUAACGUGUAUGAAAUAAAGUCAGAAUUAAAAGAUUUUAAAGAAACCGUUGUUGGCUUCAUUGACACAUUUUCUAAGCGUCCAAAUAAGGAUUCUCCCACUGCACGCUCGUAUGCGGUAAGCUAAUUUAAAUUUAAUAAUUAUGUUCGUUUAACUUUUAAUUUGAUAGUUAUUUAAUAUGUUCUUUUUGGCGAAUGUACAGGCCCCGGAUGACUAUGGAGUGUAUACUGACGUGGGCAAUGAAAAUUUGUCUACGCCCACGUCAUUGUAUAGUUUCUACGGGGAUGUUAGUGGGGAGAGCGUGCAGGUGUUCACAUAGGUGCCUCCCGGCGUUAGUAAGUUCGGCCGCGCGUACAUACUGUCAUAUGUUUAUAACAGUCCUUACAUGAUUCCUCCGGUCAGGCGAGGACAGAACGUCCAGCCUUUACCGUGACCCCAAAUCAUGGACCAUGCGAUUGACAUGAGUACGAGUGUGGAUGUAAAUCUACUGAGAGGAUUGGAGGACUCUAGUCUGUUUGCUGAGUUUGAUCGAUGGUUCACUGGUGAUAGUAGAGUCCGCCGGAGAGUCCAGCACCCGCGAUCAUUCUUUCAAAUAAUUUUGAAUAUAUCUUCGAUGGGAUGGCUAGGCGAUGAGGUAUUUAUAUUUUCCUCGUGGUGUAUUCUGUUGUGGAUUUGUGUAUAACAUUUAUUUUUUAAAUCGUAAUAUUUUUAUUUCUAUACAGCAUAUUCACGAGUAUCUCCGCUUGAUUAGCGAGAAACAACAGCAGUAUCCAAAUGUCUUACUCCAACUUGUCACACAUACUGACACAUUAUUUUGGAUAACGUGCCGACAAAACUUAUAAAUACCAUUUAAUUUGAUUUAUAAUUAUUGUCUUUAAGUGUUGUUCAUUUAUGCAUUUCUUGGUUAUCUAUGUACUAGGUGUUCUUGAAUCAGUUAUGGAACAACGGGGAUUGUGCGGUCGAUUCAUUAGUAUUCGACGACCGCUUGAAUAGUUAUCUUUGUGGGCGACAGCACACAAUGUCCAAAUCAAUGACGGAUGUCGAUAUGGUAUGUAUUUUAUUACAUUUCACAUGCUCUAUAAUGAAAAUAUUCGAGUUGUUGCUUUUUCUUUGUUGUAUUUCAAUUGCAUAUAUAACGAAUAUGUUUUUUAAUUUUUAUAUGCAGUUACUUAUCCCUGUUAACUUGGACGGCGCGCAUUGGGUACUAGCACGAGUUGACUUUUGGAAAAAUAAAGUUUGGAUUUAUGACUCAUUACUCACAUUUCGCGACGACAAAAGGUACAAGUUGAAAUUCAAGCCACUUGAAGUUAUAUUCCCUCGGUGGUUGGAAUAUGUUGGCUUCUACAAUAUCCGACCUGAGUUGCGGAGUGAAGACCCGUGGAAAGUUAUCGCAGUUAAGAGCGCGCCGCAACAAGAAAGAGGCACUGGCGAUUGCAGUGUUUUUGUAUUGAUGGUUACGAUGUAUUUAAUGUUCGGGCUUAGAUUGAAGUUUAACGCUAGUCAUGUCGAGUACUUUAGAAAGAAGAUUGCCGUUGAUAUAUUUAAUGACAAUAUUAUAUUGUAGACCUAUGUAGUAAUUUUAAUGUUGAAAUUUGAUUUUUUUUUAAUUUGCGCACUUAAGUUUAUAUAAUUUUAAUGCCUCACAUUUUGAACUUUAAAAUAAAAUAAAGUUUUAUGAAAUAUAAGUGUACAAUACACAAAAAACAAUAACAGUUUUAACCAACCAAACACAAAAACAAUAAUAGUUUUAACCAACGAAUAACACACAAAAUACAACUAACUUCGAGUCGACGCAAUAGGAUUCUUACAUCGCUUACGAUUAUGGCCUAGUUCAUGACACCGGCCGCAUCUUACAGUCCGCCGGUCAACGUCCUCGCCAGCCGAGGGUAUUCUGAGCUCUUUACGACGGCCAAGUGGUGGUGCCUCAACUGGUGGGUAUACUUGCAUCUCUUGAAUUUUAUCUAGAACUUCCCAAUCAGCCACAUCACCAACUGGCUCCACUGGUUGUGCAUAAGCCAUCGCCAACGAUUCUGUAGUGUAAAAGUCCGAGCAAAGGUUAAUAAAAUCCACCCGGUGUGUUAGACACGCCGCAAUUGCAUGAGCACACACAAGCUGAUCAAGCUGAAACACUCUGCAAGAGCAAGUUCUCUUUUGCAAGUCAACCAACCCUUCCUUAAGCCCACCGCCUAUAACUUGAAAGCGAUGCGGAGACACCGGCUGAACUAUCAUUCUUUCAGCUAUAGUUCUCCUCUCAGUGACUAUUUCAUCCGCCCAUGUUGUUAGCCGAGUAGUCAUUGAUUCAGCCACAAUUUUUCUAUCAUAAAACUAUUGCUGCAAUGUUUUCCUAAAAUGAUCAACAAGAUGCGUAACAGGAAAUUUUUUAGGUUCCCUCAUGAAAGCAUUAACGCUCUCCGCGAUGCUGGUGGUAAGAAUGCUGUACCUCCUACCUUUAAACUGAGACCUUGCCCAAUUACACGUACCGACAUUAUUUUCUAGGUAAUUAGCCGCACCCGAGUGGAUCAUCCACAACUCUUCAAGUUGUCUCUUAAAUUCCUCGUGGCCAUAUGCUUUUGCUGCAUUAAUAAAGGCAGGAUCAAAUUCAUCCCAAAGAGCUUUGGACAUUCUAAAUUGUGACUUAAUGUUACCUUUGACGUGGUAAAAACAAACGCCAUGAGUUGCAUUGUGAAAUACUUUAAGAACGGCUCUCCUUAUGGCAGUGCAUCGAUCAGAGAUAAUUACCAACUCAGGUCUAUCACCAAUCACUCCGUGUAACUUCAUCAUAAACCAUUCCCAAGCAUCAUUGUUUUCUGAAUCCAUGAUCCUAAUGGCUAACGGAUACAAUUGAUUGUUACUAUCAAGACAUGUUGCCACGAACAUGCUUCCACGAUAUAGUCCUUUCAGAUGAGUACUAUCUACAGCAAUGACAGGCCGAAUGUACUGCAUAAAUCCCUUGAUGGAAGAUCCGAGUGCUACAAAAUAGUACAAGAAAUUACCAUCUCCAUCCUGCUCGAGGUGAGUGACUGUACCCUCAUUCGCUGUAGUUAGUACGUGAGAGUAUUUAGGGAGCAAGUUGUAUGAUUCUGUAGGGUUGCCGCGAAUUAUUUCAAGACCAACUUCUCUCGCCCUAUAUGCCUGCUGGUAUGUUAACUGAACACCGUAUUCUUGUUGCAUAUAUGCUCUUAUGUCAUUGGGAGUAUAAAUCCUCUUAUCUUGAAUAUAUUUUUCUGCGAUAAUAUGACCGACAACCCGGCUCCUUACUUGACGACGUCCAUAAACCAAUACCUCAUUAUGACAAGUGUGUACAUUAUCAAUUCUCUUCACCACCCAAGGAACAUUUUGCUCGUUCGAACUUCUAGUUGCUCGAAUACGCCAUUUACAUGAUUUUGAACAACAGUGAGCCUCGAAACGUGUCGUAGUAGACCGUGCAAUCUUGAAAUCAAACUUAUCUCUAAAGGCCACCUUGCGUAGUUGUAAUAUAAGCUCAUUCUUCUCAGCAAAUAGCUUACCCACGCCGAUAUCAUCUGAGUCACAACUGCUAACAAAGCUUGGAGCAACCAUGUUCGAAGGCAAAGUUGGAGCAAGACUUGUAAGGGGGUCAAUUCUCCUUCUCGAUCGAACCAUAGAAGGAAUAGGUCUAUUGCCUCUGUUAUUCACAGGAGUAUUGUCUUCACACUCAUCCUCAUGCUGAAACGACGGAACAUUCGAAGGACCGGCUCCUCCAUCAUCACCAUCAUCAUUGAAACGAGUGCCCCGCCUCGUAUUAUUAAAAGGUUCUGCACAAACAUUAUCACCCUCUGUCUCAUUAUGAAAAUCAUCAUUGUCCCGAAAAUUAUUGUUGUGAUACGGAGAAUAUCGUUGCUCCAACGACGUUGUUAUUGUGAGUUUUAACUCGACAAAGGCAGAACUAACCUCCAACUUAUUGAAAAUUAAUGGAAUAUAAGUUUUUUUCUUAACAAAAUUUUUUUAAGGUAAUUCCCAACAUUCUUAUUAGUUGGAUAAACCAUAUUAGCAUACUGACGUGGGUACCACAGCCCAAAAAUGUUUUUUCUCCACCUCAUUUUAUUCUAAUAAAUUUUCCUUUUACAAGUCAUACGUAUCUGAAUAUCCCAUAAUAAUAUUUUAAAAUAUAGUUAUCUAAAGUUUGAAUACCCUUAAAUAUUUUUAAAAUUAAUAAAAACUGAUCAUUUGGGGAUACACGUGAGGUGUGAGACAUACACUUGGCAUUUUCGGUAAGGUGCAUUUAAUCAGUCCAUACAUAGAAUCAAAACGAGCGAGUUUCAAGUUACGAAGGGAUAAAAAAAAAGGAAGAAGAAAAAGAUGUAAAGUGCGCUUUAUCUCCCCAAUGGUAUAAAAACUCCAAGAAAUAAUAAUAAUUGAAGCAACAUCCAUGAUGACUAUACACUCUACAGUCUACACAUUGGAUUGACAGCGAUGAUACGUAAAGCACGCACUCAAAAUCAUACUAAGGUUUUCUUACAUUGAAAUCCCCUCCCCCCCUCUCCCGCAACAAAAAAAAAAGAAAAGGAGACGUGGGGCCCCCGCGUUGGACCUUUUUUGAACGCCAAACUCCAUCAGCGUAACGCCCUAGCUUAACCUAAUCCCAAUUUGUUCAUGCCAUAAUUACAGUAGUUGGUACAAAAUUAUUUGACAUUAUAAUAUAUUAUAUCAUAUAAUUUUGAUCAGAUGCACCCUGUCGUACAUGUCAUAUUGCACGACAUGAUAAGUGUCAAUUUCUCAUUGAUAGAACUGUAUUACAAACUUAGUGUAUGUUUGGGAGUUAGAAUUAAGUAUGAGAUUAGAUUAACUUGGGGAUUAAAUAUUUUAUCCCAUAUUUAGCUACUUUGCUUGGAUUGGAUUAGGAGGACUAAAUUUAAAUUUAGUCCUUAAAUUAUGGGAUUAACAAUCCCAAUUUAUAAGUGGGUUUAGAUGAGGAUUAGGAUAAGAGAGAAAAUUUAUUCAUAUUUCUUUCAUAAAUAACACUAUUUUUUAUUUGUAACCUAAAAUUUAAUUACUUAAUUAAUUAUUUUAUUCAUGAUUUACUUGAAUUUAUUUUUUAUUUUGUUUUUAUAGUCUAAUUAAAUUGGUACUUUUACUCCAAUAAAAUUAACUGUUCACUAAUUUGUACAAUAAUUAAUUGUAUUAAAUUUAAUAAUCACCAAAUAAUAUUAAAAAUAAGCAUGGAAUUUACUCAUACAAGUAAAUAAUUGAUUUUAUAUAUACAUUAUUUGCUAACUUUUUGAUAAAAUAAAAAAAUAUAAAAUAUAUGAUAAAAAUUAAUUAAAUAAUUAAGUAGUUUUAUUAAUUUAUAUUUGUUUAUUAUAAUUAUGACUACCCAAUAACUAAUUUACGACAUAUUUAAUUCUCUUGUUAAUUACCUUUAAAUUAAUUUUAAUUAUUACUAUAAAUAUUCAUAAAUAUUUUUUUGUAUUUAAAUAUGAUUUAACAUUGUCUAAUUCGAUAUCAAACAUAAUCCAGCUUAAUCCAAUCCAAUCCUAAUAAUUAGUCAAGUCCAAUUUCGUGUGCCAAAUGUAACCUUACAACUCUGUCAAUAAAAUAAUAACAUAUGUCUUAUUUAGAGAUGGCCAGUGGACCAUGCCGUGCUAGCCUAUCCCAUCAAAUAAAGGUUCAAGCGUGCUCAUACUUAUGUCGUACCAUGCCCACUAUGUGCUUCGAGUCGUGCCGUGCCAUACUUUGCUUAAUUUUUUUUUUCUUAGGCCCGGCAUGGCACAUGUGUCAUGUUGUACCUAAGAAAAAAAGUCCGCUAAGCUUUUCUCUUUUUUGAUUCUUUUUAAGAGGGCAUGCCAAAUUAUCGACGUAUUUUUUUCAAGCAUGUGUACUUUUUAGGGUCCAUGUGCUUUUAUUCAAAUUUAAUAGAAUCGAAAAUUCAAAACUUAAGUCCAUAUUCAAUAAUAAUAAACUAAUAAUAGUAAAAGAAAGUAAUAUUAAUUAAUAAGUUUGAACCUAUGUUAUUAAAUUUUUUUUAAUACUUAACAAUAACAAUAAUAAUACAUUUUUCUUAAGGGUUAACUUAAUUGUUAACUUAGACUUACAUACAAUCAUAGAUCAUAGUUCAUAAUGAUAUUAAUAUAUAUUUAUAAAAUCAUGAUAUUUAUAAUUUUAUUUAUUAAAAUCAUGAUAUCAAUUAUUUUUAAUAAAUUAUAAAAAUAAAUCAAUUAUACUAUUUUUUAAACUAAGAAUUAAAUGAAUUAAAAAGCUUGUACUAAUAAAAUAUAUUUAAAGAUUUAAUUUCAAGUUAUUUGUAAAAUUAUAAAAUUUUUAGUUUACUUUCAUUAAAAAAUAAAACGUGUUUUUUGCAGGUUUUUUCAUGUGCCGUGUUUUACCCCAUCUCUAAUCGUACAAUGCUUUUAAGGUUUGCGUGCUUAAAAUUCUAAACCCGGCAUAGUCCGCGUGCAUACCGUACCGUGCCGUGCGGCAUGCUCUAUCGAAACUUAUUUGUGCCGUGCCAUGCUAUAUGGACACAUGACAUGCCACGUGCCAUGCUAAUGGUAGCAAGGUCGUAUAAUCAUAUUCUAUAUACAAUUGACCCUACUAGGAUUUUUUUUCCUCCUUGAAUUUUGUGUGCGCGUGUGUAUAUAUAUAUAUAUAUAUAAAUAUUAAAGGAGCUCCUUUAAUAUUUGUAUGAAAUCACAUAUUUAGUUACAUAUAUAAUUGUUCCCAAUAAUCACGUAGUUAAUCUUGUUGUUGGUAUUUCAACUUCUAUGAUGGUUGUAUAAUAGCAUGGAACAAAUAUUAAAGAAAUAGUGAAUACAUAAUUUCUUGUAGAUUAUGGGAUCCGAAGAUUUUACGUUAAUUACUAUAGACUAAAGUUUUUAUCCCUUACCGAAACCAUGAAAGAGACAAUUCAUGACUUAAUACAAUAAAAUAAAAAUGUCAUGAAACAAGCAAACAAGGAAGGUUCCAUGGUGUAGUGGUUAGCACUCUGGACUUUGAAUCCAGCGACCUGGGUUCGACUCCCGGUGGGACCUUUAUAGUGACGGUUUCUUAAAAAAUUAAGAUGUUAAAAGUUUUUUAAAAAAUAUUUCCGUUGCCGGGAAUCGAACCCGGAUCUCCUGGGUGAAAGCCAGGUAUCCUAACCGUUGGACUACAACGGAUUGAUGUUAAUCGUCCAAUCAGUUAUUUAUUUAAUGUAUCCCAACUUUAUGUUGUUACAGAGGUGAAUGAAUGUACUCGGGCUUUAUGCUGUUACAAAGGUGAAUGAAUAUACGACCUUGCUACCAUUUUCGUGGCAACUAAAUUGCUAAUUUCAUUGAUUAGGAAAGCACAAAACUUAUGGCAACUUUCACAUAUCCAAGCCCAGGUUCAUAUACAGCAACAAUCAAGCCAGUUCCAAAUCUUAAAACAAUCAAACCAUAGCUUCUUAACAACGAGGUGGCAUCAUUAUUCUGCUAGAGAAUUUUCUCAGGUAGCAUGUACCAUGUGAUUGACCCUAAUAUGAAUUAUAUGCUUUUUCUAAAUUGACAAGCUUCAAAGACUGUAAUGCAACAAGUUACAGCUGACUGUGAACCUGAGGGGAUCAGAAGGCAUUAACAAUUCCUUGUUACUGGUAUUUGCCAUACUCAAUUAGAUUAGAGCAUUUACAGUACAAAUUAUAGCUGCAAUAUCUAAGCCAAUGAAAAAAUCAACAAGACCAAGAAAAUUUGAACUUAAUUUCCUCUCUUUAUUUUCCUGUAUCAUUCACAGAUUCAUUCUAAGAAAAUAAAUGUCUGCAUCCGACGGACACAGCUACAUAUUGUCAACAGCAAAAGCCUUUAGCAAAUUUUUUACACUUUUUCCCUAAAGUUCUCAAAAGUAAUACUGGGAUAAUGUACAAGAGAAGGGAGGCCAACAACAACUAAAGUAAUUAAUCAAAAACCAAGUCAGUGCUUCCAUUUUAUCUGGUGAAGAAAAUAUAGUCCAUCUUCUUGUUGCAGCACCUGCUUCACACUUAACCGCUUCAGCAAUGACAUUAUGACUUUCUUCACCGUGCUAAACUCAUUAACUCUCACGAUGUUUCAGUAUCAGUGUCAGAGAAAUGUCUUCACUACUACUCCAAUCUGCAAAAAUAGUUAUUCAAACAGAUAGUCUUAAAAUCUUAUUCUGUUCGAAGUAAAGAAAUGGAUUGCAAGAAUUCUCAGGCACUUAGUAGAGAAUUAAGUUUUCUGAAUUUUCUUCGAUGGAAAUUUUCUUUUACUCUACAAAAUUCAGCACAAUGGAAGAAUUAAAGAGCAUGUAUUAUCGUACACUUACGUCUUUUGCUCAUCAUUAUCAGUCUUUUGCUUAUCAUUAUUUUUCUGUUCACUCUGCAUCCUUUGAUCCCUCAAAGUUUCUCCCCACAUUUUGGCCUCUGCAACAGCUCGUUCCCUAUCUACAGCCUUGUCUAAUAUCCUCAGUUUUUCAUUUGGAGAGCUACGGCCCUCAGUCCUUUUUUUAUGAACCUUAUGAACUUCAUUUGGGUCAUACGGAUGAGCCACCAAGUAUUCAAGAGCAAGAACCACAUCACUGAUGGAAGGACGGACACUAGGAUUUUCCUGGACGCACAUGCACGACACAUUUAAAGCCCUCCUAAACAUUGACUCUGGGAACUGACCAUUCAACAGUGGAUCUGCGAACUGUGGAAUAUUCUUUCUGUCUUUGAUCCUGGGACGUACCUAAAAAUGAAUCAAUUUGGCUACAAUCAGAAUAUUUAUUAAUUGAAAAAUAGACUUUGGCAAUUUCAGUAAACAGAGCAGUUUUCAUUCAAUUAUGCAUAGAAGCUAAAACCAUUCCCACAGUAAAACUGCAGAACUGACACUGCUAUUGAUCUUUUGUUAUAGAAGUUUGAUUGACAGAAUUAGGAACCUUCAACAUGAAGAUCUAGUGCAUACAAAAGAAGAGUGUUACCCAAUCAACAAGCAUUCUUUCGUGACCCUGACUAUCAUCCAUUGCUGGACGUCCCGUAAUUAGCUCCAGCAAGACUACACCAAAACUGAAGAUGUCAGAUUUUGCUGUCAACUUUCCAGUUGUGGCAUAUUCAGGGGCACAAUAACCAUGGGUGCCCAUAACUCUCGUCGAAACAUGCGAUUUGUCACCAGUUGGACCGAAUUUUGCGAGUCCAAAAUCAGAGAGUUUUGGAUGGAACCCUUUGCCCAGUAAUAUGUUUCCUGCUUUUAAGUCCCUAUAUAUAACAGGAGGAUCUGCUUUAUUAUGCAGAUAUUCCAAUCCCCUUGCUGCACCAGCUGCUAUCUUCAUCCUCGUAUUCCAAUCCAGAGGCUUCAUUUCAGGUGUAAGACCUGCACAAAGAUCAAUUAAAACUUUGUAGCUAAAGAUAUUAAAUGGAUGGGACAGGCUCAGUGUAGUCCAUGUAAUGGAAUUAUCAGGAUGGCACAUUCAAUGUUAAUGUAAUUUGUUAAUGUGAUAUAUAUUAUGUCAACUUAGUUGUCUUAGACAAUCAGAAGUUACAGUUUGACUUUAUCAAAAAUCAAAACCAGUCAUGUCAUUAUCAGUAUCAUCAACUCCUUUGUCUAAAUAUUUCACUUCUUCCAAUAGCAGAUAUGGUUUGAUUUUGAACAUCUAGGUAUCAUAGAUAAAAUAAGAACUAGGCACAUUGAAAAUAUUACCGAGGAGGUGAUCUUCCAAUGAUCCCAGGGGCAUGUAUUCGUAGACAAGAAGACGCUGGGUUCCCUCAGCACAGUAACCAAUUAAAUGGACAAGAUUCGGGUGACGCAUUAGAGAAAGCAUAAGAACCUCCACAAGAAAUUCUUUCUCACCUUGGAAGCCCGUAUCGUCAAGUUGUUUAACAGCUACAACCUGCAAGAACCAAAACACUUGUGAUCAGCAAACAUAGAUUAGAGGUCUAAACAUCCUAUUGCUAAAAUAAUGAGGAAAAGAAAUUUGUAAUUACUUGAAAACUUACCUGACCAGUUUCUGCUAGUUUCCCUUUGUAAACGGCUCCAAAUCCACCCUGACCAAGAAAGUUUGUGUCCUUGAAAUUAUCCGUCGCAGCUACAAGCUGUCUAUAGGUGAAUGUAUUUUCCUUAUUUUUAUUUUCAUGAGCACUGAGGGUGUCAUCGAGGGUGUUUCUUCGAGCUGGUGUUUCCUGUCUCUCAACUGUAUCGAUUCUCGAAGGACCUGAUUCAUUAAACAAAACACAGCCUUAAUUAAAUUUUCAGGCAUGAACCAUGAGAUUCCAAUUUGUAACAGCAGAUAAAGUUCAGAGGUUUCCAGACUCAAAUUCAGUACAGUGCAUCAGAUUAUUAAAAUAAUAAUAAUAAUAAAGAAAGAAAGAAAGAAAAAUCAUGACUUUAUGAACUAUUGCUAAGGUCAGCUAUCAAAGAUGGCGAGGCUUUUCAAGGAUUAAUCAACUGGACAAUUCUUUUAUAACCCUGUUAACUAAUCUUUAUGUUAAUCGUUGAAGGAAAUUGAAUCUCGGAAUACAUAAUUAUAUCAACUGGACAGUUCUCUUAUAAACCUGUUGACCAAUCUUUACGUUAAUGGUUGAAGGGGAUUGAAUCUCAAAAUACAUAAUUUUCUCUUUUGCACUUGGAUUUGUUACGUAAUGAGCAUCAUUUGUUCAAGGGCAAAUUUUGAUUUUUCUAUUCGCAGUAUGAUGUCAUCUUUAAUUGGUUUAAUAUUGACCAAUCAAAACUCCUCAAACCCAGAAAAGAAAUUAUAAUUAGAAGAAACAGUUGAGGCCAUUUCAUAUCACAAUGUGCUCAAGAAACAGAAACAUGAACAAAAGAAUAAAAUAAAACGAGAGUAAGAAAAGAAAUUAACGAAGACUGACCUGGAGAAUCUUUAUCUUCAUUGAUCUUGGGUUUGGUUUUCUUCUUCCUCCAGCCAAAACAGGGGCAAUUUGGACUCAUUUUCUUCCUCUAACAAAGAAAUCAAAUACCUUUUCUCCGAAAAGCAAAAGCCAAUAUUGCUUUCUUGCUAAGAUGCACUGAAAUCCAUGAUGCUGAAACUUUUAGUUCUACGGUUAUUAAGCUCAAAGGUCAUUAAAGAAACAAAAAAGAAAAGAAAAUUGAUUCUGGUUUUGUACGGACGUAGAUUUAUGGGAGGUUUUUAAAACGGUUGCAAGAGGUGUAAUUUAUUUUUCCUCUUCGUCUUCGUUGUUCUUUGUUGACGAAUGUGAAAGGCACACGUUGCCAAUCAAACGAAAAUAAUUGUCAUUCCAGUACGGAACCCGUUACACGUUUUCCCACAGAUUCUUCUAAUGUCUCUCGUUCUCACUUCUCAUUUAUUAACGUCAUACUAUUGCGUCAUUCGUUCAUAUACAACAUCGUUUUAAAGUAAGAUUAUAUAAUUAUAUCUCUCUUAAAAAAAGGGGUAAUUUUUAAAAACCUCCCCUGAAGUUUGGGCUUGUUGCAAGUAGAUGGCGAGAAUUGAUUUAUUUGUAAAAAACCCCCUACCGUCAGUUAAGUUUAACAUUGACCGUUAGUUGACCGUGCAAAGACAAUAUUACCCUUAACAAUAGUUUAUAAACGAAAAUAACUAAAAAAAAAUCAAAAUUAUUAGCUAUUUUACACUUUUUAAAUUAUUGAUAUUUUCUUAAAGUUCUUAUAAAAAAUUAAAAUUAAAAAAUUAAAAAAUCCUCUUUAAAUUAUUGAUAUUUCCUUAAAAUUCCUACAAGAAAGAUAAAAUUUAAAAUUAAAAAAUGAAAUAGUCAUAAUCUUUACCUAUGAUAUUAUAAAUUUUUAGAAUUGACAAGGAUAAAAUUGUCAAAAAAUAGGGUUUGUGCUUUUUGCACCAAUAAUUUUGGUUUUUUUUUUUAGUUAUUUUCGUUUAUAAACUAUUGUUAAGGGUAAUAUUGUCUUUGCACGGUCAACUAACGGUCAAUAUUAAACUUAACUGACGGUAGGGGGUUUUUUACAAAUAAAUCAAUUCUCGCCAUCUACUUACAACAAGCCCAAACCUCUGGGGAAGUUUUUAAAAAUUACCCUAAAAAAAGAUGUAAAAUUAUAUAACCCAUUAUAAUAGUAGUGUUUUAUUGACUAUGUAAUCUGCUUAUCAGAUAUUUUCUUUGCUUACUACUAUUGGGGUUUGGUGAUUUUUUUUUGGAGGAUUUUAUUUAUAUUACUUAUUAUGAAUUUAUGAAUUAUGAUUGAUGGGUAGUGACAUGUGCUUGAUGACCUGUCGACAUUCUAUUUGUUGAGAGCUUAAUCUGUUUUUAUUUGUGGAUUUGAUAAUUAAUAUCUGAUGCUUAUCCAAUACAUCUCAUAUGAAACCAUUUACUUGCCUAAAGUGUGCCCUUACUUUAAAUAGAGAUGAUUUCAUUGAAUCACGAUGAGAAUUCAGGCAACAAAUAGUUGUUACCGCUUACCAUAUCCAGGUCAAUAUAAAUGGAUCUUUUUUUCUUUUUCUUUUUUCCUAACCCACCAAAUUGACGCAACGAAUAUUGGAUUAAUAGGGUAUCAAACCCAAAAGCACACUUUGUUUUGUAUGCUUCUCAACAGUUCUCAUAAUUAUGGCCAUAAUUCUCAGACAAAAAUUCACUAAGAAAAGUGAACGACAGUUUAUAUGAUCAAGGACGUCUUGACACUAUUUUUCUUAGAACUACAGAAAGACUGAAGCCGGUUCUCAUCUACUGUGCCAAAACCUGAUAGAUGGACGCCGAAUGCUGCCAGCCUAUUGAUAUCUCGGGGAAUUGGGGAUUCCCAAAGACCAUCCCACCAAGCUGGAGGCAGAAGCGGUGUGAAUGCACAUUGAUGAGACUGGUGAUGGCAACUCAAUGGCCCUGCAAAUCGGUUCCAGACGUGCCCCCAGCCAACCUGAAGCCUUAAUCCGCCUGUUAACAAAUUACUUUGAAAGCUGCUUAAGAAUGAGAAACUUAAGUCCGUAGAAUUAUCUCCUGAAAGAAAACAAGUGUUUAGAUACCUUCAGUAUCACUUCAGAAAUGGAAUUGUUCGCAAUUAUAGAUCAAAUAAUAAGAGAGGGGAAAUCAAGGAAUGAAGAGCAUAUAAGUACCAAGACUGUUGGCUGCAGCAAGUGCAGCAAUCAGCUGAGCAUAAGUAGUCCCAACACGCCUGAAAGCCCCAGAAACAACAGCAUGUUUUGCACGUGAUGCAAGAAAGAAGUCUACAAAUGCAACCCAUCUGGGUGCAGGGCCCCAAUCCUUUGCCCUGAAUUCUAAACUAGGCAAUCUGUUAACAUCAUGAGAGAUGUUUCCUCUGAAAGCUUUAUAAUCAAAGUAAAGAACCUGGAAUCAUAAAUGAUAAAACAGAAUUAGAAUCAAGUGGAGAAAAUGUUUGGAGCUGUGAAGGUGAUAACUUUUCCAUUUACAAACAACAUGAUACGGUAUCUCAGUUUAUUACCUCAGCAAAUUCACUUAUAUUUGGUGUAAUGGUUUUUGCAAAAGAGGGGGUAUCAGACACUAUAACUGUCUUAGGUCUAGAUGUCAGGUUCAAGCUGUUCACCACUUUUCUAAUGCACUUCACUGCUGCCUGUACAGCUCGGACAGACCUGAAACAUCAUAAACAAGAACUUGAAUCAUUAAUCAGAUAAAGUUUCAUCAUUACAGGACAAGUCAUAGCCAUCUUAGUAUGACCUAUCUCAAUGUAUGAAUUAUUCCGUAUAAAACAUAAGAGAUAACUUUCUUCAGAAGAUCCAUAAAAGAAAUUUGAAAAUCCAGCUUUUCCCCGAUAACAUAGUGGAAGCAGUGUGUGUAUAUACAUAUAUAUAUAUAUAUAUAUAAAGAGAUCUAAUCAGUUAAAUCCCACAGGAGAACAGAUAUAACAAGUUAGGAUUUUCAAGUGCACUCUUAAAUUAGCCCUACAUGGGCAUAACAAGCAAACUUUCGCCACAAUUCUUCUAGAAAAGGCACAUCUAUUAGGUAUUUAAUUCUUUUAACUUUUACCCUGGAUGAUAUACAUCACUGUAGUGCAAGUGAUAGAUUAUGAGAAGAAACAAAAUAAUAUUAAAUUCCUUAAAUAACAAACCUCAAUCAUAGACUUAUUAAGCAUGAUUGUUUCCUUUGUAACAAGAAAUCAGAAUAAGCAAUACCUAUUUGUGAGCAUCCGCAUAUGCAAUGAAAUAUCAGGAUCCACCCCAUUACCAAGAACCCAUUUGACAGCUUCUUCAACAUCUUCUGAAGGAGAAAUGAGCACUCUCAUGAGCUCACCAAAUACGUUAGGCCGAGCAUGGAGAGACUCAGGAUGUCCAAAUAAAUCAUUAGCUGCAUUUCUCAUUUCAGGGUGUACAUUCUUCAAGAAAAAUUGAGCUGCCACAGCAUCUGUUGUACCUUGAAACCUGCAUCCCACAAUUAAACGUUAAUCAAUGAUACCAGAGACGAACACACUGGCAUCAAAAUUGUUCCCACAUUACCAUAUGAUAGGUUGCUCCCAUUUCCUCCAGUUGCUACAGAGGACAUUUGUUUGGGGUGGCUUCUCAAAAUCAUCAAUCCUCAUAACAAGAUGCCUUCCAUACUUCUUUAAACAACCAUUGCGUCUCCAAAGAUGCUUGACUUCUUCCAAGGUAAAGGAAACAUUGGAAUAUGAAAUAUACUCCCCAAAAGGAUAUUUUCCCCUGAAGUAGAUAAAAGAAAAGAAAUAAUCAGGAGAUAAGAAAAAGCAUUAUAAUAUGUCUAAAGUUCCCUACUCUGCAACCACACAUCAGGACGAGAAAUUGAUGUACUAUAUUUAAUAUCGUAAAAAUCCUGGACAGAAUUUUUUAGCCUACAGCCAAAACAUUCAAUCAUAGUAAAGUGAUAUAAAGAGGCAGUUGAGAAGUAUUCUGGUGCCUCUCAUUUCACCACCAACAUGCAAUACUAUAGAAUUACUAACAUGCAGAUAAGCUGCAACUGUAACUUUUGCUAUUGGUAGAAGUAAAUAUUGAAAUUGCAGUGAUUUAAUAGAUAAUAGAAAGGCUUGAGAAAGGACCAAUAUGCCUGGUUUGCCCAAUGAUCAGGGACCGAUUCAACAUUACACUCAGCGCUGCACCAGUUAAGAUCUUGUACAUUUCAUUCCCAAAACCUGCCUCCGAAGCCUUCCCCAACACAAACCCAUGUUUGCAGAACUGCUCUGGAGGAAGAUUGCGAACUCUCGAAGCCCCUGUAACAGGAUUCCAACAGGUCAGCUUCCAGUUUCGGGGCACCAAAAUAAUAGCAUGUAUGUCUACAGAAAUUAAAAUGUUUUCAUCAUAAUAGUUCAUCAGUAACAAAGCAAGUUCAUAUUCCCAUCAAGAAAUGAACCCGUCAGAAAUUAUGAAAGAGCUCAAUAAUACGUUUAAAUUGACUUCUGAGCAAGUAAAACUCAACUAAAUUUCUAUGGUGCACACAUUUUAAAUUGAUAGUAGCUAGAAGCGUAGCAAUAGUACCAUUUAAAUCAAAGUGACGCUGGAUCAGUUUCCUAACUUUAAGGCUUUCUUCCCGAACACUGCCCUUGAAAUCCUCGCCCAUUUCUUCCACCGUAGCGCACCGUUUCGGAUUCGAUACCGUGCUAGUCUUUGUCUCUGACUCCGACUCCGACUCCGUCUCCGUCUCCGUCUCUGUCUCUUCGAGUAAUUGAGAAGAAUCGACGUCGUUUUCAACUGGAAGGAAAACAUCAGCGCUUGUAUUAGGAGGAGUAUCAAGGGGUCUGAGGAUGAGCAUGGUCAUCGUCAUCAGCAAGCCUACGCCAGCACUACAUAUUACGAAAACGACGACCAUUGUUUGUACAGACAGUCGUCUCCGUCUCGAUCCACCGUGUUUCAUCUUUUUUUAUUGUCAGCUGCCGCCUGUCCUCCGUUUUCAACCGACAAAUACUGCUCGCUUAUCAAGUGCGUGAACAGAGCAGCAGCAGCAGUAGCCACUUUACACUCGCUUUUACUAAACUUGGCCUUGUCGGUGGAUAUUUUUAUUAGGUCCAGCUACGUUGGAUUACCUCCACCUCCAAAGUAUAUAAUACAUCUGACCGUCAGUUACUAUUAUCAAAUAGAUCUGACCAUCAGGAUUACAUGUCCUGAAAGCACAUGAAACGUACAGGAUUAGAGAUUACCCGUUGAGAGGGUAAUUAUGAUCGAAUACGGUGAAAAUAGAUUAAACUUCAGUAUCGGUACAAGGGUUGAGAUCUAUGAAUAUCAUUUUUCCAUAAUCGAUCCAUUUUCGACUUCGAGUGGGUUGUGAGUAAUUAAUUAGUGGACGCGUGUUGUAAAGCAGAGAUAACAAUCAAGCACGAAUCCGGAUUCAUAUAAAGAUCAACAAUAAGCAGCGUGCAUAAUUCAUCGCAUGGGUUCCUGGAUCCGCAAACACAAGUCAUGUGGUAAAGAGAAUGGAAAAGAAAUCGGACAAUUAGGGUUAGACUCAUAAUUGGAAAGGAAAAACAUAUACGGCUUUGUUUCUUACUUGUAAGUUUGAACGCGUGUGGAAGUCAGUUUAAUGAAAUAAAUAUUACAUUAAUAUAGCUUCUGUUGAUAAUGGAUUUGCAAUAGGAAAAUGUAUUCCGGAAAUGAUGCUAAUUUUUGUGUGCAAUGUAUUUGUCAAUUUAAUGUUAUAAAGGACCUGUAAGUAUGUGACCUGUGACACGGUAGAAGAAGUCAGGAAAAUAAAGAACAAUUAGUUAUAAAAUCCUUUGAUUUUAGUUGGCAUGUUGUUUGUGUGAUAAUAUGAGAAAACUGUAAACAGAAGUAUAAUUGUGUGUGAUUUGUUAAAAAAAAUUUCAUUAUUUAUCAGUGGAGAGGCUGUUCGAGACAUUAAAGCAAGGUAUCUAAGGACGAGCAUUACUAAGGAGGUGCAUUGUUGAGCGAAAAAAUGAUUUGUCAUAGAGGACAUUUGUCAUUUCAUAUAGUUUAUAACUUUAAGGCAUAAGUAUUUUUAUAGUGCAUGUUUGGUUUUUUUGACACAACUUAUAUUAACUGUAAACAAAUAUAAGUAUUUUGCAGAUGCGGAAGGAAAUAAGGAUUGCAUUCAAGAACCUUCCUCUGGAACAAAAGCAGAAGUAUUGUAAUUGGGGCAAGAAAUGUGGAAAAAAUGUUGGAGAGAAGGGCAAUUUCAUAUUUAGGUAUGCUCCUGAUCAUUUUGCUGCAAUGGUGGCACAAAUGAGCGACGAACAAAUAGUGGCUGUAAGGGAAUCGAGUUUUAGUAAAGCUAAUAGAUAUGAACUGUGGAAGGUUACAAAAUAAACUUUGUGGGUGGUUGAUAAGGUAGAUGUUUUGAAGUCUGCCUUAUAUGUCAAUGGAAUGCAGUUGGAGAUUAAUGCAUAGAGUUUUUCAUAUAAAAUAGGUAUUAAGGAUAGAGGACUUUUUGUGGAUCUAACUACACUACAAGAAAACAGGUAAUAGAUGACGGGAAAUAACUGUCAUAAAAAGGGGUGCAUGACAGACAGUUCAUCCAUCAUUUAUAUCACUGUCAUUAAUUUAUGACAGAAUAUUUUCUAUCAUAAAUUCCUGAUAGUAUUUUACCGUCAUAUAUCUGUCACAUAAUAUUUUUAUGUGAAAAAAUAAUUAAAUUUGAAUUUGAAUUUAUUAUUAACGGGAAAUUAAAUUUAUUAUUGGCUGGAAUUUUACUGCCAUUUUUUUUAAUUUUUGGCGGGAAAUUAAAUUGUCAUUUGUAAAUUUAUUAUUAAAUUUUGGUAGAAAUUUUUUUAUGACAAAUGUUAUGGGUAUUUCCCGUCAUAAAGUUAAUUUUUUUUAAAAAAAAAUUAUAUGAUGAUUAUAAUUUAUUUGUGAAUUCUUGAUUACAAAUUUAAUUAAUUAAUAAAAAUGAAUAUCGUCAAAAAAACUAAAAGCAAUUAAUAUUAAUUAACCUCCAUUCAAUCCAACAAGUUAAUUUUGAAAACAAAUAUGUCUAGUAUUCAAUGUCAUCACAGCCAAUACAUAAUAAAACAUCCCAAAUAAAAAAGAAAAAAAUUCCAAAAUAUAAAACAAUACUUAAAUCCCAAUUAAACUCCAAGAAAAGCAAUUCAAAUUCUAGUUGUUGUGCAAAUUUUAUUGAAUUCGCAAGUGCACAAAUCUAUUGUAGAAUAGAUUAAUGGUGACGAGUGUCGAUCCCACGAGUAGAUGUAUUUUAAUUAUAUGUAGAAUUAAUUUUGUAUGAGGGUGGUUGGAUUUGUGGUGAAAAUGAUUUAUAUUAUCCUAAAAUUGGAAUUGAAAUGGCGAGAAUAAAUUUAAGAAAAAUCUAUUAAAAUGACGUACUUGGGUAUCUGGAUCCGCAUCAACAUGCACCAUGGGCUAAAUAUUCCUUAUUAAUGUCAAUUAAAUCAUGAGGGGGGUUUCCAUACCUUAUGAACCACACUCUAAUCAAUAUGGUGCUAAAGGCUUAUUGUGCCAAAUAAUAAUAACCUUGUACUAAAGAGCCGGUGAAACCAGGGCGGUAUCUAGACAAGAUUAUUAUUAUUUGUCGACGAAAAGUCAAAACAUCCACAAAAAUUAGAGGGGAAGAGAAAAUAAAUUUACCAAAUAAAGUCCAUGGCACAUGUUGAGACUUUAUCUUCAACCCAAACUUGAAAGAAAAUUAGCUACUCAUAAUUGAACUAGGGGUAAAAUAAAAAUUUAUUAAAAUAUGUAGAAAAUACAAGAUGGAGAAGGAAUUAUAGAAAAUGAAGGUAAAAAAUGAAUUCAGGGAUGUCAAAUUAGGAGGGAGAGACCCCGUUUUUAUAGAUACAUUGAGUAAAUCAUGACCAUCGGAUUAAAAACUGUUUGGACGCUUAGGAUUGCGCCACGUCAUCAGUCAACAGUAUGCAGUUUGACCAUGCGGUUUGAGCAGUCAACUGGCUUGAACAGUGACGCGGUUUGGAUGAAAAUAAUCUUGUGUAUAUGCAUAUACCGUAUGCACGAUUUUUGGUCCACUAACAUGCUGCCACGUCACCGAUCAACAAUGUAUAAGAAUUUUGUCCAAUAGAAUCAUGACACCUCAUCAGUCAAUGGCACAUCAUCGGCCAAUGCCACGUCAUCAUUCCGUAUGUGUGAACAGUGUCGCGAAUAGUAACAUGGAUGGUACCGUACAUAUGAACAACGCCAUUUUUUCUUUUAUGCUCCUCCGAAGGUUUUCGAUUGUCCUGAGUUCAAAAGUGAUGUCCGUUUUGCCAUCUGAGCUCUCGUUCAUUGUGAAAUGACCAUGAUGCCCCUAAAAUGCAUAAAAUACUUAAUUAAAAUAAAAUACGCAUAAUUAAAUCACAAGAAACUUAAAUACAUAAAAGUAGGAAUGUUAGUAAAACUUGAAGUAUAAAAUAAUGAUUUUCUCCUUUAUAAAUAUACAUUUUCUAACACUCAACACCCCCCCAACCAGCUUAUUGCUAGUCCCUAGUAAAUAAAGUGAAAAAAAAAUUCAAACCCAAAUUUUUUUUUAACACUCUUGUUUAUUCAAUCUGAUUAAUGAUAACAAACAAAUAAAAGUAUAAGCAUUAUCUCCAGUCUAAAGAAACAUCAUACCCACAUCAACCAUCCACAUGAAUCAGCCUAGUAGACUUUGUCACAGUUACUUUCAAGAAUGACAUGUCAAACCCCAAAAUCUCACUGGAAGUAGUGACACUCUCACAAGAAAAUUAAACCCAAUAAAAAUAGUCACUCCAAUGUAUGCUAAAUUUGAGAGAAAAUAAUACAGAAGUAAUAUCACACGCUUUCACCAAGAUGAAAGAAAUUUGCCCAUAGCUUAAAAAUAACACGAUCUAAAGUCAAAAUGCUAGUCAACCCAAUGUAUUCAUUUUUUUACUUUUUAUUUUUAUUAUUAAUUUUUAUGCAUCACUAUAUCUUUUUAGCCCAUAUAUCUAGCUUCUACUUCAGACUAUAGCUCCCUAAAAUCAGGAAGAACUUUUAUUAGGAUGUAACGUAGGCUAAGAACAUAGCUAACAAAUGAAGGAAAAUAGGAAAAAAUAUAUAUAUUUGAGAAAAAGUAGAAAUCUUUUGAAAAUUACAAGGUGGAUUUCACCUAUUAUUAUUUUUUUUAAACAACAAUUUUUUUUGUUUUUUUUGUUUGGCACAACUUCACUGAACAAAAUAAUUAUUUAUAUUUUUCUCAAACAUAAAUAGGUGAUGAAACUUGUAAGAUAUCGGGUAAUACUCCAAAUUGGAGUGGGUUAAGAUGAUAAGUUUGACAAAGAAAUUUUUUUAAAAAAAGGCUCAAAAGGGUUAACUAUGGAUUUUUCACAAAAGGAUAGCUUGAAAGGCUCAAACGAGUCAAAGAUGGUAUUUCCAUCAUCUUUUAGGGCUCUAAAUAAUUUUACAUUUCUACUAGUUAGAUGGACCUCAAGAUGUAGCAACAAACAUUUUUUUUCUUUUUUUAUCUUAAUUUUUUUUUCUUUUUAGAGGGUUGACUUAAAAGAAAUCUAGAGAUCGUAUAUAAAAUAAUAAACUGCUAAGCUGUAUGAAGAAUGGGCAAAAUAGGAUACUCUCCAAGAAAAAUGAUAGGCUAAAAAAAAAAAAACUCACUUGGUGCUUAUUAUGACAUGUGCAUUCUUUUAAUCAACUCAUAUUUGUCUCCGACAUCAACAUGUAGAAUAACAAAUAUAGUGUAACAUCACUUAAGACCAAAGAUAAUAUACAUACUAAAAUUUGAAAGUCAUCCUGUCAUCCUGUCAUCCAAUAUAAAAAAAAAUACACAAUGUUUUUUUUAACGACAGUCUAACCCCCAACAUAUUCUAAACAUGAAAAGAAAAUAUGCAUGCAGAAAGGUGAAAAUGAUGUAGAAAAACUAAUUAGUAAAGUUACACUUAAAAUGAUAGAAAAAGAAAAUAUUUUUUUUAAACUAAGAAGAUGCGUUUCUAGAGGCACCACACUCUAUAUUCAGCCAUCUUCGACUCAAAAAUUUUAAAAUGCAUAUUUAUAAAGGAGAAAUUAAAAAGAAAAGUUUUUUUUUCAAACCAAGAAGAUGCGUUUCUAGAGUCACUACACUCCAUAUUCAGCAAUCUUCAACACAAAAAGUUAGCCACGGUUAGUUUCCACAACAAAAAAUUAGUAAAAACGUAACCAAGAUUUCACAAUUAUCAACUAUUCCCUCCCCUCAACCAGAACGAAACAUUGCUCUCAAUUUUUUAAAGGAAAAAAGUAGAGUUUAGAAGACAUCACCUGAGUGGUGCAACACAGAAGAAAAUAUUUACAAGUGGAGAGUUAAAUCUAAUUUUUGCUUCUUACUGUGGCUACUGUUACCAUUAUUAUUUGGACGCUCCAACACAAAGGUCCAUGGGUCUGGUUCCAAUUUAUAAGUUUGUAACAGAUCAAGUAGUUCAUUAGCAGUGUGAGCACAAAUAAAAAGUUUUUUCGCUGUGAAAUGAAUGAAAUAAUUUUUUUAUUACAUGGUUAAGAAAUGCGAUGAAGCCAUCAUAAAAGUUAUUGACAUUUAACAAACCGAUGGGUUUCUGGUGAAUGUGCAGAUGGGCCCAAGAUGUUAAUGUGAUAAGCGCCUCUAGAAUUGAAAGAUCUCCUAGCAUCAACAUGAUUAAGCAUUUCAGUUAUUCUUUCUUGCAUACCUGAGACGACUAACUCUUCUCCAGUCGGUGAGUCAGACAAACUGCCCAAAGUUUUUAGGGCCCUUGGAAUGAUGCCUAACACUUGGCUUCCUCUGACAAAAACAGCUUCUGAGACCAAUUUUGAUAACCCUUGGUUACCUCCUCCAUACACCAAGUGUAAUUUUCUCUCUGCUAUACUUCGACCAAGAUCUAUGGCUGCAUCAAUGAACUCUUUAUGUUUGCCAUAGUUAAAUCUAGAAAGCACACAAAUGUUCUUGAAUUGUUUGUUGGGAGUAGCUGCCAUUGGGAUACUUCUCAAAAAUAAUUUGUGAGUGCUUAACAAAAAGUCAUAUUUAAGAAUCUUGGUGACAGUGGGUCACAGCUGUGUAUGAGGUAGCAUGUCAAUGUCAAUUAACGCGUAAAGCACAUGACUCAAAAGUCAAAAAGCAAACAGUAAAAAGGAAAAAAAUGAGGAAAAAAAUUAUUAAAGACAAUAACGCAAAUGAUAAAACAACAGUGAAAUAAAAUAACAGUGAAGUAAAAUGAUAUUUACAGGUAGUUGCGACUGUGGCUCACAUCUUCCUCUAGUUUUGCGUCCAGAAACGGCUUGAACGCCCUCUAUGGGUCGAUGAUAGGCUUCCCAUCUAGUUUUCUUAUAAACUGGCAAACAUGGUCGUUUAUAGUCAGAUUCCCGAGACUAUCGUGCAUGCUCUUUCUUGAAUAAUGGCCAUAAUUGGAGAAUCGCUCCUUGUACAUAUCCAUUGGGAUGCGUUUCAAGAGACAAAAGGAUAUCAUCCAAUGACUCCUUAAUCAAGCCAUCCUUAAUGAAUUGAAUCUUAUCUUCCCUGUUAUCAGACACCAUUCUUAAAGAAUAUGAUUUUUUAUCGCAACUCAUUCUGACACACUUAUGACAAGCAACAGAAAUUCUUUGAGCUCUUCGUUUUCUUGCAUAAUUUCCUUUACCACAACCAGGCAUGCAUGCAAUAAAUUUUGGAGGUAACUCACCUGCCAAUUGCACUUUGGCCUCAAUUAACCAGCGGAUGUCAGCAGGUAUGUUAUUCCUUAUGAGCAAUUGCAUGCUUUCGGACCAAACUUUAUAAAUUGUAAGGAGGGCAUUCUGAGGAAGUGAAGGGAAUUGAUAAUGAAGCUUUGCUAGAAUCUCAUUUAUGUCCAUACCUUCGCCUCAGAAGAUUAGUUUUUAUGGGAAACUGAAGUAACCGACUUGAUUGUCACGGAGUACCGUUAUCCGCCACUUUGCCGGGGUAACAAACUAAAACACACAAACAAAGAAAAACAAACUAAAACAUAUAAAGAAAAUUACAAUCAUCCUCUUAUUGAAUUGGCCUCAAGCUCCAACUGGAUGUUGUAGACACAUCUCUCAAUGUCUUUGAGUUGGCUUUCUAAAUCCUCAACAUGGGAUACUAACUCUGGUGGUUGUAGAGCCCAAAUAUGAUGUGUUUUACAAAAUUGAAUCUGCCUUUUGAAAUGAGAUUUUACAUGUUGAAGUGGUCUAAGAAUGUCCAGGAGGAAUUGUUUAGCUAUGGCACUCAUGAUUAACAAUGAUAAGAGAAAACGUAAUGGUUAAACAAACACACUUAUGCAAAAAUAAUUUCAAUUAGUAAAAAAUAGUAAAAAGAAAUAACAAAAAAUCAAAUCACCGAAAAGAAAAAAAAUCUUAAUUCAAAUCUGGUGGGUCACUUAAAUUUAUUUCGAUGUCCUCUCCAUGUGGUUGGUACUCUAGAUAUGACUUUAAUCUUUGACCAUUAACUUUAAACGUGACACCAUUCUUUGGGUCCUUAAUUUCAAUUACCCCACGUGAAAAAACAGUGUGGACAAUAAAGGGGCCAAACCAUCGAGAGCGUAACUUACCUAGGAAUAGGUGCAAGCGAGAAUUGAAUAAAAGCGCUUUCUGGCCUGGAGUGAAAGAUUUUCUCAUAAUUUGCUUGUCAUGAAAGACUUUCAUUCGCUGCUUGUAAAUUUUGGCAUUUUCGUAUGCAUCAUUGCAAAUUUCUUCAAGUUCUGCCAGUUGUAAUACUAAUGUUAUUGGUGUCAAUGUGCAAGUGUACACAAUAAGUAAUAAAGUGAUGAGUAUUCAAGAUCGUCUCCACAAGGGUUGAUGUUAUUAGACUUGCUACAACAAUCUUAACAGUGCAGAUUUUAUGUCUAAAUUAAGAUAAACAAUUGAUGAAACUAAUUUACUAAUUAAAAUAAAAACACAAUAAAUAAAAUGCAACAAAGUAGAUUAUCACGUCAAACUCAAGGAUAAAAACAAUGAAAAUAUAGAGUAGUUGAGUGAAUAAACUCUCUUAAUGGUCUUGACUAUUUUCUAAUGGUUGGCUCGGUUGCUGCAGUAUUUGCUACAGCACUGGGCAGAAUCCUUAUGUAUCCUCAGCCGUCGCAUGUUGGAUAUUUUAUAUCUAUAUGCAACCUAACAGUGAUCAGUUGUUAUGCCAACAUAAGAUAUAACAUUACACGCUUAGGUUUUAUUUACCCUACAAGCAUGACCCUUUUGGGACUCAAGUAAAACUCAAUUCGGGAAACUUAAUUUAAGAUCAAAUAUUGUUCUGAUAUGUUCCGCUAAGAUAAGCCCUUUUGCGGCUCUUCAUUAGCUAGUAUCAUUAAAUAAGUGAUCAACCGAAAUAACGAAUAAAAUAAAUACUAUCAAAACAAACUGCUACAGCAAACAUGCAGCAACACAUAUUUCUAGUCAAUAAACCAUCAAGAUUGUUUAUCACUUAACUACAAAUAAAUUUAGUUCAUGGUUUGUAAAAGAAAAAUAAAGAACAAAGUUUCAGCUAUGAAACACACCUCCAUAAAUAAAUAGAAAACGAGAAAACAAGAGAAGAAUAAGAAUGAUUGAGCUCCCAAUUGAUUUCUAUAAAUUCUCCUCUUGUGCAGCCCUUAAUCUCUCUCUUGAAUCUUGUUUUUCUUUUGUUUCUUUGUGUUUUUCUCCUUGGGUGACGGCUCUCCUUAAUCCUUAUGAUGUGUGCUUCUUUUAUAGUUGAAAAUUAGGGUAAACGGAAGCCUAGGGCGCGCAUAAGUCAAAUUAGGAAACUGCAGAUUGCAAUUCUGCAAGUAUCCCGCAUGGAAUUUUCUCUGUCAUUGUUCCAGGAUUGCUAUAGCAAUGGUUGCUACAUUAACGACUACAUCAACUGCACUGUUCCAAAUUUGUUUCAAUUUUUUUGUAGCUAAAUUCUUCCUCAUUUUUGCAAGCGUAUUGCAUCAACAUUCCUUCCAUGAAUUAUAAGCUUCCGGAAACCUACAAUUAUGCACACAAUUUAAGCACGCAUUACUUUAAAUUAAGCAAAACUCAUUAAGACUAAACUAAAAUAAAUAUUUAUGUAAAAUGUAACAAAAAUGCAAUAGAAACACAUUAUUUACUCUCUAAGUAAUAUUGAUUUAAGUCUAAAAGUGCCAUGAUAACUCUCAUUUCAUAGAGUUAUCACACCCCCAAACUUAAGCCAUUACUUGUCCUCAAGUAAUGACAAUAACACUAACACUUCAAUCACACAAUCAUGCAACAAAUAACUUAGCUCUGUCAUCAAAUUUGUAAGGAUUCUUCAACCCUCAGAUCACACUCUUAAUCAAGCAAAAUAGCCAUAGAAAUUUAGUUCUAGACUUAGGCUUCAUUCUGUCCAGAGUGUGUGUGUGCCACUUUGAUCAAAUUCCAGAGGUGCUACAACGUUACACAGACAUAUAAUUCAGAGAUAGAACACAAAUAUAUUCACAUAUGGAGGAAUAGAGUUCACAAAUAAACUCAAACUGUGCUACAAUAAUAAUAUUUUUUUUUUUCAGUUAAACUCUUCAAUGCAACAUUGAGCUUUCAUAUGAGUGCCCAUCACUUGUAAUGACGACACCUAAUUACUCAUUCAAAGUACAUGUCAGAGUUGCUACAGCAACGUAUUCAAGAUGUUAUAUCUAGGUCAUACCUUUGGACGCCUUUGACUCAAGACUGAACACGGGGCUCAUGAACAGACCAGGUUACUCAGUAUCCUAGGUAGUAGACCUCUUUAUCAUCAUUUUUUUUGCUUUUCUUCUUCUUUUUUUUUAAUUACUGCAACACUGCUCGUAGCUCGUGUUGCCUUUGGACUAAAGUUUGCAUAUGGGGUGCAUACUCAAUCCUGGUUACUCAACAACUUGAACCAUUGGAGCAGAAUUUAUUUCGUAACAGGGACAGUCUAACAAAAAUUUUCCUCUAAACUUGGGAUAUUUUCUACUAUUUUGGGAAACUCAAUUUAAGAUCAAGUAUUGUUUUGAUAUGUUCCACUAAGAUAGGCCCUUUUGCGGCUCUUCAUUAGCUAGUAUCAUUAAAUGGGUGAUCAACCGAAAUAACAAAUAAAAUAAAUACUAUCAAAACAAAUUGCUACAGCAAACAUGCAGCAACACAUAUUUCUAGUCAAUUAAACCAUCAAGAUUAUUUAUCACUCAACUACAAAUAAAUUUAGUUCAUGGUUUGUAAAAGAAAAAUAAAGAACAAAGUAUCAGCCAUGAAACACAUCCCCAUAAAUAAAUAGAAAACGAGAAAGCAUGAGAAGAAUAAGAAUGAUUGAGCUCCCAAUUGAUUUCUACAAAUUCUCCUCUUGUGCAGCCCUUAAUCUCUCUUUUGAAUCUUGUUUUUCUUUUGUUUCUUUGUGUUUUUCUCCUUGGGUGACAGCUCUCCUUAAUCCUUAUGAUGUGUGCUUAUUUUGUAGUUGAAAAUUAGGGUAAACGGAAGCCUAGGGCGCGCAUAAGUCAGAUUAGGAAACUGCAGAUCGCAAUUUUGCAAGUAUCCCGCACGGAAUUUUCUCUGUCGUUGUUCCAGGAUUGCUACAGCAACGGCUACAGUAAUGGUUGCUACAGCAACGGCUACAACAACUGCACUAUUCUAGAUUUAUUUCAAUUUUUUUGUAGCUAAGUUCUUCCUCAUUUUUGCAAGCCUAUUGCAUCAACAUUCCUUCCAUGAAUUAUAAGCUUCCAGAGACCUACAAUUAUGCAUACAAUUUAAGCACGAAUUACUUUAAAUUAAGCAAAACUCAUUAAGACUAAACUAAAAUGAAUAUUUAUGUAAAAUGUAACAAAAAUGCAAUAGAAACACAUCAUUUACUCUCUAAGUAAUAUUGAUUUAAGUAUCAAAGUGUCAUGAUAACUCUCAUUUCAUAGAGUUAUCAGUCAUCACUAAGGUUUGAAAGAAAAAUAUUAUCAAUUAUUUCUUCUAUUAAAUUCAUGUCAAUAAUUUCAUCAUCUGCAUUGUGAGGUUGUUUGGCAAUGUUGAAAAUGUUUAGCUCUAUAGUUAUGUUGCUAAAGGACAACUGCAUAUUUCUAGUUCUGCAUUGAAUGUGAGCAACGACAAUUGCCAAGAAAGGUCGGUCGAUGAUAAUGGGGAUGUGCUUCCUUGAAUCCUGGAUUGGUUGAGUAUCAAUUACAAUGAAAUCAAUGUGAAAAUAAAACUUGUCUACAUGGAUAAGCACGUCCUCCACAAUACCACGAGGUAUUUUCGUGGACCGAUCUGCAAGUUGUAACACCACUGGAGUUGGGUGUAAUUCUCCAAGUCCAAGUUUCAUAAAUACUGAAUAAGGUAACAUAUUUACACUAGCUCCUAGAUCCAAUAAAGCAUUCUCAAUUGUGUGGUUCCCUAUACUACAUGAGAUAGUGAGGGAGCCUGAGUCUUUGUAUUUUAGAGAAAUUUUGUGUUGGAGUAUAGAACUAACGUUUUCUGUUAAAAAGACCUUAUUUUGAACGUGAAUGUUUCUCUUUUUAGUGCAAAUGUCUUUAAGAAACUUGACAUAAGAUGGAACUUGUUUUAUAGCAUCAAGUAAAGGGAUGUUAACACUUACUUGUUUGAAGAUCUCAAAGAUCUCAUCUGUGAAUUUUCCCUUAUUUCCUUUAACUAACCUCUGAGGAAAUGGAGCUUUGAGAAUAUAUUCUCGUGGGUUGGUUUCUUCUUUCUCUUUUAAUGGUGAGUCCUCAACAUUUACAUGUAUAAUUUGAUUUUCUUUUGUUACCGGCAUCUCCACUUUGUUGUCGACUUCUUUUCCUUUUCGCAAGGUCAUGACUACUUUGACCUCUCCAUGCUGCUGUGGUGAACUAGUACUUACUUCAUGCCCUCCUUUAGGAUUAGGCACUGGUUGACUUGGAAACUUGCCUUUUUCAACAGUCAUUGCUAAGGUCUGAACUGAAGAAGCAAGCUGUCCCACCAUCUUCUUGAGACUUGAAACUGAUUUGGCUUGUGAGUUGAAGCCUGCUCUCAUCUCAUUUCAUAGUUCAUCGAUGGUGCGGUUCUGUUGCUCAAUCGUGGAGUGAAUAAGAUUCUUGAGAUUCUGGAAUGAAUCUUCCCAUGGUCUGGGUUGAGAGUAGUUCUUGUUCUGAUUAUAUGGUCUAAAUGAAGGCUGAGAGGCUUAAGGAAUUUGAGGAAUUGGUUACAUUGGUGGAGCUGGAGCUGUUGGUCCAUUCUGUUGGAAUCCUUGAGACCAUGAAAAAUUGGGGUGGUCUCUCAAUCCAGGGUUAUAUGUGUUGGAGUAUGGGUUGUAAUUUGAUGGUUUUCUCAUUACACCUAUGACAUUGACUUGAUCUGAGUAUGAGUCAUGGUCAUGUGGUUCUGUUGAUUUAGCAGUCGUUAACAAUGCUAUUUGUCGAGAAAGAUCUUCAAUUAUCGCUUUGACUUCUUUAAUUUCUGAACUUGACUCGCCAAUGUGAACUUCAUUUACUCCCUUAAUUCUUUUAGUAUUCCUGAGUGAUUGACUCUGUUGUUGGAAAUAUCUACUUGUCGCUGGAAGAAUUCUCAAAUCUCAUAUGCACUUUUUGACAUUAGCUCUCCUCCACUUGUUGCCAUUAGCCAUUCUUGCACAUGUGGCAAUAAUUCCUCCAAAAAGUACUGACAUUGGUGCCAUUUCUCGUACCCAUGAUGUAGCCACUUCAAGAGUAGCCCAUUGAAUCGCUCCUAUGUUUCGAAAAAUUGCUCGUCUUCUCUUUGGGUAAACUCUAAGAUUUCCCUGCGAAUAGCAUUGGUUUUAUGCAUUGGGAAAUAUUUAUUUAAAAAUUUUGUUACCAUUUGUUCCCAUGAUGUAAUGUUAUUAGCAGGCAAUGUAUUGAGCCAUGAACGAGCUCUAUUCUUUAAAGAAAAUGGGAAUAGUCUAAGUUUAACAUCAUCGUCUGAAAAAAUCUCAUAUUUAAAUGUUUGACAAAUAGCAUGAAAAGCAUUUAAAUGAUUAUAUGUGUCCUCAUUUUUUAGGCCAUAGAAUGUUGGGAGACAAUUUAGCACACUACGUUUAGUUCAAAACUCCUAUCAGCUACAUUUGGGUAUCUUAUGCAUGAUGUGCUCAAAUUAGCUAAAGGACUGAAAUAGUCCUUAAAUGGCCUCUCCUGUGGUGGUUGUUGUUGUUGCAAAUCCAUUUCACUUUCGUCUUUAAUUACAACGUGUUUGUGUGUGCGAAGUAUUUUUUCAAGUUCAAGGUCUAUAGGUUCAAGAUUAGGUAAUAAUGACCUUUGACCAUGCAUGGAAAGAAUAUAAAAAAUGGGAACAAAACAAAUAAAAAUAACGAAGAAAGAGAAAUUACGGUACUAACCUUAUCACACUGUUACAACCUUUCUAUAAAAGCACACUAAAACAAAUACGUGAAAUAAAUUAACUAAAAAUAAAUUAAUAAGAUCAACAAAAAAAUUACAAAGAAAAAUAACUUGAAAAUUAAAUUAUAGAAUUUUAAAGAAGAGAGAAAAAAAAAUUCUUAGCUCAAAAUGUAAAUUCACUCUUUUUUUUCUUUCUUUUUUUUAAAUUAAAACAAUUACAAGAAAAAUAACUAAAAGAAUUUUUUUUACAAAAAUUAAUUCUACAAAUUAAAAUAACUUACCUCCCUAGCAACAGCGCCAAAAUGUUAUUGUGCAAAAUUUAUGAAACUCGCAAGUGCACAAAUAUAUUGUAGAAUAGAUUAAUGGUGACGAGUGUCGAUCCCACGAGGAGGUGGAUUUUAAUUAUAUGUAGAAUUAAUUUUGUAUGAGGGUGUGUUGUGAAAAUUUUAAUAUACUCGCAAACGCACAAAUCUAGAGAUAGAAUAGUGGUAACGAGGUCGAUCCCACAUGGAUUGUUAUAAAUUGAAAAGUCUAAUUUAAAUCUAAAAUUAAUAUUAAUUCUAACCUAGUUGACCAAAUUGAGUUUCUAAGAAAAUUAAACCAAUUAAACUAAGGACGCAAUUAAAAUAAAGGAGAAUUCAAUAAGACAAAAAUUAUCAAGGUUUCAGAAUCCACCACUAUUCAACUAGUAAUCAUCUAAUUAUUAAUUAAUCCCCAAUUUUAGAGUGACAACUUGAAAUCAAUCUAUGUCAUCUCAUGGAUAUAACAAUUAAGCCCAAUUAAUUAAAUCUAAUAUAGGUUCUUUUUCCGCUUCAUAAUAUGACAUCUAAGUAUCCCAUGUGAACAUAUUGAAUAACAAAGAGUCAAAGUUUUCCUAAGCACUUUAUGUAAACAAUUUAAUGAAAGACAUAAAAUCAAAGAUAAUCAUGUAUAAACUUUAUAGAUCCAAGCAUAGAAUUAAUCGAAUAUUAAUCCUGACAAUCAAUAAUGCAUGACAGAAUUGAUGAAAAUUUUUUAAUAACAUCUAAUUAAUUAUGUAAAAAUAAAAAACCAUAAACAUUAAAGCACAUAUAUAGGGAAUUAAAUAAAUAAAAAGAUAAUUAUUUCAUUAAAUAAGGUUUCAUCCUUAACCUCAGUAUAAGAAAAUUAGCUAGACAUACUUGAAUUGGGAGCAACAAAAUAAAUAAAAUCACUCAUGGAAGUUGAACUGCUGCUGCUGUCCAGCCUUGCGUCUUGCGUUUGCAGCUCUCUUCUUCCUCUCGCGGCUCCCUUUUCUCCAAAAGCCAAAACCCCUUUUUAUAAUCUUUAAAAUGGGCCCCACCUCUUAAAUCCUAAAGCCAAAAAGGCUUGGCGUUUUACUUGAUUUGCUCUCACACACGUCCUGGGCACUUAAAAUUGCUAAAGGACUCUUUUUUCCAUUUAUAAAAGCCAAGUGUGGGUCCUUUCUUAAAGCUAAAUCAAUUUCUCUCCUUUGUCCGCAAGUACAUGAUGAAUUAACUUGUUGAAUUCAAUUCCGUGGCUUGAUUUCCGCAUGCAUGUAUGUCUAAUUGCUUCCAAAAAUCAAUUAAUCUUUAAUGCUUACAAAUUGAACUCCUUUAUGCUCCUUUUAUCCAUAAUCUCUAAUUAAUUUUCUAUUCAAUAAAAUAAUUUAAUUAAUUAAAAAUAACAAAUAAAUAUAACUAGUAAUUAUUUAAUUAAGGGUAAAAUAUGUAAAUAAAUUAUGCUCAUCAGAGUGGUUGGAUUUGUGGUGAAAGUGACUUAGAUUAUCCUAAAAUUGGAAUUGAAAUGGCGAGAAUAAAUUGAAGAGAAAUCUAUUGAAAUGACGUACUUGAAUAUCUGGAUCCGUAUCAACAUGCACCAUGGGAUAAAUAUUCCUUAUUAAUGCCAAUUAAAUCAUGAGUGGGGUUUCCACACCUCAUGAACCACGCUCUAAUCAAUAUGAUGCUAAGAGCUUAUCGUGCCAAAUAAUAAUAACAUUGUACUAGGGAGUCGGUGAAACCAGGGCGGUAUUUAGACAAGAUUAUUAUUAGGGAAAUUAUCCACUGUCCACCCGUUUUUUCCAACUUUUUCAAAAAUACACAAUUCUUUUUUUUUUUUUUACUGGAAUCCACCUGAAGUUACAUUUCUUUUCACUUUUCCACUUCCGUUUGGAAUCUGUUAAGGAAAUUAACGGAAUAUUGCUUAAAUGACUUUUUUAUCCUCAAAUGUAAAAGAUAAUUUAUCGAUCGACCACUUGUUUUUUUCAUACUUUUUCAGAAAUACACAAUUCUUAAUUUUUUUUUGCUGACCUCCACUCGAAGUUGUAUUAUUUACACCUAUCCACCACUGUGUCGUUGUAAAAUGAUGAUUUUACCCUUAUGAUGUUAGCAAAGUUAAAAUAGUCUCCAAACGGAAGUGGAAAAGUGAAAAGAAAUGUAAUUUCAGGUGGAUUCGAGCAAAAAAAAAAAAAGAAUUGCGUAUUUUUGAAAAACGGUGAAAAAACGAGUGGACGGUGGAUAAUUUCCCUUAUUAUUAUUUAUCGAUGAAAAGUCAAAACAUCCACAAAAAUUAGUGGGGAAGAAAAAAUAAAUUUAUCAAAUAAAGCUCAUGGCACAUGUUGAGACUUUACCUUCAACCCAAGCUUGAAAGAAAAUUAGCUACUUAUAAUUGAACUAGGGGUAAAAUAUGAAUUUAUUAAAAUAUAUAGAAAAUACAAGAUGGAGAAGGAAUUACAGAAAAUGAAGCUCAAAAAUGAAUUCAGGGAUGCCAAAUUAGGGGGGGAGACCCAUUUUUUAUAAAUACAUUAAGUAAAUCAUGGCCAUCAGAUUAAAAAUAGUUUGGACGCUUAGGAUUGCGCCACAUCAUCAGUCAACAGUACGCGGUUUGACCACGCUAUUUGAACAGUGACACAGUUUGACCACGCAAUUUGAACAGUCAACCGGCUUGAACAGUGACGUGGUUUGGUUGAAAAUAAUCCUGUGUAUAUGCAUGUACCGUACGCGCCAUUUUUGGUCCACUAACAUGCUGCCACGUCACCGAUCAACAGUGUAUAAGAAUUUUGUCCAAUAGAAUCGUGACACCUCAUCAGUCAAUGCCACGUCAUCGUUUCGUAUGUGUGAACAGUGUCGUGAACAGUAACAUGGAUAGUACCGUACAUGUGAACAAUGUCAUUUUUCCUUUUAUGCUCCUCUUUAGGUUUUCAACUGUCCUGAGUUCAAAAGUGAUGUCUGUUUUACCGUUUGAGCUCUUGUUCAUUGUGAAAUGAUCAUGAUGCCCCUAAAAUGCAUAAAAUACUUAAUUAAAAUAAAACACGCAUAAUUAAAUCAUAAGAAGCUUAAAUACAUAAAAGUAGAAAUGUUAGUAAAACUUGAAGUAUAAAAUAACGAUUUUCUUCUUUAUAAAUAUAGAUUUUCUAACACGCAACACCAGCCACCGAGCCAAGUUACCCAACAAAACUUCCAAAAAUUAAUAAAAUAUUCAAACAACAAGACUUCUAGCAAGACUCCAGCAAAACUUCCAGCACCAAUACCAUCUUCCAAUAGCACUCUAAUUCCAGCAUCAAACAAGGUAAAAGUCAUAGAUGAAACUUGUAUGAGCAAAAUCAUCCACAUUAAUAAAGAGUAGCUGCUGCUCUUUCUCCUACUGUAAAAGAGCCGCAUUACGGUCUGUCAGCUUAGCAAUAAUGGCAGAAGUAAUUCCAGCAUGUAUUUUCUAUCCAGCAGGGCCAAAUCCUCAUCCUUAAGGGCUAAGAUAUCGAAUGAGAUAAUAAAUAAGUAAAAGGUAAAUACGAGGGAUGCUAAAACAAAAGAAAACCUAAAACUGCAGGGAAAAAGAACCUCUUUUCCCACUACUAAGAGUAAUAUAAGAUAUAACUGCAAUUGAUGCUGCAGGCAUUAUUUGUCUUUUAGAUUGCACAUGUGAUGAUCAUGCUUCAUCCCUUUCCUUUUUAGUCUAGUAAUUACACAACAAGCAACAUCAUGUUGAGGACAAAUCAAUAUGCUAAGGUCAGUGAGCUGCUCAAGUAAUGAUUUAAUUACAAUUUGUACUAUGGUCAAAGAGAAGAAGACAUAAAAUGUAAAUGUGUAUUUUUUUAGAGGAAGAAAAAAAUGAAAUUUGCUAAGGCUCAAUGCGUAUUUUAUGGAUAAAUACAUUUUAUAGAGAUAACGGCAAGCCUAUAAACUAAUUAUCUAUAAAAUCAAAUUAUUUAGCAGCAACCUCAUAUUUCCAUUAACUUUAGCUAGCACAAUACAAUAUGUAUACAUACUGGAUAUUCACUGACUCACCUAAAGCAACAUGAGAAAGUUGGACACGAGGAUCAUCCGCAAGUAAUCUGUUAAGGUCCAAUAUUGCUUGCCUGCUGCUGCCUCUAAAAUGGUCUGGAACCUACUCUUCAGGCAUUGCAACUGUUCCCCUCCCAAAGUGUGUUGUCAUAGACAGCUAUACCGCCCACUUUGAACAACUUCAUCAACCUCUCAUGUAGUUACAAUAGUUGUCCUUGUCGGCAUCCACAAAAGCAUAGUCAAAACUGACUUCAUUUUCACUCUGCAGCAGAUUCCAAAAAGGAUAUUUGUUCAAAAACAAAAGUCAAUUGAAUGGAAGAGUAAUGGAAGGAACAAAGGUACAUAUUUCAUAGUAUUACAUCUUUACAUCUUUUAGUAGCUGAUCAAGAACUGAUAGUGCCUCGGACUCAAUGAAGUUUAUCUUGUGAUCAACUCCAGCCUUUUUAAUGAUAGGUAAUCAUAUUUCAUAUGUCUCACGAUUCACAUCAAUUGUUGUAAUCUGCAAUAUUUUGUUUCCAGUCAUAAAUAGCUUAGUAGUUAAGUGCAUGAUAUGAUAAUAAGAUGUUAACAAAAUUUAACCAAAGCCAUAACAUAUUGCUGGAACACUGCAUUAAUAAAUUCAAUUCUACAGCAUCACAUAUGACUAUGGACUAUUUACCUGACCAUCCUCUGGAAUUGUGAGUGCAGUGAGAAGAAGGGAAUAUCCAGUGAAAACUCAAAUUUCAAUAGUUUUCUUUAAUUUCAACCUCAUAUUUCCAUUAAUUUUUUAUCCUUUUUUUCUAUUUUAGAAUGAAACACAAAAUUCAAAAAAUAGAGAUGAAUAUAUAGCUACACUAAUGAAAUCAAAAUUAUUGAUUCAAACUAAAACAUAAUAAAAAGGAAAUAAAAAAGUGAAGAAAUGUUACCUAGGCUCAAAACUCUAGCUCCUGUUCCAGCCACCACACAAUAGCCACUGCCGCCACUGCUUUUAAUCUUUUAUGUCGAUCUCCACCACCAUUAGAACCAUAAAGACCCACCCAUCAAAUCCCAGCCGUAAAUACCACCGAUUUACUGCAAGAAUCACAAAACACGACUACCAAAUAUCAGCGAAACCUGCACCAUCGUUCACUAUCUUCCAGCGCGAUUUACCAACCACCACCAACAACACAUUACUCAUCAUUAGUUGUAUCUAUCUGGUUACCUCCCUCUUCCAGCCCUUCCCUUUUUGCUGGAAUUGAAGCAAAAAAUCAACACCGGCGCUUUCGUAAUUUUCGAUCAAAUGCUCGCGAAUUGAAGAGAACCUCUAGCAGGAUGUCGAAUUGUGGCCUAUGGGUGGGAUUCAAAGGUCGACUUUUUUACUUGGGUUAAUUGGUUGUGAAUGUAGGAAUUUUGUUUGAUCGUGAGUGAGGAGGGUUUGAGCUUCUAGGGUUUCAAUUUCUUAGGUUGAGAGAGGAUUUUUAACUUAGAAUAUUUUGUAGUAUUUUUCUAAAACUCACCGUUUGAAUUCCUUCAUUUACUUUUUUACAUCAUUUAAAUUAUUAAUAAAAUUAUAACACACUGUUUUCUUUUUCUUUUAAUAAAAUAUCACACCAAAAUUUUGGUCAAAUACGGUCAAAUUAAUAUUUCUAUCAUAAUUUCCUAAUAGAAAAAAUUUCAUUCACAAUUCUAUCAUAAAUUCUUGAUAGAUAAUAAUUCUAUCAUAAAUUCUUGAUAGAUAAUAAUUCUAUCAUAAAACCAUCAUCAAUUCAUGACAAACCAAAAUUCUAUCAUGAUUUGGUCAUACUAUAAUGAUAGAAGUCAAAUCCUUCAUAAAUUGUCUGUCAUCUAUUGCCAGUUUUCUUGUAGUGCUAAUGAUAUGGCGGAUUUGACCGGGUAUAUAGAUAAGUAUGAUGCAAUAUCGCGAGGUAUAAAUAUCAAGACAUUAUCUCAUAUGCUGAGAAAGUCGAAGAAUGAAGAUGACGAAUUCAAUGUGACAUUUACAUUGUUUGCACUUUAAUCACUACUUUGUCCGGUGGGUGGUGUUCAUAUAAGUUCCCAGAUUUUGUUUUCUGUUAUAUAUGUUAAGUCAAUUAGGUCAAGGAAUUGGGCAACUUUUUUGUGUUGGCUGAUUGAUGGAAAGAUAACGAGGUAUAAAGAAGAAAAAGUUGCAUAUAUUGGUGGAUGUUUGUUUUUCUUGAGGUAUGAUUCAAUGGUCAAAGUGGCGGGUUGAUGUCAUAUACUGUGAAUGAGCUAUUAAUGAUUGAGACGUAAAAAGUUUUGUUUUUCCUUUCUGGCAAAUGAUGCUUUAACUAUUUGGGAACAAAUAAUUGGUUGAUUGAAAAUAAAUAGCUAUAGUACAAUGCAAAUAUUUAUAGUUAGGCAUAUGAAAAUUUUAUUUUUUUAAUUUUAGAUACUAUAUAUCAACGUAGUUGCCUACUCAAAGAUACUAAGAGACCUAAAGAAUUGUUCGAUUGCAUUGUGGAAUUCAAUUGAAAUAAAAAAGUUUAUGAAGUGGUUCGAGAAGAAUAGCGGCAACCCGAAAGAGAAGGUAUUAAGAUAUUUUAUUCACUGGCAUCAAUUAAAGAGUAUUAAUGCAUGUAAUAUCGUGGAUAUUAUGUUGUUGUUGGUGCAGAUUGGAAAAUUUCCCACUACCUAAACAGGACAAGAAUAAUGAAUAAAGGUGUUGGGAUGUGAGAAUUAAGAGGAUUAAUGAUUGGGUUGGAUUUGGCUUGAGACAAUUUAUUUUUUGCCUCCUCUUCGGAUUGAAUGUGUUCACUAAUUCAUUGGUGACUGAGAGUGACACGAGUAUUAAAUUGUAACCAAAACAAAUUCAUAGUUGUAUUGGUUAAAUGCAUGCAUAAUUUAAUACAAAUUUAUUUUAAAGUUCCUAUCAUCAAGUCCAAAACCGUGGAUGUGUUAAAGAUUUUUUUCAUUUGAUUUGGGAGGAUUAACAUUGACAAUAAGUUGAAUAUUUGUUAAUUUGCAGUUAGACAUAAAACUUUAAUGGUUUUUAUGUUCAAUAAUUUGGUAAAAAUGUAUCGAUGAUAUCAUUUACGUAUUAACAUUAUUUAAUUUGUGGGAAAUGGGUGUGCAGAUGUUUUAUAUAAGUCGUGGUAGUAGGUAUUAAGCAAGGUAGUUAGGUGUUUGGUUUAAGGUGACAUGAUUACAUGAUUAUUAAGUGGGUCGUGUCAGGUAUUUCGUUAUUUUGGCGACAAGACUACAUGAUUAAAUUGAAAAGUGAAUCGAACAUGAAUUUUUACCAUCGAGCGACAACCUCUAAGGUACCACACUUGGUUUGUGUCUUGUUGUAUGCGACCAUAUUUAUAUAAUAUUUGUAGUGUUGUUAAUGAUUUCUUAUUCUGGGCCUUCUGGCACUAGGUUACUGUGACGAACAUAGUUGGUUAUAAAUUUGUUGGUUAACCCAUCUAAAAUCAUUUAAUGCAACACUGGUCAAAUGUUGACUAUAUAUUAUGUUAUUGGUAUAAGUUUUAACUUCAAUAGUAUGAAUUACAUUUAUCCAUGUUUGUGUACGUAUCAAUACUUGAAGGUAUAGAGGAAGUGAUGAACGAAGUAACAGACGAAUGUUCAGGCGAUGGCUCAUGGGAUGGUUUUGGUUAUUGUUCCUUGGAUAAUCCACUGUAUUGUUCAGAUGAAUGGCCUGUGGAUAGUGUAGAGGAUGGGCCCGUGGAUUAUUCACAGGAGGGUGUAGAAGAUAUGCGGUCACAAGUUCCUCUAAUAUAUGAGAAAGUUAGUAGCAUUUCAGCUUGGGUUGAUCGUAUAGUAUUUAGAGUUGAUAGUUUUGCAUCUCGAGUUGAUAGUAAUUCAUAUCGACUUAAAUGUCUAUCUCGGAUGACAUAUGAGAUAUUGGGCAGUCUGAAACAAUAGAAUGAUGGUUCGUGUGGUAAGCAUCUACAUAGAAAAUAAAGAUAUGAAUUGGGAUACUUAGAUAGAACAAUAGUUUGAGUUGCUUCAAUUGGCAACGAUCCGGAUAUUAUAAACGGUGAAUUGAAAUUAGAUGAUAUUUUAUGUAAAAUGAAUGCCAUUAAUUAUUCCGAAUGGGAUCUGAGCGGGAGGCAUUACAUUUGAAUGAUAUGUGGUCCAAGGUAGUGUAGUGUGGUUCACUUAUAUAAUGGUACAUGUGAACGGAUGACAUGUGAAAAAGAACAUGAGGAUGUCACACAUAUUGGUCAUUUUAGCCCAGGGCCUUUUGUUGUCCCACGACCUGUAUAUGAUGGUGACCUCAAGUUGAUUACAUAUAUAAUGAGUGAAGAUCUAGAUAAAUGCGAAUUAAAAUUCAAUAUUGACUAUAGUUUUAUGUUGCAAGUUGUGUAAUGUCAAUUUUUUUUUUUUUGGUUUUUCUUAUUGGUACCAUCGGCGAUAUCGAUUGCGUUGGUUCUUGCAAUAUGUAGAGAGGCCAUAGUUCAGACAAGGAUAAACAUGGUUUAUCAAAACGAAAUGCUAUCUCUUUGUCCCAAAUGCUUAAUUCACGGAGGGGGGGGUAGUAGUUUAUAAUGUGUAUGAAUUGUCAAACUUAAAUUAAGUUAAAUUAUUUAAUACCCUAAAGGUGAUUUCUGGAAAUUCAGAUAAUUUCGAUUGCUGGGAAAACACUCUCUGUGAAGGAUUAGCAAAAAAAAGAGAACACGCAUCGCAAUUGGUUUAUUCCAACGUAUUUUUCAAUAUGAGUUAUUGAUGUCUUUAUUAUGCUAAGUGCAAUAAGCAUGUUUGUGAUGAUUUAAUAAAACAAAUUGGGCUAACAUAUUAGGUUGAUUGUGAACUCAGUGGAUGGUGUUAUCAGAGAACACUGACAUGAGUAAAGUAGGCAGAGGUUUUAAGUUUCGACAAUAUUACAUGGACAACUUAAGACACUAUGUUAAGGUAAUUGCAUUAAUGUUUGGAAGACUAUGUAGAAAGUGUAGUUAGGUAUAUUGGAUUAAAUAUUGGGGUUGUUCAAUUUUCAAAUAUUCAUUCCCAUAAAGCAUGGGCAUUCCUAUUGGUAUGUGCUUGUUGUUGACCUUCGUUGUUGCUGUACUGAGAUUUGGAAUCCAUUUGCCAGCAUGUUGAAUGAAAAUGACUUACAUAUGGAUGCAAAUUGCAUGGUGAGUGAUAGUUAUAUGGAAUGUGCAUGUAUUAAAAGGUUAAGUAACUGAUACAUCUUAUUAAUAAACAAUUACAUGCAUUUUUUGGACAUGUCAUUCAUAUUGUGAUUUGAGGUGCUUAUUACUUUAUAGCUCAUCGAAUAUAAUCAUAUUCUAGGUAUGACAUGUGAAGGUAUUUACGUUUGUUGUGUUGCUCAGGCAGUUUUGUGGGCAAUAAAGUUGUUGCGGAAUUUUAUUUUUACUUAUAAAAAGGUUAAUUUAGAAAAUAUGGAUAAUGAUAUCUUAGUUCGGUAUUGUAAGAAAUUUCUUACUGUUAUAGUCAUUAAUAUGCAGUGUGAUAGUUGUAGUUUGGAACGAUUGUAUGUUCAAUCGCCAUUAUCUAUGUAUGCAUAAUAUUUCAUUGUGGUCCGGAAGUUGUAACAACAUUAGAUUGAAAUAAAUAUCGUCAUAACGUAAUUUUUGUAACUUAGGAAUAGACAAUUUUCUGUUAGUAUCUGAUAGAGUUGUUUGCAUGGACGUGCAGCUUCGUGCACUUGAUGCUUUGCUGAAAGAUGAAUUAAGGAUUGUUUAUGGUGGAGAGUAUAAGUUUGAGAAAUUUGUAGUUAGCGUUAGACAACAGUUACCAAGGAACCUAAAAGUUUACGACUGUGGUUUGUACAUUAUACGCUAUAUAGAGAAUCAAGACACUUAUAUGGACUUUGAUUACAAGGUUGUGCACUAUAAUUGUCCAUCAUGUUGGUUGUGAUGGUAAAUGUCAAGUUAUGGUAACACACUUAUAACAUGAUUUGUCUUGACAUCAUGAAAUUAGUGUUGGCACUAGAACUCGUUAAAUCUGAGAUGAAGAUGACAAAGAAUAAUGUGUUGCAGACUUUAAGGAAUUUUUGUUUGGGUUAUGAAGUUGUUGAAAUUAGUAGGUUCGAUUCAUAUGAAAUGAUGUAUCACAACCAAUGCAUGCGAUCUUAAUGCAUGGGACAUGGCCGAAUGAACUAAUAUUGGUUGUGUGACAGUAGAACUAGGACACUGAUGAAGUCGGCUAUAUUGACAAAAGCUAUCUGCCGACCACCAAACCAUUAGCUGCCGUUUGAAAGUUAACGGAAUUAUAGCGAAUUGACGAUUUUACCCUUGAAACUUAAAUUAAAGUAAAUGAAAAUGAUCACUUGUAUCAUAUGAAAAUACCAAAUUACCCCUCUGAUGUCAUCCUAUUUAAACGGCAAGUAACGGUUUAUGGACAGCAUAUACAUUUUUUCAACUUAGGGUGGUCGAUUGAUACAGCCUCAAAGUGUUGUAGUAUUUUUGUCAACUUAAGGUGGACGAUUGAUACACCCUCAAAAUAGUAGUAUUUUUGUCAACUUAGGGUGGACGAUUGAUACACCCUCAAAGUGUUAUUAUCAUUUGUAUACCUUUAAAUUAUCACUUGUAUCAUAUAAAAAUACUAAAUUACCCCUCUGAUGUCAUCCUAUUUAAACGGCAAGUAACAGUUUAGUGGACAGCAGAUACAUUUUGUCAACUUAGGGUGGACGAUUGAUACAUCCUCAAAGUGUUAUAGUAUUUUUAAUAACGAAGUAAAUUAAGGGUAUACGAAUGAUAACUUCCCUAAAUAGUAAAACACACAUUGUAACUUUGAUUAUGUGGUUAUGAAGGUGUGAUAUACCUUAGAGCAGUUCGAACAUAGUUAGAUUAUUAAAUACUUUCAACCGGCAUAUUAAUCAGCAAAAUGAUGGACUAGACAUAGACUCAACUAACCCACAUCAGAUUUGCAGGCAAAUGGAUUGAUUUGCAAUCAAGUUCACCUAGCCGUACAUUAUAUUACAUUGGGUCUAAAUAUUAUCUACAAUAUCGUGGAUCAGAAAUUGAUUACUUUUCAUUUCGUAAAAUGUGAUCUGCAAACACCCCUACGUUUGAACAGAUGCACAAAACUCACUUAUUAUGUUACUUCAAUAUGGCGCGUACGAGGAGUAUAAAUUGGGUGGACUGCUGGAGUUUGUGUUAACCCUAUUAGCAAACCAUUAUGUACACUCUGCUUUUGUGGAGUAUAUGAUGCGAACUUGGAGUUAGAAGUAGUAAGUUGGCAAAAUUAAGGAAGCCAUAACACUCGGGGGCGAUCCGAAUGUGCAUCCGAGGAUCGAAACCAUAUGCUCAUAACUCCACGGUACAAAACCGAUCCACCCCAAUUUUAACACAUUUGGAAAUAUUUCUUUUAUCCAAUAUCUUACUCAAAACAACUAAGAUAUAUAUAAAGUUUAACAUAAUGAACUGUGUUAAUGGUUUUUAAUAUAACUAAUUUUUUAUUGCAAGGUCAUUCAUAUAGUCAUAAGGGAAAUCGAGUGAAGAGAAGUUAGAAGCCAAAAUGAAAAUCCAUGCCAUAAUAUGUGUUUCUUCAUAAAAGUAAUUAAGGAAAUAACAUGUGUCGCAAUAUAAUAACCGCUAAGGUAAUGACAUGUAAUAAUUAAUGAUGUAGUAUUAUGGACAAUUUAAUGUGACGCUAUCUAUAUUAAAACACGCGAAAACCAGUUAGAUAGAACUAAUGACCUUAUUAUAAUGGUUAACACUAAGAUGUCAAGUUUCAUAGAUGCUCGAGGACGUCGAGGACGAACUAGAGCCAUUUUAAACACACAUAAGUUGCAACAAAAUAACCGCCAUCGACCUUAACAAGAAUGGAAGUUUACAGCAUGCAAGGUCAUAAAGGCAAAACAUCAAAGAAGGAACCUAAGCAUUGGGUAUUUCAAACCAAUUACAAUGGAGGGAGAUCUUACAGGACAUGCAUAACCAAUAGGAAGUUAGUAGUUCUAGUUUCCCUGUUUCGAAAGGGAAUCAAUGCAUUGCAGACAUGGAAUAUGCAAAUCAAAAGAGAAGGUAAGAUAAAGUUAAUGCAUACAAGACAGAAAAACAUACCCCGAAGCACCAAUAGGAAGUUGUCGGUUUGUGGAUCGAGACUUGAUAAUCUGGUGAAAGAUAAUUAUACAGGGGAUGCAUCUGAAUUUGAUAAGAGAAGGGAAAAUCCAACCCACUGGGAAGAUGACGAAGAGUGUGAAUUGCUAAAUGAUUUGGAUACAAGUGGAGACAUGGGACAUAAUGGCUCGAGUGAUGAAAGUAGAGCAUACAAAGCACCAUAAGACGCAAUAUUAUUUGCCGUAGACAAUAUUGGUGUAAAGUUUGACAGCAGUUACAAGCAGGUGAUGGUUAUGCACGAAGGCCAGAAAUUUUGUAAUGGGAAUCGAUUCAGGAAUUACGUGAAGGCAAUGGCGCAACAAAGGGGUUGAAAAAUGUGCAUUAUGGAUAACGACAGGGAUCGUGUAUCGUACGAGUACUCUGACUUUAGAUGUGAUUGGCAAAUCGAAGGAAAAAGAAUGCUUGGGUGUCAAAUUUUCAUUGUCACCAAGUAUAGACCAAACCAUGAUUGCAUGCUGAAGGAACCAGAGUUUAAGAAAUCAGCUUCGUGGCUGGCGCAUCAUUACAUGCACGUAUGAGACAAUGAUCCUGGUGGUGCAAUGUUUUGGGUGGAGAAGGAAAUUAACCACAAGUAUAAGUGAACUGUGAAAGCAAUUUACUUUUGAAAGCAGAGACAAUUGCCAUGGAGAUGGUUGGGGAGACCAUGAUCAAGCGUAUGGAAGAUUGUACUCUUCAUCUGAGACAAUAAUGAAGACACAUAAGUUGAACCAUGUUUCAUCAAAAUAGAGUGGUCAUAUUCACAAUAGAGGUUUAAGGGAAUUUUCUUGGGAUUAUUUGAAAUAAAAUGAAGAACAGUAGAAAGUGUUAUAAACCACACUUUAAGUAUAGAUGUUAAGUAUUUGAAACAACUAACCAUAGUCACGCUUGUGGACAACUGUAGAAAGUUGGUGUGCGUCAGACCCAAAAAAGCUGUUCGGCAUGUCUCGGAUCAACGGCGGAUCCAUCCUAGAACCACACGUCUAUGACUGCUUUUUUUAGGGAAUUUUGUUGAUGGACCACAUACAACAUAAGCAUUUCAUCAGUGAUGUCGAUAAAUUCUAGGUUUGGAGAUCUGAUUGUGACAUUGUGCUCAUUACUAGCAAAAAAAGAUGGAUUGCAAUUAGUUAUCACUAACACCAACCUCUUCAGAGUUGUUGAAGAAAUGAUAAGGUUCGAGGAUAGAUCUUCUAAGCUAAGAUAAACUAUUAAGGAUAGCUAUUCAAGAGAACGCCAUCAGGAAAACAAAUUUUCAGUGAUGUCAUUAGAAGGCUGCCACAAUAGUAGCUGACCAUAUGGAGGAACUGAGAGUGCACAAUCUCUAACACUGGAAACAUUAUCGUGCAUACCACGUAGCCCAUCAUGGAAGCGUACAAUAUGAAUACCUCUCUAAACAUGCCUUCAUCGUGAAGAUAGAAUAAAUGUGGCCACAUUGUCUUUUAUGGGAGGAAAACUAAGGAUGUAGGACAUAAUAGAAUUAAGUAGACCACUUAUCCUAUAUUAGGAUUUAUCCCCUUCCUCUGCAGAAUGAUUGAUGCAUAGGAUAAACAUCGCCUCUGAUGAGUUCACCAUGAAAGGCCUUCUCCACACACAUAAAUGAUAACAUGAACAAACUUUGAAUUAUUCAUAAUGAAACGAAUAUUUGAAUGACCUAAAAAGAUAAUAUAUAGAAGCAUUGGAGUAUUUUCUUAACCAUAAUUGACAAUAAACACAUUGACAGUUGAUCUUAUUUCAGUUCUUGAAACCCCAACGCAUGUAUUUUUACAAUUCCUCUAAAAGCAUACAUGGUAUGACAUAAUCAUUGACUAUGGGGUGGGGGAAAAAAUAACGAAACAAGUUCAAUAAGCAAACGAACUCUAUAUGGCCGUAAUCAGUAGCACUCCAAUACUAUAUGUCGCACAUUAUCGGAUGUUGCGAGUGUGACCUUUCGUCUGGCCUUAAAGAAAAAAAGUGGAAAACUGAAUAACUGUCAUUUCAAUUAAGAGACACACUUGUUAGUUGUUUCGGGCACUCUUCUAACAAACGUUUGUGGUUCAUUGGUUGAAUGCUAAACCAAUCCGUAAAUUGUCUCAGGUGAAAGAGUAAAUAAAUUACAUUAUACUUAAUGUUGAUGAUAUGUCAUUUUUCCACAGGCUAAUUAAUUUAUUUUAACAAGGUCGGUUCCGUGUGUCUUAAAUGGGGAAAUUUACCGUCAAGAAAACUUAAGGACCUGCCCACUACUUCGUUAGACCUUGAACGUAAUUCUCACGGGUGAUAGAAAUACUUUGUUCUACUUCUCACUGGGUUUCGGUUGAUAAAUCUCAUGGUGGAAGUGGAUUCAAUAGUAUUACCGAUACUAAUGUGGACAUAUACUAGUGAAAUUUAAAUUAAUAGAGUUGGGUGUACUAUCAAGGCAAAUUAGUUAUUUAUUAAAUGUCAUCGUUUCACCUAGUGACGAUAAAAUUUUAUUGGUGUCAAGUGACUAAAAUUUAAUUCAAUAAAGUUGGGUGUGAUUGAGAAUACAAACAUUAGAUGGCAAACAGUAGCAUUUUAAUAGUAUAAUUUUGGGAUUAAUGAGAUCACGUGAGCGAUGCAUGACUAUAACAGUCAAACAGAACAACAAUAUUGGGCUGCGUUUUUCACGUUACAGAAAUCACAAAUUCACGUGCCUAAAGCUUGUAACUUCUCAAAUCUAAAGUUAUUAUCAUCAAACGCUCCUUUAGGGAUACAAUGCCACAAUCACACCAUUUCCUAAAAAUAUUCAUCUGCAUUACGAGAUAAAUAAAUUCAACACCAAUCUCGGUGAAGCCAGAGGGGGAUUUGUUCAAUGACUGGUGGUAGGGGUGGGCAAAAUCGGAUUCGGAUCGGGUUUGGAUCAACCCGAUCGGGUUUGGGGUAAGUCGGGUUAGAUAAAAAUUAAUCCGAAUACAACCUGAACUAAUGACCCGAUCCGAUUCGAUCUGAAUAUAUUCGGAUCGGAUUAGAUCGGGUCAAAAAAUUGGAUUAACUUCAGCUAGAAUCGGGUUCAAAUUAUACAGAUCGGGCUAAUAUACCAUCAAUUCCAAGUCUCAAACUCUCAAAGGCCAAAGCUUCAUAUCAAAACUUAAGGGGAGUGGGAAACUCGGGUUGGGUACUGGAAUUGAUUUGCACUUGUAGCAGCGGGUUGGAGUAACAGAUUGGAGCAGCAGAUUGGGUGGCAAUAGAUCAAGUGGCAUCAGAUCGAGUAACAGCAAAACUCAAGGGGGAAGAGAAGCUCGAGUCGGGUAUUGGAAUUAGUUUGUACUUGCAACAGCGGGUUGGAGUAGUGAGUUAGGUGGUAAUAGAUUAGGUGGCAUUAGAUUGGGUAGCAGUAAAUCCUGCGGAUGUGCGGCAGCAAACUGUUCGGCGGUGACCGUGACCAUGAGUGCGAUUGUUGAGUGUUAGAAAAUGUAUAUUUAUAAAGGAGAAAAUCAUCAUUUUACAUUUCAAGUCUUACUAACAGCCCUUACUUUUAUAUAUUUAAGCUUCUUGUAAUUUAAUUAUGUGUGUUUUAUUUUAAUUAAGUAUUUUAUGUAUUUUAGGGGCAUCAUGGUUAUUUCACAAUAAACGAGAGAUCAGACGGCAAAACGGACAUCACUUUUGAAUUCAGGACGGUCGAAAACCUUAGGAGGAGUAUAAAAGGAAAAAUGGCACUAUUCACAUGUACGGUACUAUUCACGUGUACGGUACUGUCUACGUUACUGUUCAUGACACUGUUCACAUAGACGGAUCGAUGACGUGGCAUUGACCGAUGAUGUGACAUUGACUGAUGAGGUUUCACGAUCCUGUUGGGCUAAAAUUUUUAUGUAUUGUUGAUGGUGACAUGGCAGCAUAUCAGUGGACAAAAAAUCUCGCGUACGGUACAUGCAUCACAUAGGAUUAUUUUCAACCAAACCGCGUCACUGUUCAACCCGGGUCAAACCGUGUUACUGUUCAUCCGCGUGGUCAAACCGCGUACUGUUGACUGAUGACGUGGCGCAAUCUUGAGCGUCCAAACUAUUUUUAAUCCGAUGGCCAUAAUUUACUCCAUGUAUCUAUAAAAAGGGGGUCUCUCCCCCUUAUUUUGAUAUUUCUGAAUCUAUUUUUGGGAUCCAUUUUCUGUAAUUCCUUCUUCAUCUUGUAUUUUAUACGUAUUUUAAUAAAUUCCUAUUUUGCCCCUAGUUCAAUUAUGAGUAGCUAUUUUCUUUCAGCUUGGGUUGAAUGNNNNNNNNNNNNNNNNNNNNNNNNNNNNNNNNNNNNNNNNNNNNNNNNNNNNNNNNNNNNNNNNNNNNNNNNNNNNNNNNNNNNNNNNNNNNNNNNNNNNNNNNNNNNNNNNNNNNNNNNNNNNNNNNNNNNNNNNNNNNNNNNNNNNNNNNNNNNNNNNNNNNNNNNNNNNNNNNNNNNNNNNNNNNNNNNNNNNNUGGUUCAUGAGGUGUGGAUUCCCCCCUCAUGAUUUAAUUGGUAUUAAUAAAGAAUAUUUAGCCCAUGAUGCAUGUUGAUACAGAUCCAGAUACCCAAGUACGUCAAUUUAAUAGAUUUUCACUUCAAUUUAUUCUUACCAUCUUAAUUCGAAUUUUAGGAUAAUCCAAAUCAUUUUCACCACAAAUCCAACCACCCAUUUACAAAAUUGAUUCUACACACAAUUAAAAUCCACCUCCUCGUGGGAUCGACACUCAUCACCAUUGAUCUAUACUACAAUAGAUUCGUGCACUUGCGAGUUCAAUAAAAUUUGCACAACAGCGAUCCAUGAAGAGACUUCUUAACUUCUUGUUCUUGAGAUGUGCGUGUACCGUGUGCGUGAACCGUGACCGUGAGGGGGCAUCGAGCAGGCUGUGGCCGCUACUGUUGAUCAACGGCAUGCUGUGAGUAUGAGGGAGGUUGUGACUAAUCUGUGAGGGUAGUGAGUGUUGUGACUUGUGUUGUGUGUGUUUUGCCGUUUUGUGUAAUGUGUGAUUGUGUAUUGUCAAUUGUGUAAUUGAUCUGUUUGUGUGUGGUGUAUGGGUAAUUUGAUUUGUUUAUGUGCUGUGUGUGAUGGUGUGUGUUGAUGUUCUUUUUUUUUUUAAUGCAACCCGAUCCGAUCCGAACCCAAAAUUUUUCGGAUCGGUUCGGGUCAGAUUGGAUCGGAUCGGGUAUUUUGCCCACCCCUAACUGGUGGGGACUCAGAACCCACUGAAAACCUAAGAAUUGUGAUUGUGCAAACGUCUUCAAUAAAUUGUCAUCAUGGGCCCAAUAAACAAUACUCAAGAGCCAAAAAAUUUUUUACCCUUAAAUUCUGACCCCCAACAAUUGUAAAUACAAAUUACAAGAGUUGGGCUUUCCACCUAAAAUUUAAUCCUAUUUUGAUUUUUAAAUAAGUCACAAUGGCCUAAUUUUUAAUGGUUGGAUCUUACAUUUAUCCAAUUCCCCCAUGUGUGCAGUACCCAUAGAAAUUUCAUAAACUUUUUUUUCUUGGUAUCUUGUAAUAUACAAAAGACUAAAUGUGGUGGCAUAGCACACAAUUGUACCUAACUCUAAGCCCUCAAACAAUCAGUAUGUUGUCUUCUUCAUUGGGCGAAGCAAUAAGGGGCUAGAACAUUUGUGCUUGUUCCACUUGGGGGAUGGGCGUGAAGGGUACAAUGGUAAAUUGAAUUUUGCACGACACUAGUUGCGUAUGUAAAUGGCAUAAGGGUGGUAAUGGAUCGGAUCUAACACAUCAUCCAUAUGAUCCAAGUUAAAGCUUAUUGUCCGGAUUGCGGUAGGUCAAAAUUAAAAGGACUCUGCUUGGAUUCAGAUAUCUUUAAAGUGUGGAUAUAAGUCAGGUUAGGAUAAAUUAUGCGUCAAUCGUAGUAUCCACAUCCACAUUGUUAUGCACUAAGCUUAAAGUCCAUUAACGUUUCAUGGUUCAUCAGCUUAGCAUUAAUACUAGCUUUACCUGAACAUUAUUAACAACAUAUUCGUCUUUGCUUACACUAACCAUGUAGUCACCAAUCCUUGAACCCGAAGGUUAGAAUGUCCAUUGUAAGUGACGAUAUAAAAUAAGUAAUUAUAAGUAAGGUACAAUUACUACAGGCGGCAUAAUUUUUCAUUGUGCAUUCUACCUUUGGUCAUUAACUCUAAUUGAAUGCUCAAGUGGUAAGUGUAUUAACUACCCGAAAAAUCUGUAGAUUUGAGUAUCGUAAACGAUUAUCUUCUCACAACCCAAUAGUACGAUGAUACUAAACGGUGGCCAUCUACCAUGACAUAUGUUUUUUUAACAUAGAUGGAAUUAAUACAGUGUGUAUUUAUUAAAUUUUCUUGGCAAAUUGAAGAACUUAAGUUGAUAUAAAAACAAUUAACUUUUUCAAUUCCUUGCGUACAAAUUAUUAUUGUUUUAUUAUUUAAAUUGCCAUAAUUACUGACAGAUGGAGACCGAAGGUGGAUUUUAACUAAAUUACAGUUGGGAACAAUUACGAUGUUUAUGAUUUCAUAAUUAAUUUGUACGUGGAUCGAAAACAAUGAACUAUUGUGGAUAUAGAGCAUUUGCCGUAUAUGACAUUAGCUUGUAGAUAUAGAUGUGGAACAAAGUAGGUCUAAUCACUCUCACUGCCUUGUUGCCAGCCCUAGUAAGAGCGUUGGUGUUGAUAUUUUCAAGGACCAUAGGGAACUCAAUUCCCCAUUGAAAAACAAUAUUUCAUGAAAUAUUUAAAUACCGGAAUGUAUCCUAAAGUUAUAAAUAAAAUGUCAUAUAUAUUAAAACCUAUAUAACCCCCCCCCCCCCAACAGAAAUAAUGUAAAAUAUGUAUUCUCAAACUCGAGCAUUGCACACUGAAAAGCAGGCCUAUAAAUAUUAAUAUAUACAUUUUUUCCUAAAUUGAUAACCCGCACGCUCAUUAAAAAUUAAUCUUGACAUUUUUUUUGUACUGUGCCUUUUGCAUAUGAAAGAGGCUAAAAUUAAAGUGACAUGGCACACUAACUCAUCAUAUUUCCAUGACCCCAAGCAAUCUAGAAUAUGUUGUGUCCAACCUAGUAUAGAAGGGUAGAUAGUAAAUAAAAGAGACAAAGGAGGCAAUGAAUAAGUAUAAACAAAGAUUCCAAGCAUACGUGUUCAAUGGAGAAUGAGAGAGUGACCAAAGAAAUGGGGUCACAAUGUUAUUGUCUCAACUACCAAGCAAUUGUUCCCUAGAAAUUUGAAGCUGACAAAGCACAAGAGUUAAUUAAGGCAAUGAAUAUAUUAGAAAACAACAAGAUUCCUGUUGUGAAAAAUUUUAGUAUACUCGCAAGCACGCGAAUCUAGAAAUAGAAUAGUGGCAACGAGGUUGAACCCACAAUGAUUGUUAUAAAUCAAAAAGUCUAGUUUAAAUCUAAAAUUAAUAUUAAUCCUAACCUAGUUGAGCAAAUUGAGUUUUUAAGAGAAAUUAAGCUAAUUAAACUAAGAAAACAAUUAAAGCAAAUGAAAAUUCAAUAAGACAAAAGUUACCAAGGUUUUAGAAUCCACCACUAUUCAAUUAGUAAUUAUCUAAUUAUUAAUUAAUCCCUAAUUUUAGAGUGACAACUCGAAAUCAAUCUAUAUCAUUUCAUGGAUAUAACAAUUAAGCCCAAAUAAAAUUAAUCUUGUAUAGGUUCUUUUUCUACUUAAUAGUAUGAUAUCUAAGCAUCUCAUGUGAGCAUAUUGAAUGACAAAGAGUCAAAGUUUUUCUACGCACUCUAUAUAAACAAUUUAAUGAAAGACGUAGAAUCAAAGAUAAUCAUAUAUAGACUUCAUAGAUCCAAGCAUAAAUUUAAUCGAAUAUUAAUCCAAACAAUCAAUCAUGGAUGACAGAAUUGGUGAAAAGAUUUAAUAACAUUCAACUAAUUAUGUGAAACAAGAACUAUAAACAUUAAAGAACAUAUAUAGGGAAUUAAUUAAAUAAAAAGAUAAUUAUUUCAUUGAAUAGAGUUUCAUCCUUAACCUUAGUAUAAGAAAAUUAGCUAGACAUACUUGAAUUGGGAGCAACAAAAUUAAUAAAAUCAACCAUGGGAAGCCGAACUGUACUGCUCUUCCUUUUUCCUCUCUGCCGAAUACUCUCUUUGUGCGUCUAGCGGCUCCCCUUUCAAAAGCCAAAGUUAGCUUUUAUAAUUAGCUAAAAUGGGCCACCAACCUUGUCAAUUUUAAAGCCAAAGGCCAAGCCUUUUAAUUUGUUUUGCUCUCACACGUAAUCGUCACUUAGAAUUGCAGUAGGAUUCCUUUUUCCACUUAUGAAAGCCAAGCGCGGGUCCUUUUAAAUUGCUUCCCAUAUAUUACAAUGACAUGCAUGUGCAUUCCAAUUAACCAAAAGCCACCUAGUUACGUUGUGGUUAAAUUCUUCUUCACGUGCUGAAUCAAUUAAUUUACUAGCUUCGGUUUCCUCGGCUUCACUUCCAUAUGCAUAUAUGUCUAAUUGCUUUCAAAAUCAAUUAAAUAACACUUCCAAAAUUGAGCUCUUUUAUGCCUUUUUUUAUCCAUAAUCUCUAAUUAAUUUCCUAUUCAAUAAAAUAAUUCAAUUAAUUAAAAAUAACAAAUAAAAAUAACUAGCAAUAAAAUAAUUAAGGGUAAAAUAUGUAUAUAUUAUAUGUUCAUCAAUAUAUAUUGGAAACUUUGCCACCUGGUAGUACAACCAGUUAUUUUUAAUAAACUCAUUUUCCGAAACAUCUUCUUUAUAAUGUAAUCCAUGAUAUGCAUGUAUCUAAUGUAACUUAUGUCAUAACAUUUCAAGUUCCUAGAUGCAUAACAGAAUCAACACACAAUAUUAUUUAAGAACAACAUUCUUUAAUACAGGCGGCAUAGCCAACCAUAGCAUAAUUAAGUAUAAGUAUCACAGAUUAGGUGGCAAAGCCGACCAUAACAUAACUAAGUAUCAUAGAUUAGGUGGUAGAGCCAAUCAUAAUAUAACUAAGUAUCAGAGCUUAGGCGGUAGACCCGACCAUAACAUAAUUAAGUAUCAUAGCUUAGGCGGCAGAGCCGACCAUAACGUAACUAAGUAUCAUAGAUUAUAAUUAAUCACAUCAUAAUAACCAUCACAUCAUAAAAGAAUGGUUAAAACUGAAGUUAAAUAUGAAAAGAAAUUUUGUCCUUACAUUGUAGUUGAAGUGUUACUUACCUCUUAACCUUGACUUCUCUAGACCUUUCUAAAUUAAGAAUUUCUCUACUCUUGAUAUUAUGAUUUAGAAUAGAAGAGAAUGAAAUUUCUAGGUUCGAUUGAAAAUGAAAGAGGGUAGGGGUAUUUAUAGGAUUUCUUAGGGCUAAUAGAUGGCUAGGAUUUUGUCACCAUAAAUCUUGAUCAAUGGUUGAGAUUAACCUUCAUAAAUAACUUACUAAAUUUUAGAAUUCUUAACUUUCUCUACAUACUUCUCUUACAUCAUCACUUAUAUCAUUACUUAUGUCAUCAUUACUUACGUCAUUGCUUAUGUCAUCAUUACUUAGGAUUAAAUAUUUUAUAUUAUUAUUAUUAUUAUUUUUAAUACUCUAGGGGGCUUAUUAGCUUAAAAUAAAUUCUAUUAUAUUUAAGUGAGAAAAUUGUACCUCACAAUUCCUCCUUCCAUCAAAAAAAUUUCAUCCUCGAAAUUUACUUACUGAAUAAUUUAGGAUACUUAUUCUUCAUCUCUUCCUCAUGUUCCCAUGUUGCCUCCUCCACUGAGCUAUUUUUCCAUAGUACUUUGAUUAAAGGGAUCUUCUUGUUUCUUAACUCAUUUAUCUUCCUAUCAGGAAUUUGAAUUGGACGUUCUUCAUAGGUUAAGUCUCCUUCUAGUUGAAGAGGUUUAUAAUCUAGUACAUGAGAAGAGUCUAAGACGUAUUUCUUUAACAUGGAGACAUGAAAGACAUUAUGUAUUCUUGAUAACAAUGGUGGGAGGGCAAUUCGGUAGGAAACAUUCCCGACUCGAUUGAGUAUUUCAAAUGGCCUAAUAAACCUCGGACUUAAUUUUCCUUUGUUCCCAAAUCUCAUCGAUCCUUUUACUGGGGCAACUUUUAGAAAUACGUUGUCACCAACUUGAAAUUCCAAUGGCCUUAAUCUUUUAUCCGCAUAAAUUUUCUGUUGACUUUGAGCUACCUGCAUUCUUUGACGUAUUUUUCUCGAUCGCUUCAGAUGAAGCAGUAAUUAAGUUGGGUCCGAGAUGCCUUCGCUUGCCUAUCUCAUCCCAAUGAAUAGGUGAUCUACAUUUUCUACUAUAUAGAGCUUUGUAUGGUGCCAUACCGAUUGUUGCUUGGUAAAUUUUGUUGUAGGUAAAUUCAACCAAUGGUAAAUACUUGCUCUAUCAUCCUUGAAAGUCGAUGGCACAUCCUCACAACAUAUCUUCAAGCGUCUAAAUUAUUCUUUCUGACUAACCGUUUGUUUGAGGGUGAAAUGUUGUACUAAAUUUUAAUUUUGUCCCCAUAGCGCUAUGUAACCUUUCCCAGAAUGUUGAAGUAAACCUUGCAUCUCAGUUAGAAAUAAUUAAAAUGGGUAUACCAUGGAGUCUUACUAUCUCUUUUACAUAUAUUUCUGCAAGCUGGUCCAUGGUGUACGUGAUUCGAAUAAACAAGAAGUGAGCAGACUUUGUGAGUCGAUUGACGAUCACCUAAAUAGCAUCAUGCAUUUUUGCAGUCCUUAGAAGACCAAUGACGAAAUCCAUUGUGAUUUCUUCCCACUUCCAUUAAGGAACUUGAUUAGAUUUCAAAAGUCCUGUUGAUGUUCUGCUUUAAUUUGUUGACAAGUGAGACAUUUUGAUACGAACUCAAUUAUAUCCUUUUCUCCUUCUAGGCCACCAAUAAUGCUUCUUUAAAUCUUUGUGCAUCUUUGUUGUGCCGGGAUGAAGUGAAUAUGGGAUUGUGUGAGCUUAAGUAAAAUUUCUUUCUUUAUAUCUUUAUUAUCUGGUACACAUAUCAUGUCCUUGAACAAGAGGAUUCCCCUCUCUGACUUCUUAAAUGACGUCUCCUUUGAGUUGACUUCUAUCUUCAAGUUCUUCAAGUUCUUCAAGUAGGAAUCACUUUCCUACCCUCCUUACUCUUUUUUAAUCAAGUUGAACGAAGUGUCACAUUGGCUAAUUUUCCUGCUACUAGCUUGAUUUCUACCUUGCAUAUAUCAUUUUGUAAUGGCUUAUGUAGAAUCCUUAAAGCUGACAAGCUUGACUUUCUACUUAGUGCUUCUGCUACCACAUUUGCUUUUCCAAUGUGAUAGCUUAUUUCGCAGACAUAGUCUUUGACAAGCUCUUGUUAGCCUAAAGGGCUACACAUAUUGUAAUUUUGAUGAUAACAAACAUGUGUCUUAAGUAAAUUGAAAAAUAUUGUAUUUCACAUUUUACUAGUUCUUGAAGGAUAAUAUUUAUGUUGAAGUGAAUCACGUGAAAUUAAGGUCAAGAUACUCAACGGACAACGGCGCAAUAAAAAAUAAAGUUUAGAGCUCAAUAGACUAAUUAUUACGAAAAAUUUUUGUAAAGCCGGUAUGAUUUAAUUGAUGCAUGGUUUAGCAUUUGAGAAGUUCAAGAUUUUAUUUGAAUCAUUAUUUUUCAUAAACCAAAAUGUUUUAUAUUUAUAAGAUAAAGUAUUUUGUGGAUUUGAGUAAUUUGGACUAAAAUGAAAAAGUUUUGCAAUCUUUGAUUUUAUUAAGUAUUGUUUUGAAUUUCGAAUUUAGACUUAUUUGUAAAUAUUUGAAACUUUUUGGGUCAUAUUAUAAUUUAUGAAAGUUUAAGGACCCGAACGUAAUCCAAACAUUUAAAAUCCAAAAUUGGAUAAAGAGUGAGCAGCUAACCGCCUGACGGCUAGCAGCUAGCAGCUAGCUGCUUGAGGUAAAUCUCAUAUUUUCAAAUUUUGGACUAAAUUGAAAUGAUUUGAGAACUUUGAAAUUUAGGGGUAUUAUGUUUAAUUUUGAAAAGGACUUCUUUGAAAAAUAUUAUUAUAUUUUGGGCCAUGGCAUAAUUUUAAAAAAUUUUGGGAAUGACAAACAUUAUUUAGAAAUUCUGAGAUUGGACCUUUUUACAAAGUUUUGGACUAUAGUAUAAUUACAACAAGUUUUGGGCACAAAUGUAAUUUCAUGAACAGUGAUAUUGUAGUAAAAUUCAAAUUUAACGGUAACAUCACUGUUCUAAAGCGGUGAGCCGGAUAAAUCAAACGGCUAACCGCUUGAGCACUGGAAUUUGCCUAUAACAGCUAGUUUUUAAGCUUUAGCUAUAGAAACUCAACUUAAACUUCAAUUUUGAGACUUUUGCAAGCACAAACAAGUGCAUAAAACAUACAUUGAGCUUCCAUUUCACAAAUCAUCUUAUAUUGAAUCAUCUUUAUGCUAUAAUUUGUAGAUUCACUCUAAAAGAGAGUUGUUUGUUGUAUUCUUCAUUUUUCAUAUCAAAUUUGAGAGUGCAAAACUGUGAGAAACACUUGUGUAAAGAGAUUGAGAGAUAAUCUCUUGGUUGUAAAGGCUUAUUGACACCUUAAAUGUCAAUUGUAAUGAAUUUGAAGCCUUAAGUGCCUUGGAUAGUAAAAUCCUCGAGCUUGGUUGGCUUGGAGGCGUGGACGUAGGCAGGGAUUGCCGAACCACGUAAAAAUCCUUAUGUUUGUUUUCUCUUCCCUUACUCUUUUAUUAUUGUGCUAUAUUGAAUUUAUUGUUUUCAACUCCAUUAAGGCAUUAGAUUGAAUUGUUGUGCGAAUUGUAUUGCAUAAGCUUUCAAAUCCCAAUUCACCCCCCUCUUGGGUUGCAUAACUUGCAUUUAAGCUCUAGCCAACGACGCUAUCGCAUAUUUAAUUCCUUCUGUGUAAGGAAAUAUUUGAGGCUCUUAUAAUCAGUGUAAAUCAUACAAUGUGCCCCCAUUAAAUAGUGACGCCAUAUUUUUAAUACGUGUACCACCGCUGCCAACUCCAAAUCAUGUGUUGGAUAAUUUUUCUCAUAUUCCUUGAAUUGCUUGGAAGUAUACGCAUUGACUUUUCCAUUUUGCAUGAGGACGCAUCCUAUGCCAUUUUUUGAGGCAUUGUUAUAGAUGACAAAAUCUUCAGAGCUGUUAAGAAUGGCUAGGAUUGAAGCAGUGACAAGUCGUCGUUUUAGUUAUUCAAAACUUUUCUCGCAUUCUGGCGUCCAUACAAACUUGGCAUUUUUCUUUGUCAACUGGGUUAAUGGCAUCGCGAUCUUCAAGAAUCAUUCCACAAAUCUUCGGUAGUAUCCAACCAAACCCAAGAAGCUUCUGACUUCUUUGGCAUUAGUCGGUCUGGACCAUUGGCUUACAACUUCCACCUUCGAAGGGUCUACUGAAAUUUCAUCCUUAAAUAUGAAGUGUCCCAGGAAUGUAACUUGCUCAAGCCAAAAUUCACAUUUCUUGAGUUUUGCAUAAAAUUGCUUCUCCUUCAAGGUCUGAAGAGUGACCCGUAGAUGCUCAGCAUGCUCUUCCUUUGUUUGUGAGUAGAUCAAAAUGUCAUUAAUGAACACCACUAUGAAUUUAUCUAAGUAGUCUUUAAAAACUCUGUUUCUGAGGUCCAUGAAGGCUGCUGGGGCAUUAGUUAGUCUAAAUGGCAUGACAACAAACUCAUAAUGUCCAUAACGUGUUCUGAAUAAUGUUUUAGGAAUAUCUUCUUCCCUAAUUCUCAACUGGUGAUAUCCUGAUCGUAGAUUAAUCUUUGAAAAUAUUGAUGCUCCUUGCAGCUGAUCAAACAAGUCAUCGAUGUGGGAAAGUGGGUAUUUGUUCUUAAUAGUUACCUUAUUUAACUCUCGAUAGUCAAUGCACAUUCGCAUUGAUCCAUCCUUCUUUUUUACAAAUAGUAUUGUGCUCCCCAUGGUGAACGAGUUGGGCGUACGUAACCUUUGUCUAAUAACUCCUGCAAUUGACUAUUUAACUCCUUUAAUUCUGAUGGGGCCAUCCUAUAGGGCACCUUUGAAAUUGGAGCAGUUCCUGGUAACAAAUCGAUUUUGAAUUCAAUUUCUUGAUCCGGUGAAAAUCUUAGAAGUUCUUCAGGAAAUACCUCAUGAAAUUUGUUCACCACUGGAAUAUCUUCCAACUUUGGUCUUUGCUCUUCUAUUUCAAUGAUCACACUUGCCAAGUACCCCUCGUAUCCUCCAUUUAAUAGUCUGACUACUUUUAAGGCAGAAAUGAUAGAUAUUCUGUUCUAUUUGUAUUCUCAUUUAAAUGUAAAUGAUUCCUUUUGUGGUGGUAAAAAAGUUACCUCAUUUAAAUGUAGUGCUUCGAUAGCCAAUCCAUGCCAAAAAUUACGUCAUAGUCAUGCAUCUCGAGAUUUAUUAAGUCAACACAUAGUGUAUUACCACUAAUGCUAACCUCACAUGCCUUAAUUAAUUGUCCCGAGUUUAAUGUUUCAUCCGAUGGUACCAUGACACUAAAAGUCCCAUUUUUAUGUCAGGGACAUUUUCCAUUUUCCUAAUGAAUGUUAGUGAGGCAAAUGAAUGUGUAGCUCCUGAGUUUAUUAGCACAUAUGCAGAAGUUUUUAUGAUAGAUAUUCCACAUUUGAAACAUGUUCUGGUAUUUGCUCGACAUUCCCCAUGAUGAGUUCUACCGCACUGGUUGCAUAUUGGUUUCUUAGGGACUUCCUUCUGAUGAUUUUUUGGGCGCUUACUUUUAUUUUGAUCUUGGAUCGCUAGCAUUCCCUUUCUAUUAUUAUUCAAGUGUUGUCCUUCGUGGUUAGCUUGAAAAUUCCUCUGGUCCAUACUUCCUUUAUUCUUUCAUUUUUCUUCCUUCUUUUCUUCGUCUGCUUGCUUAAUUACCAAAGCUCGAUCGAUGAGUUUGUUGAAGGAAGCAUCACGAACUCCCGCCACCUUUAAAUCUUUUGCGAGAUCUUUGCUCAAUCCUUGCAUAAAAUGAUCAUUUUUCAAAUCUUCCAUUGCAACCAUAUGUGGGGCAUAUCGAGAGAGCUCAUCAAAUUUCUAAAUGUACUAUAGCACAGACAUCCUUUCUUGUUGUAAAUAAACAAACUCUCUUCAAUUGGCUGAGCGAAUAGUCUCUAAAAAAUAUUUAUUAUAGAAGUGUUCUUUAAAUUCCCUUUAUUGCAUUAUUCUUUCAUUAUGGAUUUCUUUGAUAGAGUUCCACCAAUAUUCUACCGCUCUUCGUAGCAUAAAGGAGAUAUAGGUGACUGUUUCUUCUUCGGGCACUUUCGUUACUUCAAUCAUUUUUUCCAUAGUCCGCAACCAUUAGUCUACUACGACAGGGUCUACACCUCCUUCGAAUGUGAGUGGAUUUAAUCUUCCAAAUUCGCUUCCUGUGUUGUUCAUUGCCUGAGCAUGUUCAUCUCUUCUAACUUUCCUUUCCAAGAUUCGUGCCACAAUGUCUGUAAGUCAAUCAAUUGCAGAUUACUCCCUUGUAGUUCGUUCCACCCUUCUGCUUCUGUUACCCAUAGCGCUUGACAUCUUAACAAGUUUUUAAUCUAAUUUCUACGUGUCAAACAAAUCAAAUGUAAGAUUUUUAACUAACCUAAUUUAAACUUUUUACUAAAAAGUCGAACCUUGUCCUUCCCUAUAACUUGUGCAUAUGGACGGUCUACAACAUCGCUUUAAACAUUUGGCUCUGAUACCAAUUUGUAACACUCUACUCAAAUAUUCAUUUUAAAGAUGUUUAAAACACUAUGCUUUUAUAAAUACGGAUUUAAAAAAAAUUUACGCAAUACAUAAAACUUUCUUACAAAAAGUAAAAGUCAUACAUAAACUUUUUAGUAUAAAAAACUUCAUUAUUACAUAAAAUUAAGAUGCUUAUUUAUUAUUGAAACAAAGAUGAGCCCAUCAUAGAAUCCUAAAGUCUAUUAUGCCCAUAUGCACUUCAUCUUGGUUAGGACUUGGCGCCAGCUUGCCCUACUCAUCGUUACCUGCAAUAUAAGGACUUUAUGAUCAAAUGCCCAAUAAGAUAACACCUGGAUGCAUGUAUAACUUAUUAUGCAUAUGGAUGAUCAUAUUAAGUUUUUAAAAGAAACUUAGAAAAAUACAAAACAACUUUAUUAGAGCCCUAGGUAUGUUGCACUACAAGGCUGGCACUUUUACUCUUUAAACUUAAUAUGAUUAUCCAUGAUAUGCAUAUGGAUGAUCAUAUUAAGUUUUUAAAAGAAACUUAGAAAAAUACAAAACAACUUUAUUAGGGCCCUAGGUAUGUUGCACUACAAGGCUGACACUUUUACUCUUUAAACAUUAUGCCAUUGGAUCUCAUUAGUUGAUCUUUUAGGCGUUACAUAUCGUCGUCCCCAAAAUAUUUCUUUUUACUUACUUUGAGGGCUUGCCUUUCUUGGAAACUUUGCCACCUGGUAGUACAACUACCUAUUUUUCAUAAAUUCAUUUUCUGAAACAUCUUCUUCGUAAUGUAAUCCAUGAUAUGCAUAAUAUCCAAUGCAAAUUAUGUCAUAACAUUUGAAGUUCUUAGAUGCAUAAUAGAGUCAACACACAACAUUAUUUAAGAAUAAGAUUCUUUAAUAGAGGCGGCAUAGCCAACCACAUUAUAUUUAUGUAUAAGUAUCACAAAUUAGGCGACAAAGUCGACCAUAACAUAACUAAGUAUUAUAGAUUAAGCGACAGAGCUGACCAUAACAUAAUUAAAUAUCAUAACUUAGGCGGCAAAGUCAACUAUGACGUAACUAAAUAUCAUAGAUUAGGCGGCAGAGGCAACCAUAACAUAAUUACGUAUCAUAACUUAGGCGGCAAAGCCGACCAUAACGUAACUAAGUAUCAUAGAUUAUAAUUAAUCACAUCAUAAUAACCAUCACAUCAUAAAAGAAUGGUUAAAACUGAAGUUAAAUAUGAAAAUAAAUUUUGUCCUUACAUUGCGGUUAAAGUGUUUCUUACCUCUUGACCUUGACUUCUCUAAACUUUUCUAAAUGAAAGAUUUCUCGACUCUUAAUAUUAUGACUUGGAAUAGAAGAGAAUGAAAUUUCUAGGUUCGAUUGAAAAUGAAAGAGGGUAGGGGGUAUUUAUAGGAUUUCUUAGGGCUAAUGGAUGGCUAGGAUUUUGCCACCAUAAAUUUUGAUCAAUGGUUGAGGUUAACCCUCAUAAAUAACUUACUAAAUUUUAGAAUUCUUAACUUUUUCUACAUACUUCUCUUACAUCAUAACUUAUUUCAUUGUUUAUGUCAUCAUUACUUAUGUUAUUGCUUAUGUCAUCAUCACUUAGAAUUAAAUAUUUUACAUUAUUAUUAUUUUUAAUACUUAAUGGGGGCUUGUUAACUUAAAAUAAAUUAUAUUAUAUUUAAGUGAGAAAAUUGUACCUCAUAUAUAUCCUAUAAGGUUCACACUUGAUAUGUCUCUGGUAACUACCAUGCCUACAGUUCUAUAGGCUUCACUAUGUUAGUUGGAGGAGUCGAAUAAAGAGGGGUACUAGAAUUUUUUUCACCUGAUUUAAUGUGCAUGAAAUAUGGUCAGUACACUAGAAUUUAGGAUGUUCAAGUAGAUAUCCAUGUAUUUCUCUUGUGCAUAACCUAUUUUUUAACAUAUUAGGAACUAUAAUCGUGUUAUUAUUAACUUGAGUAAUGUAUACUAUGACUAUUUUUGUGGAAGUUAAUCUAACAACAUUUUACAAUUCUCUUCUAUAUGUUUGUGUCAAUGGUUUGAAUUUUUAGACUAUUAUUGUGAAUUUCCAAUUUAUUCAUGGUCACACUAGGCAGGGUGAGUUGUUGAGGAUGAGGACAAUAAUAGGUGUGGUUCAGUAUAGACGAAACAGAUGUGCAAGCGUGGUUGAAAAUGAAGGUGAAGACAGGAUCAGUGCUUUACGUGAUUCUGUACUCUCCAACAUCCUUAAUUUUCUACCUAUAGAAGAUGCAGUGGCUACCUUCAGUCUUUUGCGAAGAUGGAGGCCUAUAUGGACCUCAAAUCGUAACCUCUGCUUUAAUGAUCGGGGUGCCAUAGGGACUACUGUUGCAUCAAGAGUUAGGCUGGCUGCAUUCUAGGAGUUCGUAGAUUCAGUGAUUAUUGGAAUUGACCUGGUAUCGAUACAAACGCUCUUUCUUCGGUGUGUGAGCCCUACAUCUAUGGCUCGGUUUGAUUUGUGGCAUCUAAGGCAAUAAUGCAUAACGUUCGGGAGAUGGAUAUUGAUCUUAUCAAAUACGAACGCAUGCACUUACCAGCCAUUGUGUACAGUUCAACCACGCUUGAAGUUCUUUGACUACACUCUCAUUUUGCCUUAUCAAAUCCUCUGGAUGGUGUAUGUUUUCCCAAUCUGAAGAUUCUUCACAUAUUCAUGCACCACCUUGAAAACCAGGUGAUAGAGAAGUUGUUUUCCAGUUGCCCUUCCCUGACGGAACUCGAUAUAACGAUGUUCAUACUAUCCCACAAUCCUUGAGCUAACUUUAUCAUUCAGUCCACUACUCUGAACAUGCUCAAGUUUGUUGUUCUCUUCGCCCAGUUGUGAGGUAAAUUGUAUCACCAUCGUGCUGUCAUUAGGGCACUGAUAACUCUAGAGUUAUCAUGACAUUUUUAGACUUGAAUCAACCAUACUUAGAGAAUAAAUGACAUGUUUUUAUUGCAUUUUAGUAAUGUUUUGCAUGAACAUCCAUUUUAGUUUACUUUUAAUAAGCUUUGUUUGAUUUAGAAUAAAUUGUGUGCUUAGAUCAUAUGCAUAAUUGUAGGUGACCGGAAGCUUAAAUUUUAAAAAAGGAAUGCUGCUGCAAUAGGCUUGCAAAGAUAAGGAAAGAACAUGGUUACAGAGGAAUUAAAACAAGUUUGGAACAAUGUUGCUGUAGAACCAUUGUUGUAGCAUCUUUGCUGUAGCAAUCCUGGAGGGUUAUCAGAGAAGAUUUCGCGUGAGAUAUUUUGAAGAUUGUGAUCUGGAGUUUCCUACACUGAAAGAUGCGCGCCCUAGGUUUCCGGUUGCCCUAAUUCUAAAUUAUAAAAGGAGCACAAACGCAAAAGAAAAAUGGGAGGCCGUCAUUAGAGAAAAAUAAUAGAGAAAUAAAAUAAGAAUAAACAAGAUCAAGAGAGAGAAUUGGUGGCUGCAACUAAAGGAUUCUAGAAGAACAUCAAGCGGAUCUCACUCUUAUUUCUUGUUCUCAUGUUUUUAUCUCUUUUUGAUGAAUUUUUUGAAUGCUAAAACUAUUUUGCUUCUUAUUUUACUUCAAAUUAUAAACUAAAUUUACUUAUGGUUGAGUGAUAAACAAAUUUGAUCAUUAAUUGACUAAUAUUCUAUGUUGCUAUAUGUUUGCAAUAGCACGCUGUUUUGAUAAUACUUAUUUCAAUUCACUAUUUUGGUUGACCACCCAUUUAGUGAUACUAGUUAAGAAAGAGCCUAAAAAAACUUGUCUUAGUGGAACAUAUCCGAGCAAUAAUUGGUUUUAGAUUGGGUUUCCUGAGUUGGGUUUAACUUGAUUCGAAAAGGGUCAUACUUAAUCUAAAAUUAGUAAUGAACUAAAUAUAGAGAUUCACCUUGUAUGGUAAUUAGAAUCUAGAACGUAUAAUGCUAUAUCUGAUGUUAGCAUAACAAUAAAACAUCCAACAUGCAAUAACUAAGGAUACAUGUUGUAGCAGAUGUUGUAGCAACCGAUCUAAAAACUAGAUAAAUAGUCAAAAAAUCAUUAAGUGAGUUUGAUCACUCAACUACUCUAUUCCCCUUGAUAACAUCCUUGUAUUUGCCGUAAUAGUUUACUUUAUUACAUUUUUAUUUUAAUUAGCUCAUCAGUUUAAUAAUAUGUUUUAAUUCUAAUUUAGAAUAAAAAUUGCACUGAUAAAAUUGUUGUAACAAUUGUCAUAACAAUAAUCCCUAUGGAGACGAUCUUGAAUACUUGUUAUUAUAUUACUUGUUGUGUACACUUACACAUUGACAUCAAUAGUAUUAGAAAACCUACAACAUGCACUAAAUCUCCAACAUCUCUGUAUUGAUCACGUAUUGAUGAAAUAUGAGGUACAUGAGAUGCAAUCCAUACAGCAAGCAAAUUUAGAUGUUUAAUAUCUGGAAUCGGCUACAGUUGAUCCACAGCGUGCUCACAACCUUGUCGAAGGUGUCGCGAAAACACCUCGUCUAAUUCUCUCCGCUAGCGUUGUUUUGGUAAGCUUUCUUAUAAUAUAUCAGAAUGCUAAAUAUUAUCCACCAAAUAUUUUGUUGCUAUUGAUAUGCAGGACUUUUAUUAUUUCUGCUGAACUUUAUAUAUAGUCAACAAUGGACAAUGUUGUGAUAUUAGCAAAUACAAUGUGUUUUUAAAUAUUUCUUACUCAACUGAUUGUAGUUAGUUCUUGCAACAUGUGCUAAUCACCAACAAGAAUGUAAUUGUUGCUGCUUGUGUAAUAACCAUUUCAACUGCAGGCAGUUGAGUGGGCAUGCGCAAGCCAUUCACUUGUUUUGUUUGACAACCUUACAUUUUUGGAUGUUGCGGUUAGACAAUGCGGCUGGAAAGGUCUCCAUACUAUCCUCAUUGCUUUGUCCUACUUGCAUACCUUUAUAUUAACAAAAGUGAGGAAGACACAAUCAUUUUUUGUCAUCUGGUACUGGAUUAGAUUUGUUAACCAUAUGUUUUAUUAUUUUCACAGAUCAAGGAGAUUGGUUCGAGUUCAACGAUCAUGAACUUGGCUGGCUAAAGACAGAGAAUGUAUCCCCUUGCUUCACUCAACGUAGUACCAAAAUAAAGAUGAAUACAUUUACUAAUGGAAAAAAUAACAAAUAUUUCAUGUGGCAUAGUCAAGUGUUGGACAGUUUUAGCUUCUAAUGCCACAACAGUGUUCAAGGCGACAAAUUAGAAAAACUUUGCCGCAAAGUACUCAAGUUUGACACACGGUCUCCCAGUGUGCACAUUCGAAUCAUGAGUCCUUCACACUAGGUGUGUUUGUUGUUCUUGUGUGCAAGUGUUGAGUUAGUAAUUGGAUAUGUUGCAGUUCUGAGUAAUGGGAUAUUAUCACUACAUUAAUGUCGCAUGUUUCAUUGGCGUUGUUUUGCUUGACUUUUUUACUUUUGUAACUUGCUGAUUCCCUUUACUACAUGAAAAACUUCAUUUUCCUUGUGUCUACUGAUUUUCAUGGUAGUAUCUAAUUGCUAGUAAAUUUAUUUAUCAUGCUAGAAAAAUUUAUGUGGGAAUGUCAAACAUUGAAAUUUAAAAUCAUCACUACUAUUAAAAGACCCACAAAUAUUAAAUAUAGCACAAAUUUUCUACGUUUUCAAACAAAUUCUUACAAUGUUAUAAUAGAUUAUACCAGUAAAUCUCAUGAACAAAAUCUUGGUGGUCUUAUAUUGUAAUUGGCUCUUGUUCUUUUACCUUCAAAUUUUCAACGUUUUCAAACAAAUUCUUACAAUGUUAUAAUAGGUUAUACCAGCGAAUCUCAUGAACAUAAUCUUGGUGGUCUUAUAUUUUAAUUGGUUCUUAUUCUUUUACCUUCAUAUUCACAAAUGAUAUUUUUAUGAUUAAUUGAAAUUUUUUUCAGUUGGAAAUUUUUUUUUGCUCAAUCAAUAAAGUUGUGGUCUAACAUCCACGACUUUAUUGAAUCAGCAUCCGAGGACGUUAAGCCACCAAUAAGGUAACUAAAUCUCGUGACAGACCAUGAAUGCAUCCCCCAUGAACAAUAACAAAUGGAACAGCAAAUUUUCAUAUCAUGUUUAAUACCUUCAGCCAAUAAAAGGAAUAGUUUACCUAAAUCAUUAAAUUCAUGUACCACUAAUGAAUGUUCCACACAUCAACUAUAAAUGAUAUGCUAAAAGUCAAAAUGUUUCCCAUCAAAGUCUUACAUCAUUUACCAAAACAACAAUGAGUCUUAAACCCCUCGAGAUGUUUGUCGAGUUUUAUCUCAGCACUAGCACACCCUCUAUGUAAUGCCAGUAGCUUCCGAUUGGGAAUUCGUAGCCUUUCCCCAUGAACACUGGCUCUGCAAUGUAUGGUCAUCGUUUGCAAGACUUUGCAAUGGCUCAGCAAGUACUCUAACAGCAGGAUGUAAGAGUUCUCAUUUCCAAGUUCUUUGAUAAUUAUUGUGCUCACAUAAUUAGUCAGAUAGCGAGGAACAAUUCCUGAUUCUAUCCAUCAUAUUUCCUUGUUGAACAACUCGCACCAAUAGGCCUACAUUAAUAACAAAAAUUGACUCAUCAGUGACUAUAAACGAUAAACAAUUGCACUCAUAAAACCAUUAAUUCUCACCAUUUGUAAUACAAAAGGUCCAAAUGUUUGUUGAUUUACUGAGGAUAAUAGGAAGUAUAAUCUAUCUUCAUUCACCAAUCAUCACAUGCAAAUAGGUCAAGGCCAACAAUGAAGGAAAUAAAUCAGCAUUGGCAAGCGCAAGAGCUCGUGCACGAGUGUGAAAAAUAGGGAAAAAGAGACGAACAAGUUGAGUUUAAUAAGUAGUAAUGAGUCUAAAAGGAAAUGUGCAUUAUUGCAGUAGCAUCAACUAUUGGAAACUAUGGUAGUGGCUAUGGACAACAAUGGCGUCCAUUCUAGAUUGCAUACAUGGAACAAGACAACAUAUGAUAAAAAAAUGUGAAGAUAUGUGUAUAUGGACUUAAAUGAAGAAACUGGAAAAGUAGAGAGCUGUUGUGCAGAUUGACUUCAGUUGAUGGGUUCUAUUUGAUAUCUUCCGCUGACGUGGCAUGAAUUCGUUAUAAUCUGUUAUAACGAAGCCCAGCACACUGAUAUAAAAAGGAGGCUGACGAAUGGUGCCAUAUACAGAGCCAAUAUCGUCUUCAUUUGUUCAUCAUUUUGCAUAGAAUCUGUUUCAUUGUGAUCUGUGCAUAAUCUUCUGUAAAUCACUUGUGAUUGGGUUAGUUCUUGAUCAAUAAUAAUGAGUAAAUUUUCCUUCUAAGUUUGCUGGUCUGUGUCUUUGUUUUGUUUCUGGUUUAGCUUCUUUGUUCUGGCAGUUCUUGAUUCGAUUGUGUUCUUGGUGUUUCUACUUACCAAGAUUCGUGAGUCUUACUGUGGUUUAGGCUUAAAAACUUAACAAAAAAUGUGCAACAAACAUCAAUCUAAACUAAACAGUACAUUUGACACAACUUACUUCAAUCACGCCAACAGACAGUUGUAUAAAUCUAGUGUGACUCACACCCCUGACCAACUCUACGUGUCAGAUCAAUGGCUGACAAUGGCAGAUGCGACACUUUUAUAAUUGAUUUUUGUACGGAUUAAGGUUCUUCAACAGCAUACGACACAAACAUCUUAUCAGUGAUAUCAAUGAAUUCCAGGUUUGGAGUCCUGAUCGUGACAUUAUGCUCAUUAGGUCCAGCUACACGAUUCUAUUUGGUUAUCACCAACACCAACCUCUUUAGAGUUGCCGAUGAAAUGAUGAAGUUUGAGGAUUAGAUCUUCUAAUCUGAGAUAAACAAUUAACGACAAUUGUUCAAAGGAAAAGCAUUGGAAAAACAAAUUCUCAGUAAGGUCGUUCGAAGAUUGCCACACUAUUAGCUGAAGAAUCUUCACACUAGGAAAGCACAGACCAUGUGGAGGAACUGAGGUGCACAAUCUAAAUGAAUUCAAAGAAUUUCGAUCGUCCGACAUCUGUACACACUAGCUGGUAAAGGAAAGCAUUCAUGGUUCCCAAGAUCAAGUUCCAUCUCCUAAACGUUACAACUUACUGCAGAGGACACCCAAAAGGCAAGUCUAGACACAUUAGGUUUCUCACACCGAAAAAACAACUUGACAAUGUUUGCUGGCUGAGUUCGAAUAACCACUUGGUGAACGAAGUCCUCAAAAGCGGCCAAUCUAACUAUUGAAACAUCAUCUUCAUACCACCUAGCCCAUCAUCCAAGCUUAAAAUAUGAAUACCUCUCCAAACAUACCUUCAUCUUCAAGAUAGAAUGGAUGUGGCUAUGGAAUCUUUUGUGGGGAGACAACUAAGCAUGUGCCACAGAAUAAAAUCUAGCAAACCACUUAUCUUAUCUUUAGAGCUGUUCUCUUCUAUUCCAGAAUAAUUCCUACAUGCGCUAAACAUAACCUCUGUUUCAUUCAUCAGUAAAGGCAUAGUCCACCCUGCCAAGUGUUAACGUGUUGAUAGUUUGCCUAAGCGCCUGCGAAAUCAAAAUGCCAAAAUUAUGCCUCCCUUUGAAAACAAACGAAAAAAAAUUACAUUUUAAAUAAUAGGUUCUCACUUUUUCCUCUAAUUAUUUCGCCAUCUGAAUCAAUACAGCUAUGUAUACACUGCAAUAAACUACGAAAUUUUUUCCGUUGCAACCCUUUCCAUUCCUUAGUUGUCACUUAAGAUUCUAAUUGCUUGUUUCGUAGUCAUAGUUAACCAGGUGUUGAAUACAUAUGUGUGUGUGUGUGUGUGUGUGUGUGUGUGUGUGUGUGUGUGUGUGUGCGUGUGUGUGUGUGUGUGUGGUAUCAAGGACAAACCCUUCUUAUGUCAGUUUAUCUAUAUACCACUUUCGAAUCAUCUUGCACUUUUGCAUUGAGUACUCAUAGUUCCACUUUAACCACUUCCUCAUCAAAUAAUUUGUCUUUAAUUUCAUAUUGUCAUAUCAAAAUUAAUCAAUGCUCACAACUCAGAACAUCAAACCCCCUCGUGGUCACAAGUUGGUGUUAUGCCUAGACAUAUAUAGGUUUCAAAUACUCAAUGAAUCUUCAAAACCUCAACUUGACAAUUAUAACAACAUCAUUCAUGACACUCGUUUGACAAAUAUUAAUUAUUAACACUUGGCGCACCAGAACAACAACAACAACCAUAAAUACAAAAUCAACAACAACAAGGGACACUUACAUAUUAACCAAAUCAUACCUACAAUACACGACAAACAGAACCUCAGGUUGUUAACUGUGAAUCAACAACAUCGGUUAUUGUUCAAACUCUGCACGAUUUCGUAAUCUUAAAUGUAUACAUUCUUUUGAAACUAUCCAUGGUCUCUGCACUCCACAAAUCCUCAUUGUUAACUUUCAAAACAAAUAUGUCACCAUGCUAGGAGUUGCAAACUAUGACAGAAUGGAAUUUAAUGCUUUUUUUUUCCUUCUUAUCUUUAAAAUGGAUUACUCUACCUGAAGUAUCACAUGGGAUCGAUUAUACAUCUCUUGUAAGUACGUCUGUAUUGGUUGUUUAUUCAAUUGAUGUAUCGCUACGAUAUUUAGUUUUGAUCACCCCCUCUACCGGUAACUCAUAAUCCAAUACAUUCAAUGUGUUCUAAGUGUACUUCAUCUUGACGGUUCAUUAAUAUGACUGCAAUCAGACGGCUCCUCUUAUUAUUAUUAUUAUUAUUAUUAUUAUUAUUAUUAUUAUUAUUAUUAUUAUUAUUAUUAUUAUUAUUAUUAUUAUUAUUAUUAUUAUUAUUAUUAUUAUUAUAAUAUUGUUUUUGUUUUUGUUGUUGUUGUUGUUGUUGUUAAACUAAAUUUCAGUUGACUCCUUCAUCAUGCAACCUAUCCCAAACUACUAAAAAUAUCAACAUAUUCUUUUUUAUGUUCAAAAUAUUAGGGCAAGAGAUAGCGUUGAAUGAAUUUUUUCAGGAAACUUUUUUACUUCUUAAUGAUAAAUGCGGAUGGUUUGUUGUUUUAAUAAUUUAGAGUGUAAAAAUAAUGCUUAUUAUUAUCAUUAUUAUUCAAGUCAAUUUGAAGUCAUUCAGGCUAAUUCAAACCCAUUGCGAGUUGCGAGGUAAAUUGAGAAAAAUUAGGUGAGUAUCUAUGGAUCCAUAACUUUUAAUUAUUUUUUUUAAUCACAAAAAAUUACAUUAUAAAAUUUUAAUCAUAAGAAUAUAUAAGAUAAAGUUAUUACUCAUGAACUAAUCGUCCCAUAUAAAUAUAUACAUAGAGAUAGAUACAAUAAGCUUUUAAUAAAUAAAAAUUUUGUACUUUUCAAGUUUUAUAUUAUUGAUAUUUUAUUUUAGUUUGAAUAAUUUUGUUCGUUUUGCUUUAAUGACUUAAAUCUAAUGAUUGCUUGGUAAAGUUGAGUUUUUAUUUGUUUAAUUAAUUCUUAACAGUAAUUGUCCAAAAUUUACUUGUUAAUAUAUUAAUGACAAUACUUGUACAUUAAUUAAAAAAGAUGGAACAAGGUGUUGAUCUUAUUGAUGAUUAUUUGUCUACAAUAGAAACGUUUUAUAAAUUGAUAUAUUUUUUGUAUUUAUUUUAAUGUUAAAACUUUAAUUUCUCAUAUACAUUGAUAAAUUCUAAAUUGAAUAUUUUAUACUGAUCUUUUAGACUAUUGUAAAAUUUUAUAAUUUGAAUUAUAUAAUUUAAACUUUUAAGUAUUAUUGAAAGUAUUUUUCUAACAUUUGUAAUUUUAAAUGCAGGAACCCACAAUUACCUGAUACAGGUUGCAAAUGGGUUUUAAAAAAAUAAAAACUGGCAGCAGAUCACGGGUAGUUUGAUAAUUUAAAUUUGUUACAAAUUCGUGUAACCCACAAUGGGCAGUACAUUGUUAUCCUUACAUUGUAUACAUAAUUAAAUGCUUUUGACCUUUAAAUAGAAUAGUAGUUGAAUUUCUUCAUUUUCUUUAUUAAUUUUUUCAUACUUAAUUAUGGUAGGCCAAUCUUUGAAAAAAAAAAUUAUUCUAUGAUAGUAGACAAUAUUUUCUUUAGUAUUAGAGAUCAAAAACUAAAAAUGUUGGACCUAAGUUUUCAGCUGAUAUUAAUUCCCAUGGGCAAAAUUAUAAGGUGAUUGAUGGUUGGUGGAUAAAAUCAAGGUACGAGUAGUUAAUUUUCUAUUAUACACUAUGACGGAUAUACAAAAAAAAUACCAUCAAAGUAGCAUUAUUUUUUAGAUGUGAAAUAUUCAACAGAAAGGUGUUCGAUAAUUUUGAGCUAAGCAAAACGGUAUAUUGUGUUAGCCAAACGCUAAACGAAAUUAAGAGGUUACAAUUAGUAUGAUGUUGCUCACUACAAUAUACCAUAAAUUGCAAGAACAAGCAAAAAUAAAUUAAACAAAAUUAACCACAAAGAGAGGGGUUAAAGCUACAUUGCGGAGUCAAUUUCAAUCAAGAGUCCAGCAAAUUGCAAGCUACCAGCAAAUAAUGUCUACUCAGAAGCUAGCUAUAGAACUACUUCAGCCAUUUAAAAACAACUUCUACAUACAAUGACCAAAAAGCAGCUUUUAAUUAAUUUGCAAGAUCACCGAGGGCUAGGGACUCCUCUAAAAGCAAAUUCACUAAUUCAUGCGAAGGCCUUACACUUCUACUUUUGUCUUCUUUAACGUGUGUGCAUGCACAUGCAUUGGGUAUUGCAUGGUGAUAAUGAAUUAUUUUUAUGGUUUCCGCUUCCCAUCAAAUAAUUCAUCAAUGUAAGUCUCUAUAUCUUCGGGCUGGUAUUUAAUGUACUUUUCUGUUUGCCUUCCAGGAUCCAGAUAUUGUGAGAAUCUUCCCAUGAACGAUCUAUAAGCCGGAAUCACCACCGAUGAUAUUGAAACCCUAAGCUCCGAUUGAAGCUGGUCAUCACUUACAACCCACGUGCUUUGAGUCCUAUGUAUUUCAUCAAACAUCGAAUUGAAGCUCUUGAACUUCUCUUUCAACACCGGCUUCACAACUUUCCCAUUCGCCAUCAACCCAUCGAGCCCUAAACAACCCAAGAGCCUCCCCCACGUCUCUCUCUGAUAAGUCUUGUGGUAGUUCCUAAGAUCAGACGACUUCUUGCGGCACCAUGUGUCCCCCAUCGCUUCGUGGAUCUCCACCGACCCUUUGAUCUUCUGCAAGAUGUAUCGGCCGUUGUUCAUCAUGAAAAUGCUACUCAAUGAUACAUCUUUAUACAUCUUCGAUUUCGCAUCUAAAUUUUGAUCCAACAAGUCCAUCACGCUCACCAAUUGCUGAGCGAAAGGCGAAGGCUGACUCGCAUUAUUGUUGUCGUUAUUGUUAUUAUCACAACUCUGAUCCUCACCUUCAGUUUCCUGCCUACUUGAUGAUGAUGAAUCAGUUCUUUCAAUUUUCCAAUGCUCUCUGAAAACUUGUUCCAACGUGUUCUUAUACUCGCAAGCAUAUUUCAAAUAAUUCAUCGUGUAGCGAGUCAAAGGAUGGACAGCCCCACCUGGCACUGUAGUCUUGGCCAUAUCAGAUUUGAUCGAAUUCUCAAGAUCACAAAACAUGAAAAUUGCAGCCUCGCCAAGCCGAAUCUUAGCAGCCAUCAUUUCGUUCUGGAGCUCGUUAGCACAUUGAUCAGGAACCAAAGCGUUCAAAGCCGGAAUGUUGUCACGUAAGCAUUCAUACAUAUCAAGAACCUUAAACAACUUUUCAGCCGAGCGUUUUGUCAUCGCCAGAGCUUCCGCAAAAUUCAAUAACUGAAUCAUUACCCCACGAAUGAGAUUGCUAAAAAGGCUCGAUGCGAUCAUGGGUUGAUCCGCGAACACUACCUCGGCAAGCUUAUGUUCGCCGGCGAAGUACACAUUGGUGCAUUGGCUGAAGGUGGUGAUCCAGGAGGCGAUCUCACGUUCCAACGUGUCCCAGUGCAUCUUCUGCACAUCAUCUAGGCUGAUCUUUUCGAAACCAAGAUUGUUCAAGCUCUCAUCGAAGGCAUUCCUUCUCGCGAUUAUAUAAAUCUCGACGCAUUCAGAUUCAUAGCCUCCGGAUAUCAUUACCUUUGCCAUUUUAUUCAACCAAGACGAGACUUCCAGAGAGACUCUGGGAGUGUUGAUGAUCGGAUCCUCAGCGGAUUGGUUGGAUUCUGCAACUGGUUUCAGAUCAGUUUCUUGAUUGUUUUCUUUUGUUGUGUCCUUCUUAUGGUCGAGAUUAAAUAUAUCUUGAUCAAGAAUAAAUCUGAAUUCAUCCUCUAAGAAAGACAUGGCACGCUGCUGAACGCCGCCAAUGCGGUUGUUCAAAACACCAUAUGUUUGAUCCGAAGUAUUUUCUGGUAACUUCAUUUCACUCAUCUUUCUUGCCAGCCUUGUAACUCGAUCCACUGAAUCUAAAAACAAUAAUGUAUCUUCUUCCGCCAAGACGGGAGUGCUCGUUUUUGCUUUCCCGUCAGGCCCCAGGUCGUGCUUUGGAAUCUUCUCUUCGAAAAGAUCUAAGAAUCUCCAAACAACCUCAGGGAUCUCCAACGGGGAUGCAAUUUGAUGAUCAUCAUUAUUUUUCAAAGUUGACAAGAACUUGUCAAUUUCAUCAGAAGCAGUUUCAAUGGUGUAAUGAAUCUCAAUAGGAAGAGUUUCUUCGACCUUUUCUUGAUCUAUCUGUUCUUGAAUAUCUUCUUCAAUCUCAUUUUCUUUCGCCUCUUCAGCCUUUUGUGUCUGUAUAGCAGCCUUCGGAGUACUCUCCGUCACCGGCACCUCGGAAGCAUCAGCAUUGUUUGAUUUUUCAGGGUUUUUUUUUUCUUCCUCCAUUGUUGUAAAUAUUAUUUUUGUUUUUAGGAAGGAAUAAAGAAGAAUGUUACAGAUCAAGGUGUCAAUUAUGAUGAAGCUAGGGAAUGAGAGAUGGAGAAAUUAAUUAGAUACGUUUAGGGAGGAGAAUUAUCCGUGUAAUUAAUUUUUAUUUAAUCAUUUAUUUGAUUUGAAUUAAUUCAUGUUUUUUCUUCUUUUUCUUUUCAUUUUUAAUGUUAAUUUCCGUGUAAAUUUCGUGUUAAUAUUUUAGAGGAUUGAAAUGGUCGUUGGGAGAAAUGGUGAGAGAGGAGAGAAGUGGACAGAAAUUAGCGUCAAGUUUUUGGUUACCAGAGAGUUUGUUAUGUGUAUUUGUUUGGAACUAUUGACCGUUGACCAUUUUCGAUUAUAACUAGCAUAUUUUACUUAUGCUUAGCACGAUCGAUUUUCUACUCUAUAAAUUCGGAUAUAUAUAUAUAUAUAUAUAGCCAUUAGUUUUCAAUCCAAAAUUCCGAUGGACCAACUUAUUUCUUUUUUGUUAACAAUGAUUUAAUUUAUAAGAUUCAACCGUGAGAUUUAUAGCAUUAAUUUUUGUAUUAUAUUAUUCUUAGAAAAAUAGCAUAAAAUUGCUAUUUUAAGGUCAAUUUUGAGCCAGAUGCACGUUGACAAAGUAUGCUUGUAUGGAUAAUUCAAAUUUCUUCCAUGAGCUCUUUAUAACGAAUCAAAAAUAGCUCAAUUAGUACUUAGGUGAAUGAAAAAUUGAAUCUUAAAAAGCUCCCAUUGCUUUAGAAAAAAAUGAAUACAUUAAAGGUCAUCUUGCCAUUUUCUUUUUAUUGUGCUAGAACUUGACUAAAAUUAAAUAUGUAACAUCAUCAAUAUCAAUAUUGAUCAUAACAACAAAAAACUAAAGAGUUGUUAGGGGAUGAAUAUGGCUGUAUUUCCAAAAAAAAAAAAAUCAGCUUAGAAGGUUGUUACAAGUGAAUUAAAGUUACAAAUCUUAUCUCAAAUAAUAAAUUUGAAUGUUAAAUACAAGUGUUAGUCCUUAAGUUUUCUAGACCAAAAUGCCUUCCACAAUACUUACAAAUUGGCGUUCAAUUUUAUUUGCUAGAUACACUAAAUACAAUUGAUUUAUUGCUCUUCUCUCCUAACUAAACUCUCUAGCUUUAGGUUUUAGUGUGGUAGUUUGCAAACACUAGUUUGAAGUUCAUCAAAUAGUAAGCUUAUGCUAUUGAAACUAUUCAAUUAUGUUGUAUCUUGGGAGAUAAACGCCAAUACAACCUAAGCACUGUAGAAAAGGUGACAAAUAUGUUUUAAAGAAACUGUACGUAAUAUCACAAAGACCUCAAUUUGUGUUCUAUUCUUUUGUCUUAUGGUUUAUUUGUUAUUAUAUAUUGUAGUAAUUUUACAAUAGAUUAUUGCUAUAUAUUUCAAUUAUGUUAUUAUAAGCUUGUGAUGAGUGUGCUCAAGUACCCUUAGAAGGUUUUAUCACAAAUGUUAUAUAAUAACUAAGGAGUCUAAGUUUUAAGUUAGACUGAUUAUGAUCUCUCUAGUUUUUCUUGAAAACUUAGCUAAUGUAUUUUUGUAUAUAACAUGGGUUGUCUUAUAUCACUUACUAAUAGUGAUUUUAUAACAUUAUCACAUAGCAAUUGAUGGCUUGAUGCUUAAAUUCAUAUGGUUGUUAAUUGUUAAUUUAGUCAAGACUAACUAAUGAGUUCAAAAUUAUGUCAUUAAUGCUUGAAAGGAUGUCUUUAAUGAGCAAUAAUAUAAAAUCAUAUUAGACUAAAGCCCUGUUUGGAAUUAAGGUUAAAAUGCUUUAAGUAUCUUAUUUAAUAAGUUUUGAGAAAAAUAGUUUAGUAAAUUUUUUUAAAAGUUGUUUAUCUCAUAAUUUUUUUUUGUUUUGACAAUAAUUUUAAGGGUUCCUCUAUGAUGCUGUAAUUUUUUUAUAGUAUCAAUAAUAUUUUAAUUGUGUACCAUUGGAUUUAAUCAAUGGUACACAAUAUUUGUACUAAAGAAAAAACUAAUUUUAAAAUAAUGGUAAACAGUUUGUUAAUUGUGACCACCCUUAGAGUUUGAAGAAAUUUCACUUAAAUAGCAUAUUUUAUUUAAAAUUACUUUUCAACCCCCUUGAAAUUUGUAAUGUGAUAAUCUUUUUUAAAUAGAUCUUCCAAAAUCAAUUACCAUUAAGUGUAAAAUAUAAUAUCAAGUACGUUAUUUAGCACAAAUCAAAUAAAUUAGCUGCAAUUGCAAAAUUUAUAUAUGAUAUAACACUAAUAAAUAACACAACUAAGUAUAUAUACUUAAGUAAAUGUCAUAGUUACUCAUUAUUUUAUAUAAUAUUAAGGACCAUUAUUGAAACGACCCGCCCCGCAACCUCCCCCAGGGCGAGUCUAUCUAAACUCGUAAAAUCGAAUUAAUAACAAAUCUAUAAAAAUUUCGGCAGAGUCUCCCUUAUAAAUAAAACAUAUCCAACCCUGCAAAUGACAAAAUAACACUCCCGAAAUAAUUUAAUAAUCAAACAUCCUCCAUAACCAACUUCUCAAACCAACUUCUCGAAUAUCACCAAAAUCAUCCGAAUAUUAAAAUACAACGAUUAUCCUUAAUAACAUAAAAUAAUAACACAAAUUUCGAAUAUAAUAAUAAAAUCCACGACUUCUAGCACCAUCACGUGACCACAAUAUCAAACUAACGUUCACUACUGGGAUGACUGAUGUACCUGUAAAUCUCCUGUGGGGGGAGGAAAAAAUAUAAUAAAAGAGGGGUGAGUAUAAAACUCAGUGAGCUCAGUGAGUGGAUAGUAGGUGCUGAUACUUUAAUAAAUUAUUCAAAAUCAUUUAAUCUUUCUCAAAUCUUUUCUUAAAUCAAUUUCAAUUUCGUAAAUCAAUUCUCAAAUCAAUUUCUCAAAAUAUCAUAAACUGAAUAACUGCAAUAAUAAAUCUGCAUAAAAUCGAUGAAAUCAUCAUACCAUAUCAAAUACUGAAUACUAAAAACUGUCAUCAAACAAGUACCCAGGGGAUAAUCUGAUCAUAUCCGGGCUACAACGGCCAGGCAAUGACGCACUAUCUGGGUAACGUCACGCCCCGGAGCCACAACGGAUAGAUGGGGACGAUCUCAUCUCAUAUCUCAUAUCUCAUAUCUCUUAUCUCAUAUAUCUGUACUGUGCAUGCAUAAGCCCCCAAAAGGUAAAAGCGCCCGAACACACGGCCCAAAGCCUCUAUGUGUGUCCCGACGGGCCCCAAAGGCCUCUAUCUCAUCUUAUCUGUAUCUCUUUUCUGUAUCUCUGUAUCUGGAGGGAAGGGUACUGUCUAAUGAUUUCAAAACUGAUAGUAAACAUAUGAUCCCAUCUGAAAUCUCAUUUUCUUUCUAUUCAACAUAUCUCAAGUCUGCUCAAUUCUAAUAUCAUGCUUUUACUCAAAAACGAUAAGAAAAUCAUAAAUCGAACUCAUUCUCGAUCAUAAUAAAUAUCAACACAUAAAUAAAAGUCAAUUCGCUGGAAAAUUAUUAAAUCAACGCAUUAAACAUUUAUUUCUCAAACAUACUGUACUAUAUAAGAAAAUCAGCAUAUAUUAUGAAAAUAGGUUUUGUAUAUUCCACUCACAGUGAUGAUGUCUAGACUCAGUAUCAACAACGUCCGCGGGUAGAUUCUCGUUCGCGGAUGCGGAUCCUCCUAAUCACGGAAAACACCAUAAUUAUUCUCCGUAAAAACCAAUUAAUAUAAUAAAUCUCGAAAUAAAUAUCUAUUAACGAUAAACUAGUCCCGCAUGUAUAAAAUUACCAAAAUGCCCCUAUAGGCCAAAAUUGCCAAAAUACCCCCAACAUCAAUAUUUUACCAACUUAUCCUCAAACUUCAUGAUUUUACCAAAUUAUCCUCAUAUUCGUUAAUACCCAUAUUGUCCUCAAUUCAGAUUUCAUAAAUUAAUCACAUUGUCCGAAAUUACGAAAUUACCCUCGGUUCGUAAAAUUACCGAAAUGUCCUUAACGAGUUAAAUCACCGAAUUACCCUUAAAAUCACAAAUUACUUCACUGCCUUCAACCAACAUUACCAAAAUGUCCAUUAUUUACAUAAAAUUACACAAUCACCCCCAAAAGUCCAUGAAUUUACCGAAUUGCCCCUCGCCGGUCAACGGUGACCGGACUUCAGUCAACGACGAUGGGGAACUUAGGUCUGCUAGUUCCGGCCUCGGUGAAUCCAACGGUGGUGGCAGUGAGUCGCCACGCGCGCUACCGGCGGCGGAUCGAAGUUCCAAAGUUCCGCAAAUUUUCGGAGAUCAUUCGGCGAGUUCCAGGCGUCCCCGGCGGUCGUGGCUGGUCGGGAAAUGUUGCUGGGGAUGUGAGGAACCAGUUCCAAGUGGUGGCGCGUCACAACUCCGGCGGGAUCAACGGCAACGAAAACGGGUCGAAGCCGCGACUUUUCGAGCUCGAUCACCGGCGUUCUGGCCAGUUUCCGGCGACGAUAACGGCAGGGAUACGACGGUCUGCUUCCAAGCUUCAGAUCGGUACCAAGCACGGCCGGUAAAGUGGCUGGAGUUGGGAGAAAUCGUCGGGUCAAUCCGCGGGUUACUGGGUCGGGUUCUCGGGUCAACGGGUCUGACUUCUCUCUCUAUCUUUCUCUCUCUUCUCGGGUUCUUUCUCUCUAAAAUGGAAAACCCGUUUCCCUCUUUCCAGUUAUACAAUUCUACCCCUCUUUUUCUUUUUUCUUUUUUUUUUAAGCUUAAUACAAAUUAAGCGAAUUUCAGACCCGUUACGAAAAUAAAAUCCGACCAUCGGCGCGUAUAAUCGAGCUCAAUUUAUCCCAAUUAAACUAUAGUGACGAAAUUAAAAAUUAAUAGAGAAGAGGAAAAUAAAAAUCGGCACUUUAUUAAGAAAGUCCAAGUGCGUAUAUUACAAUUAUCUAAUUGAUCAUGAAAUAUAUAUUAUUUUUAACAUUCAUUCAACAUACCUAUUCUUUAAAGUCUAUAAUGAUGUACGAGUUUUUACAACAUUGAUAAUGAGAUUGUUGUGAACUCUUGGAUUUUAGUUUUUUCAUCUCUACCGUUCAUUUGAUAUAGUGAAUAAAAAAUUAACUAUUUAAAUCAUAAUAGGUAAUCUUCAAGUUGCAAGUAAUCCUACAUUCAAUGAGGGAAUCAUUGGAUUUAAUAUUAGAAUCUUCACUCUUAAUUUAAUUUCAAUGGAUAAGUAAUUAUGUAACAAGUAAUCUAUAAGUUGUGAUAUUUCUUCAUACUUUAAAUUAUUUUUUAUCUAAUCAAUGGAUAAAUAUUUUAAAUCACCAAAAAAAUGAAAGAAAUACAAAUAAUUUGGAAUUAAUUAUUAUGUAUUAAUUCUCUUACUUUACCAUUUUACAUUGUUUUUUAGUUUUGCAUUUAGUAUUAGAAAUAUAUUUAAUAGCAUUAAAAUAAAUGUAAUUAACAAAUAAUGUUAUUUCAAUAAUACUUUAUAUAAAGAUAUUAUAUAAAGUCUUAUAAUAAUUUGUAUUGUAUGAAUUUAAUUACAAACCAUUAAUACUUAAACAAUAAUGAUAAUAGAAGGCAUUGCAAUAAACUAUUUUAUAUAUGUUUUAUCAAUAAUAUUAUAUGAGUCACAACAAAUGAGAAAUAUUUUAUUCACCGAUUAUUAUUGAAAAAUAUAUAUGUUUAUAUCACUAUAGAGUGAGAAAUAUUUUGAUUUAAAAUUUUAACAAAAAAUUAAACUAUUAAUUUCAUGCAAUUCAAUGGUGGAGGAUAUGACAUUAUGAAAUGUUGCUUUGACUUUCAAUAUCAACCAUUAGAUUAUGAGAUAUUAAUGGCUCAAAUAUUGUAUCAAAAUUUGAAGUUAAAGUAUCUCAAAUCAUGUCUUUAUAAUGGAAAUAUAAAUAUAUACAAUGAAUUUUUUUCUCAUUUUUUCCAUUAAAUAUUAUUUGAUAUAAUAUUUUAUUUAUUGUCAUUAUUAAUUAUCAUAAUAAAAGUAAUGACUCUUCGUAAUAUAAAAAUUUUAUAAUUACUAUCAAAGAAUAACAAUAAAAUAAUCUUUCAUGAUCCAUAAACUAAAGUUAAUUAGGAAUAUGUGUUACAUUUAACUUUUAUGAAAUUAACAAAGUGACAUUUGAAAAUAAAAUAAAAACAAGCUUGUGAAAGUUAAAUUUUAUAAGGCUCGGAUAAUUUCCUGUCAUGUAAAUAAAAAUAUAAAAAUAUAAAAGAUUUUCUUUCACAUUUUUUUCCACGUAAAUAUUAUUUGAGGUAAUAUUUUAUUUAUUGUCACUGUCAAUUAUCAUAAUGAAAAUAAUAACUUUUAACAACAUAAAAAUUUUAUAAUUACAAUCAAAGGAUAUCAAUAAAAUAAUCUUUCAUGAUUCAUAAACUAAAACUCAUUAAGAAUGUGUAUUAGAUUUAACUUUUAUGAAAUUAACAAAGUGAUAUUUGAAAAUAAAAUGAAAAUAUAUAGGCUUGUAAAACUUAAAAUUCCUACCACAUAAGAAUAUUAAUUGUAAGAUAAACAAAAAGUUCAGAGAAUAAGUAUGUUCAAUGAGUGUUAAGAAUAAUAUAUAUUUCAUGAUCGAUUGUACAAUAGUCCCUUAAUAUUAUAUAAAAUAAUGAGUAUUUUAAUAUACGAUAAUAAAUUUUUAUAUAUCACACGGUGAUCUUAGAACAAGGAGGCCGCCACCCUUCUCUGCAGGAAAUCUGGCAAUAGAUGGCGAGAAAAACUGCUCAUCAAGGGAGGUGGAUGCCAGUGAAAUUUCCCAUCAUCUAAGUCCAUGUCACUCUCAUAAGAUAGAAACAAAGUAUGNNNNNNNNNNNNNNNNNNNNNNNNNNNNNNNNNNNNNNNNNNNNNNNNNNNNNNNNNNNNNNNNNNNNNNNNNNNNNNNNNNNNNNNNNNNNNNNNNNNNNNNNNNNNNNNNNNNNNNNNNNNNNNNNNNNNNNNNNNNNNNNNNNNNNNNNNNNNNNNNNNNNNNNNNNNNNNNNNNNNNNNNNNNNNNNNNNNNNNNNNNNNNNNNNNNNNNNNNNNNNNNNNNNNNNNNNNNNNNNNNNNNNNNNNNNNNNNNNNNNNNNNNNNNNNNNNNNNNNNNNNNNNNNNNNNNNNNNNNNNNNNNNNNNNNNNNNNNNNNNNNNNNNNNNNNNNNNNNNNNNNNNNNNNNNNNNNNNNNNNNNNNNNNNNNNNNNNNNNNNNNNNNNNNNNNNNNNNNNNNNNNNNNNNNNNNNNNNNNNNNNNNNNNNNNNNNNNNNNNNNNNNNNNNNNNNNNNNNNNNNNNNNNNNNNNNNNNNNNNNNNNNNNNNNNNNNNNNNNNNNNNNNNNNNNNNNNNNNNNNNNNNNNNNNNNNNNNNNNNNNNNNNNNNNNNNNNNNNNNNNNNNNNNNNNNNNNNNNNNNNNNNNNNNNNNNNNNNNNNNNNNNNNNNNNNNNNNNNNNNNNNNNNNNNNNNNNNNNNNNNNNNNNNNNNNNNNNNNNNNNNNNNNNNNNNNNNNNNNNNNNNNNNNNNNNNNNNNNNNNNNNNNNNNNNNNNNNNNNNNNNNNNNNNNNNNNNNNNNNNNNNNNNNNNNNNNNNNNNNNNNNNNNNNNNNNNNNNNNNNNNNNNNNNNNNNNNNNNNNNNNNNNNNNNNNNNNNNNNNNNNNNNNNNNNNNNNNNNNNNNNNNNNNNNGUAUUUUGCUGUUUUUUGUUAUUAACUUUAUUGUUAUUUAAAAAUUUUGCAUUAAAAUUAACCUCAUUAUUCAAAUUCAUCAACAACCAUGAAUAGAUUGAUAUAGACCUACCAAGUUUCCCUAUUAUUACCAAUCUCAUCUCUAAAUAAUGUUGUUGUUAUCAGGAUAACAACUUUGCCUGUAGUUGUUUGUUGUUCAAAUAAAAGACUAAGCGUAGUUCAAGAAACCUAGGUAGCUAGCUAGGUCGUUGUUAUUACCACUUUGUCUAUAGUUUUUAACCAAUUAUAAUAUAUAAGUAAUAAAAAUGUUUAUGUACAGUUUUAGAUUCAUACUAACCAUUUUUUGUUGCGUUAAUGAUUAGAACACUUGAUUACAGUUUGAAAUUUCCAAACCUGGGAUUGUAUGGCAUGAACAAGAAUUGUCCUUUACAUGCUUUUUUUAAGCGGUUGCACACACCUUCUGCUCUGCUAGGACAGGAAAUGUCUGGUAUUUGACCAGGAGGGGGUGACACAACCUGGACAUAUGAAUCCAAAUGGUCUUGUUCCUUUUUUAUUUAGGAUAAUCGAGUCAUAUAGCAACCUGAAACAGUGGAUGCAAAAUACCAAAACUUGUCAUUAGACAAGUAUUGCAACAUUAUAUAAAUUAAUUAAAGUGGAAAGAAAAAAAAAUCUCUUACGCAAUAUAUACUUCAAUAACAUUAACUCAUAUCACUUGCAUCGUCAUCAUCGCAUCACAUUUCAUUUUCCUAACAUGGGCUACAAUACCUUCUAGCUGAAAUACAUCAUCAUCAAUCCUAUAUGGGAUCCAACCGGAUGGAGGCAAGUGCAUGUCACAUAAUCUGACAAAGAGUUGCAGCAUUGGAUGAUUGCUUUUGUGCAUUACCGUUGCACUGUACCUUUUUUUCCUUUUAUUUCUGUUCAGAUUUGCAGCCCUUGUUCUUGGGCUAUCAGGUGAAACUUGCUAUAGACCAUUAGCCAAUUGCACUUUCUCCUGAAAUAAUGACUUUCUCGAACAUUCUAGAUAACUUAGUGAAUUUUGUACAUCCUGGAUACACAUGUUUCUCAGUCUCUUCCAAUAGUUUUCUAAAUGUCUUAGGAUUUCCCUCACAAUCAUUAUAAGCAUCAUUGAUCAUAUCUGUUGUAUUAUCAUAAUCGAAGUCCAUUGAGUGAAAUGGAAUAUAUACAUUAGAAGAUGGCGUGGCGGGACCAUCUUCCCCAUGCCACUUUCAAAUUUUAUAAGACUUUACAAAACUGUGUCAAUAAAGAUGUUCAGUUACAAUCAUGGGUGUGCGAAAUUCUAAAUUCCUACAUUUAUAACACGGACAUCUAAUGACGCUAGCAUCUUCGACAUUUUAAAUAGCAAAAUUCACAAAUUCGACGACCCUUUUUUCAUACUCAUGUGACAUUCUCCUACAAUUAAUCCAAGACUUAUCUAGUUUAGUUUCAACGAGUUUUGAUCCUGGCACAUAAAAAAAGGCAAACAUGAAACAAUAAUAUUAGCUUUUCAAAUUAGUUAUUUCAUAAAAAAAAAUAACAAAAUAACAUUGACUUACACAUAUGUAGAACCGAAAGUAAGAAAAGAUCAAAACAUGUUGGCCUCACAUAUUAACGAAUAUUUGCAUAUUAAAAAAGCAAUCGACAGUACAAUACAAAAACAAAUGGAACAUUCAUACCAGCCAAAUUCAAAUAUCCAAAACAAUAGACAAAAAUAAUCAAUAAAGAAAGUUCGGUUAAUUUAUUAAGCAUGUCAAAAUGUAUUUAAUUUACUCAGUUUAUUGUCUGCAAAUGCAUAUUAAAGAAUUAAAAUACCUUGGUUUUGAUCGCAUGCACUGUGAAAAGCUUAAAGGGCCCUCCAACUUAGUAAUAAAGUGUGAAUUUGAAAGGAACAGCAGUAAAUAUAUCCAAGACUGAAACAAAAAAUCCAAAAAAGCAUAUUAACAAUUGAUAAUGACACAUUGCUUUGACUUAAAUAAUUUAUAUAAACAUAUUUGGGAACAUGUGUGACAAAUUUGAUUGCCCCAUAUGCAUAUGCUAUUAUUACUUUAUUAUAACAUAAUGGAAAACAUAGUUGCCCCACAUCUUUUUUUUUGUAAAAAAAAAAAUUACCUUUCCCUAAGGAACACGUUUAUAAGAUACAAAUCAAGAUAACAUUUAUUAAUAUGUAACUUUACGUCAUUGAAAUACAAUAUGAAACAAGAAAAAAUAGAUAACAUUACAAACAAGAAAAUAAAUUAAAAGAAAAAGUUGAUUUGCGAGGUAAUGGAAUGUAAUUAUAACCAUCAAAAGCAAAACCAAACAACCCAUUUCAAUCUUUUUCUCUCUCUCUCUCUCAUAGCUAUAACAGUAACAACCUUGUCAAAUUAAAAGGAAAAAAAAAAACAAGUCCAGAUUACUGCUAUUAUUUUGUAUUUUCCUUUUCUAGGUUUGCAAGUUUCCACAUUUAUGCAUAAGGAAGCAUGGGUGGCAACCACCUUGCCCCAUGCCUCCUCGCCAGCAAAAUGACAAACACAGAUACAGAGCAACCUCAUCAGCAGCCUUAUACAGUCUCAACUUUCUCUGCCCAUCUCCAACUGUAUUAACUUUACAUUGAAAAUGAAAAAAAAAAAAACCUUCACUCUCUCUAUCUCUAUCAUCUAAUGCAACUUCUAAACUAAACCCAUCAUCUCAUUUUUGUCAUUCACUCAGUCACUUGCUCGUAAACUCUCCAAAAUACAAAAUUACACUCAAUCACUUAGGGCCUUAAACAUAAUUAGGUGAAGAAGAAGAAUAAAACCUGGAAUUGAAGGCUUAGGGUUGCAAUCCUCUAGUGUGUGACGAUGUCAAGGUGUUGACAGUUCAUGUCACGUCACACCAUCACCAAAUGGUCAUGGUGGCUGGUUCAAUUUCAAUUAAUGGGUAUGUUAUUUGGGUGUUACCGUUUGCUCAGAGCUAGUAGUGGCUGAUUGUGUACAGAAAACUUAAAUGUAGCAAACAAUUAGACAGUUAGGGUUUGGGUGGUGGUAGUGAGGUUAUCGAUUGACAGUGUGAUGAUGAGUUUGGCUAGGCUUUAAGCGUUGAUUGUGAGAGUGACAGUGAUGAUAAUGUGCUAAGGGUUUGACUGCUCUUUGUCCGAGUGAGAGUGGAGAUGACUAUGGUGUGUGUAGGCUGAUUGAUUGAGGGUGUAACGGUGAAUGUGGCUAGGAUUUCAAAGUUGAUUGUGGAGUGAGACUGACGAUAACUGCGCCUUGGGUUUCAAUGGCCUUUGCGCGCGAGAGUGAGAGUGGUGAUGACUUCAUUGUGUAGUGUUUAGGACAUAGGUUUUUUUUUUUUUGUUCAAAUUUUGCUUAAACGCAUUGUUUUGUUUCUUAUUUGUUUUUUCACAAAUCAUUUCAUAAGUAAAUGUUGCGUUUAACUUUUUCAAAAAAUUAAAAUAAUACUUUUAAUUUUAGUCAAACACUGUCAACAUAAGAUUUCUAUCAUAAUGUAUGUGACUGAGUAAGAUUCUAUCAUACACAUAUCAUAAAUUAUUGAUAUACAAAGAUUCUAUCACUAGUACAUCAUUAAUCGUUUGAUAGACCACAAUUCUAUCACGAAUCUAUCAUAUUUAUAUUAUGAAAUCAUUUCUGUCAUAAAGUGGCUACCAUAUAUUGUCAGUUUUCUUGUAGUGAAUCUCACCAAUGAGUUUAUUGAUGUAACUAUGACAUUUACUGAAGUAUAUAUACUUAGUUGUGUUAUUUAUUAGUGUUGUAUCAUAUAUAAAUUUUACAAUUACAACUUAUUUAUUUGAUUUGUGUUAAAUAACCUACUUGAUAUCAUAUUUUAUACUUAAUGAUAAUAUAUUUUGGAAGAUUUAUUUAAAAAAGAUUAUCACAUUACAAAUUUAAAGUAGGGUUGAAAAGUAAUUUCAAAUAAAAUAUGUUAUUUAAGUGGAAUUGCUUCAAACCCUAAGGGUGGUCACAAUUAUUUUACAAAAUUUUGCACCCCUUAAAUGGUUAACAAACUAUUUACCAUUAUUUUUAAACUAUUUUUCUUUAAUACAAAUAUUGUAUAUUGUUGAUUAAAUUCAAUGGUACACAAUUAAAACAUUAUUGAUGCUGUAAAAAAAUUAUAGCAUCAUACAAGAACCUUAAAUUUAAAAGUAGGCAGGGAAUUAUAUUUUAAUACAAUUUAUUAGAAAUAUCAUCACUACUGUAUGUAGAUAGAUAUAAAAAUUUAUAUCUAUCUACAAUGUUGCUAUGUUACGAACUGUUACUUUUUGGGUUUUUAACAUUAUAUUUUAAAUUUGACAUCUUACAUUAUUUCUGCUUAAACAACCAUGUGAUUUCAUAGACAAUUUUUUAUGUAAAGAUUUGAAUAAAUUUCUUUAGUUGAAUUGGUCAAUUCCUCCUUGGUUUAUUCUUUAGAGUUUAUUUUUAUGUGAUUUUCGUAUUGGGCUUUAAUUAAUUGUGAAUUUAUGCUAAGCUUGUAUAUAUGAGUUUAUUUUCUAUGUUUCUUCUUUUUGCUUUUGUUGAUGCAAAUUCUUGCUCAAUGUACAGUGAUUGAUUUGUAUUUUGAACAUUUUUCUAAAUUAAAUUUUGUGGUUUAUUUUCCCCUUAAGGCGAAUAUCUCAAAUCACAUGUCUUCUUAUGAUUAAUUGUUUUGCUCAUUUGUUAAAGGGGGCUGCUAUGCCUGUAAUAAUCCCCUGACAUCAAUUUAUUUUACUCAACGUUUAGAGAGAAAAAAUUUAAAGUGAGAUGGGCAGUGUUUUUAUACUCAUUUUAUGCCCUUUUUUUCUUUUACCUUUAAAUGGGGUGUUUUUUUUUCUGUUAUAUAAGCAUCUUAGAGUCAAUUGGAGAGAUUAUAUUACACUUUUCCUAUAACAAGUGUCAGUCAAAACCCAUGUAUGGAGACACAUAUUCAUAUGUGUCAAUACUUAUUCAUUACAAGUAUUCUUUAGACGCUUAUCAUGUUUUUGGGCCCUUGACCUUUAAUAGGCUUGAGCUUGAAUUCGGCACUCAUGUUCCGUACAAAAAGGAUUGAUUUUGCAAUAUUUUUUCCGUAAGCACAUUCCAUAAAAUGUUUGUUAACAUGUCAGCUCAUUCCGUAGAAUGUUUGUGGCCAGAAAGCGCAUUCUGUAGAAUGUAUUUAUUUGCAUGUAGGCAUAUUCCAUAGAAUGUGUAUUUGCUCGUAGGCCCACUCCAUAGAAUGUAGGCUCAUUCUGUAAGAUGUAUAUUUGCCUGAAGACUCAUUUCAUAGAAUGUCUAUUUCCUAGUAGGUGCAUCCGUAGAAUAUGUAUUUGCCCGUAAACGCAUUCCGUAGAAUAUAUAUUUGUCAUAGGCACAUUCUUUAGAUUGUGUAUUUGUCCAUAGACUAAAUAUUUGUCCAUAGGCACAUUCCAUAGAAUGCAUAUUUGCUCGCAGGCACAUUCCGUAAAAUGUCUAUUUGCCCAUAGGCACAUUCCUUAGAUUGUGUAUUUCUCCAUAGGCGCAUUCCGUAGAAUCCAUAUUUUUAGAAAGUGUAUUUGUCCUAGGCGCAUUCCGUAGAAUAUAUAGUUGCCCACAGGCACAUUCCCUACAAUGUAUAUAUGCCCGUAAACAUAUUCCAUAGAAUGCUUAUUAGCAUGUAUGCUCUUACAUAGAAAUAUUUUAUAAGUGUGUAGGUCAUUCUUUGUGAGGUUUGUGAGGAAUGACCUAGGUCAUUCUUUGUAAAGAAUGGAUCUAAGUGAUUCUUUGUAAACAAUGGACCUAGGCUUUUCUUUAAAUCAUGCCUUUAGUGCUUUGUCAAAGACUUGCCCUUUAAACGUUUUACUUAAAAAUAUUUUCUAAGUGCUUAAAUAAUUAUUUAUAAAGAAUAGACCUAGGUCGUUCUUUGUAAAAAAUGGAUCUAUGUCAUUCUUUGAUGAAUCAUGUCUUUGACAUUUUGUCAAAGACUUGCUCUUUGGGCGUUUUACUCAGAAAUAUUUUCCAAGUGUUUAGGUCAUUCUUUGUAAGGAAUGGACUAUGUCAUUCUUUGUAAGGAAUGGACUAGGUCAUUCUUUAAAGAAGCACGACUUUUGCGCUUCAUUGAAAACUCACCCUUUGGACAUUUUACUUAGAAAUAUUUUCUAAAUUUCUAUGUCAUUCUUUGUAAAAAAAAUGGACCUAAGUCAUUCUUUGUAAGUAUAAGACCUAUGUUGUUCUUUGUAAAAAGUAUACUUAAGUCAUUCUUUACAAAUGAAUCACGCUUUUGGCGUUUUGUUGUAUCUUACAUUUAGACAUUUACUUCGAAUUCUAAAUACUUAGAUUAUUCUUAUAGAGAAUGGGCUAUGUUAUUUUAUGGAAAAUAUUUUUAUUGGGUCUAUAUUUUUCGUGUUUUGAACGAUUCAUAAUUUAGUCUAACAGCUUUAAUUGUGAAUAUAUGUUGAGCUUAUUAUCCAACUCUCUGUACUGUACAUAAUAUUGAAAAUUAUGCAUCCAUAAUAUUUGGUAAUGUCAUUAAUAAAUUCUUUUAUGUAUCUGAACAAUUUUUUUGAUAAUUUUAAAAAAUUAAUAAUUUUACAAAUUCAAAAAAAUUCUUAAUUCUAUCAAAUAAAAAAAUUAUGUAAUUAGAUUAUUAUAUAGAUAAUCAGUUUCCUUUUUGUCACAAUCAUGCAAUUUCCUGCUUGUAUUCUUGUAUUCUUUUACAUAAUCGAUUCAUCCAAUUCCCUAAUUAGGUGAUAUUUCCGAUUGAACUACUCUUGUCACUUUUUUUUUUUAAACCCUUGUAAAAAUCCUAGGGCAUGUGUCCAUUUACGAAUAAUGCUUUUUUUUUUCAUACCAAUCAUAUGUUACAAUUAAAACUUUAUUGAUAUAUUUACAAUCUAUUCCUACCUAAUUUCUUUUUACCCGUGUAAAAAUCUUAGUAGGCUUGAGCCACUGGCAAAUGAGCAAUGCUACUUUGAUAAAAGUAGUACAAUAAAAUUUUGACAAAAUAUAUAGAAAGAUUAAAUCGCCCGUUGUUCUGUAUAAAAUGAUUAGUUAACAUGAAUUGCAACUGAUUAGUUAACAUUAAGUGUUUUUUUAUCUACUCUUUUUUUUUUUUUUUUUUGGCGAGUAGGCUAUGAGCUAUUGGCAAAUGAGCAAUGCUACUUUGAUAAAACUAGUAUAAUAAAACUUUGACAAAAUAUUUAAAAAGACCAAAUAAUCCAUUGUUCUGGAUAAAAUGAUUAGUUAAUAUGAAUUGCAACUAAUUAGUUAAUAUUCAUUUCUUUUUUCAUCUGCCUCAAUUCUAUAUUUUCGUAGAAAGAUUACUCGAAUUGGUGCUCCUCAACACUGUUGAGAGCUCCAACCCAUGUCAUAUAAAUAUUGUAAGUCAAUUUCAAUUCUAUAUUUUCGUCCUCUAUAUAUAUAUAUAUAUAAGAGUAAAGAGUAGUGCCAAAAAUUAAUUCAUUUUCUAUGUGUACAGAAAGUUUAGAAGAGGUAAAUUUAUGCAAUUAAAUCGUUUACAAAGAAGCAAUCAUUUCUAAAAUGCAGAUGGCCAUCUCUCAUAAUUAUGACGCUCUAAUUAAUUGGUGUUCGUUUAUAUAAUUCAUUUCUUGGUUGUUUAAAAUUAAUUUAUUAGUUAUUUAAAACAGGCUGAUUAAUAUUAGACAUGAUGGGAAAAUCAUGUAACAAUAAUUAGGCUGAUAAAUUUGGCAUAAAAAUCAACUCCAAAUCCAGCUAAUCACUUGCUUGAUAUUCAAUUUAAUUUUACCUUCCUUUUAAGACCACGCUGCCCACAUAUUAACAAUAUUUUGUCAUGCGUUAAAAUUAAUGAGCCCAAUAAAUAAAUUCACACCUAAUAAUUAAAAAAUAAAAAUUAUUUCCAAGGUAGAAACAACUGAGUCUACAAAAUUUAAAAAAUAAAAAAUUACAAUUACAAGAAUAUUCCUAAAUUUAAUAAAACAAAUAAAUUUAAAAAUCCAAGAUGUUAACUUUUAUAAUUAUAUUUUUUAUAAUUAUAAUUAUAUUUAAUUUUUUAAUUAAAUUAAAUAUAGGGAAGUUUACAAAAAUUAACAUGAAGAGAAAAGCUCCCUAUAAUUAUUGUGAACUUCCCUAUAAUUAAAAUUAAGAAACUUCCCUAUACUUAAUUUUAUUGCAAACAUUACAUAAAAUUGUAUUUACGAAAAAUUAACAUGAUAAUUUCUAAAUGAAAUUACAAUUAUAAAAAACUAACAUCAUGAAUUUUGAGAUUUAUUUGUUUGAUUAAAUUCAUCGGUAUUCUUAUAAUUAUAAUAUUUUUAUUUUUUAAAAUUACAAAAAUUAUUUUUUAAAAAUUUUAUAAAAUAAAAUAGUCUUUUAAUUCAUUAAAAAAUAAAAUAAUUAUUUUUUAAUAUCAAAGUAAUUAAUUAAUAUAAAUUUAAAAAUAAAAGUAGUAUAAAAAAUAUAUUAAAAUUUUAUGGUAAUUAAAUAUAAAUAUGAUAAAAUAGAAGUGUUGCAGACGUAAUUUUCAUUUACGCCAUUACAUAGAUUCUGUCAGUCUGCGCCAGAGCCCUGAGCAGAACAUGUCACUCAUGACGAAAUCCGUUACACGAAGGGCAAUUUCGUAACUCGACAAAAAUUUCCCCACGUUCACAAGUCACGACACACCGUACCCGGUAGUCUCCAAGACUCGAACCGGAGGGCAACCCAAACUCGGACAGGGAAAAAUUAAAAAAUUAAAAAGAAGUGCCCAUUUAAAAACAACUCUGUACCUCUCUCUCGCUCUCGCUCUCGCUCUCUUAUCUCACAGAGAAACAAAACAGAGAAAGACUUCAGUUGCAGAGUCCGAUUCUUACAAUUACAGUUCGUACAGUUAAACUCAAGACUCUUCCAUCCCCUUAAAAAUCCUCCCGGAAAAUCCCUAAUUCCCUCCAAGUCCUCUCCUCCAUGGACACACUAUUUGAGCUACCUACUAUUCUCACCGGCCGUUGAUUCUCCUCGUGCCUCACCCGCAUUAUUUUUUCGCCUCAGGUUAUUUCUCCCCUUAAAAAUCCUCCCGGAAAAUCCCUAAUUCCCUCCAAGUCCUCUCCUCCAUGGACACACUAUCUGAGCUACCUACUAUUCUCACCGGCCGUUGAUUCUCCCCGUGCCUCACCCGCAUUAUUUUUUCGCCUCAGGUUGUUUCUCCAACUAAUCUCAAUUUCAAGAAUUUCUUUUUAAUAACAAAUUUCAAUUUUUUAUUUUAACUUAAUUGCUCUCAGUCUACUUGCUGGCUGAAGCUUGUUAAUUUUUUCUUAAAUAUAUAUUUAUUUUUUGAAGGUUUUGCAUUGGUAAUUAUCUGUUUUCUUCGUUGAAUACUGUUUCUUGAGUAGCCUUUUGCUGUGACCGCUUGUGCUCUCAGAAUGCUGUGUUUGUUGACGCCUAUAACCAAAUUAGUUUUAGGGUUUAUGUUUUGGUUUAGUUAGAGUCGUAAUUAAUUAUAUGAAAUUAUAAUAUAAUCAAAUAUGUGCAGAAACAUUGGGCAGUUCUGGGUAGAAUGUGUGUGUGUGCGCGCGCUUGUGCUGAGAGAGAGAGAGAGGAACAUGUACUCCAGAAGCUUUGAGUAAUUAGAGGAAUCAAGUUGGAAUUUCAGGGGGAAAAAAAAGGAAAUUCAAGCAUUAAUGUCUUGGGAUUGACCUUUGAGUCCCCUAACAUUGAUGUACUGUUUUUGUUCUUUUCAUUAUUGUUUGAUCAUUUAAUUAUUACACUUCUUUUUAUGUUGUGUAUCUCAUCUGCAGCGUGUUGCAAUCGCAGAAUCCUGUGAAUUACUGCUUAUAGAAUGCACUUUAUAUUAAAUAGUGUUUUGUUAUUAAAUAAUUUUACUGACAUGUCGUUUGAUCAAAGGAAACCUUUUCCAGUAAAGGACUGUGGUCUGACCCUUCUUUUUAAUCAUAGUCAUCAAUUAUUCCACUCAUUCACCAUUUACUUCCCAUUAGUGGGCCUUAGUUAUGAAGUCUCAAAUAAUUUAGUUUUUAGUGCGGUGUUUCCCCUAGUGUUUGAUGAUGGAAUGCGUUGUUACUUUUCUAUAUCUAGAAAAUUUAUGCUAGCUUAUAACAUUUAUAUGGCGUUUUAUAAUCUCUCAGCUGAAAUCCAUAUUUAUGCAAGCAACUAUAGCAAGCAUAAUGUUGUUGGCAUGGUAAUGGUUGAAAUUCGGGAACAUUAAAAACCCUAGCGCUAAUAGUGCUAAAAUAUGCGUUAUAGCAUUUCAAAUGCACGUUAAUUGAGGAUACUAGAUUUUUAUUGGAAUUAAUUGAGGAUACUUGAUUUUUAUCGGAAUUGUACUUAUAUUUCCUCUGCUUUUUCUUCCUUUUGCAGGAUCCUGCACUUUUGAAGUUCCGCCUUAUGCUUUGGUAACUGGGUCACCUCUUAACAAUCAUGGGCAGUACAUUUAAUCCUCAGAUUUUAGUAGAAAAGCUAGCCAAGCUCAACAACUCACAGGCUAGCAUAGAAAGUAUCCUUUUUAUUUCAAUUACAAGUAGUUUCUUUUUUAUCUUGGUGGUGUUAGUGUCUUUAAUGUUUAGGAAACUUUUAGGGCCAUUUUCACUUUCAUACUUCGGGCAGAAAACGCUAAUAUUUUGCUUUAACUGUCAUUAAUUUUUACUUUCAUCACAAAUAUUCAUCCUCAUAAAUUGAGAUUCCUUUUGCACUUUUUACGGUCAAUCUAUAGUUUUUAUCCUUAAUGUGAGUUAGCUUUGUCACAUUGGUGUAUUUUUCAUAUGAAUAAAGCCAAGCAAGUUGUUGAAACAUGGGACAGACAAUUUCAUUGCUCUCCACGUGACCAGAGAUUGGCUUUUCUAUAUCUUGCAAAUGAUAUUUUGCAGAACAGCAGGAGAAAAGGUUCAGAGUUUGUUGGUGAAUUUUGGAAGGUUCUUCCUGAUGCUCUUCGUGAUGUAAUACGAAAUGGAGAUGAGUUCGGAAGAAACGCUGCUCUAAGACUGGUAUAUUCACCUUAGCAUUGCAUACUUGUUUCUAUAUCUACUUAAUUUUUCAAAUUGGACUGUAUAUUCUACUAUGAAUCUUAUAACAUGUUAUCAUCUAACAUUAUAUCCGAAACUAUGUAACUUGAAGCUUUAAAAUAUGGAUUCUUUGUGUGUAAAGGAAACUCUUGAGCCAAAAAGACAAUUGUUAGAGUGGAUGCCUUGAAUGAUAGUUAGUUAUUGCAUCAUUACGAAUGUUCUCAAUUUUCUAUUGGACAGAACUAUUUGGCAUGUUUUAGGGGCUUCUAAUAAUGUUUUACAUUGGGCGGAUAAAGUAAAAAACAUAUAAUGCAGUACGUAGAAGAACGCUGUACGUGUUUUGAUGGCUUUUAUGUUCCUGUCGAUAAGACUCCCAAGUACCUCAAUGUGUUGCAAGAGAGGGGAAUAAAGAAAAUGGGGAAUGAAAAUGGAUCCUCAAAUAUAAAAUUCAAAAUAACAGGAAAUGCCAAUAAGGAGCACAUAAAAUUAGCCUCAUCUCCAUGAAAUAAAUUCCUCAGAUUAUAUUUCCAGGUAAUUGCUCACUUUACAAUCCUUUCACACCAAAUGUUGCACACCAAACGUUAGCUGUAUUUUCUCAAGUCCGUCCUUCCUCAUUGAGGUGUCAGGAUCAAUCAUUGAUGAAUGUGAAAAUAUAUAAUCACUGAUGUCUCAUUGAGUUGUCACAAUGAAUCAGGAUGUUUAAACUGGCCCGUGGUAGGUAUAGUUGACAUUAAUUGAAGAGUAAACUGUUUAUCAUUCAAUCUUAUUCUAUCUAGUUUGCUUCAAGAACUGCUAUGCAAAUUGCAAUCCUCUAUUACAUGUUUGACCUUUUCAGGAUGCCACAUACUUGUUACAUCUUAUUCGUAUACUCACUUUUGUAUAAAGUCAAUACUGAUUGCUGAAGGUUACAUUUUCGCUGUGUACCUGUAGAUUGGUAUAUGGGAAGAAAGGAAAGUUUUUGGUUCUCGGGGGCAAAUACUGAAAGAAGAGAUUGUCGGGAGGCACCCAGACAAUCACAGUAGAAAUGGGAAGCAUCUGGGGUUGAAAUUGGUAAUUCAAUUUUUGCCCUUUUCUGACUGAAUGAUGUUUAAUCUUGUUGAAAAUUUGAGGACUAAUGCCAUCUCUCAUCUUCUUUCCUUCAAGCAGAAGCAGCCUAUUGGAAAUACCGUGGACAAAAUAGUUUCAGGUUAUCAGGUUGUUUAUGGGGGCCAGGUGGAUGAAGAUGUUAUUUUGCACAAAUGUAGGGAUGCUAUAAGCUCUAUGGAGAAGGUAGAGAAGGAAAUUGGCAGUGACGUCCAUUCAGGUAGUACCUACAUUUGGUUUCUUUUGGACAACCACAGUAUAUGUAAAUGUUUUUCACUUCAUAAUAAAUCUUGAAUAUAUAGUACAUUGUGAUUUAUCUGCAUGCUCUUUCACUUGCACACAUUUACGUAUUUUGUUGUUUAGGUUAGGCUUUCAUAAUGUUACAUGAACUAGCAUUAUAGUCCUAAUUAGUGUUUCUAAUGUAACUCUACACUUUCUUGAAUUCACGUUAGUUUCUUCAGACUACUUUCUUCUGAUCUUUUCCCAUGGAAGGAUAGUCUUGAAUUCACCUUAGUAUAAAUUUGAUGGGAAGUGCAAAUUUGAUUAGCUAAUAAACCUUUCCCUCUCUCCAUUUUGAGUGAACCUCCUUAAACUAAGAUUUCAACUGUUUAAGAUUUCAUUGAUCAGCCUCAGGAUUAUAACUUUUAAUUAGUGUAUUGGUGCGCUGGGCUUGGACAUGAUAGUCAAGGAUUGGGAUGUGUCAGUGUAGUUUCAUUAAUUGAUUUCUCAAAUUGUUCAUAUUAUCAUAUCUGAUUAUGUCUCUCCUUCACAAAACAUUGUUCUGCACAGGACAAAUGCAUGAAUCUGCAUUUGUGGAGGAGCUGCAGGCGCAGCAUGCUACAUUAAGGGGCUGCAUUGAGCAAUUAACAUCUGUGGAAUCAUGGAGAGCAAGUCUUGUGUCUAAUUUGAGGGAGGCUCUCCAGGAGCAGGUCUGUCAGCCACACUAUUCAGUGGUUGCAAAAAUCUUGCAAUUGUGAUUGAAUGUAAAACUGACAUUUAUUUUUUUAUCUUUCAGGAAUCUAAGCUGGCUCAAAUUCGUAAUGAGCUUCAGGUUUGUCAUUGUUACCCAUUCUAACUAAUUCCAUGGAAAUAUUUACAUUCACAUGCUCAAGCAGACAUGCUCUUACACUGUAAAGAAAUUAAUUGAAAUAUGGCAUUUAUUCCAAAUAAAUCUAUAAAUGUAAAUGCAUUUAUUGAUGUGUCAUAAAUGGUUUCCUUUUUAAAUAUACUAAGAAAAAGCUUUAAACUGGGUGCUUGCUUGAAACAUAUAGCCCAAGAAAGAGUCGUAUGGCUAACUUUGAUUAGUUUCAUGGCAUCUUCUGCAUUUGUGCCCCACUUUUUUUUUUCCCUUAAUUUUUUAUAUCACCUCAUUUUGGUUAUUAGCAUGUGCGAGUAAUGAGUUUUUGAAGUUUUAUAGUGUUUUGAAGUUUUACAGUGUAAGGUUGAGAUUUAUGGUCUGGUGGGAGAGUGAGAAGAUUUGUGUCUUGCCUUGAAUGCUGACUGUUUGAACAUUGCAUUUUCAACACACUUAAAGUCUUUCCUGGCUUUAAAGUCCUUUAUGAGUGCGCAGAAGUUUUUAGACUGAGUAUGGAUUUGUUCAUUGUGCCAUAUUAAGCACGUGGAAAUCAUCAUCACUGUUUUUUGCUUACCAGGUGGCACAGUCCCAGUCAGAGCAGGCUGAUAACAUUUGCCGGCAGUUAGUAAAUGGUAACCAUGCACAGUUGCUAGCCGAGCAGAACUCAAAAGAAGUUCAUACCUCAAUGGCACCUCCAGGAUUUAUACCAGGGGAUAGGGAGCAGUCAGCUCCUGUGAUGUAUGCUCGACAGGCGUCUUUUCCAGAGAAGUCUGGCCACAAUGAAGAAGACCCCAGGAAAUCUGCAGCUGCUGCAGUGGCAGCAAAGCUGACUGCUUCAACGUCAUCAGCCCAGAUGCUCUCUUACGUCCUCUCCUCUUUGGCAUCUGAGGGUGUCAUUGGUAAUUCAAGUAAAGAAGCCACCAAUGAUUUCCCUCUGGAAAAGAGGCCUAAGCUUGAGAAUGACCAUUCUUAUGCACCUCCUCCGUGUACCGAAAAAUCACCAGCUCCUCCUUUCCCGCAUCCUGACUCUCUUCAGCAAAAUAUAACAACUACAACUUCACAAUUAGCUCCAAACGACCCACCACCUCCACCACCAUCAUCCCCUCCACCAAUGCCACCAAUGCCACCACUUCCACCUAUGCCACCAUAUCAGAUGCCCCCAUAUAUCCAAAAUGCUGGACCAAUGACUAGCUCACAAUUUAGCUACAACCUGACCCAACAACCCCCUACUGUGCCUGGUUAUCCACCUGUUGGGGCCCCGGUGACAGGCAUGUCUCCCUUUGGGACACCCCCAACAAAUCCUUACCAGAGCUUUCAGGGUUCUGAUGGUAAUUUCUAUAGUCAGCCAUCCUCAAUGCCUGUUGCACCGCCAAUUUCUCGGCAAUAGGAUUCUCAUCAGGCCUGCCUUAGUCGAAGGUUUUUCCGGGUAACUUAAGGCGUAAUCAUGAUAACUUAUAGAACUCAGUCGUUACCAGCGCUAGAAACUUUCCUGUUUGUGUUAGUUAUACAGCAGAUUUAGAGUUGCACAUAGUGAAUGUUUGUAACUUAUGAUUGUUUUUAGACUGUGGUGUUACAUUGUUGAAUUUAGAGGAAAAAAAUGGAUUUUUUUUUCACUUGAUUAUGCAAUCAUUUGUUAUUUAAUUGAAGUAAUUAACUAGGCUAUGGUCUCAUUUCCUGCGAGGAGACCCAUAAGGAACCUGCGGGCUCCAGUUGGUGGCGUCAUGCAGUUGUGGGCCUCGAAAGUGAAUUAUUUUCAUGACAUUGGGUUCUAAUUUCAUUCGUAAAAAACCAAUUCAUACGAGCUACUAAAGAGAAUUAUUUUUCAGAUAUUCCAAAAGUAGAGUCCUAAGAUAUUUUCUUGGGCAAAACUCAUAACGUCCACUUUACUUGAGGCCCCAGAAGCAGCUUUGUACAUUUUUGGUUGGGCUGUGCUAGGACUGGACCGGAGUUGGGGUUGGGAAUUUUUUAACUACGCGUUCUACAGGACCCCAGUAGACGGGCCACUUAGUUCCAACUGGUAAAUGUUGUAUCAUCAACUUAUAGGAGAGCACCAAAUGCCGAGUGACUUCUACCUUAGAAUGGUUUCAUCUCGCCAUAGUAUGUACGUGGCUUGUUAUACCAGUAGUUCAGAUUGAUAUAGCUCCCAUCAGAUUGAUAUAGUUCCCAUUUGGGUUAAUUAUCAGAAUAGAUGUUGUUGGUUUCCUGCUUACAUAUAGUGCAUUUCCAAAAAAUUUUGUGAAAACUGCAGAAGCUGCAUUGGCAAAAAUUGGCUUUUUAGAGUUUAUUAAAUCGAUUAUGAAAAGAUGCUAGUUAAAAACACUUUCAAACUCUUGACUCAUGCCUAAAAAUUUCUUCUCAACACAUUAACGGCUAAAUGGGUUAACGGAGACCGUGUUUAAAAAGAAACUUUCAGAAAAUCAGUAGAAAUCUCUACUAAGUUUUUAUUAUUUUUGUCAAAAAAAAAAGCUUAUUUUUCAAUAACUUUUCCUCCAAACUCUUUUCUCUUGAAUAAUAACAAGGACCGCCUUUUGUUUAUGUUUUAAAUAUAAUUUAUAUUUCCGUUAACCAGGUGAGACUUCUAAACCCAAAAGAUAAAUAAAUAAAACUAAAAACAAAUUAGAUAACUUACUUGCUAACCGCUAUCCAAAUGAUGUUUAAACUUUCUAAGUAUGAAUAAGAGAAUUUUAUUGCUUGAAUAUUGUGUAUAUAAUGAUUGCUUGUUUUUCUAGUGUGUCUAUUCUUUCUAUCUCUCUUUAUCUAUUCUUAGUCGCUUGAGAGGUCUAUAUAUACACUUAAGGACUCGAUACAAUAAUUGUUACAAUUAAUGACUCAAUGUACAAGAGAUAAGAUUUUGAAUUUACACAAUUUGCUAAAGGACUAACUAAAAGUAACUAGUAAAAAGAUUGACUUGGCUACUAUUAUUUUGUGAUGACUCAUUGUCGAUAAAUAGUGAUUGGCUAUUGUUUUCUAGGCUAACUCGUUGUAGAUAAUAAAAUGAAAAAAUGAAAAAGAUGAUUGCAUAGUUUUUCCUUAUCAAGUAGUGAGUAAAUGAAUGACAUAUGUAAAACAUGAAUUUGAUAAAGGCAAACUACUUUAACGUUUUGACUACUGCUAGUUGGCUAAUGCUGGCUAAUCAUCCAUGUCGUUUUCCACGUUGUCUGCUUCUUUACUUUCCAAAUCAUCCCACCAUUCAGCUUCAUGUAGAGCCAAUUCCUAUUGUUCAUUUUGAGCUCUCAUUUCUACUUUGAAUUCUUUGGCAUAGUGCUCUACCAAUCUUGUGUAUUUGGUUUUGGUGAAGGAGGGUACUUCUAGAAGGGGAUGUUUAGAGUAAAUUUUUUGAACUACAUCUUCAGUGAUUAAGAUAUAAUCUUCAAACUCUUAAUGCACCUAAUAGAACUGUCUGCCUAUCACUUUACUAGUCCAAUGUUUAAGCUACUCUUCUAUACUAAACUGUUUACAAGGCUAAAGAAAUUAUGUUUCAAAAAGUGAAGGUCUAAAUUUAUGAACUUUGACUACUAUUUUAUAUUGGACUGGUAUGACCCUAGACUCAUCCCAUUUUGGUGGUUUGUUGUCUAGGAAUAAUUCCACAAAUGAAUUAUUUGUUGUGGCAAAAGUGUUUAGGAUUAUUAUGGCUAUUUUUCUUCCAAAUGGAUUUGAUCGAUCACGGCCUGAAAAUACUACUUGACUUGAUAGGCCAUAAUCUAAAAGUAAGGUUGGUGUUAAAAGUAUUUUUUUUCUUGUUUGCAAUCUACUUCAACAAGUUCAUAUCUUGAUAGAUCUAUAUAGGCUGAUGGUAUGCUAUAAACAAGGUGUCAUCUAUAAGCGAAUCUUUCUAAGGGGAAUGAUUUAAUAAUGGAUCUUCUCUUGGGCAAUUUACAUUCUCAGUUUUAUAUUCAGUAUCCCAUAUAAUAUGUAAACCAUUAGUAUUUAAUUCUGAUAUAGCUAUAUUAUUUAAAAAUUUUAUAAUCUAUAUUUGUUUGUCUAAAACUAUUUUUACUGCUUUUUGUCUAAUUUUUUGGAUUAGAUAUGUUGGGUGUUGAGUGUUAGAAAAUGCAUAUUUAUAAAGGAGAAAAUCGUCAUUUUACAUUUCAAGUCUUACUAACAACCCUUACUUUUAUGUAUUUAACCUUCUUGUGAUUUAAUUACAUGUGUUUUAUUUUAAUUAAGUAUUUUAUGCAUUUUAGGGGCAUCAUAGUCAUUUCACAAUAAACGAGAAAUCAGAUGGCAAAACGGACAUCACUUUUGAACUCAGGACGGUCGAAAACUUUAGAAGGAGCAUAAAAGGAAAAAUGGCACUGUUCACAUGUACGGUACUAUUCACGUGUACGGUACUGUAUACAUUACUGUUCACGACACUGUUCACAUAGACGGACCGAUGACGUGGCAUUGACUGAUGAGGUGUCACGAUCCUGUUGGACUAAAAUUCUUAUAUACUGUUAAUGGUGACGUGGCAGCAUAUCAGUGGACGAAAAAUCUCGCAUACGGUGCAUGCAUCACACAGGAUUAUUUUCAACCAAACCGCGUUACUGUUAAUCCGGGUCAAACCGUGUUACUGUUCAUCCGCGUGGUCAAACCGUGGACUGUUGACUGAUGACGUGGCGCAAUCCUGAGCGUCCAAACUGUUUUUAAUCCGAUGGUCAUGAUUUACUCCACGUAUCUAUAAAAAGGGAGCCUCUCCCCCCUAAUUUGAUAUCUCUGAAUCCAUUUUUGGGAUCCAUUUUCUGUAAUUCCUUCUCCAUCUUGUAUUUUCUUCGUAUUUUAAUAAAUUCCCAUUUUGCCCCUAGUUCAAUUAUGAGUGGCUAAUUUUCUUUCAAGCUUGGGUUGAAGGUGAAGUCUCAACAUGUGUCAUGGGCUUAAUUUGGUAAAUUUAUUUUCUCUUCCCCUCUAAUUUUUGUGGAUGUUUUGACUUCUCGUCGACAAAUAAUAAUAGUCUUGUCUAGAUACCGCCUUGGUUACACCGGCUCUCUAGUAUAAGGUUAUUAUUAUUUGGCACGAUAAGCCCUUAGCACCAUAUUGAUUAGAGCGUGGUUCAUGAGGUGUGGAUUCCCCCCUUAUGAUUUAAUUGGCAUUAAUACGGAUUAUUUAGCCCAUGAUGCAUGUUGAUACGGAUCCAGAUACCCAAGUACGUCAUUUCAAUAUAAUUCUCUUCAAUUUAUUCUCGCCAUUUCAAUACCAAUUUUAGAAUUUAUUCUCGCCAUUUUAAUUUAAGUUUUAGCAUAUUCCAAAUCAUUUCCACCACAAAUCCAACCACCCAUUUACAAAAUUAAUUCUAUAUAUAAUUAAAAUCCACCUCCUCAUGGGAUCGACACUCGUCACCAUUAGUCUAUACUACAAUAGAUUCGUGCGCUUGCGAGUACAUUAAAAUUUGCGCAACAAGUUUUUGGCGCCGUUGCCGGGGAGGUAAGUAAUUUUAAUUCAUAGAAUUAAAUUUUUUUUAAUAAUUUCUUUUAUUUGUUUUCUUCUAUUUUUUUAAUUAAAAAAAAAGAAAAAAAAAGUGAAUCUACAUUUAAAGGUUAGUAUUUCUUUUCUUCUUCUUUAAAAUUCUGUGAUUUAAUUUUCAAUUUAUUUUUCUUUGUAAUUUUUUUUUAUUUUAUUAAUUUAAUUUUUAGUUAAUUUAUUUCACGUAUUUGUUUUUGUGUAUUUUUAUAGAAAGGUUUUAAUAGCACAAUAAGGUUAGUAUCAUAAUUUCUCCCUCUUAUUUAUUUUUAUUUGUUUUGUUCCCAUCUUUAUUUUCAUUUUAUUUGUUUUGCAUGCAUGGGCAUAGGUCAUUAUUACCUAAUCUUGAACCUAUAGACUUUGAACUAGAAAAAACACUUCGCACACACAAACAAAUUAAAAAUAAAAUGGAUUUGCAACCACAGGAGAGGCCAUUUAAGGACUACUUCAGUCCUUUAGCUAAUUUGAGCACAUCAUGCAUAAGAUACCCUAAUGUAGCUGCUAGGAGCUUUGAACUAAAACCUAGUGUGCUAAAUCGUCUCCCCACAUUUUAUGGCCUAGAAAAUGAGGAUUCAUAUAAUCAUCUGAAUGAUUUUCAUGCCAUUUGUCAAACUUUUAAAUAUGAAAAUUUUUCAGACGAUGAUGUUAAACUCAGAUUAUUCCUAUUUUCUUUAAAGGAUAGAGCUCGUUUAUGGUUAAAUAUUUUGCCUGCUAAUAGCAUCACAUCAUGGGAACAAAUGGUAACGAAAUUUUUGAAUAAAUAUUUCCCAGUGCAUAAAACCAAUGCUAUUUGCAGAGAAAUCUCGGAGUUUACCCAGAGAAAGGACGAGCAAUUUUUUGAAACAUGGGAGCGAUUCAAUGGGCUACUCUUGAAGUGUCCACAUCAUGGGUAUGAGAAAUGGCACCAAUGUCAAUACGUUUUGGAGGGAUUACUACCGAAUGUGCAAGAAUGGCUAAUGGCAACAAGUGGAGGAGAGCUAAUGUCAAAAAGUGCAUCAGAAAUUUGGGAAUUCUUCCAGCGAUAAGCAGAUAAUUCCCAACAAUGGAGUCGAUCACUCAGGACUACUAGAAGAAUUAAAGGAGUAAAUGAGGUUCAAAUUGGCGAAUCCAGUUCAAAAAUUAAAGAAGUCAAAGCAAUAAUUGAAGGUCUCUCUCGACAAAUAGCAUCGUUAUCGACUGCUAAAUCAACAGAGUGACAUGACCAUGACUCAUACUCAGAUCAAGCUAAUACCAUAGGUGUAAUGAGAAAGCCAUCAAAUUACAACCCAUACUGCAGCACAUAUAACCCUGGAUGGAGAGACCACCCCAAUUUUUCAUGGUCUCAAGGAUUCCAACAGAAUGGACCAGUAGCUCCAGCUCCAGCUCCACCAAUUUCUCAAAAUCCUCAAGCCUCUCAGCCACCAUUUAGACCAAACAAUCAGAACCAGAACUACACUCAGCCCAGACCAUGGGAGGAUGCAUUCCAGAAUUUCAAGAAUGUUACUCACUCCACGAUUGAGCAACAGAACCGCACCAUUGAUGGACUACGAAAUGAGUUGAGAACAGGCUUCAAUUCACAAGCCCAAUCAGUUUCAAGCCUUGAGAAGAUUGUGGGACAACUUGCUUCUUCAGUUCAGACCUUGGCAAUGACCGUUGAGAAAGGUAAAUUUCCAAGUCAACCAGUGCCUAACCCUAAAGGAGUGCAUGAAACAAGUACCAGUUCACCACAGCAGCAUGGAGAGGUCAAAGCCGUCAUGACCUUGCGAAAAGGAAAAGAAGUCGACAACAAAGUGGAGAUGCCGGUGACAAAAGAAAUCAAAUUGUACCUGUGAAUGUUGAGGAAUCAUCACUGGAGGAGAAAGAAGAAACCAACCCACGAGAAUACGUUCCGGAAGCUCCAUUUCCUCAGAGGUUAGCGAAAGAAAAAAAGGGAAAAUCCACAAGUGAGAUUCUUGAAAUCUUCAAACAGGUAAGUGUUAACAUCCCUUUGCUUGAUGUUAUAAAACAAGUUCCAUCUUAUGCCAAGUUUCUUAAAGACCUUUGUACUAAAAAGAGAAAUAUGCAUGUUCAAAAGAAGGCAUUUUUAACAGAAAACGUUAGUUCUAUACUCCAACAUAAAAUUCCUUUAAAAUACAAAGACCCAGGCUCCCCCACUAUCUCAUGUAGUAUAGGGAACCACACAAUUGAGAAUGCUUUGUUGGAUUUAGGAGCUAGUGUAAAUCUUUUGCCUUACUCUGUAUUCGUGAAACUUGGACUGGGAGAAUUACACCCAACUCCAGUGGUGUUACAGCUUGCAGAUCGGUCCACGAAAAUACCUCGUGGUAUUGUGGAGGACGUGCUUAUCCAGGUAGACAAAUUUUAUUUUCCUGUUGAUUUCAUUGUAAUUGACACUCAACCAAUACAGGAUUCAAGGAAGCACAUCCCCAUUAUUCUAGGCCGACCUUUCUUGGCAACUGCGGAUGCUCACAUUCAAUGCAGGACCGGAAAUAUGCAGUUGUCCUUCGGCAACAUGACUAUGGAGCUGAACAUCUUCAACAUUGCCAAACAACCUCACAGUGCAGAUGAUGGAAUUGUUGAUGUGGAUUUAAUUGAAGCAUUAGUUGAUGAUACUUUUGUUUCAAACCUUAGUGAUGAUCCUUUACAAACAUGUUUAACUCACUUUGGUUUGGAUUUUGAUAUUGACAGAUCAGUCGAUGAGGUCAACGCCCUGCUUGACUCAGCACCAUCCAUGGACACUAAUAAAUGGAAGUUAAGAGUUGAACAACUAGCACCAUCAGAGAAGAAACUCAUCCCAUCAUCAGAAUCACCACCGAAACUCGAGCUCAAACCAUUACCCAACACUCUGGAAUAUACAUUUUUGGGAGAAGAAAGUACUCUGCCGGUAAUCAUCUCAUCAUCCCUCAAUGACAAACAAAAAGGUAAGUUGUUGAAUGUUUUAAAAGAGCACAAAGGAGCAUUAGGAUGGACCAUAGCAGACAUAAAAGGUAUAAACCCAGUAGACUGCAUGCAUUACAUUCACCUUGAUGAAAAUGCUAAAUCUACUAGGGAAAUGCAACGUCGGUUAAAUCCUAAUAUGAAAGAAGUUGUUAGAACAGAAGUCCUUAAGCUAUUAGAUGCAGGUAUCAUUUACCCAAUUUCUGAUAGUUCAUGGGUCAGUCCUGUACAAGUUGUCCCCAAAAAGUCAGGAGUUACAGUAGUUAUGAAUGCCGAUAAUAAAUUGGUACCCACUAGAGUAACUACAGGAUGGCGUGUAUGCAUUGAUUAUAGAAAGUUGAAUUCUGUCACACGUAAAGACCAUUUUCAUUUACCAUUUAUCGAUCAAAUGCUUGACAAAUUAGCAGGCCAUGAAUUUUAUUACUUUCUAGAUGGCUACUCAGGAUAUAAUCAGAUUCUCAUAGCACCAAAAGAUCAAGAGAAAACUACUUUCACUUACCCUUUUGGCACAUUUGCAUAUAGGAGAAUGCCAUUUGGAUUAUGUAAUGCACCUGCUACAUUUCAACGAUGCAUGUUAAGCAUUUUUUCUGAUAUGAUUGAACGAUUCCUUGAAGUCUUUAUGGAUGACUUUUCUAUCUUUGGUGACUCAUUUGAUCAAUGUUUACAUCAUCUAACACUAGUUCUGCAGAGAUGUAUCGAGAAGAACUUGGUCUUAAAUUGGGAGAAGUGUCAUUUUAUGGUAAAACAAGGUAUUGUUCUCGGUCACAUCAUUUCGAGCAAAGGUAUUGAGGUUGACAAAGCCAAGGUGGAUCUCAUUUCUAAUCUUCCUCCACCCAAAACAGUCAGAGAAGUAAGAUCUUUCCUUGGGCAUGCUGGUUUCUAUAGACGUUUCAUUAAAGAUUUUAGCAAAGUUUCUAGACCCUUAUGCAAUUUACUUGCUAAGGAUGCACCUUUUGUCUUUAAUGAUUCAUGUCUUGUGGCGUUUGAAAAAUUAAAACAGUUGUUGACAUCAUCACCCAUCAUUCAGCCCCCAAACUGGAGCUUACCAUUUGAGCUAAUGUGUGAUGCAUCUGAUUAUGCAGUAGGAGCAGUAUUAGGACAAAGAGUUGAUCGAAUUCCCCACGUUAUUUACUAUGCUAGUAUGACAUUAAAUGAUGCACAGUUGAACUAUUCAACUACUGAAAAAGAAAUGCUAGCAGUAGUGUUUGCAUUGGAAAAAUUUCGAUCAUAUCUCAUUGGUUGUAAAAUAAUUAUAUUCACGGAUCAUGCUGCUCUUAAAUAUCUUCUCACAAAGAAAGAUGCAAAAGCCAGACUAAUUCGUUGGGUGUUACUUUUGCAGGAGUUUGACUUGGAAUUCAAAGAUAAGAAAGGCACAGAGAAUGUUGUGGCGGACUAUCUCUCUCGUCUCCAUUUUGACACAAUUAUAGAACCAUUACCAUUAAAUGAGUCAUUUCCAGAUGAACAAUUAAUGAGUGUGGAAGUAUUACCUUGGUAUGUUGAUAUAGUUAAUUAUCUUGUUACAGGUAAACUUCCAGAGCAUUGGACCAAGCAAGACAAGGCUAAAUUCUUUGCAGAAAUAAAUAAUUUCUUUUGGGAUGACCCGUAUUUGUUCAAGUAUUGUGCAGAUCAAAUUGUUAGACGAUGUGUCCCAAAAAGUGAAAUUCAGAAUAUUCUUUCAUUCUGCCAUGAACAAGCUUGUGGAGGCCAUUUCAGUGCUAAGAAAACAGCAACUAAAGUUUUACAAUGUGGUUUAUAUUGGCCAACUAUAUUUCGAGACGCUUACACUUUCUGUUCUUCAUGUGAUAGGUGUCAACGAAUGGGGAGCAUUACGCGAAGGAAUAUGAUGCCACUAAAUCCAAUUUUAGUGGUUGAGAUUUUUUAUGUAUGGGUUAUCGACUUCAUGGGACCCUUUCCCCCGUCUUUUGGCCAUCAAUACAUAUUGGUUGUUGUUGACUACGUAUCAAAAUGGGUAGAAACAAUUCCAUGUAGGACCAAUGAUCACAAGGUGGUGAUAGCAUUUUUUAAAAGUAACAUUGUUUCAUGCUUUGGAUUCCCUCGAGCAAUAAUCAGUGAUGGUGGUGCCCACUUUUGUAACAAAGCAUUCAAAGCUCUUUUGACAAAGUAUUCAAUCACACACAAAGUGGCGACCCCGUAUCAUCCGCAAACCAAUGGCCAAGUUGAGAUCUCCAAUCGAGAAAUAAAGCACAUAUUAGAAAAGACGGUGAGGCCAGACAGAAAAGAUUGGUCAUUAAGACUUGAUGAUGCCUUAUGGGCAUAUAGAACGGCUUUCAAGACCCCGAUUGGGAUGUCACCCUACAGGCUAGUGUAUGGAAAAGCUUGCCACCUACCUGUGGAACUCGAGCAUCGUGCAUAUUGGGCCAUCAAGAAAUUCAAUUUUGACAUGCAACGAGCCAGCUCAGAAAGAAGAUUACAGCUGGCAGAACUUGAAGAAAUUCGCAAUGAUGCAUACGAAAAUGCCAAGAUUUACAAGCAACGAAUGAAAGUCUUCCAUGAUAAGCAAAUUAUGAGGAAAUCGUUCACUCCAGGUCAGAAAGUGCUUUUAUUCAAUUCUCGCUUGCACCUAUUCCCAGGUAAGUUACGCUCUCGUUGGUCUGGUCCAUUUAUUGUUCAUACUGUUUUUCCACAUGGGGCAAUUGAAAUUAAGGACCCAAAGAACGGUGUCACGUUUAAAGUUAAUGGUCAAAGAUUAAAGCCAUAUCUAGAGUACCAAUCACAUGAAGAAAACACCGAAAUAAAUUUGAGUGACCCACCAAAUUUGAAUUGAUUUUUUUUUCUUUUCGUUGAUUUGAUUUUUCUUUCUUUCUUUUUAUUAUUAUUCUUUUGCUAAUUGAAAUUGUUUUUGCAUAAGUGUGUGUUUAUUUUACCAUUAAGUUUUCUCUUAUCAUUUUUAAUCAUGAGUCUUAUACUUAGACCGUUCCUCCUGAACAUUCUUAAACCACUUCAACGUGUCAAAACUCAUCUCAAAAGGCAGAUUCAAUUUUGUAAAACACAACGCAUUUGGGCUCUACAACCACCAGAGUUAGUAGCCUAUGUUGAGGGUUUAGAACGCCAACUCAGAGACAUUGAGAGAAGUGUUUACGACAUCCAGUUGGAGCUUGAGGUAAAUUCAAUAAGAGGAUGAUUUUAAUUGUGUUUUUAUUUAUUUUUCUAUUUGUGUGCUUUAGUUUGUUACCCCGGUGAAGUGGCGGAUAACGGUACUCCGUGACAAUCAAGUCGGUUACUUCAGUUUCCCAUAAUAACUGAUAUUCUGAGGCGAAGGUAUGGACAGAAAUGAGAUUCUAGCGAAGCUUCACAAGCGAUUCCCUUCACUUCCUCAGAAUGCACUCCUUACGAUCUAUAAAGCUCGGUCCGAACGCAUGCGAUUACUCAUGAGGAAUAACAUACCUGCUGACAUCCGUUGGUUAAUCGAGGCUAAAGUACAAUCGGCAGGUGAGUUACCUCCAAAAUUUAUUGCAUACAUGCCUGGUUGUGGUAAAGGAAAUUAUGCAAGAAAACGACGAGCUCGAAGAAUUUCUGUUGCUUGUCAUAAGUGUGCCAGAAUGAGUUGCAAUAAAAACCCAUGUUCUUUAGGAAUGAUGUCUGAUAACAGGGAAGAUAAGAUUCAAUUCAUUAGGGAUGGCUUGAAUAAGGAAUCAUUGGAUGAUAUCCUUUUGUCUCUUGAAACGCAUCCCAGUGGAUAUGUGCAAGGAGCGAUUCUCCAGUUAUGGCCAUUAUUCCAGAAAGAGCAUGCACGAUAUAGUCUCGGGAAUCUGACUAUAAACGACCCUGUUUGCCAGUUUAUAAGAAAACUGGAUAGGAAGCCUAUCCUCGACCCAUAGAGGGCGUUCAAACCGUUUCUGGACGUAAAACCAGAGGAAUAUGUGAGCCACAGUCGCAACUACCUGUAAAUAUCCUUUUUACUUUACUGUUAUUUUAUUUCACUUCAUUGUUGUUUUAUUGUUUGCAUUAUUGUCUUUAAUAAUUUUAUUACUGUUUUCUUUUUCCUUAUUACUGUUUGCUUUUUCCUUUUUACUGUUUCCUUUUUUACUCGCAAGCCACGUGCUUACGCGUUAUUUGACACUGACAUGUUACCUCAUACACAACUGUGACCCACUGUCAUUAAGACUCUUAAAUGUGAUUUUUUUUGUCAAGCACUCACGAAUUGUUUUUGAGAAAUAUUCCAAUGGCAGCUACUCCAAAUAGACAAUUCAAGAACAUUUGUGUGCUUUCUGGAUUUACCUAUGACAAACAUAAAGAGUUCGUUGAGGCAGCCAUCGAUCUUGGUCGAAGUAUAGUAGAGAGAAAAUUACACUUGGUGUACGGAGGAGGUAACCGAGGGUUAUCAAAAAUGGUCUCAGAAGCAGCUUUUAUCAGAGGAAGUCAAGUGUUAGGCAUCAUUCCAAGAGUCCUAAAACCAUUGGGCAGUUCGUCUGACUCAUCAACUGGAGAAGAGUUAGUCGUCUCAGGUAUGCAAGAAAGAAUAACUGCAAUGCUUAAUCAUGCUGAUGCUUUUAUUUUCCUUCCAGGAGAUCUUGCAACACUAGAAGUACUUAUCACACUAGCAUCAUGGGCCCAUCUGCACAUCCACCAGAAACCCAUCGGUUUGUUAAAUGUCAAUAACUUUUAUGAUGGCUUUAUCGCAUUUCUUAACCAUGCAAUAAAAAACUAUUUCAUUCCCGCUAAUGUGAAAAAACUCUUUAUUUGUGCUCACACUGCUAAUGAGCUACUUGAUCUGUUACAAGCUUAUAGACCGGAGCCAGACCCCUGGACCUUUGUGUUGGAGCAUCCAAAUAAUGAUGGUAACAGUAACAGCAGUAAGAAGUACAAAUUAGAUUUAACUCUCCGCCUGUAAAUAUUUUCUUCUGUGUUGCACCACCCAGGUGAUGUCUUCUAAACUCUACUUCUUUCAUUUCAAACAUUGAGGACAAUGUUUCGUUCUGGUUGGGGGGAGGGAAUAGUCGACAAUUGUGGAAUUUUGGUUAAGUUUUUACUAAUUUUUUGUUGUAGAAACUAACUGUUGCUAACUUUUUGUGUUGAAGAUGGCUGAAUAUGGAGUGUAGUGACUCUAGAAACGCAUAUUCAUCGUUUAAAAAAAAUUAAAAAAAAAACUUUAAAAAAAAUUCAGACAUUUUCUUUUUCUUUAUUAUGUGUUUAUGUUUAUUUUUCUUCUUUUUAAUUUCUCCUCUAUAAAUAUACAUUUUCCAACUUUUGAGUCGAAGAUGGCUGAAUAUGGAGUGUAGUUCCUCUAGAAACGCAUCUUCUUUAAAAAAAAUAAAAAAUCAUUUUCGUUUUCUAUCAUUUUACGUGUAACUUUUCUAAUUAGUUUUUAUGCAUCAUUUUCACAUUUCUGCAUGCAUAUUUUCCUUUCAUGUUUAGAAUAGGUUGGGGGGUAGAAUGUUGUUUAAAAAAAAAAAUUUUGUGAUUUGUUUUAACAUUGGGUGACAUGAUUAAUUUUAAAUUUUAGUAUUUGUAUUAUCUUUGGUCUUAAGUGAUGUUGCAUUAUGUUUGCUACUCUACAUGUUGAUGUCGGAGACAUAUAUGAGUUGCUUGAAGGAAUGAACAUGUCAUAAUAAGUACCAAGUGAGUUUUUGAGCCUAUCAUUUUUCUUGGAGAGUAACCAUUUUGCCCAUUCUUUAUACAGCUUAACAGUUUAUUAUUGUAUACACGAUCUCUAGAUUUCUUUUGAGUUAACCCUUAAUAAAAAUUAAAAAAAAAUGUGUUGCUACAUUUGGAGGCCCAUCUAACUAGUAGAUAUGGAAGGUUAUUUAGAGCCCUAAAAGACGAUGGAAAGGCCAUCUUUGAUCCGUUUGAGCCUUUCUAGCCAUCCCUUUUAUUAAAUAUCCAUAGUUAACCCUUUUGAGCCUUUAAAAAAAAAAAACAUUUUCUUUGUCAACUUAUCAUCUUGACCCACUCCGAUUUGGAGUAUUAUCCGAUAUCUUAUAAGUUCCAUCACCUAUUUAUGUUUGAGAAAAUGUAAAUAAUUAUGUUGUUCAGUGAAGUUACACCAAAAAAAAAACAACAAAACAAAAGUUGUUGUUUCAAAAGAAUAAAAAUAACAAUAAUAGGUGAAAUCCACCUUGCAACUUCUAAAAAAAAAAAAAAUUCUCUGCAUUUUUCUCAAACAUACACUUUGUUUUCCUUAUUUCCUUUCUUUGUUAACCAUGUCCCUAGCCUACGUUACAUCCUAAUAAAAGUCCUUCCUGAUUUUAGGGAAUUAUAAUCUGAAGUAGAAGCUAGUUAUAUGGGCUAAAAAGAUGUAGUGGUGCAUAUAAAAUCAUAAAUAAAUAAAUUGGGUUGACUAACAGUUUUUAUUUGACUUGAGAUCGUAUUAUUUUUAAGCUGAGGGCAUAUUUAUUUCAUCUUGGUGAGAGCAUGUGAUAUCACUUCUUCAUUAUUUUCUCUCAAUUAUCAUUCAUUGGAGUGACUAUUUUUAUUGGGUUUAAUUUCUUUGUGAGAGUGUCACUACUUCCAGUGAGAUUUUGGGGUUUGACAUGUCAUUCUUGAAAGUAGCUAUAACAACAUCUACUGGGCUGAUUCAUGUGGAUGGUUGAUGUGGGUGUGAUUAGAGAUGGCAAAACCCCGGGCCGGGUCCGGGUAUUGCCAUGACCGGACCCUGCCCGGAUGCAACCGGUCCGGGUCCGGGUCCGGGCCGGGUUUUAAUCCGGGUACCUAGAUUUUAUAUUUUUUAAUAUUUUAUGUGUAUAUAUUUUUUAUUUUUUGAUAAUUUUAUAAGUUUUAAAUUUAUUUCAAUAAAAUUUGACAUGAAAAUAUAAACUUUAAGUGUUUAAAACUUUAUAUAUGUAUAAUAAGUAAGUCAAAUAAAUAUAAAAUAUUUAAAAUAAUAUAUAUUUUAUAAUUUUUUUUAAUAAAAUCCGGGUUCCGGGUUUAUCAAGUGAUGCCCAAGACCGACCCGACUUCAUACCCGGGCCGGGUAAUAUCCGGCCCGCAACACCCGGGUACGGUCCGGGUCCGGACCGGGCGGGUAUUUUUGCCACCUCUAGGUGUGAUGUUACUUUAGACUGGAGAUAAUGCUUAUACUUUUAUUUGAUUGCUAUCAUUAAUCUGAUUGAAUAAACACGAGUGUUUCUAAAUUUUAAAAAAAAAAUCAUUUUGAAUUUGAAUUUUAUUUUCGCUUCAUUUGCUAGGGACUAGCAAUAAGUUGGUUGGGGGGUGUGUUGAGUGUUAGAAAAUGCAUAUUUAUAAAGUAGAAAACCGUCAUUUUACAUUUCAAGUCUUACUAACAACCCUUACUUUUAUGUGUUUAACCUUCUUGUGAUUUAAUUACAUGUGUUUUAUUUUAAUUAAGUAUUUUAUGUAUUUUAGGGGCAUUAUAGUCAUUUCACAAUAAACGAGAAAUCAGAUGGCAAAACGGACAUCACUUUUGAACUCAAGACGGUCGAAAACCUUAGGAGGAGCAUAAAAGGAAAAAUGGCAUUGUUCACAUGUACGGUACUGUAUACAUUACUGUUCACGACACUGUUCACAUAGACGAACCGAUGAUGUGGCAUUGACUGAUGAGGUGUCACGAUCCUGUUGGACUAAAAUUCUUAUAUACUGUUGAUGGUGACGUGGCAGCAUAUCAGUGGACGAAAAAUCUCGCAUACGGUGCAUGCAUCACACAGGAUUAUUUUCAACCAAACCGCGUUACUGUUAAUUCGGGUCAAACCGUGUUACUGUUAAUCCGUGGUCAAACCGUGGACUGUUGACUGAUGACGUGGUGCAAUCCUGAGCGUCCAAACUGUUUUUAAUCCGAUGGCCAUGAUUUACUCCACGUAUCUAUAAAAAGGGGGCCUCUCCCCCUAAUUUGAUAUCUCUGAAUCCAUUUUUGGGAUCCAUUUUCUGUAAUUCCUUCUCCAUCUUGUAUUUUCUUCGUAUUUUAAUAAAUUCCCAUUUUGCCCCUAGUUCAAUUAUGAGUGGCUAAUUUUCUUUCAAGCUUGGGUUGAAAGUGAAGUCUCAACAUGUGUCAUGGGCUUAAUUUCGUAAAUUUAUUUUCUCUUCCCCUCUAAUUUUUGUGGAUGUUUUGACUUCUCGUCGACAAAUAAUAAUAGUCUUGUCUAGAUACCGCCUUGGUUACACCGGCUCUCUAGUAUAAGGUUAUUAUUAUUUGGCACGAUAAGCCAUUAGCACCAUAUUGAUUAGAGCGUGGUUCAUGAGGUGUGGAUUUCCCCCUUAUGAUUUAAUUGGCAUUAAUACGGAUUAUUUAGCCCAUGAUGCAUGUUGAUACGGAUCCAGAUACCCAAGUACGUCAUUUCAAUAUAAUUCUCUUCAAUUUAUUCUCGCCAUUUCAAUACCAAUUUUAGAAUUUAUUCUCGCCAUUUUAAUUUAAGUUUUAGCAUAUUCCAAAUCAUUUCCACUACAAAUCCAACCACCCAUUUACAAAAUUAAUUCUAUAUAUAAUUAAAAUCCACCUCCUCGUGGGAUCGACACUCGUCACCAUUAGUCUAUACUACAAUAGAUUCGUGCGCUUGCGAGUACAUUAAAAUUUGCACAACAUUGGGAGUGAAUAUUCACUCUUUGAAAAAAAUGAGAAAUUUUCAAUUUCUCAAGUUCAUCCUAUUAUUUUCUUAUUAUUUUUAAUUCUAAUAAUUUAUCAAGGCCUUGUUCAUCUAUUAUAUCUUCAGUUCUUGCUCUAAUACCAAAGAAGAGAAAAAGGGGUUUAAAAGGUGAAGGGAAGAUACUUGUAAGUGGCUUGUUAUACCGACAAUGCAGACUGAUAUAGUUUCCCAUUUGGGUUAACGAUCAUAAUAUAUGUUGCUAAUUUCCCACUUGUAUACAGUGAGUUCCCAAAAAGUUUUGUGAAAACUACAAAAGCUAUCUUGGCAAAAACUAGCUUUUCGAAGCUUAUUAAACUGAUUAUGAAAACCUAUUAGUUAAAAAUACUUUCAAACUCCUGACUUACACUCAAAAACGCCUUCUCAACACAUUAACGGUUAAAUAGGCCAACAAAGACCAUGUUUACAAAAAAGCUUUCGGAAAAUUAGCAACAACCUCAACUACGUUCUUGGUAGGAGCAGCAGAGGCGGCUUGUGCCCUAGACAACUUAGGCGGUUGCCUAGGGCCCCCGCCAUGAUGAAGGCCCCAAAUUUGGGAUAUUAAUUUUUAAUUUUUUAAAUUUAAUUGAUAAUAAUUAAUUUGCUUUAAAUAAGGUAAACCAUAUUAAGUAUUAAUUAAAAGAUUCCAGCUAAAAAUAAUGGAUAAGACUUAAAAAAAUUUCAAAUUGGAAGCUUUUGAUUGCAUUUAGAUUUAGGCUAAUAAAUGUUAUUACAUUUUCAAAGAAUAAACGUUCAUAUUAGGUAGUUGAGUGCACUUAGAAUCUGGUUAAUAAAUAUUAUUAUAUUUUCAAGAAAUAACUUUCAAAUUUGAUAGUUAUAUAUUGCAUUUGGAAUUCACCUAAUUUUUCAUACUUUAGUGAAUUACUCCCCAUUAAAAAAAAAGUGAAUUACUCCAAAAGCAAAAGAAACGUGUCUACAAGAAAAAAAAACAAAAACAUUAUUUUUUCUCCACUGCAACUUUUUUCUCUAGUCAUUGAUCAUUGCUCCCAACUACUGUUGAAAGCCACAUUGCCACAAUCUCAAAAUUAAAGUUAAUUUGUGAUUUAAGUUCAAAGUUCCAAGUUUUAUCUUUCUAUUCUCUUGAAUCUCUAUUAUUUAUUUGUGCUAUUUUUUUCUUAUACAUAUUCUUGUAUUCACUUGUUUUGAUUUAAUUUAUCUAGCAUAAUUGUGUGCAUGCUUUAUUAUUAUUCUAUUUUAAUAAUAAAUAAUGUCUACAAGAAAAUAUGAAUCAAGAUAUCAAAACUGCAAAAAAAAGAUAAGAAUAGAAAAGUUAGUUCAAUCACAUAAAGGAGUCCUUGAUAAGUUUGUUAGGAGUGAUAAAAAAAAAAGUGAAUUUGAGUGAAGAAUUAGUAAUUGAACAAACUCAAGUUGAAUUAUUAGAUGAUGAAGUGUCUAAUGAUAAAAAUGACACCGAAGAUAAUAAUAAUAAUCAGAAUGAAAGUGAAAUUAGAGAUGAAACUGAAGAUCUAGGAGAGUUCCAUUUUCCAAAUAAUAUUUAUGAUCCUAGUAGAUGGGAAAAUAUAGAUACAAAAUUAAGAGAUUUCCUUGUAGAGAAAGGUCCAAUUAAAGAGAAUAAUUUAAUUUUUCCAAAGGAUGAAGAUGGCUAGUAUAUUCAAAAGAUUUUGAUAAAGUUUAUUAUUUCUGUUGCAAAUUAUUCAAUGCAAACUCUAAUAAAAGUCAACUAAGUAAUGAGGAACUAAUGAUUGGAAAAACCUUAGUGUUAAACUUAAAAGUCAUGAAACCAGCACUGCACAUAUCACUAAUAUGAACAUGUGGAUUGAAUUAGAAGAAAGAUUAUUGAAGAAAAGAACAAUUGACAAAGAUAUUCAAGAAAAAAUCAAUAAGGAAAGAGAUCAUUGGGAAUAAGUACUAAUAAGAAUUAUCGUUGUUGUAAAGAAUCUUACAAAGAAUAAUUUAGCAUUUCGUGGAAAGAACGAGAAAAUAUACCAAGAGACUAAUGGAAAUUUUCUAAGUUUAAUUGAAAUGAUUGCAGAAUUUGAUCCAACAAUGCAAGAACAUAUACAUCAUAUUAAAAAUGGUGAAAUUCAUAAUCAUUACCUUAGGCAUAACAUACAAAAUGAAUUGAUACAAAUGUUAGGAGUGGAAGUAAAAAAUUCAAUAAUUAAGAAGAUUAAAUAAGCAAAAUAUUUCUCAGUUAUACUUGAUUGUACUCCAGAUACAAGCCACCAAGAACAAAUGUCUAUUGUAUUGAGAUGUGUAGAUAUUUCAAUGGAUCCAGUGAAAAUAGAAGAUUUUUUUUUAAAAAAUUUUUAAAAGUUGAUGCCUCUAGUGGAAAAGGCCUUUUUAAUGAACUCAUAGAUGCCAUAAAAGCUCUUGAACUUGACAAUGAUGAUGUAAGAGGACAAGGAUAUGAUAAUGGUUCUAAUAUGAAAGGAAAAAAUUAAGGUGUACAAAAAAGAUUACUAGAAAUUAAUCCUAGAGCAUUUUAUACAUCAUGUGGUUGUCAUAGUCUUAAUUUAGUGCUUUGUGAUAUGGCUAAUUCUUAUUCUAGAGCUAGUUCAUUUUUUUGGAGUUGUACAACGUAUUUAUUCAUUAUUUUCUUCUUCAACAAAGCGAUGGAAAUUUUUGCAAGAACAUGUACCCAAUUUGACUAUUAAAUCAUUGUCACAAACACGUUGGGAAAGUCGAAUUGAAAGUGUAAAAGCAAUCAGAUUUCAAGCUCCACAAAUAAGAGAUGCAUUACUUGAAUUAGCAAAAAUAAGUGAAUAUUCUAAAAUAAAGAGUGAAGCUAAGUGUCUAGCAACAUAUGAAUUAGAAAAUUUUGAAUUCUUGCUAGGUAUGGUUAUUUGGUAUGACAUAUUAUUUUCUAUUAAUUCGGUGAGUAAGAACUUGCAAAAAGAAGAUAUGCAUAUUGAUAUUGCCAUACAUCAACUUAAAGGACUUAUUUCUUUUUUUGAAAACUAUAGAGAAAAUGGAUUGGUGUCUGCUAUGAUUUCAACUAAAGAAAUUGCUUGUGCAAUAGAAAUUAAACCUAAAUUUAAUGAGAAAAGAAUGAUCCGUAGGAAAAGAAAUUUUGAUGAAAAAAUUGUUGAAGUUCAAAGUGUCUCCUGAAGAUUCUUUUAGAAUUAAUUAUUUUAUAGACAUAGUAGAUCAAGCUAUUUCAUCAAUUAGGAGUAGAUUUGAACAAUUUCAAAUGUAUGAGAAUAUGUUUGGAUUUUUGUUUAAUUUCAAAAAAUUAAAAUAUUUAAGUGAUGAUGUUUUAAAAACUUCUUGUGUUAAUCUUGAAAAUACUUUAAAACAUGGUACGUUUUCUGAUGUAGAUGGUUUAGAUUUGUUUUCUGAGCUAAAAGUUUUAAAAGAAAAUUUUCAAGGUGAAAAUAAUUCUCCAAUUGAGGUGCUUAAUUAUUUAAAAAGAGUUGAUUCUUUUCCAAAUACAUUUAUUACCUAUAGAAUAUUAUUAACAAUACCGGUAACUGUUGCUUUUGCAGAAAGAAGUUUUUCAAAAUUAAAACUGAUAAAAAAUUAUUUUAGAUCAACCAUGUCACAAAAAAGAUUAAAUGGAUUAGCUAUAUUGUCUAUUGAGAAAGAUAUAUUAGUAAAAUUAGAAUACAAAAAUUUGAUUAAUAAAUUUGCAUCUCAGAAAGCUAGAAAAAUUGAUUUUAAAUAGUUUUUGUUUUCGUAUAAUUCAUUCAUAUAUAUUUUUUCUUCAAUUUUUUUGUAGGAGGCCUAAUUUUAACAACUCGCCUAAGGUCCCGAUUUUAGUUGAGCCGGCCCUGAGGAGUAGUAAUGUAGCAAUACUCAUUUGAUCUAAUUAGCAGGCACUAAAAUUACAGAAUUCAUAAUAUGUUAUUGUAUAAAUAAAUUUAUGUGGUCAUAAGUCAUAAAUUAAGAGGGAGAGGCCCGAGAGUGAUUUACAAAGAUGCAGAUGAUGCCAAAUAAUACCCAAGAAUGUGGUAUUCGCUUUUUUUUUGUUUAAUUUUUGUUUGUGUUUCUAUUGUUUUUUAUUAUCUUGUAAAAAUAAGGCGACUCUUUCUUGAUUUAAGUUAAAAUAACAAAAAUCGUGAAGCAACUCUUAUGUUAUCAUCUACAACUAACUAUUAAUCACUUCGGUGUAUUUAUUGAGAAAAUUAAAUCAAGAAUCCUGUUCCCAACCUAAAUCCCUUAAAAAAUGAUGGUGCAUGCGGAUCAAAAAGCUAAUUAACAGGACAAGGUUUAUUGGUUGCCGAUGAUUAAAGUAGGAUAGUGCUCCUGGGAAAGAGACAAAGGUCGGUGGUGAUGAAACGAUCACGUGAGUAUGACGUGGCUGCAGGAUCUUAUCAUCCCAUGUAGUUGUGUUUGGCUUUUUGGCUAGAAAGUUGAUAUAAGAGAACGGAGAAGAAAAAAAGAAAUUUUUUAAAGUUAAAAGUGGAAAUGGGUACAGACAGACUCACAGACAGCACAAUGUCUUAUCUUAUGUCUAGUCUUCAUUCUAACAGGACCAGCACCAAGACCCAUGAUAUAUAUAUAUAUAUAUAUAAGCAUGCAAUAUAUAUAUAUAAGCAUGCAUUUUGACCAUGGAAAGCCUGAAGCCAUCCAUUUUACAAAAUUUUCACAAAAGACUCAAAAUUGACUAGUGGGUUCCCAAGGUUUUGGGAUUUUAACUAGGUUUAGGAAGGGGGUAUAUAUAUAUAUAUAUAUAUAUAUAUAUAUAUAUAUAUCUAGACUAUACUAGCCAGUUGGUAUUUGAGGACAAGAAUUGGUUCAGGAAACAGAAUUCUAAACUAGACUAAAACACUUGGUAGAAAAAGACAUGAGAAUGUCCAGUCUUGUCUCUCAACGCCCGCUUAGGGAAUCCAAAAUCCCAAAUUCUACCUAAUUGUGUUUAAAUGCAUUAUUAUAAGUCAAAUAUAUAGUUGCAUCAAAAUCUGAAGAAUUUAAAAAACUGAUUAAGAAACCAAAUGUAUGUUCGAGGAAUGUUCGUAGAGAAACUUUUUCAUCCUAUGUAACGUACAUUAAUUUAAAAUUAAUUUUUUUUACAACUCAGGUCUUGGUUAUCAAAUAAUUAGAUGGUCAUGAGAGAUUAAUUUUGAGUGAACGAUAAGUUGCAUAUUAUAUAAUUAGUAGCUUCCAAAGUAAUCUUAUUACCAGCAAACAUAAUUAGUUUAAUUCAAUAAGUUAAGGAGCCAAAGUCGGCGGAGGACUGGAGGAGGGUGGAGCUCAAAACUAUAAUACGUUUUAAGAAAUUUUAACAAAAAUAAUAAAUGGUACUAUUUUGGACUUAAUAAUUUUUUUCCCUCCUCAGAAAACACAUUUACAAUUGUCUUAAGUAUAUUUUCGUAUUGUGAACACGUUUAAAUAAUAAAUUUGUUAUUUUAAAAUUUUUUUUUGAAUAUUAUAUUAGAUAUUGCAAUAUGAAUAGUGAUCAGAUAUAGCCAAAAGUACCUAUAGAGCCUGCAUCAUUGUAUCAAACUUGAAGUCUAGCAGAGAAAUCUGAAACCAAAGAAAAUAAUAAAUAAAUAUAUUCUACACCUAAGGGAAUACCCUAACCCUCAAUCUUAAGAUUGAGGUGAGGAGACUCAAUUAUGGAACUCUCGACUUUAAGGUUGAGGCGAAGAGAUCCUUACCAACUCAACUGAUGAGCUGCUAACAGUAUUAAAUUUAUUGCUAUUAUUUCAAUAUAAGUAUAAUAAAAUUAUCGUUCAAUCAUUAAUGGAUAGAUUUAAUCCAAUGAUAGUGUUUUUUAGAGGAGAAAUUAUUUGGAUUUUAUGUGGGUUAAACAUAUAAAUUAUGUAUAAUUGCAUAUUGAGAGAAGAUUUACGAUUAAUAGAGACAUUGAUAAGGAGUAAGAAAAAAAAACAAGAAAAAAAAUUGAAAGAAGGCUAGACUGUUGCUCAAAAUAAAUAAACCAAAAGUAUGAUUUAACAAGGGUAUUUAAAAGUUUUCAAUGUUUAGAAUGGCUUCCACCCUUUUGAGCCCAUAAAAGUUUUACCUAUAAUUACGUUUAGAAAAAUAAAAAUGGUAGAUCAUACAUACAUACAUACAUGCAUACAUACACACAUACACACACACACACACACACACACAUAUAUAUAUAUAUAUAUAUUUCAUGUCCUUCCACAAUAAAUAAAUAAAUAAAGUUUCACGUGAUGUGUUAUUGUUACUAGCUAAAAACCGAUGCUAGGUCCAAAGGCCCAAUCUAACCCAUUUUAUGGUGGAUCGAAGCCACUCUAUUGGGAUAACCGCAUUUGGUUGUGGUUUGAGAGACAUAAAUACAUCAAAGUGCUGUUAAGCAUGCUUGAAGGAUCUUAAACCAUAACGGAACGUUCUAAAAAAUGAGUUAGUGGAAAACCAAUUACUAUAUAAAUAAUAAUAAUAAUAAUAAGCUUAGACUAAAAUAAUAAAUCCUGUUGAAACUCAAUAGGCAUAGUUAACAAUUAAUACAAUGCUUAUAAAAUUGUUAAUAAAAAUGUCUAAGCAUGCAUGAAAUAUGAUGCAAGCACGCAUGCAAAUUAGUGCAAAGAUGAAAGUCAAUAGACAUUGUUAACAAUUAAUAUAAUGCUUAUUAAACUUUUAACAAAAAUGGUUAAGCAUGUAUGAAAUUUAAUGCAUACAAAUCAAUGUAAAGGUAAAAGUCAAUAGUCAUGAUCAACAACUAGUACAAUGCUUACGAAAUUAUCAACAGAAAUUGCAAAGCAUAUGUGAAAUUUUAACAUAUGUGAAAUUUUAAUGCAAACAUGCAUACAAAUGAAUAUAAAGGAAGAAAUGAAGUCUGUAGAUAGCAGGCCUCACAAUCCGUUCAGGCAUCCAUCGUCUUGGUUAAAUAAUCUAAGAGAUAAUUAAAAGUAAGUUAAAGGGUAUUUUUUAAAACUAAUUUUUUUAAAAAAAAAUUAGAUCCAGUUUGGAAAUGUUUCCAAAAUAAUGUCUGAGAAAACAUUUUCAGUAUUCUCCCAUAAACAUUUCUAUGAAAACAUUUCAAAAUUCUUCCAAAAACAUUUUCUAAAACAAUUUCCAAACACAUUCCAUAUUUAUUUUCCAAAUUUACACUUUCUAAGCUAUAACAAUUCUAGAACAUUAACAUUAAGUUAUUGGUUCUUCAUUAUUCCGUGGUGUACUCCACUCCCACGUUACUAUUCACAACAGGAGUCGUUAUUGUUCAAAUACAAAUCCACUACUCAAUGAAACAAUAGGCAAAGUCAAAGUUACAAUAGGAGUUUAUUUAGGCUAUACCAAGGUCUGAAUAUGCUUUGGGAUUUUACGCUCCAGACCACACAAUAGAGUUCAAGUGGAUCACAUACACUAAGCCUGAAUUUUCAAUCAAACCCAAUCUUAUUUUAAUCGGGAAAGAGCUAUCCGUAUGAUAUGUAGCCCUUGUGAAAUUCCUGGCUCNNNNNNNNNNNNNNNNNNNNNNNNNNNNNNNNNNNNNNNNNNNNNNNNNNNNNNNNNNNNNNNNNNNNNNNNNNNNNNNNNNNNNNNNNNNNNNNNNNNNCUAUGAGCAUCGUCUAGGAUGAUAUUCUUUAAGUUAAACUACUUUUCAUUUUUUUUUUUGCCCCUCAAAGAUUGAUACAUUAGUUAGAUUUGUCAUUGACCUAGGGGUUGGGUAUUUUUGUUAAGAUACAUAAUGUAAUCUCAAACAAAAAAUUUAUAGAUUUUUCCGACCGACAUAGGUUCCGAGACAGCACAUCGUUUGUUUGUGAGACAAUUCUCACUUCAUUAACUGAAAAUACAACGUUAAUUAAUGCAUGCAAUGCGAAGCACCAAAAAAGAAAUCUGCACACACACAGUAAUAAUAAAAAUAAUGUUAUUGGAGACACAAGGAGAGACAAAAGCACCGUCAGAUCCCAAUACCGAUGCACCAACCGGGGCUUUGAUGAACUGAUGGCAACUAAAAUUAAAUCAUAAUAAAUUAAUUUCUUCCAAAUUCCUAAAAAUAACAGCCCCCGUGCCCCCCCGGCCCUUCCCCCCCCAGAAGAUUUCACGAGAAUCGAACUUUUUCUCCAAAUAAUGCAGCAGCCGAAGCAGCUGAGGCAGACGCAUAGCAGAAAUAUGUUUUAUCAUUAAUAACUGAUAGGAGAAGUAAGCUAGCUGUCGUUAUUGUGUUUUUUGUUUUUCGAAAACGACAAAUCGUAUCUAAAGCCAAGGUUAAAUUUUGAAAAAAAGAAAAAAGAGCAGUCAACGUUCGGAUGACGUCAGCAUGCGGCAGGUGUAAGUAUGCAAGUGGAAACAAAAGCUGAGAAAAGCCGUCACGUCGGAUAUGCUUUAAACGGCUCAUGAAAGAGGAGAGAGUGUGUGGAGUUGGGGGGUAGGGCUUCCGAUUUUAAAAAGUUGUGCUUUGCUUCAGACUUUUGCUUUUGGCCUUUUGGUGUAAAGAAAUAAAGGACACAAAAGAAAAAAAAAAGCAGACUUUGCUGCGUGCCAAACGGGAUAAAAUGGGUCAAAGAGAGGAGACCAAGCAACAGCAAAAUCCACACGUAUGACACACCUCUCCCUAAUUUGCCAACACUUACUGAAUUCUGACUUAAUUUUUAAUUAAUUUCGCUGCUUUUGCAGCUAAUUUUGUUCCUCAAACCUGAGAUGGGGUGGGGAUGGGCCGAUGGGAUCAUGCGACCAUUUUUCGGAAAAAAAAAAUUUAAGGAUAUAGUUAUUGGUGAUGAUAAAUUUGCUCUUGCUAGUAAUUGAGAGAAUUUUUAAUUUUUUGUCCACAUUUAUGAGAGGAGAUGUUUGAGUUUCGAAUAAAAAUCCUCUCCUGAUGUGAACUCUCAUGAGUUUUUAAAGAUUUUAUAUCAUGUAUAUUUAAGUGAUAGUAUAUGGAUAGAAUUUAAUUUCUUUAUUUUUUUUAUCUAUUAAUUACCAAUCACCCAUAUGUAUUUUUACUUAAGAAGAUAUUAGAUCAUGAGAGAAUUCUGAUCCUUGAGUUUUGGUAUAGAUUCGAACUUGUGUCAUUUUCAAAGUUGAGCCAGUAAGUUCGUCAUUAGACUAACAUUUCAAUGGCAAGUGACUUGUUACAUAUGACGAGGGGUGAAUUGAUUUCUUAAUGCUUACCAUACAGUCCCAAAUGUCAUUAAAAAUUUCAAAACUUUUGGUUGUAUAUUCAAACUUAUGGAUUACGCAAUGCAAUAUCUAAGAUUUGUAAUAAAUAAAUUUGUUUUGUAGGUGAAAAAAAAAAAAAAUUUUGUAACAAAAAUGUGAGAAGAACAUUACAUAUAUAUGCAUGAGCUAUUUUAAUCCAAACUCACUUUUAUAUAAAUAAUUCACGUGAUAAAUUUAUAAAUGAUCCUAAUAUUUAUGUAUUGUAAAAUAUUACCAAAUUUUCAAAGAACUUCAAGGCUUCCCAAUUAACUUACAGAAAAAUAACUUUUAACACGUCACAGACCUAAUUCGAAAGUUCAAUUUUAGCAAGAGAUGAAUUUUUCUUCUUUAAUAUAUAUAUAUAUAUAUAUCCGGACGCCCAACUGCCCAUUACAUCAUGUUGUGAUCAGAAUCUUUGUCGGAAUAAAAAAUUACAGCAAUUGCCACUGCCGUUCCGUGGCUUCGAUUGGACAGUAGCACGAGUUCUUAAUUUUAUCCAAACUAACAUGUAGAUUAAGCGCACACGUCUUAUUUUUCAGAUAGUUAAAUUUCUUGUCGCCUAAUCAUCCUUUUAAGAGUUAGUGCACGUGCCAUUGUCCACCACUUUGUCAAGGUUGUUACUAAAAUAAUAUUUCCUUAAUAUUUAUUUUCUUUAAUCUCAACUAAUAUGAUGAUCAAAUAUGAGGAAGUGGGGAUAUUUCCACCCUAAAAAUUGUGUAAAUCCAUUUGAUUUUAAAAGUUUAUUUAUAAAAAUUUGCAAUAUUUUUUUAUUAUGAUAGAAAAACUUAUAAAUAAUUGAUCAAUAAGAUCGUUCUCAAAAUCAAUAGAUUUCAUGAAAUAAAUAGAAUAAAUUUUCUACUGAGUUAAUUUCGUGAGAUAUCAUGUUACAAAUAUAUUUUGCUAGUUUAAUUGAGGUUCAAUAAUCAUAUUAAUGAGGAUUUACUUGGUUUAUUGUUCUAUAAAAAAAUUGGUUAAUUGAUCAAAUUUACUUUUAAUUUGAAAUAGUUAAAAAUAAAAUAAAACAUCGAUAAGUUAAUAAAAUUGGGACAUAGAAAAUUUAUUAAUUUACCAACUAUAUCAAUAAAUUAAUAAAUUAUUAAUUUAUGAAGAAAUUCCUUAUUUUUUGAAAAUAUGACCACAUUUAUAUUAUUUAUUUACUCUUAUUAUAUUUUAUUUGAAUAAUAGUGUGUUAUCUUACAUUGGUAGUAAUUAAAUUAUUGUAGAGGUUUGUUUUUCUAUAUUAAAGAUGAUAUAUAGAGACUGUCUCACGCUUGUUGCAAAAUAACAAUGCAAACUAGAAUUUCGCAUUACAAAAAGAGUCAGAGAUGAGAUUUAAUUCCAAAUUAAUUUCAAGAAACAAUAAAGAUAGAUAACAUAUUUUACAAAAGCAUGUAAUUAUUAAUUUAUAUGUUAAUGGAUCCUAUAGGAAAAUAAAACUUCAAAAAAUUAUUAACUUAAAAAUUAACUGAAUUAUUAAUUUAUCAUAUUAGUUCUAAAUUAAAACCAGUAAAAAUUAUUAGUUAAUCAAGGUUAUCAAUUUAUCAAGAUUGUAUUGAAAUGUGAACUUUUUUUUUAUUAAUUUUUCUAAAGCGUGGGGUGUGAAUGCACGCAAUUUGAGGGUGAAAAUAUUAGCCGGCCUUAGAAUAUUCGCAUCACUCAUCAUUUUGAUAAUAAGACACUAUAAUCUCACAAUCGACUAAAUUUGUCAAACUAGAUCCACACAAGUUAGAAAUAACUUUGAUGCAGAGAUAUGUUCAUGAUGAUGCACAAAUGUUCAUAAUGACGACCAAAGAUUUGUACGUAACCAUGAAAAAAUUAAUAAACAUUUUCAAUGAAACUAAUUUUGUCCUCCCCAACACAAAUUGGUAGGCCACAAUGAAGCAAAUGGAUGACAUGCAUGGUGAAAAAAUUAUCUGUAAAACGUGGUUGCUGAUUAAUGAAUAAAAUUAAAAAUAAUUAAAAAGUUAGAUUAAUUAUUCCAAAGAAAAAAAAAAGUUAGACUAAUGGAAAAAAGAAAAAUGAGCGGCCGACAUGCAAUGUAUGAGGCGAUGGUUAUCGUGAGCACACCACAACAUGGUCACCGGCUUUUGGCCGCGACAUGUUCCUCGGUUCCCUUUUCUUCUUUACCACCAACACCAUUAUAAAUCUAUCAAAGUUUCUAUUGUCCAUGCUUUACCACGUGCUCAGAUAAUUUUUAAUGCAAUAUAAUUAUGUUUAACAUGUAUUUUAGAAUGCGUUGUACGUUCAUAAUAAUAAAAAUGCCAUCUAAGUGCAAUAACAUGCUUUGGCUUAGUGUUGUGAAAGUAGGUUUAUAUGGAUAAGUUUUUUUUAUGCAGAUGAGUUUUAGUAGACAGUGGCAGAAUCAAGCUUUUAUCUGACAGAGGUUAUGAUAGAUAAAAUAUAAACUUGACCAGGCUCUAAUACAAAAUUUAUAAAAUUGAAGGGGGACAACAACACGGGUUAUAACGAACAAACCAUAAAAUUUAGUAGACAAUCAAAAACUUGUGUGAAAAAUAAAGAGGCUAAACAUAAAAUUCAAAUAAAAUGGGUUCCAGAGUAACUUUUUAGUGUAUAAUUAUCCCCAUUUUAAGAGUAUAAUCAUAGAAAGUUCACUAUAUUUUUUAACAAUUUCAAUUAAAGAAGAAAUUGUAACAAUCAGUCAAUUAAAUCCUCCUUAAAUAACAACGAACCAAUGAAAUCUUCAUUAUUCUUUUUAUGAUUUUGUUGUUGACGACCUUUAACCAUUAAUGUAUCUUAAAAAAAAAACAUUGUUAUUGAAUUAGAAUUUGACUAUUUUGCUCUUAUAUGGUAAAAGUACAAAAAUACUGACAAAUUAUUUUGACUUCAUCAUUUUUUGGGGUAAUUUUUAAAAACCUCCCCUGAGGUUUGGGCUUGUUGCAAGUAGAUGGCGAGAAUUGAUUUAUUUGUAAAAAAUCCCCUACCGUCAGUUAAGUUUAACAUUGACCGUUAGUUGACCAUGCAAAGACAAUAUUACCCUUAACAAUAGUUUGUAAACGAAAAUAACUAAAAAAAAACCAAAAUUAUUGGUGCAAAAAGCACAAAUCCUAUUUUUUGACAAUUUUAUCCUUGUCAAUUCUAAAAAUUUACAAUAUCAUAGGUAAAGAUUAUGACUAUUUCAUUUUUAAAUUUUUAAUUUUAUCUUUCUUGUAAGAAUUUUAAGGAAAUAUUAAUAAUUUAAAGAGGAUUUUUUAAUUUUUUAAUUUUAAUUUUUUAUAAGAACUUUAAGAAAAUAUCAAUAAUUUAAAAAGUGUAAAAUAGCUAAUAAUUUUGGUUUUUUUUAUAGUUAUUUUCGUUUAUAAACUAUUUUUAAGGGUAAUAUUGUCUUUGCACGGUCAACUAACGGUCAAUGUUAAACUUAACUGACGCUAAGGGGUUUUUUACAAAUAAAUCAAUUCUCGCCAUCUACUUGCAACAAGCCCAAACCUCAGGGGAGGUUUUUAAAAAUUACCCUCAUUUUUUGUACAAAAAUUUAUAUUUUUCAAGAUGAUUUACCUAUUGUACUUCAUUAAUAUGAUUAUUAGGGGUAAAAUAGUCAAAUUAUAGCGAUAGCAAUUUAAUAAAAAAGAAAAAAAUCUAAUUGACUAAUUAGUUAAACUUUUUCUCUAUUUAAAUUGUAAAGAGUAAAGUUCAUUUUUUUUUUAAUAAAUAACUACUAAAAUAAGAUGGGCUUACAUAAAUUGUCGGGUAAAAAUAUUUCCACCCUUAAUUUGGGGGUAGAGAUGGCCAACAAGCUUUUUGCUUAGGCCCGGUCCGGCACACGUGUCGUGCUGUGGGUCAUGUCGUGCCGUGUACAGGAAAAAAAAGCUCACUAAGUUUUUUUUUUUUUUUUAAGAGCGCAUGCCAAUUAGUUGUCUUACUUUUUUAAGUCUAUGUACUUUUUUGAAUCCAUGUGCCUUUAUUCAAAUUUAAUAGAAUAAAAAAUUCAAACUCAAGUCCAUAUUUAAUAAUAAUAAAUUAAUAAUAAUAAGAGAAUAUAAUAUUAGUUACUAAGUUUGACUCUAUAGUAUUAAAAUUCUUUUUUAGUACCUAACAACAAUAAUAAUAAUACUUUUGUUAAGGGUUAACUUAAUUCUUAACUUGAAAUUAUGUAGAGUCAUAUAUCAUAGUUUAUAAUAAUAUUAAUACAUAUUUAUAAAAUCAUGAUAUCUAUAAUUUUAUUUAUUAAAAUCAUGAUAUCAAUUAUUUAUUCAAUAAAUUAUAAACAUAAAUCAAUUAUAUUUUUUUGAAACUAAGAAUUAAAUAAAUUUUAAAAACUUGAGCUAAUAAAAUAUAUUAAAAGAUUCAAUUUCAAGUUAUUUAUAAAAUUAUAAAAUUUUAAGUUUACUUUCAUUAAAAAAUAAAGCGUGCUUAUUGCGUAUUUUUUCGAGUGUCAUGCUUUGACUCAUCUCUAAUCGUGUCAUACUUUUAAGGCCCACGUGCCUAAAAUUCUAAGCUCGGCCCAGCCCACGUGCGUGUCAUGCCGUGCCGCGUGCUCUACCGAAACAUACUCGUGCCGUGCCAUGUUGUACAGACAUGUGUCGUGCCCGUGCCAUACCUCGUGCCGUCCGGCCCAUUGGGCACCUCUACUUGGGAGCACCCUAGCCACCUUAUAAAUACACAGGAUUCCACCAAUAGGCCAUAGAUGAUCUAAAUCCAGGCAAAUCCCAGUAAAUCGAUAACACAUCAAAAAAUAAAAAAUUUUGUCGAGAUUUUUGAUGCUCUGAGGUUUUUUAUUUAUUUUAAGAAUAAUAUUGAAUAUCUCAAAACUGCUUUCCAAGUUUUAUGUUUAUAUGCCUAGUGUUUAAAUUCUAUUAUGGUUACAUCCACUAAAAUAAUAAUAAAGCCCAAUUAUAUAAUAUAUCCAUAUAGACUGUAACCAUUUACAAACGAAUCCUUGCUUAACAAGAAAAUUUAGAUUAGGUGGAAUUUUUAAAAAAUAAAAAUAAAGAAUUGACAAUCUGGGGCAUUCAAACUCAUGAUAAUCAUUAAAGAAACUGGCAGCAUCUCAUAUAUGCUCUGUUUUGGCCUCUUCCUUUUAGGCAGAAUCAUGUAAAUAAAUGAUCGUUUUCCACAUCUAGCUCACUCCAACUCUGCAACUCAAUCCCCGGCCUUGUUUCAACAGAAAAGGUAAAAGCAACGGAGAUAGAGAAAGGGCAUCAUUCAAAAACAUGCAGCCCUUAAAAGUUGAAGAUGCCAUCACGCUUAUGUUAGCAAGUCUAUGCUGUUGCUUUCGUUUGCCAUGACAAGUCCAAUCUUUUGUUCAUUAUCUCCAUGUAAAAAUAUAUAAAAGAUAACACUAUUCUAAACUUUUUCAAUUUUACGUUACAAGAUGCUCUAAAUUAAAAAAAAAAAAUUAUGUUACAAAAAAUUUCUACUAAGACCUUUGGCUAGAUAUUUUUUAUGCACUAGCACUAGAAAUUUGUCUAGAUUCUGCCCAGAUAUUUAUCUCUUAAAAAUUGAAAUAAAACCUUCCCACGUUAUCCCAUUUUCUUCCAUGAAAAAGAUAUAUGAGCUAUGAUCUCUUGAAAAUAUAUCUUUUUUUUUCCAUUUAGCAAUCAGAAUACAUGUAUGAUUUUUAUUGAAAAUGAACCUAAUCAAACAAUAAUUUUACAAUAAUUUAAAGUUAGUUAAUUAAACAAAUGGGCAAUCGCAUCGCAUGAUUUUGGGGGAUGUCAAAAUUUAUCCCCCAUUUAAUCACCCUUCACUCAGUGACUUAAACAAAAGACACGUAUGGUUGCUGAGUUGGAUUGUACAAAGACUAGUCCUCACAAAAUUAAUCACACAACCUACAGGUCCAAAAUAUGACAAGUGUACAUCAUAGGGUUAAUCGAAGUCAAAUCACUGAGUCAGGGCUCGGGCGAUAGACCAUGACGAAAACGAAAAAAUUAUUGAAAGGGGCCCCGACAAGAAAAUCGUUUUCUUUUUCUUUGGCCAACAUCAAUCGCAUUCAAAACAUGCAGCAGCCGCUGCUGCUCCUUUCGCUACUAAACUGAAAAGGCAAAGCCCUCUGAAUACUUGAAGAAGAAAUUUUCUUUUACUCUUCAAAGCAAUACAGCCUCCUUUUUUAAGCUCAAAAUUUAUUGCUUAUUUUCGUCUUGCAGUCAUUAGUGCCAAGGCAAUCGUGCCUUGAGCCAAAGAAGCCAAAUCUGCACUGCAAAAGGCCCCACUUAGUAGCUAGAAUUCCCAUAUAUGGUAAAAAAAAAAAAAAGUAACUAUUCAAAUGAAGAUAUGUAUCUGAAAUUGUAUCCAGGGCAUUGAAUAUUUUAACCAAACACGGGCGUAAUUUAAAUCCAGAACAGUAUCAAUUAAGGACGAUAUGAGAAGUGGCUUCCAUGAAAAGCUAUGAAUUUUCAGAUUUGAUGUCUAUAGAAAUAAAUUCUUCUCAAGUUUAUAUUAAGCUAUCUUUUAUCUUCAUUGUAUGAUGCCUAAGGGAUAAUGUUGAAUAAUCCAAUAACUGCCAUACGCAACUCAUGUAACUGUAAAUGGUAAUAUAUUCCAUGGAAAAGAGACCGUCCAAAUCUAAAGAUAAAUUUGGGCACACAUUGAGAAUCAGAGAUGAUGAGAAUAUUCAUCAAUUGCCUUGUUGUCCAACUUCUUAAAAUUAAAAAAAAAAAAAAAGAUACCCAAAUCUCACAAAUUGGAUACUAUUAUUUCAUGAACAUUAUGAAGAUAAGAACACUAACAUACUAUGACGUCCUUAUUUCUAUUAGAAUAGAUUAAAAAAAUAUACUUAAUAGCGAUUGAUUCUCCAUAUUAAUUUCUGAAAUCGUAGAGAUUUAAGCAUCCAUAUUUGAAACGGAGAGUUUAACUGUGUAUGGAAGUCUUACACCACUCGAUUACACGGUAUGUGAAGCGGUAGCUAGUAUCAGAGCUAACUCCAGGUCUAAAAGGUGCUUUUUUUCUUUUUAUUUUAAAGGGUAAAAAGGGGGGCUAAAAUGCGCAUGAAUGUCACGUCAAAAAAAAAAGAAGCAAAAUAUUGUGAUGGCCACGUUCUUAUUGCUUUUAAAAAUUUAUUUACAGAGAAUUAAGUAGGAUUUCCCAUAGGGCCCGGCAACAAGGACGAAAACAGCCGUCUAUUAAGUAAUCACCCAACAACUCUCCCCUGUCAAAGCCUGUGCUUUAUGUCUCCCCAAAACCCAUUAUUAUUAUUGUUUUUUUCUGCGAACUUAUUAAAAUUUUAAGGAUCUUUAGUAAUUAAUUCUACCCACCUAAAUGUUUUAAGAGGUACAAAAUAAUGAACCUAUUAUUUUGCCUCCUAGAUUUGCAUUUAUUAAUGCAUAAAUAAAAAAAGUGCGCGUAUAUAAUAAUACCAUAAUUAUUUGAACUUUAAUUUAAAGCCCCAUUAAUAACAGAAUACAUCCCCACUUUUUUGUCGGAAAAAUAUUUAUAACUGAAUCGUCCAUGAGACUGUAUGACUAUGAUCAAUUCGUUCUAUCUUUAAAAAAAAAAUUCUUAAGAGCACAAACUUGUUAAAAGAAUAACCCUAGAACUAAAAAAAUAAUAAAUUAUCUUUGGCCCAUUCUCGUAUCUAUAAAUACCAAGCAAAUCUUCCAAUCCGUUAACUCAUCACUCAACACACUCACUAGCCAAAUAGUUCCCGAAAGAACAGUUUUUGCAUUUCACUUGCUUCCGCUUUCUUAAUUUGUUAUUACAUUAACACACAAUCACAAUGCAAUACCAAACGGAGUCAUGGGGCUGUUCGUACAUGCCGUCGUCGAGGGGCGCUCUCGGCGGGGACCCACUGGAGCACAUAGAGAGGCUGGCCUCGGAGAACGCCGUGGUCAUCUUCAGCAUCAGCAGUUGCUGCAUGUGCCACGCCGUGAAGCGCCUCUUCUGCGGGAUGGGCGUUAACCCCACGGUGUACGAGCUGGACGAGGACCCCAAGGGAAAAGAUAUGGAGAAAGCUCUCAUGCGCCUCCUCGGCACCUCCCCCGCAGUCCCCGUCGUCUUCAUUGGCGGCAAGCUCGUCGGCUCCAUGGACAGAGUCAUGGCUUCCCAUAUCAAUGGCACCCUCGUCCCGCUCCUCAAAGAAGCUGGCGCCCUUUGGCUUUGAAUUUCAUGAUCAGAAGUCCAUUUUCUCUUCUUAUAGCCCCCCACCCAAAAAAGAAAAAAAAUCACUUUAUUGUUAUUACAUUAAGAGAAACUAAAUGGCAGAGGAAGAGGAGUUUGUGUUGUGUUGUGUCUCCUCCAUUUUGGGUUGCAAAGAGGAGUUACGACUACUAGUAUUGUGUUAGCCAGCUUCUGCUUCUUCUUGUCUGUCUUUUAAUUGUGGCCGGCUCUUUACUUAUGUUUUGUUUGCUUUGUAUUUUCUUUCACUGAUGUAAUGUAAUCUAAGCUCCCUCCUCUGUAAUAUUAUUUAUAGAUAGAAAGCAAAAGCCGGUUUAUUUUAUCUUUUUUUUUUUCACAGUGCUUCUAUUCUUUUUACUGACUUGGGGUGGGGUGAGUGGAGGAAAAUUCGGAAAACAAAAAAGUUUCUGGUUUUGUGCCGGAAAACUCGCCGGGUGCAAACCCCACGCAGAAGAUGAACGUUCUUUCGGUGGAUGUGUUGUGUUUCGUUUGGUUUGGUUUGGUUUUGUUGGGUUGGGUUGGGUCCGGUCCGAGGAUAUCGUACAUUUCAUUUGAUCAAUUUAAUCCGAUAACCGUGCAUUUUUUUCAGCAUGGGCCAUCUUUUCAUUCUGAUCCAUUGUUCGCCAUCCGAAUGGAAUUGGACCUGGACCUGUACCUGUUCCCUCUUCUUAUUGGGGGGAAGGUUGGGUUGGCGUAUCAUUUAGUUUUCGAGGAAAGUGUAGGGGUUAAAAGAGUGCAUAUGUAGAGUGGGGUCAUCAGUCUUUUCCCCACUUUUAUUGAACUUCUCUGUCCGUACAUCUGGCUCCACCAUAAACCUCAUUUAACAGCACUGCGGCUACGCCUAUUAUCAUCGAUCUACAAUAACUUCGAUAUAUAUAUAUAUAUAUAUAUAUAUAUGUGUGUGUAUUUAUUAAUUUAUGUAUAUAUAUAUGUAUGUUUGGUUAUGUUGGAGUUAUUUCACCUUAGGUAACUCCAAUAAUCAUACAAUUAUAGUCAUGACCUGACGGCUAAAGAGAACGGAUUUAAUCGUUUGAUUAGAGUUGCUCAACUAAUGAUUUUUUCUUUAAAAAAAAAAAAAACUCAUUUUUAUUGCAAUUAGUUUAGCUCUCUCAUAUGAUGACAUUUGUCAUGUUCGUAAUGACGUGGUGAACUCUUUCUUCCCACGUAAGGCAGGCAUAUGUUCCCUCAUUGCUGUGGUCCGUGGUGACGGUUUAUGCUUGUACCCUCGAUUGAUAUUCCCACAGUUUCCUUAAUCCUUAUCUGCUUGAUUCGCUCUUUUUCCUUCUUUCUUCUUCCUUUUCGUUUAAAAACAUUAAUACGGUUAUAUAAUUCGUUGAAUCAAUCUCCACUAGUCUAUAAAGUGGACUUGAAUUCCUCCAUAUUCAAAAGUAAUUUAUAACAUGAUAUUAUUGGGUGGUUUUAGUAUCUCUUACGUUCAUAAAUUGUAAAUAUUGAAAUGUGAUGCAAUCAAUUUGAGCUUACUAUAUUUCAUGGGGAUUCUGUUAUAUGUUUAAGAAUUUUUUUUUCUUUCAAGAUUAGCUUGUCUUUAUCUCCAAUUCAUUUGUUGGAAUUUUAUUACUAUUUCAAAAUAUUAAUUUCCCACAUUUGAGGGAACUGAGAGCAAUCAUUUUUAUAUUUUAUUUAAAAUUAGUCACGCGUUUGAUUUACUUAUAAAUUAAAGUUGAAUAAGUCAAAUGUAGAUGUCAUUUACAUUAUUUAAAAAUUACAUAAAUUAUGAGGUAUAUGAAUGACUAAUUCAAAUUAAAUAAGGAAAGUGGGUGAUUAAUUUAUUUUGAAUUAAGAAAAAGAUUAUAGAGGGUUUCUCUAUAUAAAUGAGACAUAAAAAAACCUUUAAGGGACUGCAACCUCUAUUUUCUUCAUAAAAUAUUCUUUAUGUGCUUGGAGUACAACCUCACAACAGUAGCAUCAUUUGAGUCCUGGAGAUAAGCCCGUAUUAUUUGUGUCCUUAUUUCAUUGGAAAAUCUUUUUAUAAGAGUGAAAAUUGGUCAUGAGGACAAUGUAUUAUGCACGCCUUGACGAAUAUUGUGAUUGCUGGCAAGUGAACAUCGCUGUGAAUAGUAUUGACUGAACAACACCCAUCAAUAGCGACAUGAAUAGUGUUCGUAAAUAGUAAUGUGAACAAUAUUGACAACUACUAUUCAUAGGGCUCUAUUUGCAUGUCAAAAUUGCUGCUUCGGCUGGUUUCUAGAAAUUCAACAAAGCAAUAUUGACUCUUGUUUCCAACAUAUCACCUAAUACCUAAGCGGUUCACAAUAAGGAAAAAGAGAAAAAUCAAUGGCAGCACCCUAUUUCAUACGCAGGGAUGGAUCCAUAAAAUUAAUCUAUUAGGGACAGUACUAUAAUAAAAAAAUUAAUAAAAAUAAAUGUUUGGGAGGGAUACUGUUUGGGACAAAUGCGUCGAAGGGACCAGGAAUGACGAGCAGAUAUCUGAUGGCGGAGUUCUGCGAACCGGUGUGUUCCGUUAAAGCCUGGCGCGUGGAAGAACAGGAGCAGAAACAUCUUGCUCGUCCACGAUGUUGUCGUCCGCGAGGCCAAUUCCUAUAAAAGGCAUAAGGCCAUUCCGGCUAGAGAUCGAGAGGCGAGGAGACCCGGUCGACGGCAGUUGGCAAGACGUGCUCUCCAGCACGAGAAUCUAGGCACAACAGCCACGCUUUCCCCAGAACCGCGACGUAACACGCAAGAUCUCACAGAGCCAUGACAGCCACACUUUCCCCAGAACUGUGGCGUAACACGCAAGGUCUCACAGAGCCAUGGCAGCCACGCUUUCCCCUGAACCGUGGCGUAACACGCCAGAUCCCAUGUUUUGCCCAUAACGCAGCAGUUGGAGUCCCAUACCGUCUCGAAAAGAGCGGAAGACUGAGAUUCAGAGGAAGCCUAUAAAAAGGUAGCCAACGAAGGUAAAAGGGUUGGCAUUCUUGAGAAAAGGGGAGAAAACCACAAGAAACGCCAUAAGACCUGUGGCAAGCUUUUCCCGAACCUUCAUAUCUGACUUGAGCGUCGGAGGGUUUACGCCGGGAAAACAACCGGCGUACUCUGACUUAUCUGUGUACGCAGGGACCUCUGGAGAAGAAGCCUGGCGAGGAGACCUCCUGGUCGUGACGAAGUUGAUCGAGCAGAGAUCCUGAUCGUAGAACGAGGAGAACCGAAAUCUCGCAUCAACAUUUUGGCGCCGUCUGUGGGGAUCCAGAGCAAAAAGCUUCUGUCGAUAGCAAGAAGAGAGGUGGAGUAAGCGAAAGGCAAUGGAGAUAGGAGGAAGUAGCGCACAAGGGGGUGACAUAAGGCUUAACGAUUCCGUGACGCUGAGGGAGGUAAUCAGCGAAACACGGGAAAAAGUCAUGUUCGACCGGAUGGAGCGAAUGGAAAAGUAGAUGGAAACCUUGACAACCAUCCUGCAUGAGUUGCGGAACGAGCGAAGGGUAACCCAAGAGGGAAGGGUGAGAGGCGGUGGAGCGGCACCAGGUACCGAUAGUGCGGAGAGAAGUCAAACCGCUGGGAGAUUUGGUGGUGAGAGAGGUAACGUACCUCUGCGGGGAGAAUUUCAUAGAGAAAGAGAGCAGUCCCCGGUAAGACAGACUUGUGACGGGGGCGACGGGGUGGUGAAUGCAGAGGAAACAGAACUGAGGCAACACUUACAUGAUGUAGAGCGAGAGCGGGAUCAAGCUGCCGCGCGCGACCCUGGUCGCGCAGGACAGCUGGAGGAGGAAGUGCGAAGGCUAGCGCAAAUAAUUGACGACAUGCAAGGGAGGAACAGAGCCCCUGGUUGGAGGAUAAUGCUGGACGGGGAAUCACCGCUCGCAGCAGAGAUCAUGAGGGCAGUUAUUCCGAGAGAUUUCCGCCUCCCCGACCUCAAAUACUCGGGAAGAACUGACCCGCUGGUGCACAUAGAGCGCUUCAACGACAUAACGGGGGUCCAGGGAUUAUCUCCAUCCCAAAGGUGCAGGGUGUUCCCACUAUCCCUUGAGGGACGUGCACGAGAAUGGUACAGGAAACUUCCUCGGGGCAGCAUAAAAACCUUCGAGCAGAUGUGCCAGGAAUUCGCAGAGCAGUUUAGUGGGGCAAUGUCACCGGAAGAUGACAUGAUGGAGCUGAAGAGCAUGAAACAGGGGGAGCAAGAAACCCUUCGGGAAUUCAUCAAGAGGUUUCAUCGGGCUGUCCUCGACUUGGGAGCCUUCAACCACCCUCAGGCGUUAAGGGGACUGAAAGAAGGGGUGAAGAUAUGAAGGCUGUGGUACAAUUUGAGAAGCCCAGCUAUUCAAACGUAUGCAGCCGCAUACGAACAGGCUAAAAGAGACAUCGAGAUUGAGGAGGAGAAGGCUGCACGGAUCAAGACAGACCAGUUGGAAGGGUUAGGGAGGAAAGAGAAGAAAGCAUUACCAACUAAUGGGCCGAUCAGGAGGAGGGACCACCAGAUCUCCGGUAGUGGAGCAGGAGGUAGGGUAAUUGCUUACCAGCCUCAUCAGAGGCCGCCACAGUAUCAGCGCAGCAGGGCGCCACCUCCUCGUUCCCCAGCUAGGGAGCCUUGGAGAAGACAUGAUCCGGCAUCCGGCGAUCUUCAUCAACAUUCCCACGAUAGCAGGACGAGCAGACCAGAAGCACUCCCAUCGCCCCCAACUCACAGUGGGGCAAACAGAGAAAGAGCAGUGCAUCUGGUCGACCAGAACCAGGACUAUGGGCGGUACACUCCCUUGAAGAUGCCCCUGGAUGAGGUGUACGAGGCCAUAAAGGGUCGAGGGCUGUUGCACCUCCCUACACCAAUAACAAAGCUACCCAACAGGAGGGAUAGAGGACGUUAUUGUAAGUUCCAUGGCACCCAUGGCCAUACCACAGCAGAGUGUAGAGAUCUCAAGACCCAGGUCGAAGAUUUGGUGAGAAAUCGGUACCUGGACGAGUUUAUGGAUGAGACUUUCCCGAUGGUGGCCACAACGGAUGAAGGGGAGCAGAGUGAUGGAAUCUUGGGACGCGAGCCGCCCGCAGCGAGGGUGAUAGCUGGGGGCCCAACGUUGGCCGGAGAUUCGAACAGAUCGAGAAAAAAUUAUGCCAGAUACGCCAUGACCAGUAAAGAGAUACUCUUCAACACCCCAGCAGCCAAACGAGCAAGGGUCAGGCAAGUGCCAAUCAUGUGGACGGAUGAGGAUGAGGAAGGGAUUCUAUACCCCCACGAGGACGCUUUAGUCAUCAAGGCUACGAUCGCUAGCAAGAAGUUUGACCGGAUACUGGUUGAUACGGGGAGCUCAGUUGAUGUGCUAUUUAAAUCAACUUUGGAAGAGAUGGGAAUAGCCGACCGGAAGUUGGAAUACACCAACACCUCCUUGAAGGGGUUCGGAGGAGGGAAGCUGGUCCCUCUGGGCGUGGUCGAACUGCCCAUCACAAUCGGGAGCCCCCCGACAGAAAGAACAAUGAUACUGGACUUCGUCGUAGUGGACGAGGAAGGUCCUUACCAGAUGAUCCUAGGUCGGCCAUUUUUAAGGAUGAGCAAAGCGGUGCUGUCCAACCAUUAUCUGGCUCUGAAGUACCGGGUGAAUGGGGUAGUCGGAGUGGUACGAGGAGACCAGAGGAUCGCAAGAAGCUGCUACUCCUCGGCAGCAAGGGAGGUGAUGCAGAUAACAUCCCUCGAUACCCGAGUGGAAAACAAGACUGGCAGACAAGAACCCGUAGAGGAUCUGGAAACAGUAAGCAUGGGACCAGAGAACCCGGGAAAGACGAUCAGAAUCGGGUCGAGACUUGAGGGAGAGCAAAAGCAGGAGUUGGUGAAAUGCUUACAGGCUCAUGCCGACGUGUUUGCCUGGACACAUGAGGACAUGCCAGGGAUUGACCCAGAGGUAGCAUGUCAUAGGCUGGCAAUAAAGAAAGGUGCUCGGGCAGUAAGGCAGAAGAGGAGGUGCUUCAACCAGGAGAGGUAUGAGGCUGUAAAUGAUGAGGUGGAGAAGCUUCUGAGAGCAGGGUUCAUUCGGGAAGUCAAUUACCCAGAGUGGAUAUCAAAUGUGGUGUUGGUAAAGAAGGCAAACGGCAAGUGGAGGAUGUGUGUGGAUUUCACAGACCUCAAUAAGGCGUGCCCAAAAGAUAGCUUCCCUUUACCAAAGAUCGAUCAGCUAGUAGAUUCAACGGCUGGACAUGGUCUGCUUAGCUUCAUGGACGUAUUCUCGGGAUACAACCAGAUCCCCAUGUACGAGCCGGAUGAGGAGAGCACGGCUUUCAUCACUAACCAAGGUCUGUUCUGUUACAGGGUGAUGCCAUUCGGUCUCAAGAAUGCUGGGGCCACCUAUCAAAGGCUGGUGAAUAAAGUCUUUAAGCCCUUGAUCGGGAAAACCAUGGAGGUGUACGUGGACGACAUGAUCACCAAGUCCAAAAUCCCGAAGGAACAUGUCAGACAUCUCGAGGAGACGUUCGAGCUUUUGAGGAAGUAUAAGAUGAAGCUCAACCCGGAGAAGUGUGCUUUUGGGGUCGAGUCAGGGAAAUUCCUGGGAUUCAUGGUGAGCCAUAGGGGGAUUGAAGCAAAUCCCGAGAAGAUCCAGGCGAUUGUGCAAAUGACGUCUCCUCGAAACCUGAAGGAGACGCAGAGCCUCAUGGGGAGGUUGGCGGCGUUGAGCAGAUUCAUAUCCAAGGCUACAGAUAAGUGUCAGCCAUUCUUUCAAGUGAUAAGGAGGGGAAAGAAAACGGAAUGGACCCCAGAAUGCGAGGAAGCCUUCCGGAACUUGAAGCAUUACUUGCAGCAAGCUCCGCUACUGUCCACACCGAGGGAUGGGGACAAGUUGAAUCUGUAUUUGGCGGUAUCUGAUCGGGCCGCCAGUUCCGUUCUAGUGAGAGAGGAAGAAGGAAUUCAGUAUCCGAUAUACUACACCAGCAAGGCCCUGCUCGACGCUGAGACCAGAUACCCAACGAUGGAGAAAUGGGCACUGGCCCUUGUGGUUGCUGCUCGGAAGUUGAGGCCGUACUUUCAAGCAUUCCCGGUCUCGGUAAUAACCAACCAGCCAUUGCGUCAAAUUCUGCACAAGCCAGAUGCCUCUGGUCGGCUCGUCAAAUGGACUGUAGAGCUGAGCGAAUUCGACAUAGACUAUAAACCCCGCGCGGCGAUAAAGGCCCAGGCAAUGGCCGAUUUCGUAGCUGAGUUCGCGGAGCCCGAAGUAUGCUUGGAUCAGCAAGAUGCAGAUAUAGGCAACGACGAAACUCAAGUAUGGCAGAUAUCUGUGGAUGGGUCAUCAGGAGAGCGGGGUUCAGGAGCAGGGAUUGUCCUGGAAGGCCCAGAGGGGGAGGAGAUCUCUUAUGCUGUAAAGUUGGAAUUUGCAGCCACAAAUAACCAGGCAGAAUAUGAAGCCUUGAUAGCAGGGCUGGAAUUGGCUAGGGCCGUGAAAGCGGACAGAGUUAAGAUCAGAACCGAUUCCCAGCUGGUUGCGAAUCAUGUCAGUGAAAGAUUCCAACCAAGAGAGGAGAAGAUGGAACAGUACCUAAGGAUAGUCAGGCAGAUGAUGGGGAAGUUCGAAGCAGUGGAGGUGAUACAAAUCCCCAGGGAGCAGAAUAGUCGAGCAGACAUUUUGGCUAGGAUGGCAGCCGUAGCCGACCCAAAAAUGCCAAAGUCGGUCCCCCUAGAAGUGAAGUCUCGCCCGAGUAUCGAGCAAAAUUUGGGGGUGUUGCGGAUAGAACAAAAAAGCUCGUGGAGGGACCCGAUAGUUUCAUACCUUAGAGACGGGGUCUUACCGCCAGAUAAGCUACGGGCUCGGAAGAUUAGAGCUCAGGCCUCGAGAUACACGAUGAUCGAUGGGGUACUGUAUCAGCGAGGAUAUACAUUACCGUUCCUUCGGUGUUUGGACGAUGACGACGCGGAUUACGUGCUGAGGGAAGUACAUGAAGGAAUUUGCGGAAAUCAUUCUGGCGGGAGGUCCCUGGCCCACAAGGUUCUAAGGCAGGGAUAUUUCUGGCCGACGAUGCACCAGGAUGCGCAAAGGAAGACCAGGAGCUGUGCAAGCUGCCAGAGUUUUGCAAAUUUCUCUAACCAACCACCAGAGAAGCUCACCUCCAUGGCCUCCCCUUGGCCAUUCGCUCAAUGGGGAAUUGAUCUGAUCGGCCCAUUGCCAAAGGGACGAGGAGCAGCAACACACGCAAUAGUCGCUAUAGAUUACUUCACGAAGUGGAUAGAGGUAGAAGCCCUUAGCAGGAUCACAGAGAAGAAAACAACAGACUUCGUGUGGAGAAACCUGGUCUGUCGAUACGGGAUCCCAUAUGCCUUGGUAACGGAUAAUGGCAGGCAGUUCGAUAAUCACAGCUUCAGGGAUUUCUGCCAGAACCUCGGGAUAGAGCUGAAGUAUUGCUCGCCUGCUCACCCUCAAUCGAAUGGACAAGUAGAAGCAGCCAACAAGACAGUCAAGAGGCUUCUGAAAACCAGGCUCGGAGCAAAAAAGGGUGCGUGGGUUGACGAGCUGUCAGGUGUGCUAUGGGCAUACAGAACAACCCACAAAACCGCAACGGGGGAGACACCGUUCGCUUUGGCUUUCGGACAUGAAGCGGUCGUGCCGGCUGAGGUAGGAACGACCACACACCGGACAGAUCAUUUCAAUGAACAGGAGAACGACGAGCAGAUAUGUUUGAAUCUUGAUCUGCUAAUGGAGAGGAGGGAACAAGCAGCCGAGCGAUCAGUCACUUACCAACAGAGGGUUGCUCGGUAUUAUAACCAGAAGGUGAACAUACGGCAAUUCAGGGUCGGAGACUGGGUACUGAGAAGAGUGAAUCAGAGCACCAAAGAUUCGACUCAAGGAGUGCUGGGACCGAAUUGGGAAGGGCCGUAUAGAGUCAAGCAGAUAGCGGGGCCCGGAGCUUACAAGCUGGUUCGCGCGGACGGCCACGAAGUGAAACGCCCAUGGAACGCAGCACACCUCCGAAAAUACUUCCAGUAAGACUUGCUCACAUUUUAAAGCAAUUUCUGCUCAUGCUGUUUAUCUUUUAUUUUUAUGUUUUAUGUCCGAACAAUUUCAUGUAAGUCAAAUCCUGCCAUUAAUGUAACGUCGACGAAUUUUAUUCGCUUGAAACCGAAAAAAAUCCUAAGGCAUGCAAAGGCUCGUCAAGUCUCAGAGCCUGUCUUAUGGCGAGACAGAAGCCAAGCAUGCCAGGAUCUGCUCGGCCACGAGAAGGCAGCAGAAUCCAAAUCGUUUGAAAAAAAUACUAAGGCAUGCAAAGGCUCGUCAAGUCUCAGAGCCUGUCUUAUGGCGAGACAGAAGCCAAGCAUGCUAGGAUCUGCUCGGCCACGAGGAGGCAGCAGAAUCCAAAUCGUUUGAAAAAAAUACUAAGGCAUGCAAAGGCUCGUCAAGUCUCAGAGCCUGUCUUAUGGCGAGACAGAAGCCAAGCAUGCCAGGAUCUGCUCGGCCACGAGAAGGCAGCAGAAUCCAAAUCGUUUGAAGAAGAUUCCCAAGGCAUGCAAAGGCUCGACAAAGUCUCAAAGCCUGUCUUAGGGCCAGACAAAAGCCCAGCAUGCCAGGAUCUGCUCGUUCGCGAGAAGGCGAGCAGACUCCAAGGCAUUCGGAAAGUUUUCUACGGCACGCAAAGGCCUCACCAAGUCUCAAAGCCUGUCUUACGGCGAGACAGAAGCGAUCAGCGUUUCAGACGAAAAUUAAUUCAUAAGUACGACACGAGAUAGUAAUCAACAACAUUUUUAUUAAUGGCUAACAGAGGGGAUAAAUUUCAUAAACGUUGUUCAUUACAAUACAAGAAGAAAUAUAUCAAAAAGAUGGUGGAUCAGUGAGCCGAGCAGCAUCGGUUGGCUGGACCUCCUCGGGUGCAGGGGGGGUAUCACCAGUUGCGUCCGGGGGGUGCUCGCCUCGCCAACAUCAGCAGGGACUGCACGAGGAGGAGAGUUACCCUCCUCAAUCACGAUCGGCUCUAACCCCUCGGCAUCUUCCUUGGCCGCCUCCUCGUCCAUAUGCUGAGCAACACCAGCUGCAAGGUCAUCCAUCUUCAGAUCAGGGUGUCGCUUCCCGAGGACAGCCAUGAUGCAACGGUAGGAAUGCCGAAGUCCCUGGUCGUACUGGUUGUCGACUUCUCUCUCUAAGUUCUCGACUUCCCUCUCCAAGUUCUCGACCUGGGCUCGGUGGGAGUCGCGGAGAGAUUCGAGCUGAGCCGCGUACAUAGCCAUCUGCCUUUGCAUAUCCUCCUUGACCUUGGUAAGCUCCUCCUCGAGGGUAAUGGCUUUUGCUUGAGCAAGUGAUUCUUGCUCUAUCAGCUUCAGGUUCUCGAGAUUCAGCUCCCCUGCUUUCUUCUCGGCAACGUCAGCUCUGGUCGUCGCCGAUUGAAUAUCUUCCUUCAUCUUCCGGUCGUAGCGGCCCACCUUAGCCUUGUAAUAGGUGGUCAUGCAGCUGAGGUGGAAGGCGCUAUGCUACAUGGCCCCCACCAGCUCACCCAAGGUGCGGCCGUCAAAAUCCUCCAGCUCCUUCUUGCUCACGAGUUUGGUUAACUCAUUGAGGUAAGGGACCAGAUGUUCUGCUCGGCUGUCGGGUAAGCGAGAUCGAGGCCCGACAGGAAGAGAAGAGGUAGCAGGACCUGUGGCUGCUCCACUGGCUUCCCCAACUUUUUCAGGGGCUGGAGGUAAAAUCUUCAAGGGUGGGGCCUGCUGCACGACGUUGGCCCGCUUUGCAGUAGGGGCAUCCUUACUGUGGUCCCCCUUCGUGGUUGGAGGUCGAGAACGUUUUCGGGUCAGGGCCCCAAUCACAGCGUCCUCCAUCCUAUGGCCAGGAAGUAUCAAGCGAGACUCGAGCAAGUUGUAUGUGCUUAACAGUUCUCGGCUCGAGCAAGAAUUGGCCCGUACCGCCUCGACCCGUUUGAGCUGGUCAGGUUUGAGCGGGAAGUGGACACCCCAAGAAACUACAACACAAACAGACACUUGGUUAGAGACAAGCCAAUAAAACAAGGACAAUUAUGGAUACAAGACAUCUGAAGCGAGCAGGCAACCUGGGACCGUGAAACGGGGCGGGACCCGGUAAUCCUUCCCGUCCAUUUGUGCGACCUGACCCCAAGGACCCCCAGCAAAAAAGAACUUUCUCUUCCAAUUCCCACCACCACCAGUAGGGAGGUCGGUUAUGGGUUUCCUGGUCUUGGUGCUAGAUUGGAAGUAGUACCAACCGGCAUCUUUGGGGCUGCUCUUUAGCUGGUACAGGUGCUUCACCUCAUCAAUUGUGGGCUCGCUUUGACAACAUCUGUCCCACAAUAUGAACAGACCAGAGAGCACUCUCCAACCAUUUGGGUUCAGCUGACCAGGAGAUAGAUUUAGCCCGCUAAGUACCCGGGCAAAGUAAGGUUGCAAGGGACAUCUCAGCCCGUACUUAAAGCUAUCCAGGUACAGGGUAACAUAUCCCCUAGGAGGCCGGCUAGGAGCAUCCUUAUUUCCUGGGACCUUGAGAAGUAUUUCACCAGGAAUGCUAUACCUCAGCCGGAGGUCCUCGAGCUCAUCAAACGUGGUCGUGCACGUCAUGUAAUCAAUAGCGUAGUCCCGCGAUAGGGCUCUACCUCCUAUUCUACUCCUCCCUUCUGGUCGCGGCGCUCCUGAUGGGGACGCCUCACCAGAAUCAUCCCCUUGACCCUCACUCAAGGUGUUCUCCGAUCCAGAAGAUCCUUCUUCAUCGCUACUGUCGCUCGAGGAGGUUGUUUGGGGAGACAUCCUCCUAGCGCUAGUACCAACACUAGACCUAAUGGGCUCUAAGGGGAUCCCGGGAUCAAAAGCGGGAUCAGCGAGCAGACUAGGUGGGAAGUCCAACUCGUCGUCGUCAACCUCAAUGACCUUCUCUUUGCCCUUCGACAUUCCCUAAACUCUACCACAACGCCACCAACUACUACCCAAACGAAAGAAAAAAGAAGUUAUCUAUAAACUAUCCGAGACCGAGGAGAGAGAAGUAAUACCUGAAGUACUGCUCCAAUCGGAGAAAGGCAAGGAUGGGGGCUUCGUGCCGGAACUUCUUUGCCGGAGAAACAGAGACGUAGACGGAGACAGAGUGAAUGGUGAAUAUGCCGUUCGAGAGGAUUUGGCUUUCCAAAUGAGGACGGACUCUUGGGUUGCCAGCAUAUAACUGCGCCGAAUCCCGAGGAUCUCGUAACCGUCGGUUUGAAAUUCAAAUGGAGGGGGGGAUUUCUGCCACGUCACCUCAUCCGCAAUUAAAUGCGACAUGACUCCUGGCAGCCUUUUCCAAACCCACGCGAGCGAGUACUAUCGAGUUUCUACUGCUGGUCCACUACAUUACCCAACACCAGAAACUGGGGGACCGGUGUUUGGGAGGGAUACUGUUUGGGACAAAUGCGUCGAAGGGACCAGGAAUGACGAGCAGAUAUCUGAUGGCGGAGUUCUGCGAACCGGUGUGUUCCGUUAAAGCCUGGCGCGUGGAAGAACAGGAGCAGAAACAUCCUGCUCGCCCACGAUGUUGUCGUCCGCGAGGCCAAUUCCUAUAAAAGGCAUAAGGCCAUUCCGGCUAGAGAUCGAGAGGCGAGGAGACCCGGUCGACGGCAGUUGGCAAGACGUGCUCUCCAGCACGAGAAUCUAGGCACAACAGCCACGCUUUCCCCAGAACCGCGACGUAACACGCAAGAUCUCACAGAGCCAUGACAGCCACACUUUCCCCAGAACCGUGGCGUAACACGCAAGGUCUCACAGAGCCAUGGCAGCCACGCUUUCCCCUGAACCGUGGCGUAACACGCCAGAUCCCAUGUUUUGCCCAUAACGCAGCAGUUGGAGUCCCAUACCGUCUCGAAAAGAGCGGAAGACUGAGAUUCAGAGGAAGCCUAUAAAAAGGUAGCCAACGAAGGUAAAAGGGUUGGCAUUCUUGAGAAAAGGGGAGAAAACCACAAGAAACGCCAUAAGACCUGUGGCAAGCUUUUCCCGAACCUUCAUAUCUGACUUGAGCGUCGGAGGGUUUGCGCCGGGAAAACAACCGGCGUACUCUGACUUAUCUGUGUACGCAGGGACCUCUGGAGAAGAAGCCUGGCGAGGAGACCUCCUGGUCGUGACGAAGUUGAUCGAGCAGAGAUCCUGAUCGUAGAACGAGGAGAACCGAAAUCUCGCAUCAACAAUAAAUAUUCAAGUUUGAUAUUCAUUGAUAAUCAACUUAGGGAAGGAAUAAAUUACCUUAAUAUAGCAAAUAAUUGUGUUCAUAAUUUUUAAAUUUGUAAUUGUGCCUUCUAGUUGAUAAAAUGAGACAAAGAAAGAGGAUGAAUUUUGAUGGAUUAAAAGAGGGCUGUGUUGAUUAAGAGUGAGAAAGGAGAGGAAAGAUCUCUGUUUUCUAGAUUCACAGUGGUGAGCCGUGUACGAGAUUUGGCAGAUAAGAAAAUCGUUUGGUUCAUAUUUUGAGUUGGAAAUAUUAAUUUGCCCCCACCGCAAAACGCAAUUUAUAAAAUUGAUUCAUUAUUAAUUUUUUAUAAAAUUACCUCACUAUGAAGUAAUUAUCCCGAAAAUUAACAUGAAGUUUAAACAAUUUUUUUUUUCCACUGGCGUCAAUUGCCCCCACUGCCCAAUAAAUAGAUCCACCCCUGUCCAUAGGCAGCUCAUAUUUGGAGGUUCCAAAAGACAAAUGAGAUGGGGAUGAAGAAUGGAACAUUCUCAUGGUUAUAAUAUUAUUAAUAGACCAAAAAGUAUUUGCGACUUUAACAAUUAAAAAAUUAAUAUUUUUUAAAAAAAAGUAGUAAAGUUUUGCUUAAAAUAAGGAUUUUAGUUGAAAAUUGAAAAGUUUGAUGGAACAUGAUCUGUUUUUGAGUCGGGCAAUCAUCAUUUUGAUACAUUCCUUUAAGAUAUUGUAAAUUUGAAUUAAUACCCUAUCUAUUAGGUUAUCUUAAUCAAAUAGGUCGGUACAUAGGCAUCUAUUAUAUGGAUUCUGUCUACAGAAUCUAAAAUUAAAAUAGUGAUGGAUGAGAUGAGCCUCUUCGGGAAUCAGGAAGAUGGAAAAAGAGAAAAUCUAAAAUGAUUUUGGAAGCUAUUUUGUAAAUUUUAUUGUACUAGUAAACAUAAGAAUCUAUUAAAAUAUAUAUUAAGAAUAACGAGGUUGAAGUCGUAGGAACUUUUUCUUUUAAGAAAGGAAAAUUUAAUCUAAAUUAAUUAUAAUCGAUCUUAGUUGAAAAGAAAAUAUUUUGUUUCAGAAAAUUAAAACCAAAGAUGCAAGUAAAUUAACAUAAGAACCAAGAGAUUGAGGUUACCAAGUUUCAGUAUCCACCAUAAUUCAAUUUAACAAUUAUCUAAUUACCAAUCGAUUCAAGAGACUGGGGCUAGUAAGUUUCAAAAUCAACUAAAGUUCAACUUAACAAUUAUCUAAUUACCAAUCAAUUUUUAAUUUUAGAAUGUCUAUUCAUAAAUAUAAUAAUCAAGCCUAAUUAAAAUUAAUUUUAUGAAUACUCUUUUUCUACUUCAUAAUGCGAUAUCUAAAUAUUUUAAGUAAAUAAUAUUGAAUAAUAAAGAGUUAAGAGUUUAUUUGAGCACUCUAUGUAAACUAUUUGAUGAAAGAAAGAAAAUUAGGAGUGGUAAAAAAGCCCGAGCCGGCCCAGGCCCACAAUGUGUGGGCCUAAAACAAAUUGCAAAGCCCACAUAUGUUAGGUCUGAACAAGGGCUUAGCAAAAAAGCCCGGACUUGGCUCGGGCUUUUUAAAUUUAUGAAUAAAAAAUAAAAUUAAUUUAAAUAAAAAAGAAAAAAACUCAAAAUAUUAAAUUAGUUUAAUUUUUUAUAUUAGUAUUUGUUAUUUUAUUAAGUUGUAUUACUAAUAUUUUAUGUAUUGGACUAUUAUUUUAUUAUAUAUUAGAUGAUUAUCUUUAAUUUAAAUAUUUUUUUUAAUUUAAAAAUAUUUUAUAAUUAAUUUAAAAAGCCCGAGCCCGGCCCGUCUAAAUUUGGACGGCUUUUUGAAGGGCCUGGACUUUGUUUGAAUGAUGUGGGCUUAGGCCUGGGUUUCGAAAAGCCUGGCCCAAGCUCGCAAAUCGCCAACCCUACAGAAAAUUAAAGAUAAUCAUGCAUAAAUUUUAUAGAUUUAAGUGUAGAUUUGAUUUAAUAUUAAUCCCAACAAUCAAUAAUGCAGGACAAAAUUAGUGAAGAUAUUUAAUAAUAGUCAACCAAACAUAUAAAAAUAAGAAUUAUCCACAUUAAAACACACAUAUAUAAGAAGAUAACCGAAUAAAAUGUAAUUUAUUUAAUUAAACAAGAAAUUAUCUUUAACAUUAGUAUGAAAAAUGAAAAAGACAUGGAGAGAUUGAAAACAAUAAAACCGAUAAAAAGCCAAGCCUUCAGCGGCCUUCAAUUCCUUUCUGUCUCGCUGAAAGCUUGGCUUUGUAAGGGUGUUCAGAAUCCAAUCCGAUCCGCUCAAUCCGUCUGAUCCGUAAAAAUCUGAUCUGUGGACCUGUGGAUUGGAUAUGGAUUAAAAUUUUAAAAAUCCGCAGUCGAUGGAUUAGAUAUGGAUUUACUUCUGUAAAUCCGUAAAAAUUCGUGAAUUCGCAAAAAAAAAAAAAAAAAAAAAUAUAUAUAUAUAUAUAUAGUUAAAAAAUUAUUAUAAAUUUAAUUAAAUAAUAUUAUAAAUGUGACAUUACAUAGUUACAUAAGCACUAUAACAUAUCUUAGCCAUUACCCAAUAAUAAUAUUAAUUAAAAAAUAAUUAAAUAAUCAAAUAUACAAUAUAACUUGUAAAAAUUGUAAAACAAAAUAAAAACAAAGUCACUAGCAACAGCAAAGUAACAUAACGGCAAGUUACCAACAAUUUGUAAAGUCACCCAAAAGCAAAGUAACAUAACGCCAUGAUGAGAACCAUCAAGGGAAUACCAUUAAAGUUUCAAGUGAUCCUUUGCACAUUCAUAGAGGCCCAAUUACAAGGGCUAGAGCAAAAAAGAUGCAAGCUGCUUUAAAUUGAUUAAUUGAGAAAAUAUGAAUUGAAAAUGCAAUUCAAGAUGCAAGACAUCAUGAAUUGGGCUUGAAGAGAAGACAAGGCAUUGUGGGCAUUAUUCAAGUUAUUGGGCAGCCAAAUACACAAUUUGUAUCAAAUGCAGAAAGGUCAAAUUCGGAAUAAAACUAGUAUUGAUUGAGCCAAAAGUAAUGUGCAAACUAUAUACCGUUGGAAAGAUAAUUACGUUAGCUUUCCAAUGCAUUUUACAGAGUUAGAUUUGAAGUUCUCUAAAAGGAGUUAUGACCAAUUCAUUACAGCUUGUUCAGACUUGAGAUUUUCAACGACUCAUUUAUUUUUCAACUUCAUUUCUUUAUUUUGUUUCAAGUUUGUCAAAAGUUUAUCAAUGUGUAAGGUAAGUCUACUAGGAAUGGCAAAAGGUCGUGUCGGGCUCGGGCUUGACCAAGCCCGAACCCGACCCGAUCAAAAAAAUUUGAAGCCCGACCCUAAAAAAGCUCGAACAUUUUAUAGUUAGGGUCGGGUCCGACCCGGCCCGAAUCAAGUCAACGUCAGGUCGGGCCCAACCCGACCCUACCAAAAUAGUUUUCAUAUUAUUUUAAUAUUAAACUAUUUUUUAACGUUUUGUUUUAUAUUCAUGUUAUUUUAAUGUUUUUCUUCUAUACAUGCACCUUAAUUCAAUAAUUUAGGCAACUCAAAUUUGUCAAUAUCUUGUAAUUUUAUGACCACAUCCCAAAUUCAUUCAUGUUACUUUUUAAUUUUUGUUCUCUUUCUAGUUAUAAUACCAUGAAUAUAAUACAAAAGAAAUAAUUUUUCUAAUUUAAAAUAAUUAACAAGACAAAUGCAAAAUAUACAAUAUAAUUAAUCACAAAAUAAUGCACAAAACAACCAAUUAAUAGGAAUAAUUUUUUAAAUUCAAUUCCAUAAUCCAACUUUAAAAACACACAAUGCGAUUAAAUUAAAAAAAACACACAAUUUAAUUCCACAACCAUUUCAACCCCACACACAAAUCAAUUCCAAAAUCCAACAUGAAAAACUCAUAAUGCAAUUAAAUUAAAAAUACACAUGUAAUUUCACAACCAUUUUAGCCAUACACAAUUCAAUUCAACAAUCCAACAUAAAAAAUAAAAAAUAAAAAACUCAUGUCUUAUACAAAUAAAAACACACAAUUUAGUUCCACAACCCAACAUUAAAAAAAAAAACAUGUCUUAUGUUGAGUGUUAGAAAAUGCAUAUUUAUAAAGGAGAAAACCGUUAUUUUACAUUUCAAGUCUUACUAACAACCCUUACUUUUAUGUAUUUAACCUACUUGUGAUUUAAUUACAUGUGUUUUAUUUUAAUUAAGUAUUUUAUGUAUUUUAGGGGCAUUAUAGUCAUUUCACAAUAAACGAGAAAUCAGAUGGCAAAACGGACAUCACUUUUGAACUCAGGACGGUCGAAAACCUUAGGAGGAGCAUAAAAGGAAAAAUGGCACUGUUCACAUGUACGGUACUGUAUACGUUACUGUUCACGACACUGUUCACAUAGACGGACCGAUGACGUGGCAUUGACUGAUGAGGUGUCACGAUCCUGUUGGACUAAAAUUCUUAUAUAUUGUUGAUGGUGACGUGGUAGCAUAUCAGUGGACGAAAAAUUUCGCAUACGGUGCAUGCAUCACACAGGAUUAUUUUCAACCAAACCGCGUUACUGAUCAUCCGGGUCAAAUCGUGUUACUGUUCAUCCGCGUGGUCAAACCGUGGACUGUUGACUGAUGACGUGGCGCAAUCCUGAGCGUCCAAACUGUUUUUAAUCCGAUGGCCAUGAUUUACUCCAUGUAUCUAUAAAAAGGGGGCCUCUCCUCCCUAAUUUGAUAUCUCUUAAUUCAUUUUUGGGAUCCAUUUUCUGUAAUUCCUUCUCCAUCUUGUAUUUUCUUCGUAUUUUAAUAAAUUCCCAUUUUGCCCCUAGUUCAAUUAUGAGUGGCUAGUUUUCUUUCAAGCUUGGGUUGAAGAUGAAGUCUCAACAUGUGUCAUGGGCUUAAUUUGAUAAAUUUAUUUUCUAUUCCCCUCUAGUUUUUGUGGAUGUUUUGACUUCUCGUCGACAAAUAAUAUUAAUCUUGUCUAGUACCGCCUUGGUUUCACCGGCCCUCUAGUACAAGGUUAUUAUUAUUUGGCACGAUAAGCCCUUAGCACCAUAUUGAUUAGAGCGUGGUUCAUGAGGUGUAGAUUCCCCCCUCAUGAUUUAAUGGACAUUAAUACGGAUUAUUUAGCCCAUGAUGCAUGUUGAUACGAAUCCAGAUACCCAAGUACGUCAUUUCAAUAGAAUUCUCUUUAAUUUAUUCUCACCAUUUCAAUACCAAUUUUAGAAUUUAUUCUCGCCAUUUUAUUUUAAGUUUUAGCAUAUUCCAAAUCAUUUCCACCGCAAAUCCAAUCACCCAUUUACAAAAUUAAUUCUAUACACAAUUAAAAUUCACCUCCUCGUGGGAUCAACACUCGUCACCAUUAGUCUAUACUACAAUAGAUUCGUGCGCUUGCGAGUACAUUAAAAUUUGCACAACAAGUUUUUGGCGCCGUUGCCGGGGAGGUAAGUAAUUUUAAUUCAUAGAAUUAAUUUUUGUGAAUAAUUUCUUUUAUUUGUUUUCUUGUAUUUUUUUAUUAUUAAAAAAAAAGAAAAAGAAAAAAAGUGAAUCUACAUUUAAAGGUUAGUAUUUCUUUUCUUUUUCUCUUCUUUAAAAUUCUGUAAUUUAAUUUUCAAUUUAUUUUUCUUUGUAAUUUUUUUUUAUCUUAUUAAUUUAUUUUUAGUUAAUUUAUUUCACGUAUUUAUUUUUGUAUAUUUUUAUAGAAAGGUUUUAAUAGCGCAAUAUGGUUAGUAUCGUAAUUUCUCCCUCUUCUUUAUUUUUAUUUGUUUUGUUCCCAUCUUUAUUUUUAUUUUAUUUGUUUUGCAUGCAUGGUCGUAGGUCAUUAUUACCUAAUCUUGAACCUAUAGACCUUGAAUUAGAAAAAACACUUCGCACACACAAACAAAUUAAAAAUAAAAUGGAUUUGCAACCACAGGAGAGGCCAUUUAAGGACUACUUCAGUCCUUUAGCUAAUUUGAGCACAUCAUGCAUAAGAUACCUAAAUAUAGCUGCUAGGAGCUUUGAACUAAAACCUAGUGUGCUAAAUUGUCUCCCCACAUUUUAUGGCCUAGAAAAUGAGGACCCAUAUUAUCAUCUGAAUGAUUUUCAUGCUAUUUGUCAAACGUUUAAAUACGAGAAUUUUUCAGACGAUGAUGUUAAACUUAGAUUAUUCCCAUUUUCUUUAAAGGAUAAAGCUCGUUCAUGGUUAAAUACUUUACCUGCUAAUAGCAUCAGAUCAUGGGAACAAAUGGUAACUAAAUUUUUGAAUAAAUAUUUCCCAGUGCAUAAAACCAAUGCUAUUCGCAGGAAAAUCUCGGAGUUUACCCAGAGAGAGGACGAGCAAUUUUUUGAAACAUGGGAGCGAUUCAAUGGGCUCCUCUUGAAGUGUCCACAUCAUGGGUACGAAAAAUGGCACCAAUGCCAAUACUUUUUGGAGGGAUUAUUGCCGAAUGUGCAAGAAUGACUAAUAGCAACAAGUGGAGGAGAGCUAAUGUCAAAAAGUGCAUCAGAGAUUUGGGAAUUCUUCCAGCGACAAGCGGAUAAUUCCCAACAAUGGAGUCGAUCACUCAGGAAUACUAGAAGAAUUAAGGGAGUAAAUGAGGUUCACAUUGGCGAAUCAAGUUCAGAAAUUAAAGAAGUCAAAGCGAUAAUUGAAGGUCUCUCUCGACAAAUAGCAUCAUUAUCGACUGCUAAAUCAACAGAGCCACAUGACCAUGACUCAUACUCAGAUCAAGCCAAUGCCAUAAGUGUAAUGAGAAAACCAUCGAAUUACAACCCAUACUCCAACACAUAUAACCCUAGAUGGAGAGACCACCCCAAUUUUUCAUGGUCUCAAGGAUUCCAACAGAACGGACCAGCAGCUCUAGCUCCACCAAUUCCACAAAAUCCUCAAGCCUCUCAGCCACCAUUUAGACCAUACAAUCAGAACCAGAACCACUCUCAACCUAGACCAUGGGAGGAUGCAUUCCAAAAUUUCAGGAAUGUUACUCACUCCACGAUUGAGCAACAGAACCGCACCAUUGAUGGACUACGAAAUGAGUUGAGAGCAGGCUUCAACUCACAAGCUCAAUCAGUUUCAAGCCUCGAGAAGAUGGUGGGACAACUUGCUUCUUCAGUUCAGACCUUGGCAAUGACCGUUGAGAAAGGUAAGUUUCCAAGUCAACCAGUGCCUAACCCUAAAGGAGUGCAUGAAGCAAGUAUCAGUUCACCACAGCAGCAUGGAGAAGUCAAAGCAGUAAUGACCUUGCGAAAAGGAAAAGAAGUCGACAACAAAGUGGAGAUGCCAGUGACAAAAGAAAAUCAAAUUGUACCUAUGAAUGUUGAGGAAUCAUCACCAGAGGAGAAAGAAGAAACCAACCCACGAGAAUACGUUCCGAAAGCUCCAUUUCCUCAGAGGUUAGCGAAAGGCAAGAAGGGAAAAUCCACAGGUGAGAUUCUUGAAAUCUUCAAACAGGUAAGUGUUAACAUCCCUUUGCUUGAUGCUAUUAAACAAGUUCCAUCUUAUGCCAAGUUUCAUCUUAUGCCAAGUUUCUUAAAGACCUUUGUACUAAAAAGAGAAAUAUGCAUGUUCAAAAGAAGGCAUUUUUAACAGAAAAUGUUAGUUCUAUACUCCAACAUAAAAUUCCUUUAAAAUGCAAAGACCCAGGCUCCCCUACUAUCUCAUGUAGUAUAGGGAACCACACAAUUGAGAAUGCUUUGUUGGAUUUAGGAGCUAGUGUAAAUAUGUUGCCUUAUUCAGUAUUCGUGAAACUUGGACUGGGAGAAUUACACCCAACUCCAGUGGUGUUACAGCUUGCAGAUCGGUCCACGAAACUACCUCGUGGUAUUGUGGAGGACGUGCUUAUCCAGGUAGACAAAUUUUAUUUUCCUGUUGAUUUCAUUGUAAUUGACACUCAACCAAUACAGGAUUCAAGGAAGCACAUCCCCAUUAUUCUAGGCCGACCUUUCUUGGCAACUGCGGAUGCUCACAUUCAAUGCAGGACUGGAAAUAUGCAGUUGUCUUUUGGCAACAUGACUAUGGAGCUGAACAUCUUCAACAUUGCCAAACAACCUCACAGUGCAGAUGAUGGAAUUGUUGAUGUGGAUUUAAUUGAAGCAUUAGUUGAUGAUACUUUUGUUUUAAACCUUAGUGAUGAUCCUUUACAAACAUGUUUAACUCACUUUGGUUUGGAUUUUGAUAUUGACAGAUCGGUCGAUGAGGUCAACGCCCUGCUUGACUCAGCACCAUCUAUGGACACUAAUAAAUGGAAGUCAAGAGUUGAACAACUAGCACCAUAAGAGAAGAAACUCAUCCCAUCAUCAGAAUCACCACCGAAACUCGAGCUCAAACCAUUACCCAACACUCUGGAAUAUGCAUUUUUGGGAGAAGAAAGUACUCUGCCGGUAAUCAUCUCAUCAUCCCUCAAUGACAAACAAAAAGGUAAGUUGUUGGAUGUUUUAAAAGAGCACAAAGAAGCAUUAGGAUAGACCAUAGCAGACAUAAAAGGUAUAAACCCAGUAGACUGCAUGCAUUACAUUCACCUUGAUGAAAAUGAUAAAUCUACUAGGGAAAUGCAACGUCGGUUAAAUCCUAAUAUGAAAGAAGUUGUUAGAACAGAAGUCCUUAAGCUAUUAGAUGCAUGUAUCAUUUACCCAAUUUCUGAUAGUUCAUGGGUCAGUCCUGUAUAAGUUGUCCCCAAAAAGUCAGGAGUUACAGUAGUUACGAAUGCUGAUAAUGAAUUGGUACCCACUAGAGUAACUACAGGAUGGCGUGUAUGCAUUGAUUAUAGAAAGUUGAAUUAUGUCACACGUAAAGACCAUUUUCCUUUACCAUUUAUCGAUCAAAUGCUUGAUAGAUUAGCAGGCCAUGAAUUUUAUUGCUUUCUAUAUGGCUACUUAGGAUAUAAUCAGAUUCCCAUAGCACCAAAAGAUCAAGAGAAAACUACUUUCACUUGCCCUUUUGGCACAUUUGCAUAUAGAAGAAUGCCAUUUGGAUUAUGUAAUGCACCUGCUACAUUUCAACGAUGCAUGUUAAGCAUUUUUUCUGAUAUGGUUGAACGAUUCCUGGAAGUCUUUAUGGAUGACUUUUCUGUCUUUGGUGAUUCGUUUGAUCAAUGUUUACAUCAUCUAACACUAGUUCUGCAGAGAUGUAUCGAGAAGAACUUGGUCUUAAAUUGGGAGAAAUGUCAUUUUAUGGUAAAACAAGGUAUUGUUCUCGGUCACAUCAUUUCGAGCAAAUGUAUUGAGGUUGACAAAGCCAAGGUGGAUCUCAUUUCUAAUCUUCCUCCACCUAAAACAGUCAGAGAAAUAAGAUCUUUCCUUAGGCAUGCUGGUUUCUAUAGACGUUUCAUUAAAGAUUUUAGCAAAGUUUCUAGACCCUUAUGCAAUUUACUUGCUAAGGAUGUACCUUUUAUCUUUAAUGAUUCAUGUCUUAUGGCGUUUGAAAAAUUAAAACAGUUGUUGACAUCAUCACUCAUCAUUCAGGCCCCGAACUGGAGCUUACCAUUUGAACUCAUGUGUGAUGCAUCUGAUUAUGCAGUAGGAACAGUAUUAGGACAAAGAGUUGAUCGAAUUCCCCAUGUUAUUUAUUAUGCUAGUAUGACAUUGAAUGAUGCACAGUUGAACUAUUCAACUACUGAAAAAGAAAUGCUAGCAGUAGUGUUUGCAUUGGAAAAAUUUCGAUCAUAUCUCAUUGGUUGUAAAAUAAUUAUAUUCACGGAUCAUGCUGCUCUUAAAUAUCUUCUCACAAAGAAAUAUGCAAAAGCCAGACUAAUUCGUUGGGUGUUACUUUUGCAGGAAUUUGACUUGGAAUUCAAAGAUAAAAAAGGGACAGAAAAUGUUGUGGCGGACCACCUCUCUCGUCUCCAUUUUGACACAAUUACAGAAUCAUUACCAUUGAAUGAGUCAUUUCCAGAUGAACAAUUAAUGAAUGUGGAAGUAUUACCUUGGUAUGCUGAUAUAGUUAAUUAUCUUGUUACAGGUAAACUUCCAGAGCAUUGGACCAAGCAAGAUAAGGCUAAAUUCUUUGCAGAGAUAAAGAAUUUCUUUUGGGAUGACCCGUAUUUGUUCAAGUAUUGUGCAGACCAAAUUGUUAGACGAUGUGUCCCAGAAAGUGAAAUUUAGAAUAUCCUUUCAUUCUGCCAUGAACAAGCUUGUGGAGGCCAUUUCAGUGCUAAGAAAACAGCGACUAAAGUUUUACAAUGUGGUUUCUAUUGGCCAUCUAUAUUUCGAGACGCUUACACUUUCUGUUCUUCAUGUGAUAGGUGUCAACGAAUGGAAAGCAUUACACGAAGGAACAUGAUGCCACUAAAUCCAAUUUUAGUGGUUGAGAUUUUUGACGUAUGAGGUAUUGACUUCAUGGGACCCUUUCCCCAUUCUUUUGGCCAUCAAUACAUAUUGGUUGCAGUUGACUACAUAUCCAAAUGGGUAGAAGUAAUUCCAUGCAGAACUAAUGAUCACAAAGUGGUGAUAGGAUUUUUGAAAAGCAAUAUUGUUUCACGCUUUGGAUUCCCUCGAGCGAUAAUCAAUGAUGGUGGUGCCCACUUUUGUAACAAAGCAUUCAAAGCUCUUUUGACAAAGUAUUCAAUCACACACAAAGUGGUAACUCCGUAUCAUCCACAAACCAGUGGCCAAGUUGAGAUAUCCAAUCGAGAAAUAAAGCACAUAUUAGAAAAAACGGUGAGGCCAGACAUGAAAGAUUGGUCAUUAAGACUUGAUGAUGCAUUAUGGGCAUAUAGAACGGCUUUCAAGACCCCGAUUGGGAUGUCACCCUACAGACUAGUGUAUGGAAAAGCUUGCCACCUACCUGUGGAACUUGAGCAUCGUGCAUAUUGGGCCAUCAAGAAAUUCAACUUUGACAUGCAGCAAGCCAGCUCAGAAAGAAGAUUACAACUAGCAGAACUUGAAGAAAUUCGCAAUGACGCAUACGAAAAUGCCAAGAUUUACAAGCAACGAAUGAAAGUCUUCCAUAACAAGCAAAUUAUGAGAAAAUCUUUCACUCCAGGUCAGAAAGUGCUUUUAUUCAAUUCUCGCUUGCACCUAUUCCCAGGUAAGUUACGCUCUCGUUGGUCUGGCCCAUUUAUUGUUCAUAUUAUUUUUCCACAUGGGGCAAUUGAAAUUAAGGACCCAAAAGAACGGUGUCACGUUUAAAGUUAAUGGUCAAAGAUUAAAGCCAUAUCUAGAAUACCAACCACAUGGAGAAGACAUCGAGAUAAAUUUGGGUGACCCACCAAAUUUGAAUUGAUUUUUUUUCUUUUCGUUGAUUUGAUUUUUCUUUCUUUCUUUUUAUUAUUAUUCUUUUGCUAAUUGAAAUUGUUUUUGCAUAAGUGUGUUUAUUUUACCAUUAAGUUUUCUCUUAUCAUUUUUAAUCAUGAGUCUCGUACUUAGACCGUUCCUCCUGAACAUUCUUAAACCACUUCAACGUGUCAAAACUCAUCUCAAAAGGCAGAUUCAAUUUUGUAAAACACAACGCAUUUGGGCUCUACAACCACCAGAGUUAGUAGCCUAUGUUGAGGGUUUAGAACGUCAACUCAGAGAUAUUGAGAGAAGUGUUACCCCGGUGAAGUGGCGAAUGACGGUACUCCGUGACAAUCAAGUCGGUUACUUCAGUUUCCCAUAAUAAUUGAUAUUCUGAGGCGAAGGUAUGGACAGAAACGAGAUUCUAGCGAAGCUUCACAAGCGAUUCCCUUCACUUCCUCAGAAUGCCCUCCUUACGAUUUAUAAAGCUCGGUCCGAACGCAUGCGAUUACUCAUGAGGAAUAACAUACCUGCUGACAUCCGUUGGUUAAUUGAAGGAAAGUACGAUCGGCAGGUGAGUUACCUCCAAAAUUUAUUGCAUACAUGCCUGGUUGUGGUAAAGGAAAUUAUGCAAGAAAACGACGAGCUCGAAGAAUUUCUGUUGCUUGUCAUAAGUGUGCCAGAAUGAGUUGCAAUAAAAACCCAUGUUCUUUAAGAAUGGUGUCUGAUAACAGGGAAGAUAAGAUUCAAUUCAUUAGGGAUGGCUUGAAUAAGGAGUCAUUGGAUGAUAUCCUUUUGUCUCUUGAAACGCAUCCCAGUGGAUAUGUGCAAGGAGCAAUUCUCCAGUUAUGACCAUUAUUCCAGAAAGAGCAUGCACGAUAUAGUCUCGGGAAUCUGACUAUAAACGACCCUGUUUGCCAGUUUAUAAGAAAACUGGAUAGGAAGCCUAUCCUCGACCUAUAGAGGGCGUUCAAGCCGUUUCUGGACGUAAAACCAGAGGAAGAUGUGAGCCACAGUCGCAACUACCUGUAAAUAUCCUUUUACUUUAUUGUUAUUUUAUUUCACUAUUGUCUUAUUGUUUGCAUUAUUGUCUUUAAUAAUUUUAUUACUGUUUGUUUUUUCCUUAUUACUGUUUGCUUUUCCCUUUCUACUGUUUCCUUUUUGACUCGCGAGCCACGUGCUUUACGCGUUAUUUGACAUGGACAUGUGACCUCAUACACAACUAUGACCCACUAUCACCAAGACUCUUAAAUGUAUUUUCUUUGUCAAGCACUCACAAAUUAUUUUUACGAAGUAUCACAAUGGCAGCUACUCCCAAUAGACAAUUCAAGAAUAUUUGUGUGCUUUCUGGAUUUACAUAUGGCAAACAUAAAGAGUUCGUUGAGGCAGCCAUAGAUCUUGGUCGAAGCAUAGCAGCGAGAAAAUUACACUUGGUGUAUGGAGGAGGUAAUCGAGGGUUAUCAAAAAUGAUCUCAGAAGCAGCUUUUAUCAGAGAAAGUCAAGUGUUAGGCAUCAUCCUAAGAGUUUUAAAACCAUUGGGCAGUUCGUCUGACUCAUCAACUGGAGAAGAGUUAGUCGUCUCAGGUAUGCAAGAAAGAAUAACUGAAAUGCUUAAUCAUGCUGAUGCUUUUAUUUUCCUUCCAGGAGAUCUUACAACACUAGAGGCACUUAUCACACUAGCAUCUUGGGCCCAUCUGCACAUCCACAAGAAACCCAUCGGUUUGUUAAAUGUCAAUAACUUUUAUGAUGGCUUUAUCGCAUUUCUUAACCAUGCAAUAAAAAACUAUUUCAUUCCUUCUAAUGUGAAAAAAAUUUUUAUUUGUGCUCACACUGCUAAUGAGCUACUUGAUCUGUUACAAGCUUAUAGACCGGAGCCAGACCCCUGGACCUUUGUGUUGGAGCAUCCAAAUAAUGAUGGUAACAGUAGCAGCAGUAAGAAGUACAAAUUAGAUUUAACUCUCUGCCUGUAAAUAUUUUCUUCUAUGUUGCACCACCCAGGUGAUGUCUUCCAAACUCUACUUCUUUCAUUUCAAACAUUGAGGACAAUGUUUUAUUCUGAUUGGGGGGAGGGAAUAGUCGACAAUUGUGGAAUUUUGGUUAAGUUUUUACUAAUUUUUUGUUGUAGAAACUAACUGUUGCUAACUUUUUGUGUUGAAGAUGGCUGAAUAUGGAGUGUAGUGACUCUAGAAACGCAUCUUCAUCGUUUAAAAAAAAUUUAAAAAAAAACUUUAAAAAAAAUUCAGACAUUUUCUUUUUCUUUAUUAUGUGUUUAUGUUUAUUUUUCUUCUUUUUAAUUUCUCCUCUAUAAAUAUACAUUUUCCAACUUUUGAGUCGAAGAUGGCUGAAUAUGGAGUGUAGUUCCUCUAGAAACGCAUCUUCUUUAAAAGAAAAAUAAAAAAUCAUUUUCGUUUUCUAUCAUUUUACGUGUAACUUUUCUAAUUAGUUUUUAUGCAUCAUUUUCACAUUUCUGCAUGCAUAUUUUCCUUUCAUGUUUAGAAUAGGUUGGGGGUAGAAUGUUGUUUAAAAAAAAAAUUGUGUGAUUUGUUUUAACAUUGGGUGACAUGAUUAAUUUUAAAUUUUAGUAUUUGUAUUAUCUUUGGUCUUAAGUGAUGUUACAUUAUGUUUGCUACUCUACAUGUUGAUGUCGGAGACAUAUAUGAGUUGCUUGAAGGAAUGAACAUGUCAUAAUAAGUACCAAGUGAGUUCUUGAGCCUAUCAUUUUUCUUGGAGAGUAACCAUUUUGCCCAUUCUUUGUACAGCUUAACAAUUUAUUAUUGUAUACACGAUCUCUAGAUUUCUUUUGAAAUAACCCUUAAUAAAAAAAAAGAAAAAAAAGUGUGUUGCUACAUUUGGAGGCCCAUUUAACUAGUAGAUAUGGAAGGUUAUUUAGAGCCCUAAAAGACGAUGGAAAGGCCAUAUUUGAUUCGUUUGAGCCUUUCUAGCCAUCCCUUUUAUUAAAUAUCCAUAGUUAACCCUUUUGAGCCUUUAAAAAAAAAAUUAUUUUCUUUGUCAACUUAUCAUCUUGACCCACUCCGAUUUGAAGUAUUACCCGAUAUCUUAUAAGUUCCAUCACCUAUUUAUGUUUGAGAAAAUGUAAAUAAUUAUGUUGUUCAGUGAAGUUAUACCAAUAAAAAAAGUAAAAAAAAAACAACAAAACAAAGGUUGUUGUUUCAAAAGAAUAAAAAUAACAAUAAUAGGUGAAAUCCACCUUGCAACUUCUAAAAAAAAAAAAUUCUCUGCAUUUUUCUCAAAUAUACACUUUAUUUUCCUUAUUUCCUUUCUUUGUUAACCAUGUCCCUAGCCUACGUUACAUCCUAAUAAAAGUCCUUCCUGAUUUUAGGGUACUAUAAUUUGAAGUAGAAGCUAGUUAUAUGGGCUAAAAAGAUGUAGUGGUGCAUAUAAAAAAAAUAAAUAAAUAAAUUGGGUUGACUAACAGAUUAUAUUUGACUUGAGAUCGUAUUAUUUUUAAGCUGAGGGCAUAUUUAUUUCAUCUUGGUGAAAGCAUGUGAUAUCACUUCUUCAUUAUUUCCUCUCAAUUACCAUUCAUUGGAGUGACUAUUUUUAUUUGGUUUAAUUUCUUUGUGAGAGUGUCACUACUUCCAGUGAGAUUUUGGAGUUUGACAUGUCAUUUUUGAAAGUAGCUAUAACAAAGUCUACUGGGCUGAUUCAUGUGAAUGGUUGAUGUGGGUGUGAUGUUACUUUAGACUGGAGAUAAUGCUUAUACUUUUAUUUGAUUGCUAUCAUUAUUCUGAUUGAAUAAACACGAGUGUUUCUAAAUUUAAAAAAAAAAUUAUUCUGAAUUUGAAUUUUAUUUUCGCUUCAUUUGCUAAGGACUAGCAAUAAGCUGGUUGGGGGGUGUGUUGAGUGUUAGAAAAUGCAUAUUUAUAAAGGAAAAAACCGUCAUUUUACAUUUCAAGUCUUACUAACAACCCUUACUUUUAUGUAUUUAACCUACUUGUGAUUUAAUUACAUGUGUUUUAUUUUAAUUAAGUAUUUUAUGUAUUUUAGGGGCAUUAUAGUCAUUUCACAAUAAACGAGAAAUCAGAUGGUAAAACGGACAUCACUUUUGAACUCAGGACGGUCGAAAAUCUUAGGAGGAGCAUAAAAGGAAAAAUGGCACUGUUCACAUGUACGGUACUAUUCACGUGUACGGUACUGUAUAUGUUACUGUUCACGACACUGUUCACAUAGACGGACCGAUGACGUGGCAUUGACUGAUGAGGUGUCACGAUCCUGUUGGACUAAAAUUCUUAUAUACUGUUGAUGGUGACGUGGCAGCAUAUCAGUGGACGAAAAAUUUCGCAUACGGUGCAUGCAUCACACAGGAUUAUUUUCAACCAAACCGCGUUACUGUUCAUCCGGGUCAAACCGUGUUACUGUUCAUCCGCGUGGUCAAACCGUGGACUAUUGACUGAUGACGUGGCACAAUCCUGAGCGUCCAAACUGUUUUUAAUCCGAUGGCUAUGAUUUACUCCAUGUAUCUAUAAAAAGGGGGCCUCUCCCCCCUAAUUUGAUAUCUCUUAAUCUAUUUUUGGGAUCCAUUUUCUGUAAUUCCUUCUCCAUCUUGUAUUUUCUUCAUAUUUUAAUAAAUUCCCAUUUUGCCCCUAGUUCAAUUAUGAGUGGCUAGUUUUCUUUCAAGCUUGGUUGAAGGUGAAGUCUCAACAUGUGUCAUGGGCUUAAUUUGGUAAAUUUAUUUUCUAUUCCCCUCUAGUUUUUGUGGAUGUUUUGACUUUUCGUCGACAAAUAAUAUUAACCUUGUGUAGUACCGCCUUAGUUUCACCGGCCCUCUAGUACAAGGUUAUUAUUAUUUGACACGAUAAGCCCUUAGCACCAUAUUGAUUAGAGCGUGGUUCAUGAGGUGUGGAUUCCCCCCUCAUGAUUUAAUUGACAUUAAUACGGAUUAUUGAGCCCAUGAUGCAUGUUGAUACGAAUCCAGAUACCCAAGUACGUCAUUUCAAUAGAAUUCUCUUUAAUUUAUUCUCACCAUUUCAAUACCAAUUUUAGAAUUUAUUCUCGCCAUUUUAAUUUAAGUUUUAGCAUAUUCCAAAUCAUUUCCACCGCAAAUCCAAUCACCCAUUUACAAAAUUAAUUCUAUACACAAUUAAAAUUCACCUCCUCGUGGGAUCGACACUCGUCACCAUUUGUCUAUACUACAAUAGAUUCGUGCGCUUGCGAGUACAUUAAAAUUUGCACAACAUCUUAUACAAAUAAAAACUCAUAAUUCGGUUUGGGUGAUGCUGUGAUGUGUGUGUGUGUGUGUAAAACUUGUGUUAGCUUUUUUUUUUUUUUCAAAUAGGGUCGGGUCGGGCCGGGUCAGCUUAAAGCCCGACCCUGACCCGAAAUUUGUUAGGGUCUAAAAAUUUUGACCAUAACCUGACCCGAGACCCGAAAAUUCGGGUCAAAGCCCUAAAAAUUAGGGUCGGGUAAGUCGGGCCAAAAACAGGAUCGGGCCAAAUUGCCAAGUCUAAAAUCUACCAUAAAUGAUGGUGGGUUAAUUAAAUUUGUCAAUGAUAGCAUUAAUUAUAGUAGGCUAGCAUUAAGUUUGUCAAAGAUAACAUUAAUUAUGGUGGGUUGGUGAAGACUUUUGAAGCAUCCUUUAACAAACUUACUUGGAGAGUUGUUCCAAUGUUUCCAUUUGUAUUUUUAGGAUCCUGGGUUUCUUUUAGCCUAUUUAAACUCAGCAACCUUGCUAUGUAAUGGAAUUAGAGAUUAAUGUUAUUUGAAUUUGAAAGAUUAUUCUUUCUUUGGUUCUUUUGAGAAUUAGUGAACUUAUCAAGAAUUUGCAUUCUUGUGGCAUUCCAAAUUUAGACUUAUCACUCACAUUCUCAUCUCUUGCUUGAGUGUGGCGUCAAUAUCAUUAUCUAUACUUUUGGUUCAUGUUUUCUUAUGCAUUGGGUCAAGAUUUUGUUUGUAUUAAAUAUAUUUAGAAUUUUCCUCGGAAGUUGAAACUACAAAUUAAGUGUGGGUUUGAAAGUUUCAUGUGAGAUUCGCAUCACGUCCAGUCACCAACAAUUUGCAAAUAAAAAACCCUAAACUUCCCCGCCGUCACACGCACUAGCAACACUCAAUACUGGUUCGAUACACUCUCGACACCAAUUUGAAGGACGUCGGCCGCGUGAUUCCAGCGAGAGCAAGUCAUCUUCUUCCCUGAGUCCAUUGAGCCACUUCACAAUCACUGGUUCCAGUCAAACAAUUGCACUAUCACAACCUUCAAGGUCGCCACCCGUACUUCUCCUGGUUCCCAUCGUUGACGGCUCCGUAAUCACCACUUUUCGACAAGUGCAAUAGCCCUAAUGAAGGAUCAGACUGUGUUUGGUUUCAGAAACUUCGUCAUUUCAAUUAAUUAUGGCUUUAUUUGAACAAUUAAUUUCGGUGUUAUAUUAAUGUAUUAUUGUAACUUUAUUUGAACAAUUAAUCUUAGUGUAUUAUAUUUUAAAACUUUAAACGUAUUAUUUUAGUUUUAUUUAAAUAAUUAAUUUGUUUAAAUUUUAUUCAAUUUUAAAUUUAAUUGGUAGUAAAAUUAUUUUUAUAUUAGAUUUUUUUUAAAAUUUCAUUAGUUCAUGGAUUGGGGAGAACUAAAAAUUUUAAAUUCGGAAACUAAUGUGCAAAAUGGUAGAUUGGAUAUGGAUUAAGUUAAAUCCGCAUCCGAUCCGCAGAUGUAUGGAUUGGAUAUGGAUUAAGUCAAAUCCGCAUCCGAUCCGCAGAUGUAUGGAUUGGAUUUGGAUUGAGUUUAAUCAAUCCGUGAAUUGGAUUGGAUUAAAAAAUUAUAAUCCGCACAAUUGUAGAUCGGAUAUGGAUUGAUAUCUAAUCCGUAAAAUCUGAUCCGCAAACACCCCUAUGGCUUUGUAUACAGAGUGAAGAAGUUGGCCGCUUCCCCAUUACAAAACCGUUGUCUUUAAAGAAAUUAAAGACCUUGCACUUGCUCUCCACUUUGAUUCCAAAUUAAAUUAUCAAGAUACAUUUAUUUUGCUAUUGCUUCUCACGUGCUUUCCUUACAAAUUGAGCGAUAGAUUUAAUUCUAAUUCAACCUUAAACCAAAUAGCAACAAAGUCAAUACUCUAACCUUCAAUUUAUUACCUAUUUAAUAAAAUAAUUUAAUUAGCCAAAAUAAUAAAUAAAGGAAACUAACAAAUAUAAGAUUAGAGGAGAAAUAUAUCAGUAAAUUUUACCCAUCAGAAGGAAUGGAAGAUUCUGUAAAAAUAGGACCCAAAACAAGAAGGACCAAUGGGCUACUAGGCCCGUUUUAAUGCAAAGACGGCCCAUGUCAACUUGGGAGUUCUUUCAUUGAUCAUAAUGACUAAUGAGUAAUCUUUUUGUCAUUUAUCACAUUAAUCCACCUUUUUGCUAUUUUCUAUUUUCAUUUUAUGGCUGGGCUACCUUGACUAAAAAAUUUUGACUUAAAAAAUUGACCUAAAUUUCCAUUCAUUCGAUCCACUUAAUUCAACGGCAGGAAGUUUUAAAAAAAAAAGAGUCAUUUAUGUCUCCAACUCUCCAUCAAUCUACCAUUAAAUUAAGUGAAUCCAAUUGAUUGAAAAUUAAAUUAUUUUUUAAGUCAAAUUUUUAUUAUUUUUACUUUAAAAUUAUAUUAUAGUUUCUUAAACAAUAGUCAUUAUAUUUUAAAUCAAGAAAUCAAUGCAACAUUAAUUCAUUAACAUAUUUAUUGUAAGUAUUUAGAUUGGAGAAAUGAUCAGGUGCGCAACAAUGCGCGUGUCAUGAUUUGGGAUUUGGGAUUGUGCUGUGGAAUACACAGCCCCUAAUUUGGAUCUUAAUACGUGCAUUAUCAAGUACGAUAAGGUGCGAGACAGCCAGACAGUGCACACAUAAUGCUUCUGUGUGGAUAUAUUUACAAUGGCACCAUUACAUUCGGUCAAAUCAUCACAAUUUCUCUAAAAUAUGGGGAGGAAAAAAAAGUACAUUAAUGAUAUGGAAUGGAUUUUUCUUUACAAUGCUCUUUUCCAAUUGAUAUGGAAUGGAAUUUUAAACAGAAAUGCAUAGAUGACAUGAAAUUUUCCAAUAAAGACUUGUGAAAAUCCACCAUAUUAAAUAAAAAACGAUAAAGACACAUAAUAAUUAACCUUUACAUAUAUAUAUAUAUAUAUAUAUCCGAAUAAUGAAGAAACCUAAAAAACUAUCUCCACACUUAUAAUUUUUGGGAAAAUAGAAGGAACAAAAAUAAAGUAGGAAAACAAUUUUGCCUUCAGGAGAGCUCCCUUGACGGGAAGUUUAACAGAAAGAACUUGUUCUUAUCUUGAAGAUGGCUAUAUAAGAAUGGAAAGACAGAGACGAAUCUUAACAGUAAUUUUGUUUAAUAGUAAUUUUAUUUUAUAAAAUAUAUCGUCCUAUAUCUUUUAUCAUUUAUCAAAUUAAUCUAUCAUCAAUGUGAUAGUAUUAAUGAAUAAAAUCUCACUUAAAAUCUUAACGGUUCAUUUGGGGUCGUUUUUAGCAAACUUAAAUGUGAUUUUGAAAGCUAAAAGGAUUUUGGUGUUUGAUAAAAAAUUUUGUAAAUCACUUUCGGCAAAAUCACCACAUUCAGCCAUCUUAUAACAAAUUUUUAAAAGAAUGGAAGUAGUAAUUUUUCAAAAUUCAAUUUUAAGAAUCACUUUAAUACUUAAUACAAUUUCAUAUAUAUCCUCAUAUAUUAUAAAGACACAAAAUUAUCUUAUUAAUUAGGAAAUAAAAUCAUUAACUUUAAAAAGAUUAUUAUUGUUUUCGAUUAUAUUGAGAUAAAAAAAAUAUAAAAUAUUUAUUUUAGUUAUCAAUUAUUAUAGGUACACAAUAAUUUUUUUUUAUACACAUGUUUAUAAAUGUUUAAAUACAUACGACAACUUUUAAAAUGUUUAACUGAUUCUCACAGUUGAUUAUUUUUACAAUACAGUUCACAGUAUCUUAAAACCUACAACAUUGCCAAACUCGUCCUUAAAUCUAUGAUAUAAACUUUUUCACAUAUAAUCUCACUUUUACAACAAAGAAAGUAAUAAGUUGAAAUGAGAUUAGUAUAAUCACAUAAUUUUGUCGCCAUUUUUUUUGAGGCAAUCCCUUAGUUACACAUUAGUGGUGUUUAUUUCAUUGUACGAAAUUUAAGUAAACCUAAAUUAACCAAUUCUAAACAUAGUUGAUUGUUUGAAUCUAAAUAAUAUAUUUGUCUUCUUGUCGAAUCUCUUAAAAUAUGUAUUAAAUUAUUUUUUCAACUUUAAAAAUCUGAAACCAACACCUCUACGUUUGUGUCUUUACAAAUUUAAAUAUUAAAUAAAUAAUAACUAUCUCAAAGAACAUUACUGAGAUGAUAUUUUAUCAUUACAUAAAUCAUGUUUAAGUGAAUGUAACCCUUUACUAGUCUGAAUUAAAACAUGUUAAUUAAUUUUGUAGUAGUCUAUGAUAUUUUAUAUGAAAAAUAUUCAUAAAAGAUGUUAAAUAAAACUAUGGUAAUUUGAAGACAAUAAAAAGAUAAAAAUAAUAUUAUUCUAUUUCUAUAUUAUUACAAGCUAUAAAGAUGAAUAAUUAUGUUAAUUAGUAAGUUUCAUUUAGGUAAGGAUGAAAAAAAUUAAUUAGAUAAUGAUAUUUUAGAGAAUAUGUUUUAAUGAUAUCAUUUAGACAUUUUAUAGUAAAAGAAUGGCUAAAAAGAAAAUUGGCACACCAAUUUAACAAUCAAAAUUUUUUAUUAAGUUAAAAAAAAACUUAACAACUUAACUAAGUGAAAUUAAGUCAUUAAAUAAAAAUACAAAUGACCCCAUUUUAUAAUAAAAAGUAGUACACAUUUAAUUCUAAAUUAUAUGAUAUUUAUUUAUUAAUUGAUGAGAUAAUAUAAUUAAUUCACUUAAAAUUCAUAAAAAAUUAUUAAUCAUUGAAUGAAUGACACACCGAACGCCACAUCAUUUUAAAUGACAUUUAGAAUAAAAAUUUAAAUGUUUGUGGCUGCACUUUAAUAAUUAAAAAGGGGUUAUAGUUUUACCUCAAGACAAUAAUUAAGACAACAUUAAUCUCAGUGCUAAUUAGGAGGUUAAACGCGUGUCAUUUAACUAAAAGACUUUUAAGAUGUCAUUUUACACGCGUAGGCGGUGCAAUUAAACUCCACUCCGAAUCCGCGUCACCGACCACUUCAGUUUUCCCUCGCUCCAAUUUUUGGUCAAACUUGCCUAACUCUUCUGACAUCCACUAUUCCUACUUUCAAAUUAACCAAUAAUCAAUUACCACGUGGGAAUACAAUCAAUUUAUUCGCCCACGCAAUUUUAAAGCAGUGUGCUUGAUAACAGAGUGAUAAAACUCAAUUCUAAGCUUCGGCCUGGGCAUUUUUACUGACAAGAUUCGCUCUUAAAAUCCGUCUCUCUCUCUCUCUAUAGACUCGUCAAAAAGAAUUUUAAAAAAUAGAGAAAACAGAGAAGCAAAAAUUAUAAAAGGAGAAAUACAAAAAGAAACAAAGCAAACUUAAUCUACUUCUUCUGCUAAUAUACACGCACACGAAAGUCGAAACACAAUUAACUCAAAAUAAUAAUAAAAAUAAAUAAAUUAAGCGGCAAGACCGGUGCCUAGUCUAGGGUUUCUUCCAGAUUCGACACACGAGAAGCUCGAGAUUCAAUUUCUCAUUCAAUCUUUUGUUGUUGAGGUAUUUUUUUUCUUUUUUUUUUUGUCUUGUUUUGCUGCUGUAUUCGUAUUGUUUUAUAUGUUUAAUUUGCGUUAUAUUUUGAUGCUUAUUGGCUUUACUUGUCAUUUUAUUGAAGUGUUAAACUGCUGUGCUUCAGAGUGAAUUCUAAGACUUAAAUUGGCUCUAAUUAUAGCUUUCCCCCCCUUAAUUUGGAGGUUGUGGUUUCUAUUUAUUUCAUUUUAAUUUGUGUACAUUAGAGUAUAGGGUUUAAGGCACUGUUUUUUUUCUUAAUUGGUGUUGUCAUCAAAAUCUGUAAAUUGAUUAGAUAUAUUUUUGCUGUGGAUUCAGUGCUCUUUUUUAACUUUUUUUUCCUGGAAUGGAAAGGUUUGUGGGCACAGUUCUUGUUGAGGGCCUUUGUAUUGGUAGUAAAAGAAAAGAAGUGAAAUGCCGGAGGAGGAACUGGUGGAGCUGAAGUUUCGAUUGUAUGAUGGAUCGGAUAUUGGUCCAUUCCGGUACUCACCAACCUCAACUGUGGCCAUGCUGAAAGAAAGAAUCUUUUCUGAUUGGCCAAAAGGUUAGGACUUCAACUUCUUGAUAGUUUGUGAAACUGUUUCAUGGAUUUUUUUUUUUUCACUCUGUUUGAUGAAAAUUUCGCAUGAUGGUCAUCGAUUAAUGUAUAUCCUCCUUUCAGCAUUUAUGACUGCAUAUUUUGUAAGAAAGAUACAACUCAAGAACUUUGGUAGUGAUUUGAUUGUUUAAUCUGAUUUGUGGCUUUGUUUCUUGAGCUCGUUCUAUUAGACUUAGACAAAACAUAUGGCCCAAAAGAGCAGAUUACCAGAACCGGAAGUCCAAUGAUGAAACAUCUGGAAAUUCUUGUUAUGCUAUCAAUCAACUUGCCUUAAAAGGAACAUGUGCAUGAUUUUUCUUGCGCAUCCAUGGCUUUCGAUUUUUCCUAGUGCCUGGAGAAAGGGAAAAUUAGUGACCAACUCUUUGUUUGUAUGUAUGUGCUGCCUCAAUGUUGAUUAUAUGAGUUAGAAGAAGUUAUUCUGUGACAGUUGAUGGGAUAAUUUUAUAACCCUCAGAUUUUGUAGUCUAAGAAUAUGAGUGUAUUUGUCCCCUAUUGUCUUUUAUAUAGAUGCAAAAUGAUGUUUCAGUCUUUUCAUUUGUAGAAGUACAUUUUUGCUUUACCAAAAGUGCAUGUGUCCAAGUAUUUUUGUUGUUUAUCCUUCAUUUUUGUAAUUACCGUGGACACGACAAUUUCUAAUUUAAUGUUCAUGAAUUCCUCUAGACCUUGUGCCAAAUUUAAUAUAUGCCCUGUUUGCAAGUAUAAUAUACAAUCCUAUUGGAAGCGAUACAGACCCUGAAAAUUCUAAUUUAGAUAGAAUAUAACUUUUUAUCUCGAUUUUGCUCUAUCUAGUGUGGCAUUCUUAAAAAGGAAAAUGCAUUUCAACGAUCAAUCUUUUUUGGUCUGGCUGUUUUCUUUUAUCCAUCUUCUGUUUGAGACAUCCAUGCUUCUCAUGAAUGCAAUUGUAUCUGGAUAUUGUUCUUUUGUUUUGGCUACACAUUUGUAACAGCAUCCUUUUUUCAACCAGAAUCUGUUUGAAAUUUAUUGAAAAUAAAUUUUAAGCUUCUUCUUCUUCUUUGUCAAAAUCUAAUGAUAAUUCUUCUUUAUUAAAAUCUAGUAAUAAAUUGUCCAAUCAGUCUAAGAUUUAUUAUCAUGUGAAGUGCUAUAGGUUUUGUUAAAACUGAAAAAUAAGCUUCUUGUCAGAUGUCUUAUUGCAAUAAGGAUGCCUCGUUUUCGUGUCAUCUUAUUGUUUGUUAUGAUGAAAUAGAUUCUUCAUUCUGAGAAGUCCUUGCUUCUGUUUUCGUAGAGUUUUAAGUAGUACUGGCUGUUUCUCUCUCUCUCUCUCUCUCUGUCUAUCUCUUUUUGACAAUAUUCUCAUAUUCUUUACAGAUAUAGAGUAUCGUGAUUCAUUGAACAUCCUAAUUAUCAGCCAGGUUGAUAGGAAGAUAAUGAAUGGGAAGAGUUUGGUUGUCUGCAUAGGGAUAAUUGAUCUUUUUUGUUGUAAUAGAUACUUGUGUACAGUGAGAAAGAUAACACAUAAAUGUAAAUUAAGCCCCUCCACAACCUUGACGUGAAUGGGAUUCAAAUUCUAGACCUCUUGAAUGAACCACCACCUCACAGACCAAAGGUUCCUUUGAAAUCCUGCCAAGUUUCUUAAAAUUAUUAGAUCUUUAGGAAAUGGAUUUAAAUGAAAAGUGUACUUGUAAUAAAUGUCUCCUUUCCAAUCAUAGGACUCUGUUUGAUUGUGCUAACAUUUCCUUCAUUGUUGUUCUAGUUCACAUCAAGAUGGGUCAGUUGAUUUGACUCAUAUAGCAUCUGAACCAGAACGAUCACAAAUUUAUGAGUAGGCCGGAUUCCUAGUUAAUUAUGUGUUUGUUGGUUGUGGGGCCAGAAAUAGUCACAACACUAUUUGUGGAUUUUUUGUGAAUAUCUUGGGGUGAUCAUGGCCCAAGCUUUGUUAUGUGCUGUUUGGCCAUGCAUCAUUGUCCGCAGGAAAACUUGUGGGUUUCGAAACACAGAUAUAAGAUAAUAUUAGAUCUUGGAUUGUGUUACUCGACAAUGCUGAUUGAAAGUUCUCAGUUUAGUAAUUAUGAUGUAAGUAUGCAUCGAAUUUUUCUCUGAAUUACUGUUAUCUUACACUUGACACUGCCAAGUGUUUCAGGAGCGUACUCCUAACAGUAUCUACAGGAAACCUGUUAUCUGGGUAAUUAUUGAUAUUUUCUGUAUUGUAAUUAUAUAUAGCUUUAUUUCCAAAGAAAAAUACAAUCAGUCACCGCUGUUUAUGAUCGGUCAUUGCUGUUUCUCCUGUAUAUUAUAUCUCCAUUACUUUGGCAUACACAAUCACAUUUCUGAUUUUUCUGCUACUUUAGCUGUGAAUUACCUUACUCUGUCAAGCAAGAGUGAGAUAAUGGAAUGUGGAGUUAUAGUCAUAUGGACUUCUACUUAUCCUCAUUUCUGGUUGGUUGAUAUUUAUUUAGUAAUAACUGUUCUAAAUUUUAUAUUUUUAUUAGAUAAAAAAAUUGUACCCAAGACGGCCAAUGACAUCAAACUGAUUAGUGCUGGAAAAAUUUUGGAAAACAACAAGACUGUUGGCCAAUGUAAAGUACCAUUUGGUGAGCUUCCAAAAGGGACCAUCACAAUGCAUGUUGUUGUGCAGCCACCAUUAACAAAAGCAAAAACAGGUAACUUUCAUGUGCUUUGUGCAAACAUAGAGCAAGAGCCAUUUCAUAUUUCAAUCAUGAGUUUGUGACAUGAGAUAUCGCAACUUCACUGUUACUUUUUCUUAUGUUUUUGCUGGAAGUUACAAUUUUUGUUUGUUUACCUUGACAGAGAAGAAGCUGGAUGAACCACAAAAGAAAAAUUUUUGCUCAUGUUCCAUAUUGUAAUAGAGUUGGUGUUGAUAUAAGAAGUUCAAGCUUUUGAGAUCCCAUGGGGAUCUGCUAGGAUCUCGUUGGCCACGGAAAUGGAUAGCUGGAAAGAAAAAUAAUUUGUGAAACAGUGUCAUCCUAGCUGGGUAGGUACGUGUUUGUUGGAGGGCAUUCCUAUGUAACUCUGUGCAUGAUGGCAAUGAUGUAUUUGUGUUCUAUAAAAUGGCUUUUUGAUGCCUUUGUAGCUGCAAUUAGUUAUUAUUAUUAUUGUUAUUAUUAUUAUUAUUAUUAUUAUUUUGUUUUGUCAAUUUUAUACGUGUUUGAUAUUGAAGGAUCCGUGUAUGUUUCUGCUGAUGCUAUUAUUUGACAUUGUCAUUCUCGAAGUUGUACAAGGUUUUGGGAAUAUCCAUGGCGCUGGUAAUAUUGUUUGUUGGAUUGAAGUUGAGGGUUGUAUGGUUGUGAAGUUACACAUGUGUUUUACAAAGUGCAAGUUACUUGUUUUUGGUGCCUUGAUGAAGGCACACUAUUGAUGCGGUAACUUGGCCAUAAUGUCUUGUUAUUUCUGAGAUUGAGCUUAAUUUUAUAACUUUCGGUACAUCAGUUUUUAGAGGGCUUUGUAUUUCUCUUAAUUAGAAUAACUUAUAAAGGUUCUCGGAUAAAAGAGUAUUUGAGUAUUUCUCUUAGUUUGAAUAAGUUAUAAAGGUUCUCAGGUAAAAGAGUAUUUGAGUUAAAUUCGCCACUUUCAAAAUAUAAAUAUUGUUCGGUAUCCAUUUUUUAAAGUGCUUUAAAUUUAUUUAUCAUGAGGUACAACUAUUAUUACGACUAUUAACUUGAUGUAGGUUUCAUUAUUAUAUAACUUAGCCAAUCACAAUAUAUAGAAGUUAUUAAGGGGUUAUUAUCAUUUCACUACAAGAAUUGUAAAAUAUGAAAUGAUUAUAAGAAGUAUGGUUCUUUGUUAUUUUACUACUAUAUAAAAUUUUUCAUUGUAUUAUUCUUUCAUUAGAAUUGUUAGUUGACUAGUAAAAUACUAAUUUUAUCCUUUAUAAUAAAAUACUCAAAUAAAGGUAUCAAAUAAUGACAUAAAAUUAUUGUUAUGUCCUUAAAUUGUUAAAUAGCAUUUUUAACCAUGACUUUAUGACUAACCUUGAAUUUAUUAUAGCUAUAAAAGUAAUUAAUUGACAUAAAUGUACCUACAUAUUUUUUGUCGAAAAAAAUUGCAAUCUAUUCUAAAAAAGAAAACACUUAAAUAUGGAAGUAUUGAUUUUGUAGAUAAAGCUUUAAGUAUUUUUGUUGUUUUAAGAAUAGACUGUGUGUCCUUUUUAACAAAAAUAUCUAUGGGUAUUUUUUAUCAAUUUGUUACUUUUAUACUUAUGACAAAUUUAGGGCUAUUCAUAAAUUCAUGGUUAAAAAUAUUAUUUAACAAUUUAAGGGCAUAACAAUAAUUUUAUGUAUAUUAUUUGAUACAUGUUUUUGUGUAUUUUACCAUAAAUGAUAAAAUUUUUAUUUUAUUAAUCAAUUAACUGGUUAACUAAUGAUCCUAAUGGAAAAGUAGCAAAAUGAAAGGUUUGCAAAGUUAGAGUAGUAAAAUGAUAGGAAACAAUAUUUCUGUAGUCAUUUGAUAUUUUACAAUUUUUGAAGUAUUGAGCAAUAAUAACCAUUAUUAAAAUAUACAAUAAGUGGUUUACUUAAAAUAGUUUGUAAAUUUAUAUCUAAUUAAGAUGAGAGCUACUUACACUUAAAAAUUAUUUACAAGAGAGAAUAUGUUUUAUCCUUCCCAUGAUUGCGAGGGAGUCUUCACGAAUCGCCUUCUUGCAGUGACCUAGGUGGCUAGUAAUGAAUUUAAGGCGGCGUUUGUUUUUAUGUCUGAAGUCCUAAUUUGACUUAAUUUAAGAUGUUUUGAUAUUUUACCUUGUUUGUUUUUGUAUCUAAGUCUUUUUGUAAGAGUUUUUUUUAUCCAAAUGAAAGAAAAAAAAAAUCAAAUUUCUGAACUUUUAUUUGAAUGAUAAAAUGUCUGAAUGGAAAAUCAAUUUUUUUUUCUCACAAAUACCAUUUUUUUUUAAAAACACAAAUACCAUUAUUAAAUGUACUUAUUCCCCACCUAACCAUUAGAUGUCAUAUUAAAAUUUUCCUUAAUCUCAAAUUUUACUUGUUAUUAAGUACUUAACAUAUAUUCAAUUUGAACUUUAAUUUUUUUUUUAUUAUUAGAUCACAACUUUUUUAUGUAUAAAUAUUAUGUUAAAUUGUAAAAGAUAAUGUUAUCAAAAUUAUUCUUCAUAAAUUAUAUAUCAAAUACUUACCUUACAAAUAUUUAUAACAUAUAAAAACCAUUUUAUUAGAAAAUAAUGUAAAUAUAUACCUAUUUAAACUUCAAGUAUAUAUAAUAGUUUCAAGGUCAUAAGUGUAAAAAUAUUAGGUUUAAGAUAUUUUGAGUUUAUAAAAAUAAACAACUUAUUAUUUACAUUCAGAUGUCAAAAAAUUAAAAACAAAUACAUUAUCCUGAUAUAUUCAUUCAGACCUUUUUAUACUUUAAUAAUAUAUUCAAACCCAUUCAAAUUUCAGAUUAAAAAAAAAUCACAACAUAAGAAUAUUUAUUUAUUUAUUUUAAAAAAACUGUUAGUUGAUUUAGAUGCUCUCUUAGGCAUUUUGUCCCCUAGUCUCCUAAUCUUUCAAAGAUCCAUUAACAUGUGCCAUUAAUUAAAUUAAAUUUCUAAGAUUUUGUUUUAAUUAAAUUUUACCUAAAUAGACAUCCAAACUUAUGUGUGGCUCUUGUCAAUUUUUUUUAAAAGUAAAUUCUUUCCCUUUCAAAACAAAUCCCAGUUAUAAAAAUACAGCAGCCAAAUUUUUUUUUUCUUUUUAAGGGAAAGAAGAAUCGAAGACCUUAAUUCUCCCUGUUGACUCAAGUAUUUCUUCAAAAAACCGAAUAAAAAAUCAUAUCAACUUGACUUUUGUUAUUGUUAUUUUGUUCUAAAUAAAACUUAUUAAAAAAACCCGAGAAAACUUAAAUGCGAAUUUGGGAAUUUUCAUCUUCCAAUUUGGUCGAUGCAAAUCUUGAUGGUUGUUGAUGAGUUAUAAUGUGAACUCGUAUUGGGAAGAGCCGCGACUGGGAUCAAAUUUAGUAAUCAUGGCAGCUCCUUUGAGAGGGGAAAGAAUUUAUUGGAAAAAAAUUUGACAAGAGUGACACGUAUGUUUGGAUGUUUAUUUAGGUAAAAAUUAAUUAAAAUAAAAUUUUAGUUAUUUAAUUUUAUUAAUGACACAUGUCAAUAAAUCUUUGAAAACUUUGGAGAAGUAGAAGAGAAAAUGUCUACGAAAAGAUCUGGAUUGUUAAAUAUUUUCUCCUUGAGUUUGAUUUUUGAAAACCAUUUCAAGCUAGACACCAUCAAAUAUGAUAUGGCCCUAAACGUUAUUAAGAAAUACUACCUUCAUUUUCAAAAAUAAUUUCUAAAAAUGCCAUUUAAAAUAAAUAAUCCCCAUAGGGAUCGUAAUCCUAUACUAAUUUUUACCUAUCAAUUCAAUGAUAUAUGACCUGGGCUUAUCUUAUCAAAGAGGUCUAUGGCAUUAAGUCAUACAUGCAUUCUCAUCAUCGAUCAAGCGGUCAUUAUCAAAAAUUAAUUAUUUAAAUUUCAAAAAAAAGAAUAUCUGAUGAACAAUUGUAAAACUUCUUGUCUUGCCACCAAUUUCUUUUUUAUUUUUUAGAAGCCUUUUUUUGGAUACUCUUUUUUUUUUUUAAUUUGAAGCCUGAAGCCAGUGGUUACGACAUAAGGACGGGAAGGGGAAUCAGGUCAGUGUGUGAUAGAAUCUAAAUUCGAUAUAAUUAAUUAAUUGACCUUAAUGAUAUAUCCUAAGGUCACUUUCUGCAAAAUCAAACAAUUUAUCCUUUACGGCUUUCCCGUUUUCCAUUUUUAGCAUUCAUCUCGUGGUUUUUGCAUGGCAUUAUUACCUACACAUAACAAAUUAACAUAAAAAUUUCUAAUAAACACGAGCCUAAUUAAUAAUUAAGCAAAAUAACCAACAAGCGCAUAGAUCAAUUAGCAUGGGCUGUUCUAUCUUAACCAAAGUCCUCAGUUCGAGGCUUUGGAAUACAGUUACGUUAAAUAUUUGUUGGAAGAGUUUUACUGCCCUAGUGGUUCUACCCGGCUUGAAUAUGAAUUAGUCGGAGUCCAAUGUAGUCUUCGGAUACCAGAUGAUUUAAUACACUGAAAAUAAAAAAUUAAGCAAAAGUACACGUACGUGAAAAAUAGAGAAUUGCUCAUCAUCAUCAUCAGCAUCGCCAUGCAGAAGCAGCAAGAAGUGCUCUAUCUUGCCACCCCAAAAGCAAGCAACCAUUAUCUUCAGUCAAGCGAUAGCCAUCACAUGAAUAUAAUCCAAGCAAUAUCUUCGAUUGAGUCACAGCAUUUGCACUCAAUGGCACCCCUCUGAAUCCUUUCCCUUCCAUUAUCUUUCUCCAUUUCUCAAGCCUCUCGUGCCUCGCCGUUCUCUCCCCCCCUUCACAUGCCACUAUGUUUCUUAUCUCCGGUGCAAAUAUGUACUGCUCCACUUUUGCUCUCUGUGCUGAAUCAGGAGGAAACGUUGCGUCUAAUGAGUCGAAAAUUGCAGAGUAAUAGUGCAAUGCCUCGAGGAACCGGCCUAAGAAGUAUGGUCCGUUAUGGCUUGCUUCUUGUUCGACUAUGGUUACGAUAUUUGGUGCUUGGUCACGGAUCAUUGCUAGUAAAUUUCCUAGGCAGUUACUGGGGACACGGUGGAGGCGGUUAACGGCGUUAACGGCAAGAGCCUCGCCUACACGUCUGUUGAACAUGUGUGGCUUCAGGUCUUCGAGUUGUUCACCUACUGGGUGGAACUCAAACGGUACAUGGAGUGAGUGGGCAAGUUCUGUUAAGCAACGUCCAGUUUCCUUCGCGGAUUCUAUAGUAGCCCCGACUCCGGUUAUUCGGAGAAAUGGAGCGCCUCCGGGUCGAGCAGCUAGGGCCUGCAUGAAGGCUGGCCAUUGGUAGCCCUGGAGGAUGUCUAGGUCGAUGACAUGGACACGUUCUUCGGCUUCAAAGGCCUCAAAUAUUGCUUGAUUGGCGGUGAAAUGAGCGAACUUAACGUACGGGCAAGCUUGGUAAACGAUUUGGUAAAUCUUUAGGACCUCUAAAGAGUUUGGUGGGAAAGGAGAGAAGGGUGUUGGAGUAGAAGUGCUUGGUUUUGUGGUUAGGGUUGCUGCAAGUCUUGCACUUAGGGCUUCAGUGAAGCAGGAAGCAACUCGUUGCAUGGAGUCGCCGAGAGGCGAGACUACUCGAUUGAGGUGAUGCAAGUAUCUUCUUGCUAACAUGAAGUCCUCUUUAGCCACCGCUUCAGCACAGGCAAGAAGGAGAUGCACCAACUGAAGCCCGCUAUCUUGUUCCUAAAGAAACAAAUAAAGAUAGCAAUAAAAUAAAUAAAAAUUAAAAACAAAGUGUCACAUAUGAAAAUGCUUAAGUCAUAAGUGUGGACUUUCACACUUUAUAAAAUUUGGACUGAUUUCUUUAUACUGUGUAAAGAGCCUGUACUGUACUAAAAAUAUUUUUACAUCAAUAUAAAUAUGAGUUGUAUUUUUACAUUAUUUGCACUUUGUAAAAUGCGGAUAUCUGCACUUAAACAUGACUUUUACUAUAUAUAUAUAUAUUUUCUUAUACAUAUUGAGAAACAGUUUUGCACAUGAAAAAAAUAUGUACAAACAGCUAAUAGAACAUGUAUGUGUGUGUGUGUGUGUGUGUAUAUAUAUAAUUUUCUUAUACAUAUUGAGAAAUGCUUUUGCACAUCAAAAAUAUGUACAAACAGCUAAUGGAAUUAUGACAUGUAUACAAAAAACGUACAUAUAUAGACAAGGACAGAAAAGUUUUUAACCUGCUCAGAACUGAUUGGGAGAGGGACCAUCAAGCUGUGGUUAAGAUUCUGCUGCUGUUGUUGCUGUGCUUGCAGCUGCUGCUGUUGUGUUUGUUGCCUCUCCUGCAGUUGCUCUUGUUGCAGUUGUUGUGAUAAUGGUGCAGCUGCUAUUGAUCCCAUUUGAUAAAUAUCAUUGUCAUGCUGAGAAGCUCCAGCCGUUGAUGAUGAUUCACUCACUGGUCCACUAAACCUCGACGGAUUAUUAUUUGUCAUUGGUAAGCAUUCAAGCGUUGCUGGAACCGUCGUAGGCAUAUCAAUUAGUUGAGGUGAGCUUCCACCACCACCACCACCACCACAUAUCUUCAUAGGCGAAAACAUCCCGUAUCCAUCCUUUUGAUAAUCCUCCAAGAAAUCUUCAAUAGCCGUCGUCAAAGCAAGAUUCUCCGGCUGCAUAUACUGGUUGCCUGGAGAGUUAAAUACUUUAUGAAGCGGGCUCUGCCCUUUUGCUCUGAGGCUACUGCUGAAUGCUCCAACCUGAGCCGAAAAGCGAGGAGGGGAACAUCCUGAAAGGCUCUGUCCUUGCAUUGAUUGUGCAUAGUUGUAGUUGUAAUUAUUAUUGUAAGCUGAAGUUCGUGGAGAAGGCAAGUUUCUCACCGGAGAUGAGAUCAUGAAGUCACCGUCUAAGUGAUCGGAGAAGAAGGUUUCCCAUAUUGAACAAUCCGGUGAUUGCACUUCGACGUCGCCAUCUAUUUCAAACUUGAGUGGUGGGAAGUUGAGGCUUGGUGGUGUUAGGCUACUUGGCUGCUCCAAGUCAGAAGAUUGAGGAGUUCUUUUUGUCUCUGAAAUUGAUGACUCAUUUGGAGAAGUUGGAUGGAUUUUAAUGCUUGAUGAUGAGUUCUCACUUUUAAGAGUACCCACAGUUCCACACACUGAAUUAAUCAUCUUUUCCUCUUGGUAUUCUAAGCUCAAAAUCUAAAUAUUCAAAACCCACAAACCCGAAUCAAGAUAUAUGGUUUUACAAAUUAAGAAGUGUUGAUUUUGAUAAAAAAUAAUAUGGGUGUUUCAAUAUUUGCUAGCUAGCUUUUACUAAAAGAGCUAGAGAAUGUGCAUCGAUCUCUCUCUUUUUAUUUGAGUACAUUAGCAAAGGACUGUGUCACAUUGUCCAGAAUGGCUUUAGAAAAUGAAAGAGAUGAAUUGACAAGUUUGAAAUCUAAUAGGCAUAUGAUUGGAGGUUAGUGAUUUUAUUCACCUCCAAUUUAUCACCUCUACAAUGUAAGUUGUAUUCUAGAGGUGUUAAUUUGUCAUCUUUACUCUUUAGCUGCCAAUUUUAACUCUCUGUUACACGGCUUUGGAAGGCCUGUGAUUGCACUAAAUGACAGUUUAUUGAAUGGGGUCCACUUUCCUAGAGCCGGCCCAUGCUGAAAAUAAUUUAGAUGGAAUAUUUGGUCUUUUUCUUGGUUUAUAAUAUUAGUGAUUAUCGUUGCCUUCGUAUCCAAGACCGACGAUUGGUUAAUAAAGAAUAAUACAGGGGAGAAAAUUAUGAAGGAAAUUGUUCUAAAUGAGAAAGGACAGAAAAGGGACCCAUCUAAAAUGUCAAUUGUGAAAAGGACUUCAACAAGGCAGAUUGACAUUAGAGAAACAAUCGAUUUUGCAUUAACAAGAAGACCACCGUAUAUUACCUUAUUUUGUGGUCAAUUGCUUUGGCAUUUUUGCUCAUUCUGAAUUACUCCUUUUAAGUUAAAUUACUUUUGGUGAGAAAACAAAUUGAAGAAUGUAAAUCGGCUAACCACAAAGAUGUGUCUUCGAGGAAAACUUCUUGAGUGUUCUUGGAGGUUUUUUUUUUUUUUUUUUUUUUUAUCUCAUUCACUUAUUAUCACAAGUAUGUUUCAAUUAAUCAUAAUGAAAUGUAUAUAUACGUGACAAAUAAUGAAUAAAUAAGAAUCAAUAUUCCAAGAGCAUCAAAAACCUUCUCGUCUUCAAAAUAAAUCAAUGUACAUGCAUGAAAUCUUAACAUAAGCCUAAUUAUUAUCAUUAUUUUUAACAAAAAAUUGUUGGUAUUUCUGUGUCAACAACCUUCCUUAAAGAGAUGGGGCGGCAUGUGACUUCGGAGCUUGAUAGUCCAGCCCGUCCCCUCAGGCUUGCCUACAACACGUACCGAUGUGGGACUCUAUGCUGCCAUGUAAUACAGUCCCCAACUGCCAACUAUAGGCUUUUGGCUAUUCUCCCUUCAAUAAAAUGAUCAUAAAUUUUGUAUUGGUUCGAUCAUCUCCAACGCAAUAAUAUAUAUAAGAGUUAAAUUCAAAACACAAUAGUGAUCUUCUCAUAAUUUCUCUUGUGAUUAAAUCAUCCCUUCUUAUUAUAAAGCUAAUAUUCUUAAUUAUCUAAGUUUUAUCAUCAUCUUUCAAAAUGGUAGUCCCAAUGAAAUUAUACAACAAUAAAUAAUAUCCCAUCUUAUUGUUUCUCCGAAGAGAGUGAGGUAAUUAAGAGGAAAGAGACGAGAAAGUGAUAAAGGAAAAAGAAGAAGAAGAAGAAGAAGAAGAAGACAAGAAAGAAGACAUAGGCGAGAUCGUCGGACUUGGCGUCGGUGGCGCCGCCCUACUCCUUGGAUUUGCCAAAGGAAUGAAGCUCUUGUCUCUCUUAAUUAGUCGGCAUUCAUUUUAAUUAUCGUUUAGUUACUAACUAAUUAUUAAAUAAAGCCAUGCACACGUGCCAUGCAUCUACCUUCAUUCAAAUCAUUUCUCACGAUCAAAUUAAUUAAUCUUGCCCCGUUGCAUGGAAACAUUUCACAUUUCUUCACAAGGACGGAAUGAAACUACUUUAAUCUUUAAUUAAUCUUCUACAUGAGUCCACUCACAACCAUCUAAUUUCGCUUAAUUUCUCUUCUUCUGUUUGUCAGUACUUGAAUGAUCCUGCAUGGAAACUUAAUGCUUUCAGCAUUGUCAUCGUAUUGGUAUUAAUUCUGUAUUCUUGUACGUGUUGAUUAUCCUUAAGAACGUCACAAAACUAUACUUUUUACGCUUGCUUCUGUGUUUGCAUGUACAACUGUCAUAUGUAAACAUUAUAAUCAUGUUAUAUUUACAAAGUUGAGUGGCAAAAUUUAUAUCGUUUAAAUAAAAUUCAGAGUCAAAAUUUAUAUGUUAAAUGGUAUGCCAUAAAAACCAAGUCUAGCUAGGGCCAGAUUGCUUAUGUAUCACGCUAUGAUUUGUUUUUGACUUUUGAGGGAAUUGCUUAAUCAUUAUGCAGUGGGUAUACAGGAUCAUUAAUUAUCAUUAGAGUAACUAAAAGUUGAGAUUCGUCGAUCAAUCAUUCGUAUAAUUAAUUGUCGCCGUAAAACAUGCUUUCCCAUGAGAUCUUAUUCUGUAUUUGCAACUUCAGGACCAAGUCUGUAUUAACUUUUCUCUUGGCAACCUAAUGAAUGAUCAAUUCAAGAAAUAUUAAAUUGGAGCUAAUUAAUUUUGCAAGUAGUUGUAACAACUUUCUGAAUGCGAUCACAUUAAUUGAAGAAAAAUCUUACAUGAAAACGACACUUUGUGACCAAUUAAGUUUGUUUUAUAGCUUGUUUUCAAUUCAUAAAACGUAUUAAUACUAUUGGCUUUAUUACCAAAUCCAGCUAUCUCUCUUACACAAGAUUAAUGGGCACCACGAAGUAGUGAAAGCUCCAUUCAGAUGGGAGCAAGCACCGAGCAUGGGGCCUUCAGGGUUCAGUGCUACAUUUUUAUGAUAUUUGUUUGUACUAUUUGUAGCCGAAAUCGUAGCGGGGUCAAAGAUAUGAUUAUACAUUGUAAUACUACCAGGGAAAAUUUGUUUGACCAAGUUAUGAAUCUCUUACUCCCGGCAGAAAGAGUAAUGAACCUGACAGUUUCUGUUUGUUCUCAACUUUGAUUAUUUAUUUGCAAUUUCUUCAGUAGUACAAACAGAAAAUGCCUUUUUUCAAUUUAUUUUCCAGCCUUGCAUAUCGUGAACUUCAAGGAUGGUUUCUUCUUUAGAAUAUCAAAAUGUUUCCACGAUAUGAUCAAAGGUAUACUGGUGUUUACGGUUAGGAAUUUGCUGGGAUUAGAAACUAGAUCAAUUCAAUUACGACACAUCUCACAUUUCUGUUCCCAUAUUAAUUAAGAUAUAUCUUUUUCACGAGAAGAUAUAUAUAUAUCAACUUUAUCUAUAUUUGUGAGAGAAAUGUCCACUCCUACCCAAUUAUGAAAAGGAAAUAGAACGUGGGCCCUCAAAUGCUUCAAUGACGGUUGACAAAUGAAAAUCCUAAACGGAAAAAAGGUCUGUAAAUUACAAUUUCAAAUUUUGUUAAGAUUAAGCACAGAAAAUUAAGGCAUCAUUGUCAAUUAAAUUGUAGAGAUUACAAAAUGAAGCAGGUUUGAGAUUAAGAUUUGGAUUCAAUGCUGAUAUUUUUAUAAGAUUGUGGUUUUCUUUUGCUGGAAAGGCAAUUCAUUGAACACGGCAAGAGUAUAAUAAAAUAAACGUAUAACUUGCAAAAUUUCUUUUGGUUUAGCUGUUAAUUCAAAAUGCUAGCCUACAUAACAUAUGUAUUUAUGUCUAAUAUAUGAAUCUUUUUUUUUUUUAGUGAUAGCACUAAUUAGUCAUAGUUUUAAGAUGGUCUUUUAGAUAUUAUCUUAAAUUUUUUGAGUUGUUUUAUUAUAAUCGAAGGAGCAAUUUUAUAUAUGUAAGGUUAUGAGGAAAUGUAUACAUGUUUAAAAAAAAAAAAAGAAUUGAGGGAUAAUCAAUCAUGUCAAUGACCAAUUUGAACAUUGGGUCUCCCCAUGAACACGCUGGGAUGCACGUAGCUGGUAGUGUGGAUGUUUUGGGUGAACCGUUGUGCUCGUUUAAAUUUGAUGGAAAAAAAUAAAAGGAAUUCAAAAAGCCAUAACUUUUCUUAAGUAGCAGAAUAAUUAAGUGUUACGUUGAUGGUCAAAAAUAAAUUACAAACGGAAAUCCUUAUCUGAUUACAAAUAAAUGCUCUUUUCUAAUGAGUUGUUCAAUAUUCUUAUUUGAUCUUAAUGAAGAAGAGAAGAAGAUGAAGAUUUACUCUCCGCAAACACUUUCUCUGCAUUAUUAUAUUUUCUAGUAGUUAUAACCAAAGUGGGAAGUUGAUAUUAUAUCUUCCUUCUUAACUUCCAAACCGCACUUGGUAACUGUAAAAGCAGUUACCAAGUACAGGUCGGGUGGGGUUGUUGGGAAAAUAUGUUCUUUAAAAGCAUAUGUGUUUAUUUAAUUGUAAUAAAUAAUUUUUCUAAUUAAUAAAAUAAAUGAGGUAUUUUAUUCAAAUAUCUUAAUUGCAUUAAUAUUUGUAUUAAAGUCCAUUUAAUCAUAUUAUAUGUAUUUAUGUGAUCACCAUGUGGAUUCACAGAAGACAUAAAUACAAGUUAUCUUAUGAUUAAAUAAAUUUAGUUCGCAGUUGAUAAAUAAAGUUAGGCACUUUAUUUAGGUAUAGACUGUAAUAAAUUCAUUGAAUGAUUUGUCUUAAUCAUGUAUGAAUUUAUUGAUGUAGUACGACUACAUUGAACAAGAUCACAUAUGAGAUUUAAUUAACUUUGUAAUAACUGUCAGACUUAUUAAAUCUCAUAGGCGUUGAUUUUACUGUAAUCUCAAUCUUGAGUUAAUUAUGAUUUCAUGAUUGUGAUUGUUAUUUCAUUUGAGUUACCAAUGGGCACGACACAUCCUUGUGGUCAAGAUUACCCGGUAUCUUGGUGGGAGCAAUUAUGAGUAUUGGAGUUAUGGAUUAACAAUAUAGAAUUUGUACAACACAUCUCUUGAUAGGUUUUCGGUACUUGAUCAUAGAAUUCUCUGGCCAAAGUGUGUCAACAUAUUUAGUAUGUUGAAAAUGAUCAUUAGAGAAAACCAGUAAGGAUCAAGGAAUAAGAUGUUAUUAAAUUGAUUGGACAGUUGAGAUAUCAAUUUAAUUAACGAUGUGAUACAAAGGAUUGUGCAGUAAAGAAAUCAAUAUGGCUUGAGACGAAUUAUUAUUCGAGCAUACAAUUAUGGAAGUCAGUUCCAAUCUUUUAGUGGAGUAGAUUUGGAAUUAAAUAAUUGGGCUAGUUUAAUUACAUGCCUAAUUAUUGUAGCCACUAUUGUAUGUUCCCAAAUGAUCCCCGGGUUAACUCAUUUAAUUGACUGCACCACUACUGGACUAAUAAGUAAGAUAACUAGUUAUUUGGGUCAAAAGCCUAAAUAUAUCAUUUAGUGGGAGGCUCCAUUUAAUUAGCUUUUAUAUAAGGGGCCUUAUGUUAUUUUACAAGGUGGGCCCCCUAUUGAAAAAGCAAAAUAACGUGAGUUUUAUUCAGGGCAUUAUUUGGAGCAUAGGGUUUUCACUAAAGGGUGAUAUAAAAGGCUUAUUUUUCCCUAAAGAAAAACAGAGAAGCCACUUUAUACAGAUCAGAGAAUAAGAUUUUUCUCUCGAUUGUUGAGAGAAAAAUUUUCUCGUGCUAGUUGCUUUGGUAGUGAUAAAGGCGCCCACACGUCAAGUGCAGAUUGAACCUGAGUCAUAAACUGGAAGAUCAUUGGAGACAGUUCGUGAUCUAACAAGCGUGGUGGUGACGGAUCGUGAUUUAACAGGAGUGGUGGUGGCGGAUCGUGAUCUAGGAGCCUAAAUCACUUCAGCGGAAAAAGACAACACAGAUUUUCAAGGUACGAUUUCUAGAAUACAAAUUCUUAUAUAUUAUAUGAGAGCGAUCUUCAAAAGGUUUUAUAAAAAUUUAAAACCUAAUUUUUUCCCAACAGGGGUCGGCUCAUCAUGGGCAACCCGCCCAUCUAACAUCUCCCACUCGCAUAGGAUGGGACGACGUCGAAGCAGUAGAGCAGUGGACAAAGAAACAAUGAAAAACCACAUAUCUUUAAUCAUAUAGGUAAGUAUACCGUGUGACAAUGAACAUAUUCAAAGACCCAUUGGAGGAGCCAAAAAAUAUAUCUCAAUUGCUAACCUAGGCAAGAUAUAUCUCAAUUGCAAUCGUAUGCAAGAGAAUUUCAAUAUAUGUUUAUUGUAUCCCAGAUUUAAUUCAUUGUAAUAUUGAAGCAUAAUAAACCUCUUCAGUAUGCCAAAAUUGUGCAAUCUUUUUAUGUAUUCACAAUUGUAAUAUACCACAUGUAUUAUACAAUUGGUCGACCAGUGGAUCACAUAAAAGGAAAAAAUUAAAUAUUUAUAUCACACUCAUGUUCAUCAAUCCAGAAUAAUCACUUUCCUAGUCAUGUUUCAUACACUGAAUCAUGUCAAGGUCAGAGAUAACAUGCUAAAGUAGCAGACAUCAUUAUGAGAUCUCAAAAACGUAGUUGAUAGUCAUAAUGAUACUAGGAUUAACUUAUAGAAAGUCAUAUGGAACUUACACAAUGAGGAAGAAGAGAAAUUCUCUAAUUUUCUAUUUUGGUCAUUAAGCAAGUGUGGUAUGAUACAAGCGUUGCAGUGAAUCUUCCAUUUAGGGCAUUUGUCUCAUUAAUUCAAUUCAUUGUACAUAUUUUAGUCUAGUCGCUCUUCUACAAUGUCUGACCUGAGUUCUUAAACUGAACGCUCCUUUAGUGUUAAAAUAAGCUCUCACAUAUUGUUUUUAUCAAGUCUCUAUAAUGGUAGGGUACAUCAUAGUUGAUCUACGAGAAAUAUUGUUUAAGACCUCAUUUUGAUUCUAAUCAAGGCAACAAAAUUUGUAGAAUAAUCCUUUUUAUUGGGCUCUUAAACAAAUAUAUUGUUUCAUUAUUCUACUUGUCUCAUCUUAGCUUGUUCCCAGAGCAAUUGAGGCAAUUGCUCGUGUAAGAAAGUUGGUAAUGACCUGAUGACAUACUCUCAUAUGUGUGUAAUUAGGCCUUUUAUAAAAUAAAUUGAAAUAAGAGAACUUUAAACAUCAUUGCAUUUCAAAAUAAUUUAUGUAACAAAGAUGUUCAUAACAAAUAAAUACAUCUUAACAAAGUAAAAUUACAAUCUACAUAGCCCUAAUGAUUUAGCAUGAUAGGUGAAUACAUCCCUCGUUAUAGCUUUGGUAAGUGGAUCAACUAUCAUGCUAUGCGUAGAUAUAUAUUGUAUGACUACUUUUUUUUUCGCCAAAAUAUCUCUAAUGAAAUUGUAUUUAGUCUCAAUGUGUUCUGAUUUGCUGUGUUAUUUGACGUCCUUAGAGAAAGAGAUAGCAGCUUGACUGUUACAGUAAACAGUUAUUGGACUAGUGUUAGUGUAUAAAUACUAAUGCUAUUGGUGUCAAUGUGCAAGUGUACACAAUAAGUAAUAAAGUGAUGAGUAUUCAAGAUCGUCUCCACAUAGAUUGAUGUUAUUAGACUUGCUACAACAAUCUUAACAGUGUAGAUUUUGUGUCUAAAUUAAGAUAAACAAUUGAUGAAACUAAUUUACUAAUUAAAAUAAAAACACAAUAAAUAAAAUGCAACAAAGUAGAUUAUCACGUCAAACUCAAGGAUAAAAACAAUGAGAAUAUAGAGUAGUUGAGUGAAUAAACUCUCUUAAUGGUCUUGACUAUUUUCUAAUAGUUGGCUCGGUUGCUGCAGUAUUUGCUACAACACUGGGCAGAAUCCUUAUGUAUCCUCAGCCGUCGCAUGUUGGAUAUCUUAUAUCUAUAUGCAACCUAACAGUGAUAAGUUGCUAUGCCAAUAUAAGAUAUAGCAUUACACGCUUAGGUUCUAUUUACCAUACAAGGUGAAUCCUUAUGUCUAGUUCAUCACUAAUCUUAAAUCAUGUAUGGCCUUUUUGGGACUCAAGUAAAACUCAAUCCAGGAAACUCAAUUUAAGAUCAAGUAUUGUUCUGAUAUGUUCCACUAAGAUAGGCCCUUUUGCGGCUCUUCAUUAGCUAGUAUCAUUAAAUGGGUGAUCAACCGAAAUAACGAAUAAAAUAAAUACUAUCAAAACAAACUGCUACAACAAACAUGCAGCAACACAUAUUUCUAGUCAAUAAACCAUCAAGAUUGUUUAUCACUCAACUACAAAUAAAUUUAGUUCAUGGUUUGUAAAAGAAAAAUAAAAAACAAAGUUUCAGUCAUGAAACACAUCCCCAUAAAUAAAUAGAAAACGAGAAAGCAAGAGAAGAAUAAGAAUGAUUGAGCUCCCAAUUGAUUUCUCCAAAUUCUCCUCUUGUGCAGCCGUUAAUCUAUCUCUUGAAUCUUGUUUUUCUUUUGUUUAUUUGUGUUUUUCUCCUUGGGUGACGGCUCUCUCUAUGCCUUAUGAUGUGUGCUUCUUUUAUAAUUGAAAAUUAGGGUAAACGGAAGCCUAGGUCGCACAAAAGUCAGAUUAGGAAACUGCAGAUCGCAAUUCUGCAAGUAUCCCGCGCGGAAUUGUUCUAGGAUUGCUAUAGCAACGGUGACAGCAACUGCACUGUUUCAGAUUUGUUUCAAUUCUUUUGUAGUUAAGUUCUUCCUUAUUUUUGCAAGCCUAUUGCAUCAACAUUCCUUCCAUGAAUUAUAAGCUUCUGGAAACCUAUAAUUAUGCACACAAUUUAAGCACAAAUUACUUUAAAUUAAGCAAAACUCAUUAAGAUAAACUAAAAUGAAUAUUUAUGCAAAAUGUAACAAAAAUGCAAUAAAAACACAUCAUUUACUCUCUAAGUAAUAUUAAUUUAAGUCUAAAAGUGCUAUGAUAACUCUCAUUUCAUAGAGUUAUCACACCCCCAAACUUAAACCAUUACUUGUCCUCAAGUAAUGACAACCACAUUCACACUUCAAUCACAUAAUCAUGCAACAAAUAACUUAGCACUGUCAUCAAAUUUGUAAGGAUUCUUCCACCCUCAGAUCACACUCUUAAUCAUACAAAAUAGCCAUAGCAGUUCAGUUCUAGACUUAGGCUUCAUUCUGUCCAAAGUGUGUGUGUGCCACUUUAAUCAAAUUCCAUAGGUGCUACAACAUUGCACAAACUUUGUAUACAAUUCAGAGGUAGAACACAAAUAUAUUCACAUAUAGGAGAGCAGAACUCACAAUUAUAUUCAAACUGUGCUACAAUUUUUUUUUUUUUUUAGUUAAACCCUUUAAUGCAACAUUGAGCUUUCAUGUGAAUGCCUAUCACUUGUAAUGACGACACCCAAUUACUCACUCAAAGUACAUGUCAGAGUUGUUACAACAAUGCAUUCAGGAUGUUAUAUCUGGGUCUUACCUUUGGACGUCUUUGACUCAAGGCUGAACAUGGGGCUCAUGAACAGAUUAGGUUACUCAGUAUCCUAGGCAGCAAACCUCUUUAUAAUUUUUUUUUACAUUUUUAUAUAUAUAAUUGCUGUAGUACUGCUCAUAGCUCUUGUUGCCUUUGGACUCAAGUCUGCAUAUGGGGUGCAUACUCAACCUUGAUUACUUAGCAACUUAAACCAUUGGAGCAAAAUUUAUUUCAUAACAGGCACAGUCCCACAAAAAUUUUCCCCCAAACUUGAGAUAUUUUCUACUUUUUUUUUUUGGUUUUCCUGGCUUUGCUACAACAUUCUCAUAAAACUCAACUAAAGUCUAACUGUCGGGACAGAAGUUAAACCUCCAUCUAUAACUAUCUCUACUUGGCUUUCUCAUAAAUACUGAAUAACAUUCAAUUUAUCUUUAUUAGGUUUUACACAAAUAUUAGAUAACAGAGCUUCACACAACACACAACACACAACACAAGCAUAAACACAUGUACUUAAAAACACAACCCCCCCCAAACUUGAAUGGUGCUGUGUCCUCACGAGCACACAAAACAAAACCACAUGAACCGGACAUGCGUACACUAAAUAAAAGGACAUGUAGAAUGAAUCAUAAAAUUAAAACUAAAUGAAAGAAAAGUUUUGCAGAAAGAAGUAAAAUAAACUAGCGGUUAGGGGUACUGCCCUGUUAUUGGAAGCACUGCUGCAGCACAGGCUGUAAAGGGUCACUUAUUCUUUGAUCUACUUCUCAAACACUCCUUAUUAUAAAAUUUGAUCAAUCCAUUUGAUGCUACAAAAGUAAGAAAUGCCUCUGUUGUUUGAGAAUCUUCUGUUAUAUGUCAUGCUGUAAGUGAUACUGCAGCAAUUCCCUCAUGCUUUUUUUGCCCACAUUUUUUUUACUUGCUGCAAUUUAACACAAAGACAUAAAAAAAAAAUAGAUGCAUACUUAAAAUAACAAAAAGACAAAUUAAAUAAUUUAAAAACUAAAUUUAAUGCUUUAAAGACUUAAAACAACUUCCCUUAUUGGGUUGCCUCCCAAUUAGCGCUUGAUUUUAGGUCCUUCAGCCUGACCUUUCUUGUUUCCUCAACCUGGAUCUUUCAAGAACCAAUCCCUCUUUAGGCUGCUCACAUCAGCUCCCAGAUAGUGCUUCACUCUCGGCCCGUUAACUUUGAGUUCUUGUUGGUUUGGAGUGAGUUCCCUUUGCUGGAUUUGCUCAUCAAUUCUGAAGGGUUGCUUCUCCCCUGACCAUGCUAUGUUAGCUGCUCUAUAAUCUUCAUAAUCAAGUUCUUCAAAUGUUACAGCAUUGAUUUUUUCUUUACUGCAGCAACUGUGUAAUCUCUUUACUACAACAAAGUCCACAACACUGAUAAAAUUACAAUUUUCAAUCUCAUCGGGACUCUUCAUGGCAUCCAGUACAUUGAAUGUAACUUGCUGUUCAUUCAGCUUCAUGGUUAAUUCUCCUUUUUUAAGAUCAAUUAGAGUCUUUUCCGUAGCUAAGAAAGGUCUUCCGAGAAUGAUUGACACUUCUUUGUCUACCUCAAAGUCUAGCACAAUGAAAUCCACUGGAAAAAUAAAUUUAUCCACCUUCACCAACACAUCUUCAAUCUUUCCUUCUGGAUAUGCAUGAGAUCUGUCAGCAAGUUGUAAAGUCACUGUUGUUGGUUUACAUUCACCAACUCCCAAUUGCUUAAACACUGAUAAAGGCAUGAGAUUGAUGCUAGCCCCCAAAUCACAAAGUGCUUUGCCACUGUAUUUAGUGCCUAUGGAGCAUGGGAUUGUAAAGCUUCCUGGAUCUUUCAUCUUCUGUGGUAUCUUACUCUGAAGCAUUCGGCUACUCUCUUGUGUUAAAGCAACUGUUUCAAACUCUCCAAGUCUUCUUUUCUUUGUCAAAAUAUCCUUAAAAAUUUUGCAUAGUUUGGCAUUUGCUCUAGAACUUCCACAAAAGGGAUAUUGAUAUACAGCUGUUUCAGCACUCCCAAGAUUUUGCUGAACUGCAUGUCUUGUUGUUGCUUCUGAAAUCUUUGAGGGAAAGGUGGUGGGUGUCUAAACUGUUGUGCUGCAGCAGAUUGUGCAGACUGGUUCUCUUUUGCUUUACUCGGUUCUGUUGAUGUUAAUGCUGUAGCUGCCUCACCACUAGGUGCUAGAUCAUAAUUUUCUGCAGAUGCUGUACCAGAACUGUGUCGAUUUACAUUUUGAAAAGUGAAAAAUUGUGACUCCUUCUUUACUGGAGUGUCUUAUUUGCCUUUGUUGGACUCAAUUCUUCUUUUUGGUACACCAACUGAACUAUCAAUAUCCUUUCCAGAUCUCAAGUUAAUCACUUUACAAUGCUCUUUCCCUUAUCUUCUUGGGUCCUCUAUGUUGCUGGGUAAACUUCCUUAAGGUUUGUUGCUUAAUGCUGUAGCAAGCUGUCCAAUUUGGUUUUUCAAGUUUCUCAAAGAUAUAACAUGACUUUGGACAACCGCUUCAUUCUUCAUAAUAUAAUCCUUAAUCAAAGCCUAAAGGGAGCUAAGUUGAUCAUUGUUGAUGCUUCUUUACUCUUGAUUUUGCUGAUAAAAUCCAGGUGGUUGAGCAGGUCUAUUCUGUCCACUAAGUGCUGCAGCAGUCUGGUUCUGAUAACUCUAUGAAAAGUUCGGGUGCUGUCUCCAUCCAAGGUUGUAAGUGUUUGAAUAUAGAUUGUCUUAAUUCUGUUUAUUGAAGCUGCCCACAUAAUUGACUGAAGUUGGAUUCCCAGGACAAUUAUCAAAUAAAUGUCUCUCUCCACAAUAAACAUAAGAGACCUCAGAAAUUUGGUUAACAGUUGCUGGAGCAGUAGUCAUAGCCUUUACCAUAUUUGUUAAUGAAGUUACUUGGGCUGACAAUGCUGUCAAGGUAUCUACGUUAGGAACUCCUGUUGUUCCUCUUGUUGCAGCUUGUCUAGUUGAUGGCCACUGAUAAUUAUUGUUAGCAAUCCUCUCCAAAAUUUCAUAAGCCUCAUUGUAAGACUUAGCUAACAAAGCCCCAUUUACUGAAGCGUCCACCAUCAAUCUAGUUCUUGGGUUGAGAUCAUUAUAGAAAGUUUCCAACUGUAUGCAGUAAGGAAUACCAUGAUGAGGACAUCUUCUGAGUAACUCUUUAAAUCUUUCCCAUGCAUCAUACAAGCUCUCAUCUUUAAGUUGAUGGAAAGAUGUAAUCUCAUUCCUUAACUUUGCAUUCUUGGUUGGCGGAAAGUAUUUUAUCAAAAAUUUGUCAGCCAAAUCAUUCCAUGUAGUGAUAGAAUCCGGUGGUAGAGAAUUCAACCAUGUUCUUGCUCGGUCUCUCAAAGAAAACGGGAAAAGUCUGAGUCUCAAUGCUUCCUGCGAUGCUCUAGUAAUCUUGAAAGCAUCACUCACUUCCAAAAAUAGCUUAAGAUGUAGAUGAGGAUCUUCUGAUAGCAGUCCAUUAAAUUGCCCCACUGUUUGUAGCAUCUGAAACAUCACUAGUUUGAGCUCAAAAUUGUCAGCUUGAACGUCGGGUCUAACUAUUCCUGGAUGUAUGGCUUGAGGAGUCAACACUGCGUAGUCUCGAAUGGCUCUAUCUUUAUCAUUUGCCAUGUGAAUAAUGUUGUUGUUUCCUGGUUGCCUUUGAAAACAUUGUCCACUCAGACCUUCAUGUACAGUGACUGGUUGUAUCUCCUCUCGACGGUUCAAGUUUCUCAAAUCUUACAAAUCAUCCAUUGGUACAGCAGCUUGUAAUUCUCGAUGCUCUUUUCUCAAUUUCCUUGCAGUUCUUUCAAUUUCUAGAUCAAACUGGAAGUCAACAGAUUUAUAUUUGCGCAUGCAAGGGUUGCUAGAUCACCUAUGUCAACAAAAUAAAUAAAUAAAAAUAAAAUAAAAUAAAUUAGCACCGUUAAAACUAAUUUCACAACUCACAAUGAACAAUCAAUCCCCUGCAACGGCACUAAAAACUUGUUAGUGUAUAAAUACUAAUGCUAUUGGUGUCAAUGUGCAAGUGUACACAACAAGUAAUAAAGUGAUGAGUAUUCAAGAUCGUCUCCACAGGGAUUGAUGUUAUUAGACUUGCUACAGCAAUCUUAACAGUGCAGAUUUUGUGUCUAAUUAAGAUAAACAAUUGAUGAAACUAAUUUACUAAUUAAAAUAAAAACACAAUAAAUAAAAUACAACAAAGUAGAUUAUCACGUCAAACUCAAAGAUGAAAACAAUGAGAAUAUAGAGUAGUUGAGUGAAUAAACUCUCUUAAUGUUGCUACAACAACAACUACAGCAAUGUUGCUACAGCAAUGGUUACAGCAACUGCACUGUUCCAGAUUUGCUUUAAUUCUUUUGUAGCUAAGUGCUUCCUCAUUUUUGCAAGUCUAUUGUAUCAACAUUCAUUCUAUGAAUUAUAAGCUUCUGGAAACCUACAAUUAUGCGCACAAUUUAAGCACAAAUUACUUUAAAUUAAGCAAAACUCAUUAAGACUAAACUAAAAUGAAUAUUUAUACAAAAUUUAACAAAAAUGCAAUAUAAACAUAUUAUUUACUCUCUAAGUAAUAUUAACUUAAGUCUAAAAGUGCUAUGAUAACUCUCAUUUCAUAGAGUUAUCAACUAGUAUUAUUUAUAUUAAUAUUUAAGUCUUCUAUAAAUCUCUUAAGCCACACAAUUUCUUAGACUGCUGCAAAACAUGCAAUAUACUCGACUUCUAUCGUCGAUAAAGCCGUGCAUGUUUGCUUCUUUCUACUCCAUGCAAUUGCUCUUCUGUUUAGUAAUAAUGCAUAUCCCGAGGUUGAUUUGUGCUCAUUGAGAUUGCCACCCUGGUCGGCAUCUGGAUAUCCAAUAAGUCACAAAUUACCUUCUUAAUAGCAUAAAAAAUAAUUUGAAGUGCCUUUGAGAUAUGCCAAAAUCCUUUUAACAGCAUUACAAUGCUUUUGACUAGGAUUAGAUUGGUAUAUACUCACUAGUCCUAUAGCAUAACUAAUAUCGAGACUUGUACACAUCAUGACAUACAUGAGACUUCCAAUAACAUUUGUGCAAGGAACUCCAACCAUUCUUUCCUUUUCUUGAGGAGUUUUAGGGCACAUAUUGAGACUGAGAAAUUGUCCUUUAGUUAUUGGGAUAUUCUUUAGCUUACAAUCAGUCAUGUUGAACCUUUUAAAGAUAUUCUUAAUGUAAAACUCUUGUGAUAGAGUUAGAAAUUUCUUUGAACAAUCCCUAAAAAUUUUAACUUCUAAGAUAUAAGUUGCUUUGCCUAAAUCUUUCAUGUCAAAAUUUAAACAUAGUCAAUCUUUAAUAAUUUUGACAAACUCUUUACUGUUCCCAGUUAACAAUAUAUCAUUCAUAUAGAAAGAUAAUAUCACAAAAACGUCUUUACACCUCUUAAUAUACACACAAUUGUUUUCCUUAACCAUCCUGAAGCCAUAAGAAACUAUAACUUGAUGGGAUUUAAGGUUUCAUUGUCUAGAGAAUUGAUUAAGGCCAUAGAUAGAUCUUUUAAACUUGCAUACCUUACACUCUUGGCCUUUAACGAAAAAAACCUUGUGGUUGUUGCAUAUAAAUUUCUUCCUCUAUUUCUCCAUUGAGAAAUGCAGUUUUUACAUCCAUUUGGUGUAACUCAAGGUCUAGAUGUGUAACAAUAGCCAAGAUCAAUUGUAUAAAAGCAAACCUUAUUACAGGAGAAAAUGUCUCUUCAUAGUCUACGCCCAUUUUUUUAGGUAUAGACUUUAAGGACUAAUCUUGUUUUAAAUCUUUCGAUGGUCCCAUCCGUCUUACGCUUUAUUUGGAGAACCCAUUUGUUUCCGAUAGUUUUACUGCUGGCUAGAUGAUUAACCAAGUCUUAGACCUGAUUGACUUUCAUUGACUCCGUCUCCUCCUCUAUUACUUUCAUCUAUAAAUCCUUAGCAGACAAUGUAAGGGUCUCGUUAAAAGUAUUUAGCUCUUCACCAUUGUGUAAAGCAAUCAUAAAAGCUUCUCCCUCAAUCUCAAAAUGACGACGAGGAAUUGAUCUACGAUCACUCCUUGAAAUUGAUUUCUAAAUUGGAAUUAAAGUGUCUGGUGUUUCACUCCCACUCAGAGUAGUAAUCCCGAAUGAUCUGUAUUAAUGCCAACACUAACAUCAGAAGUGAUAACCUCAUUUAGAUCUUUUAAUUCAUAAAAUUGAAAAUCCUUAUCAACUUCUCUAAUGUCAUAGUUCCACUUGUAUGUUCACUAAUGAACACAUAUCCUUGGAGUGUUUUGAGUAUCUAAUAAAAAUACAUUUUUUACUCCUAGCUCUUAAUUUUUCAAGUUUAUGGGUGGAGUUAUAAACAUAAGCCGCAGACCCCCAAGGUUAAAGAUGAGAUAGGUUCGGUUUCCUAUUUGUCCAUAACUCAUAUGGAGUGAAAGUAACUGAUUUUGAAGGAACUUAAUUAAGUAUAUAGGCAGCAGCUAACAAAGUAUCUCCCUAAUAGGAUUUUGAAGGAACUUAAUUAAGUAUAUUGACCUAACCAUUUUUAACAAGGUUUUAUUCCUACUUUCCACUACUCUAUUUUUGUUAUGGAGUUCCAAGAAUAAUCAGUUAUUUAUCUAUUCCUUUCUUAUUACACAGUUCCUUGAACUAUUCUGAAAGGGAUUCCUGUCCUUUGUCAAUCCUCGGAACUUUAACAUUAUUGUCUAGUUGAUUCUCUACCAUGUUUAAAUAUAAUCUAAGGUAAUCUAAUACUUCUGAUUAAUAAGAGAUCAAGUAGACAUGACCGAAACGUGAAUAAUCAUUAAUGAAUGUAAUAAAGUAUGAAGCUCCAUGUUUAACCCUUACAUUCAUUGGUCCACAGAUGUCGGAGUGGAUUAAUUGCAAUGGUUUUUCAGCUUUAAUUCCUUUGCCGAAUGGUUUUCUAGUUGUUUUGCCAGCUAGACAAUUUUCACAUAUAGGCAAUUCAACCUGAUGAGUUGACCUAAUAAGACCUCUCUCGCAAGUCUAUGCAUUCUCUUAUCCUAUGUAACAUAAUCUAACAUGUCAAGUAAUUGCAUCUAUCUCUUUGUUGCUAGAAGAAGUAACAUACGAAAAAUAACUAUUAUCAUUACUUAAACCAUCAAGCAUUGUAUCUAAUACAAUAAAACCAUUAAUCAAAUUUCCAAUUUCAAUAGAGAUUAAAUUUAAGAAAAUUUACAAACAAACACCAUGAAAGUUUAAAUUAUAUCAUAAUUUAAAAGAACAGAAACCAAAACCAAGUUUCGUUGAAUCUCCAGUGCAUAUAGGAUAUCAUGUAACAAAAAAAUACGACCACCACGCAAAGUCAAUUUACAGGUGCCUAUUUCUUUUGCUUCAACUCUGGAGUUAGGUGUUAGUGAUUAUUAUAAUCAAACUCUAUCGAUGCCAAUGUGCAAGUGUACACAACAAGUAAUAAAGUGAUAAAUAUUCAAGAUCGUCUCCACAGGGAUUGAUGUUACUAGAAAUGUUACAGCAAUUACAAUAGCGCAAUCUAUCUUAAUCCCGAAAUUAACAAUUGUAAAGUUGGUUAUAUUGAAAUUGAUAAUUGUGAUAGAAUAAAAUGAAACAAUGCAGUAGUGAAAUAAAUUAAAUAAAAUGUGUCGAAGAAUCAAUUGAGAAUAAGGUAGUUGAAUGAUCAAACUCUCUUUAGGGGUUGACUGCUUUUCCUCAAGUUAACACCAGUUGUUACAGCAAUUACUACAGCACUGGGCAGAAUUAUUUUGCAUCUUCAGCUGUCGCGUGUUGGAAUUCUCACACCCUUAAGUAUAUUAGCAAUGACCAGUUGUUAUUCUACAUACAACAUGGCCUUAUGAACCUCUAUUCUCUUCACUCUACAAGGUGAGUACCUAUGUCUAGCUUGUCACAAAUCUUACCUUCAAGUAUAGCCCUUAUGGGAUUCAAGAUAAACUUAAUCCAGGAAACUUAAAUUAAGACCAAGUAUUACUCUAAUAGUAUCCACUAAGACAUGCCCUUUUGCGGCUCUAUCUUAACUUGAACUAUUAAAUGAGUGGUCAACCAAAAUAACAGUUAUAAUAAUAGCUACUAGAGUAAAAUGCUACAGCAAUGACAUAGCAACUCAUAAGAACAGUCAAGAACCCAUUAGAUUGUUUGUCACUCAACUACAAGCAAAUUUAGUUCAUAUUCUGAAAGAGAAAAAUAAACAUAAAAAAAUUGGUCAUGAAAUACAUCGGUUCAAUCAAAGAGUAAGGAAAAGAACAAGUAGAGAAUGAUGAAGAUUGAAUCCAAAUAACUCUGCUGGAUUCUUCACUGAUACAGAAUUGGUUCCCUUGAAUUCGGAUUGUUUUCUUCUCUUCCUCUUGAUUUUUCCAAUGUUAAUUCCCUUGCCACCGUUUUAUGUGGUGCACGCCUCUUUUUAUGACUAAAAACUAGGGUAAACAAAAACCUCAGGCGUGCAUGAGUUAAAUUAGGAAACUGCAUAUCGCAAUUUUGUAGCUGACCCGCUCUAAGUUUUCUCCCUCAGUGCUCCAGGAUUGCUGCAGCAAUGAUUGCUCCAACAACGGCUAUAACACUGCACUGUUCCCGAUUAUGUUUCACUUCUUCUGUGACCAUAUUCUUUCUUCUUCUUACUAGCCUAAUAUCUUAACAUCCCUUUAUGAAUUAUGAACUUCUGAAAACCUAAAAUUAUGCACAUGUUUUGAGCACAAAUUACUUUAAAUCAAGCAAACUUAUUAAUGAAAUACAAGUGUGCAACCCAAGAGGGGGGCGAAUUGGGAUUCUAAAAAUUAUUUGAUUAUAAAACAAAUUAUCAUGCAAAUCUAAAAUGAAUUUAAUGGAAUAACAAUUAAAUCAAUUACAAUAUAAAAAGAUAAGGGAAGAGAGAUUCAAACACGAAGAUUUUUACGUGGUUCGGCCAACCUCGCCUACGUCAACGCCUCCAAGCUUUCCGGGCUUGAGGAUUUCACUAAGCAAGCCUCCAAGGUUUCAAAUGCUUACACUUGCUUCCAAGGUGUCAAUGAACCUUUACAACAAGAGAUUAUCCCCAAUCUCUUAGCCCAAGUGUAUCCCAACACUUACAAUCACUCAAAGUAAAAGAUUAAAAAUUAUUUUUCUCUCACACAAUAUUUAAGAUUACAAAUCAAUGCCCAAUGUGUGAAUAGAUGAAGCAAGAAUGUGUUUUAAAGCUCUAUGAAGAUUGUAUUCUCGAAUAUAAGCUCAAUUGUCAUGUUGUGAUCAAAUCUUGUUUGAAUUUGAAUGAGUUUAUUUAUAGUUGGAGCUGAAAACUAGCCGUUAUUGACUUUCUUCUCACUGUCGGAUCACUAUUAACUAGAUGUCGGAUCACCGUUUGACUGGUCAAUAUGACCGUUGGGCUGAAUUUUUAAAUUAUCGGAUCGCCGUUAUCUAUAUGUCGAAUCGCCGUUUUCUACAUUAACGGCUACAGUUAACUUUUUUUGUAAAAUUACAGUUUGACCUCAAAACUUUAUAAAAUUAUACUAUGACCCAAAACUUUAUAAAACUUGUCAAUUAGGUCCAUUUUCAGGAUUUUAAGCAAUACUUGUUAUUAUAAAAAAUCUCAAAGCUUUUUUAAUUGAAACCAUUAACAUGAGAAAAACAAAAACAUUUUCAUAGAAUAUAAAGCCUUUAUAAAGUGAGAAUGAUGAUUUAAAAGUAUAUGAAAACUAUUUUGAACUUUUGAAACAUUAUCAAUCUUAAUCAAGUUUGUUAUCAUCAAAAUCAAUAAUAAAGAAAUAUUUAUGUUAACAAUUAAGACUUAACUAAAUCGUUACUUAUCCUCAUGUAAUGACAACAUAUUAACACUUCAUGCACACAAUCAUGCAACACACAACUUAGCUAUUUUAUCAAAUUUGCAAGGAUUCUUCCACCUUCAGAUCACAAUCCCAAUCAUGUAAAAUGACCAUAGUAAAUCAUUUCUAGACUUAAGUUUCCUUCUAUCCACAAUGUGUGUGUGCUACUUUGAUUGAAUUCUAGAGAUGCUAUAACAUUACCAAGAGAUUGCAUGUAAUUCAGUAGUAGCACAAUUUUAUUCAUAUAUGGGGUAGCAUAAAUCUCACAUACUCAAACUGUGCUGUCUUUAAGAAUGAAAACUUAAGAGUAUUCAACCUCCCCACUGCAACAUUUAUUUUUCAUGUGAAUGCCAAUCAAUUGUAAUGAUGACACUCAAUUACUCAAACCAUGCACAGAUUAGAGUUGCUGUAGCAAUAUCUGUAACAUAAUAUUACCUAGAGAUAUCUUUUACUCAAGGCUAAACAUGGGGCUCAUGAAUAGACCCGACUACUCAAUAUCCUAGAUAGAGGACUUCCUUGUAUUCUUGUCUCACUUUUUUUAAAAGUAAUUGCUAUAACACUGCUUAUAACUCUUGUUGCCUUUGAACGCAACUCUACAUAUGGGGUACAUACUCAGCUCUGGUUACUCAGCAACUUGAGUCAUUGGAGUAGAAUUUAUUUUAUAACAAGCACAGUCAAUCAAACUUUUUCCCCCCAAGCUUAAGAUCUUUUCUAUUCUUUUGGCUCUACUACAGUAGUCUCAUAAAACUCCACCAAAGUUUAAGUGUCAUGACAGAAUUUCACUCUCCAUCUAUAACUAUAUAUACUCGACAUUCUUAUGAUAACUAAUUAACACUCAAUUUAUCUUCAUUAGGUUUUCAAAUCCAUACACAAAUAUUAGAUAGCAGAGCUUCACACAACACAUACAUAAACACAUAUUCAAAAAACCUAGAUAUACAUCCCCUUCAAACUCUAAAUGGUGUUGUGUCCUUAUAAGCACACAACAGUAAAGUCACACAAAUCGACAAAGACAUGGAAGAGGGUGUUAGAAAAUAAAUCACACAAAUUGAAAACAUAAUAAAAGAAAAAUUGUUCAGAAUUGAUUAAAUUGACUAGCAAGAAGGGGAUACUCCCCUGUUGUUUGAGUUUUUACUGUAAUAUGGUGGGAUGGCAUCAACGCUUCUUGGAUGCACUGCCCAGCUUAUCCUUUGGAGAAGCUUGUGGGGAGGUAGUUGGCAACAUCUUUGUCUUUUUCUUCAGUGGGCUGGUGAGAGGAGUGGCGGCUGGGGCAACUUGCUUGGUUGACACUGAUAUGGUCCUUUUUGGUUCUAUCAAGGCUGUUGUAGUAGUGCCUCCAGAAGUGCCGCCCUUUCUUUUCCUGGAUCUUCUAGGACUAGCAUGAACAUGUUUGCUAGGAGUUUGCUGUGGAGGAGCUGGGGUUGGUGCAUCAGCUGUAUGUCCCUCAGCUGUGAUGGCGGUAAUGAUGUCCAGUAGCUGCUUGGCUUCUGUGGGUGUACGCGUGACUCUGGUUGCUGCAGCUUCCAGCUCUGUAUCAACUUGCUUGGCUUCAUCUUCAGAGGCAUGAGGGGUUGCUAUUUUUUCCUUGCCCUUGCUCGAAAGGACUGGAAUGAGGGUCUCCUCGUUAGUUCAUUCUCGUCAUCUUCUCGGAUGAUGUGCUUUUUCCUGGUUUUGGAGGAGGUCCUGACUGGGGAUUCCUCACGUUCUUUCACAGAAUCUUCCUAUGCCUCUGUGGGUGAGUUGUCAGUCACAGACUUGUCACCUUCUUCCUCAGGUUAAUCAGAUGGUUCAGUAUCUUCUGAGUCAACCUCUGCUUGUGGGUUUUUUGUAGCUUCUUCUUCUGGUUCAUCUGCGUCAGUGGCUUCUUCACUGGCUUCUGCUGGAGCAUCUGUGGUGUUGGUGUCAAAAUUGUACUACUGGAGCAAUGAAUUAGGAAAAUUCUGGUGGGUGUUUUUCAUGUAAAGGGCAAAUUGGUGUAGGUGGCUGUCCAUGUGCUGUAAAUAACUCCAAAACCGAUCGUUUUUCCUUUGCUCAGCCUCAGCACAUUGAGUGAUACUGGUGCUCAGUGCCUGUAUUGUCUGUUCUAAACCAAUAGCUCGUUUCACCCCUGUUACAGCAGCUGGUUCAGUUGUUGUUCCAGCACUUUCACUAGCAAUUCUCUCAAUGGUGCGUGCAGUAAAGGCACUAUUAUUCUUGACAUGUUCAUCAUUUGCAUCAAGACGAACACCUGAUACUACACAGAUGCUGGUGAUGAGUGAAGGGAAUAGCAAUGCAGCAGCUUUGUGGUUUUUUAUGGCACAAUCUCGAAUUUCUUUUUCGAUAAUACUUCCCAUAUCUAUGGGAAGCCCUCGAACAAUAACAUAUAAUAGAACCAACUUUUCUUGUGAAACGGUAGUAGUGUGGGUGGUUGGCAUAAGCUUGGAUUUCAGAAAUUUCACCCACACCUUAGCAAUGAGUUUUAAAUCUAUCCUAUUAACUACACGCCCUUCCUCAUUAGUCCACGAUGCCUCCUCUACUGUAAGAGUUGUGAAUAUGGUGUUCCAUCUUUUCGGGGUCAAUUUGUCAAGUAACUUGGCAUACUCAAUUAAUUUCAGCAAGUAAAUUAUAAAAAGCAUUUAUAACUCGAGAGUCUAAUGGAACAAAUGUGUUUCUUACCCAAAUGUUGUGCUGACCAGGGCUUACCAAAUUGGCGUAAAAUUUUUUGACUACUGGCAGCACAGGAUCUCGAGAGUGGUUGCAAAACUCUAGCCGCCCAGGCUUUGCUGUAGGAUUGUGUACUGUUCGCACAAUUCUGUGGGUUGCGAUGGAAAGUGAAACCCUUUUUCUUUCAAAAUCUUGCGCGGUUCAAUGAAUUCUUCAUUUUUUUCUUUCGCGUGGUAACUUUGGAAGCGUGAAAGAUCUUUGAGUCGGCUGGCUGUUCUUUUAUACCUUGGCAUUACUAUAGCAGUAACAAUUUGAAGGUAAUAUGCCUGAGAGCAAAAUGAGAAGAAGGUGUUAAGAAUUAUUAGAGUCGUGCUUGCGAAGGAGAGGGGAAAUAGUGUCGUAGGUCACUAAGCACAGUAAUUCUCUUUUAUAGAUGAAUUUAAAUGAAAAUAAAUCUGGUAAAGAAAGAUAAAUUAGGAAAGAAAAUAUUUUGAAUUCAUUGAGUAUAUCCCAUAAAAAUAGGCAAGAGAAAUUAAUGCAUUAAUUUCAGGGAUUUUUCUUCCUUAAUUUCUAUCCAAAUCCAUGCAUCCAUCUGUCAUAAUUUAUCUCCAACGAUAAGUGAGAGGCUCCAAUUUGUUGCUGCAGCACCCAAUUGUUUGCUCUAGCAACGGUUACAUACUCCACUCCAAUAGCUUCUAACACAUGGCUUGCCUCUGCACUCUGUCACAUUACAACCCCAAUUGUCAAUAUAGAAUCCAUUUGUCAUACAUAUUUCCCUCAAUUUUUUUUUUAAAAAACAACUAAAAUCAAUUCUAAGAAAUUAAAAAUAAAGAUAUAGAAUGAUAACAGAAGUAAAGGGUUCAAUAAUUCGAAAUGAUAAAAAUAAAUAGUAAGAAGUGAAUAAAAAAAUUAAAAUGAAAUAAAAGGAAAAGCUUUCAACAAAACCAGAGAGGAUCAAGCUCGGUUUGAAGUGGCUGCCUCCACAAUGGGUUGCCUCCCAUUAAGCGCUUGAUUUAAGGUCCUUCAGCCUGACCUUCUUUGACUGCUCAAUAGCUUGGUUCUUUAAGGAGUAAGACCUCCUUUGAACAAUCUGCCGCAGGGUGUAUAUAAUGCUUAACCCUGUGUUCAUUGACUUUAAAUUCUUAACCUGUCUUUUUCAUCUAGAAGAUCAACAGCCCCAUGGGGAUAAAUUAUGAGCAGUUUGAAAGGUCCAGACCAUCGAGAUUUUAGUUUUCCUAGAAAUAAUCUUAGUCUUGUAUUAUGGAGCAACACUAGUUGACCAGGGCUGAAUUUCCUGUGUUGGAUAUGCUUGUCGUGCCAGUGUUUUGUCCUCUCUUUAUAUAUUCUUGCAUUUUCAUAUGAGAAUAGCCGUAAUUCAUCAAGCUCACAGAGUUGAAGCUUCAUUUGCUCUGUUGCAGCAUGUAUAUCUAAUUUAAUUGCUUCAGUGCCCAGUGUGCUUUAUGCUUUAGCUCAAGUGGCAAAUGACAAGCCUUCCCAUAAACAAUUCGGUAGGGAGACAUGCCAAGUAGUGUUUUGUAUUCUGUUCUGUAGGCGCAUAGGGAGUCAUGUAAACGCAAGGAUCAAUCCUUCCUUGAUGGGUUCACCACUUUUUUCUAAGAUAUUCUUAAUCUCUCUAUUGGACACUUCUGUCUAACCAUUAGAUUGUGGGUGAUAUGUUGUUGCUACUUUAUGCCUGACUCCAUAUUUUACCAUAGCUGCAGCAAAGACUUUGUUGUAAAAAUGAGUACCCUCAUCACUAAUAAUUGCUCUGGGGGUGCCAAACCUGGAAAAAAAUAUUUUUAUGAAGAAAUGCCACCACUGUUUUAGCAUCAUUGGUAGGUAAUGAUGCAACUUCUACCCACUUGGAAACAUAAUCCACAGCAAUAAGGAUAUAUAAGUUCCCAAAGGAUGGUGGAAAAGGUCCCAUAAAAUCUAUUCCCCAUACAUAAAAAACUUCCACUUCCAUAAUAUUUGUCAAUGGCAUUUAAUGUCUUUUAGUUAUGUUCCUUGUCCUUUAACACCUGUCACAACAUUUAACAAACUUAUAAGCAUCUUUAAAAAUAGAAGGCCAGUAAUAACCUGAUUGCAGAACUUUAGUAGCUGUUUUGUGACCACCAAAAUGUCCUCCAUAUGCUGCAGUAUGACAUGACUCCAGUAUGUGGGGAAUCUCUCCAUCUGAAGUAAAUCUUCAUAUUACUUGAUCAGUGCAUAACUUAUAUAAAUAUGGAUCAUCCCACUAAUAAUUUCUAACAUCAUGGAGAAAUUUCUUUUUCUCCUGAAACUUCAACUCAUGCGGUAACAACUCACUUACUAAGUAGUUAGCAAAAUCUACAUAACAUGGAGAUCUUGAUUGCUGCAGCAUCUAUGAUUGCUGUACUACUAACAGUUGUUCAUCAUGAAAAGUUUCAGUGAUGUCCUUUCUUGUCAAUGUACUUGUGUCUACUUCCAACCUCGAUAGGUGGUCUGCUACUUGAUUCUCAAUCCCCUUUCUAUUUUUAAUUUCCAUAUCAAACUCCUGAAGCAAUAAGAUCCAUCUGAUUAAUCUUGGUUUAGCAUCCUUCUUUGAGAUUAGGUACUUGAUGGCCGCAUGGUCUGUGUAUACUGUCACUUUAGUACCCAUCAAGUAAGCUCUGAAUUUAUCAAAAGUAAAUAAUACUGCUAGCAACUCUUUCUCUGUAGUGGUGUAAUUAAUUUGAGUUUGAGUAGGAGUUUUGCUUGCAUAGUAUAUAGAGUGAAAAACCUUAUCCUUUCUCUGUCCUAAUACUGCUCCAACAAAAUGGUCACUGGCAUUACACAGCAGUUCAAAUGGUAGAGUCCAAUAUGGUGAUAUAACUACUGAUGCAGUGACCAAAGCUUUCUUUAAUUCUCCAAAGGCUUGUCAUGUUCCAGCAAUGAGCAUAAUGGUUUAACUACCUUGGAAAAAUCCUUAAUGAAUCUUCUAUAAAAUCUAGCAUGACCCAAAAAACUCCUAAUACCCUUAAUUGAAGUGGGAGGUGGCAAUUUAUCUAUUACUUUUAUCUUGGCUUUGUCUACCUCAAUACCAUUCUUGGACACCUUAUGACCCAACACUAUACUUUCUUACACCAUGAAAUGGUAUUUUUCCCAAUUAAGUACUAAGUUAGUCAUCUCAUAUCUUUUAAGAACUUCUAAGUUGUGUAGACAAUCAUUAUAUGUCUCUCCAAAAACUGAUAAAUCAUUCAUGAAGACUUCUAAAGUUUGCUCUACUAUAUCAGAAAAAAUAGACAUCGUACAUCUCUGAAAAGUUGCUGGAGCAUUGCACAAACCAAAGGGCAUUCUUCUGAAGGCAAAUGUUUCAUAAGGACAGGUAAAUGUAGUCUUUUCCUGAUCCUCUGGAGCUAUAACAAUUUGAUUGUAGCCUGAAUACCCAUCUAGGAAACAAUAGUACUGUUUUCCAAUAAGUUUGUCCAACAUCUGAUCUAUGAAUGGGAGUGGGAAGUGAUCCUUCCUUGUGGCUUUGUUGAGCUUUUUGUAAUCCAUGCAUACUCUCCAUUCAGUCACUGUCCUUGUAGGAAUAAGUUCAUCCUUCUCAUUUGCUAUUACUGUUAUUCCUCUAUUCUUUGGAAUACAUUGGACUGGGCUUAACCAAGAGCUGUCUGAGAUUGGGUAUAUGAUUCCAGCAUCCAAUCAUUUAAUGAUUUCCUUCUACCACUUCCUUCAUAAUAAGGUUUAACCUUCUUUGUUGCUCCACUGAAUUGUUGUAAUAGUUGUCCAACAGAAUUUUAUGUAUGUAUAUAGAUGGGCUUAUUCCUUUGAUGUUUGCCAUGGUCCAUCCAAUUGCUCUUCUAUAUUUUCCAAGUACAUCUACUAGACUCUGUUCUUGACCUGCAUCCAAAGUAGAGGAAAUGAUUACAUGGAGUGUGUUGUUUUGACCAAGAUAAACAUAUUUCAAAUGUGAGGGUAACAAUUUUAAAUCAAGACUAGGAGGUGAUUCAAUAGAUUAUGGUAAAGUUUUUUUUACUUUCCUGUCUGAAAGAUUCAUAUGCUCAACAAAUCUGUUAUGUCUAACAGAUUGCUUUCCUUCCAUCCAAUCUAUAUGGCUUGCUGCAACAUCUUCUUCUUCAAAGCCUUUAAAAGUGGUAACUUUGUUGAUCUCAUUACUACAACAUCUGUCGACUCUGUCUGCUACAACAAAAUCCACAACACUCAGGAAAUUGUAAUCUUCUAACUCAUCAGGGUUCUUCAUAGCCUCUAAUAUAUUAAAUGUGACCUGCUAAUCAUUCACUCUCAUGGUGAGCUCUCAUUUCUACACAUCUAUUAGAGUUUUCCCAGUUGCUAGGAAAGGUCUUCCAAGUAUAAUGGGUACCUCUUUAUCAACCUCAAAGUCUAGUACAAUGAAGUCUACUGGGAAGAUGAAUUUGUCAACCUUCACCAGUACAUCCUCAAUUUUUCUUUCAGGCUAUGCAUGAGAUCCGUCUGCUAAUUGCAGAGUGACUGUUGUUGGCCUGUAUUCCCCUACUCCCAACUGCUUAAAUACAGACAAUGGCAUCAGAUUAAUACUGGCUCCCAAAUCACAAAGUGUUCUGCCAGUGUACGUAGUUCUAAUGGAACAUGGUAUUGUAAAACUUCCUGGAUCCUUCAAUUUUGUAGAAAUCUUACUUUAGAGCAUAUGACUGCUUUCCUGUGUUAAAGUAACAAUUUCAAAUUCUCCCAGCCUUCUCUUUCGUGUUAAGAGGUCUUGUAGAAAUUUCACAUAAUUAGGCAUUUGCUCCAAAGCUUCCACAAAAGGUAUGUUGAUGUGUAAUUGUUUCAGCACUUCCAAAAAUUUACUGAAUUGCUUGUCUUGUUUUUGCUUCUGGAAUCUUUGUGGAAAAUGAGGUGGAUUCCUAAACUGCUGGGUAGCCUCACGAGGUACAACACUUUGUUCAUUUGGUUUAUUGUAGGCUGUUACUGCUAGUGUUGCAACUUCUUUUUCAACAUGUACUGGUUGAGUUCCUUCCAUAGUUGCUGCAGCUUGAUCCCUAACACCAGAGUCUUGAUGGCUGGGUUGUUGUAACAUGCUUCCAUCUUGAGGUGGCUUUUAUGAGGAAUUAAGUUCCAGCCCCUUUUUAGUCACAUCAACAGGGAUAUCAACAUUCUUUCCAGAUUUUAAGUUAAUUACUUUAUAGUGUUCAUUUCCUUCUCUUAUUAGAUCUUCUGUGUUGCUGGAUAAGCUUCCUUGAGUUCUGCUACUAAUUGUUGUGGCAAGUUGUCCCAUUUGGUUCUCCAGGUUUCUCAAUGAUACAACUUGACUCUGCACAAUUGCUUCAUUCUUUGCAAUAUAUUCCUUAAUUAGUACUUCCAAUGAAGUGAUUGGAUCUUUACUGAUGUGUUUUUGUCAUUGACUCUGCUGAUGAAAACCAGGUGGUUGAGUGUUCCUAUUUUGUCCAUUCAAUGUUGGAGCAUUUCGAUUUUGACUGCUCCAUGAGAAAUUUGGGUGUUGCUUCCAUCCAGGGUUGUAAGUAUUUGAAUAUAGGUUGUUUUGAAGCUGUCGGUUGAAAUUACCCACAUAAUUCACUGAUGCUGGAUUUCCAGGACAUUUAUCAAAGUCAUGUUCUGCACCACAGUAUACACAAGACAGUUCAGCAACUUGUUUUACUACCGCUGGAGCAGAUGUCAUGGCUUUUACCAUGUUAGUCAAAGAGGUUACUUGUGCUGAUAAAGUCGUAAUUGCAUCUAUGUUAUGUACCCAUGCUGCUCCUCUUGUUACUGGUUGCCUGGUUGAUGGCCACUGAUAAUUAUUGUUGGCAAUUCUCUCCAAAAUUUCAUAAGCUUCAGUGUAAGAUUUGGAUAACAAAGCUCCAUUUGCUGAACCAUCCACCAUCAAUCUUGUACUAGGAUUCAACCCAUUAUAGAAAGUUUCCAAUUGUAUGCAAUAAGGAAUGCCAUGAUGAGGACACCUUCUGAGCAGUUCUUUGAAUCUUUCCCAAGCCUCAUACAAACUCUCAUCUUCAAGUUGAUGGAAAGAAGUAAUCUCAUUCCGUAAUUUUGCAUUUUUUAUUGGUGGGAAAUAUUUCAUUAAGAAUUUAUCAGCCAACUCAUUUCAUGUAGUGAUUGAAUCAGAUGGUAACGAAUUUAACCAUGCUCUUGCUCGAUCUUUUAAGGAGUAAGGAAAAAGCCUCAGUCUUAAAGCAUCUUAGGUUGCUCCAGCAAUCUUGAAAGCAUCACUCACUUCCAAGAACAACUUAAGAUAGAGGUGAGGAUCUUCAUUUGGCAAUCCAUUGAAUUGCCCACUGUUUGCAACAUUUGAAACAUUACUGGCUUCAGUUUAAAGUUUGCGGCUUUCACUUCAGGUUUGAUUAUCCCAUGGUGUACAACUUGAGGAGUUAACACAACAUAAUCUCUAAUAGCUCUGUCCCUGUCAUCAGCCAUGUAAAUAAUAUUGUUGUUGCCUGACUGUCUUUGGUUAGCAUACUCAUUCUGCUCUUCUUGAAUGUUGACUGGUUGUAAGGGCCCGUGAGGGUCCAAAUUUCCCACAUCCUGUAAAUUAUCCAUGCCUGAAACAGUUUUUGAAUUCCUUUGUUCUCUUCGCAGUCUUCUAACAGUCCUUUCAAUCUCAUGAUCAAAUUGGAAUACAAUAUAUCUGUCUUUGCGCAUGCAAGUGUUGAUAUGCCAAUAAAUAGAAUAAAUCAAACCAAAUUGACACUAUCAAGACUUACUUCACACUUCAAAAAUAAACAAUCAAUCCCUGGCAACGGCGCCAAAAACUUGUUGGUGAUUAAUAUAAUCAAAUGCUAUCGAUGCCAAUGUACAAGUGUACACAACAAGUAAUAAAGUGAUGAAUAUUCAAGAUUGUCUCCACAGGGAUAGAUGUCACUAGAAAUGUUACAGCAAUUACAAUAGUGUAAUCUACCUUAAUCCCGAAAUUAACAAAUGUAAAGUUGGUUAUAUUGAAAUUGAUAGUUGUGAUAGAAUAAAAUGAAACAAUGCAGUAGUGAAAUAAAUUAAAUAAAAUGCGUCGAAUAAUUAAUUAAAAAUAAGGUAGUUGAAUGAUCAAACUCUCUUUAUGUGCUGACUGCUUUUCCUCAAGUUAACACCAGUUGUUACAGUAAUUGCUACAAUACUGGGCAGAAUUAUUUUGCAUCCUCAGCUGACACGUGUUGGAAUUCUCACACUCUUAAGUAUAUUAGCAAUGACCAGUUGUUAUUCUACGUACAACAUGGCCUUAUGAACCUCUAUUCUCUUCACCCUACAAGGUGAUUACCUAUGUCUAGUUUGUCACAAAUCUUACCUUCAAGUAUAGCCCUUAUGGGAUUCAAGAUAAACUUAAUCCACGAAACUUAAAUUAAGAUCAAGUAUUACUCUAAUAGUAUCCACUAAGACAUGCCCUUUUGUGGCUCUAUCUUAACUUAAACUAUUAAAUGGGUGGUUAACCGAAAUAACAGUUAUAAUAAUAACUACGAGAGUAAAAUGCUACAGCAAUGACAUAGCAACUCAUAAGAACAGUCAAGAACCCAUUAGAUUGUUUGUCACUCAACUACAAACAAAUUUAGUUUAUAUUCUGAAAGAGAAAAACAAACAUCAAAAUAUUGGUCAUGAAAUACAUCGGUUCAAUCAAAGAGUAAGGAAAAGAACAAGUAAAGAAUGAUGAAGAUUGAAUCCAAAUAACUCUGCUGGAUUCUUCACUGAUACAGAAUUGGUUCCCUUGAAUUCGGAUUGUUUUCUUUUUUUUCCAAUGUUAAUUCCCUUGCCACCGUUUUAUGUAGUGCGUGCCUCUUUUUAUAACUAAAAACUAGGGUAAACAAAAGCCUCGGGCGUGCAUGAAUUAAAUUAAGUGACUGCAGAUCGCAAUUCUGUAGUUGACCCGCGCUAAGUUUUCUCCCUCAGUGCUCCAGGAUUGCUGCAGCAAUGAUUACUCCAUUAACGGCUAUAACACUGCACUAUUCCUGGUUGUGUUUCACUUCUUCUGUGACCAUAUUCUUUCUUCUUCUUGCUAGCCUAAUAUCUCAGCAUCCCUUCAUGAAUUAUGAACUUCUCAAAACCUACAAUCAUGCACAUGUUUUGAGCACAAAUUACUUUAAAUCAAGCAACCUUAUUAAGACUCAACUAAAAUUGAUAUUUAUGCAAAAUAUAUCCAAAAUAUAAUAAAAACACAUCAUUUACUCUCUAAGUGGUCUUGAUUUAAGUUUAGAAUUUCUGUAAUAACUCUCAUUUCAUAGAGUUGCCAUUAGGCCACAUAUAUCCAUCUACUCAUUUGAGUAAUUCGACAUACUUUACAAAUGCAUCUUGAUCACAAGUUAUAUGGUUUGUUGCUCUUGAGUCUGUAGUCCAUAUAGAACGAGAAUCAGUUAGGAAUAUAGAACUCGUAACUAACGCAUACUUCAAUAAAGUGGAGUUGGUCUUACUUUUUUAGCUCAUUGCACUCACUAGCGAAGUGACCUAUCUUCCUAUAAUUGUAUCAUUUCAUAUUAGAUUUGUCUUUUUUCUUGCUAACACGCUUACCCGUUGGGUGCUUCUUAGCAUCUGGCUUCUUUUGAUCAGAAUUAGAUCUCUUACCCUUCUGGUUAUAAUUAUGAUCUCUCUUACGUUUGAAGCCUGAAGUCUUGUGUGAGCUUGAUUCGGCCAUAUAAACAUGAUCAGAAAACUUAACUGCCUUAAGGCGCUUUGCAUCCAGCUCAAGGUGAUAUUCAAUAUCAUUGAAUAUUUUGAUAUUUUUAUUAUGAAUCAUAUUCACCUUCAUGUGUUCCUAGGAAUCAGGUAGAGAUCUUAUCACUGAUUAAAUUUCUCAUUCAUCAGUUAGAAUAUGACCAGCAGCCUUAAGUUCGUGAAUCAUGUUUGACAUCUCCCUUAGAUGUUGUCUCAUAGUAUGAUUCUGACACUUUCAAUAACAAUCAAACUUGAUCAUAAGCCUUCUGAACUUAAUGGUCGAAGUGCCACCGAACUUGUCUUUCAAAGUAAGCCACAUCUCUUGAGCAAUCUCACACUUCUCAAACUCACACAUGAGGUUAUCUUGUAUACUACUUAACAUCGUUAUGGGAGCAUUACUAUUCUUCUUUUCCAAGCCUAGUAGGCCUCAAGAUCCCUCCUAUGUUGAGCAGUAUUGCCAUGCUCAGGCUCAGCUAGGAUGUUGUUUAGAGCUUAUAAAGUCUCUUGCUCUUUAAGGAUGUACUAAAUCUUACGAUGCGAAAUAUCAUAAUUGUCACCAUUCGGCUUCUCACCCUCGUUCAUCUCGACCACAAUGUUUUUAGAUGCAGAUGCCAUCUCAACUUUCUUUUAACAUAGAGACAAUACAAAAUACAAUCAAUAAAGGCAUAAUUAAUAACUACACAUAAAUAAUUAAUUUUGCCACAAACAUGAAACAAAAAAUGACAAAUUAAUAUUGGAAAUGGAAUCAAAAAGUCGUCGAAGCUUCCAAUCAUCAUCCAAUUCCCUUUAUUAUAUUCAUUAUUAAUUUUAUUUUAAUGCACAAAAUUAUCAAUUCUAAUUUGAAUUAAUUAAAUUCAAUUUAAGACUCCCACUCAACGGAAUGAUUCAUGAGAUAUCGUAAAAGAGCAUAUUGAGUUGAGCAACAACUAACGUAGAAAUUCAUUAAUAAAAAUAUAGCAAGCUAUUGUUCAAUCAAUAAAAUAAAACCAAUAUUAAAACAAUAGCAGUCAACAAACAAAUGAAAUAGCAUAAUAUGAUCAAGCUAAUAUAUAAAAUCUUCUACAUGUUCUUAAAAUAUUCUUUGUUGCUCGAGACUCUUUCAUCUAAUUUAUACUCAUGUGCAUCUCCAAAUAAAAAUAAUUGUUCCUUUUUUAUGAUCCUAUUUAUGGUUUUUUCAUACCAUAAUUUGUGCCUUCUACCAAGGCGAUUACCUUGUCUCUCAUUCCAAAGACUCGUGUGAAUGCUAAGUAUUAAGGUUCGCCAUAUUUUUUAAGCAAGACGACGCUCCUCCAUCAGCUUAAUUUCACACCUCAGCAUAUAAUAUGUAUUGUUCUCAAUUUGCUCUAAUGCGUGAGCUUUAAAGACAAGCGUAUUAUCAUCAUUGGGUAAGGAACUUGUGAGAACCCGUUGAUAGUAACCUUAGUACGCAUACUUGGUGUCUAAUUUUUUAUAUUUUAUUCUGUUAAAGACCUCAUAUAUAUCUUCUAUAUUUAUACAUAUAGAACGGUCUGAGUCUAUCUUAUAACUCUCUAUUUUCUUCAUAAGUUCUUCAUUAGAUAAAUUAUCAUUAAUCUGAAGUAAAUCAAUAGGUGCAACCUAAGCUCUAUAUGUCGCUAAUCCGUCUUCCUUAGUCCAUAAUUUUCUAGGGAGGCAUCUAGGAAAAGUAACAUAAAAUUCAUAUUAAUGAUCAUUAACAAAUGACUAAACGCGAGAUAUAAACAAUUUCAGCCAAUUUCCAUGAAUAAUAUUUUCAAGCUUCCUCUAGAGCAAAAUAUUUUCAAGCUUCCUCUAGAGCAAAAUAUUUAUUAACAUAUAAUGUUCAUCCAUGAGACUAUGUAUAUUUGAUCCGAAAUUUAUUUAAAAAAUAGAAAUUCUAAUUUUAUGUUAAAAAUGAAUAGAAAAUUAAAUUUCGGAUUAAAUGGCCCAAACAACACCCAAAUCGGAGUCCCAGAUAGCAAGAUACAUGGAAAACAUUAAUUUGGAUUCACAUCCCCACAUGCAAAGGUAGCCACGUGCUAUUCACACGCGUUACAGUACGAUAUAAUAUACGCUACAGUUUCACAACAGUGCGCUACAAUAUUGUACACUCCCCCAUGUGCACAACUAAAGAGUGGGACCCACAUGUUACCUUUCUUGGUGUUUGACUCGAUUUUUGGUCUUGAAUCCAAUGGUGGCCUUAUUUUUCAAUUGGAGCUUAGAAUAAGCCAGAAUCGCUAAGAAACUGAUUCUGACACUAUUCAUCAUCUUCUCCAAACUUAGGGUUUUUUAUUUUUUUUGUAACACUAAUCCGACCAAAUUCUUGAUUUGGCCAUAACUUUCUUGUUUUAAGUCUGUUUUUAACAAGACACAUGUCAUUGGAAAGCUCUUGAAAGGAUCUUUCUAAUUAUAUAUUACUCACAAUGCUAGAUUGCCUAGAUCAAAAGAUAUGAUCAAAUAAAUUUUCAAGUUUCAUGUUUAUUUUGUUGGGGUUGAUGCAACCUAAACCCUAGGCUAUUUUUAUGUCUUUCAAUUCCAGAAUUUUACAGUGAUUCUAGCACUCCAUAACAUAAUUUUAACAAUCGCUAGAUGAUACAUUUCAUGAAAAAAUAAUUAACAUAUAAAAUUCAUGCAUUUUCAUGAAAUAAACUCAACCAUUCACACGAAUCCAACACAAAAACAAACUCUGAUACCAUUGAUGGAAAAAAAGAAUAAAAUGAAUGCAAGAAGCCAUACCUUUUUUUAAGCAGCGGAAUCAUUAAGUGUUGGAUCACAUUGAUGGUCGAAAAGAAAUCAAAAACAGAAAUCAUUCUCUGAUCACAGUAUAUAUGCUCUUUUUCUAAUGAGUUGUUCAAUAUUCUCAUUUGAUCUUGAUGAAGAAGAGAAGAAGAUCAAGAUUCACUCUCCACACACACUUUCUCUGUGUUAUUAUUUUUUCUAGAAGUUAUAACCAAAGUGGGAAGUUGAUAUUAAAUCAAUUCCUUCUUAACUUCAAAAUUGCACAUGGUAACUACUUUGCAGUUACCAAGUACGGGCUAGGUCGGGUCGGCCCAUCAUGUGUGACCCACCCAUCCAACAAGAUUUAUUUUAGUUUUCUUUUCGGUUUUUGAUUUUUGUACCUUUAUCUUGGCAUGGAUACUUUGAAACUAGUUUGGCUCAAUGAAAUGCUUUCAUUGAAGGAUAAGAUGACUACGAUUGUUCUUUUUUAUGAAGUUCAAUAUGGGGAUGAGGCAAUGAUGAAGGGCAACAUUCGUUCAUGAGGUUCCUGAAAACACAACUUUUGCGCAGUAAAAUUAAAAUGAAUCGUGGAAGAAAAUCAAUAAUAAAGACUGAAGUUUAAUUUUCUCACUAGGAGCUUUAAAAAAAGGUUCGUGAGGUAUGAGAAAAAGUCUAAAAAUAGAAAGUUACGAACAUUGUCCAAGAAACACACCUCUGCAUGAACAACUUCUAUUUUUGGAACAUUGUCCAAGAAAGACACCACUGCAUGAACAAUUUCUAUUUUUGUGUGAUUUGAGAUCCUUAAGACACCCCAAUUGUGAUGCCUCUAAUCGAACCAUACUUACGAAUUUUAUAGGAGUUCAUAGGAUUUGGAAUCACUAAAUGUUGUUUUGAAAUGAGAGAGAUAAUGAAGAAACAUGAAUGCUAGUUCAUGAUCAUUCAUUCCACCAAGUAAAGUCAUCACUAUCUUUUUAAUAAUGUCACCAAAUAUUAUCAUUAGCUAGACCUAUGCACUAAGUCAUUUUUUAUUAGAUGUGAUCUUAUCAGUCCAAAUCAUUUAUUUAAUCAAAUUAAUUUUAAACAAAUAAAUAGCCUAGUUACUUAAUUUUGUCUUUAACAAAUUAAGCUCAUUGAUCAAAUCAAAUGGUUAAUUGUGAGCUUAGUUUGUGACAUAUUUUUAUGCUUUUUCCCAAUCCAUAUUAAGUUCAAUAAAAGCCUAAAAUUUUGCAUACAAAAUUGGUCUAAAAGUCCAUAAUCAUUUAUAAACCGAAACAUGUCCAACAUGAUUAUUUUACAUGCUUGAUCUUAAACCUAAUGAUUGAUUAAGGAUUUAUUAAAUUUAUUUUGUUUCUUAAACUAUUUAUGGAACAUCAAAAUUUUAUCUUAAAUUGUAUUUAAGAUAUAUUCAUUCUUUAAAGAAUUAUAACAUAAAUACUAAUUUUCCUAAGAUUAGGAAAUUUAAUUUUCAUUUUCUAGUAACUGUUUUUUUGUUUUUAUUAGGUGUGUGACCUUUUAGGUUCUUUUGUUAUAAGGUAGUAGAAUUAUUUUAAGGGAAAAUAUCCACCGUCCACCCAUUUUUUACACCUUUUUCAAAAAUACACAAUUCCUUCAUUUUUUGGCUGGAAUCCACCCAAAGUUACAUUUUUUUUCACUUUUCCACUUCCGUUUGGAAUCUGUUAAGAAAACUAAUGGAAACUUAAAAAAAUGAUCAUUUUACCCCCAAAACGAAAAUUACAAUUUCACCUUAAAAAUUACAAAAAAUAAUUAGAUUAAAUCUAAUUAUUUUCCCCAUCGGUCAAUAAAUAAAUUAAUUCCACAACCAUCAAAUGCAGGUUUUUUUUUUAAAUAUGUCUGUAAUUAGAAUGCUAAAUUAUAACAGUAGUAUUAAAAAUAGCACAAUCUCACAAAUCAUCAAUUGAAUUUAAGAUAAAUAGAGUUUUAUUAUUAAUUGAGUUAUAAUCUCUAGUAGUUAAGAUUUUUUUGUACUUCAUUAAAGUACCAAUAGUGAUAUUCAUCAUUAAAUCUUAUUAUUUUUGGUAUUUUUUAAGGUGAAAUUGUAAUUUUCGUUUUGGGGGUAAAAUGGUCAUUUUAUUAAGUUUCCGUUAGUUUUCUUAACGGAUUCCAAACGGAAGUGGAAAAGUGAAAAAAAAUGUAACUUUAGGUGGAUUCCAGCCAAAAAAUGAAUGAAUUAUGUAUUUUUGAAAAAGGUGUAAAAAGCAGGUGGACGGUGGAUAUUUUUUCUUAUUUUAAUGAUAACUCUUUAUUCAUUAAAAACAUGCUGAACAUCUUGAAAUGUAAUUUAUGCAACCCAAGAGGAGGGGGUGAAUUGGGAUUUUAAAACUUAUGCUAAGCAAACCACACAACAAUUCAAUUUAAUGUCUUAAUGGAAUCGAAAACAAUAAAUUCAAUCAAGCACAAUAUUAAAAGAGUAAGGGAAGAGAAAACAAACACAAUGAUUUUUACGUGAUUCGACAAUCCUUGCCUACGUCCACACCUCCAAGCUCACCCGGCUUGAGGAUUUCACUAUCCAAGCCUCCAAUGCUUCAAAUGUUUACAAUUGACUUCCAAGGUGUCAAUGAACCUUUACAAUCAAGAGAUUAUCUCUCCAAUCUCUUCACCCCAAGUGUUUCUCACACUUGUACACUCACAAUUUGAUGAGAAAUGAAAAUUACAACAAUGAAACUCUUUUUAAGAGCAGAUAAACAAAUUAUAGCUCAAUGAUGAUUCAAUCUAUGAUGAUUUUAUAAUUUGGAAGCUCAAUAUAUGUUGUAUGAUCUUGUUUAUACUUGCAUUAGUUCUUAAAAUGAAGUUGGAGUUGAGUUUUUAUAGUUAAAGCCCGAAAACUAACCGUUAUAGGUAAAUUCCCUCAACCAAGCGGUUAGCCGCUUGAUUUAUCCGGCUAGCUGCUCAUAACAGUGAUAUUACCGUUAUUUUUAAAUUUUACUACAGUAACAUUGUUCACCAAAAUUACACUUUGGCAUAAAACUUUAUGUAAUUACACUAUGGCCCAACAUGUCAUAAAAUUUUAUAAAUAAGUCCAAUUUCAGAAUUUCUAAAUAAUACUUUUCAUUCCCAAGACUUUCUAAAAUUAUCACAAGGCCCCAAAUAUAAUAGUAUUUUUCAAAGAAGUCCUUUUUAAAAUUUUGCAUAAUAUCCAUAUUUUUCAAAGUUCUCAAAACCUUUCACUUUAGUCUAAAAUUUGAAAAUAUGAGAUUUUCCUAAGGCGCCAAGCCGCUAGCCUCAGCCGGUUAGCCGUUCACUCUAUCCAAUUUUGGAUUUCAAAUGUUUAGAUUACAUUCGGGUCCUCAAACUUUCAUAAAUUAUAGUAUGGCCCAAAACAUUUCAAAUAUUUGCAAAAAGGUCCAACUCUAGAAUUUAAAAUACGUAUUAAAUUCAAAGAUUGCAAAACUUUUUAUUUAAGUCCAAAUUACUCAAAUCCACAAAAUAUUCUAUCUUAUAAAAAUAAAACAUUUUAGUUUAUGAAAAGUAAUUAUUUAAAUUAAUCUCUUGAGUUUCUCAAAUGUUAAAUCAUGCAUCAAUUAAAUCAUACCGGUUUUAUAAGAAUUUAUUGCAAUAAUUUUUCCGUUGUGCUCUAAACUUUAUUCUUUAUUUUGCCACUAUCCGUUGAGUGUCUUCAACUUGAUGUCACUUGUAUAAAUAUUAUCCUUAAAAAAUUAGUGAAAAUGUGAAAUAUAAUAUUUAUUAAAUUACUUAAAACACAUGUUUGUUAUCAUCAAAAUUACAUUAUGUGUAGCCCUUUAGGCUAACACAUUUUAGUCAUCAAUUAGAACUUUCAAUGACCUCAAGAUACAUUGUUAAUACCCUUUAGUAAUAAUGAUCUUAAGUUUCCUAUUCAUGAGUGACACCUAACAGUAUUUCAUGACCAUCCAAAUAACAAGAAUUGUUGGAUCUACAGAACCUAUUCCAUUGUUUCUUUAUGUCUUGAUCUUUUCAUCAUUCAUGUUAAGAGAAAAGCAUGACUUGUGGUUUAGUGUAUUAAGCACUUAUGCUUUAUCUCGAAAUAAAUCUAAAUGAACUUGGCAUGAAAAAUAUAAUUUGAACUCUUUCAAAUAUAUUUCACCUUGGCAAAGGAUUUCUCAUGCCAAUCCAUAUUAAUUUACAUGGGACAUCCUUUGUCAGUAACAAAUGACAAAUAUUAUUAGUUUAAUAGGUAUGGUAUUGUCAUCGAAACCAGUGAAUAAAGACAGUUUACUCUAUAGUAAUUUUGUGAUUUGAAAUUCAUUAAGGGUGUUUGGGUGGAGCACUUGGAGUAGAAUAUAUUUUUGUUUUAAUUCUCUUCUAAACAAGAUCGUUGUAAAAUUUAGCAAUGGGGCCUUGGCAUUUCGAUCGGUCUUUACUGGUUGUUUCUCCUAUUGGAUAUGAACUUGCUAAAGUAGAGCAAGGGAUGAAUACCAAAUUAAAUGAUGGCGACUGGUAGCGUGCUAUUGGCAAUAGUGAUAAAAGUAAGGUGGUGAGCCAUGGGAGUUCACUGAAGUAAUGGUUGGGAAAUGGAGCCUGCUAGAGAUGACGAGAGUGCUCAUGAGAAAACAAGGAAAAAUUCGAUUAAGUUGCCCUCUCAUGCAACUCGUGAUACUAUUAUUUGAGAUUUUGACAAACAAGGUGUGUAUUAUGUUAAAUGAGGCUACAAAUUGGUUGUAACUCUCCAUUAUCUUCUAUUGCUAGGUUUCUUGUUGGUGAUAGCCCUUAUAGCUUGGAUAGGAUUGGCUAAUAUUCUUCUAGCUUUGGUUAAUUUAUUUCAAAAGAGGUAUCUGUGAAUGUAGAGCGUGUUUUAUAUGGCUUUAUUAUGGCAUUUAUGGAUGGAGGCCUCCUUAAUUGGUUUGCAAUCUCUGAGACUUUAUUUCAGAAAGUAAAUGGAGUAUUUUAUACGAGGGAGACAGUUUAAAAAAUAAAAGUUUUCCUUCUUAAAGCUCAUUUGGAACAUUUUCUAAAAAUAUUUAAAUUUUUUUCAUUAACAAUUCUACUUUGUUUAAUAAAAGUUAUCUUUAAUGUCAUUAUUAAUUUUUUACUAAAAGUUUUAGUUGAUAAUUAAACAACCAAAAUAUUUUUUAUUAAAAAAUAAAAAGUUGUUUAGAAGCUUCAUUAGGAGAAAAUUAGUACGGGGUGGAAAAAAAAACUUACGAACAUCUUAAACAGAAUCGAUUCAAUUAUCAACUUUUUUAUUUUUAUUUUUUUUGAAUAUUCAAAUGUUUGUCGUAACUUUUUUUUACUUUGCACUUUUUAGAACCAAUUCAUGUUGGAGAAAAAUCAGUUUUUAAAAAAUAAAACUUUUAGGAUCAAUCUCAUACAAUAUAUAAGAAUUUGUAAUCUAUAAAUCGUACCUUGAAAAUAUGAGAAUAUGAACAAUCUUUACUUUUUCCACUGAAGUGAUUUAGGCUCCCAAAUCACGAUCCGUCACCACUACUCCGGUUAGAUCACGAUCCGCCACCAAAUAAUCUUCCAGGCUAUAACUCAGGUUUGAUCUACACUUGACGUGUGGGCACCUUUAUCACCACUAAAGCAACUAACACGAGAAAAUUUUUCUCUCAAAAUUAGAGAGAAAAAUCUUUUUCUCAGAAUUGUAUAAUGUGGCCACUUUUUUUCUUUUGAGAGAAAAUAAACUAUUUUAUAUCUCUAUCUCGUGGAAACCCUACACUCUAUAUUUUUUAUUUUUUAAUUCUAUUAAAUCAAAUUUGAUUUAAAUUAAAAAAUAAAAAACGAAGGAAACGUUACUUGUUCUUGUGUUAUAAGGGCCCACCUUGUAAAAUAACACAAGGCCCCUUACACAUAAGCAUAUUACAUGGAGCUUCCCACUAAAUAAUAUAUUUAGACUUUUAACCCAAAUAGCUAGUUAUCUUACUUAUUAAUUCAGUAACAGCGCAAUCAAUUAAAUGAGCUAACUCGGGGAUCAUUUGGGAACAUACAAUAGUGGCUACAAUAAUUAGGUUUGUAAUUAAACUAACCCAAUUAUUUAAUUCCAAAUUUGCCCCACUAAAAGAUUGGAACUGACCUCUAUAAUUGUAUGCUCGAAUAAUAAUUUAUCCAAGUCACAUUGAUUUCUUUACUGCACAAUCCUUUGUACCUCAUUAUUAAUUAAAUCGAUAUCUCAAUUGUCCAAUCAAUUUAAUUACAUCUUGUUCCUUGAUUCUUACUGGUUUUCUCUAAUGAUCAUUUUCAACAUACUAAAUAUGUUGACACACUCUGGCCAGAGAAUUCUGAUCAAGUGCCGAAAACCCAUCAAGAGAUGAGUUGUACAAAUUCUAUACUGUCAAUCUAUAACUACAAUACUCAUAAUUGCUCCCACCAAGAUACCGGGUAAUCUUGACUAUAAGUAUGUGUCGUGUCCAUUGGUAACUCAAAUGAAAUAAGAACUACAAUCAUGAAAUCAUAAUUAACUCAAGAUUAAGAUUACAGUAAAAUCAAUGCCUAUGAGAUUUAAUAAGUCUGACAGUUAUUACAAAGUUAAUUAAAUCUCAUAUGUGAUCAUAUUCAAUGUAAUCAUACUACAUCAAUAAAUUCAUACAUAAUUAAGACAAAUCAUUCAAUAAAUUUAUUACAGUCUAUACCUAAAUAAAGUGUCAACUUUAUUUAUCAACUGCGAACUAAAUUUAUUUAAUUAUAAGAUAACUUUAUUUAUAUCUUCUGUGAAUCCACAUGGUGAUCACAUAAAUACAUACAAUAUGAUUAAAUGGACUUUGAAUUAAAAUAUUAAUGCAAUUAAGAUAUUUGAAUAAAAUGCCUCAUUUAUUUUAUUAAUAAGAAAAAAUGUUUAUUACAAUUAAAUAAACACAUAUGCUUUUAAAGAUCAUAUUUUCUCAACAAUCUCUCACUAGCUCUCAAAGCAUAUUUGACAUCUCACGCAUGCCCAUGGAUUCUAAGUGCAAGUUAAAAGGUUUCCCAGGUAUGGCCUUAGUAAAAAGAUCUGCCAAGUUUUAUUGUGACACAAUCUGAGUAACCUUCAUAUUACAUCUCUGCGCUAUAUCCCUUAUAAGAUGAUAUUUCCUCUCAAUAUGUUUUUGUUUCUUGUGGUUCCUUAGUUCCAUAGAUUGAGCUACCGCACCACUAUUAUCGCAAAAUAGUUUAAGGGUGCAGUCGCAGCAGGUACCACCUCAAGAUCUUGUAGGAACUUGAGGAGCCAUAUAGUUUUUUUUGCAACUUCGGAUGCAGCCACAUAUUCAACUUCAGUUGUGGAGUUUGCGAUACAAGAUUGUUUCACACUCCUCCAACUAAUAGCUCUACUUUCCCAUGUAAACACAUUGCCGAAAGUUUAUUUUCUAGAAUCCUAAUCUGACAUAAAGUCAGAAUCAGUAUAACCCACUGGAAUGAGUUCAUCACCAGAAUACACAAGCAUACAAUUUUUAAUUCUUUUCAAAUACUUCAUUAUAUGCUUGACCGCAGUCCAAUGUUUAGAUCCAGGAUUAGAUUGAUAUCUACUAACCAUCUCUACUGCAAAACAAAUGUCUAGCCUAGUAUAAAGCAUGGCAUACAUGAGACUUCCCACGGCUUUUGCAUAGGGAACUAAUCUCAUUCCCUCUAUCUCUUCAGAUGUUUUAGGUGAUUGAUCCUUAGAGAAUGUAAUUCCAUAUCUGAAUGGUAAUAAACCAGUCUUGAAAUUUUCCAUGCUAAAUCUAGCCAAUAUCUUAUCGAUGUAGACCGCUUGAGACAGGGCUAAAGUUUUAUUCUUCUAGUCUCGUAGUAACUUAAUACCAAGAAUAUAACUUACCUCUCCUAGGUCUUUCAUAUCAAAUUGUUUUGCAAACCAACUCUUUAUUGUAGUCAAUACUCAUAUAUCGUUUCCAAUUAGGAGCAUAUCGUUUACAUAAAGAACUUGGAAGGAUACAGAUUUUCCUUGAAUUUUCUUGCACACACAUGGUUCAUCAAUAUUUUGAAUGAAUCCAAACGAUUUAAUCGCUUAAUCAAAUCUGAUGUUUCAUGACUGGGAUGCUUGCUUCAAUCCAUAAAUGAAUCUUUGCAACUUACAUACCAUGUGUUCUUGGCCUUUUUGUAUAAAUCCAUCUAGUUGCUGCAUGUAGAUGUCUUCUUCAAGAUGUUCGUUAAAAAAGGCAGUCUUGACAUCCAUUUGCCAAAUUUCAUAAUCUAGCACUGCAGCAAUAGAGAGCAAAAUCCUGAUGGAUUUAAGCAUAGCAACUGGAGAAAAGGUUUCCUCAUAAUCGAUUCCCUCUUUCUGAGUAAACCAUUUGGCUAUUAAUCUUACUUUAAAUGUUUCUACCCUUCCGUCUACUCUUCUUUUUCUCUUGUAAAUCCACCUGCACUCUAUAGGUUUUACCCCAUUUGGCGCCUCUACAAGUUCCCAGACUUUAUUGGAAUAAAUAGAUUCUAUUUUUUGAUUCAUGGCCUUUUUUCAAAAUUCAACAUCUCUAUCUAUUAAAGCUUCAUUGUAGCUAGUGGGAUCUAGUACAUGUUCAUCUGAGAUAGCCAUAUAGGUUUCUCCUAAUAACAUGAAUCUCACGGGUAAUCUAGUUACCCUCCCACUAUGAUGAGGUUCUAAAAGUGGUGGUUGUUCAGGGAUAAUCUUGUGUUGAUCAGCUGGUUGUUGUUGUUCUUCCUAUUCUGUAACAAAUGUUGAAAGAUGAGUAUCAACCUGAUCACCUGACAGUUCUUCAAGUAUUACCUUACUCUUAGGUUUGAAGUCAUUCACAUAGUCUUCCUCAAGGGAAGUGAAAUGUGUGCUCACUAUCACUUUCCUAUUUCGAGGACUAUAAAAUAAACCUCCCAUUGUUCCUUUGGAAUACCCCACGAACACACAAACCUCAAAAUGUGAAUCCAUUUUGUCUGCCUUUGGUUUCAGCACAUGUGCUGGUGAUCCCCAAAUACGGACAUGUCGUAAACUUGGUUUGCGACCUAACCAUAAUUCUAUUGGGGUUUUAAGCACUGACUUAGAUGGAACUAAGUUCAAGAGGUAAACUGCAGUUUCCAAUGCUAGUCCCCAAAAAGAGAUUGGUAAUGAUGAAUAACUAAGCAUAGAUCUCACUAUAUCCAAAAUAGUUCUAUUUCUCCUUUCAACUAUCGCAUUUUGUUGUGGUGUUCCUGGGACAGUCAACUGAGAUAUAAUCCUAUUUUCAACCAAAUAUUCUUUAAAAUCUCCUGAGAAAAAUUCACCACCUCGAUCGUAUCGAAGUUUCUUUAUGUUAUUAUCUAAUUUCUUUUUUGUCUCAGCCCUAUACUAUUUGAAUUUCUCAAGAGCUUCAGACUUGUGACGCAUCAGAUAAACAUAAUCGUAUCUCGAGUAAUUAUUAGUGAAAGUGAUGAAAUACUCAUAACCUCCUCGAGCUUGUAAAUUGAUUGGUCCAUAUACAUCUGUAUGUACUAAUUCAAUUGGUACUGUUGCACGUAAUCCUUUGGCUGAGAAUGACCUUUUGGUCAUUUUUCCUUCUAAACAGGAUUCACAGAGUGGCAAUGAUUCAUUUUCUAAUGGACUCAAGAGCUCAUCUUUGAUAAUUCUUUGUAUCCUAUUUUAGUUUAUAUGACCCAAGCGUAAAUGCCAGAGGUAACAUUGGUUGAAAGAAAUAUUUUUUUUCUUAGAUAAAUGUGUAUGCUCAUCAUUAUUGAUCACUAUGUCAUGCAUAGAAUAGAUCAUUGGACUUAAAUGAUAUAAAUUAUCUUCCAAUAAACCAGAACAAAUAAGUCUCUUAUUAUAAAAAAUAAAAGCAGAAGAUCCAAAAUUUACAGUGUACCAUUUCUUUAACAAACAAGCUACUGAAAUUAAAUUUCUCUUAAUGUCUGAAACAUAAAGACAAUUAUUCAAAACUAAAGUCUCAUUAUUAAAAGAUAAUAAAACAUAUCUAAUCUUCACUGCUGACACGAACUGUCUUGUCCCUAACUACAGCUUGACGCUUCCUUCACUUAUUUUCGUGGUUUCCUGAAACCAAUAAAGUGAAUUACAAAUAUGAUUAGUUGCUCCUGAAUCCAACACCCAAGUGUCAAUAGGAUUCUGAACUAAACAGACCUCAAUUACAAAAAGAUUUUCCAUACCUGAUUUCACAAUCUUAGGGCAAUCCUUUUUCCAGUGACCUUUUUGUCCACACUUGAAGCAUUUGCCUUUCGACUUGCCAUCUUGCUUGGUAAACGGUCUCUUUUUCCCAGCUUUCUUCUUGCCUUUACCUUUUGGCUUAGGUCUAGAAGAAGAACCUUUUUCAGCAAUAUUUAUGCUUUCUAGAGAUUUCUCAACACAAUAGAUCUCUUCAGUAAAAUGAAGUUCGUUCAUCAAUUCAGUUAAGGUCAUGUUUCUUUUGUUCAUGUUAUAAUUGACCUUAUACUCUUUGAAUGUUUCUGGCAAAGAUUCUAGCACCAUAUCAAUCUUUGAGUUAUCAUCGAUUUGUGCUCCUUGAAUCUCAACCUUAUUUAAAUAGUCCAUCAUUUUAAGGACAUGAUCACGAACUCUUGUGCCCUUCCCCAUUUUAUUUUUCAUAAUUCCUUUCAGCGCUGCUUGUCUCGCGGAGCGAGUACUCUGCCCGAACAUCUGUUGGAGACUAUCCAUUAUUUCAGUGGUAGUCUCCAAGUUUUGAUGUUUGGUCUGCAAAAUAUUAGAAAUCGAGGCUAAAAUGUAGCAUUUUGCCAUUUCAUUAGCCUUUUGCCAUUUCUCAUAAAGCCUCCUCUGAUUUCUAUGAGCAUCUUCCGCUGGAACUGGAGGGCACGGCUGGGUUAAGACAUAUUUAUAAUUUUCAACAGUCAGGACAAUGAAUAAAUUUCUUUUGCAAUCUAUAUAAUUCUCCCUAGUGAGUUUGUUUUGACUCAGAAUAAUAGUAAGUGGGCUCAUGGAGGACAUUUUCUGAAAAAUAAAGCAUCCAUGCAUAAGUAAUUGAAAUAAUAUUCACAAUAAAUGACAAAAGUGCAUAAAACCAUAAAUACAUUUUAAUUUAUUGUAACGAUAAUCUAGUACCGCUUUGACAAGCUAUCCGUUGGGGAAGUCAUGUCUACACUUAUGAGACCCAGUUACUCAUUGGAUUAUUUACUUUCAUGUAGAGACAUAAUAAAUAAUUAUCGUUAUCCUUUUGGGCUUAAAUGUUUUAACAGAGCUUCGUUGGAAAAGUUAAUAACAAAUUUUAGUUGAGUGUAUAACCAUUGUUUCAAUCUACGUAUUUUUCAAUAUUAAUAGUCAUCGUUGGGGUGAACAAUUGAUUGAAAAAUAUUUUAAUUUUAUAUUUGAAGAAGUUCAUCAAAUAAAAUAUCUAAUAUAUAUACCCUCUGAAGGAGCAUCACGGUAUCAUGAAAUCGAGGUAUAUAUAUAAUUUUAUUAUUGAACUAACAAUGGAGCCCGUGGGAAAAUUAUCUUGAAUUUUCCUCUCCCACUCAAUAUUUUAAAAUUGGUUUAUCCUUUUAAAACAUACAUUAGUUAUAUUGUUAAUUGCAUGCUUCCUAAAAUAUUAUCUAGAUGAUAUCUAAUAUUAUUUAAGCAUUUACAAAUUACAAACAAUAUAAUGAGAUUCAUAAUUAAUGAAUGACAUGUAUCAUUAUGCAUAGAGUGGCAUUACUUAUUGUACAUGACAUGUUAUCAUGGCAUGUUAUCAUCCAAAACAUAACAUAUAGAAAAAUAAUUAAAUAAUAUUAAUUCAUGGCUUUCCUAAAAUGAAAAAAUACAUUAACCCUAAGCUUAAUCUUCAUUGGGCUUCUUGUCAAUGUCCAUCUUCCAUAAACUUGUCUUUGUUAAUAGAUUAGGGAAAAUUGAACUUUUAAAUUUAUUAUUGGACCAAUUUUAAUUUUUAAAGGAAAUACAUAAAUAAUUAAAAAAUUUCAUUAAAAUAAAACUUUUGGACCAAAAAUAAAUUUAAUGUGUUCAAUUUUAUAUAUGCAUCUUAAUCCAUUAAGCUCAAAUUUCAAUUGAGCCUAAAACUAGAAUUCAUUAAGCCCAAAACUAUUUUUGGACUUAUAUACAAAUAAUUAAAACAUUUUUUCCCAAAAGAAAAAUUAUGAAACCAUAGAAACCUUAAUGAUAAAAACCAAAAAACCCUAAAACCAUAUUUUUCUUUUCCUCCUUCCCCAGCCGCCAUCUAUACAAAACAACCACUGUUCAGACCUUUCUCACCGGACAGCCGCCAUCAACGCCGAGUUUGCCGUCGCCAAGUCACCGGGAAGCCGCCACCUUCCGCCAGCAGCGAACGCACGCACGCGACCAGCACUUGCCCGCGCUGCUGGCAGCGUUGCUUGCAGCCUGCUGUUGCCGCGCGCGCUGCUCGCGGCUUGCUGUUGCCGCACGCGCUGCUCGCGGCCUGCUGCUGGCCUUGUUGGCCGCGCACGCUGCUGCAGUGCGUGCUGCUGGCAUGCGCUUGCAGCGUGUGCUUAGAUCGGUGUUGCUGCUGAAAUUUUCGGCAUUCUGUUUCCUUUGAUCUCGUUAUUCCGAUUAUUAUUCUCCUGUAUUUACAAAUUUCCUAGGUCAGUUUUUGCUUACAAAGUUUUUAUUACAGUAAAAUAAUUCAAGAGGAAACAUGGUGAUAAAAAGUCAUCUCUUUUUUUAUAAAUCUAAACGAAAAAUACAGUAAAAAAUCUAAUCAUGAAUUAAAAUAAAUUAUAACACAUUUUAUUCACAUAUUAAUAAAUAAUAUAUAUCUAAAUAAGUUGUGCCACUCUAAUGCAUAAAUAUCAAGAUAUAUUUCAUACGAAAUUCUUAUAUAUUAAUAUGAGACAGCUAUGAUAUCAAUUGUUGGAGAAAAAUUAAUUUUUUAAAAAAUAAAAUUUUUAGGAUCGAUCUCAUACAAUAUAUAAGAAUUCGUAAUUUAUAAAUCGUACCUUAAAAAUUUGAGAAAUUGAACAAUCUUUGCUUUUUCCACUGAAGUGAUUUAGGCUCCCAGAUCACGAUCUGCCACUAAAUAAUCUUUCAGGCUAUGACUCAGGUUUGAUCUGCACUUGACGUGUGGACGCUUUUAUCACCACUAAAGCAACUAGCACGAGAAAAAUUUUCUCUCAAAAUUAGAGAGAAAAAUCUUUUCCUCAGAAUUGUAUAAUGUGGCCUUUUUUUCUUUUAUGAGAAAAUAAGUCAUUUUAUAUCUCUAUCUAAUAGAAACCAUAGGCUCCAUAUUUUUAUUUUUUAAUUCUAUUAAAUCAAAUUUGAUUUAAAUUAAAAAAUAAAAAACAAAGGCAACGUUAUUUGUUUUUGUGUUAUAGGGGCCCAUCUUGUAAAAUAACAUAAGGCUCCUUACACAUAAGCAUAUUACAUGGAGCCUCUCACUAAAUAAUAUAUUUAAGCUUUUAACUCAAAUAGCUAGUUAUCUUACUUAUUAAUCCAGUAGCGGCUCAGUUAAUUAAAUGAGCUAACCCGGUGAUUAUUUGGAAUAUACAAUAAUGGCUACAAUAAUUAAGCAUGUAAUUAAAUUAGCCUAAUUAUUUAAUUCAAAAUCUACUCCACUAAAAGAUUGGAACUGACCUCCAUAAUUGUAUGCUCGAAUAAUAAUUUAUCUCAAGCCACAUUGAUUUCUUUACUGCACAAUCCUUUGUACCACAUCAUUAAUUAAAUUGAUAUCUCAACUGUCCAAUCAAUUUAAUUACAUCUUAUUCCUUGAUUCUUACUGAUUUUCUCUAAUGAUCAUUUUCAACACACUAAAUAUGUUGACACAUUCUGGCCAGAUGAUCAAGUGUCGAAAACUCAUCAAGAGAUGUGUUGUACAAAUUCUAUAUUGUCAAUCUAUAACUACAAUACUCAUAAUUGCUCCCACCAAAAUACUGGGUAAUCCUGACUACAAGUAUGUGUCGUGCCCAUUGGUAACUCAAAUGAAAUAAUAAUUACAAUCAUGAAAUCAUAAUUAACUCAAAAUUAAGAUUACAGUAAAAUCAAUACCUAUGAGAUUUAAUAAGUCUGACAUUUAUUACAAAGUUAAUUAAAUCUCAUAUGUGAUCAUGUUCAAUGUAAUCGUACUAAAUCAAUAAAUUCAUACAUGAUUAAGACAAAUCAUUCAAUGAAUUCAUUACAGUCUAUAUCUAAAUAAAGUGUUCAACUUUAUUUAUCAACUGCGAACUAAAUUUAUUUAAUCAUAAGAUAACUUGUAUUUAUGUCUUCUGUGAAUCCACAUGGUGAUCACAUAAAUACAUAUAAAAUGAUUAAAUGGACUUUAAUCAAAAUAUUAAUGCAAUUAAGAUAUUUGAAUAAAAUACCUCAUUUAUUUUAUUAAUCAGAAAAUUUAUUUAUUACAAUUAAAUAAACACAUAUGCUUUUAAAGAGCAUAUUUUCCCAACAAUUCAAACAUAUAUUGAGACUCCAUUUGAUAUAAUUUCUCAAAUAUAAUUUAUUCAAAUAGCCUUUACAAGUAGAAUUUUAACCAAAAAUAUUUGAUUUGGCUAGUUAAUGAGAGACUUUAUAUAUAUAUAUAAUAUUACUUUAAUAGGUAACUUUUUUAAAAGUAAUAUUAUAAAAAAAAAAGAAAUAAGACUGUUUAAAAUUUUAAAAAAAUUUCUAACCUCUACUUAUAAAAGUUCAAAAUUUAAGUUUUUAAUAAUAAAGACAAAAUAACUUAUUUAAUUAUCAAAAGCUUUAUUCAAAAUAUACUAAACAACAAAAAAAAAUUAAUUUUUUUUAAAAAAUUAAAUAAGUAUUUUUAACCAUUAAAAACUAUAUCAAUUAACAAACGUUGCACUAAACCGAUAAACCAUUCGUUUCAAAUGAUAGGAAUGAACUGAACUCAGGCUCUCGGCUUGGCUUUAGUUUCCGCGAAUGUUUGUCAAACCUUCGGGAAAGACAGGCCUUAAAGGCCCAUUACAAGUGUCUGCCUUUGGGUAGUUGGGCAGCCCAUAAUUACCUUAUGGGCCUUGCAGAAGAACCUAUUUAAAAGCCCAACAGAGAAAAUGGAUUUUGUGCUUGAAUUGAUCUGGUUUGCCAAAAAAGGAACAAGAUUUGCGGUGGUCCAAUUAUUUGAAAAAAUAGAGCAUGUGGUCCAAUUAAAAUGGGACUUACCAUAGUCUGUCCCACAAUCCUCAACCUCCAAAACUAGCUUUAUUGCCUGCUUGAUUCAGUAUGAAUGGGGUUCAUACAUUCAUUUGCAGGCGUCUUGUGCUCUUAUUUUUAAUUCAUUUCAUUUUAGGUUCACAUCAGGUAUUUCUGAGCUGAAACAGGCCUUUCCUUUUGACUAGAGUGCUUUUGGAAAGUGUUUUCAGAUACAAUCUUAAAAUCCAUUUCACAAGGGAAAUGGCCCAUUCAAUAAGUUGAUAAUAACAGAUGAACAAUGAAGUGCUUGUGAGUAACAUCAAUACCAUAUCCCCAUGCCCUCUCAAUUCUGCAUGACAUAUCUUCCUCUUCAUGAAUGCCUCAUCAAUCCAUGCAACCAACACAACACAAGCAUUAAAUUCACCGCCUCAAUCAACUUCACCAUACAUAAACUUACUCGUCUCCUUUUAAUUCAUUCACACUGUUCUUGUGCAGUGCAAGAAUUAGUGGAGAUAAAAGUUUUUUUCUGCUUAUUAAAUCAAAAGCCCCGCACUGAAUCUGACCUCCCAAAAUAAAUAAAUAGCAAUUUCAAUUUCACCUAAUAAAAGAAAUAUAAGAAUCCACUAAAGUGUGUUUUUCUCUUUUAGUCUCUUUUCAUGAAAUAAAUGGUUAAAAUAUUUUUUUCACUUUAUUUACUUUUUUUUUUAAUGGAAAGUAAACAUUUCAUUCCACAAUAACAACACGAUUAAUUACAUUCUGCAUGGCUGCUGAUAUUGUUUCAAGGCAGACAGCAGCUGAAGUAUUCCUUAAACCAAAUUUUACUAAGGCAUGGGCAUGCGCAUUACAGAUUCUAGGGACAAAAGAAAAUUGGAUAUGCGCAUUACUUUAUUUACUAUUAAACUAACCCUUUUUUACUAGAUUUGAAAGAGUAAGAGAGAUUAAGGGGAAAAAAAAAAACACUGAAGAAAGAAUCACUCCACAUAAGCCAAAGUACAUUCACAUGUCUUUGUUUUAUUGUGGAAAAAAGAUAAAUCUCAUCAACUUGUUGCCUCCAGUUGGAUCUCCACCAACUACUACUUCAACUCUUUAUCCACACAACCACAAUACUAAUAGUACAUGAUAAUGCUUUGUUUAUAAGCCAAACUAUUUGUAGUGAACUGAACACUCUAUGUGAAGUUCAUCUCUUUUUAUCUCUACAAAAUCUUGGUACCAUGAAUCCCAUUUUCAGUUUCUUGGUUAUUUCAUUUUUGUUUAUUAAUAACACACACUCCUUGAAAGUUCACCGUCCAAAACCCAAUAAUAGUAAUGCUCAAAUCACUGUAAUGGGCUUUGUGUAUUGUGACAUUUGCUCCAACAACAGCUUCUCCAGGCACAGCUACUUCUUACCAGGUAAAUAACAAAAAAAAAAUCUCAACAACCCAUUAAAAGUUUCAAUUGAAUUGAUUGUUUUAAUAUGUGCUACAUUGUUGUUAAACCAGGUGCUGAAGUCAAAGUUGACUGCAAAAUUAGAGCAAUUUCGCCAAGAAUAAGAGAGCAAAUAUCAUUCACAGUGAACAGGACAACAAACAGGUAUGGAAUAUAUAAGCUGGAGAUACCGUCAGUUGAGGGGAUAGCAUGUGCAGAAGCAGCCAUUGCAUCUUCAUGCCAGGCAAGUUUGAUGUGGAGUUCAAGUACUUCGUGUAAUGUUCCUGCUUACAGAACCACAACAAAUCAGAUAGCUAUCAAAUCCAGGAAACCAAAUCUCUGUAUCUACAGCUUAAAUGCAUUGACUUUUAGACCAUCAAAGAGAGAUAUCACUCUCUGUGGGAAUUAAUUAAUCUGAAAGAACACUUUUCAGCUUUUUCAUUUUGUUGUCAAUACAUCUAAUGUCGAAGUAAAUAUUUGCUUGCUGUGGUUUAGGGAUCUCGUUGUAUUGGAUGCGACUCUUGGGUUAAUGUAAGUUAGAACAUUGCAUAACUUAGCCACACCGGAGACAAACGUAAAUUCAUUUUGUUAUUCAGAUUAAACUGUUGUCACAAUAAUGUAUGAAAUUUAUGUAGUAUUUGAAGAAUUUAUUAAGAAAAUGAAAUGAAUAUGUUUAGCAUUUUGAGAAUUGAAUUAAUUUUCAGAAGCUAUACAUCAAUAUCCUGUCUGAUUUUUAGGGAGUUCUGUACGGUUCUGUAAAGUGCAAAAAUCUUUUCAGGAUGUUUUUACACGGACAUCGGGGAUGAUUUUUAACUAGCUUUUAAGCUUUAAAAAAUUUAAUUAGGGUAUCUUAUAAAUUCAUUAACCCACAAAUAUGCCAUCCAUAUUUUGCAGAAUUUCAGUCUCAGCUAAUUCAUGUAUCAAGCAUGUUAUUAAUUUUCACUUCAUAAAAUUUAAAAUGGAUUCCUUGUACCUUGUAGCACCGUUAUGUUAGUCUUUUCUUUCCUCUACUCAAUUAUAUAUUGAUUAGUCCCAAAAUAUGUUCCCAAUUGCAUAUAUUAGAACGCUUUUUUAUUGUAAAAAUAUCAAUGUCUUUAGUGUCAUGCCGAUAAGGACAUAACCAGGAAUUUAAUUUCAGUUGGGCAAGAAAUUCCAGGAACAGUAUCCUGCUCGAAUCAUAGUGAUUAAUGUGAAGGAUUAGUGAAUUUCAUUUUUGAUGCUUUCACAUUUUAAGUUGUUAAACGAACAACUGAUGCAAAUAAUCUCUAGAUCAUAAAUGGGUACACAACAACAAUAUAACCCAUCCACAAUAAAUAAAUUAAUAAAGAAUGCAGAACAUAGUUUAAAUCACAAGGAAGAAACAGAAAAUAUUUGCCAGUAAUACAGAGUCCAGGUGGACCUUCAAUUCCCAUGAAGACCUUUUAUGAAACUUCCAUCUUUUGCUGGUUAACCUCUAGAUGGUACUAGGCCUUGCAUAGUGCUUUUCUUUUCCCACAGCACAUAAAUAAACAUAAUUCACAGAAAAUGAAAUUGAACCACAACAAUGCAACAUAAUGAAAGUAGCAUGCAGCAUGAUAAAAAAAUGAUCUCGAAUCUCUAGAGAGCCAUAAGUUCCUGGAAGAUCUUCAUUGCAGAAGCAGGCAACCCCAGAAGCACAUUGAUGCUUUUCCUCUCUUUGCCAUGAGAUAGGAACAGACUCACUUCCUUCUCGGGCAGCGCCACCGGCCCCGAUAGAACAGGCUCUCCCCAUCCAAAGUCAGUAGUGUGGAAAGAUAGCCUUGACCAAGUUGUUAUCAAAAGAGUUGAAGACAGAGAAGGCCUAGCUCUUGUUACUUCAAAAUAAUCAAUGGCAGAUCUCAUGUAAAUGUCAUUGACCAUCUUAAUGGCAUCCUGAACUUGCCCCACAGCAAAUGAUAAUGGUUUUUCCGUCAGCUCACCAGCUUGGCAUAUGGAGUUUGUCAACACAAUUCCAUUGCCGAAGUAGCCUUUCGGCAAUGGUGGAUUGAAUUUCGACCUUCCAUCAACAGCAAAGAGGAGCUUUGUUUGUUGAUGGGGCAGAAACUUUAGUGCCUUGGUUCGAGCCUUCCACACAAAUGCUGAGAGUGCUUCAAAAGUGCUGCACUUGUCAAGAACUUCAUCUUCCAUGGCAAUCAUUUUGAUCUUUUCUAGCUUUGCGGAGUCAAAACAGAAGGACCUGUAAAGCAUUUCAUCUUUGUAGAGUUCACUAGUGCCAGACUUGUCUUCUAUUUCAGCAAAUUCUUGGUGCAGGUCCUCAAUCUUUGGAGGACUCCGCGCUUUGAGUAUGCUUCGGUCUAGGAAUGGAGGAAUCUUCAGGGGCAAGCCUCUGGCUGUUUCAGCCCAUGCGUUCACAAAUUCCAUAGCGCCAAUGCCAUCGAACAUACAAUGGUUCAUGCAAAGCCCAAGAACAAAUCCCCCACAUUUAAACCUGGUCACCUGAAAAAGUUUCAACUAAAAUCAUACUUCUAUUGCUGAAAAAUGACUAUGAUGCUAACAUAACAUGAAGAGGAAUGUGUUAAAUUAAGUAUAAAAACCUGAGCAGCAAGAGGAGGCAUUUCUAGUAUGUUCUUUGCACCGGGAAUGUCAUAAACCAGCUUCCCAAGAGUCUCAGGAUCAGGCUUUGUUAUGUCUCCAAUCUUUUCAAGUACACAGUUUGCUUCAGCUUCAACAAAAACAGCCCCUUCCCCAGUACAAUUUAUGAUAAGCUUCCCUUCCGAGCUUAUAGUUAGCCUGCCGGCAAGAGGGUAGUAAUGAACAAGAACCUUUUCAAGGGCAUUCUUGAUCACUUCUCCAGCUUUUUCAUUGCCUUUCUCAUCUGACUUGAAGCAAUAAAUUGUUCGGACGAUCACAGCAAUGUUUUGAUCAAGGUUUGACAGGAAGUAGAGACCCUUCUCUGUGUCCUCUGCAGGCUUAACCAAAGUUGGCUCACCUUGCUUCACGUUGAGCUCGAUUGCAUGGCCAUUAGUGUUCUUCAUCACUACCGUCUCUUCAAGCUCCAAAACCUGAAAGCACAGGUACAAGAAAGCAACAUCAAAGAUGUUAUAUUAUAAAGUGCACGUUGAGCAUACAAGGAUUUAUUAAAUGAUUGUAACAAACCAUGUGAACAAGCUGAAGAGAGACAAGAGAGUUUUGAAAGUAACUGAAGAUAAUGCUCAGAACUUCAAGGGAGAAAUUCCCAAAUUGAUAAUCAAACACACAAGGCUUGCAUUCAAACCUGAUGUUCAGAUUUAUCAGAAAAUUUGUAAUGGUCACAUAACUGGCCAAAGGAUGGGGGAGAUAUAUAUGGAAAGUUUGUGGACCCUUGCUUCAUAUUUCUUUUGCUUAUUUAGGCAAAUAAAAAUUGUAUGAGAGGGACAAAUGUUAGUGUCUGAUUGGAUUAGUAGAUCCACCAUAGUUUUGGUAGUUGAAUUAAAUUGUAAAAAGAGAGAGAAAGAUUUGCUUUCUUAAAAUACUUUUGGACGUGGCCCCUUUUUUUUAAGUUUUAGUUUUGGUCAUAUGGGUGGGAUUAGGCCACUUAAUAGGACCUAACAAGGAGACAGAGUCUGUUUGUGCAGCCCCCUGUUUGGUGAGGUUGGCAUCCCAAUUUGCUUGAUUACUGAUUACUCUUUAUUAUCCUGGUAAUCAAAAUUAUUGGGCAAGACAAAGUCAUAUGGAGCUAAACAAGUAUGCCUUAAAAAAUUACUAAGCUUAGAGUGAUAUGAUUGAUUCAAAAUCUAGCCACAAGAAUGUCUUUUUCUAAAAUGAUACGAGGAGUUUUUAACCAUUUUUUUUUUUUUGGGGUCUUGGAAGAAACGGUUUUAAUUGAAAUUAACAUAUUUAUAUGUAAUGCUUUUAUGAAAAUCCUGAUUCCACCACUGUGUAGAAGAGUUGGCAAUCUCGAGUGUUAAAUUAGCUUCGAAAUUAAACCAUAAAAUGGAGCGAGUCCCUCCUCUAAGGCAAAAGUUGUAAGUUAAUUAGUUUAAAGACAAAAAAAUUGGCAAGAGAAAGGUCAUUUGUUAUUACGAGUAUUGAUGAAUAUUCUUGUUCAACACGAGGGGCAAAUUCUGUAAUAUGGUGAGCACCAACCCAGUGGCCGGUGCUGCUGAUUUCAGUGUCUGUAAAAAAGAAGAAACGUCAGCUAUUCAAGUUUAUGAUUGGUUGUUCAUCUAACCAUGAUUUACUAACGAAGCAGUGUGCGUCCAUAUACCUGAUUGCAACGUCUCAACGAAUAUGGUGUACAAAUUGAAAAAUCAAAGUAAAAAUUAAAAAAUGAGAAAAAAAUAGAGUUCCGUAAACCAAAUGCACUAAAAAAAUAUCUUUGGCUAGGUUGACUCUCUGUUUUGAUCCAAGAAAUUUCAAAACAGGCUUUCAGUAGCCCCAUUGAUGCAUCAACAUAAUGCAUACAACUAGAUAGGUUUUUUAAUUUUUGAGAGUUGAGACCUUCACAAAUUUACAAUCCUCCACAAGUUUUAUAUUUUAGUUUGUAAAGUUAUGCGCUCAAAGUUGCAUACAAGAACAACCCAAUGUUAGCUUCUUCUGCAUUUUUUUUUUAAUAUCGUGAUUUGAUAGCUUUUGGUUUCAAAAUAAUAUAAUUAAAUUUAGUGAAAUUAUCUCUCCACCACUUUUCUUUUGUCAUAUGUACAUCUAAUUAUCAUAAAAUUUUGACACAUACUUUACACCACUUUUAUUUUUAAGUUUGUAUCAAUCAACCAUUUUGACACUAAAAAAUAACUAUUUUAUCCCUAAAUGAAUUAAAAGACUAUUUUUUUCUACACGAUUUUAAAAAAUAAAAAACUAUAAUUAUAAGAAUAUCUUUGAGUUUAAUAAAAGAAAUAAAUCAUAAAUCCAUUAUGUUAAUUUUUUUAUAAUUAUAAUUUCAUUUAAAAAUGAUCAUAUUAAUUUUUUAUAAUCAUAAUUUCAUUUAAUUUGUAUGGGGAGUUUCUUAAUAUUAAUUAUAUGGAAGUUUACAAUAAUUAUAGGGAGCUUUUAUCUUCAUGUUAAUUAUUGUAAAUUUCCUUAUAAUUAAUCUAAUUACAAAAAUUAAAUAAAAUUAUAAUUACAAGAUAUUAUUUUUAUAAUCAUAAUUUUAUUUAAAAAUUAUCAUUUUAUAUUUUGAGAUUUUUUAUUUUAUUGAAUUUAGGGGUAUUCUUAUAAUUAUAAUUUUUUUAUUUUUCAAAAUUUUGUAGAAUAAAAUAGUUUUUUAGUGUCAAAGUGGUUGAUUGAUACAAAUUUAAAAAUAAAGACGGUGCAAAGUAUAUGUUAAAAUUUUGUGGUAGUUAGAUGUACAUAUGACAAAAGAAAAGUGGUAUAGAGAUAAUUUCUCUUAAAUAUAAAUCAUACAAAUACAUUGUUAUAGAUAUCUUGUGUGAUAGACGAUUAUAAACCUAAACUGCACAAUUCAGCUCGCCAUUGGAUAAAAAAUUCACUUGAGGAAUUGAGUUUAGCUUCUUAAGUAAAUAAAAUGUUAGUACAUCUUUAGCAUUAGUAGUAAAUUUGCAUUAAGGAUGGUAAAAUGUCAGGCUCAGGCUGGGCUUGCAAAGGUUGAGUCCCGUCCAAGCAUGUCUUUUGUUGGGUCAGGGAAAAAAAGGCCUGAAUUUUAUGUUGUCCUUUUUUUAAAAAAAAAAAAAUUGUUAUAUGCACAAAUUUUUAAUUUUUUUUACUAGAUUAAGUUUUAAAAUUUGGGCUUAAAGUAUUUUUAAAAUUUAAAUAUAAGUUAUGAGUGGAUUAAAUAAAUAUUUAAACAUGUAUUUUAAUUAAAAUAGAAUAUAUAUUUUUAAAUUUUUUUUAUGUAUUUAAAAGGCUUUUGGGCCGGACUCAGAUCUUUUAAGUGAAUCCAAGCUCAGCUAGAAACAUCUGAGCCGGGCCUGAUAUUCUGAAAUCCCUAAUUUCACUCUUAUUGGGCCUAGAUUUUCAGAUACUACUCUCUAGAAACGCUAGAGCUCCUAACACCCCUAUAAAAUUCUUAUGAAGCCCCAUUUCUUUUCUUUUUCUUUUUUUUUUCAAUUUUCUCAUCACUAAUUCAGAAUGAAGAUAAAAUUUUCGCCUACCGUCUUGUUUUCUUACCCUCUGCACACACAAAUUUUCUGUCUAUAAUAAAAUAUAUUUAAGGUUGUUUUCCCCUCUUACAAAAACCAACAUCAAUACUCAAAUUAAUCUUGAAUUGCAACCUAAGCAUUAAACUCCCAGAUUAGGAAUGGUCCGAAUGGAGCCUGACCUAAGCCUGGGUGCAUAUUUUAUAAAUAUUUGAGUCGGGCUUGGACUUCACCCAAAAAUUCUAAACCCAGUCCGAAUGUCUAGAAGUACUUUAAAAUUUUAAAAGAUAUACUAUUUAAAUUAAAAUAUAAAAUUUUAACAUAUACUUAACCUACCCAUAACAUAUAUUUAAAAUUUUAAAAAUUUAAGUCAAACUUUUAGAGCCCUAAUCUAACAAAAAACUAAACUUUAUAAACUAUAAAUUUAUAAUACAUAGUAAAAAAAAAAUAACAAAGAAUACAAAAUUCAGGUUUUUGACGCGGCCUGACAAAAGGCAUGCGCCGGCUUUGGCUGUUGCCAAGCCUGACAUUUUGUCAUCCGAAUCUCAAACCCAGAAACCCAUAUACGAUCCAGUAAAAGCGUCGCAAUCCGAACCACCUACAUCACAAACACAGCUUCUUAGGAUCCUUCCCUCCUCUGCAAUUUACCGUCAUCGCAAUGCUACACUUCAACCAUGAAUCCGCUUCUAAUUAGAAAUUCCCAACUUUAAAAUAGUCAAGCAAAAGUUAAAAGACAAAAAAAUAAAAAUCUCAAACACUGCAGAAAAAAAAACUCUACAAUAUAACAUAUAUUUUUUUGUUUUAUUGUUUGUCCCUAACUUUAUUAAUCCCUAAUUGAAAAAUUAUUCCUCAAACAUUCAACCCCACGGCAAUUUACAAAAAAAAAAAAAUCGAAUAAACUGGAAAAAAAUCAGAUGCGUGCAUGAAGAUGAACAUUCAUCGUUAAUUACCCAAUCUUAGACUUGGAAUUUACUUUAUUUGGAAGAAAAUAACAGCAGGAAGUAAAACAAUCGGGCAGAAAGUCAUAAUCCAGCUGAGAGGCUAGUUCUAAACUCAGCUGAUGUAUAUUACAACAAGCUUUGGGAAUAUACAAAAUGAAAACCGUUCUUUAUUUUCAGUUUUCUGACCACAAGAUUACACCAAUGAAGCAAUCUAAUGCUAUCAUCUUCUGAUAUCUUUCCAAUAGGCUUACAGAUGCCAGCAAGGGAUGCACCAAUCUUGAGUUUCAACACAACUCGUUACAGCUCUUGAAACACCUUUCUCAUCUAUUGAUUUCUCUACCAUGCUUUUGCUCAUAACGCUAUCAGAGAGAAUGACAACAGUUAAUAGUGUGACAAACUACGUCAGAAAGUCAAGACGGACCACACUUGCUUAGACAAGCGAUUCCUUCUUCCAAGUAAUCAUCUCUACUGAUCCAAAACUCAGGUGCAUCCUGCAUGAUCAUCCAUCAUAUCUACUUCUUAGAUUAUAAAUAGUAGGAAGAGAAUGCUAGAAACACUUUAGGUUGCAACAAAGCCGUGUAACUCGUCCGCCUUCAUGUGUGUGAAUGUGUGUGUGUGUGUGUCAGAGAGAUAGAGAGAUAGAGAGAUAGAGAGAUGUACCUUCAUAAUCCCAGCAAGAACCGCUCCUCCAAGAUACACCAUAUGCUUCCUUCUUGGUGGAUCCUCAAUUCGCAAUCUCAACUUCUGUCACAAGGUAAAGAAAAUGAGUUUAAAGAUCAAGUCCUUUUACAAAUUCUGCUUCUAAUCAUUGCCUCAUUUUCUGCAGCAGAACGAAAAUCUUUAAGAUCAUUUUGCUCCAGGAUUGAACAAAUGGCCAUCAACUUAAGAAAAUUAAAAAGCUAUUAAUUUCAAAAUCGAGUAUGAUAUUCUAACAAUUGAUCACAGUAGUAAUGAAUCUUUGAUGCAAGAAAAUGUUAACUGCAGCACCCUAACCAAUGAUAUCCUUUAAAACAAUGGUUAAGGGUUUCAUCAGGCACCUAAACAUAAUUUUUUGUAGCUUAUUGCACAAGGGAUUCAGAUCUUACCUUUAACCCAUCUUUAUUACCCUUUAGAACCACUUCGAGAUAUCGAUCAAGGAUUUCCUUUUCCAAGCUAAAAGGGGGGAAAAAAAAUAGUCACUCCAUCAAUUUCUUACCAUAGGAAAGCACAAUGUUAAAUGAUGUGCCCUUGAGAGAUGUCAAACUAUUUUCUAGCAUAUUAUUUGCUGACACAAAUGUCAUUUAAUCAUAGAACUAUAAAUAGACUGGCUUGCACAACCAGGCCAAAAAUUAAGAAGAAAAGUGAUAUAUCAUUGCCAUGUGAUGCUAGGUUCUGAAAUCAUAGAACAAAGACAGAUAAGAACAGUGAAUAUACAUGAAGACCCAAAUUUCUAAGAAAGCACGGUGGAAUGUCAUGUGAUGCAAAGAAAAGUUCAACAUAAUACCGACUAGGUAGUCCUGGAUACAUGGUGCUCCCUCCACUUAAGACUAUAUGCUGGUAUAGCUGCAAAGAUAAACCAAAUAAUAACUGAGAAUUAUGAAGCAGUCAGUUCAUAUGCACUCACGCAUUGAAAGCAGAAAAAGAAGGAAAUACAAUAAGGUACACCACAUUUAUCCGGGCCUCCCACAAAGCUACAUGGGUUAGCUUAUCAAUCCUAUACUAUUGCAAAAAUGAACAUCCAUAUGCUGGUCAUUUUAAUAAGUGCAUAAAACACAAUACAAGCCAUUUAAACAAUCACAUUAGCAAAAUCACACCUGUUUCCUUCAAUCAUAUCUGUACCCGACAAAUAACCUAAUUGAAUGUACCAAAAAAACACAAAGAAAACAAACAAACUGAAGGUACUAAAUAUGGCAUGUAAAUUGAAAUGCAGAAUGUGGUCUCCAGUGGAAAAAUUGGAACUACAACAGAAAAAUUACUUCAUACAUGACUAUAAAAAUUGUAAUGACAAACCAUCUCAAUCAUCUAACCACCACCUAUCGCAUGAUCGAUACAUCCAACUUAUAGGAAAAAGGCAUUAUAAACUAAAUUCUAACAAAAUUUCAAGUAAAUAAGAAUGCAAAACAACUGCCAGUAUCUGCAUAUUUAAUCGUUUAAAAAAGAAAGAAAUUACAUAAAGAUAAGAUCUUCUAGCAAAUCCUUAGCUUUAUUUUCAAAUACGGAGGAUAAGUUAUCCUAUCAACAUAUAUUGACCUAUAAGCAGAAAUUAAAGUAAAAUGUUCAAGGAAAGUAAUGUAUUUUGGAUCCAAUCAUAAUACCAUCAUACGAUUGUCAAUAUCCAUUUCCUGAAUGCAGCGGAAAACCAUAUCAGCCAUCCCAUCACCUUCAACAUCUAUAAGUUCCUGAAAAGAGGAAGUAUUUUAAAUUCAGAAACUUCCACUGAUAAAUGUAAUUCUCUGAUACAAGUAUAUAAAAGUUCAAAAAAAAAAAAAAUUGACCUGUUACUAUUACUCUGCAAAUAAUGAACAACAAAAUGCAUCAAUCAACUUCUUUGUUUAUUACAUAAAGCACUAGUGCAACAGUUUUCCAUUUUAUCAGAAAGCAUACGAAUAAAGUGGCAGAGCCACAUGGCCCCACAAGUACCACCAAAAUUUCAAGGUAAAAGAAAUAGAGAACUUCUUUAUACAAUCAGCCCUCCAAAUUAUGCUUUUAUAGGCGGCCCCCACAAAUAAUGCUUUUUUAAAUCAUCAAUCACCUCCCUAAAAUGACAGAUGGAACAUAAACAAAUAGCAAAAACUAAUAGUAGUAUAUAAAAAUUCAAAAAUAAGAAUUGACUUGCUACUAUUACUCUGCAAAAAUAAACAGCAAAAAUGCAUCAAUCAAUUUCUUCAUUUACUACAUAAAGCACUAGUGCAACAGUUUUCCAUUUUAUGAGAAAGCAUACGAAUAAAGUGGCAGAGCCACAUGGCCCCACAAGUCACACAAAACUUUCAAGGUGAAAGAAAUAGAUAAUUUCUUUAUACAAUCAGCCCUCCAAAUUUAUGCUUUUAUAGCCGGGCCCCCACAAAUACUGGUCUUUUAAAUCAUCAAUCACCUCCCUAAAAUGACAAAUGGUUUUAUACUAACAUAAACUAAUAGCAUAUCAUAUAUGUUGCAUCUGUGCAGUAAACAAUCUCAGUAAACUACCAAUACUACCAAUAUAAUACAAAAUGAUCUGGCAGCGUGCUAAUAAUAGCAUGUUCAGUUGAACAUGAGCAAUGUAUCUAAUGGGUAAGUUUUAACGGAUAGAAUACAACAGAAAAGAAGUACAGGCUUACUGGUGUGAAUAGAGCUUCAGGGGCCUGAAAUCUCUCAGUUCCUACUUUAAUGACUCUUCCAUCUGGCAGCUGAUAAAAAUAUAUAUAAGCUUAAUACUAUGUUAAAAAGAGAGCAGAAAAAAAACUACUGAAGUCACGGGAUUUAAGGAAAUAGAGAAACUCAAGCCAAAAAUAGCACUAUUGAUUUCUUAUUUUCCGCGUGUUCAUUCAGAGUGACCAUCACAUAACUUUACAUGAGUGGUUUUUUGAGAAAAAAAAAAAUGCAAGUAAAGAAUGAAUGAGGCUUCUAUACGUACCCCUAAACUGAGAUUCUAAAAUAAAGCCACCUCAGAGUAUUACAAAUUGAGCAUUAAUAUGGAAAAACCAUAAGAUUCAUAAAAUACAAAGAAAAUCAACUUACAGUAUAAUUCUUAACCAGGAUGGUGGUCUCUAGUCCCAACUGAUAUUCCCUUUUAUAGUCAUAACUGCAGGAAAUAGUUUUAUGUUAAUUAUAAUGCAAUAAAUUCUACAAAGAUCACACAAGAGUGUACUUGAUCCUCAACCUUAUGUAGCACAGCUUCUCUUUGAUUUGCCGAACAGUCUCAAAGUCUGCAGUUCUAUUCAUUGAAUACCUACAGGAAACAAAAUUUUACAUUUAAAAGACAAGUAUUCUAAAUCAUGUUCAUCUUGCUAACUUAUUGACAAUGAAUUGAUCCUCACCCUCUCCGUGAAAGUAAAUCAACAAGAUAGGAUGUUAUGUGCCGACCAGCUACAUUCAUUCGCUUAGUAAGAUGUGGGAAUGAGUAGCCAUCAACAACAGGAACCUGGGGAGAAAUGUUGAAAUAAUUAUGGUUCAGAAUUACCAUGCAGAGUACCAAUAGAACACUUUACAUUUUCAUAUUGAUAAAAACUCUCAUUAUUACUUUUGUAUCAGAUUGACAGAUUAUACUUUUAUUUCAGGUUGACAUAUUUGUGUUCCAUUAAGACAAUUUCCUGUAUCUUAAGUGAUAUGCCCACUAUUCUGUGGAUGAAUACAUGAUUUAAACAGCAGGAUAAAAAGCCAUCUAAUAUUCAAAUUUGAAUUCUCCAUUUAGAAAAAGUCCUGUUAUAAGGGUUAUGGUAUUUGUUGAUCUAUUUCAACACAGUCUUCCUCAAAUCCUUCAGGAGAAGAAAAAAUAUCAGGUUCCAGUGUGAAGAAUAUUCCAAAAAAUUUACUUAACUGAAGUGGAAUGCUCCUUUUUUUUUUUUUUCAAGAGGAAGGAAAAAGAGACAAGUUUAUCAUUUAAAAUAACUGGGAUAUUUAUUACUUUUGCAAAGGGGAAAAUAAGUGCAAAUAAUUGAAACUGACUAGUUAUAAAUUCCCUCAUAAAAAUUCAAAUGCUAAAUUAAACAGAAUGAAUUCGGUCCAAAGUGCUCCAUGAUACAAUGUAAUCAUAUCAUAUGCAAGCGACAAACAUGGGAGUCAUCAGUCCAAUCAGGGAAAUGAAGAACUAAAAAAAAAAUAAAAGGGCAAUAAUCAUUUCAAGAAUCUGAAAAUGAAGUUAAAUUGGUUUCUUGAGUAGUUUACCACAUGAGUGACACCAUCACCAGAGUCAAUAACUAGUCCAGUCAGCAAACCUGUGACAAUUCAAGAUAAUGCUGAACCAAACAAGCAAUGAGAUUGAACAAAAAGAUAGAACAGUUGUAAAAAUAGGAAUUUUUUUUCCCCAAAAAAAGGGAAAGAAAAUCUAGAAAGUCUUCACCAGGUAAAAUCAGUUUUCAUGCCUAUAGUUCCAAGGUCCUCACAAGUGUCAGUAGCAGAAACUAUUUAGAUAUAUGUUUGUGCACACACGUGUUCAUGUGUCUGCUCAUAAAUGUGCCUCAAUCAGUUAAUGGAAUUUAAACCUUCAGGCAUCUUCAUAAGCACCUUGAGCAUACAAAGUUAAAACAGCUUGGAUUUGAAUGAAGACGCCAGCAAAGUUGUAUUUCUCAAACAUUGUCUCGACCUGUUGUGCCAAGUCCGGCCAAAUUCAUGAGAUCUAAUUUUGAUGUAACUGAAUGUAUUAUUUAUCACAAUAUUUAAGUAACAAGAAUUGGAUUACACACCAUUUUUUCACGAUUUUUAGCUGGAUUAAGAGGUGGAUCUGUGAGUAAUAUCUUACAUUCUGGUGGGUCAAUCUGUUGAUAGAUAAUGUAGAGGAGUUAGGGACUAUCUAGAGAAAGUAUAUUACAGAAGAGAAGAAGGGAAAAAGAAAAAGAUUUAAGACAUAUAUUAUCAACAGAAGCAGCAUAAAACUUACUUUUAAUUCACUGAAAAAAGCAUGAUCCCACACUUGACCCAUAUCCUCCCAGUUUUGCACUAUACCAUUAUUAACAGGAUAAGAUACAUCCAGUUGAUGCCGCAAGUCUAAAGCUGCAGCUCCAACAAUAGUAUCCUAAAUGAAUUUGAAUCAAAGAAUGAGAAAGAAGACCUUUCUGAAAAAGUUCUAAGCUGCAAGCAUAAGCAUUGUAACAAAUGUGGCAUGACCUACUGCAUGUUACAAAAAUACACAUUAUUAAAUUUGAGCAAGGACUUGCUUGCCUAUCUUCAAAAGACUAAUGUAGUUUCAUGAUAGAAAAUUAUAUAGUGUCUGACCUUGAGCUCUUGUUCCAUGAGUGAUUCUUCGUAGCGUAGCAUUGGCCUUCCCACAACACAUGGGAACACAGAGUUAGGAAAAUUUUCCCCUGCGAAUCCGCACUUGACAUACUGCAGUAAGUGAUCAAAUUAUACCUUUGCAUAACUUAAUGAAACAACAGCAAUUAACAAAUCAAUGUAAACAUGUAGAGAUGUUUAGAUUUAACAUUCAAUUUAAAUAAGCAACUUCAUAAAGUCAAAUUAGCAGAUUCUAACAUUUAAGCAGAUCUACAAAAUAGCAACCAAGAAGAAUCAAAUUAGAAAUUAAAUCACGUGCUUGUGUUAAAAAAUAAAUAUUUUUAUCGAAAUUUUCUGAUGAUUGAUCGAUUUAGAUGACAAAGCAUACGCGAUCGGAAUGAAAUGAUAAAAGAGAGAUACCCCAGUGCCAUUGUCGCAAACGACGACGUUUCUGUUGUCCAUUACACGGUGAUGCUGUUGCCCAAGCGGAGGAGUAAGUGGGAGUGUUGCUGAUUAGUAGCUGCUUUCUUCAUCUAACCGCUUUCCUUCAACCGGAGGAGCUUCUAAAUGCAGCAAAGUAUUCGUUACGCUACGCGAAAUAUACAAAAUACGAUACGCCCAUAUGCUACUUCAAAGCUGUAAUUUUUACGGACCUCCCCUGAGGUUUGGCGUAUUAAUAGUUAGAGAGAAUGUAUCUAUGUAAUUACAAAUAUCUCCCUUACUGUUAGUAUUCAGUUAAUUUGAUUGUUAGUAUACUGCUAAAAUUACAAAAUCGCCUUUCCCCCAAAAUAAAAAAUUAUUUUUUUAGACUGGUUCUCCAUUUUCAUUGAAAUUUUCUCUCGCUUCCUCCCGCUUUUUCUUGACCUCCAAACAAAACAUAUUUGAUUUUUGUUAGAUUUUGAAACGGGUAAAGGAGGCGAAGAUUACGGGGCACAGAAAAAUAUAACUGAAACAAAAAAGAGCGAGGAUCGCGAGAUCUUCCCGGUGUGGGCGAAAUCGGUUGACGAAUGCAAAAAGCAAUAUAGAGUGAGAACAUAGUUGGUUUGAAAUCCGCAAAGUUGGUAUGUAAUAUAUUCAGCCAUGAUUUUCCUUUUUUAUUUGAAAAAUAAAAAUCUCCAAUAUUUUUACAUUCUUCUCCAAAUUCUUAACAUUUAUCUCAUUCUUGCAACAAUUGAUAGAAAACAGAACAGAAAUAUUCAAACCAACAAAUAUUCAAAAAAUUGUUAUGUUUGGCUCUUGCGAAGUUGAAGGAGAAGGGAGGAAAAUCAGUGAGUACGCAAGUGAGGUUGAGAGAAAUGUUUUAUUUUGGGUUUUGAGAUUCUUGGAUCAUUUUUUUAAUUUUCGGAAAAGUGACUGAAGGACAGAAUGUUAGUGGCUACCCGCUUCCCAUCCAUCGGCUAACCGCAUGAAUUCACCUACACUCCAGAAACAUAUCGACUAGCUGGCUACUAUAGCCGGCUAACCGUUGGUGCAAUAAGAACAAUACGACAAAUCCAGAGAGAUAGCGGCUAGCCGCGUACAACUAUGCGGCUAACCAGUUGCAAUCACCUGCAAUCCAAAAACAUAGAGGCUAGCUGGCUAGUAAGUAUACUCGGCUAACCGCAUGUGCAAUGGUAAUAUUAAUCCAUUUCAGAGACAUAACGGUUAGCCGGAUGGUUCAUGCGACUAAUUGACUGUGCCUCGAAAAUUAUGACUUGAGGACAGAAAGUUUGCAGCUAACCGGCUACAAUUCACAAACAUAGAGGCUAGUCAGCUAAUGUACGCAACUAACCGCAUGUGCAAUAUUAAUAUUAAGCCAUUCCACAGAGACAUCGGCUAGCCGAAUGGUUCAGGCAGCUAUUCUGGUUGAAUUCACAACUGCUAUUGUCUGUGUGUUUGUGCUCCAAGUUAGGUACCCUGUGUCACAAGUUCUUUGGUUACUCUCUCAUUAUCACAACUGCUGCUCAACAAUGUUACAUGUAAUAUACUGCAUGUCACAGGCACUAUAGUUGGGCUUUUACUGUCUCAAGUGGCGAACAUUAAGGCACAAAUUUUGUAAGAAACGUUCCCAAUAAAAGAAUAUAUCUAAUUAAUUUAAUUAGCAUAAAAUUAUUUUACGAAAGAAAUUAAAUUUUAAUUUUGAAUCAUUUUGACCAAAAUUUAAGUAUUUUAUGUGUUUAUAAAAAUGAGUUGUAAUUGGUUUAAUUAAUUGGAAAUAAUGAACAAAUUAUGUAAUAAAAAAAACAGAAUGGUUCGUCUUAAUUAGAAAAAGUAAUGGACAAAUUAUGUAACUAAAAAACAAAAAAAAAGGGUAAAACAACUUGUUUAGGAUAGAUUCCAAAAUUUCUCUUCAUCAAAAUUGAAAACAAUUAUAAAAAAUUACCAAAUCAUUUUUUAACUUAAAAAAUGUAAAAAAACUAGUAUGUUUACAUUUGUGCCCUUAUAAAUUGUAAAUGUUAAAAUAUAAAUAAAAUUAUAUACUAUCAUAACUUAAAUCAUGUUCAAUUGAAUACAACCCUUUAAUAUUCUAAAUUAGUAUAUAUUAAUCAAUUUUAUUAUAGUUUUUGAUAUUUUUACAUGAAAAAUGUUCAUAAAAAUUACGAAGAUAAAUAAUGCUAGUUUGAAGAAAAUAAAAAGAUAAAAAUAAUAAUAUGUUAACAUAUAUGUUUCUAUAAUAUUGAUUUUGAUGAUAACAAACAAGAUUAAGAAUGAUUAAUCUUUUAAGCUCAAAUUAUUUUUUAUACAUUUUAAAUAAAUUAUUAUUUCACAUUAUAAAGGUUUUAUAUUUAAUGAAAAAAUGAUUUUAUGAAAUUAGUUAUUUUUCAAGUUUAUGAUUUAAUUGAAAGAGUUUUGAAAACUUUGAAAUCAACAAGUAUUGCUUGAAAUUUUGGAGAAGAACUUAUUUGAAAAGUUUCAUAGCAUUUUGGGUCGUAUCAUAAUUUUAAAAAGUUUUGAGAAUAGCAAGCAUUAUUUAGAGAUUCUGAAAUUGGACCUAUUUAUAAAAUAAUAUAACCUUUUGGGUCAUAAUACAGUUUUAUAAAGUUUUAUGGUCAAACUAUAAUUUUAGAAAAUAGUGCACUAUAACGGUUACUGUAGCAAGCGGCUAACUGGAUGUGACAAGCGGCUAGCUGGAUUUUGGGCAGUAAGCUUCUGGAAUGAAAGCGGCUAUCCAGAUUUCAAAAGCAGCUAACCGAAUUUGAAAAGCGACUAACCGGAUAUGAAAAGCGGCAUGCCGGAUAUUCUGAAAUUCAAAUUUUUGCUGUAAUGGUAACAUAAAAGCGGCUAACCAGAUUCCAUAAACGGUAAGCCGGUUAUCACCAAAAUGUGCAUAACGGCUAGUUUUUGAGUUCAAACUAUAUAAACUCAAAUCCAAUUAAUUUUUUGUAAUCUUUGCAAGCAUAAACAAGUGGACACAACUUAUAUUGAGCUUCAAAUUCGAAAAUCAUCAUAGAUUAAAUCUUUAUUGAGCUAUCAUUUGUAUAUCCACUCUUAAAGAGAGUUUCAUUGUUGUAAUUUUUAUUUCUCAUCAAAUUAUGAGUGUACAAGUGUGAGAAACACUUGGGGUGAAGAGAUUGGGAAGAUAAUCUCUUGAUUGUAAAGGUUCAUUGACACCUUGGAAGUCAAUUGUAAAAACUUAAAGCCUUGAGAGGCUUGAACAGUGAAAUCCUCAAGCGGGUGAGCUUGGAGGCGUGGACAUAGGUGGGGAUUGCCGAACCACGUAAAAAUUAUUGUGUUUAUUUUCUCUUCCCUUACUCUUUUAAUAUUGUGCAUGAUUGAAUUUAUUAUUUUUAAUUUGAUUAAGACAAUAGAUUAAAUUGUUGUGUGGUUUGCUUAGCUUAAAUUUUAAAAUCCUAAUUCACCCCCCCUCUUGGGUUGCCUAGUUAGUAUUUCAUAAUAGUCCAGAACUAUAUUGUCACAAGUUAUAGAAGUAGGUGAUAAUGUUAAUUAUUAAAAUUUAUUUAGGUAAAGAUGAAAAUUGAUUAAUUAGAUAUGAAUAUUUUAGAGAAUAUUUUUUAAUGAUCUUAAUAACUAAAAAAAUUGGUUUAAUAACUUAAUAAUGAUUGGAAAAUUUCAUUAAGUUGAAAAAUAAAUAAACUUAAUAAUUUAAUUAAUUGAAAUGAGUCAAUUGAGUUACAAGGAAAAAAAAAGCACUUUACAAUAUAAAAUCCUAAUUCCAAUUAAAAUUUUCCAAGCGAUUUUUUUUUUCUCAAUGGAUGGCAGCUGAAUUGAAAUCAAUGGAGAAAAAAAAUUUGGACCACGUGGAGAACAAGAUUGUAAAGCGAGAUUAAGAUGCAAGAGCAUUGAAUUGGUAUCAUGAAACCUGUUGAAGAAAAUCAAAGUGGUGUUGCUGGUUAUGCCGUUGAGGGGUGUGUGUGUGUAUAAUAUAUAAUUUAAAAUUCAGAUAGGGGUAAUAUCUGCAACAAAUAUUAGAUUUGCAAAAUUUAAAAUUCAAUAAUUUAAUAUAUAAUUUAAAAGUUCAAUAAUUUACCAAAUAAUAUAAAAUAAAAUACAAUCAUAAUUCAACAUGAAAAAACAUACAAUAAUCUCAUAAAUCUAUGAAUAAAAUUUAAUUUUUAUUUUUAUUUCGUUUUUAAUAUAUAUAUAUUUAAUUUAAUUUUUAAUUUAAAAUAAAAUUCAGUAAUUUACCUAAUAAUAUGAAAUAAAAUUCAAUCAUAAUCCAACAAUUAGAAAUUCAACAUGAAUAAGAUACGACAACAUCAUAGAAUCUACAAAUAAAAUUUAAUUUUUAUUUUUAAACAAUUUUUAAUAUAUAUAUUUAAUUUAAUAAAAUUCAUUCAUUUACCUAAUAAUAUCAAAUAAAAAUCAAUCAUAAUCCAAAAAUUAAUAGAACAAAAUGAAUAAUAUACAACAUCAUAAAUCUACAAAUAAAAUUUAUUUUUUUAAUUUUUCAUUUAAUUUUUAAUAUAUAUUUUUAAUUUAAAAUAAAAUUUAUCUGAAUCUAGAUAUCUGGUUUUCCGAAUGCAAUUGCAUCCGGAUCUGGAUCUAUGCGGAUCCCAAUUUUUCGUAUUCGGAUCCGCAUUUUUAAUAUGUAGAACUAGAUUUUUCUGGAUCCAGAUCUUCCGGAUCCUUGUAGAAUCAGGCUGAAUCCGGAUUUAUUUGUCAUCCCUAUGGGAGAAUUGGUUCAAUCUAGUAAUAUAUGGUAAUUAGGGAUGGGCAAAACUGAACCGGAACAAAAAAAAAUUUGGUUCGGUUCGUUUUUUUGGGUUUCUGUUCAGUUUUUUAAAAUAAAAAAUCCGAAUUUAUAAACAUCGAACCAAAUGGUUCGGUUCCGUUCGGUUUUCGAAUAAAAAAUUAAAAAAAAUUAAACUGAAUGGAAAGUAAGGCAUUUUCGUAAUUUCACUAGAACAUAUAUAAACACAAAUUAAACAUGUCGUUUACCUGAUUCAGUCCUCUGCCACAUUCUAUCAUUUCUACCCACCAACAUUGUCGUGGCAAGUUCAAUUUUAUCUUCAAGAUGGAGGCUUCUAUGGACUUCACUUUAUAGUCUUUGGUUUGAUGAGAGAUUAUAAAUAAGAGAGGGUGCUUUCAGUGAUGCUACUAUGGUUAGGUUCGAGAGAUUUGUACAAACCGUGCUUCAGCGAACAGACCUGAGAAAAUUAUAGAAGCUUUGUCUCUGUUCCUCAAGACUUAGUGCAUCGGGUAGCUUGAAAUCUUGGCUUUCGUCAAUAGUGAUGUGUAAUGUUCGUAAGAUAGAGCUUGGCAUUGCGGAGGAAGUGCACAUGGAGUUACCUGAGAGUAUUUAUAGUUGCAGCACGCUGGAAGUUCUCAAACUUCAUUCAAAUUUUGACAUCAAGGUUCCUGAUGGUGGAAUGUGUUUCCCAUGUGUGAAGAUCAUACACGUCAUGCUCAAAUAUCCGGAUAAUAAGUUGGUCGAAAAUCUGCUUUCCAAUUGCUCAUUGGUUAAAGAUUUGUGCGUUAAUGUUUAUUUGAAAAGUGGUGAUUCUGCUACGAGUGUCAUCGUUGAUUUCUCAACCCUGAAAAGGUUGGCAUUGACAAUUGAGGUAGAAGAGGAAUACUUUAGUUUUCUUCCUUGUCAUCACAGAGUUGUGCUUAGGGCUCUAAAUCUACAAUUUCUCCAUAUUGUUGAUGACAUGCUGGUAUCAUAUAUGGUGGAACAACUACAUCUGGUAUAGACUGUGAUUUUGAAAAAAUUAUUUUUAGAUUUGGCAAAAGUUAAUCAAUUCCCUGCUCUCGCCCUUCUCAAAGGUGUCAGUAACAGCAAGUCUUUGAGUUUAUCUGCUGGCAUGAUAUAUGUAAGUUAGUUUUGACUACUGUAGAAACUCUAUACUGCCUAUGCAUUGUAUUCACAUUUCAAUCCCAACGCCGCACUGUUAUUAUGUGUUUGGUUACCAUCGAUCAUUAACUAAAAAAUGAGGAAUUUACUUUUGUUAACUGUUUGUGGCGGAAAUGUUUUGUAAUGGUUUGUCUUGUUGUUUAUUUCGAUAGGCACUUGACUGGGCAUACGACACUUUAUUUCCUGAGUUGAGGUAUUUGGAAGUGCAGUUUGGAGAAGCUGGUUAGCCACUUAUUCCUAUCAUCCUCAUUUCUUCGGCUAACUUAGAAACUUGAGUGCUAGAGAAGGUCAGGAUUUGAAGUACUUGAUAUUGUAAGUUUUUUCACAUAAUUUCAUAUAUUGAAAUUUCUUGUCUUUGUGAUCAGCAAUGUUUCCUUAUAGACACCGAGAGAGUUCUUGGAUGGACUGAAAGUGGAAGUGUCCCAAAUUGUUUACUCCAUCGGGUGAAAAAAAUUGAGCUUAAGGGACUUCAAGGUGAAAAAGAGGGCAUAGGACUAAUACAAUACUUGCUCAUGCAUGGUACUGUCUCAGAAAAGUGCACCAUUUGGAGUAAGGGUCCUGUUUCCAAGAGAAAAUUGAAAAUGUUGAGCUUGAACACAACAGAAGCAAAAAAGAAACUGCAAGAAUGAAACAAAGAUCCAAGAACUCACUCGCAAGAUCAUAAACUCACUCGCAAGAUCAUAAACUUGACCUUGAACACCAACACCAGGCACAACAACUCAGAGGGAAAACUAGUACUCUUUUAUUACUCAAAAUAUUUACAAGUCUGUCAAGCUUUGUAGAAGAAAUUACAAGCUUUACAAAAAAAUUAGAAACACUCAAAUUGGAUAAAAAAUGAAAGAGAAAUGUGAACUAUAUCAGAUGCCACGAACCAGCUCUGUUUAUAAAGCAUUAUCCUAAGAAUUUCCAGAGGUUGCUUCAACAAACAUAACAAACUUUUAAACACGUCAGCAUCGAGUUUGCACAUUGGUCCUCAAACUUAAGUCAAUCUGCACGAAAGCCACAUAAGUCUUAACUCUUUGCAUUUAACCCCCUAAAAUAGAAACUGAUUCUUCACAAUCUCCACCUUGCAGACUUGAUUCAGUUUGAUUCUUAACCAUAAAAGCUGCUUCAAAAAACCCCUUUAAACACACAGCUUAUCACUUGAUUACACAAAGUAAUCACUGUAAGUUAGCCAUGAUUCCCAUCAAAUUUACACAAAACUUAAACUUAGCAGUGGGAACCACUUUUGUAAGAGUAUCAGCAGGAUUUAUAUCAGUGUGUAUUUUGUUCACUGAUACAGCACCUUUAGUUACUUCAUCUCUAAUGAAAUGGAGUCUCACAUCAAUGUGUUUAGUCCUUUCGUGAUAGAUUUGAUUUUUAAUGAGGUGGAUGGCACUUUGAUUGUCACAGAAAAUGGUGAAAGUUUUCUGUUUUAACUAAAGCUCAUUCAAAAUCCCACUAAGCCACUUUCCCUCUUUUACUGCCUCUGUUGCAGCAACAAACUCAGCCUCUGUAGAUGACAAAGUGACCACAGAUUGAAGAGUUGCUUUCCAACUGAUCAGACAACCAUUCACCAUGAACAAGUAGCCUGAGAUUGAUUUCCUCCCAUUAAAAUCUACUGCAAAAUCUGAGUCUACAUAUCCCACUAUACUAUUCUCAUCCUACUUUGACUUUCCAUACAUCAAACCAUGAUCUGGAAUACCUCUAAGGUAUCUCAUAAUCCAUUUAACAGCAUCCCAGUGCUCCUUUCCAAGAUCACUCAUGAAUCUGCUAACAAGACUAACAGCAUAAGCAAUAUCAGCCCUAGUACACACCAUUGCAUACAUAAGGCUCCCAACUGCCUGAGCAUAUGGAACUUCACUCAUUAUAGACUUAUCUUGAUUUGUAACAAGAGCUUGCACUUUUGAAAGUUUGAACUGAAAUCCUAGUGGUGUCUGAACAGACUUUGCAUCCAGCAUAUCAAAUCUGUCAAGAACCUUUAGAAUGUACCUCUCUUGACUGACAAAUAGAGUUCCAGCAGUUCUAUUCCUUAUAAUAUCCAUCCCAAGGAUCCUCUUAGCACAUCCCAGAUCCUUCAUUUCAAAUUUUACAUUCAACAGGUCUUUGAGCUUCUUGAUCUCACUUCUAUCUUUGCUAGCAAGUAGCAUAUCAUUAACAUACAGCAGAAGGUAAACAGUUCCACCUGAACUUGAGCUUCCAGAGUACACACAGCUAUCAUAUUUGCUUCUGAGAUAGCCAUUGGAGAUCAUGAACUCAUCAAAUCUCUUGUACUAUUGUCUUGGAGACUGCUUUAGCCCAUAGAAAGACUUGUUUAAAUGACAAACAUGAUAUUCCUUUCCUUUGAUUUCAAAGCCCUCUGGUUGUGUCAUCAGAAUUUCUUCCUCAAGCUUCCCAUGUAGAAAAGUUGUCUUCACAUCCAUCUGAUCAAGCUCCAUAUCAGUCAGAGCUACCAUUGACAGUAACAUCCUUAUGGAUCUAUGUUUAACCACAGGUGAAAAAACCUCAGUGAAAUCUACACCUUCCUUUUGUGUGAAACCUCUAGCAACUGAUCUAGCUUUGAAUCUUGAAGCUUCAGCUCCUGGAAUUCCUUCUUUUCUUUUGAAAAUCCAUUUACAACUUACCAGCCUUUUGUUGCCUGGAUUUUGAACAAGAGUUCAAGUCUUGUUUUUGUUUAAGGAAUCCAUUUCUUUUUCCAUAGCUUUGAUCUAGUUGCUAUUGUCACUACCUUUCACAGCUUCUCUGUAGCUUGCUGGUUCUUCAAUAGCUAUUUCCUCUGCACUGUUAAGAGCAUAAGCUAUCAUCCCAACAUAUGCAUAUCUAGAAGGUGGUUUUGUCUCCUUUCUUGCUCUGUCCCUUGCUAGCUGAUAGUCUUGUAGCUCAGCCACUGAAGUUCUUAAAUCAUCCACUUCAGACCUUUCUUGAAGAUCUUCUGUAGUACCCAUAUCUUGACCCCCUCUGUCACUGCUACUGGAUGACUCCACCUCAAUUCUGGAAUACUUCCUUAUUGCAGCUUCUUUCAUUGAUUCAUCAGUAUAAGGGCUGAAGUCAAAGACAGCAGAGUCAUUGUCCUUCAACAUAGAUUCCUCAUGAAAUGUAACAUCUUUACUGAUGAUAAAUUUAUGAGUGGCACCACACCAUACCUUAUACCCUUUCACCCCCUCAGGAUAUCCCACAAACACCCCUUUCAGAGCCCUUAAAUCCAGUUUUCCUUGCUUGACAUGCACAUAGGCUGUACAUCAAAAAAUUCUCAGAUGUUUGUAGUCUGCAGAUACACCAGUCCAGACUUCUUCAGGAGUCUUGAACUUGAGAGCUGCAGAGAGGCUCAUAUUAACCAAGUAACAAGCUAUAGUUACAACUUCAGCCCAGAAGCUUCUUGGUAGCUUGGAGUUUAUGAGCAAGCAUCUAGUCUUAUCAAUUAGAGUUCUGUUCAUCAUCUCAGCUAAUCCAUUUUGCUGAGGGGUGAACCUGACAGUCUUGUGUCUGGUGAUUCCAUGCUUCUGACAAUACUCAUCAAACUCUUUAUUACAAAAUUCAAGCCCAUUAUCAGUCCUUAGUGCUUUCAGCUUCAUCUCAGACUGAUUUUCAACCAAAGCUCUCCAUAUCUUGAAUUUCUCAAAAGCUUGAUCUUUAGUCUUGAGAAUGUAUAACCAGACUUUUCUUGAGAAGUCAUCUAUGAAUGUUACAAAGUAUCUGCCACCACUUAGGGAUGACACUUGAGCAGGCCCCGAUAGAUCAGAGUGUGCAUAAUCCAAUACAGCUUUGGAUUUAUGCAAUCCCCUUUUAAAUUUCAUUCUGUGGGCCUUUCUAAAGAUACAAUUCUCACAUAACUUCAGCUCUUCAACCUUAUCUCCAGAUAACAACCCCCUUUUACUCAGUUCUUGUAAGCUUUUGGCACUCAUAUGCCCAAGCUUUAGAUGCCACAUCUUGGCUUUAUCUACAUCAGAACUAACAUGCAAUGCAGACAACACAGGUACUGAUGAUCCUUCCAACACAUGCAGUCCAUUAUUCUUGACUCCCUUCAUUACUAUGCUGGAGUUUUUCAUUACCUUUAAGCCCCCAUAGUCAGACUUAAAGACAUAGCCUGAGCUAUCUAACAUGCCUAAGGAUAUCAAAUUCUUCUUUAAUCCCAGUACAUGCCUAACAUGCUCUAAGGUUCUUGUCAUUUCAUCAUACAUUCUGAUUUUGACAGAACCUAUACCCACAAUUUUACAGGCAUUGUGGUUUCCCAUUAAGACUCUACCUCCAUCUAUAGUUUCAUACUCAUGAAAAAAGGGUUUUAUCAGGACUCAUAUGGAAAGAACAACCAGAGUCUAGAACCCACUGACCUUCAAUCUUUCCAUUUGAUGCCACCAGUAAGUCUGCACUUUGAUAACCUCCAUCAGAUGAUUCAUCAGAUGCUACAGCAGCAUCUCUUAAUUUUUCUUUGCUGUCUCUCUUCUUCUCAGCACAGUCUCUGAUGUAAUGGCCUGUCUUCUUACAGUAAAAACAUUUUCUUCUUUUCAUCUUUUCUUUCUCAGACUCAUCUUCUUUCUUAAACUGAUUCUUGUUCUUCUUUUUUUUAUUAUCUUUCUUCUUCUCAGCUUUUGCCAUCAACCCUUCACCAGGGUUUUGAUCCAGAUCUCCAGAGUGCCUUUGUAUUUCUUUUGAACACAAGGAGGCCUUCACAUCUUCUAGUGUGAGAGUUGUCCUCCCAUAUAGCAUGGUAUCUACAAAACCCUCAUAGGAUUUUGGCAUGGAACUCAGCAAGAAGAAGGCCUUAUCUUCAUCACCUAUCUUGAUGCUUUCCGCUCCUUCAAGAUCAAGAAUGAUCUUGUUAAACACAUCAAUAUGCUCCUGUAUUGACACACCUUCCUUUAUAAAGAAUAUAUAUAGCCUUUUCUUUAAGAACAGUCUGUGAGCAAGUGAUUUCUUCAUGCAUAGAGCCUCCACCUUGUUCCAAAUACCCAGAGCUGUUUUCUCUUCUGAGAUUUCUCUCAAGAUUGAAUCACUUAGACUCAAGAUCAGGGUAUUGUGGGCUCUAUUGUGGAUCUGCUUCAUCUUUUCAUCAGAUCUCGAACUUCCAGCAGUUUCUGAAUCUUCUUCUUCUAAAGCUGACUCCAGUCCUUGAUGAACAAGGAGUGCUCUCAUUUUCAUUUUCCAAAGUGAGAAAUCACCAUCAAUGGUGAAUUUCUCAAUCUCGGGUUUUGGAAGUGACAUUGUUGCGAUCCCCCUAGGGCUCUGAUACCACCUGUUGAGCUUGAACACAACAGAAGCAAAAAAGAAACUCCAAGAAUGAAACAAAGAUCCAAGAACUCACUCGCAAGAUCAUAAACUUGACCUUGAACACCAACACCAGGCACAACAACUCAGAAGGAAAACUAGCACUCUUUUAUUACUCAAAAUUACAAGUCUGUCAAGCUUUGUAGAAGAAAUUACAAGCUUUACAAAGAAAUCAGAAACACUCAAAUUAGAUGAAAAAUGAAAGAGAAAUGUGAACUAUAUCAGAUGCUACGAACCAGCUUUGUUUAUAAAGCAUUAUCCUGAGAAUUUCCAAAGGCUGCUUCAAUAAACAUAACGAACUUUUAAACACGUCAGCAUUGAGUUUGCACAUUGGUCCUCAAACUUAAGUCAAUCUGCACGAAAGCCACAUAAGUCUUAACUCUUUGCAUUUAACCCCCUAAAACAGAAACUGAUUCUUCACAGAAAAUCGUGCGGCAUAAACUAUUACAAUUACAGAGAGGGUCUGAGACAUUUGAAAUUCAUCUCUUAUGUGAUUAGUAUGUGAUGCUGGUUUGUGGUUGACAUUUUGUUGUUGCUUUCAGUUGCAUUGGCUACAUUGUUGUUUUAGUUACAGGACGUUCUGUAUUAAGCACACAACCUUUGUUCGCAUGUUUCUAUUACUUGGAACAUUGUGUCUACAUUUUACAUUGUGUGUACGUAAAUGCACUUAACUCUCUUGAAAUUUGUUUUAUGUAUGAGACAACAUAUUGCAGCACUGCACUCCAUGCAAAAGUUUAAGCAAAAUCAAGCAACUACUUGAGUUCAGUCCACCGAAAUGGACGAGACCAACUAUUUGUCCAUUACUUUUUUGUUUUUUGGUUACAUAAUUUGUUCAUUACUUUUUCUAAGACGAACCGUUCUGCUUUUUUUUUUGUUACAUAAUUUGUUUAUUAUUUCCUAUUAAUUAAACCAAUUACAACUCAUUUUUAUUAACUCAUAAAAUAACUUAAAUUCUGGUCAAAAUAAUUCAAAAUUAAAAUUUAAUUUCUUUCAUAAAAUAAUUUUAUCAUAAUUAAAUUAAUUUGAUAUAUUCUUUUAUUAGGAACGUUUCUUACAAAAUUUGUGCCUUCAUGUUCACCACUUGAGACAAUAAAAGCCCAACUACAGUGCCUGUGACAUGCAGUAUAUUACAUGUAACAUUGUUGAGCAACAGUUGUGAUAACGUGAGAGUAACUGGAGAACUUGUGACAUAGAGUACCCAACUUGGAACACAAACACACUGACAAGCGUAGUUGUGAAUUCAACCAAAUUAGUCGCCUGAACCAUCCGGCUAGCCGCCUGAACCAUCCGGCUAGUCGCUAUCUUUGUGGAAUGGCUUAAUAUUACUAUUGCACAUGUGGUGAGCCGCGUACAUUAGCCAGCUAGCCUCUAAGGUUUAUGUAUUGCAGGUGAUUGCAGGCGGUUAGCCGCUGGAAAAUUCACAGAUAGCCGCAAAUUUUUUGUCUUCAAAUCACAUUUUUUGGGGCAUAGCCGAUUAGUUGCAUGAACCAUCCGGCUAGCUGCUAUGUCUCUGGAAUGGAUUAAUAUUAAUAUUUGCACAUGCGGUUAGCCGAGUAUGCUAGCUGGCUAGCCUCUAUGUUUCUGGAUUGCAGGUGAUUGCAACUGAUUAACGCUUUUUUUUUUAAUGCGGGGAGCCUCUAUCUCUCUGGAUUUGUUGUAAUGUUCUUUUGCAGCGACGGUUAGUCGACUAUAAUAGCCGGCCAGCCGAUAUGUUUCUGGAGUGCAUGUGUAUUCAUGUGGUUAACUGGUGGAUGGGAAAUGGUUGGCCUCUAACUUUCUGUCCUUUAGGUACUUUUUUGAAAAUUACAAAAAAGUUUCGCACUGUUCGAUGCAAAUUCAAUGUAAGUCAAUGGUUGGAUAAUUAAAAAACAAGCAACUAGAAAAAAAGGUAAGUGUGGACCCAAUUACAAUUACCAACUAGAAAAUAGAACCGCGUUUCACGCGGCUUUAAAAAAAAAUUUAGUAUUAUCAUUUUUUCUUAUUUUACACUUGAUGAAACUGAUAAAAAAUAUGAAUUGAUUUUUUUUAAAAGAUGAGAUAGCCUUAUAAAAAACAAAAAAAAAAAGCUAUUAGCCAGCAAUACAAAUAAAGAAGCAAUGCAAGAUAAAGAAUAAAAUGAGAAAAUAUAUUAUAGAGUGAUUUUAUUCAUUCCAAUUGUGUGUGUACAAAACAAAAAUAUGAGCUCUCAUUUUAUAGUCACAUAAUCACUCUAUAAAAUUAAUGAAAAAUUAUGGAUCAUAAUUCCUUGUGAGAUAGUGGGAGUUAUAGGGAAGCUAAAGGUUGCUAAUGGGAGAUAGUGGGGAGACUAAGAGAUAUAUGUUAUAAACAUCUACAUUUAUUUUAAUAAAUUCAUAACACUCUCCUUUGAAUGUUCAUUACAAAGAAUAUGUCUCAUUAAAAUCUUUACAUAAUUAUUAUUGUGUAAAAACAAUCAAAUUAAUUAUGAGAAAAUGAAAAGCCAAAUCUAAAAGAAUUUUUUUCUAUUUAUUAGAUAAUAGAGAAUAUACAAAGAUAAGAAAUGGUGACGCCACAUCACCUCCUCAAGUCCCAACUUUAUAUAUAUAUAUAUAGAUAUUUCAAUUUCAAUUACAGUUGCAAUUCCAAUUACAAUUAUGAGCUCAAUUUUAAUUUUAGCUACAAUUACGAUUGUCAUUACGAUUGUCAUUACCAUUGUAAUUAUAAUUACAAGUUGGAUUCCAGUGGUAAUUCUAGUUAUAGUUAAAGUUACAAUUUCAACUCAAUCAUAAUUACAACCAUUGACUAAUUAGAUUGAUGUACAUAGGUCAUGUUAAUAUUAUUUUAAUUUUAAUAUAAUCAUUUCAAUUGAAAUAAUAUUCGUUAUAUACUUAUGUUAUUUCUUUAAUAACAUUCAUAUAGAAAGACUAAAAUUAACAUUUAGGUAGGUAAUCUAUCGUCUUAUCUCUUAGAAAUAAUUUCAUUUAUCAUCCUUUUGGGGCCAAAACUACCGCUAGUCUUUUACGUAAAAAUUUCAAAUCUAAUGAUGAUAGAUUGUUGUUACCAUCACUGUCAUCAUCUCAACUCUUGUGAAGCGGCCAUCAACUUAGUCAUAGUUUUCAUCUCAACACGAACUAUGAAAGAUUUGGGAUAUUACUUUUUAGAACUGGUGAUAUACAAUUUUUAUGUAGAGUUUUCUUUUUAAUUUAUUUGAAAUCGGAGUAUAUAUGGCCCAAUUCCCAUUCGAGUCCAUUAAUUUUCUUUUUAAGCACACCUCAAGGUCCUUCUAAAAGAGACAUUACAAUAAAUGUAACCAUAUUUGAAAUAAAACAUGACGGCAAUAACAUAGUAAUUAUAGAGAGCAUGGUUCGAAUUUCAGCAUCCACAUUUAUUCAUUUUAGAAUAUAUUUGAUCAAUUUUCCAAGAUUACCACAUAUUACUAGAUUGAACCAAUUCUCCCCUAAGAAUGGCAAUUAAAUCCGGAUCCGACCCGAUUCCGUAAGGAUCUAGAAGAUCUAGAUAUGGAAAAAUCCAUAUCUGCAUAUUAAAAAUGCGGAUCUGGAUAUGAAAAUUUGGGAUCCGCACGGAAUCUGGAUUAAGAUAAAUUGUAUUUUAAAUUAAAA